AGUUGGUACCUUGUGCGCCCCAGCAGACUUCGUGAUGAUAGAGACUGGUACUGAUGAGAGGGCACCCAUCAUCCUAGGGAGGCCAUUCCUGCACACCUCGGGAGCUGUCAUCUACGCUAGUGCUGCUAAGAUCAGUUUCUACAUAAAGGGAAGGAAGGAGAUGUUUUCCUUAAAGAAUAAGACUACACAAAUCUCAGAGCAAUCCCGACAGGAACCAAGGAAGAGGACCAACAGGAGGAAUAGGAACAAGCAAAUGUGGACCGAGUCAGCUAAGAUGAUCACUGCAGCUCAAGGAGGUCAAGAUCGUCAACUCAAGUCACCUUUCUUGAUCAAGAAGGACGACCCUGGUGUUCCAAGCAUCGAGUGCACAAUCAACGGAUAUUCUUUUCAGAAGACACUCUACAACACCGGAUCUAACGUUAACAUAAUGGCCGCAGUCACUUAUCACCUCCUUCAUGGAACCAUGUCCCUACAACCAAUAUACAUUCAGCUCUAGAUGAUUUUAAGGUUAUUGACAUGGGAGAAGACAAGUAUGAUCCUCCAUCAUCCUUAGGGGACCGUUCCUCAGCACCGUUAAAGCAAUCAUCUACAUUGGAACCGGAGAAGUCCACAUUCACUUCCCCUCAGAGAAGGUACGCCACUGUUUUACUGACCCUAACUAUAUAGUUGAAGACUCUAAGCAGGUCAGGACAAGAAGACGACGACGCAACCGCAACCAGAGGAGGCAAAUCAUCAAGGACGGAUGGGUAGACUAUGAAGGAGAAGUUGUAAGGUCUGAAGACAUAAAGCUUGAACAGAACUGUCCUGAGGAGACCGUAGCACCGAGUCAGGUGUGGAGAGAGAAGAUAUUUAUACGCGAAGACCAGGCACCGCCGGAACCACCGACUACGCCAUCCACCGAAUCCCAGGACGAUUGAGAAAACAGAGAGUCUCGUUCGGAGGACUUGAAAACACCGAACGCCUUGCCAAGAGGUAAACUUGGUAGUUAUCCUUUUCCUUUCAAUUAUUUAAAAUAGUUUACUUAGUUAAUCAGGUUCAUGCUAUCUUGAAAAGAAAAUAAAAAUGUUAAAAAUAGUAAGCCCCAUGUGAGUAUGCUCAUGGCAUAAAACCCAUAAGUACAUUCACUGUGGUGGCGUAAAAAUAAAUAUAUAUAUUCCUGUCCUAUAAAAAUGAAAAUAUAAAAAUAAAUUUAUGAUCCUACUAAAGAGAGUAACAUUUAUUGAGGAGGCUCAACAUGAUAAAGGCUAGAUAUUUAUGCUAACACUUAACUAGUUCCACAAAGCUUUGUUGUCUAUUUGAGCUCCACAGAAUUAAAGGAUCAAAGAAGACUAGUGGACGGAGGACAUCCUAAUCAAUGUCAGGGUGCUGCCGACAUUCAAAUACACCUCCGCCACCUGCUACAUCAAAAGGAAUUACGUCAAAAUCCAGCUUGGGGGAGAGCACCUCCAUUUAUCCAGCUAAGUAUUCUACUCACGUUUAUAUUUUACUCAAAUAAUAAAAAGAUGCAUAAUCAUAAAAACCCAAAUAAAGAUUUUGUGCUUAUAUAUAUAUCUUUGCUUAGUUUGCUAAAUAAAUAAAUAAAUAAAGAUCGCUAUGAACCCUCAUGAUAAGCUCUCACAUGGAAAUAAUGAAUAGUUGCUCUGCCAUGACUAAUUCUAAAAAUUGAAAUCUCUCUCAAGUUUAGGCAUGACUGUUAUUAAUUAAGAUUUGCUCUAAACCUGAACUUGUGGGAAGAGUACUUGAUCUAAAGUCUAAGUCGUUAACGGAUAUGAUAUGGGAAGGUUGAGCUGCUGUUUAUCUGUUCCUAGAGAUGCUAGAAUUCUGGAGAAUUUUAUCUUUAAAAAUAUUUAAAAUGUUGCAUGAUGAGUUUCUGUAUGAUGAGAGUUUAAAUUCCUACCACAGCCAUAUAUACAUGCUUGUUAGACUAUAAACCACACAUUUACUUUUUACUGCUUAUGAGCAUUGAGUGUGGUCAAGCUGUGUAGACCCUUAGGAGCUUGUCAUGUGGUUAAAAUCAAGAUUCACUUGCACGUUCACUCAUACAUGCUGCUUCUACUCCGGAAGUACGCAUCCACAUAUAUCCAUCCAUUUCCAUCUCUAGAACCACCCAAAAAUAUUCUCCUCCUAAUCCGGGAGAGAAUAGCCAAAAACAUUCUCCUAUUUCUGUUUUUCCCUGUGAAAUAAAUGCUCAAGUUAUCUUGGUUACUACCACUUGCUAUAUUAUCUCAUGAGAUGAGUGCUCUAAAAAAAGAAGAGAGAGAAAAAAAAGUGAAUACGAGCAAAUAAAAAGGGGCAAGUGCCCGGAACCUCGAAAGAAAAAAAAAGUGAGACGAGAGGUAAAAAUGGACAAGUGUCCGACAGUAGAAUUAGGGAUACAAGAUACUCACCUGAGAGAAAAGAAAAAAAAAAGAAAAUAUAGAGCAUCUCAUUCUCCUCAAAAAGUUUCAAAACAGCAAGAAAGGUAUGUAUCCCCUCAAAAGAGCACAAGUAGAAUUAGACUUUCACCAUUGUUAUCACCAUCAUCACCAUACACCAUUCAUUCGCCACACAUGCACAUCUUGAUUUGACUUAUUGACUUGAUCUUCUAGAUCCAUGGUUUGACUAUGCAAUAAAUGUCUUGUAAGUAUGUAUUAGCUGUCUCCCACCUAUGAGCUCCAGAUAUCAAAACCUUAUUAGAGUAGGGUGAGAGAGAAGGCAAUGUCACUAUGCCUCAUACCAAAAAUACCACAUACUUUGAGAGAAGGCAUACACCUUUACUACAUUGGUAAGGAUCCAGAAAUACCACAAAAGAGAGACUAGAGAGAGUCAUACAAGGAAUCUCUGAGUUUUAUUUGAAAAUCAGCAAAAACCCCAGAGCUAUAGCUGAUCAAGAAUAAGAGACAUGGUGCUUGACUAGACUGUUCUAUCUUUUAACUACUCAAGAUAGAAGUGACGGUUACAAGUCCCAUGGUGAAAGGUAAAUGAGUAAGUUUUAAGUCUUAACAGUUUACUCUAACCAGAGAUGAGAUCUUGUUUAUGUAUCUUUAAGUUAUGAAACCACUGUAGAAACUCUUGAGUUCAUCUUUGCUCAGGGACGAGCAAAGGUUAAGCUUGGGGGAGCUUGUUGACGGUCCUUAAUGCUCACAUUUCACCAUCAACUAAUCAUGGAAAAGGAUCUAAAUGCAACCAACACCUAGACUUAGGGUUUUAUCUAACAGAAUUCCACAAGUUUUGGUGUUUGUCUAUUUCUGCAGGGGGUUAUCAGGAAAUACGGAAGAAAGGCCCACACGUCGGGUUUACAUAGAGAUAUUAACGUGCCGCACAAUUAUCUACCAUCUAGAAGACUCCAGAAGCCACGGGACCGAAGCGGAGGCCGAGAGGGCUCAGGCACUGGGCGCCCGCCCUAGUCCUGAGGGCGCCCGCCCACCUCUUUCCACCAAUCAGGGUGAAGUUCGAGGAUCGUGCUCCACCGACCUAAUACUUCAAGGAAAACCACACGAUCAAUGUCGGUUUGAUCCGACGGCCCAGAUUCACUUGAAGGGACUAUAAAACCAGACCCCCUGGCCCCUGGAGAUCAUACCUCUUCUACAGAAUCAAAGUUAGGGUUUCAAUUCUUCAUCCAAGUAGAGAGGAUCCCUCUAGUUCUUCUAGUUCUACCUCUAGUUCAUCUAGAUCUAGUUCUAGUUCAUCUAGUUCUAGUUCUAGUUCCUCUAGUUCUAGUUCUAGUUAGUUCUAGUUGUAAUCUAGAAAAUAGGGAGAGAGAAGAGGAGAGCGGAGGAGGAGCCGGAUCUGUCGGAUCUUCCUCAACAUUAUACUUUUGCAGCAUCUGGUUCGUUCUUCAUCAUUCUCCAGGUUCUUCAACUCAUAACUCCUGAGUUCUCUAAUUACUUUUAUUUACAUUCAAGUUAUUUAUUGGAUUCCCGCUUGCAUCAAGUGCUCUAGUCUUUGAAACAUUAGAGUAGUAAUUAAUAGAUUAGACGUGGUGUUUAGUCUUGCGAUUACCUGGAAUUGCACCCAAUCCUACGGAUUGUUGUGGUAGCCCUAGGGUAGUGACAGCCCUAACGGUCGACGUAUUCCACCACGUUCGGAUCGGUGUUUGUAGGACCGUAGUCAGACCUUCCUAGUCCCCUUCUCAUCUCUUUCUGUGGUUAGUGCUCUCAUGUCCCGAUAUAAAUAAUCUUUAAGUAAUUCAUGAUUCUUAGAUCAACUAGAGAACUCUCUGGAAACUUCCUCUCUUCCCACCAAAAAUAAUUAUAUAGCUAUCCUUGGGCGAUCUUGGAUCUUAAUUAGUACACUCACGUUCCCUGUGGAAAAUCGAUACUCUAGAAUACUCCCGGGUGAAGGCUACAUCGGUAUCCGUGCGCUUGCGGAUUUUUCUGUUUGCGUUUAAAAUACCCAACAAAGUCGUGCACGUCGCGACUGCCUUUUGCGUCACGGACGACGGAUCAGUAUGGGUAUAGGGCCCAUGAAGGCGGAUGGAGAAAUAUUAAACAAUUACGGUUCAAAUAGAAAAUACAUGUGUCAUAUGAACACAAAAGCUUGAAUACUCUGAUGGUUAGAUGCGGGCGUGUCUACCGGCUGGUCGUGAGUUCGAAGCUCCUCGGGAGCAACAUUUUGAAGUUUUGUCACAUAUUUUAACUAAACAAAUAAAAAAAUAUACAAGGACAGACCAUGAACCAGCUCUUGGUCUAGUGGUAACGCGCUUGUGUCUCCUGGUAGUGAGUUCGAAGCUCCUCGGGAGCAACAUUUUGAAGUUUUGUCACAUAUUUUAACUAAACAAAUAAAAAAAUAUACAAGGACAGACCACGAACCAGCUCUUGGUCUAGUGGUAACGCGCCUGUGUCUCCAGCAGGAGGUCGCGGGUUCGAAGCUUCGUAGGAGCAACUUUUUUGCCAAAUAAAAGAUGGAAGGCGAAUUGCAAUGCCUGGCCACGUCAGCGACGCCGAUCCCGCUGGUGGGACCAUGCCGCCACGUCAGCGAGGCAGGGACUAGUGGUGGGACCCAGUCGCCACGUCAACAGGGUUGGGACCCGGACGUUGGGACCCAUUGGUGGGACAAUGGCGCCAAGUCGACAACACGGGACCCACUGGUGGGACCAUAGCGCCAAGUCAUGCCAAUGGGACCAUGUCGCCACGUCAUGACGGUGGGACCUACCUGUGUGGGACCAUGGCCCACCUCAUGAUUGUGGGACCCACCUGUGGGACCUGAACGCCACGUCAACUGGGUGGGACCCACCAGUCGGACCAUAGCGCCACGACAAAAAAGUGGGACCCACAGAUGCCACCAAGGUGUCAUGUCAGGACUGUGGGACCUACUAGUGGGACCCACUGGUAUGUCUAGUGCCCUAGAAAGAAAAAAUGGCGCCAUGUUUUCGAUAGGGUACGUCCAAACAAUCAAUGAAGAUUCUGUUUUCCCUUUCUACGACAAUUAUUUCGCUUUCGUCAUAAUUCUUUGGGUCAAAGCACCGUCACUUAUAACUAAUGACGAAACUGUACCAAUUUGUCAUGGAAUGCUCACUUCCUAUGACGAAAAUAGAAUCAUCACUAGAUAAUCGUCAUUGAUGAACACAUUUCUAGUAGUGACACUUUGCGACACCGGAUCGGGCGUCAACAUAAUGGCCGCAGUCACCUAUCGGCUCUUGUUCGGAACCAUGCCCCUAAAACCAACAUACAUUCAGCUCAAGAUGGCAGAUCAGACAUUCCGAAAGGUUGAAGGUAUAUAGUAACUGAUGUCCCUGUCAAAAUAUACGAUCAUUUUGUCCAUACAGACUUUUAGGUUAUUGACAUGGGAGAAGAUGAGUACGAUCCACCCAUCAUCCUUGGGAGACCGUUCCUCAGCACUGUUAAAGCAAUCAUCUACAUUGGAACUAGAGAAGUCCACAUGCACUUCCCCUCAGAGAAGGUACGCCGCUAUUUUACUGACCCUGAUUAUAUAGUUGAAGACUCUAAGCAGGACAAGAAGAAGACGACGCAACCGCAACCAAAAGAGGCAAAUCAUCAAGGACGGAUAGGCAGACUACAAAGAAGAAGUGGUAAGGUCUGAAGACAUACAGCUUGAACAGAAUUAUCCUGAGGAGACCGUAGCACCAAGUCAGGUGUGGAGAGAGAAGAUAACUAUACAGAAGAAGAGGCGCUGCAGGAAGCACCGACUACGCCACUCAACAAAUCCCAGGACUACUGAGAAAACGGAGAGUCCCGUUCGGAGGACUUAAAAACACCGAACACCUUGCCAAGAGGUAAACUUGGUAGUUAUCUUUUUCCUUUCAAUUAUUUAAAAUAGUUUACUUAGUUAAUCAUGUUCAUCUAUCCUAAAAAGAAAAUAAAAAUGUUAAAAAAUAGUAAGCCCAUGUGAGUAUACAAGUGAUAUAAAACCCAUAAGUACAUUCACUGUGGUGGCAUAAAAAUAAAAUAAAUAUUUUAUCUGCUCUAUAAAACGAAAAUAUAAAUAUAGAGUAAUAUUUAUUGAGGAGGCUCAACAUGAUAAAGGCUAGAUAUUUAUGCUAACACCUAAUCAGUUCCACAAAGCUUUGUUAUCUAUUUGAGCUCCACAGAAUUCAAGGAUCAAGAAGACUAGCAGACGGAGGAUAUUCUAAUCGCUGUCACGGUGCUGCCGACUUUCAAAUACACCUCUGCCACGUGCUAGCUACAUCAGGAGAAAUUACAUCAAAAUUUAACUUGGAGGAGAGCACCCCCAUUUAUCCUGCUAAGUAUUUCUAUCUAUCUUUAUACUAUAUAUAAAUAUACAUAACUAUGAAAAAACCAAAUAAAGAUUUUGUGCUUAUAUAUAUAUCUUUUGCUUAGUUUGUUUAAUAAAUAAAUAAAGUGGCUAUGCUAAACUGAAUCUUAAUAAUAAAACUCUAGCAUGGAUAUGAUGAAUAGUUGCUCUACCUAAUUUUCAAAUUUGAGUUCUCUCUCAAGUUUAGACAUAACUGUUAUAAUUUAAAGCUUGCUCUAAAUCUGAACUUGUGGGAAGAAAACUUGAUCUAAAGUCUAUGUUGUUAACCGAUAUGAUAUGGGAACGUUGAGCUGCUGUUUAUCUAUUCCUAGAGAUGCUAGAAUUCUAGGGAAUUUUAUCUUUGAAAAUCUUUAGAAAUAUCACAUGAUGAGUUCCUAUAUGAUAAGAGUUUAAAUUCCUACCAAAGCCAUAUAUACAUGCUUGCUAGACUUUGAGCCACACAUUUACUUUUUACUGCUUAUGAGCAUUGAGAAUGGUCAAGCUGUGUAGACCCUUAGGAGCUUAUCAUGUGGUUUAAAUCAAGAUUCACUUGCACGUUCACUCAUAAAUGUUGCUUCUACUCCGGAAGUAUGCAUCCACAUAUAUCCACUCAUUUCAAUCUCCAGAACCACCUAAAAAUAUUCUACUCCUAAUCCGGGAGAGAAUAGCCAAAAACAUUUCUGUUUUUCCCGUAUGAAAUAAAUGCUCAAAUUAUCUUGGUUACUGCCACUUGCUAUAUUAUUUCAGGAGAUGAGUGUUCUAAAAAAGGAGAAGAAAAGAGAUACGAGGAAAUAAAAAGGGCAAGUGCCCGGAACCUUGAAAGAAAGAAAAAGUGAGACGAGAGGUAAAAAUGGUCAAGUGUCCGACAGUAGAAUUAGGGGUACAAGAUACCCAUCUGAGAGGAGAGAAAAAGAAAAUAUAGAGCAUCUCAUUCUGCUCAAAAAGUUUCAAAAGAGCACGAAAGGUAUGUAUCCCCUCAAAAGAGCAAAAGUAGAAUUAGACUUUCACCAUUGUUUUCACCAUUAUCACCAUCAUCACCAUACACCAUUCAUUCACCACACAUGCACAUCUUGAUUUGACCUAUUGACUUGUUUCUUUGGAUCCAUGGUUUGACUAUACAAUAAAUGUCUUGUGAGUAUGUAUACUUUAUCUCCCACCUAUGAGCUCUAGAUAUCAAAAGCCUUAUUAGAGUAGGAUGAGAGAGAAGGCAAUGUCACUUUGCCUUAUAUCACAAAUACUAUAUAUUUUGAGAGAAGGCAUGUACCAUCACUACCUUGGUAAGGAUCAAGAAAUACCACAAAAGAGAGUUAUGAGAGAGUCAUACAAGGAAUCUCUGAGUUUUAUUUGAAAAACUGCAAAAAACUCCAGAGCUAUAGCUGAUCAAGAAUAAGAGACAUGGCACUUGAUUAGACUGUUCUAUCUUUUAACUACUCAAGACAGAAGUGACGGUUACAAGUCCCAUGGUGAAAGGUAAAAUAAGUAAGUUUUAAGUCUUGAUAGAUUACUCUAACUCAGAGAUGAGACCUCAUUUGAAAGCAUGUGUAUCGUAAAAUUUUUAAAGGUAUUACAGCAACUUCUGAUCCAUCACUAAGAUUAUCCUUGCUCAGGGACGAGCAAGAGGUAAGCUUGGGGGAGUUUGUUGACGGUCCUUAAGUAUCAAAUAUAAUCAGCAAAUAAACAAAGAAAAGGAUCCAAAUGCAACUGAUAUCCAGACUUAGGGUUUUAUCUGAUUGAAUUCCAUGAGUUUUGGUGUUUGUCUAUUUCUGCAGGGGGUUAUCAGGAAUUAUGGAAGAAAGGCCCACACGUCAGUUUACAUAGAGAUAUUAACGUGUCGCGCAAUUAUCUUACAUCUAGAAGAGUCCAGAAGCCACGGGAACGAACGGGAGACCGGACCGGCUCGGGGGCAGGGCGCCCGCCCUCCCCCCUUGGGCGCCCGCCCUGGCCUCGGGGCAAAUCAGAGCCAACUUCGUGGAUCAUGCUCCACCAACCUAAAUGAUCAAGGAAAACCAUGCGAUUAAUGUUGGUUUGAUCCAACGGCCCAUAUUCACUUGGAAUGACUAUAUAACCAGACCCCCUGGCCCCUGGAGGAGAGGACCUCAGACCCCUAAUUCAUUAUUCAUCUUGGGAGAAGAAGCCUCUGAUCAAGCCCUAGAGCCACCACAACAAUUAGAUCUCUAGUUUAGCAUAGCUACAUAGGAUUAGAACUAGAAGGAAUCAAUCUUCGAUUGGUUUCCGGAUCUGUCAAGAGGAUUCUUGGUAAUUCCUCUCUUGUUCUUCAAUUGUUCAUCUUUGUUCUUCAAUAUUAUGAAUAUGACUUUGUUCUACUUCAAUAUGUUGAUUAUGACUUUGCUCUACUUGUUUAUAUUCGCAGUUAUAUUGUUCUUAGUUUAUCACAGUUAUAUGCUUGGCUUAGUUAGAUUGGAAUUAUAUACAUGUUUAGGAUCGUAUAGCAUUUAUCCAUGUGUAGAGUGGGUAAAUGAUAAGUAUAGUGUAGGCGUGGAGCCUAUACCGUAUUUAUGUGCGAUUGUACCCUAUAUGCCAGAUCGCGGGGUAGUUCGUGGUAGUGACAGCUCCAUUGAUUCUUAUAUAGUCCCCCUCUCGUGUAUAGGGCUGACAGAGCAACAUUAUUACAGGAGAGUGAUUGCGAUGUUUCUCAUAUUCCUUGAUAAUAUCACUAUGCAUGGGUGUAGACCUGUCUCGCAAUGAUUGCCAAGUAUAAUUGCACUAACUAUGAUAUGCUAGACUGCAUAGUUAAGAAUAACUUAGGAAAUAUUCUUGUAGUUCAUCCUAAUUUCAUGCUAAUGACUUGCUAGAAUAUCUAAUUGAGGUGCUUAUCAUAUUUAUAUGUGGCUAAGUUAUGCUGAUCAGAUUAAUUAUCUUUGUCACCAUUUAUACUUUAUCUAUCUUUUAUGUGACACUUACCCCUGUAUGAAAGAGAUAGAUAAAUACUCUCAAUUAUACAUGCAAUGAUAGAUACUCAAUCUUAUAUUCCAUUCCAUAUUCAACAUUAAUGUUUAGCAAUCCCUUCCCAGUGGUAAAAAUAUAAAUAACGAUAUAUGGAAUACUUCCCGGUUAAAAUGCUACAUCGGUAUUAAUUUGUGCGCUUGCAGAUCUCAUUUAUUAAUUAUACAGAAGAGCAAUUGCAUAUUUCAAUACCGCGUCUCUCAUGUCAUGUUGGGGAUGACAACUUGGCUUAAGUGGCAUGAGGGAUAGGUUUGGCAUUUUUGGCGCCGUUAUCAGAAUUAGAGAACUAAGUCUAUUUUUGGUAAUGACGUUAAGAAUGCCCAACACCUCGCAUGGCAUGGAUAGCUUAUGCAUUCCUUCCUGGUUUGUCUUCCACUUGAGUACCAGAUCACCGACUACGAAGGAACGAUCCUUGACGUUCUUGUUGUAGUAUCGUCUCAUAGCCUCUAGGUACUUUGUUGUUCGAAGGCAGGAAACCAACCUUUUCUCUUCUGUGCAAUUGAUUUCAAGUUCUCUAGAUUAGUAUGCUAAAGACUGGUCGAAAUGCUCGACUCUUGGGGAUCCGAAGGCUACAUCCGACGGGAGCACCGCCUUAGCCGCAUAAAUCAUGAAAUAGGGAGAUACACCCGUGUUCCGACUAGGCUGUGUUCGGAGACCCCAGAACACUUCUAGUAAUUCUUUCAUCCACCGCCCCGGUGUCUUGUCAUUUGCCAUGUACAUCCUCUUCUUCAAUACGUCGAUAAUCAUUCCAUUGGCUCGCUCGACAUGACCGUUGGCUCGAGGAUGGGCUACCGACACGUAUUUUACGACUAUGCCUCUGUCAUCACAGAAAUCCCAGAAUGUAGUGCCGGUGAUAUGGGUGCCCAGGUCGGUGAUUAUACUGUUGGGAACCCCAAAUUUGUGUAUGAUUUGGUUAAGGAAUUCUACAGCCUUCUCUGAAGUUGCUUUGACCAGUGGCAUAUACUCGAUCCAUUUGGAGAACUUGUCAAUCAGCACGAACACGAACUUGAAAUUGCCGGGGGCUGGUUUGAAUGGCCUGAUCAUGUCAAGACCCCUGCACGCGAAAGGCCAGGAUGACGAAAUUGUCUGAAUCUCAUGAGCAGGUACGUGAGUCCUUUUGGCAAAGAACUGGCAUCCUUCACAAUGCCGGAGCAGCUUCUCAGCGUCAGCCACUGCAGUUGGCUAGUAAAAACUGCUCGGAAAGCAUUUCCGACUAGUGUUCUAGAGGCGGCGUGAUUGCCACAGGAUCCAACGUGUAUGUCAUCUAGCAGCUUGAUGCCAUCAUCUUGAGUUAUGCAUUUCAACAAGACUUCUGAGUUUGCGUUCUUGCGCAUAAGUCUACCGUCUACAGAUAUAUAGUUUUUGGAUCAUCGGAUAAGACGUUCGUUUUCUGUUUUGUCUUGAAAUCCUGAACCAUCUGAGAGGUACUUAACGAAAGGUGUUCGCCAGUCAUUGCUGUUGGUUGUUGGAGUUGCAUCUUGGACAAGCAGUGUCUCGUCGAGUGGCUUGCCGACCAGGUCCAUUCCGACGCUUGGUGUGUCGAUGUUUUGGACAAGAACGCCUUGUGGAAUCUGGGCCCAGAUGAUCCUAUCUUUGACAGCCCAUCUGCUGUGUGAUUCUUGUCCCGGACCACGUGUAUGUAUUCUAUGCCAUAGAAAUUUGAUUCCCACCUCUGUAUUUCUUUGCAGUACAGAUCCAUUUUCUCAUGAGUCGUGUCCCACUCCUUAUUUAACUAGUUAAUGACCAGUGCAGAAUCGCCGUAGACGUAAAGGCGCUUGACUCCUAGUUCAACUGUCAUGGAACCGUUCAAAUUAUAAGAGCACAAGUACAAAAGCAAUCACCGAAGCGAUCAAUUUAUUAUACUUGAGCCCAUAUAACUCCGUAGUCCAACAAAAUCAUGAGGGAUUUCGAACCAACCAACAUACAAGCCAAGAUCAUAGUGAUUCAACAUAACAAGUCACACGUUACAUAUAUUUCACAAUUAGUUCAAAUACAUCGGAGUUCGAUAAGGUUAUUACAACUCAAGUUUACAAAUAGCGGAAGCAAAGUAAUUUGAAACCAAUAUCACUUUUAUUUCAAAUACAUGCCAGUACCAUGGUCUAUUCCAACAAAAGCAUCAUAGAUGAGGUAAGUAGGAACGAUCAUGCCCAUGAUCUUACUCCUUCCCUAGAGCAGGAGUCAUCCAAAUCUUGUAGUAUCUAUGAUACAUCACAACCUGCAACAAGUGGGAAUAAACCCUGAGUACGAGAAUGUACUCAGCUAGACUUACCCGUCAUAAACCAGAAAUAAAUGACACCAAAGAGUAUGCAAGGCUGAUAUAUAAGUGGAGCUUGUUGGACAACAUUUUGCAUAAAAAGCAUAAGUAUAAAUAGUUAAACCUUUCUUAUUUAGCAUCCAUUUAAUUCUCAUUAACCUAUCAACUAGAUUAGCACCUAUACUAUAGCAAUCACUUGAUUAAUAUCAAUCAAUAAUAACCAUAUCCGAUUUAUCAAGGCCGUGAUCAUCAUCAUCAUCAUAGAACCAUUAAGUUAUUUAGUGAAUACUACGUUUGCCGCUGCUCUGUCAAGUUCUCACUAUCCGGGAGAGACGUCAUCGGUGUUUUCACCCUAGGGGUCACACCAACGAGUAAAACUAGUGCGUGUCCCCCUUUCCAGAUGGUGAUGCAAGAAAAGAUACAAAGAUUUAUCCUAGUUCGGGCAAGAGAAGGCCCUAUGUCUAGCGGGGGGAGAGUGUUUGUAUUAUCUUGCACCUAAGUGCUUGUACAGGGCUGAAUACAGGCGUGGAUGGAUGGAGAUGGAGUAUGGGUGCUCUACUAUGUAUGUCUUGUGUCCCCUGUAUCUGCUCCUGCGCCUCCCCUUUUAUAGUUCAAAGGAGAGGCCUAGGUUACAUGUAUAGGCGACAGAGUAGGGGUCGAUAGGGGUAUGGCGCGCUGACCUACUCGAGGCCACCGUACCGGCGUGACCUCGAACCGUCUUGUCUCAGUACCUUGAUGAUGAUUACGCGUGCCCCUGAAUCCUACUCCUGUGCGCCGUCCUAGACCAGCUUAUUCGUCGCACGCUUGUACGUCGUGACUGCAGCCACGUCUGAGUGGUUGAGGUGCUGUCCAUCGAUGCCCGACCCUUUCCUGGGAAGGAACAUGCCUGCUCGAGGGUCCGGUACCGCACAAAGCCUCACUUAGCAGAACUAUGACUUCGGGCGUCUCGAGGGGGUCUUGACGGAAAAUUCCGACUGUCUUCCUGCGCCCUACUACGCUCUGGCUCGUUUGGUGGGUAAGGCUGCAAAAAGAAUGAUUGGACGAGUGCUGGUUUCCUAUCACGCUUCCCGUGACUGACGGGUUAGGUAAGAACGUGGCAGGCGCAUUAAAUGCCCUGGUUCCCCGUGCCCGCGUUAGGCGGCGGGCGGCGUCCUUGCGCUCGAGGCCUUUCGAUUCGUACGAGCCUGUUUUCGUAUUCGACAGUAGCCGGUGCUCGAGCCCCAGUCGAUUCGCACGAUGCUCUUUCUGUGUUCGAGGCUACGUACGUCGAUAACCGUGAGUGCGGCCAGGGGGCGUCGAGUCAGGAGCCCUCAAUUUGUGUACGGGAGCUCUCGUCAUGUGCGUCAGUUAGGGUAUCCCUUACCGAUACCCUCGACAGUAGCCCCCGAGUCUCUAUUCGAGCGCUUGCACUCGAGUAGAGGCUCUGCUCAUUGGUCGAGAUUUCGUGGGGGCGCGCGAGUGACCCCGUGGGGGUAGCCCCCGAGCCCUUGGAGGAGUUUUGACUCCUUCGAGGGUUAUGUUGCCCAAUCUACAGAAGCGCUCUUGACGUUCGUUGCGGAAGGUGGGCUAGAGGCUUUGACUAGUUGAUUUCGCGUUGGGGUUGCGACGUACUCCCGGUGGAGCGAACGCCAUCUUCCCUAGAUUGAGCUCCUAGCGGGUAAUCCAAGUGAGAACCUGUGCCCCGUUCGAGGGGGUCAGCUGUAGCCCGGAGGCAUUCUCAUAAAGCGGGGUUGACGUGGUCGGGGUUACUGGUCUCGUUCGAUAGAGCCCGGCGGCUCGAUGCCUCCCCUCAGGGGGAUUCCUCUCGACCGUCUAGUCCUCGCCUUGGACAUCCCCAGCGAGUCCUCGAGGCUAGCCUCGUUUUUCGACCGCUCGUUGGGCAUCCCUGACUCGGGUACUCGAGAUCGGCUGUUGAACCCGUUCGGAGGGCCAGCCUGCGACCUCUCGAGAUUCUCAACGUCAUGAUUACGUACCUUGACUUACAGAGGAAGGAAAAGGAUCGCGACAGUUCACCUUUUUGCCUGUUGGGCGCGCCAUUUUAGGCGGGAGCCGUUGCGGCACUGUACCGGCGCAGGAUUCAUAGCGUCUCGUCUGUGAGAGAUAUGGACCGUAAGGCGGCGCAUUUAUUAGAUGAGUUACCGUAUCCAUCGGAUCUGUCCGUUGGUGGGUUGCCGUCUAUAAAUAUCCCGUGGUCUCCCUGCCAUCGCUCCUUCCGCCUUUCGUCCUUGCUCUUGCCUCUGCCUCCCUGCCAUCUUACGUGCGCGCGCGCUCGAGCAGUAGCAAAGCCGCUCUUCUUCCUCCCAAAGAUGCCGGUGAGACUCAUCGCCACCGAUGACUGGCGCCCGUCAUCGAUGACGGAGCGCCGGUUGUUGGAGCUCGAGAAGGAAGGGCUUCUGCGUCCCUGCACUUCGUCGUCGCGGCCAGAGUGGAUCGCGCCGGCGGCGGACCACCAGGAACAAAGGCCCCCCAAGGGCUAUGUGGUUUCCUUCGCCAAGUUUCACCGCCACGGCUUGGGCUCCCCUCCGAGCCGCUUCAUGUGGGCGCUCUGCCACCACUACGGCGUAGAGCUUCAACACUUUUCGCCAAACGCCAUCACUGUCGCGGUGAUUUUUGCUGCGGUGUGUGAGGGCUACCUCGGGAUGAUGCCACACUAGGAGUUGUGGCUUCAUCUGUAUCGAGGUGAGCUCUUCCAUGCCCCCAGCGGGACCACAGGGGUGAGGAAGCCGGUCUGGGCCGGGUGCCUCAACCUGGUGUUGAAGACCGGUAAGGCGGAGAAGCCGCGUGAGUACGUCCCAGUGGGAUUGACGUCAAACCACACCGGGUGGGACUCCCAAUGGUUCUAUCUGUGGAACGACGACGACCUCCUCCCUGCAUAUACCGGGCGUUUGAUUUCGGAGUGUCCAGAUCACUGAAAGUACGGUGUCGUCCAGGCCCAUCAGUCACGGCUCGACCCCAUCCUCGACGCCCUGAAGAAGCUACGCGAGGAAGGCUUGACAGCUACCCUCGUCCUCUCGGCCGUACAUCAUCGACGAGUGCUCCCGUUGAUGUCUCGGCCAUUGAGGAUGGACAAGAUGGGCCCUGGCGUCUCGUCUCGCGUUCUCGUGGCUUGCUAGAUGUCUAAUGAAGCGCCUGCGGAUGAUGAGGUCGCCGCUAGAGUCAGGGCGGCUAAGCACGUCAACGGCUUCCCUAUGAGGCCCGAUCAGGGGUCGAUUGACUUGGUAAGUCCUUUUCCUAUUUAUGGUCCCGAUUCUAGAUUUUCUUCUACCUUCUUUAAGACUUAUCUUUGCUCAUGCAGGGAUUGAUCGACGCUCGAUCCUCGAAGCCUCCGGUGAAGGAGGAUGACGUGGAUCGCGACAAGAGGCGCGAGUCCGCGGAGAAGCUGAAGUUCGCAAAGGACUUAGAAAAGAAAAAGGAAAAGAUGAAAAAUCUCGCGCGACAAGCGUUGGAGACUCGUCGAGCGAAGUCUAGGCAGAGGGGGAGCCUGAGGAAGAAUCCCCUGAUGAAGACGAUGGCGGCGAUGGUGACGACGACGGCGACGAUUCCGAGGGGAUGGCGUCCCGUCUCGACAGGAUCCUCGAGGGCCCGCCUCAAACCGGCGUCGACGUCCCGCGGACGGGAGUCCCCAAGGGUGCGCCAAGCGGGCCUCGUGAGAGUCAACAAAGGGAGUCAUCUCUACGCCGCUCUCGCACCAACACCCCCCAGCACCUGCGCAAGGUCAGACCGUCUCCCGCCCCAAACCUCCUCCCGCAUCUAAGGCGGGCCACCGGGUUAAGUCACUGGCGACGGGGCCACUGACCCAUGGCCACGCCGUGGCCUCAAGUAAGGGGGAAACGGGUCGUAGGAGUACCGGUCCAGGCGCUGGCCAGGCGGGAGACAUCGAGUCGAGACUUGCGCCCGUUCGUGAAGGGCCCGGGGUCUCGACGCGCGGUGGCUCGAGCCCGGCUCGUCGAGGCGCUGGUAGGCGGGUCGCUCUUUCUGUGGGGUAAGAUCUUUGACAUCGCGAUUCUUACCUUCUGAUGUCUUUGCAUUUUCUCGGGUAACAGCUUCUCUUACUUUUAUUACUCUUUCGUCAGGUUGAAGCGGCCGCUCGAACAGGCCCAGCCCUCAAUGGCCAAGAAGCUUAAGGUGGGAGGGGCCUCCAAAGACUCAGGUUAGCGGUUCAUUUCUGAUACUAUGGGAGUCGAGUUAUCCCUGUGUCGAUCAUCAUGGUGACUGACUUUUUGCUUUCGAGCGCUUACAGGCUCCUCCGAUCCUCGGCCGUCGAUGGGUGUCGAGAGCGCCCCGCCUCGUCCAUUGGUGGGGGAGUCCACCCCACCGAUGUCGAAGCGGGUCGAGGCGCCUCGCCCCCAAGAGCAGGAGGAAGCCCCCGAGCCUCCCCGAUCUUGGGUCGAGGGGGAUCCUAUCACUAUAAGUGACGGGUCCGACGGUGACAGGCUUCUGAAGGAUGCCCACUCCAUGGACGAGGAGGUCGAGGCUUCCCCUGUCGCGAAGCGGACGCCUUGGCCCAUCGAGCUCCACUCCGUCGAGGAGAAGAGGAAGAAGAAAGAGAAAGAGUGCGAGCGGGAGACGCAGCAACAGCUGCAGGAGGGGCAGCAACAGCCGUGCAACAGCCGUAGCAGGAAGGUGAAGAAGAAGAAGAAGGGCGGCGGCAACAAGGGGACCAGUUUGAGGAGCUGCUGGAGCAGGAUCGGCAGUAGGAGCUACGGGAGCUCCAGAGGCAGCAGCGGCAGAAGAGUCAGCAGUUAGAUGAACUGCUCGAGCAACCGUCACGCAGCCCGUCGCAGCCAGUGCCGCCGUCGCCACAGGGGCCUGAGACCGGGGAGGAAGGGCUACCGGUCUAUGGUCCGCCAACCCCUGCGUGGCUCUGUCUGGGAGCGCCCGCUUCUAUCCCGGCUGAGCCAGGGCGGGCGGAUGGCGUGGUGGCGCUCGCUUGCAUGAUGCGCACCCCGGUGGACCCUCAGUCCGAGAUCAAGGGCACGAUCUACGGCAUUGAGGGAAUCGCUCCUGGAUUUCUCCGAGAACGACGGCCGUGGUUAGAUCACAAACCCACCGAGGAGGAUGAAGCCGGGACGUCGGUUGGUGGCGCUACCGACGAGACCGGGACCUGGAAGAUAGUGGAUGAUGACGGGUGAUUCCCCUCCCUUAUCGACCUAUUUUUACGUCACGGGGGGUCGCUCGAGACUGUCCAAGAGCUCAUCCGGGGUGUCAAGGCGCGCACGGAGGAGGAGAUGGAAAACUGGUGCCCGAUCAGAUCCGCAUUCGGGCCUCCACCGACCCAUCCGAGCCUAACAUCUUUAUGGAUGAUCAGAAGGAGGCCGAAAAGUGGGAACAUCUCGAGGAGCUUCGCCUCUAGAUGAAGCAUGUGGUGGGGCUCUUGUCUGACAUUGUCAACAGCAGGUUCCGUCCAGCUUACUUUGUAAGUGUCUUUGGGCAUUAGUUAUCAUAGGACGUUUGGUUUUGUGUUCUUACUGUUCCACGGCUGGCUCGCAGGAUCUGAAAGAGACCUCCCGCAUAAAGUCGAGUUUUAUCCAUGCGACGAGGGGUGGCUAGGAGCAACUCCCUCUUCUCAAGGACCAACUCCUGGAGUUGCAGGAGAAGCUCCUCAAGGCCUACAAAGAGCUUUUGGCGCUCGAGGAGGAGAAAAAGGAGAGGGAGGCCGCUCUGGCUGAGGCUCGGGAGACCUUGAGGAAGGAGGUGGAAGAGGCUACGCGGCUGAGGGAGCGGAUCAUGACGGUCGAGGAGGCUGCAUCCAAGGCCCGAGAAGAGGCCGCAUUCUAUGAGGAAGUCGCCGCCGAUCAUGACAAGGAAAAGGUCCUUAUCAAGGCUGACCACGCCUCUGCCCGAGAAGCCUUCCAAGAGAUGAAGGUGGAGUGCGUGAAGGGCGAGAUUGCUCGGACGCCGCAGAGGAGGCCAAGAAGAAGGCCCUCGAGGAUGUCGAGGCGGAGUGGGCUCGAUCUCGCAGCCUUUCUGAUGACGUCGAUCAUCUGAAGAGGGCGUUACUGGAAAAAGAUGGAGCUAUCGCGCAGGCGGGCAAGGCGAACGAGGACUUGCGGGUCGCCAACACCGACCUGGCCCGCUCUCACAGGGAAAUCGAGAGGGCCAAUACUGAUUUUGUUGGUCAAAACACUGCUCUGGAGGAGAAGAUUCGUGGUAGGCUUCUUUAUAACUCUUUUUUGCAAGGUAUUUUUUGGUGUCGUCUAAUUUCCAUGCAUCGGUCUCCGUAGGGCUUAAGGACGAGAUUUUGGCUGCUAUGGUCGAGGCCCACUCUGCCAAGGAUCGGCUCAAGGGGUGAAAGUGCAUCUAGGCCCCUAAGUGAUUUCGGUGAUUAAUGACAUUGUUGAUUAUUAUGACUAACGUGAGUUUUGCAGAGGCAAAGUCAUAGGUAAGGUCAUGGUAAACAGGGACUCGAUGAACAGGGACGUACAUGCCUACUUAAUAGUGGAAAUCGUUUCGGUUUUUAAAGGAUGGAUGGACAUCGUCGAAACUAGACUAGGUCUAAGUGCCAUAUGGUGAAGAAGGGCACUUAGAGUAGUUUAGGACUUUGUUUUCCUUUGACCGUACUAUUAAGAGGGGCUUUGAUCUAGUAGCUUGACUUAGGCAAGGCUUUAGGUUUAGGUGUGGUGCACACUUGGUAAACCUAGCACUAGGCAGCUCAGAUAUAGUCCUUAGAUCGAGAGGAACAAACUUCGUGUUGAAGCGAUCACGUUUCGACGAAGUUUGGGUGCCCAAAGGGGCACAGGACGCUGCACCGGACGCUCUGUGAGUGCGUCCGGUGAGGUCCUUAGCCGUUAGAACAGUGCCGUGCUUAGGGUUAGGCACCGGACGCUAGCACCGGACGCACCGGGUAGCGUCCGGUCCCUUACCCAGGGAGCUUGCAAAGUUCCCCUGAGCACCGGACGCUAGCACCGGACGCACCGGGUAGCGUCCGGUCCCAUGCGCAGGGAGCAUGUAAAGUUUCCCCGAGCACCGGACGGUGCACCGGACGCUGCUAGUUAGCGUCCGGUGACCUGUCAGAGUAAAACGCAGGUAGCCAUUAUGUCACACCGGACACUCGGUGCAGUGCCUCCGGUGCAACAUAAUGUGCGUCCGGUGACCCCGUUUUCAGUGGAAAAUGGUUGGCCGACCCUUGGACUUGGUGGAUAGUAUUUAUACUCCUCCACCUCGUCCAUGAGAUCUCUCUUGCCCAUUUGAACAUCAGAGAACCUUGUAGUGGAGCAAGAGAGUUGCAAGAGCUUAGAGAGGAUUGAGAUUUGAGUGAUUUCUUGAGAGAAUCCUGUUCUAGUGAGUUCCAAGAGUCAAGUGUGCAUCCACCACUCUCUAGUGCCUUGUUUGGGUCAAGUGAGAGUUCGUUGCUUGUUACUCUUGGUGAUCGCCAUCACCUAGACGGUUCGGUGGUGAUUGGAGGCACGAAGAUCACCCGGAGUUCUUGUGGGUGGCUCGUGUCAAGCUUGUGAGCGGUUUUGGGUGAUUCACCGCGACGGAGUGUCGAAGAAUCAGACCGUAGAGAGCACUUGGUCCUUGCGCGGACCAAGGGGGAGCAAGACCCUUGCGCGGGUGCUCCAACGAGGACUAGUGGAGAGUGGCGACUCUCCGAUACCUCGGCAAAACAUCGCCGAGCACUUUCUUCACUACUCCUUUACUUUCUAGCAUUUACUUUGUGCUUUUACAUUCUUAGAAUUGCCAUGCUAGAAUAGGAUUGGAACUAGGUUGCAAAACUUUUAUCCGGUAGCUCUCUAAGUCACACUAGGCACAAGGGGUUGAAUUGGAGCUUAUAGGUUGGUUAAAUUUUUAGAGAAGCCCAAUUCACCCCCCCUCUUGGGCAUCUUGAUCCUUUCAAUUGGUAUCAGAGCCUAGUGCUCAUUAUUUAUGCUUCACCGCCUAGAGAAAGAUGUCUAACGGGGAUGGACCGCCACCCAUGUUUGAUGGGGAUGACUUCCCGUAUUGGAAAAUACAGAUGGAGUCAUACCUUGAGGCAUGCGAUGUCAAGUGCCUAAAAGCCGCGACCGAAGGGUUUGCCCCUCCCGAAAGAGCCACCGCUCUUACUCCACAAGAGCAAGAGAACGAGAAGUGGAAUGCAAAGGCCAAAAACCACAUCUUUAGAGGUCUUUGCAAAGAGGUGUUCAACCAUGUUCGGAGCCACAAAACCGCCAAUGAACUUUGGAAGGAACUUUGUGCGCUCCAUGAGGGAACUAAGAGUGAACGCGAGGAACGCUAUCACCUAGUGAUGAACAAGCUUAAUACAUUUGAAAUGCUUCCUAAAGAAAAUGCUAAUGAAAUGUACUCUCGCUUGAAUGUCAUUGUAGAGGAGCUAAAUGGACUUGGGCUUACACAAAUGAGUACGGCGGAUGUAGCAAGGAAGAUACUAUGUGUGCUUCCCAUUGAGAAAUAUGGGCACAUAGUAACCAUGCUUCAUCAAGGCGAUCUUUCCACCGCUACACCAACCACCAUAUUGGGGAAGAUCAAUGCUCAUGAGAUGUACAUGCACAUGAACCCUCAAGAUGGCUCCUCGUCGGCCAAGAAAGAAAAGAAGGACUUGGCUCUCAAAGCUUCACAAAAGGGCAAAGCCAAGAAGAUUGAAGUUGAGUCAUCAACUUCAAGUGAUGAUGAUGCAUCUAUUGCCCUCUUGGUGAGAAGAACCACAAAGAUGUUGAAGAAGCUCAACAAAAAUGGAGUCAACUUUGACUCCAAGAAGAAGAAGUUCUUCACAAGUAGCAAGAGGAAGCCCAUCUCCGAGAUGGAUUGCUACAAUUGUGGUGAGCUUGGUCAUCUUGCCCAUCAAUGUCCAAAGCCCAAGAAGGACAAGUACAAGAAGAAGAACAAAGAGCAAGAUGAUUCAAGUGAUGAUGAGAAGAAUGACAAGAAGCAAUACAAGAAGAAAGGUGGUAAGAAGAAGGAGCACUAUAAGAAGAAGAAUGGCAAGGCUUACAUUGUUGGUGAUUGGCUCACCGACAUUGAGAGCUCAAGUGGUGACUCCUCCAGCAAUGAAAGUGAUGAUGAGAAGGUUGCCGCCAUCGCCAUCGACGCUCCAUCACCAUCAUCUUCACCACCAUCUACAUCCUCUACACACCUAUGCCUCAUGGCUAAGGGUGACCGGAAGGUACAAAGUGAGGAUGAGAGUAGUGAGAGUGAUAGUGAAUAUGAAUCACCUUCUUAUGAUGAACUUGUAAAAUUGCUGAACAAGUACACUAAAGUCAUAAGAAAGUCUAGAAGUGAAAAUGAAAAGCUUGAACUUGAAAAUGAAACACUUCUAGCAAAACUUAAGUCUAGUGAUGAGCUUAGAGAUCAAAAUGAAAUUAUGACCACUAAGCUCAAGGAGCUCAAACUCUCUCUAAAAGAGCUCAAAGAAAAACAUGAUAAACUUGAGAGUGUUCAUGAUGAGCUUAUCACUAGAUAUAGAGCAAUGAAAGAAGAGCUAACAACUCUAAAAGCAAACUAUGACAACCUUGAGAUUGCUUAUGAACUUGCAAUUGAUGAAACACAUGUUGCUACUAACAAUGUUGCUAAGCUUGAUGUAGCAACAUCUUGUGAUGACUUACUUGUGGAGAGCACAAGCAAAUGUGUUGAUUGCAAGGGCAAGAAAGUGGUAGUGGCCGAGAGUUAUGAGGACACUAUCAAGCUCAAGGAUGAGAUUGUCAUGCUCAAGAAAUAAUUGCAAGAACAAGCCAAGCACAAGACAAUUGUGAUUGAGUCACUUGAUCAAGACAAGAAACUAGCAUAUGAGAACAAGUUACUCAAAGAAGAAAAUCAAUAUCUCAAGCUUGGUUUGAUGUAUGACAAGCAAGAAGAAGAUGAGACAUUCAUCUUGGAUGAGUUAGCUAGCAACAAUGACCCAAUCAUCAAGAAGCUAACUCAAGAGAACAACAAGCUCAAGAAAGAGAAGGAACACCUAACCAUGGGGUUAGCAAAGUUCACAAAGGGAAAGGACCUUCAAAGUGAGCUUUUUAUGAACAUCGUCAUGAAGAUGGACAAGAGUGGAAUUGGCUACAAGGCUCAUCAAACAAAGCUCAUCAAGUCACUAGCCACUCAUGAUCAACCAAGCAAGACAAAGCCCAAGAGAUGCUUUGAGUGUGGUCAAGAAGGACACUUUGCUCAUGAGUGCAAGGCACCACUACCACCACCCUUGCCCAAGCAUGCAAGACCAUUUGCCUUCAAUGCUCACUACAUUGUAAGGAAAGACAAGAGUGGCAAGGUCAAGGUUAGCUUCAUGGGGCCACCAAACAAGCAAAGGCCAAAGAAAAUUUGGGUGCCAAAGCAACUAGUAGAUAAGGUCAAGGGCCCUAAGCAAAUGUGGGUCCCAAAAUCUCAAGCUUGAUCUCUUGUGUGUAGGUGAACUACAAGACCGGUGGAUCACAUUGGGUAAUUGAUAGUGGUUGCACUCAACAUAUGACCGGAGAUCCCCGGAUGUUCACCUCUCUUGAUGAAGAUGUUGACAACCAAGAGAAGAUCACAUUUGGUGACAAUUCAAAAGGGAAAGUCAAGGGACUAGGAAAGGUUGCUAUAUCAAAUGACAACUCCAUCACCAAUGUGCUCUACGUGCAAUCUUUAAGUUUCAAUUUGCUCUCGGUUGGACAAUUAUGUGACCUUGGAUUUGAAUGCCUAUUCAAGAAGAAGGAAGUAAUUGUGACCAAGGAAAAUGACAAUGAAGUGAUAUUCAAAGGCUUCCGGCACAACAACUUAUAUGUGGUUGACUUCUCAUCCAAUGAAGUUAAUGUCAAGACUUGCUUAUUCACCAUGACCUCUCUUGGGUGGUUGUGGCAUAGAAGGUUAGCACAUGUUGGAAUGGGCACACUCAAGAAGUUAAUGAAGAAAGAAUUGAUUAGAGGCUUGAAGGAUGUAACAUUUGAAAAGGACAAGCUUUGUAGUGCAUGUCAAGCGGGCAAACAAGUUGCAAACACUCAUCCAACCAAAGCCUAUCUCUCUACUUCAAGAGUGCUUGAGCUACUUCACAUGGAUUUGUUUGGACCAACCACAUAUGCUAGUCUUGGAGGCAACAAAUAUUGUUUGGUCAUAGUUGAUGAUUACUCUCGGUACACUUGGACAUUCAUUUUGCAAGACAAAGCCGAAGUUGCAUCAAUAUUCAAGAAGUUUGCAAAGAAUGCCCAAAAUCAAUUUGAUGUGAAGAUCAAGAAAAUUAGAAGUGACAAUGGCAAAGAGUUUGACAACACCAACAUUGAAGAGUAUUGUGAUGAAGUGGGAAUCAAGCAUGUGUUCUCCUCAACAUACACACCACAACAAAAUGGGGUUGUAUAAAGAAAGAACCGGACUUUGAUUACCUUGGCAAGAACAAUGCUAGAUGAGUAUAACACUUCGGAGAAGAUGUGGGCCGAGGCAAUCAACACCGCAUGCUAUGCGUCAAACCGACUCUUUCCUCACAAGUUCCUAGAGAAGACACCAUAUGAGUUGCUCAAUGGGAAGAAGCCCGAUGUCUCAUUCUUUAGAGUGUUUGGGUGCAAGUGCUACAUAUACAAGAAGCGCCAACACUUGGGAAAGUUCCAAAGAAGAUGUGACAUUGGCUACUUCGUUGGCUAUUCAUCAAAGUCCAAAGCAUAUAGGGUCUUUAGCCAUGCCACAAACAUGGUUGAAGAAACAUUUGAUGUUGAAUUUGAUGAAACUAAUGGCUCCCAAGGAGCAAGUGAUAAUCUUGAUGAUGUAGGUGGUGAACCAUUGAGGGAUGCCAUGAAGAACAUGCCGGUGGGAGACAUCAAGCCAAAAGAAGAUGAUGAUGAUGUGCAAGUCAUUGAGCCACCAUCCACCUCACAAGGACCACAAGAUGAAGACAAGCAUGUGAGAGAUGCCCAUGAAGACACUCAAGUCACUCAUGAGCAAGCGGUGGCACAACAACAAGAUGUUGAUGCUCCCCAACCAACCCCUCAAGUGGCACCAAGAAGAACAUCACAUCUCCUCCAAGAUCACUCUUAAGAUCUUAUCAUCGGGAGUCCAUCACGUGGUGUAACUACUCAUUCUAUACAUGCUUUAUUUAUUGAACAUCACGCUUUUGUGUCUCUUGAAGAUGAACCAAAGACUAUAGAGGAAGCUCUUCGUGAUGCGGAUUGGAUCAUGGCCAUGCAAGAGGAGUUGAACAACUUCUCUCGCAACCAUAUGGACACUUGAAGAGCGACCCAAAGAUGCAAGAGGGAUUGGAACAAAGUGGGUCUUCCGGAACAAGAAGGAUGAUCAAGGAAAAGUGGUGCGCAACAAGGCAAGGCUUGUGGCAAAAGGCUUUUCACAAGUGGAAGGUCUUGACUUCGGUGAAACCUUUGCACCCGUGGCAAGACUUGAAGCAAUCCGUAUCCUACUUGCAUAUGCAUCAAGUCAUGAUAUCAAAUUAUUUCAAAUGGAUGUGAAAAGUGCCUUUUUAAAUGGUUUUAUUAAUGAGCUUGUCUAUGUUGAGCAACCACCCGGUUUUGAAGACCCUAGGUACCCCAAGCAUGUCUACCGGUUGUCCAAGGCACUCUAUGGUCUCAAGCAAGCUCCUAGAGCUUGGUAUGAGAGGCUUAGGGACUUCCUCGUUGAGAAGGGCUUCAAGAUUGGGAAAGUUGACACAACACUCUUCACCAAGAAUAUGAAUGGGGAAAUCUUCAUGUGCCAAGUUUAUGUUGAUGAUAUUAUUUUUGGCUCUACUAAUGAAGAUUUUUGCAAGGAAUUUGGUGAUUUGAUGUCCAAGGAGUUUGAGAUGUCCAUGAUUGGCGAGCUAUCCUUCUUCCUAGGAUUUCAAGUCAAACAAAUGAAGGAAGGGGUCUUCAUCUCUCAAGAGAAGUACAUUCAAGAUCUUCUCAAGAGGUUCAAGAUGAUGGAUUGCAAGCCAAUCAACACUCCCAUGGCAUCAAAUGGGCAUCUCGACUUGGAUGAGGGAGGUAACCCCAUUGAUAAGACUCUCUAUCGCUCCAUGAUAGGAAGUCUACUCUACCUCACCGCAUCUAGGCCCGAUAUAAUGUUUAGUGUGUGUAUGUGUGCAAGAUAUCAAGCAAUGCCUAAGGAAUCUCACUUGAUUGCGGUCAAGAGAAUUCUUAGGUAUCUAAAAUACACACCUUGCCUAGGCUUGUGGUAUCCCAAAGGUGCAAGAUUCCAAAUUGUAGGCUAUUCCGAUUCGGAUUAUGCCGGGUGCCGGAUUGAUAGAAAAAGCACAUCCGGAGGAUGCCAUUUCCUAGGUAGAUCACUUGUCUCUUGGAUGUCAAAGAAACAAAAUAGUGUUGCUUUGUCAACGGCCGAGGCGGAAUACAUAGCCGCCGGUGCUUGUUGUGCACAAAUACUCUACAUGAAACAAACUUUGCUAGACUAUGGAGUAGUACUAGACAAAGUACCUUUGUUGUGUGACAAUGAAAGUGCCGUAAAACUUGCAAACAACCUGGUUCAACACACCCGCACAAAACAUAUUGACAUCCGCCACCACUUCCUUAGGGAUCACGUUGCAAAAGGUGACAUAUCCAUAGAGAAUGUGGGAACGGAAAAUCAAUUGGCGGAUAUCUUCACAAAACCCCUAGAUGAAGCUAGGUUUUGUAUGUUGAGAAAUGAACUUAAUGUGCUUGACCUAUCCAACUUCGCUAAAAGAUAAAAGUUGUGUGUUGAAUCUUGUAAAUAACUUUUGCUUUGCCUAUCAUGCAUGCUAAAACUAAAAAUACAACUUGCAUGUAGGGCUUGUCUAACAUGGUUAAGAUAACCCCAUUGAGUGUGUGAAAAAGCUUAACCUUGGAUCAAACUUGACAAGCAUUAGUUUACUUUCAAGUAUUGCAUUACAACUCAUAUCAUAUGCAUUCUUGUUAGUUGAUCUUUUUCUUUUCGGUUAUUCGUUGAGCAUCCGCUGUGUUCGUCCAUAGAAAGGGGGAGCAUUCCAAGCUCAUUAUGAUUUAAACCCCUAACUUUAUGGCCAUACGAUGCUCCUUGGUGAUUUUCUCGAACUAUUUUCAUAAAAAUCUACUAAGCCUAUGGCUAAAUAUUUGUGAAAAUUUGAGGGUUUGAGAGAAGUCACUCAUACCAGUUCCAUUUGGUAUUCAUUUGUGUGCUUUUGAAGAUGGAACUUGGUUGGGUCAAAGUCGGACGUGGUGCUUAGUUGAAAAAGUGCUCAGAGGAGCACCGGACGAUGCACCGGACGCUGCCUCUGAGCGUCCGGUGCGGUGUGUGUGCCAGAUUGCACGCACCGGACGCAGGAACAGUGUUCUUGCAGCGUCCGGUGUGGUGCGUCCGGUGCUCACCUGGCGUGACCUGAAGCACCGGACGCUAAAGCCAGCGUCCGGUGCCCAUCGUCCGGUGCAAAGCCAAAAUGCAAUCCUCUCUGCGCAUGAGUCCGGUGGUCACCGGACGCGUCCGGUGCCACAUAAAGAGCGUCCGGUGACCCGUGGCGGGCGCAUAAAACCCGCGCCCAGGGGUAUCUCGCGGGCGUUUCUAUUUCCUCUCCCGUCAUCUGUCCGAGUCCGCGCCUUGCCCUAGAUCUCCAAGCCGCCGCCGCCAUUGAUCCUUGGUGAAUCCACGGCGCCCUCGGCCUUCCCUCACGCCAGAUCUGCCCCAGAUCUUCUCCUCCCUCUUGUCUUCGCGUGGUUCUCCAAAUCCCGCAGAGAUUCAAGGGUGUGGGUGAGUUCUCUGAACUAUGCCCGCAAGGUGCUCGAGCUUUUGUGUCAAUGACUUUCGAGUUAGGUUUUGAUUCCAAUCUCGAUGGUCUUCUCGUUGCAGCACCUCUAGGAGAAGAUUCGUGGUCUCCGGAGGUUUCCGAUCGCGACUUUUCAAUCCGGAACGCGUCUCGUUAGUCGAUCGUAAGCCGUUCGUGCCCGUAUCUUAUCUUUUCUUGCGAUCCAUAGGUUUAUCUCAUCUCCAGUCGAUGUAUCUUCUUAUAUAGUUCCUAUCUUGUCAAUUCUCUGCAGUACAUUGUUCUCCAUUGCCAGUCAGUUGCUUGUCGGACGCUUGAUUUGCUAUGGCUCGUACCAAGAACGUCAGUGGACCGACAGCCGGCUCAGGAGGUUCCCCAGGAGGCGAUGGUGGAGGUGAUCCUCCUCGUCGUUUCUCAGCGGUAGAGAAAGGCAAGGGAAAGAAGCUGGCUACCAAGAAGCGCAAGGCCAGUGACAGAGAUGCAGAGGUCGCAGAGGCAGUUGCAGCAACAGCUGAGGCAGCCGAGAGGGGUGGUCGUUCUGGUUCUCUGAGGAUUGGGGAUGAUCUUACGCCGCGUCAGAGGCGUGCAGUGCUUGAGGCAGAGGCUUUCCAUGGAUCCCCUCCAGGCACCGUGACGAUUGGAGGACAGAGGGUUAGGCUUGUGGUCAGGGAUCCAGCUCAGGAGGAUCCAGACACUGAGACAGAGACCCAGGCAGAGGGUCCAGCACAGGAGCAGGAGCAGGAGCAGCCACUCAGGAGGUCGACUCGUGCUCGUACCCAGGCCGUUCCUCGGACCGGCACGCCGGGUCAGUCCACUUCCACAGCUCGUGCCACACCAGCGAGAGGUACACCAGCUUCACGCCCGAGGACAGUCAGGAUCCACAGGGAUCUUUCUCUUGUGUCAGCCAGAGAGAUCCAGCAGCUGAGGUUCGUUCCGUUUCCCACCUGGUUUCCAGCUGCCAGGGAUCCUAGAGCCGGUGCCAGGUUCUACACAGUCAUCCAGGAGGACAUCUACGAGGCACUGGUUCGCUCUCAGGCUCAGUUCAGGGAGCACAGAGUGAUCGACCUGGAGAUACUGGGGAACAUGGUUGGAGCUGAUAUUCGCCAGUACUUUACCUACCUCCACGGACUUCUAGAGUUACUAGCACUCCCCGGGACUUACUGUGAGCAGUGGGUCAGAGAGUUCUACGCGUCAGUGUGGAUUUCUCCAGAUCACAGCUAUAUCCACUACGCACUGGCGGGGACAGACUACAGAGUGACAGCUCAGAGGGCCAGAGAGGUGCUUGGACUGCGAGCCUCUUCCACCAAGAUUCACCAGCUGUGCUACGGGAACGUGGAUCCCCCUCGUCGUCCUCACGGUGGUGAUAUACCACCAGUUGACUUCGUGGCUCCCUGUUUCCGUGCACCUUUUGGGGAGGGCUCCAGCAGGACAGUGGCAGACUUGACACGCCCAGCCAGGAUCCUUGACUUUGUGUUGAGGAAGACUCUUCUCCCCAGGACAGGCUACAGAGAUGGAUUCACUCGUAUGCAGCAGUGGCUCGUCGCUCACCUUAUCUCCCAGACGCAGUUUGACUUGUCGGAUCUUAUGGUCUCAGAGAUAGAGGACACCAUCUCAGAGAGCUUCAGGGGACGGCGUCAGUUGCCCUACGCACAUUGGAUCACCCUGGUUAUACUUCGUGCUAGGCCACUGCCCCUGCCAGCUCACUUGCAGAGGGAGUUGACAGAGUCAGACACCGUCCUCCCCCACUACGACCCCCGGCAGAUGUUGAGAGCGCACCACGACCUUCGCGGUGCACCUCCUCCUCAUGCUCCACGUGGACCGGUGCCCCCACCUUCUCCUAGGGGCACCCGCAGUACAGCAGCAGUUGCUGAGACAGAGGAGCAGCAGGAUAUAGCUAUUGGGGCUUUCGCCGAUGCAGAGGCAGAGGGCGAGUUUGACUUCGCCUCAGACAGUUCAGACGACGACUAUCAGCCGUCAGUGACAGAUCUCCCUCCCAGAGCACACGACCACGAGGCAGGCGGUUCUUCGAGUGCUUCAGACCCUGCCCUGCUUGCUAUUCUAGAGGGGAUGAGGGCAGAUCAGCGUCGUGCAGCUGAGGAGCAGGCGAGGCGCGACAGGGAUCAGGCUGCCAUCAAUGCCGCCAUGCAGGCCAGGAAGGAUGAUCUCCAGCGUCAGCUUCUCACAUUUCAGGAGCAGCAGCUUGCUUUCCAAGCCCAGCAGACCGCGAUGAUGGCCGCUCUCAUGGCCACCUCCGGGAUUCAGCUACCACAGAUUCAGCUCCCAGGCACGUCGUCAGUCAGGCCCCCUACUCCUGCGCCCCAGACUCAGAGCCCGUCUCAGCAGCCGCUCCAGCUACCAGCUCAGAGUCAGCCGUUUUCGACGCCACAGCACCAGCUCUCUCAGGGUGCCAUCUCUUUAGGCUUUGAGCAGGUACCGCAGUUUACCCCUCUCCGCUCAGGUUUCACACCUCAGUCAGCUUCAGCGUCACAGCUUGUGUGGGACUCGCAGACAGAUCCGCACCUCAGCUUCACCUACAGUGCUCUGACUGGUGACCCUAUGCCUCCUCCUCUGCAGGCUCCUGCAGUCUUUACGGCGCCAGGUACCACUAGAGAGCUUCUGUCGUCGUCCGUAGCGUCGUCCGAGCAGCUUGCACCAUCUACUACCGUACCAGAGACGACAGCUACAGCGACCGAGUCCGUGCCAGCCUCGUCCGCCGGACUUGAGCAGCCAGCACAGCCUGUGACAGCGCCAGAGCAGACCCGGACCGCUUCUCCAGCACCUGCGGCUUCAGAGGGUCACUCCACCUCCUCCGCCUCGACGGCCGAUAGUUCAGAUGAUGCAACUCGCUUCGUGGCCGCGCCAAGGGACUCUUCUGCUCCGCCUCCUCCGCCGACUUCUUAGGUUUUUGGCGCUUGAUGCCAAAGGGGGAGAGAGUGCGUAUGAGAGAGUUAGAAGUGAGGGGGAGCUAGAGAGGGAGUUUAUUCUUUUGAGAUACUCUUUAUGUGUGCUACUUUAUCAUGCAUCACGUUUACUUUUAUGCAGUGCACUUGUGUGAGAUACUAUGGUUCUGAGACAUGAUUUGUGCUUUAUGUGAUAUCAUAAUGUCAUGUGUUUUGGCUCAUUCUACCUUUGCUUCCGCGUUGUACUCCGAUAUUCUUAUGAGCCUAGUGUUUAUAUCCUGUCGUAUUCCACUCACAUAUUUGGAUGCAGGGUAUUGGACUUGGUUGAUAUAAGCAUUACUAAUCCUUUUGUUCUUAUUGUAAUAUGCUUAUUGAAACCAAGUCUCUUUAAAAACCUCAACUCUUUUCAUACUCGAGGUUGUCAUCAAUCACCAAAAAGGGGGAGAUUGAAAGAGCAUCUAGGCCCCUAAGUGAUUUCGGUGAUUAAUGACAUUGUUGAUUACUAUGACUAACGUGAGUUUUGCAGAGACAAAGUCAUAGGUAAGGUCAUGGUAAACAGGGACUCGAUGAACAGGGACGUACAUGCCUACUUAAUAGUGGAAAUCGUUUCGGUUUUUAAAGGAUGGAUGGACAUCGUCGAAACUAGACUAGGUCUAAGUGCCAUAUGGUGAAGAAGGGCACUUAGAGUAGUUUAGGACUUUGUUUUCCUUUGACCGUACUAUUAAGAGGGGCUUUGAUCUAGUAGCUUGACUUAGGCAAGGCUUUAGGUUUAGGUGUGGUGCACACUUGGUAAACCUAGCACUAGGCAGCUCAGAGAUAGUCCUUAGAUCGAGAGAAACAAACUUCGUGUUGAAGCGAUCACGUUUCGACGAAGUUUGGGUGCCCAAAGGGGCACCGGACGCUGCACCGGACGCUCUGUGAGUGCGUCCGGUGAAGUCCUUAGCCGUUAGAACAGUGCCGUGCUUAGGGUUAGGCACCGGACGCUAGCACCGGACGCACCGGGUAGCGUCCGGUCCCUUACCCAGGGAGCUUGCAAAGUUCCCCUGAGCACCGGACGCUAGCACCGGACGCACCGGGUAGCGUCCGGUCCCAUGCGCAGGGAGCAUGUAAAGUUUCCCCGAGCACCGGACGGUGCACCGGACGCUGCUAGUUAGCGUCCGGUGACCUGUCAGAGUAAAGCACAGGUAGCCGUUAUGUCACACCGGACGCUCGGUGCAGUGCGUCCGGUGCAACAUAAUGUGCGUCCGGUGACCCCGUUUUAAGUGGAAAACGGUGGGCCGACCCUUGGACUUGAUGGAUAGUAUUUAUACUCCUCCACCUCGUCCAUGAGAUCUCUCUUGCCCAUUUGAACAUCAGAGAACCUUGUUGUGGAGCAAGAGAGUUGCAAGAGCUUAGAGAGGAUUGAGAUUUGAGUGAUUUCUUGAGAGAAUCCUCUUCUAGUGAGUUCCAAGAGUCAAGUGUGCAUCCACCACUCUCUAGUGCCUUGUUUGGGUCAAGUGAGAGUUCGUUGCUUGUUACUCUUGGUGAUCGCCAUCACCUAGACGGUUCGGUGGUGAUUGGAGGCACGAAGAUCACCCGGAGUUCUUGUGGGUGGCUCGUGUCAAGCUUGUGAGCGGUUUUGGGCGAUUCACCGCGACGGAGUGUCGAAGAAUCAGCCCGUAGAGAGCACUUGGUCCUUGCGCGGACCAAGGGGGAGCAAGACCCUUGCGCGGGUGCUCCAACGAGGACUAGUGGAGAGUGGCGACUCUCCGAUACCUCGGCAAAACAUCGCCGAGCACUUUCUUCACUACUCCUUUACUUUCUAGCAUUUACUUUGUGCUUUUACAUUCUUAGAAUUGCCAUGCUAGAAUAGGAUUGGAACUAGGUUGCAAAACUUUUAUCCGGUAGCUCUCUAAGUCACACUAGGCACAAGGAGUUGAAUUGGAGCUUAUAGGUUGCUUAAAUUUUUAGAGAAGCCCAAUUCACCCCCCCUCUUGGGCAUCUUGAUCCUUUCAAGGGGGAGGUCACAUUGAACGGUCGAUUAAGGACCGCGAUAAAUGACCUCUUGGCCUCCUGGGAGCUCGAGCCUUCGGACGAGUCGAAGGAGGAGGUUCGAGGCGACGCGCUGGUCGAUCAGCUGUGCUACCUAGGCGCGACGCUGAGGGAUCGAGCGCGGGACGCUCUUCAUACCGGGGUGAAGCGGGCAAUGGCGGUUGUCUGCUCAAGCUUUUCUUACGAUAUGGAGGUGGUGUCCCACGGCUUCGUCACCGACAUCUCCAAAACUGACGCAGAGAACGAGGACAGGCUCCACGUCUUGAUCGACGAUGCAGAGGCCCCUGGGGAAAGGUUGGCAAAGUUGAUCGAGCCGGAAGUUCUUCCUCCCGAUGCGGAGGCCCCUGUGAAUAUCUGCUAACUUUUAUGCUUGGAAUUCCUUUGCUUCCUCGUUUGGUUUUUUGUUGAGGCGACCUCAAUUGCCUCAAGGGUGAGGGAGUGAGUAGAGUUACCGUAGCCCGAGGGCGUAGGUGUUCUCAGGCUCGUCAUCUCUCGGCCCUUAAGGGGUUUGAGGUGCCUUUACUACUCGACCGUGUGAGGCAUACUUAAAGGAAAAAAUCGUUCGGUUUUUAGGAACCUGGGGGGUCCCCCCUGCUAGCCCCCGAGGGGGUAUCGACUAUGAUGGGUCAUAGUUGGUACUCCCUUUGAACGUCGAGAUUUUGACCAAUGGAAAAGUAAAUUACUCAAGGGAAAGAUCUCAUUCGUUCAUGCAUUCAUUCAUAAAAUAUUGGUACAGAUUGUACAUGAGAACAUAAAGCUUUUAAACUCUAGGGGUAGAAUCGACGUAGCUGCUCGAUGUUCCAUGCGUUGGUGAAGACUGCCCCUUUUUCGUCCGCGAGCUUGUAUGUCCUUGGCUUCAGGACCUCGGCCACCACGUACGGGCCCUCCUAGGGCGGAGUCAACUUGUGGCGCCCUUGGUUGCUUUGCCGCCGCUGUAGGACAAGAUCGCCCACGUUCAGAUCCCUUUUACGCACGUGAUUGUCAUGGUAGCGUCGAAGCUUCUGCUUGUAUCUGGCGGAGUUGAGGAGGGCCAUGUCUUGAGCUUCCUCGAGCUGGUCGACCGUGUUCUCUCGAGUCUCCUUAUUUAUCUGCUCGUUGUAGGCUUUGAGUCGAGGGGACCCAUAUUCGUGGUCUAUUGGAAGCACGGCCUCAGAGCCGUAGACCAUGAAGAAUGGGGUGUAUUUGGUGGCCCUGCUAGGCGUCGUCCUUAAGCUCCAUAGGACCGAAGAGAGAUCUUCGACCCAUUUCUUGCCGAAUUUCUUCAACCGGUUGUAGAUUCUUUGUUUGAGUCCUUGCAAUAUCAUGCCAUUGGCACGCUCGACCUGGCCAAUAGUUUGGGGGUGGGCUACUGCGGACCAGUUCACACGGAUGUGAUGCCGUUCACAGAAGUCCAAGAACUUUUUGCCGGUGAACUGGGUGCCUUUGUCAGUGAUGAUGACAUUGGGAAUCCCAAACCGGUGGAUGAUGUCAGUGAAGAAGAGGACGGCCUGCUCAGAGUGGAUGUUCGUGAUGGGUCGAGCUUCGAUCCAUUUGGAGAAUUUGUCGAUGGCCACCAACAAAUGGGUGUAUCCUCCUACUGCUUUCUGUAGAGGCCCGACGAGGUCGAGACACCAUACCGCGAACGGCCACGUGAUGGGGAUCAUCUAGAGAGCAUGGGCGGGAAGAUGCGUCUGCUUGGCGUAAAAUUGGCACCCGUGGCAUGACCGUACGAGCUCGAUGGCGUCGGCUAUGGCCGUUGGCCAGUAGAAGCCUUGUCGAAAUGCAUUCCCCACGAGGGUCCGCGGAGUAGCGUGGUGGCCGCAAGCCCUCGAGUGUAGAUCCUCGAGGAGUUUUCGGCCUUCUUCUAUAGUGAUACAUCGCUGUAAGAUUCCUGUCGGGCUUCAUCGGUAUAAUUCCUUAUUUUCGCCGUAGAUUAUGUAUGAUUUGGCUCGUCGAGCGAUACGGCGGGCCUCGGAUCGGUCUUCUGGUAGCUCGCAUCGAAUCAGGCAGUCGAGGAAUGGCGUGCGCUAGUCAAACAGUCGACCCGGUCGCUGUUCCGCUUCCAUCACUUCUGCCGCUUCCAGCAGGGCGUUGAUGGAGUCAGUCUGUCGGAGGGUGGUGGUUUCGACGUCGGCCCUCGAGCCUAAGUCGACCGAUGGUUCGUGCAAGUCCCUCGAGAACACGUCGGGCGGGACCGUGCCUCGAGUCGAGGUGAUCUUGGUGAGUUCGUCGGCUGUCUCGUUGUAGCGUCGGGCGAUGUGGACGAGCUCGAGGCCGUGGAACUUGUCCUCGAGCCGACGUACUUCCUUGCAAUAUGCUUCCAUUUUCGGGUCGUGGCAGUUUGAGGCUUUCAUCACUUGGUCGAGGACGAGUUGGGAGUCACCUCGAACGUCGAGGCGUCGAACUCCUAGCUCGAUGGCGAUCUUUAGCCCAUUGACAAGGGCCUCAUAUUCCGCGACGUUGUUGGAUGCAGCAAAAUGUAUUCUGAUGACAUAGCUCAUAUGGACACCGAGGGUCGAAACGAAUAGCAGUCCCGCCCCAGCUCCCGUCUUCAUGAGAGACCCGUCGAAGUACAUCGUCCAUAGUUCCGCUUGAGCUUGAGCUGGGGGGAGCUGCGAGUACGUCCAUUCUGCGACGAAAUCCACCAGAGCUUGAGACUUGAUGGCUUUGCUGGGUGCAUAAGUGAGGGUCUCACUCAUGAGCUCGACCGACCAUUUGGCGAUUCUUCCCGUGGCCUCCCGACUUUGGAUGAUCUCACCCAAGGGGAAGGACAAGACCACCGUGAUAGGGUGGCCGAGGAAGUAGUGCUGCAGCUUGCGUCGGGCGAGGAUCACUGCGUAGAUUAUUUUCUGGAUCUGUGGAUACCGUGCCUUGGUUUCUGAGAGUACCUCGCUGAUGAAGUAGACCGGCCUCUGGACUGGCAGCGCAUGCCCUUCUUCCUGUCUUUCGACCACUACUGCCGCACUGACCACCUGGGUCGUCGAGGCAACGUACACAACCAGAGGUUCUGCGAGCUGAGGCGGGACCAGGACCGAGGCAGAGGUCAGUGUUUUCUUCAGGUUUUCGAGGGCUUCCUCGCCUUCAGGGGUACAAGAGAAACGCUCGGCUUUUUUUCAAGAGCCGAUACAGUGGCAAUGCCUUUUCUCCCAACCUUGAGAUAAAAUUACUUAGCGCUGCCAAAUAUCUCGUGACUUUCUGCACUCCCUUGACGUCUCGGAUCGGCCCCAUUCUCGUGAUGGUCGACACUUUCUCGGGAUUGGCCUCGAUGCCACGCUGGGAAACUAUGUAUCCCCGGAGCAUGCCUCGAGGUACGCCAAAGACGCAUUUCUCGGGGUUGAGCUUGAUCUUAUUGGCGCGCAGGCAACUGAAAGCGAUCUCGAGGUCCCGGAUCAAGUCUCCUUGUUUCUUUGACUUGACGACGAUGUCGUCGACUUAUGCCUCAACCGUUGACCCUAUAUGUUUACCGAACACAUGGAGCAUGCAUCGCUGGUAUGUCGCUCCCGCGUUUCGAAGCCCGAACGGCAUGGUCACAUAACAAUACAUCCCAAAAGGAGUGAUAAAAGAGGUCGUGAGCUGGUCGGACUCUUUCAUUUUUAUUUGAUGGUAACCAGAAUAUGCAUCAAGGAAAGAAAGGGUUUCACAUCCCACGGUAGAGUCAACACUUUGAUCAAUGCGUGGCAAUGGAAAAGGAACUUUCGGACAUGCUUUAUUUAAACUUGUAUAAUCGACACACAUCCUCAUUUUCUCAUUCUUUUUCUUUACUAAUACAGGGUUUGCAAACUAGUCGGGAUGGUGAACCUCCUUGAUGAAUCUGACCGUCAAAAGCUUGUGGAUCUCCUCACCAAUGAUCUUGUGUUUCUCCUCGUCGAAGCGACGCAACCGUUGUUUCACUGGCUUGGAACCGGCUCGAAUUUCCAAGGAGUGCUCGGCUACUUCCCUCGGUAUGCCUGGCAUGUCCGAGGGACUCCAUGCAAACAUGUCGGCGUUUGCACGGAGAAAGUCGACGAGCACGGCUUCCUAUUUGGGGUCGAGGUCGGCGCUGAUCGUCAGCACCUUGCCAUCGGAGCCACUGGGGUCGAGCGGGAUCUUUUUCGUUCCUUCUGCUGGCUCGAAGCUGCCUGCAUGACGCUUGAGCUCCGGAGCUUCUGCGGCCAGGUCCUCGAGCUUGGAGGCGACCUCGUUGGAGUUCUCGACAGCUUCCCCGUAUUCGACGCACUCGACGUCACAUUCGUAUGCGUGCUCGUAGGAGGAGCUGACGGUGAUAACCCCCUUGGGCCCGGGCAUCUUCAGCUUUAGGUAGGUGUAGUUGGGGACAGCCAUAAAUUUGGCGUAGCCUGGACGUCCGAUGAUGGCAUGGUACGUGCCUCGGAAUCCCACCACCUCGAAGGUGUGGACCUCCUUUCUGAAAUUGGCUGCCGUACCAAAACAGACCGGUAGGUCGAUUCGUCCUACCGGCAACGCCUUCUUUCCAGGCAUGACACCAUGGAAACCGCCCGUGCUUGGCUGGAGCUGUGUCCUUUUGAUGCCGAGGAGGUCGAGGGUCUCGAGGUAGAUGAUGUUCAGGCUGCUACCACCAUCCAUCAGCACCUUCGAGAGUCUGGCGUUGACGAUGAUGGGGUCGACGACGAGUGGGUAGACGCCAGGGGCGACUACUUUGUCGGGAUGGUUGUUUUUAUUGAAGGUGAUGGGGGUGCUCGACCAGUUAAGGUACUGGGAUACCGCCAUCCCUGCCGCAAUGACCUCACGGUGCUCCCUCUUGCGCUGCCUUGCAGUCAGCUGUGUCGAGGGUCCGCCGUAAAUCAUGUAGUUGUCGUGGAUAGCCGGGAAACCCUCGUCUUCUUUGUCGUCCCCCUUGUCGCUGCUCUUUUCUUUCUUCUGGUCGUCCUUCUCGAACCCCAGGCCGUCGAAGUGCCUCUUCAGCAUACGGCAGUCCUCGAGCUUGUGGUUCGCCGCUCCCUUAUGGUAAGGGCAGGGCUCCUUCAGCAUCUUGUCGAAGAUAGCUCCUUCAGAGGGGCCUCGAGGUCUUUUACGAUCUAUGGCAGCGACGAGGUCGUCGUCAAGGGCCUCCCGUUGGAAUGGCCGUGCUUUUUUCUUCUUCUUAUUCUUCUUAGGUCCUCGAUUGGGGCCCUCAUCGUCAUCAGCUGGCGACUUGCCUUUGCCCCCUUCGCAACUGAAGAAAGCACCGACCGCUUCCUCCCCUGCAGCGUAGUUUGCCACUACGUCCAUCUGCUCGUCGACGGUCUGAGGGCGAUUCUGGCCUAACUCCCGCACUAAAUCUCAGCUGGUGGUGCCCGAGACAAAGGCCAGGAUGACGUCGUGGUUUGAGAUGUGUGGCAGCUCGGUGCGCUGCUUCGAGAAGGGUCGAGCAUACUCUCAGAGAGUUUCUCCUGACUUCUACUUACACUUGCUGAGGUCCCACGAGUUACCGGGCCGUAUGUAGGUCUCCUUGAAGUUACCCUCGAAUACUCUGACCAAAUCGACCCAAUCGUGGAUCUGGUUGGCCGGGAGCUCCUCGAGCCAUCUACGGGCGGUGUCGGAGAGAAAAAGCGGUAACUGUCGGAUGAUAGCUCGAACGUCCACUCGAGCGCCUCCCAACUGAUAGGCUAACCGGAAGUCCGCCAACCACAGCUCUGGCUUCGUCUCGCCGUUGUAUUUAGCAAUGCUAGUCGGGGGUCGAAACGGGCUGGGCAGCGGCGUGCUGUGGAUUGCUCUGCUGAACACGCGAGGGCCCGGCGGUUUCGGGGCCGUCCGGUCCUAGUCGCUGUCGUACCGCCCGCCGCGGUGGGCGCUGUAACCGCAUUCCUCUGCGUCCCCAUAUCGGCGACGGCGGUGCUCGUCGAUGUCGCGUCGUGCGUUGUGCCGCUGUUGAUUGUCAACAGGGUGGUUGAGGACAAGCGCUGUCUUCUUUCCUCGAGGGGGUGGCUGCUGAUGGACCGAUACCUCCUUUUCGUUCUGGGCCAGCUCCUCACGCCUUUCCGUGGCUGCUCCUCGACGUCGAGAGGCUGAGCUCUCGGCCUACUGAACCGCCGCUACUUGGAGUAGAGUCUGCACCUCGUCUCGAAUUCGCCGCGCCUAGGAGUUCGAGGGCUCCGGCAUGUUGCGUAGCAGCAUCGUUGCUGCGACGACGUUCUGGCCCGCUCGGGGGAAAUGGCUGACGGGCUGCUCCGGCUCCUCGUCUCUGACGAUCUGUCAAUGCACUUCUCGGGCCCGUCUGCGGACACUUCCGCCAGGUGGGUAUGGUUGGUCCUGCUCGAGAAUCUGUUCGAGCAGGACGAGGCGCUCGCGAUCUUCGUCGAGCUUUGUUUUGAGCUCCCGUAGCUGCGCGAGUUGCGCGGCUCUGUCUUCCUGCGACGGGGGGUCGACUUGACCAUCAUUCCCAGGCGUCCUAGGGUCCUCCCUUGCCGCAGGGGCUCGAUCACCGGCGACAGCGUCUCGUGUUUCGUCGGUGGUUUCCACCGCCCCGUCGAUGUGGAAGCAUUCCCUAGUAGGGUCGUAGCUAUCGGACUCUGAGUCGGAAUCUGGCUCAGCGGCGUAAACGCAUCCCCGUCCUUCCUCCAGCAGUCGUUACCUGAGCAAGGUGAUUGUGUAUCGCCCAGGUCCUAAGCAGCGGAGGCCUCGUACCUAGGAGAAAUCCGGCAGCUCGGACGCUUGUUGCCGUGCUUCUGCGUCGCAUGGGAGGACCAUUGGUCGCUCUACGUACGUCUGGGCGUUUGGACAUAUUGUCCUGGCAAACGAUGUUGCGGCGUUGUCCAAGCCAAACGGCGGCGCUCUUCUUGGGGCGAACAACCCAUGCGGGAGUAGCGUCGUGGAGGACGAGGGCGCGCAAGGCGCGCGGUCUCCCAAUGUUGCCGCGUGAUCUUCGUGGCGUCGGGCCGUCAUACCCACGGUUUUGGCGCGCAGGUCUGUCGGCUCCUGCGUCACCCCCCGCCUAGCACGAACUGGCGAUCGCGAGGAGGCGAAGGAGUGGUGGCGGCGCUAUCCACGCCUCUUCUUGGGCGGGGAGGCAUGGUGGCGAGGCCGUCUCGGAGCCCUCAACCGUGCGGGCGUAAUGCGAGCUCCUCCCGGUCCUUUGACUGAGAGCAGGAUCAUGUCAUAGCCGAAACCGGUAGACAUGAACUCGAGGCUCCCGAACCAAAUCACCGUGGAGCGCGGAAUCGGCGAAACAAGAGUGGCCAUCUGGAAAGAAAUGGGAAAUCGGUGAAAAACACGCAGGACCCUUACCUGGCGCGCCAACUAUCGGUGUUUUCCCCCAGGGGGUCACACUAACGAGUAAAAGUAGUGCGUGUCCCCCUUUCCAGAUGGUGAUGCAAGAAAAGACACAAAGAUUUAUCCUAGUUCGGGCAAGAGAAGGCCCUACGUCCAGCGGGGGGGAGAGUGUUUGUAUUAUCUUGCACCUAAGUGUUUGUACAGUGGUGAAUACAGGCGUGGAUGGAUGGAGGUCCCCUGUAUCCGCUACUGGGCGUCCCCUUUUAUAGUUCCAAGGAGAGGCCUAGGUUACAUGUAUAGGCGACAGAGUAGGGGUCAAUAGGGGUAUGGCGCGCUGACCUACUCGAGGCUACCGUACCGGCGUGACUUCGAACCGUCCUGUCUUAGUACCUUGAUGAUGAUUACGCGUGCCCCUGAAUCCUGCUCCUGUGCGCCGUCCUGGACCGGCUUAUCCGUCGCACCCUUGUACGUCGUGACCGCAGCGACGUCUGAGUGGUUGAGGUGCUGUCCAUCGAUGCCCGACCCUUUCCUGGGGAGGAACAUGCCUGCUCGAGGGUCAGGUACCGCACAAAGCCUCGCUGAGCAGAACGUUGACUUCAGGCAUCUCGAGGGAGUCUUGACGGGACAUUCCGACUGUCUUCCUGCGCCCUACUACACUCUGGCACAUUUGGUGGGUAAGGCUGCAAAAAGAACGAUUGGACGGGUGCUGGUUUCCUAUCACGCUUCCCGUGACUGACGGGUUAGGUAAGAACGCGACAGGCACAUUAAAUGCCCUGGUUCCCGUGCCCGCGUCAGGCGGCAGACGGCAUCCUUGCACUCGAGGCCUUUCGAUUCGUACGAGCCUGUUUCCGUAUUCGAGGGUAGCAGGCGCUCGAGCCCCAGUCGAUUCGCACCACGCUCUUUCCGUGUUCGAGGCUACAUACGUCGAUAACCGUUCGUGCGGCCGGGGGGCGUCGAGUCAGGAGCCCUCGAUUUGCGUACGGGAGCUCUCGUCAUGUGCAUCAGUUAGGGUAUCCCUUACUGAUACCCUUGACAGACGGCAAUUCGAAUUGAUUCCUAUCCAGCUGGAGGGUUAUUCCUAGCACUCACCCAAGCAUCCCCCGUCGGAGAGCAAGCGGGUCACCUUUGGUACGACUUAGGAAUCACGGCUCCGAUCAGCGCCGCACUCCCAGGGCUGCCACUCUGCCAGGGAGGUCAGGACUUUUAACUCACCUGCCUUUGGUCUUACGCCAAUGCCCCCUGCACACCGCACUUCCUCCGGUAGUGCGCACUUUAUACUUGCCGGUCUUCCGGCCUGAGUCAUACUACUAGGCUUCACGGUCGGAACGACUUAUCCAGCCAACUAAGUGUUAGGCAUGCGUUCAACAUGACAAGAGGACGUACAGCGAUCGGUCCUUAAUCGACACAGACGAGGAUAGAUCCACACCCAAGACCUCCAUGCCUUGUUGUGUCACUAUCAUCAUCCCGCCCGGUCUCCUUUCAUAUUAUUAACACAUGGAUCUUUUCCACGAUAGCAAAUAUAGCCAACCGUGAUCUAGAAUCCACCUAUAUCCUGCAGGUGAUAGGAAAUCACCUGGCUUCUACCGAGCUAAGCAUGGCUAAGCAUAGACGUGAUCCUGACUAAUUAGGAUCCAGGUUAUAUAUAUACUGGACAAGGAAGGGUAUAUAUAUGUAGCAAGGGUUUCAUCCAACUCCUAUACUUAAUGCAACAAUACAUAUAUAACAUAUAUAUAAUAAUUCACUUUCAAAAAGUAGGAGGCUUGUCAUGCUCCGGGGCUUGCCUGGAAUGUGACACCGAGUCAGAUUAGUUAGCUUGCUCCGUCUUGGUGACAUCUAAGAUCAUAACACUUGCUUAAUAAUUCCAUCUUCAGGAUGAUCCACCAUCACGUCCUUCACAUGGUUCAUCUAGCGUACCUAGAUGACAUGCAAGAUGCAAGUGCACGAACACAUGGAAGUGCAAUAGACAAAGCAUUACACACAAGAAGCAUGGCAAGAGCAUGGUUACACUAAACACACUUAAGCACAUCUCAUUGCUCAACUUAAUGAUUACACAACCAACAUACUAAGCCAACAAGGAAUGCAACACUAAACAUAUUAGACAUGGCAUACAUGUUUCACCAGGUCUCAGGUAUAUUAACUUGGCCAAUACCAAAGACAUGAGUCAUACAUAGCAAUAUACCAAGCAACAGAAAUACAAGGAAUCUGCCAUUUUUAGGACUGUCAACAGCAGUUGAGAAAAUAAAUCAUAACUAGAGUUACACAACUCCAAAAGACAUGAAUUAAGACAUUCUGGAAAGAUUAAGAAAUUAUCUACAUUUUAUAUUUAGACAUCAAAGCAUGAUUCACAACUUAAGCUUGUCGAAAUUAUAAAGUUCCACAAUCUGUCCCUAACAAACAGAGAGCAGCCAUUUCUGGAAUUCAACUUUGAACGGAAAUAACUCACAAACCACAAGGCCAAAUACUACCAAAUUUUAAAAAAUGGUAGAUAAAUGAAUUAUCUACAACUUUGAUAUAAACAAGAUUCCCAGAAAACAACAUUUACAUAUUGUAAAUCAAACAGUUCCAGAAACAACAAUUGCAAACAAUUAAUUAUUAACUUAUGUUUCAAACAUGCAUUUGAGCAAAACCAUUAUUACCAAGAGUUUGCACUUAUCUAAAGAACACCAGAAAACAUAGUGGUCAUUACCAAAUAAAUUUAUUUAAUUCCUUUCUUAAUUUAUUUGUAUAAUAAGGUGAAUUAAAGAACAUAUACCAAACUUGCACAGUAAAUUCUACAAACAUUACAGUAGCUACUACAUACUAUCAGUAGUCUACUGUCCAAAUUUCAUUGCAUUUGAAUAAGCAUAGCAACAUCUAUGAAAAAGAUAAAUUGCUAUUGCAAUUAACCAUGUGAGAAUAAGAUAAAUGCACAAAUCAUAUUUUCUUCAAACACAUGACCAUAUUAUAUGUCAACAUGAUACAACAAUAUCAUAUAAUUGUACAGGACCAACAUUUUCCAUUUUCACAUUUUUAUUUAUAAUUAUAAACCAUUUAUCAAUCCCCAUGAAGACAUCUCUGUUCAAAACAUGGACAAAAUCUGUCAUGCCACAUUAAACAGCUAUAACUUGAGGUUCACAUGUCCAUAAUUUAUGGUUGUGUACUUUCUAGAAAGCUUAUGAAAUUGUGAACAACUUUGUUAUAACAUCUAGAGCUAAAUCUACCACUAACAAGGUCUUACAUUACAAACAAUGCAAUCUAGUCUGGGUUUAGACAGAAACUGGAACCGUACUUUAAACCACUAUAACUAAAUAUGUGCUUAACCAAAAAUUGUGCUAUUUAUCUUUUUGGAAAUCUUAUGAAAAGUACUACAACUCAUAUAUUUUCAUCCAGGCAUGAUUCACAACCUAACUGAGCCAAACAAUAUAAACAUGCAGAACUACUCAGAACAUGAGCAAAGCAACAUAGGGCAAUUGUUAUUUUUAUAACUCUUAAUCUGUCAUUCCUAAAUUCAUGCAAAUUUUACCAGAUAUCAAGUAUUAUAUGCAAAGCAUGUCACAAUAUUUUCACAUUUGUUGGAGCAAUAAUACAGUGGUUAUGAAAACGACAAAUAUAACAAGCAAUUGAAACCUAACUGCACAAAUCUAUUUUUACCGUUAAAACUUCAAACUAAAACAUGCAAUAAUAUAGAUCUACUGCGUAGAGAUUUUCACAGGGAUUCCAAAAAGUCCACAAUUGAUAUUUUACAACGUUUCUACAAAUUACUAUGCAUUUCUAAAUUUUAUCCAUGAAAUCUACAAAAACAAAAGAAAAGGAAAAUAGAUCUUGCACCGGGGACCCUAGAUUUUCCAUGAAUCACGCCACAGCCCAGUAACAAUAUUCUUAUUCUAACCCGAGGUCCUUUCUUCUUCCUAUUAGCGAACAUAGACCGAAGUGGAGAUGGAGAAUGAGGACUCCGGCCGGCCGACGGUUGCUGCAAGGGAAGGCGUGGCCAGGCCCUGGCCAUGUCCUUACGGUCGAAGCAGCAGCAGCACAGUGGGGCGCAGUAGCUUCUGUAGCUGGGCAGCAAGGCACAGAGCAGAGCGCCGGCAGCCAUGGUGGCUCCGCUCUGGGAGGCGCUGGGUUGGAGAGAACGAGCCAGGGGGUGGAGAGGGGUGAGGAAGGCGCUGGGGUGUUUCACCACUUCGACAGCCGGGCGUGGGGAGGGCUCUGGGCGAGCAGCAGAGGAGGAGGGGGCGCACUCGGGCAUGGCAGCCACGUCCUCGCCACGCGUCGUCCAUUGAAGCUUUUCGACGAACAGGUGGCGGGCAUCGAAGUAUCCAAGGUGGGACGCCGAUUCAGGCCUCUUCCAGGCCAAAUUUGGACAUGGGUCUUUAAGCAAAGUUGUCAACCUCGGUUUGCUCUACUAUUUUUGUUUAAGUCUCAUGGUCAUUAGGAUUAUAGAUUAGUAGGUAAUUUGAUGCCAAUCUAUGAGUGUCAAUGAAUUGAUAGUGAUUAGCAAAACCAAGAAUUGAUGGUCUAAACCAUGCCAAACUUGAUGCAACUUUUUACAUGACCUUCUCCAAGUAAUUGUCCACCACUUUUAUUCUUGGACCAACUUUAGUUGCUUAACAAAAACACGAGAACGCGGCAUGCAAACGGGUCGAUGUCCGUUUAGCGAUAAAAUAACUUUUUGCUGUUUUGGGAGCUAAUUUGAAAUAUCCAAAUGAACUCCAAAUUUGAUGAUACUUGAUCCAUUAUUUCCAUGAAAAAGGGUACUCCAACUCAUAUUAAGGAAUCCAAUUGAGUUACCAUAUGAAUUUGGAUAAUAAAAUGUCACAAAGAAGCUAACUUGCUGCUGUCACUUUCCAGGGACUUAGAAUUAUUUCUCAGGGAUAAAAAACAGCAGCUGAUUCGAAUUUGGAGCCUCUGUUUGAACUAUUAGCAUGCUGAUUUGGUUCCUGACCCUUGAAUAAAGUUUCUUCUACAGAAGCAACGCUACAACUUUCAUUUAGGGUCAAACCUCAUAACUGCAAAAGAAGUCAAUCUUUCACUUUGGUCAAAGCAGUAACCCGAUAAAGCUCCAAACUAGGGUUUUAGAGCAAAUAAAACAUUUUCUUGGCACAAGCUCAACAUGAACUCUUCAUGACCUUUGUUGUAGAGUUCAUCUAGAGUCACUUGGUCAAGAUUGCAAGAUUAGGUUAGUAACCCAAGGUUCCAUUCACUUAAUAAGGUCAUUCCAACAAUCAUGUAACUUAUCCUUUCAUUUGACCUUUUGAAUCCAAACUUCACGAAACUUUUUGAGUGAUCAACCUAGGUAGAGAUGGAGAUGAUACACAUGAAGGAAGCACCAUCAGCACCCACAAGCUUUAUUGUGCAGGAUCAUCAAGCAUUCACUUGUCGCCACAUCAAAGUAUGUUUCAUACUAUUAUAUAUGAACAAAUGAUGCUUAUGCUCAUGAAUGUAAGUGCCAAAAUGCAAGUUAAACACCUGGGGUGUUACAGCCCUCCCCCCUUAAAAAGAAUCUCGUCCCGAUAUUCGGUGAGAAAGACUUUCAAGGGAAGAGAAACAAUGUCAUGCAUUUCCCAGCCUCAAAGAUAGCAUUCGAACAUCAGAGAAGCUAAGUUGGACCAAAAGUUUUCUAAUACUUAAUUUUCAUAGUAAACAUUGGUCCGAAGAUGAAGCAUUGUUACUUUGGGAGGAAUCCAAGAAAGCAUUGUCCUGUGCAGUUUGUUCUCAAUGUUUGAAGUGUGGUUCAGAUCAUAAGCGGAGCUACGCGUAUCAUCAGUCUCUUUAGUGAAACUAAUUCAAGCCAUAAGAACCUUGCACCAAGUCACAAGCUUCUAAGGGUUGCUCAUUAUAGAGGUUCUAGGCUCAUUCAUAACAUUUGAAAAGUAGUCUUCUACCAAAAUGGUUGGAGUACAACUUUCCAAGCAUGCAGUUCUCUUUCUCUGAUGACAAAAUUGUACUUACCAACCUGGUUAAGAGAUGUUGAUGCAAAAAGUGGAUCUGCAAACACAAAGGGCUAAUACUCGAUUCAAACGUUAAGGCGUGCCAGCCGAUUUGACCUUACUAUCGACAAAGGUGAUAACUCGAAUACUUUGGUCCUGACAACAGCGAUGCGCCCGGAUGCCACGGCCAAGAGGUAUUCACGCGGAACUCGAGAAUACGCCGAGCUUAAGUCGACGAACUCCUAAGAACUCGUAAUGAAAAGGAAAAUCUGACGAAGUCAUCGAAAAAGUAGAUGCUUGAAUAUGAGUAAAAACUCGUGUUUGAUUGAUUGAUAGAUUCCUCAUUACAAGGCCCUAGGGUCUACAUUUAUACCCUGCUCAAAGAGCUACAAUCAGACAUGACUAGGACUAAAAUUCCAAAUUAAACAAAAUCCGUAUACAAAACAAUUUAAAUAACUAAGGAAAGCACAAAACUAUCCUCCCGUGACAAACUGUGACACCACCAUGGGCCAAUCGGCAACCUUCAUGUCCUCCUUCUGAGUCAUCGGCAGACUCCUCAUCGUAGCCAUCGACAAAGGCUAACGCUGACCAUCGGUAUGAACGCGUCACCACUCAUGGACUUAGUCACAUUCAGUUGUCCCUUCAUCGGCAACCACCUUCAUCGGCAACUCCCCUGCAGACCAGUUACUGUUGCCUUAUCUUGCCGAUCUAUACUCUACCGAUCCUGGGUACGUGUCCAAAAACGGUGUCAACACAUGCCCCCCAAUUUUGGAGUAUAAAAUCAUUAAUGCUCCGAAAUUCUCUGCAGUAAUGAUGACUUUCCGCAAUCAAUCCUCUCAAUUUGGUAACCGACCGUUGAAAUCGAACAACUCUGGCCCGAUUCUCCCGCAGAUUCCUCGAAUUCCUCAACCUCCCAAACUGGACAUCUCCACUUUAUUCGCCCAUCGGCAAUAUUACCGUUAGAAGGAGAUGCCGAUGGACCGACCAGAAAAUCCUUGCACAGUGAAAUAUUUCCAAAAUCAUGACCGCUUGCUGUCAAAUCACCUGGACAAUCCCUUGAUUACCGUGCGAACAGUUGCCAUAUCUACCUGAACACCCUCGGGUUUCACGGAUGCGGCAAAGAGAUAAGUCAGAUCUGCCCCUACCCGUUUUGUCCUAUAAAUACUUCCUUCUCGGGUACUCCUUCUUCACCUGUCAUUCUACAACCCCAAAAUCCACUUCCUUGGCUGCGGCACCGUUCGAGGACUCCAAGAAUUCUAGCAAGAACUUCCUCCAACAACCCUCGAGUUUUCGACCUCCUUCCCUGCGAGAAAAUGGCCAUCAAAUUCAACGUGCCUGAGGUCAGUUCUACUUCUCUCCUGUAUUUUCACUGCACUCCUGUUCAUCCGCAGUUCAUCUUACUGAAUACUUUUUUCUUUCUUUUCCUCUUCUUUUUACCCCCAAAAACUUCUAGGAUCUGUCCAAUAGAAUCGUCAUCCCUACCGAUCAACCACACCUCCAAUGUCUCGGUCCACUAGGGAACCCAGAUCCUACCGAUAUGAUCAACGCAGAGACAAACAGAAUCCCCUUUAGAACCGAGAAUUUUUCUCUAGAUCUGUGGAAAGACGCCUUCCGUUCCUGGCCCAGUCCUACCAAGGGAUGGAAGGAUUGGUUCUUGAGAGUCAGCCAUUCAAAUGAAGUUCAAUGGGGCGAGCGAAAACUAGACCAGUGCAUUAGACUGUCUCUUGCCGAUAUGCAUAGGAAUGAAUCACUACUGAUUGCUGCAUCAUAUUUCUGGUCAGACACACUUAAUGCUUUUGUUUUCGGCCAUGGCUACUUCUCCCACUCUUGCCGAUGUGCUCAUGCUCACCGGCUUAGAUGUAUCCACUGCCGAUAGUAGUCACAUAUUUGACACCACACCUAGUGCUAAAGUGGAAACCCGCUCUAUCGGCGGUUGGUCUGAGUACAUUCAGAAUUACCGUCGAACAGGACCUGUCAACAUAAAGGAACAAACCACCUCCUGAACAUGUGGCUGGACAAAUUUGUAUUAUGUGGUCGAUCAGCAGGACCAACCUCUAUCUACCUAUCGGCAGCAGAGAAAUUAGCUAAUGGUGGCCAAUUUCCCCUUGCCCGAUACCUGCUUGGCUCUGCCUAUCAUCUUCUCCACCAAGUAGCCAAGAAACUUCUGCUCGGUGAACCCAUCGGCAACUUAGGGGGCCCUUGGUGGUUCAUCAACAUGUGGCUUAGUCUCCAUAUGCAUAAGCGACUGGAAUUCGACCUCUUUGCAUAGCGUUUCCCCAGGGAUAGAGCAGAGGAUCAUGAGUUAGAUGAAGAAGAAUCGGCAACCCGUCCUCCCUUAAACUAUGGCGAAGCCGUCAUUGUCUUGCCUGGUACUGGAGGCAAUAGAGAUCAAGUCAGCCGAUUCUUUCAGACUCUUUGUGAGGGUCUGACCAAAGAACAGCGAGCAUGGAUGCCUUAUGAAGAUCCAGACACAAGAUUUCCUCUGACCUUUCACCCCUUCGACAAUGCUCUCAAUAAAGAUCAUGAUGUGAUGAUAGCACUCAUUACUCAAAGAGCCAUACCAGUAAACUUCUUCGGCAGUGGGAAAGUCUCCAACCAGACCUAUGAAUUUUACAAUCCAUCAGCACUAGCCCGUCAACUAGCUUUCGGUCAGCUGCCGAUUGCACUUUGUUAUGCCGAUGUGACAAAACCUAGGGAAACCAUCACUAGUCUUCUCGAGUGGACCAAAAUUGCUCAACUGCCACCAAAUGCCAAUACAGAUGCCGAUCUAUCAGAUUGGAUCCUGGCCCUCUUCAUUACUUAGGCAUACAAACAAUGGUGGGAAGAAUGAAAAGAGCAUUUGUUCUGCAAAUCAGCUCUCACAUACCGCGGCAUGAUCGACCCCCAGUACAAAGUCCCCGAUAAUACUGUAAGUAUUUCCAAACCGAUGUUUCAAUCCUUUCACUUUUACUUCCUUCGGUAACUUACUUUCUGUGUUAUAUUACAGGUUGAUAACACACCCCCAUCAGUCAGCAGGAGUGGUAAGCCGAUUGAGCUCCUUCCAUCGGGUUCGAUUUCUUUCAUCGGCAACAACUCUCCAUCCCUGGCCGCUAUAAUGCAUCGGGGUGUACGUCUCAAGAAAGUCACCACCAAGCGGACGAAGGCAUCUCCAUCGGUAGCUUCCUCUACUUUAGCACAAGCUUUCAAGGUAAAUUUUCAAAUUCUUUUACCCGUACCGAUUCCAUUCUUACAUCUGUUAUACUUGAACUCACAAAUUUUCAUUGUUGUAUCAGCAAACCGGCACAUCGGCAAAGACCACAGGUGUGACUGCCGAUGCCCCCCAGUCCAGCCAGCCAAAGAUUAAAAGCUCCAGGAGUACCAGAACCCAGGCGAAGCGCCAGAAAACAGCAAUACCUCCCCCCAGUGUCUCCAAUCCCAGUGGAAUCUUCUCUUUCUUCUCCAGAUGUCCAGAUACAACAAGCACCAUCUCCUCCUCAGCCACAAGAAGAACCUCAUGCAGAAGAACCCCAGCCAGAGGAACCUCAGCCAAAAGACACAUCGGCUGACGUGCACGAGCAAACUGCCGAUCCAGCAAGUUCAAUCAUAGCAUCGGUAGUUUCCUCAAUCCAAACAAGUAUUGCUCCCCUUCAAGGUAACAUACUCUCUAUGAAAUCAUUGCCGAUGAACCUACUUUUCCGUCAUAUAAUUGUCUUUGUUAAUCUUUCAGCUGACAUAAUCUCAUCGGCAACUCCAGCCGAUCAGCCCGUAAUUCCAUCGGCUUCAACCGGUCAGAGGCGAGAGAUAGCUCUGAAACAAGUAAGUUACCUGAUCUCUACCCGUAUUGUUUACUAGUGCUUGAUCAUAGAAUAACUUAUUUUAUUUUCCUUUUUAGGAACAAGACUCUCCAGACAGCUUGUUCUCCUUUACCAUCAACAUCUCUGAGGAUGAAGGCGAGGAGGCAAGUUCUUCUCGAGCAGUUGGAAUCACAUCGGCAGGAAUCAGGGCAAAGUUAGAAGAAUUAUCAAGCCUCCUCCAUCAAGACACGGCCCAAUUGGUCGAUGACUCCGAUGAAAGCCCUAGUUUGGUUUUGGAUAAUUGAUGAAACCCUAGUACUAACCUCUAUGCUAAGUGUGUGUAGACUUAAUGAGGUUGGUACAUGCCAAGUGAUGGAGCAAGUGAUGAUCAUGGUAAUGAUGGUGUUGACCGCAAGAUGAUCAAGUGCUCAACUUGGAAAAGAAGAAAGAGAAAAACAAAACCCUAUGGAGAUCAAGGCAAAGGUAUUGCUUAGGGUUUUGGUUUUGGUGAUCAAGACACCAUAGAGGAUGUGAUCACAUUUAGGAUAGAUAGCCGUACUAUAAAGAGGGGAAUUCUUUGGCUAAGCGGUUAUCAAGUGCCACUAGGUGUCAUUGUUCAUGUGCAUGCAUUAGAACCUAGUGAGCUAACUUAACUCCUUCAAAGAAAAUGAUUGUGAAAUUGCUAACACACGUGCACUUGUUGGUUUACGCGUUGUGGUGUCGGCGCUUUUCGAGAAAAUGAAGUGUAUAUUUUCUAUUGCGCUGGUGGGAAAUUUGGAGAAGUCACGGGAGUGUUUCUCGCUGAGGAACACUCACUGGACGCUGGCUCAGAGGCACCAGAUGCUGUCUCUGAGCGUCCGGUGCAGACAGUGCCUGGCCCAGCUAGGGUAAGGCACCGGACGCAGGCCUGUGCGUCCGGUGACCCUGCAAGUUUGCGGAGCUCUCUGCGCAUGGGUCCGGUGUGCACCGGACGCGCCCGCUCAGCGUCCGGUGCUCUGCAGGUUACCGUUAGACUCUUACACGUGGCUGACGUUGGAGCACCGGACGCUGGUGUUGAGCGUCCGGUGCCCCUUUAAGAGCGUCUGGUGACCCCGUAUUUCACCCUGUGAAAGAGCCAACGGCUUUAUUUGUUUGAGGGGCUAUAAAUACGUGUUUGGCCGGCUUGGGGCUCACUCUCUUGGCAUUCUUGACUACUAUACAUCCUUGUGAGCCUAAACAAACACCUCCCACUCAUCUCCUUCAUAGAUUAUACAUCUUUGUGAGAUUGGGAGUGAUUCCAAGUGCAUUUGCUUGAGUGAUUGCAUGUAGUGGCACUUGGGGAUCGUUUUGGCUGCGGUUUUCUUGUUACUCUUGAUGGUUGCCGCCACCUAGACGGCUUGGAGCAGCGGACGAGGAUUGGCACGAGUUGGUGAUUGUUCGUGGCCAUCUCCCAGUAAUUGUGAGAGGUUUGUGCCUACCUCGGUGGAGUGCCAAAGGCAACAUUAGAGGAUUGCUCGUGUCAUUGAGCUACCUCACUUGUGGGUAGGUUCUUGUGGUGUCGUAGUGAGGACGAGGUUCGUGCUACACCUCUUAGCCACCGAACCACCAAGUGUUGGUCGACACAACGGGGACGUAGUGUGCUGGCAAGGACGUGAACCUCGGGAGAAAAAUCUUGUGUCUCCAUUGUGUUUGUUGAUUGGAUUUCUCCAGGUGAUUGGACUUCAUAAUAUUGUGAUUGGUUCAUCCCCUCUAGGUGGUGGUAUAAAAGAUCAAACUCUCCCUCUUACUUUCUUGCAAACUAGAGUAGGUUACUUCUUGUAUAGAAACUUUAGGUAGCUCUCUAGUGUAAGUAGAGACAUAGUUCUUGUGUGCAUAGUGAUCAUAGCAACUAGAAUUGUCGGGUAGGUGGCUUGCAAACACCCCAUUAGAGCUAGAGCAAAAAGCUUCGCUUUGUUAUUUACUAACCUCUUGCUAUAGUGUUUUUGUAUAAUUUUUAAAUAGGCUAUUCACCCCCCCCCUCUAGCCAUAUUAGGACCUUUCAAGUGGUAUCGGAGUCGUGGUCACCGUUUGUGAAGGAUUAACAACCUCGGUGCUCAAAUUAUGGCUCAAAUAGUGUUCAACCAUGUUGGGGGCAAACCACCAUUCUUUGAUGGCACAAGUUCCUUUGACUAUUGGAAAAGAAAGAUGAAAAUGUACCUUGGGUCAAUAAAUGAUAGAGUGUGGGAAUUCACCGAAAAUGAUUUUGUGAUUCUUGAUCCGGCUAACCCCAUCGACAAUGAGAGAGCAAACAAACAAUGCAAUACUAUGGCUCUCAACACAAUCUAUAAUGGCAUUGAUUCAAAGGUAUUUGAACAAGUUAAAGAUCUUGAGAGAGCAAAUGAAGUGUGGACAAGGCUAGAAGAAACAUAUGAGGGCACUACAACGGUAAAAAGUGCCAAAUUGUAUAUGCUUAAGGACAAGCUAUCCAACUUCAAGAUGAAGGAUGAUGAGUCUAUACCGGAGAUGUUCUAUAGGCUCCAAGUCAUCAUCAAUGAUCUGAAGGGCCUUGCUGAGAAAGUGAAAGAUGAGGACUUCAUUCACAAGUUCUUGAUGUGCUUGCCCAAGAGGUUCAAGACAUUGAGAACAAUCAUCUUUAGCGGUGGAUUGACCGGUGUAUCUCCCAAUGAGGUACUUGGAGAUGUCAUGACCGAAGAUCAAUACAAUGAUAAUGAUGAUGAUGAUGUCAUGAAGAAGGAUGAGGGUGAUAAGAAGAAGAGUGUAGCAUUCAAAGCUAGCUCUUCAUCCAAGAGCAAGAACAAGGGCAAGGCCAAGAAGGAAGAAUCAAGUGAUGAGGAGUGAUCCAAUGAUGAUAGUGAUGAUGAAGCACUAGCACUCUUUGUCCGCAAGUUUGGCAAGAUGAUGAAGAAAAAGGGCUAUCACACAAGAAAGAGAAGAGAUCACUUCAAGAACAAGGAGCAUGUGAGGCUAUGCUACAAGUGUAAAAGCCCCGAUCAUAUUGUGGCGGAUUGUCCUUACAAUAGUGACAAUGAUGAGCAUGACAAGAAGAACAAGAAGGAGAAGAAAGAAAAGAAGGAGAAGAAGAUGGUCUUCAAAAAGAAGAAGGGUGGAUCCUAUGUUGUGACAUGGGAUAGUGAUGCCUCUUCGGAUGAUGAUUCAAGUGAUGAUGACAAAGCAUCCAAGAAAAAGGCACUUGCUAGCAUUGCUAUCAACAACAAGCCAUCACUCUUCAACACUCCUUCAUGCUUCAUGGCCAAGGGCCACAAGGUACAAUAUGAUGAGAGUGAAAUUGAAAGUGAACAUGAACAUGAUAGUGAUAGCGAUGAUGAAAAUGAAUUCACUAAUGAACAACUCAUGGACAUGUUAGAACAAGCCGAUUCUCUUAUUCAAUCUAAAAACAAGAAGUGCAAAGAAUUGGCCAAGAGGUUAAAAGCUCUUGAGCAAUCCUUUGAUGAGCUCAAUGCUAAUCAUGAGAGGCUAGUGGAAGCCCAUGAGAAGCUUGGCAAGGCUCACACCAAGCUUGAAAAAGCACACUCCUUGUUAUUAGAAGAGAACAAGGAAAAUGUUGUUGUAUCAUGUGAUGUGGGCACAACAUAUGACCUAACUAAAGAAUCACCCAACCCACCUAUUGUUGUUGCCACUAACUCUUCAUGCAGGUCUUCAUCCACCACCACCAACUCUACCUCUACUUCUAGUGUUAGUGUCACUUGUGAUACCUCACUAAAGGUUGAGAAUGAGACUCUCAAGAGAGAGGUGGAUGAGCUCACUCACGCCCUAGGCAAAGCCUAUGGUGGUGAGGCCCGCUUGCUAAAGUGCUUAAGUAGCCAAAGGUUUUCUCUCAAUAAAGAGGGAUUAGGCUAUACCCCCAAGAAGGGCAAGAAAGCCUUUGCAACUCACAAGCCUAGCUUUGUGAAGAGCAAUGGUCGGUAUUGCAACAAAUGCAAGCAAGUUGGGCACCUAGAGCAUAAUUGCAACAAAAUAAACAAGAACAAGAAAAAUGCUAAUGUGUCUUACAUUCCUUUUGAUUCUUGUUAUGUGCUUACCAAGGGUGAGAAGGGUGUGCAUGCUAAGUUUGUUGGUACACCAAUUGUGGGUCCAAAGAAGAAGGCCAUUUGGGUACCAAAGAGCUUAGUCACUAACCUCCAAGGACCCAAACAAGUAUGGGUACCUAAGAAACAUUGAUCUGUUUUGUAGGUAAACUAUAAAGCCGGAGGAAGGCAUUGGGUGCUUGAUAGUGGGUGCACACAACACAUGACCGGUGAUGCAAGAAUGUUCAAUUUAAUCCAAUCAAAUGAUGACAAUGGUGUUGAUAGUAUCACUUUUGGUGACAAUGGCAAAGGCAAGGUCAAAGGGCUUGGUAAAAUUGCUAUAUCCAAUGACUUGAGCAUCUCCAAUGUGCUACUAGUAGAGAGCUUGAACUUCAACUUGCUAUCCGUAGCUCAACUUUGUGAUCUUGGUUUCAAAUGCUUAUUUGGAGUUGAUGAUGUAGAGAUCAUAAGUGUAGAUGGCUCCAACUUGAUAUUCAAAGGCUUAAGAUAUGAGAAUCUAUACUUGGUUGAUUUCAAUGCUAUUGACGGUGGAUAUACCAUAGAAAUCCACAUACAAAACACCGUCAACAUGCCUCGGUUGCAAGGGGAAACGACAUGACAUGAACAUAUUUUAUCCAUAACUAGUUCCACUUGUACUCUUAGCUUGUUUAUGCAGGAACAACAAAUUCAAGACAUUAUUUGACAAAGCCAACAUCAGAAUCAUCAAGAGGAGAUCGAGGGGACAACAGGUGACACCCUGGGCCCACAGGGAGGGGGUCGCCCGACCCCUCUUUGGUGGGACCCAGGUGUGCCACCUAGUCCACCGACAUAAGGGACCCCUGUGGACACUGCUGGUGGGCCCAGAGGCCCAGAAGUGGGGUCGCCCGACCCCACAUCAAAGGCGGUUCCAGGGUCGGUGGCCUCCCACCGACCUUCCCCACAUGUCCCACAUGUUGAUUUGCCCCUGCCGUUGAUCAAAUGGCGGUUGUGAGGUCGGUUUGAUCCAAGGGUGGAGAGAAGAUGUCACGCGGAUCGAUGACGUGGCGAUGGAGUAACCCCUACUUCAUCUCCCUCUAUAAAAGGCAGCCUCCAUCCUUCAUUUCAAGUGUGCAAUUCCAAGGCCAAGUGCAUUACAAGUUCCAAGCGUACAAGUAGAGUAGUAGUUAGUCUAGAGUGGGAGUUAGAGUCGAGUCGAGCGAAGCUCGGGGUCUCCGGAGUCGUCUUCUGGAGAGUCUGGUAUAGCUCUUGUACCUUUCUACUUUUGUAAGACUUUCCUUUUAUUAAUAUAUUAUUCUUACUUUACUUUACUGAGUUCUUACUUAGUGCAAGUCUUUUAGUCUUGUUGUGCAUUUACUUUAGUAAUAUAGUUGUCUUAGUGAAGUUAGUGACCUGUAACCACUCCUGUGUGUGCAUCAUCGUCCUAUCUUGUAUAGGAGCUCUAGCUAGCUGCAACUAGUUAGCGUUGUAGGAUUAAGUGUGAGCGUGGUGCUCAUACUUAAGAUUACCUUUGAUUACCGCUGGCUUGAACGGAAAGUAGGAGCGCACUCCCUAGUAGGUGACAGAUCGUGGGCGGCAUUAGGUUCCCCUCACGUACAGGCUAGUUCUUAAAAGGUAAGGCGUCCAUAAGCCCAAUAGUCGCUUUCGGUAAGGGGUUAGGUGAAAAACCUUCUAAGCGUCUUACCAGCUCGGCUAUCCCUCGCACACAGUUAGUAAGGCUCUAGCGUAGUUAAGGCAAUUAUCUAUUAAAGUAAGUCACAGAAGUCAAGUUAGAUACAUAGGAGUCCUUUACUCACUCGUUGUCCUCCCACCUAGCUAACUCUACCAUUUACCUUUAGCAUAGGACCUUGGAUUCACCACUACCCUUCCUAUUUGUUAUUUACCACCCUUAUUCACUAGUUGAUACUAGAUAACUCAAGGAAUCUCAUUCCCCUUUUUGUUAAACACACUUAGCCGCUUUCCCUUGGGAAAAUAUAAAUUACGAUACCUUGGAAUACUCCUUGGUGAAGUGCUACAGCGGUACAUUCUGUGCGCUUGCGGAAUUAUCCAAUAGUAAAUAGAGUUACCCUACCAGGGCACUUCUGGCGCCGUCGCCGAUAUCCGGUGGUUGCGUUAAGAAGUGUCAACAAGCAUUUCUGGCGCCGUUGCCGGGGAGAGCGUCUGUCUAAGAGUUUUAACAAAAAGAGAAUCCAGAGUUUGCUAGUUAUCAAGUAGUGAUAGGGAUAACCCAUCACUUGUCUUGUCUUCCUUUAUUGUGAAGCCUGACAGUGUAUGAGCGGUUUCCAAUUGCCGUCAAACUUCGUUGAAGAUCCUGAGCAACUGUUGAGGAGAACUAGACGUCGUCAAGUUCCACCUCAAAGGUUCAUCUCGAACCUGAAUCCGUUAGAGGAAGGAGUAUCUGCACCGGUUAUCAAAGAAGCUAUGGCCCAGAAGACCAUCUCUGAGUACUCUGCGCCGUCGGCUGACAAUGUCGCCACGGGUCCGCAGCUUAACUUGGGGGAUGCGACUUUUGAGUUGAAGCCUGUGCUUAUCAAUAUGGUGCAAGCUAAUCCCUUCUGUGGAAAGCCACACGAGGAUGCCAAUGCCCAUCUCCAACACUUCUUGGAGGUGUGCGGCACCUUCACCAUCAAGAAUGUCGCCGCAGACGCCAUCCGUCUUCGCCUCUUCCCAUUCUCGUUAUUGGGGAAGGCAAAGCAAUGGUUCUACGCCAACAAGGGUGAAGUGACCACGUGGGAGAGGUGCGCCAAUGCAUUUCUCAAGAAGUUCUUUCCGAUGGGCAAGACCAGCGCCCUUCGUGGAAAGAUUUCCAGCUUCCAACAGCAAGCAGAUGAGACGAUUCCCGAAGCAUGGGAACGUCUGCAGGAGUACAUUCGCGCCUGUCCUCAUCAUGGGAUAGAGGAGUGGCUCCUAAUCCAAGGUUUCUACCAUGGCCUGACCGGUUUGGCCCGUAGUCACCUUGAUGCUGCCGCUGGAGGAGCAUUCUUGCAACACAAUGUCAAGGAUGCCAAGGACCUCAUUGAAAAGAUGGUUAUAAACCAAGGAUGGAAUGAGGAACGCCUCCAACCCAAGAAAAGAGGUGUCCAUGCCUUGAAUGAGGUGGACAUGCUCUCUGCUAAGAUGGACCUCUUAAUGAAGAAGAUGGAAGAAAGUUCCAAGCAAGAGACCAUUCAACCUUACGCCACUGCACGGGCCAUUGAAUCAGAUUCAUGGUGCGAAGUGUGCGGAGGAGAUGAUCAUUCGGGAAACAAUUGUCCCGAAACAAAGGAGGAAGUGAGCUUCAUCAACAACAACAACAAUGGGUACCGGCCCCAACAACAGCAAUGGAACUCGCGCCCCUUCUACCAAGGUAAUCAAGGUAAUGGUUACAAUCAAAAUUUCAAUAAUUCUUUUGGUAACCAACCUUCUCUUAGAGAUCUUGUCUUAGGCCAAUCUAAAAUCAAUGAUAGCAUUAACAAGAAAAUGAUGGCUAAUGAUAAGAUCCUUGAAAACUUAAGUGAAAAGUUGGAUAGCUUUAACUCUGCUAUGAAAAAUCAGUUGAGCUUUAACAAAAUGCUAGAAACACAAUUAGCUCAAUUAGCAGCAGCUGUCCCAUCCUUCGAGCAAGGUAAGAUCCCAGGGAAACCUGAGGACCCAAUUGAAGGAGUUAAACUAGUUACUACGAGGUUCGGUAAGCCUCCGGUACAAUCCAACUGGAGCUAUCUUCUGGAUUCGCCCUUCAUCACCAAGAAGGACGACCCAGGCCUGCCGACCAUCACCUGUGAGAUCGGACCGCAAAUCUUCCACAACGCCUUCUGCGACCUUGGAUCGGGUGUCAACAUCAUGGCCAAGGUAACUUAUGAUAAUUUGCUAGGGGGGCCUUUGCACCCCACAUUUGUUCGUUUGCAGAUGGCAGAUCAGACGAUCAGGUUCCCUGAGGGGUUGGCAAGGGACAUACUGGUAAAGGUCCAAGACGACUACGUCCCUGCCGACUUCAUCAUUUUGGAUAUGGGAUCCAAUAAUGAUGUCUCGAUCAUCUUGGGAAGGCCAUUCCUCAACACGGUCAAUGCAGUCAUCUAUGUGGGGUCCGGCCAGAUUCACCUCCAAUUCCCAGGAUGGAAGGUAAAAUGCCCAUUCAAUGGUUAUAAAGCUAACAUGCAGGUGAAGGACAAAGAACCUCCGACUAAGCCUCGCCACAUCUGACGCCGAAGGGACAAGAGAGGUAAGUCGGCCAAAAGGGCCGAAAAGAAAGAAGAGGAACCCGCUGAACCAAAAAUCAAUACCAAGCAAGUAUGGCGGGAGAAAGAGGUGCAAUCAAGGUCCACGUCUCCGGGACCAUCUGAUGCACCCGAAGGAUGAACAAGAUGGAGAGGUCCUGCUCUACGGACCUAAAACAUGGAGCCCUUGCUGAUAAGGUAAAUCAGUAGUUAUCCCAUAUUUAUUUUCUGCAUUUCAAUUUCUACUAUUCACUUUUCAAUUGCAUUCUUACUUUGAAUUUUGCAUAUCUUAUUUCGACAAAAUGUUUAGCCAUAAUAAAUAAAAUCUUGAGAAUAACUUGUCAUAAAAAUUUGAGCUGCUGGAGCUCCCAAAGGGGGGUCGCCCGACCCCACCUUGGGGCCCACUUCACCACAUUUCAACCUUGCUAGUCAUAGAGGUUCCAACCCAGCACUUGGAUGCUCUGGGAGCUCCAAUGUGGGGGUCGGCCGACCCCCAUAUUGGCCCCACUUGCCUCCUGCUGGCCACCAUUUGAAUCACAAUGGAGUCCUAUGCUUGUAACACUAGCUAAAGUUUGAAAAAGAGUGGUCCCUUGAUCCUUUACUUUAGUCAUAAGAUGCUCCUUUCAUCUUUGAUUCUUUUGGGACCACUCCACUAGCUUAAAUUCUGCAAAGUGGUCACCUAGGCAUGCUUGAGUGCUCCCAUGGUCCAUAGGAAUCACUUUAGACAUGUCUCCACUUUUGCCAUUCAUCUUUUACCUUUCACAAAGCACUAAAACAGGGAAUCUCAUAAACAAUUUGAAAACUUUUGGUCCACACCUAGCCUUUACUUUUCCGGACAAUCAAUGACACAAUGUUUAAAGUGGAGGAGGGGCUAGGAUGGGGGUCGGCCGACCCCCAUUUUGGACCAUCUCUGCAAAAUCUUGAAAGCAUGCAGAAUGGUUCCCUGUAUAAAGCUAAACUCAAAUUCAAAGUGCUUCUAGGGGGGGGUCGGCCGACCCCUAUAUUGUGGGUCCACUACUUGCCCUUCUCCCCCUAUAAAUAUCACAGCAUUGUGAGCUCAACUCCACACCCAAAACCACCAGAACCAUUUCGAGCUCACAAUCCUUUCUCUUCUCUCUUUGUUACAAGCCAUUUCUCAAGUUUAGUUUAGAAAUAGUCAUCAAAACAAAAACCCAAAAAGAUUCCCCUUGCAUAGUAGUAGUAGUAGGAGCUUGGUUUGCCUCACUUGUGUAGGAGGAUGAAGAAGCAUAUCUUCGGCAAGUUCAAGAAAGCAAAGGGUGAGAGCUCUUCUCAAGGCUCUCACCAUGCUCAUGGAAGGGAGGAAGAAGAAGGUUACCAUGGGAUGGUACCCUACGAGCCUCCAUCAAGGAUGAGAGAGCCCGAGAGCGGCCUCAUGUUAAGCCAAGAAGAGUUGCAAAGGUACUACAUCAUCCGAGAGGGUCUCUUCCUACACACUAGCAUCAUCGAUCCGGACCUUUUGGCCCGCACAGGUAUGGAUGUUGAAUUCGAUAAGGUGUUUAGAGCAAUUGGUUGGAGUAGUUUUUGGCAAGUGCCUGAAUUUGGAAAAGAAUUGCUUGCUAAGGAAUUUCUAUGCACCCUAAAACUCACAAAUAAUGGAAUAUCUUUUCGCAUGUGUGAGCAAGAACAUCAAUUAAAUUGGAGUUUGCUAAACACUGCUUUAGGGUGUGAACAUGAAUGUGAACUUGAUCUAGAUCAUGCCACUAGAAUGUUCGAUAAAUUUAGAUUCUGGAAAGCAAUUUCUUUCUCUAAUGAUUGUUCAAAUCCUACUCCCAUUGAAAUCCAUAAUCCAACCUUGCGCUUUCUUCACUUCUGGAUCAUGUGCACUCUAUAUCUUGGCAUGGGAACUGAUACUUUAAUUGAUGAUGAACUUAAAAUUCUCUAUGCCAUGGUUAGUAAAAUCAAGGUCUCCCCUGUGAAACUGCUAGUGAACUAUUGGCUUAACUCUAUUGAGUAUGGGAAGCCCAUCUAUUUCACAUCCUUUAUUACUCGAAUAGCCGAUGCUUUUGGAUUACUUGAAUCACAUUAUUUUGAAGACAUUGGCUAUGUUAGAGGAGUGGUAGAUGAGAACUUCUUUAUCAAUGAUAACAUGCUCAUAAGAGAUCCAAAUGGUGAACUUAAAAUGAUUUAUCCGGGCUAUACAACCGAAAUUCCUCUCCCAUGUGCGAGGCGCCGGUUGUAUGGGGUCCGCACACUUACCAUUAGACUAGCCCAAGUGGCAAGUCCAGAUAUUGCAGGGACACGCAGGGUGACAAGAAGGAUGAUGCAAGCCGCCCAGAUGGAGCAAGGAGGAUCCUCGCACCAUGACGUUGAAGAGGGCGAUGAAGCGAUGUCAGUGGAUGCUUCAGACUCCAUGGGUCUACCUCCACAACGCACUCCACGCCCAAGGGGACAGGGCUAGGGGUCACCAGCCCACAGGUAUGGACAGUCUCAUUAAUGACAUGGGCGAAUUGCAAAUUGGGCAAGAAGCAACAUUGCAACUGGCGUUACAAAACGGCCAACAUAUCCGACGUGUGCGAGAAGAAGACGCACAACGCUGGGCUGGAUGGUACCAAAAUUUCCCGCCACCACAGUGAGCGAAGAUCUAGCUUGGGGGAGAUCCUCUCCCCCACUAAGGUAAGUAUUCUAUCCUAUUUAUUUUCAUGCAUUUUAUCAUUCUUACUUAAAAAAAAAUAAAUAUUUAUUAGCAUUUCCCUUUAGCAUAUAUGCUUCAUGUAUGUUUAUAUCCCUCAUGGAAAUUAUGACUAGUUGCUUGUUAAUGUUUCUCUAGUGCCUAGUAUACAACUUAGUAUUUCUCUAAGUAUGGAUCACUUAGCUCACUUAAACUGCCAUGAACCUAAAAACUUUGUGGGUUGCAAGUGCUAGAACUAAGUCUAAGUUGUUGUGGGACAUGAGAUAGUAAGACAAGAGCUACUAUAAUAUUUUUCUAAGCAUGCAUGAUGAUCAGAGAUUUAUUCUUAAAAUGAUCAAAACCUUAAUUGUUCCUCAAUGGUGAUGAAUUCCUACCACAGCCAUAUCUACUUUACAUAAUUGCAACCUUUCCACAUAAGCUAUUUGCUUUGUGUUGAGUGUCGUCAAGUCUUGUUGACCCUUGUUAAGAGACUUUUCAUGCUCCUAAGAUUAAGAUCACGUACACACCACAUAUAUAUAUGCUGCUUCUACACUGGAAGUACGCAACCACAUGUAUUUUGCAUCCACUAAAUAGGUUGCUCCAUACUCUAAAUGUUAGAACAUCUCUCUAAGCAUUAUUUGGUAAAUGAGACAUCAAAAGGCUAGGCAAAAUGAAAUAAAAAGAUGGACAUGUGCAAGUCCACAGAAAAAGAAAAUUGAGCACAUGAACGCUCAUAUAUAAAAAAAAAAGAAAAAAAAAAUGCUAGCCAUGUCUCAAUACAUAGAGAGUCUAUCAAAUAAAGGAGCAACCUAGUCCACCAUAUAUCACACUUGCACAUCUUGAUCUGGGAGUAUGACACUUCUCUUCAAGGAUCCGAGCUUUGACUUCGCAAUACAUGCAAAGUAAGUAUGCUAUCUCCUUUCAUCCCUACCUUGAACUCCACAUAAGCCUUUUAGAAAUAGGAUGAAAUAGAGAAGGCAACUCUUAUCAUAUGCCUUGGUGAGGAAUCAUACACCAUUUGAGUGACAUGAGAGAACCAUAAGAGGAACAUUUAAGCUUUCUUUUGAAAAUAUCACAAAACCUCUGAUAUGAAACUUGCUAAGAAUGAGAAAGUUAGUGCUCAAGUCAAACUGUUCUGUCUCUCAACCACCUAAGACAAAGGAAAAGCCAUAAGCCCCAUAAGGGACUAAGGUAAUAGGGGUAAGUUUACAUAGCUAAAUUUUUCAUGCAAAGAGAAGAACUUUGUUGUACACAUGGUACUCUUGAAAUGUGAACAUAGUAACAAUACCUGAUCCACCGAGGCUAAGUUUGAUUGUUUGCUCGGGACGAGCAAAGGUUAAGCUUGGGGGAUCUUGUUGACGGUGGAUAUACCAUAGAAAUCCACAUACAAAACACCGUCAACAUGCCUCGGUUGCAAGGGGAAACGACAUGACAUGAACAUAUUUUAUCCAUAACUAGUUCCACUUGUACUCUUAGCUUGUUUAUGCAGGAACAACAAAUUCAAGACAUUAUUUGACAAAGCCAACAUCAGAAUCAUCAAGAGGAGAUCGAGGGGACAACAGGUGACACCCUGGGCCCACAGGGAGGGGGUCGCCCGACCCCUCUUUGGUGGGACCCAGGUGUGCCACCUAGUCCACCGACAUAAGGGACCCCUGUGGACACUGCUGGUGGGCCCAGAGGCCCAGAAGUGGGGUCGCCCGACCCCACAUCAAAGGCGGUUCCAGGGUCGGUGGCCUCCCACCGACCUUCCCCACAUGUCCCACAUGUUGAUUUGCCCCUGCCGUUGAUCAAAUGGCGGUUGUGAGGUCGGUUUGAUCCAAGGGUGGAGAGAAGAUGUCACGUGGAUCGAUGACGUGGCGAUGGAGUAACCCCUACUCCAUCUCCCUCUAUAAAAGGCAACCUCCAUCCUUCAUUUCAAGUGUGCAAUUCCAAGGCCAAGUGCAUUACAAGUUCCAAGCAUACAAGUAGAGUAGUAGUUAGUCUAGAGUGGGAGUUAGAGUCGAGUCGAGCGAAGCUCGGGGUCUCCGGAGUCGUCUUCUGGAGAGUCUGGUAUAGCUCUUGUACCUUUCUACUUUUGUAAGACUUUCCUUUUAUUAAUAUAUUAUUCUUACUUUACUUUACUGAGUUCUUACUUAGUGCAAGUCUUUUAGUCUUGUUGUGCAUUUACUUUAGUAAUAUAGUUGUCUUAGUGAAGUUAGUGACCUGUAACCACUCCUGUGUGUGCAUCAUCGUCCUAUCUUGUAUAGGAGCUCUAGCUAGCUGCAACUAGUUAGCGUUGUAGGAUUAAGUGUGAGCGUGGUGCUCAUACUUAAGAUUACCUUUGAUUACCGCUGGCUUGAACGGAAAGUAGGAGCGCACUCCCUAGUAGGUGACAGAUCGUGGGCGGCAUUAGGUUCUCCUCACGUACAGGCUAGUUCUUAAAAGGUAAGGCGUCCAUAAGCCCAAUAGUUGCUUUCGGUAAGGGGUUAGGUGAAAAACCUUCUAAGCGUCACCAGCUCGGCUAUCCCUCGCACACAGUUAGUAAGGCUCUAGCGUAGUUAAGGCAAUUAUCUAUUAAAGUAAGUCACAGAAGUCAAGUUAGAUACAUAGGAGUCCUUUACUCACUCGUUGUCCUCCCACCUAGCUAACUCUACCAUUUACCUUUAGCAUAGGACCUUGGAUUCACCACUACCCUUCCUAUUCGUUAUUUACCACCCUUAUUCACUAGUUGAUACUAGAUAACUCAAGGAAUCUCAUUCCCCUUUUUGUUAAACACACUUAGCCGCUUUCCCUUGGGAAAAUAUAAAUUACGAUACCUUGGAAAACUCCUUGGUGAAGUGCUACAGCGGUACAUUCUGUGCGCUUGCGGAAUUAUCCAAUAGUAAAUAGAGUUACCCUACCAGGGCACUUCUGGCGCCGUCGCCGAUAUCCGGUGGUUGCGUUAAGAAGUGUCAACAAAUGCUAGUGAAGCUCAAUUGUCAACAUGCUUGCUCACUAAAUCUAGCAUGGGUUGGUUAUGGCAUAGAAGGCUUGGUCAUGUUGGAAUGAAACAGUUGAAUAAGUUAGUUAAACAUGAUCUUGUUAAAGGCUUGAAAGAUGUCACAUUUGAGGAAGACAAGCUUUGUAGUGCAUGUCAAGCCGGAAAGCAAGUUGGCAACACUCAUCCAAAGAAGAGCAUCAUGAGUACAUGCAAGGCGUUUGAGUUGUUGCACAUGGACUUGUUUGGACCAACCACAUACACAAGCAUUGGUGGAAACAAAUAUGGAUUUGUGAUAGUGGAUGAUCUCACAAGAUACACAUGGGUGUUCUUUCUUAGUGACAAGAGUGAUGCUUUUGCAACCUUCAAAUCAUUUGUCAAGAGAAUACACAAUGAGUUUGAAACAAAAAUCAAGAAAGUGAGAAGUGACAAUGGAAGUGAAUUCAAGAAUACAAGAGUUGAUGAGCUUUGUGAUGAAUUUGGCAUAAGGCAUCAAUUCUCGGCCAAGUACACUCCACAAUCAAAUGGUCUUGUUGAAAGGAAGAAUACAACCUUAAUUGACAUGGCAAGAUCAAUGUAGAGUGAAUACAAUGUGAGUCAUUCUUUUUGGGCCGAAGCAAUCAACACGGCUUGCUACUAUAGCAACUGACUCUAUUGUCACCCAAUGAUGGAGAAGACUCCAUAUAAGCUCUUGAAUGGAAGAAAGCCCAACAUUGCAUAUUUUUGGGUUUUUGGUUGCAAAUGCUACAUAUUGAAGAAAGGCACUAGAUUGAGUAAAUUUGAAAAGAAAUGUGAUGAAGGUUUCUUGCUUGGUUACUCCACUACUAGCAAAGCUUAUAGAGUUUGGAAUUUGGCUAGUGGUACUCUUGAAGAAGUGCAUGAUGUUGAGUUUGAUGAAACCAAUGGCUCUCAAGAGGAAGAUGAGAAUCUAGAUGAUGUGAGAGGCACUCAAUUGGCCGAUGCAAUGAAGAAUAUGGACAUUGGUGAUUUAAGGCCUAGAGAAGUGAUUGAUGUCGAAGAUGACAAAGAUCAACUGCUUCCUACCUCUAAUGUGCAAGCUAGUGGUUCUCAUGAUCAAAAUCAAGCUAGUACAAGUGGUGCACAAGUGCAAGAUCAACAAGCUAGUACAUCAUCUCAUGAUCAACCAAGUGCAAGCAAUCAAGUGCAAAUACUCCAACCAACAAACAUUGCAAGAGAUCAUCCAUUGGAUCAUAUCAUAGGUGAUAUUCAAAGAGGAGUGCAAACUAGAUGAAGAUUAGCAUCAUUUUGUGAGCAUUUCUCCUUUGUGUCUCACAUUGAGCCAAAGAAGAUUGAUGAAGCAUUGAGAGAUGUUGAUUGGGUUAAUGCUAUGCAUGAAGAGCUUAACAACUUCAAGAGAAAUCAAGUAUGGGAAUUAGUUGAGAGGCCUAAUGAUCAUAAUGUCAUUGGUACUAGAUGGGUCCUUCGCAACAAGCAAGAUCAAGAUGGGAUAGUUGUAAGAAACAAAGCAUGAUUGGUAGCACAAGGCUAUACUCAAGUUGAAGGUCUUGACUUUGGUGAAACAUAUGCCCCAGUUGCAAGAUUGGAAGCAACUAGGAUCUUGUUGGCCUAUGCUUGUGCUCAUAAUAUCAAGCUAUACCAAAUGGAUGUCAAGAGUGCUUUUCUCAAUGGCUAUAUCAAUGAAGAUGUCUAUGUUGAGCAACCUCCCGGUUUUGAAGAUGACAAGAAACCCAACCAUGUUUACAAGCUUAGAAAGGCAUUGUAUGGUUUGAAGCAAGCACCAAGAGCAUGGUAUGAGAGAUUGAGAGACUUCUUACUCUCUAAAGGUUUCAAGAUGGGCAAGGUAGACACCACUCUCUUCACCAAGAAGAUUGGCAAGGACUUGUUUGUGUUGCAAAUAUAUGUUGAUGAUAUCAUAUUUGGAUCAACCAAUCAAGAAUUUUGUGAAGAGUUUGGCAACACGAUGGCUAAUGAAUUUGAGAUGUCAAUGAUUGGAGAGCUUAGUUACUUCCUUGGUCUUCAAAUUAAGCAAUUGAAGAAUGGCACAUUUGUGAGUCAAGGCAAGUAUAUAAAAGACAUGCUCAAGAAGUUUGGAAUGGAUGAUGCAAAGUCAAUUAUCACUCCAAUGGGAACAAAUGGAAGCCUAGAUAAUGAUACAAGGGGAAAUAUGGUGGAUCAAAAGUUAUAUUGGUCUAUGAUUGGAAGCCUACUCUAUGUGACCGCAUCAAGACCGGAUGUCAUGUUUAGUGUAUGUAUGUGUGCAAGAUUCCAAGCCUCACCAAGAGAAAGUCAUUUGAAGGCAACAAAGAGAAUAUUGAGGAACUUGAAGCAUACACAAAAUGUUGGUCUAUGGUAUCCCAAAGGUGCAAAGUUUGAACUUGUUGGAUAUUCCAAUUCGGACUAUGCGGGAUGCAAAGUUGAGAGAAGAAGCACAUCGGGCACAUGUCAACUAUUGGGUAGAUCACUUGUCUCAUGGUCAUCCAAGAAACAAAAUAGUGUUGCACUAUCAACCGCCAAAGCGGAGUACAUUGCGGCCGGUAGUUGUUGUGCACAAAUCCUAUGGAUGAAGGCAACUCUGAAGGACUUUGGAAUCAACUUCAAGCAAGUGCCAUUGCUAUGUGACAAUGAAAGUGCCGUGAAGCUCACCAACAAUCCGGUUCAACACUCAAGAACAAAGCACAUAGAUGUCCGCCAUCAUUUCAUUAGAGAUCACCAACAAAAAGGGGACCUUUGCAUUGAGAGUAUAGGCAGCGAUGAUCAACUUGUCGAUAUAUUCACCAAGCCACUUGAUGAGAAGAGGUUUUGCAAGCUAAGGAAUGAAUUGAACAUACUUGACUUCUCAAAUAUGUGUUGAUGCACCCCCACUAUAUGACAUGCCUCUCCUUCGAGCAAAGCAAGGUAAAAUUGUUUGACAUGUCAUCCAUCUUUGCUAAGGAUGUGUUUAGUGCAUCUAGUCAUUCCUUACAUGUCUUAGGCUCAUUCAUGAAAAUAAAAUGAAUUUGAUGCUUGUAUGGUACCACUACUGCUUUUAUGCUUGACUUGAUCUAGUGGUAGCAUAUGACACGUUUGUGGGCUUGCAAUCCUAGUGUUUGAUCUAAAAUAUGAGCUAUAAGUGUUUAACUCAACAUGGUACAAGAUAACCCUUAUUUGGAGGUGUGAAGAAGCUUGUCCUUGGAUCAAACCGAGUUAAAUAUCUUAGGUAAGUAAUCUAGAUUGGACCAAUUUGGGAAAAUGAUCUCACUUCACAUGGUUUCACACUAACCUAUCUAAAAUUUUAGCUCACCUUUUGUGGUCUUUGAUGACAAAGGGGGAGAAAAUUUUCCAAAGAUUUAAGAUAAGGGAGUAACAUGAUAAAAGAAGGGGAUCAAUUAAAAUUUUGAAGCACACAAGUAGGGGGAGCAAGCUCAUAAACUUGUAUGUUGCAUUUGUAUGUGCAUCACAUAUGGUUGCUUGCAUUUGCAUUAGCUUUAGAAGCUUUCUCUCCAAUGCCUUGCUUGUGUGGUGUAUGCUAGUUGUAGGCUUGAUUGUUGAAAUAAAGAACUACCAUGCAUAGGUAGUGUAACUAGACUUUUAGUUGUUUCACAUGUGGUACUAAAACCUUGUUUAUAAUGUUGAUCUCACGAGGUGUUCUAGUUUUUGUGAAUGUCUAGUUACUAAUGGUGCUAAGUAUGGUAUACAUUGGCAACUCCGAUUGGUAUCACGCUUCAAAGGUCCAUUCUUUACACCUUAGCAUCAUUUGGUAGAAAUUGACUCCUAUAUUUCCUAUUCAAGCAUAUGUGCAAGCUUUCAAAUCCAAACUCUUAGGACAUAUGUAGGGGGAGCAAUUGCUACCAAUUUGGGUUUAUGAAACUUCUCCAUAACCUUUGCACAAGGUAAAAUGCUUGGACAAGCAACAUGAAUCCAAGAAAAUUUUAUUGAAAAUCUUUGUAAAAAGGGUUGUCAUCAAUUACUAAAAAGGGGGAGAUUGAAAGCCCUAGUUUGGUUUUGGAUAAUUGAUGAAACCCUAGUACUAACCUCUAUGCUAAGUGUGUGUAGACUUAAUGAGGUUGGUACAUGCCAAGUGAUGGAGCAAGUGAUGAUCAUGGUGAUGAUGGUGUUGACCACAAGAUGAUCAAGUGCUCAACUUGGAAAAGAAGAAAGAGAAAAACAAAACCCUAUGGAGAUCAAGGCAAAGGUAUUGCUUAGGGUUUUGGUUUUGGUGAUCAAGACACCAUAGAGGAUGUGAUCACAUUUAGGAUAGAUAGCCGUACUAUAAAGAGGGGAAUUCUUUGGCUAAGCGGUUAUCAAGUGCCACUAGGUGUCAUUGUUCAUGUGCAUGCAUUUAGAACCUAGUGAGCUAACUUAACUCCUUCAAAGAAAAUGAUUGUGAAAUUGCUAACACACGUGCACUUGUUGGUUUACGCGUUGUGGUGUCGGCGCUUUUCGAGAAAAUUAAGUGUAUAUUUUCUAUUGCGCUGGUGGGAAAUUUGGAGAAGUCACGGGAGUGUUUCCCGCUGAGGAACACUCACUGGACGCUGGAUCAGAGGCACCGGAUGCUGUCUCUGAGCAUCCGGUCCAGACAGUGCCUGGCCCAGCUAGGGUAAGGCACCGGACGCAGGCCUGUGCAUCCGGUGGUUAGCGUCCGGUGUGCGGACGUUUUGCGACCCUCUCUGCGCAUGGGUCCGGUGAGCACCGGACGCUACCGGACGUUAAGGGUGCAUCCGGUGGCUUGCGUCCGGUGACCCUGCAAUUUUGCGGAGCUCUCUGCGCAUGGGUCCGGUGUGCACCGGACGCGUCCGGUGCUAACCUGCUUAGCGUCCGGUGCUCUGCAGGUUACCGUUAGACUCUGACACGCGGCUGACGUUGGAGCACCGGACGCUAGUGUUGAGCGUCCGGUGCCCCUUUAAGAGCGUCCGGUGACCCCGUAUUUCGCCCUGUGAAAGAGCCAAUGGCUCUAUUUGUUUGAGGGGCUAUAAGUACAUGUUUGGCGGGCUUGGGGCUCACUCUCUUGGCAUUCUUGACUACUAUACAUCCUUGUGAGCCUAAGCAAACACCUCCCAUUCAUCUCCUUCAUAGAUUAUACAUGUUUGUGAGAUUGGGAGUGAUUCCAAGUGCAUUUGCUUGAGUGAUUGCAUGUAGUGGCACUUGGGGAUCGUUUUGGCUGUGGUUUUCUUGUUACUCUUGGUGGUUGCCGCCACCUAGACGGCUUGGAGCAGCGGAGGAGGAUUGGCACGAGUUGGUGAUUGUUCGUGGCCAUCUCCCAGUGAUUGUGAGAGGUUUGUGCCUACCUCGAUGGAGUGCCAAAGGCAACAUUAGAGGAUUGCUCGUGUCAUUGAGCUACCUCACUUGUGGGUAGGUUCUUGUGGUGUCCUAGUGAUGACGAGGUUCGUGCUACACCUCUUAGCCACCGAACCACCAAGUGUUGGUCGACAUAACGGGGACGUAGCGUGCCGGCAAGCACGUGAACCUCGGGAGAAAAAUCUUGUGUCUCCAUUGUGUUUGUUGAUUGGAUUUCUCCCGGUGAUUGGACUUCAUAAUAUUGUGAUUGGUUCAUCCCCUCUACGUGGUGGUAUAAAAGAUCAAACUCUCCCUCUUACUUUCUUGCAAACUAGAGUAGCUUACUUCUUGUAUAGAAACUUUAGGUAGCUCUCUAGUGUAAGUAGAGACUUAGUUCUUGUGUGCAUAGUGAUCAUAGCAACUAGAAUUGUUGGGUAGGUGGCUUGCAAACACCCCAUUAGAGCUAGAGCAAAAAGCUUCGCUUUGUUAUUUACUAACCUCUUGCUCUAGUGUUUUUGUAGAAUUUUUAAAUAGGCUAUUCACCCCCUCUCUAGCCACAUUAGGACCUUUCAUCCGAUCCGGCCAAGGCCUUGUUCAAGACCCUCAGAGGCCAAAUUCCUGCCGAUGCUGAAGAAAUCCUUUUUCAAGCUGCACACCUAGAGAGUCACCAACUACAGUACCAAAAGGCUGCCCAGCGUCUUGCCGAUAGAGCUGCUCACGCUCAGCUCUCUGAGGAGAUGAUGAAAAUAAAGCUCCUUGCCAAUGAGAAGCACAAGAACAUCGGCAUUUUGACAUCCUCAGGAGAUGUAUUGAAACAAAAGAUUUAUGAUCUAUCGGCGAGAAGGGAAGCCCUGUUGGCAGAACUCAAAUAGGUAGAAGAAGCCUUAUCUCAAGCCCAACAAGAAGAAAGCCAACUGCCUGAAACGAUCAAGCUUCUUGAACAAGACCGAAAUAUCCAGGCUCGCAAAGCACUGCAUAUGAAGAAGAAGCUGAAACCAGUCGAAGGUUCUGCAGAUGAUGACGUGAAGGAAAUAGAAGAAGCCAAACAGAUCCGACUGCACGCUAUAUCGACGAUCCAGGCGCUGUUGAACAUGUGAACUCUUCAUCGGUGACAUACCCUGCUCUCUUCUUUCCAAUCCUCCUGAUAUUUUGGUCUAGCCGAUAGGACUGUUAUCGGCACCUUUUAAAAACAUUGAGUUUAGCCCCAGACACACUUUGAUCUAGCCGAUGGGAAUGCUAUCGGCAUUUUAAACUCUUAUGCAUCAACCCAUAUGCUUGGGUGAUACUUCUUUAAAUACUUGCCAUUCAAUGCUCUGGGAAAUUCAACUCCUUCGAGAGUUUCUAAGAUAUAGGCAUUGCCAGGAGCAGACCGAUUUACCCGAUAGGGACCUUCCCAAUUGGGAGACCACUUCCCAAAUUUUGAACUUUUAGUCCCGAUCGGUAAGAUUAAUUUCCAUACUAAGUCUCCAUCGGCAAAGUCCUUAGCUUUUACCUUCUUAUCAUACCAUUUGGCAACUCUCUUCUUAUUCUCUUCUAUACUCAUCAAAACUCUUAGCCGAUGCCCUGCUAGGUCAUCCAACUCGUCUGUCAUCAAGGUAGCAUAAUCAUCGGUAGCCAAUUGAUCUUGAAAAGAUAAUCGCCUAGACCCAGUCUUAAUUUCCAAAGGUAACACUGCAUCAUGUCCAUACACCAACUGAUAAGGUGAAACUUUGAUCGACCCAUGACAAGCCAUCCGAUACGACCAUAAAGCUUCAUUUAACAACGUGUGUCACAUCCUAGGAUUUUCUUCAAUCUUUCGUUUAAUGAGCUUGAUGAUUCCUUUGUUAGAUGCCUCGGCCUGCCCAUUAGCUUGAGCAUAAUAAGGAGAAGAAUUUAAUACUUUAAUUCCCAUACCGAGUGCAAACUCAUCAAACUCCCCUGACGUAAACAUAGUACCCUGAUCGGUAGUAAUUGUUUGAGGAAUUCCAAAUCGGUAGAUAAUAUGCUCUUUCACAAAAUCAGUCAUAUUGGCCGAUGUAACUCUCUUCAAAGGAAUAGCUUCAACCCAUUUGGUGAAAUAAUUGGUAGCAACCAAAAUAAACUUAUGUCCUUUGCUGGAUGGCGGAUAAAUCUGGCCGAUCAAGUCAAUAGCCCAUCCUCGAAACGGCCAAGGUUUAAUAAUGGGAUUCAUGGCCGAUGCGGGUACCCUUUGAACAUUGCCAAACUUCUGACAUCCUUGACACCCUUUGAAAUACUUAAAACAAUCCUCAAGUAUAGUUGGCCAAUAAUACCCAUUCUUCUGAUCAUCCACUUCAUCUUAAAUGCCGACUGGUGUGCUCCACACACUCCUUCAUGGAUUUCCCCCAUUAAACUUUUAGCCUCAUCAUCACCUAAGCAUUUGAGAAGAACUCCAUCAAUUGUUCGAUAAUAUAGUUCAUCUUCGAGGAGCACAUACUUGGUGGCUUGAAACCGAACACGUCUCUCAACUUUCUUGGAUGGAUCCUUUAAAUAAUCAAUAAUUUCUUUUCUCCAAUCAUCGGCACUGAUUGCCGAUACUGCGUUUAUCAUGGGCUGGUAUCCCGAGGCAUGCUAAGCCAACCGAUUGGCCUCUUCAUUAUGCAACCGAGGAACAUGCUCCAAUCGGAAAUCCUUGAAUUCCUUUAACAGUUGCACACUCCUUUCGUGAUAAGUUAUCAGGACUUCGCUUCGGCAUUCAUAGCUUCCAGAUAAUUGAUUUAUAACCAGCACAGAAUCCCCGAAGAUUUCAACAGCAUCAGCAUGAACUUCCCUUAAUAAUUCCAACCCCUUUAUCAAAGCUUGAUACUCAGCUUGAUUAUUUGUUGAUGUGGCAACAAUCGGCAAGGAGAACUCAUACACGCCCCCCGGUCACACGUGGAUCCAUCAAAGAAGAGCGUCCAAGGUACAAUUUCCAAAGUCUCCACUGUACCGCAAUGUUGAGUUACAAAAUCGACCAUAAUCUAUCCCUUAACCGCUUUAGCCGAUUCGUAACGCAAAUCGAAUUCCGACAGUGCCAAAAUCCACUUACCGAUCCUGCCACUUAUAAUCGGCAUAGACAGCAUAUAUCGGACCACGUCAUCUUUGCAUAUGACAGUGCAUUCAGCCGAUAACAAAUAGUGUCUCAACUUAAUACAUGAGAAAUAAAGACACAAACAUAACUUUUCAAUGGCCGAAUACCUGGUCUCAGCAUCAACCAAUCUCCUGCUUAAAUAGUAAAUCACACGUUCCUUCCCUUCAAAUUCUUGAAUUAAAGCCGAACCGAUGACCAUCCCAUCGGUAGACAAAUACAACAUGAAGGGCUUUCCUUGCUGAGGUGGAAUCAGAACUGGAGGAUUUACCAAAUAAUUCUUGAUUUUAUCUAAGGCCAGUUGUUGCUCUUUCCCCCAGACGAUCUCUUGAUCGGCUCUCAACUCUAGUAAAGGGCUGAAAGCACGAAUUUUACUAGACAAAUUAGAUAUAAACCUCCUGAUAAAAUUUACCUUGCCGAUCAAGGAUUGGAGCUCAGUCUUAUUGUUAGGAGCAACUAUUUUGUUGAUAGCAUCAAUGGAUCUUCGACUAAUUUCAAUCCCCCUUUGAUGCACCACGAAACCAAGGAAUUGUCCUGCCGAUACACCAAAUGCACACUUAUUGGGAUUCAUCUUUAAACCAUGCUUCCUUGUACAUUCUAACACCUUUCGCAAAUCGGCAAGAUGCUUUAUGAAGUCUCCUGACUUAACCACAACAUCAUCAGUAUAAAUUUCCACCAGCUUGCCGAUGAACUCAUGAAAUAUAAAAUUCAUAGCCCUCUGAUAAGUAGCACCAGCAUUUUUCAAGCCAAAGGUCAUGACUAUCCAUUCAAACAACCCAACAUGACCAGGACAUCUAAAUGCAGUUUUUUGAAUAUCCUCUUCAGCCAUGAAUAUCUGAUUGUAUCCUGCAUUGCCAUCCAUAAAGCUGAUGAUCCGAUGCCCAGCUGCAGCAUCCACUAGUAGAUCGGCAACUGGCAUUGGGUAGCCAUCCAUCGAUUUAGCUUUAUUAAGAUUUCUGAAAUCAAUGCAGACCCGAAGCUUCCCAUUUUUCUUCUAAACCGGAACAACAUUGGAAAUCCACUCGGCAUACUGACACUGCCGAAUAAAUUUAGCUUCAAUAAGUUUGGUUAUUUUGGCCUUAAUAUCAGGAAGAAUAUUAGGAUUACAUCGGCGAGCUGGCUGUUGAUGUGGCCGAAAUCCAGACUUGAUAGGCAACCGAUGUUCAACAAUUGAUCGGUCCAAACCAGGCAUCUCAGUAUAAUCCCAAGCAAAGCAAUCUUUAUAUUCCUUUAACAAAUCAGUUAACUGUUGCUUACACUCAGAAUUUAACUUAGCACUGAUAAAAGUAGGUCUAGGCUUAUCACCACUACCUAUAUCCACUUCUACCAAAUCAUAGGCCGAUGUGAAUCCCUGGCCCAAUUUUCCAUCAUCGGUGAACCUAUCCAUUAAAAACCUUCAUCAGAACCGACUGCUUGGAUCGGUGGAAUUUCAUAAUCGGCAACUUUGAGAAAAUCCUUCUCCCAAAUUUCCCCCGAGAUGCACCUAGUCCUUUCAUAAGUGUCUGCUUCUGCCGAUGCGAUGACAUAAGAAGAAUCCCCCGGGACGAUCUCAAUCUUGUCACCUACCCACUGGACCAAGCAUUGGUGCAUUGUAGACGGGAUGCAACAAUUGGCAUGAAUCCAAUCUCUCCCUACCAGCAAAUUAUAAGCACCUUUUCCGCUGAUCACGAAGAAAGUUGUCGGCAAGGUUUUGCUGCCGAUGGUCAACUCAACGCACAUUGCCCCCUUAACUAGAGACACAUUUCCUUCAAAUUCUUUCAGCAUCAUAUCGGUCUUGGUCAAAUCUUGAUCCCCUUUUCCAAGCUUCCGAUAUACUGCAUACGGCAUGAUGUUGAUAGCGGCUCCACCAUCAAUUAAUAUCUUUGUCAUUGGCUGACCAUCAACCCUUCCUUUGACAAACAAAGCUUUAAGAUGCUGCCUUUCAUUGUCGGCAGGCUUUUCAAAGAUAGCUGUCAUCGGACCCAGAGCCAACUGAGCUAUCUGGUCGGAAAACUCCAACUCCUCAUCAUCGCUGGACGAUGCAAGGAAUUCCAUCGGCAACAUAAAUACCAUGUUGACAUCUGCCGAUGGCCCUUUUCCCUUAGGAUCUAAUCAUUGCUGAUCCCCAGAUUGGCCAGAAUUCUCGCCCUUGCUUAGCUCUUCUCGUCUUUUGCGCUGCAGUCUUCUUUUCUAUGUUUUAGUUAACCCCUCUAGACACCAUGGGGGAAGUGGUGACUGCCUUGCCGAUGGACGACGAUAUUCCCUUGACUCCAUCCGAUGAGUAUUAGCAUCUCUGCAAAAUAUGAAUUCAUCGGGAACUCGUGCAUUAGCCAUCUCUUCAAGCUCUUCCUGAUUCCUGGGAAAAUAUUCAACACGAUCACCAAGCCUAUCUUGCAUACUGAGCCUGCCCCCCAUCCGAUCAUGAACGGACGCUCUCCCCCUAAUCGGCCCAUUAAUUCGUCGAUCAUCAUUGUGAUAGCGCCGGUCGGAUCGGUCAUUCUGAUCAUAACCAUUGCACUCAGGACAAUCUCUAAUAGUGGGCAACUUGAUGUUCUGCUCCCAGCAAUGGAUAAAGAACGGGCAGUUCAAGUGAUCCUUGUGCCAAUUCCACUCCUGUCGGCGUCUUUCUUCUUCCCGAUUAUCGUAUUCUUGCUGGCGCCGAUACCGAUCCUCACGUUGCUGCCAAGUUUCCCGAGGCCUUCUAUGAGUUAUCACAAUACCAGAUCGGGGAGGCCUUCCCGAGUUAGUUCCCUCCUGGAUCAAGCCUUUUCCUUUUGCAUCGGCAGUAGUGAUCUGAUGCUGAGGAUCCACCGAUACACUUCUUUCAGCUGCUUCUGAUGUCAAGACCUUGGCCUUUCCCUUAGCAUCUAGCAUGUUUGUUGGGAAAGGAUGUUGAUCAAUCUUCAUUGGCUUCUGAGUUUUGGAGCUGUCAAAUUUGAUCCUCCCAGAUUCUAUAGCCGAUUGCAGCUGUUGUCUAAAAACUUUGCACUCAUUGGUGCUGUGAGAAGUUGCAUUGUGCCAUUUGCAGUACUUCAUCUUCUUCAAUUCUUCAGCCGAUGGGAUUACAUAAUUGGGUGACAAUUUGAUCUGACCUUCCUGAAGUAGAAAGUCAAAUAUCCUAUCGGCUUUGGUGAUGUUAAAUGCGAACUUCUCUGGCUCUUUGUGCCCAAAAGGGCAAGACAUCGGCUUCUUAUUCUUUACCCAUUUUGCCAAGCCGAUGACUGGCUCUUCAUCAGAAUUUUAGCUUGCUGCCUCAUCAACAAAUGACACCUUUUUGUUCCAAGCUCUCUUGGGUUCAAAGGGUUUGAUAUCCUAGUCGGAAAUCCUCUGGACCAAGUGACUCAGGCUCUCGAACUCUUGAGAAUCAUAUUUGUCCCUGAUAUGUGGCAACAAACCCUGGAAAGCCAAAUCGGCUAGCUGCCGAUCAUCCAAAACCAGACUAUAGCAUUUGUUAUUGACUUCCCGCAAUCUCUGUACAAAACUUUCAACCGAUUCAUCGUUACGCUGUUUCAAUCUGACCAAAUCAGUAAUCUUCUUCUCAUGGACUCCAGAAAAGAAGUACUUGUGGAACUGCUUCUCCAGAUCGGCCCAAGUAAUCACUGAAUUAGGAGGCAAUGAUAUAAACCAAGUGAAAGCCGAUCCAGACAAAGAUGAUGAAAACAGUCGAACCCUCAAUUCAUCCCUGUUAGCAGCUUCUCCACAUUGGAUGAUGAACCUGUUGACAUGUUCCAUGGUUGAUGUGUCAUCCUGUCCAGAAAACUUAGUGAAAUCUGGUAUCUUAUGCCGAUUUGGAAGUGGAAUCAAAUCAUAUGCAGGAGGAUACGGUGUCCGAUAAGAGUAAGUGUUGACCUCGGGUUUUAUCCCAAAUUGAUCCCUCAUUACUUCAGCAGUCUUAUCAGCCCAAUAAGCAUCGGCAUCUUGCCGAUGGGGUGGUUGCAGAUCUGGCGCCUGCUGAUACACUUCCAUGUGUCGUUGAGGCGCACGAUCUGCAUGGAACAUGGGGUUGAUUGUCUGACCACCAAACUGUUGACCAAGAUUCAUCGGCUGGUUGGGCAACCCUUGAUUCUGGAACCCGGGGUAGAUCUGGCCUUGUUGAAACCCUGUAGCCUGAUGGUUCUGUUGGGGCACUUGUGGAAAGACUUGUAGCCCAGGCCAUCCACUAUUAGCAUUCAUCGGCAUAGACCCUACCGAUGUCUAGUAAUUAGGCAUCAUCAUUGAAUUGACAUACCCUGGUUGAGUCAUAAACCUCUGUUGCGUCGGCUUUGAAUCUGCCGAUGCAUUAGGCAUCUGGAACGUCGGAGCUUGAGAAUUCCCAGUGUAAGGUCUUGCAGUAAUAGUCGUAGUAUAUUGGGGACUCUGAUUCAUCGGCAAAUUUGGAGGUGCCGAUGCAAUAGGAGCUUUGCCUCUCAUAUCAGCCGUGUGAGAUGUACUAGGUGUCUUCAACAUGAACUCUGGGGGCAUACCAAAACUCCACUAGUUAGGAGGGACAGAUCCCGACAUUGCCGAUGCCAACAGGUCUGUAGUGAGCUUGAUCUGCUCAUCUAAAGUUGAUGGAUUAGUCAUCAUCGGCGUGGAUUGCGCAUUAGUGACUCCUAACGUGCUUAGAGGAACAGCUGUUUCUGCACCUGCAGCGGCUGUUGCAGCCGAUGGAGCUGUGACAACUGGUGCUGAUGAUGAGAAGGACCAAUAUAAUUUGGUGGCAAUUGUCCCUCUUUGAAUGUUCUAGCCACGGCAUUGAAACCCGUAUUGGACAGCACACCAGCUUGAUUGAUCAAGGCACGGUUAAUAGCACUAUCAACCAUGUCUUGAAGUUUACCAGGAUUGGCUUCAAAAGUAACCUGCUGAGGCAUCGGCAGUGCUUCCUUCUGGAUCACCUCGCCACUCCUGUUUAUACUGAAGGACUUCAAACAUUGUUGCCUGUAAUCCUCCAUAGCCUUUGCAAUAGCUUGCUUCUGCUCAUCUUUGAGAUUAGCUUCCGUCACGGGGAUGACAUUCUCCAAGUUGACAUUGCUAGUCGCCAUGUCAAUCUUGGUCUUGAAUCAGGUCCCACUGGGCAUGCCAAAAGAUGUGUUGAUGCAAAAAGUGGAUCUGCAAACACAAAGGGCUAAUACCCGAUUCAAACAUUAUGGCGUGCCAGCCGAUUUGACCUUACUAUCAGCAAAGGUGAUAACUCGAAUACUUUGGUCCUGACAACAGCGAUGCGCCCGGAUGCCACGGCCAAGAGGUAUUCACGUGGAACUCGAGAAUAGGCCGAGCUUAAGUCGACGAACUCCUAAGAACUCGUAAUGAAAAGGAAAAUAUGACAAAGUCGUCGAAAAAGUAGAUGCUGGAAUAUGUGGGGGUAUAAACCCCUAUACCCUUACGGCUAGACUUCGGCCAGGAAGCUUGGCCCAUUACGAGACGAGUUCAAGGCUUGAUCCGACAACCUGGAGUUUCGCGCAAGGAAACAAGAUGGGGAGAUCAAGCAGGAUUCUAGUCGGUUAGAAUAGGAAUUGAUAUCGAAUUAUCCAUGGCAAUUGUAACCGACUAGGAUUAGUUUCCAGAUCUGUAACCCUGCCCUCCAGACUAUAUAAGGAGGGGCAAGGGACCCCCCUAGGACAUCAUAUUCUCUCAACACAAAUCAAUACAACCAGACGCAGGACAUAGGUAUUACGCCAACUCGGCGGCCGAACCUGGAUAAAAAGCUUGUCCGUGUCUUGCGUCACCAUCGAGUUCGUAGUUUGCGCACCGUCUACCGAUAAACUACUACCGUGGGUAUACCCCAAGGUAGACUGCCGACCAGCUUUCGUCGACAGUGGCGCGCCAGGUAGGGGGUGUGCAUACAGCUCUGCCGACGAACAAGAUGGCCAUCAUCCCCGACUUCGCGGCCAUGGCGGGCGACUUCACGUUCACCGUCAGCUUCAACAACUUCACCGCCAUGACCACGGAGGAGGUGUAGAUCCGAUCUGCGCCAACCACUUCUUCAUCGACGUCGGCGGCGGCUUCAACCACGCUGGCUACGACUCCGACUACUCCAGCAACGUCUCCGACCACGCCGACAACGCGUCACCCGCUUCCCUGCUACAAAGAGAGGCAGAUCGACAACACCGACCUGCUCGGGCCAUCGACCAAAUUGUUUAGCCUACUUGCUCUGACCACCAGUCGCAAUAAUAAUCGCCGCGAAGAACGACGCUACGACAACAGCGACCACCGUCAUGACAAGUCGAAAAGCUCGAGGGCCGGACAAUUUUGUCGUCACCGACUAGACUUUCAUGCAAAGAUAAGUACACUUCUAAUAUCUUAUUUAUUUUUGGCAUAAUAUUUUUUAUUAUCAUUCAAAAAAAACUUUUUGUUUAGCCACACUAGUUUUUUCUCCUACACGAGCUUUCCAGAGCCGGUACUGUCUCCGACUCCUCCCUACACGUGCACGAGAUCCGCCCUCUGCGUUCCGGGUGGUCGGCAGUAGCUCUCUAGCGAGGCUGGCAAUCCCACACGUGUCUAGGUUCCGCACCUCAUGCUGAUUGUUGGCUAGACCAGAGCUGGUACAAGCUCUAGGAUGAAUUAACUACUUGUGCUAAUUUUAUAACAAAAAAUCUAAAACUUAUCUCAGUACUGAUUUUUAUCUAAAGUUUAUUUAUACAUCAUGUACUACCUAUUCUUUAUAUUUAUUUUUCAGGGGUUUGGCCCAGUCGACAAGCUACGCUCGGGGACUCGUCGACUAUUCCCUACGCUGUGCCCUGGGACUGCUCCGACCACCGAGCACGUUUACGUUCCCAACCACGCUCGGGGACUUGUCGACUACUCUCUAUGCUAUGCUCGAAGACUGUGCCGACCACCGAGCACGUUUACGUUCCCAACCACGCUCGGGGACUUGUCCACCGGUCCCUACGCCGUGCUCGGGGACUGUGCCGACCACCGAGCACUAUACGCUCGGGGACUGGUCGACCAGCUCACCAAUUUACGAGCUUGGGGACUGCACCGACCACCGAGCACUAUACGCUCGGGGACUGGUCGACCAGCCACCAAUUUGAGAAUUCGGAGACUGUACCGACCAUCGAGUGUUCUAUACUCGGGGACUGGUCGAUUAGUCUAUUCAAUUGCAUACGAGCAUGAUAUGCUCGGGGACUGGUAAAUUCAAUUUUUUAGACCUUGCUACAAGGCUCAUACUUCGCCUUCCAGCAAGCUCGGGGACUACAUCGGUACGAUGCAUCUAGCGAUGCAUCUCAGUCUCAAAACUACUUUGGGGAAUUUUCUUUUGACCCUGGCACCAUGUGCCUACGUCACCUACUACCAGGCUCGGGGACUAAGUGGGCACACUUCACCUUGCGGUGAAUAUGCUUGCUUUUUUGAUGUUUAUACCUUCCAAAAAAGUAAAGUGGGCACACUUCACCAGGAAACAAAUCUUUUUUAAUUUAGAGCACCAUGCAUUCUUCGAACAACUCGCUUCUUCGAUGUCAAUGUUGAUCAACUGUCUUUUGAGUUGGUCAAAGAACCGUUGCAACUGUUUGGGCGAUUUUCCCACUUAUUGAAGACGUCAAGUCUAACUGAUCGAAGAAGCUCAAGACGGCGUGUUACAUCACAAUACAUGGUGCUCGGGGACUAGCUGUGGGGGUAUAAACCCCUAUACCCUUACGGCUAGACUUCGGCCAGGAAGCUUGGCCCAUUACGAGACGAGUUCAAGGCUUGAUCCGACAACCUGGAGUUUCGCGCAAGGAAACAAGAUGGGGAGAUCAAGCAGGAUUCUAGUCGGUUAGAAUAGGAAUUGAUAUCAAAUUAUCCAUGGCAAUUGUAACCGACUAGGAUUAGUUUCCAGAUCUGUAACCCUGCCCUCCAGACUAUAUAAGGAGGGGCAAGGGACCCCCCUAGGACAUCAUAUUCUCUCAACACAAAUCAAUACAACCAGACGCAGGACGUAAGUAUUACGCCAACUCGGCGGCCGAACCUGGAUAAAAAGCUUGUCCGUGUCUUGCGUCACCAUCGAGUUCAUAGUUUGCGCACCGUCUACCGAUAAACUACUACCGUGGGUAUACCCCAAGGUAGACUGCUGACCAGCUUUCGUCGACAGAAUAUGAGUAAAAACUUGUGUUUGGUUGAUUGAUAGAUUCCUUAUUACAAGGCCGUAGGGUCUACAUUUAUACCCUGCUCAAAGAGCUAUAAUCAGACACGACUAGGACUCAAAUUCCAAAUUAAACAGAAUCCGUAUACAAAACAAUUUAAAUAACUAAGGAAAGCACAAAACUAGGAGCCUAGAUGCUCUUUCAAUCUCCCCCUUUUUAGUGAUUGAUGACAAUAACCUCGUGUAUGAAAAGAGUUGAGGUUUUCAAAUGAAUUGGUUUCAAUAAGCAUGAUACAAUAAGAACAAAGGGAUUAGACAUACUUAUAUCAACCAAGUCCAACAUCCUGCAUCCAAAUAUGUGUGUGAAGCACAAUAGGAUAUAAACACAAGGCUCAUAAAUACUUCGGAGUAAAACGCGGAGGCAAAGGUAAUAUGAGCCAAACACAUGACAUAAUGAUAUCACAAUUAAGCACAAGUCAUGUCUCACAACCAUAGUGUAUCUCACACAAAUGCAAUGCAUAAAGAUAAACGUGAUGCAUGAUGGAGUAGCACACAUAAGAGUAUAUCAAAAGAAUAAAAGCCCACUCUAGCUCUCUAGCUCCCCCUAACUCUCAUACUCAUAACUCUCUCUCCCCCUUUGGCAUCAAGCGCCAAAAACCUAAGAAGACGGAGGUGGAGGCGGAGCAGUGGAGUCCCUCAGCACGGCCUCAAAAUGAGCUGCAUCAUCUGAACCAUCGGCCAUCGAGGCGGAGGAGGUGGAGUGACCCUCUGAGGCUGCACGAGUUGGCAAAGCGGUCUGGGUUUGCUCUAGAGGCGCUGAAGCGAUCACUGGCUGUGUGGGCUGCUCGAGUCCUGCUGACGAAGCUGGCACGGACUCGGUCAUUGUAGCUGAAGUCUCUAGCACGGUAGAAGAAGGUGCUAGCUGCUCGGACGAUGCUACUGACGACGACAGACGCUCUGUAGUGGUGACUGGCACCGUAAAGGCUGCAGGAGCCUGCAGAGGUGGAGGUGUAGGGUCACCAGUCAGAGCACUGUAAGUGAAGCUGAGGUGCGGGUCUGUCGACGAGUCCAACACAAGCUGUGACGCUGUCGCUAACUGAGGCGUGAAUCCAGAGCGGAGAGGCAUGAAUUGAGGUACCUGCUCAAAGCCAGAGGAGAUAGCACCCUGGGAAACCUGGUGCUGAGGCGUCGAAAACGGCUAACUCUGAGCAGGGAGCUGUAGAGGCUGCUGAGACUGACUCUAGGGAGCUGGAGUAGAUGGCCUGACAGACGAUGUGCCUGGAAGCUGAAUCUGUGGAAGCUGAAUCCCUGAGGUGGCCAUAAGAGCGGCCAUCAUCGCUGUCUGCUGAGCCUGAAAAGCUAAGAACUACCGCUGAAGCUCAUCCUGACGAGCCUGAAUUGCUGCAUUGAUCGUAGCCUGAUCCCUGUCCCUCCGAGCCUGCUCCUCAGCUGCUCUACACUGGUCAGCUCUCAUCCCCUCUAGUAUAGCUAGCAGUGCAGGGUCCGUAGCACUCGAAGAACCUCCUACCUCGUGGUCAUGCGCCCUAGGGGGAGGUCUGACACUGGGGGAUGAUAAUCAUCGUCCGAGCUGCCUGAAACAAAAUCAAACUCUCCCUUAGCCUCUGCAUCUGCAACAGCCCCAAUGGCUAUGUCCUGCUGCUCCUCGGUCUCUAGUACUGCUCCUAAACUGCGAGUGCCCCUAGGAGAAGGUGGGGGCACCGGGCCACGUGGUGCACGAGGAGGUGGUGUAGCUCUGAGGUCGUGGUGUGCUCUCAACAUUGUUGACGGUUCUUAAGUAUCAAUUUUAAUUAUCAGAUAAACAAGAGAAAGGACCAAUAUGCAACCAACACCUAGAAUUAGGGUUUGAUCUGACAGAAUUCCACGAGUUUUGUUGUUUAUCUGUUUCUGUAGGGGCUUAUCAGGAAAUAAGGAAGAAAGUCCCACAUGUCGGGAUUACAUAGAGAUAUCAACACACCGCGCGAUUUUCUACCAUCUAGAAGACUCCAGAAGCCACGAGAACGAAGCAGAGGCCGAAAGGGGCCAGGCCCAGGGCGCCCGCCAUGGUGACCUAGGCGCCCGCCCCCUGCUGGAUCCCGUUCGGGACUCUCUUCGCACACGAUGUUCCACCGACCUAAUGGAUCAAAGAUAAUGUAGUGCCACCUCGCCUACCGACCCAAAAACACAUAGAGGAGAAGGACUAUAUAAGGAGACCCCCUGGCCCCUGGGGAAGACAAGAAAUUAUCAUAGAGAUUGAGGGGUGCCCUCGAAGGAAAACCUCUUCUCUAAAUAAUAUUUCUUUUUAGGCUUAACAACCAUUGUAAAGUAGAAAUAGAUCUUCUAGUUUUUACUAGAUUGAGAGAGAUAGAGUGGAGGUGUAGAUUGGAGGAAGCCCGGCCUGUCGGUGUCUACUCCAAGCUUGUACCUGCGGGAUCAAGUUCUCUAAACCCGAAGCUUGCUCCUAGGAUUCUUCAGUAUUUCGACUUCUAAAUUCUAGUAAGUUCUUGUUUUAUUGUUCUUCUGGUUUAUGAGUUUACUUUAAUCUCUUCGCGUAGAGUUUAGAGUAAUCAUUGCUGGCAUAAACGUGGUGUUUAGGCUGAGGUACUCAUAAAUAUUCCCUGACUAGCUAGACCGUGGUAGUAGUGAGGAACGUGACAAUUCCGAGUUACCUUUGCAGACUAUAUCUCGUUAGCAGGAAGGAUAGGGUUUAUAGGUGCGGGUUGAACAUCCUUUGUGGUGUCUAGAUUCCGUUAGCCUCCCCAAUAGAACAGUAGAUCAUCCUUACCAAGGUUAGAAGAAGACUACGGUUGCAGUCUUCUCUAUUUAUCACUGACAUCGAGAGACAUUCUUUGUUGCCUAAAGGGUUAGUAGUAAUAGACCGGUUAGUCAGAUGCACUCUUUCUCCUAGUGGUAAAAAAAUAAAUACGAUACUCUGGAUAAUUUCCCAGGUGAAGUGCUCACCGAUAUCCGUGCGCUUGUGGAUCAAUUCCUUAUUGCGUUCCCAAAUAUCAACAAGCAUUUCUGGCGCCGUUGCCGGGGAGAAAGACGGUUUGCUGAGAUAACCUUGAGUCUUACUACUAGCUUGUAUCUAUACUUUUAUCUUUUCUUAUCUUUUAUAUUCUUUAUUUAUUUUCUUUACUCUUACCUUAUGGAAAACCAAAAUUCUAAAUCAAUCCAUGAGUCUGCAAUCCCUUCAGUAACUGACCUUUUACCAUGGGAGUCAUCACAGCCUAUCCAAACAUCCCAGUAUAAGUUAAGUUCUAGGUUGAUUGCCAUGAUUUAAAACCUAUCUUUUUUGGGAAAGGAAGACGAAAACCCUUACCUUCAUAUUAGAGAUUUUGAGCAAACAUGUGAUUGUCUUCGCAUUGAAGGCAUAUCUGAUAAAACUUUAUGUUGGAAGCUUUUUCCUUUUUCCUUAAGGGGAGAAGCUAGACAAUGGUACAGUCAGAAGGUAAGUCAACAACGAGGUGAAUGGGGAGUUUUACGAGCCAACUUUUGUCUAGAUUUCUAUUCCCUCGACCGUAUAGCCGACCUUAGACUCGAAGUCCUAUCUUUUAAACAAAAAGAUAAUGAAACUUUGGGAAAAUCCUGGAAACGUUUUUUCUGAUCUUUUAGAAUCUGGUCCAAACCUUAAUCUUGAAGACCCUGUUCUUUUAUUUCACUUUUUUUGAGGUCUUCAGAAAAAUCACAAACAAAUGCUACACACAAUGUCUAGAGGUUCUUUCUUUCGCAUCCCUACUGAUGAAGCUAGAGUGAUCCUAGAUAGAAUCCUAGAAGCUGAGAUGGAUAAUACCCUUCAUGAUGAAACCAACGAAGCCGAAGUAGACACUCAGCCAAAUUCUUCAUCUACUUUAGCUAUCCCAAGUUCUGAGCCACAAGAGGAAGAAAUUCCACCACCGGACUUCAUGCUGGAUAUAGAAUCCGAUCUUUUUACCGAUUUUGGAAACAUUUCAAACUACCAUUCUAUUAACAAACCCCAAAACGGUCAGUUUAGCAAUUAUUUGCCAAGUGAAUAUCAAUUGAGAGAGCUUAUCUCAGUCAUGAGUAGCGAAUGGUUGGAGGAAUCUGAGCUUUCCUCUGAUGUGAUUCGUUUGGACACACCCUCUAUAACUAUAUGCUGUGCUUAUAAUUCUAAUCGAUUUAAUGCUCUUUAUAAUCCUUUUGUGGGGAUCAACAUCAUGUCUGAAUCUUUUGCACUUAAACUAUUUAAAAAUCUUGUCCUAACCCCCACAACAAAGGUCAUAAAGGAAUCUUCGGGACGAUUAGUCCCCAGUCUUGGAAUUAUUAAUGUCCUACCUCUUACGGUAGAAGGCUCCAUGGUUCAUUUGAACUUCUAUAUCUUUGAUACAUGGGACUUUGACCUGUUGAUAGGACAACCUUUUAGAAGACUCCUUUAUGAAGGUCAUACUAGAAAGCUACACAUUUCUUUUGGAAAAGCCUUUAAAUUCCCAAUAACAAUUUCACACUCCUUAAACAAUAAGGCCGAAUCAUAUCUUUUGCCUGAUCCUAUGGAGGAGGUAAAGGCUGCAUCUCUAGUGCUUUUAGAAGAAUCAGACUUAGAAGACGAAACUCCUUUCUUCAUAGAAGUAGAAGCCGAACCUUCUGAACCUAUGCUUUCCUAAACAAUAAUCCAGAGUUUCCUGUGAUCAUUAGCAAUAAACUCACUCAGGAGCAAACUCUGCGAUUAAUGACCAUUCUUGAGAAACAUCACUCAGUUUUCGGCUACUCACUCCAAGAUCUUACAGGAAUCAGUCCUACGAUUUGUACCCAUCGUAUUCCAACAGAUCCUUCUGUUUCACCCUCUCGAGAACCCCAACGUAGACUUAAUAACACUAUGAGAGAGGUAGUUAAAAAGGAAGUUAUAAAGUUGCUGCAUGCAGGGAUUAUAUAUCCUGUGCCGCACAGUGAGUGGGUAAGCCCAGUUCAAGUUGUGCCUAAAAAGGGAGGCAUGACUAUUAUUAUGAAUGAAAAGAACGAGCUAAUUCCACAACGCACCGUCACAGGAUGGCGGAUGUCCAUAGACUAUAGAAAACUAAACAAAGCCACGAGAAAGGAUCACUUUCCUUUACCUUUCAUAGAUGAGAUGCUAGAGCGGUUAGCGAACCAUUCGUUCUUCUGUUUUUUAGAUGGAUAUUCAGGGUAUCAUCAGAUCCUGAUCCAUCCCGAUGAUCAAAGCAAAACCACUUUUACAUGCCCAUAUGGAACUUAUGCUUAUCGUAGAAUGUCUUUUGGGUUAUGUAAUGCACCAGCUUCUUUUCAAAGAUGCAUGAUGUCUAUAUUUUCUGAUAUGAUUGAAGAGAUUAUGGAAGUUUUCAUGGAUGAUUUCUCUGUUUAUGGAAAAACUUUUGAUAGUUGUCUUGAAAACUUAGACAAGGUUUUGCAAAGAUGUGAAGAAAAGCACUUAGUCCUUAAUUGGGAAAAAUGUCAUUUUAUGGAUAGAGAAGGAAUAGUGCUGGGACACUUAGUGUCUGAAAGAGGUAUUGAGGUAGACAAAGCUAAAAUUGAAGUAAUUGAACAACUACCUCCACCUGUGAAUAUAAAAGGAAUUUGAAGCUUUCUUGGCCAUGCUGGUUUUUAUUGUAGAUUUAUAAAAGAUUUCUCAUUCAUUGCAAGACCACUUACUCUUUUGCAAGCCAAGGAUGCUCCUUUCGAAUUUGAGGAUGCAUGUCUAACACCUUUUAAUUUAUUAAAGAAAGCACUCAUCUCUGCACCAAUCAUUCAACCCCCUAAUUGGUCAUUGCCUUUUGAAAUUAUGUGUGAUGCUAGUGAUUAUGCUGUGGGGGCAGUUUUAGGACAAACUAAAAAUAAGAAGCAUCAUCCAAUUGCUUAUGCUAGUAAAACUUUGACAGGAGCUAAACUUAAUUAUGCAACCACUGAAAAAGAGCUUCUGGCUGUUGUCUUUGCCAUUGAUAAAUUUAGAUCUUAUUAAGUUGGAGCUAAAAUAAUUGUUUACACUGAUCAUGCUGCACUAAAAUAUUUGCUCACUAAAAAAGAUGCUAAACCUUGCCUGAUUAGAUGGAUCUUAUUACUCCAAGAAUUUGACUUAGAAAUAAAAGAUAAAAAGGGAGUAGAAAAUUCUGUUACUGAUCACUUGUCUAGAAUGUAUUUUAAGAGUCCACAGGAAACCCCCAUCAAUGAUUCACUCCGGGACGACAUGCUCUACGGGAUUAACAGGUCUGACCCCUGGUAUGCAGAUAUUGUUAAUUUUAUGGUUUCAGGGUAUGUACCACCAGGUGCAAACAAGAAGAAGCUUAUUCAAGAAAGUCGUUCACAUAUAUGGGAUGAGCCAUACCUCUUCCGAGUAUGCUCUGAUGGCUUACUCAGGAGAUGUGUGACCACUGAGGAAGGAUGGAAGAUCAUCGACAGAUGUCAUUCAUCACCAUAUGGAGGUCACUAUGGAGCAUUCCGCACACAUUCAAAGAUCUGGCAGUGUGGAUUUUCUACUGGCCUACAAUGUAUGAAGAUACGAAGCAUUAUAUGAGAAGAUGUGGGCCAUGUCAAAGACACGAAAACAUAAAUACAAGGGAUGCAAUACCACUCACCAACAACCUUCAGAUUGAGCUCUUUGAUGUCUGUGGAAUAGACUACAUGGGUCCAUUUCCUCCAUCAAAGAAGUGUGAGUACAUCUUCGUGGCAGUUGACUAUGUCUCCAAGUGGGUAGAGGCAUUACCUUGCAAGCAUGCCGACAACGUCAGUUCAAAGAGGAUGUUUGAAGAAAUUAUAUUUCCAAGAUUUGGAGUCCCCAGAGUAGUGAUAAGUGAUGGAGGAGCACACUUCAUCGACAAAAGCUUCAAGCAAUAUCUAUCAAAACAUGAAAUCCGUCACAACGUCGCUACCCCCUAUCAUCUGCAGACAAGUGGCCAAGCAGAGACUUCCAACAAACAAAUCAAGAAUACUCUUCAGAAGACAGUAAAUGAAAUGGGAACGGCAUGGAAAGACAAGUUACCCGAUGCACUCUGGGCAUACCGGACAGCAUACAAGACCACAAUUGGAAUGUCUCCAUACCAAUUGGUGUACGGGAAGACUUGCCAUCUACCCGUUGAACUAGAGUUCAAAGCACACUGGGCCAUAAAGAGAUGGAAUAUGGACCUAGAUGUUGCUGGAGAUUAUAGAAGAAUGCAACUAUCAGAAUUGGAAGAAUGGCGAGAGAAGGCAUAUCACAAUUCAAAGAUCUACAAAGAAAGAGUCAAAAGGUGGCAUGACAAGAGAAUCAAGAAGAAGGAGUUCACACCCGGAGAUAAGGUAUUGCUUUUUAAUUCUAGGGUGAAGCUUUUCGGGCAUGGAAAACUCUAGAGCAAAUGGGAAGGACCAUUUAAGGUAAUUAAUUCAUCAUCCCACGGAGCUAUCACACUUCAAAAUGACGAAGGUACGUUAUUCAAGGUAAAUGGUCAACGUCUUAAAUUAUUUUUAGAGCCCAAUAAAGAAUUAGAAGAAAUAGACGUAGUCCAUUUUCACCUUCCCAUGGAGAAUUAGAAGCCCGACCUUUUUAUUCUAACGUUUUCGGGUCAUAUAUAUAUUUUUCUAAAUAGUUUUGCAUCUAAUAACGCGCUCGAGGAAGUGGACCCACAAAGGGGCCAGAGAGAUGGCGGGCGCCCAGAUCAGGUGGGCGGGCACCCAGCUCGUGUUCCCCCUCGGUCCCAAUGUUCUCUGUUAUGGAAAAUGUACUUAUGGUAAUCCGAAUAAUCCCUCAGAUGGAAAGCUUCGCAAGGACAUCGACGGGAGCAACCCGAACAACCCAUAGAGGCACUUUUUGACCCCUAUAUAAACAGACCCCUGAUAUCACUUUUCAAACACCAAACCAUCAAGCCUUCUUUUCUUCUUCAAUUAGAGCUUGAUUAGUUCCUUGCCGCUCCAAUGGCCGAGAAGUUCCAUGAUGAUUGGGAAGUCGUUCCCUUCAAACUUCAACAUGGAGCCUGUGGAAGACCCCGACGCCCGUGCUCUCGUCCCGGCCAACACAGAGCGACAGCUAGAAGCCAUGCCAUUACACCAACGCAGCUCCACCCAAUCCUAUCAUGCUCAACCAGUUCUCACCGCACCGCCACAACCCCUACUCCUCAAGGGAUCAUCAUCCAAGACGAAGACCACCAUCAAGGUGCCAACCGGCACAAGGAUCCUUCUACCUAGACCCAAUGAGAGGGUCGUUGGAGUCAAGACCAACCGAAGCGGCGAGAUCAGCAGUAUUCACUACACUACGGAGGAGGAGAGGCCUUACUGCGAAGGGAUUAGAGCAGCCAAAGUCUGUUUCAUCCCUCCAAAGGCAGCCCCGAAACACGCUCUCAAUGCUUUUGAGACACCUCCCAAGCGUCGCAAGACUAUAGUCGAUAUUGAUGAGGACGUUCGCAGGCUAGAUAGAGUUAUCAUAGACCUCCAGUCCUCGAUUAAUUCCCUCACUAGGCAGCUCUCUAACCACAACACUAUUAUACUAGGCCUUAGGCAUGAUCUUGCCAGUGCCAACAAGAAGAUUAAGGAAUUAGAGCGCCGCUAAGUUAUCUAGAUUAGACCUUGAGGCAAUGCAUCUUAGUUAUUUAUCUUUAAAUUCGGUUUAGGUUUACUAUUAUCAUCAGUUUGCUACUAGUCUUUUGUAAUAAAUGCCACAAGAUUAAUAAAGAGUAUUACUAUUAUUAUGUCUUGUGUGUCUCUACUUUAUUUUUGUGCAAGAAAGCAGAAAACAAGUAUGGGGGAGAUCCCUCGACACGCCAAAUACACUUCGACUACACCACUCCACGAUUCAGGUACACACUCUGCACACUUUACUUUACACUUCACAUAUCUUGAUUAUGCAGAUUACUGUUUCCGACAUGAUACAUUAAAAAGAUUAAAAUAUUUCUAAUCAUGAUUAAUCUCAAUCUGUGAUAUUUCCUGAAAACUUGCAAUUAUUGAAAAUCAUUUUUAAAACCCUGUAUUACUUAAGUAAAUAUGGAAUAUGUAAUGGUAGAGUAUGAGUUUCUUAUUCUUGAUAUCAUUGUUGCUUGGUGAAUUUAUUUCAAAAUCUUCAAAAUUCUAGCUACCAUCCUCAGUGUUUUAUAUGCUUGAUAAAACUGAAAAUAUUAAUUAUGAUUAUAAAAGCUAUCUACUCUGUAUUGAGUUUGUUCAAAAUGAGCUAGACCCUUGUUGAGAGAUUUAUCAUACUCCUAAGAUCAAGACAUUUAUUCAGAAAGAUUCACUCUUCCGAAGUAUUGUUGCAUUAGAGGCAUGGGCUAUGCAAAAAUAAAGAUAUUUCGAGGAAAUAAAAAGGAGCAAGUGCUCGACAACCUUGCAGAAAAAAUGGACAAGUGUCCGGUAGUAGAAUUAGGGGUACCUCGGUAUCCACUUAAAAAAAAGAAGAAAAAGAGAAAAAAAGAGAGAGAAAAAGAAAAUGAUAGCCCAUGGUCCCUCUAAUAAGCAAUAUGCCAGCAAGAGUUGACAAAGUUUUAAUUUCCAAAGUCUUUGAUCUAAGAUUAUGACAUUCCCCUCCUCGGAUCCCGUUUUGAUCAGGCAAUAAAUGCAAAGUAAAUAUGCUUAAGAAUUUUUGCAAAUUAAAACAGCCUCAGUGAGAUAUAUAAAAGAUAAUGAGUGAUCUAAGAGAACCUAUGAGGAUAAAAAGGUAUGCUAGCUUUCUUUCAAAAUUAUACAAAAACUCCAAGUAACAGGAUUGAGAAGAAAGGAUCUUUACUCUUAAUCAUAUACUUCCCUGACUACAGUACACAGUGGAUUCUAAUACCCUGCAACCAACACCUAGAAUUAGGGUUUGAUCUGACAGAAUUCCACGAGUUUUGUUGUUUAUCUGUUUCUGCAGGGGGUUAUCAGGAAAUAAGGAAGAAAGGCCCACAUGUCGGGAUUACAUAGAGAUAUCAACGCACUGCGCGAUUUUCUACCAUCUAGAAGACUCCAGAAGCCACUGUUGAUAUUUGGGAACGCAAUAAGGAAUUGAUCCGCAAGCGCACGGAUAUCGGUGAGCACUUCACCCGGGAAAUUAUCCAGAGUACCGUAUUUAUUUUUUUACCACUAGGAGAAAGAGUGCAUCUGACUAACCGGUCUAUUACUACUAACCUUUUAGGCACAAAGAAUGUCUUUCGAUGUGAGUGAUAAAUAGAGAAGACUGCAACCGUAGUCUCCUUCUAACCUUGGUAAGAAUGAUCUACUGUUCUAAUGGGGAGGCUAAUGGAAUCUAGACACCACAAAGGAUGUUCAACCCGCUCCUAUAAACCCUAUCCUUCCUGCUAACGAGAUGUGAUGUGCAAAGGUAACUCGGAAUUGUCACGUUCCUCACUACUACCAUGGUCCAGCUAGUCAGAGAAUAUCAAUGAGUACCCCAGCCUAAACACCACGUUUACGCCAGCAAUGAUUACUCUAAACUCUACGCGAAGAGAUUAAAGUAAACUCGUAAACCAUAAGAACAAUAAAACAAGAACUUACUAGAAUUUAGAAGUCGAAAUACUAAAGAAUCCUAGGAGCAAACUUCGGGUUAGGAGAACUUGAUCCCGCAGGUACAAGCUUGGAGUAGACACCGACAGGCCGGGCUUCCUCCAAUCAACACCUCCACUAUAUCUGUCUCAAUCUAGUAGAAACUAGAAGAUCUAUUUCUACCUUACAUUGGUUGCUAAGCCUAAAAAGAAAUAUUAAUUAGAGAAGAGGUUUUCCUUCGAGGGCACCCCUCAGUCUCUAUGAUAAUUUCUUCAUGUCUUCUCCAGGGGCCAGGGGGUCUCCUUAUAUAGUUCUUCCCUUUUAUGCGUUUUUGGGUCGGUAGGCGAGGUGGUACUAUGUUUUCAUUGAUCCAAUAGGUCGGUGGAAUAUCCCGUCCGAAGUGAGUCCCGAACUGCAUCCAGCAGGGGGCGGGCGCCCAGGCCACCAGGGCGGCGCCCUGGGCCUGGCCCCUUUCGGCCUCCAUCUUCUUCCCGUGGCUUCUGGAGUCUUCUAGAUGGUAGAAAAUCGUGCGGUGCGUUGAUAUCUCUAUGUAAUCCCGACAUGUGGGCCUUUCUUCCUUAUUUCCUGAUAACCCCCUGCAGAAACAGAUAAACAACAAAACUCAUGGAAUUCUGUCAGAUCAAACCCUAAUUCUCCUUGGUUGUAUAUUGGUCAUUUCCCUUGUUUAUUUUGAUAAUUAAAAUUGAUACUUAAGAACCGUCAACAAAUACCCCCAUACUUAGGCUUUUACUCGUCCUUGAGAAAAGGAUGGUUAAGAACAAUAUCUGGGGUAAAACAUUUUAAAACAUUCUUUAUAUUUGCAGGGUGUUAAAAAUCCACUUUGUACCAUAGGAAGUAUAUGGUUAAGAGUAAAGAUCCUUUCUUCUCAAUCCUGUCACUUGGAGUUUUUGUAUAUUUUUGAAAGAAAGUUAGCAUACCUUUUUAUCCUCAUAGGUUCUCUCAGAUCACUCAUUAUCUUUUAUAUAUAUAUCUCACUGAGGCUGUUUUAAUUUUGCAAAAAUUCUCAAGCAUACUUACUUUGCAUUUAUUGCCUGAUCAAAACGGGAUCCGAGGAGGGAAAUGUCAUACUCUUAGAUCAAAGACUUUGGAAUUUAAAAUCUUUGUCAACUCUUGCUGGCAUAUUGCUUAUUAGAGGGACCAUGGGCUAUGAUCUUUUUUUCUUUUUUUUUCUUCUUUUUUUAAGUGGAUACCGAGGUACCCCUAAUUCUACUGCCGGACACUUGUCCAUUUUUUUCUGCGAGGUUGUCGAGCACUUGCUCCUUUUUAUUUCCUCGAAAUAUCUCUAUUUUUGCAUAUCCCAUGCCUCUAAUGCAAUAAUACUUCGGAAGAGUGAAUCUUUCUGAAAUAAUGUCUUGAUCUUAGGAGCAUGAUAAAUCUCUCAACAAGGGUCUAACUCAUUUUGAACAAACUCAAUACAGAGUAGAUAGCUUUUAUAAUCAUAAUUAAUAUUUUCAGUUUUAUUAGGCAUAUAAAACACUGAGGAUGGUAGCUAGAAUUUUGAAUAUUUUGAAAUAAAUUCUCCAAAGCAACAAUGAUAUCAAGAAAAAGAAACUCAUACUCUACCAUCCCAUAUUCCACAAUGACUUAAGUAACACAGGGUUUUAAUAUGAUUUUAUAAUAAUUGCAAGUUUUUAGGAAAUAUCACAGAUUUAGGAAAUAUCACAGAUUGAGAUUAAUCAUGAUUAGAAAUAUUUUAAUCCUUUUAAUUUAUCAUGUCGGAAACAGUAAUCUGCAUAAUCCAAAAUAGUUGUAUGUGUAGAGUAAAGUGUGCAGAGUGUGUACCUGAAUUGUGGAGUGGUGUGGUCGGAGUGUGUUUAGCAUGUUGAGGGAUCUCCCCCAUACUUGUUUUCUGCUUUCUUGCACAAAAAUAAAAUAGAGACACACAAGACAUAAUAAUAAUAAUACACUAUAUUAAUCUUGAGGCAUUUAUUACAAAAGACUAGUAGCAAACUAAUAGCAAACUGAUGAUAAUAGUAAACCUAAACCGAAUUUAAAGAUAGAUAACUUAGAUGCAUUUCCUCAAGGUCUAAUCUAGAUAACUUAGCGGCGCUCUAAUUCCCUAAUCUUCUUGUUGGCACUGGCAAGAUCCUGCCUAAGGCCUAGUAUAAUGGUGUUGUGGUUAGAGAGCUGCCUAGUGAGGGAAUUAAUCGAGGACUAGAGGUCUAUGAUAAUACUGUCUAGUCUGUGAACGUCCUCAUCAAUAUCCAUUAUAGUCUUGCGACGCUUGGGAGGUGUCUCAAAAGCAUUGAGAGCGUGCUUUGGGGCUGCCUUUGGAGGGAUGGAACGGACUUUGGCUGCUCUAAUCCCUUCAAAGUAAGGUCUUUCCUCCUCCGUAGUGUAGCGAACGCUGCUGAUCUCGCCGCUCCGGUUGGUCUUGACUCCAACGACCCUCUCAUUGGGUCUAGGUGGAAGGAUCCUUGUGCCGAUUGGCACCUUGAUAGUGGUCUUCAUCUUGGAUGAUGAUCCUUUGAGUAGGGGUUGUGGUGGUGCGGUGAGAACUAGUUGAGCAUGGUAGGAUUGGGCAAAGCUGCGCUGGCGUAAUGGCAUGGCUUCUAGCUGUCGCUCUGUGUUGGCCGGGACGAGAGCACGGGCAUCGGGGUCUUCCACAGGCUCUAUGUUGAGGUUGAAGGGGACGACUUCCCAAUCAUCAUGGUACUUCUCAGCCAUAGGAGCAGCAAGGAGCUAAUCAAGCUCUAAUUGAAGGAGAGAAGGCUUGGUGGCUUGGUGUUUGAAAACUGAGGUCAGGGGUCUGUUUAUAUAGGGGUCAAAAAGUGCCUCUAUGGGUUGUUCGGGUUGCUCCCGUCGAUGUGCAUGCGAAACUUUCCAUCUGAGGGAUUAUUCGGGUUACCAUAAAUGCAUUUUCCAUAACAGAGAAAAUCGGGACCGAGGGGGAACAGGAGCUGGGCGCCCGCCCACCUGAGCUGGGCGCCCGCCCUCUCUCUGGCCCCUCUAUGGGCCCACUUUCUCGAGCGCGUUUCUAGAUACGAAAUUAUUUAGAAAAAUAUAUAUAUGAUCCAAAAACAUCAGACUAAAAAGGUCGAGCUCUAAUUCUCCAUGGGAAGGUAAAAGUGGACUACAUCUAUUUCUUCUAAUUCUUUAUUAGGCUCUAAAAAUAAUUUAAGACGUUGACCAUUUACCUUGAAUAACGUACCUUCGUCAUUUUGAAGUGUGAUAGCUCCGUGGGAUGAUGAAUUGAUUACCUUGAAUGGUCCUUCCCAUUUGCUCCGGAGUUUUCCAUGCCCGAAAAGCUUCACCCUGGAAUUAAAAAGUAAUACCUUAUCUCCGGGUGUGAACUCCUUCUUCUUGAUUCUCUUGUCAUGCCACCUCUUGACUCUUUCUUUGUAGAUCCUUGAAUUGUGAUAUGCCUUCUCUCGCCAUUCUUCUAAUUCUGAUAGUUGCAUUCUUCUAUAAUCUCCAGCAACAUCUAGGUCCAUAUUCCGUCUCCUUAUGGCCCAGUGUGCUUUGAACACUAGUUCAACAGGUAGAUGGCAAGUCUUCCCAUACACCAAUUGGUAUGGAGACAGUCCAAUUGGGGUCUUGUAUGCCGUCCGGUAAGCCCAGAGUGCAUCGGGUAACUUGUCUUUCCACGCCGUUCCCAUUUCAUUUACUGUCUUCUGAAGAAUAUUCUUGAUUUGUUUGUUGGAAGUCUCUGCUUGGCCACUUGUCUGAGGAUGAUAGGGGGUAGCGACGUUGUGACGGAUUCCAUGUCUUGAUAGGUAUUGCUUGAAGCGUUUGUCAACGAAGUGUGCUCCUCCAUCACUUAUCACUACUCUGGGGACUCCAAAUCUUGGAAAUAUAAUUUCUUCAAACAUCCUCUUUGAACUGACGUUAUCGGCAUGCUUGCAGGGUAAUGCCUCUACCCACUUGGAGACAUAGUCAACUGCCACCAAGAUGUACUCACACUUCUUUCAUGGAGGAAAUGGACCCAUGUAGUCUAUUCCUCAGACAUCAAAGAGCUCAAUCUGAAGGUUGUUGGUGAGUGGCAUUGCAUCCCUUGUAUUUAUGUUUCCGUGCCUUUGACAUGGCCCACAUCUUCUGAUAUAUUGCUUCGUGUCUUCAUACAUUGUAGGCCAGUAGAAUCCACACUGCCAGAUCUUUGAAUAUGUACGGAAUGCUCCAUAAUGACCUCCAUAUGGUGAUGAAUGACAUCUGUCGAUGAUUUUCCAUCCUUCCUCAGUGGUCACACAUCUCCUGAGUAAGCCAUCAGAGCAUACUCGGAAGUGGUAUGGCUCAUCCCAUAUAUGUGAACGACUUUCUUGAAUAAGCUUCUUCUUGUUUGCUCCUGGUGGUACAUACCCUGAAACCAUAAAAUUAACAAUAUCUGCAUACCAGGGGUCAGACCUGUUAAUCCCGUAGAGCAUGUCGUCCUGGAGUGAAUCAUUGAUGGGGGUUUCCUGUGGACUCUUAAAAUACAUUCUAGACAAGUGAUCUGCAACAGAUUUUUCUACUCCCUUUUUUUCUUUUAUUUCUAAGUCAAAUUCUUGGAGUAAUAAGAUCCAUCUAAUCAGGCAAGGUUUAGCAUCUUUUUUAGUGAGCAAAUAUUUUAGUGCAGCAUGAUCAGUGUAAACAAUUAUUUUAGCUCCAACUAAAUAAGAUCUAAAUUUAUCAAUGGCAAAGACAACAGCCAGAAGCUCUUUUUCAGUGGUUGCAUAAUUAAGUUGAGCUCCUGUCAAAGUUUUACUGGCAUAAGCAAUUGCAUGAUGCUUCUUAUCUUUAGUCUGUCCCAAUACUGCCCCCACAGCAUAAUCACUAGCAUCACACGUAAUUUCAAAAGGCAACGACUAAUCAGGGGAUUGAAUGAUUGGUGCAGAGAUGAGUGCUUUCUUUAAUAAAUUGAAAGAUGUUAGACAUGCAUCAUCAAAUUCGAAAGGAGCAUCCUCGGCUAGCAAAAGAGUAAGUGGUCUAGCAAUAAAUGAAAAAUCUUUUAUGAAUCUACGAUAAAAACCAGCAUGGCCAAGAAAGCUUCGAAUUCCUUUUAUAUUCACAGGUGGAGGUAGUUGUUCAAUUACUUCAAUUUUAGCUUUGUCUACCUCAAUACCUCUUUCAGACACUAGAUGUCCCAGCAUUAUUCCUUCCCUAACCAUAAAAUGACAUUUUUCCCAAUUAAGGAUUAAGUGAUUUUCUUCAUAUCUUUGCAAAACCUUUUCUAAGUUUUCAAGACAACUAUCAAAAGUUUUUCCAUAAACAAAGAAAUCAUCCAUGAAAACUUCCAUAAUCUCUUCUAUCAUAUCAGAAAAUAUAGACAUCAUGCAUCUUUGAAAAGAAGCUGGUGCAUUACAUAACCCAAAAGACAUUCUACGGUAAGCAUAAGUUCCAUAUGGGCAUGUAAAAGUGGUUUUGCUUUGAUCAUCAGGAUGGAUUGGGAUUUGAAGAUACCCUGAAUAUCCAUCUAAGAAACAGAAGAACGAAUGGUUUGCUAAUCGCUCUAGCAUCUCAUCUAUAAAAGGCAAAGGAAAGUGAUCCUUUCUCGUGGCUUUGUUUAGUUUUCUAUAGUCUAUGCACAUUCGCCAUCCUAUGACGGUGCGUUGCGGAAUUAGCUCGUUCUUUUCAUUCAUAAUAACAGUCAUGCCUCCCUUUUUAGGCACAACUUGCACUGGGCUUACCCACUCACUGUGCGGCACAGGAUAUAUAAUCCCUGCAUGCAGCAACUUUAUAACUUCCUUUUUAACUACCUCUCUCAUAGUGUUGUUAAGUCUACGUUGGGGUUCUCGAGAGUGUGUAACAGAAGGAUCUAUUGGAAUACGAUGGGUACAAAUCAUAGGACAGAUUCCUGUAAGAUCUUGAAGUGAGUAGCCAAAAACUGAGUGAUGUUUUCAAGAAUGGUCAUUAAUCGUAGAGUUUGAUCCUGAGUGAGUUUAUCGCUAAUGAUUACAGGGAACUCUGGAUUAUUGUUUAGGAAAGCAUAGGUAAGACCGGGUAGUAAAGUUUUAAGCUCUAUGGGAGGUCUAGGUGUUUCUACAAACUCAUCUAAGGGUUCAGGCUUAGAAGGUUCGUCUUCUUCUUCAGUGAAGAAAGGAGUUUCGUCUUCUAAGUAUGGUUCAUCUAAAAGCUCUAGAGAUGCAGCCUUUACUUCCUCCAUAGGAUCAGGCAAAAGAUAUGAUUCGGCCUUAUUGCUUAAGGAGUGUGAAAUUGUUAUUGGGAAUUUAAAGGUUUUUCCAAAAGAAAUGUGUAGCUUUCCAGUAUGACCUUCAUAAAGGAGUCUUCUAAAAGGUUGUCCUAUCAACAGGUCGAAGUCCCAUGUAUCAAAGAUAUAGAAGUUCAAAUGAACCAUGGAGCCUUCUACCGUUUUGGAGUUUGUCAAUAGAAUGAUAGUUUGAAAUAUUUCCAAAAUCGGCAAAAAGAUCGGAUUCUAUAUCCAGCAUGAAGUCCGAUGGUGGAAUUUCUUCCUCUUGUGGCUCAGAACUUGGGAUAGCUAAAGUAGAUGAAGAAUUUGGCAGAGUGUCUACUUCGGCUUCGUAGGUUUCAUCAUGAAGGGUAUUAUCCAUCUCUGCUUCUAGGAUUCUAUCUAGGAUCACUCUAGCUUCAUCUGUAGGGAUGCGAAAGAAAGAACCUCUAGACAUUGUGUGUAGCAUUUGUUUGUGAUUUUUCUGAAGACCUCGAAAAAAGUGGAAUAAAAGAACAGGGUCUUCAAGAUUAAGGUUUGGACCAGAUUCUAAAAGAUCAGAAAAAUGUUUCCAGGAUUUUCCCAAAGUUUCAUUAUCUUUUUGUUUAAAAGAUAGGACUUCGAGUCUAAGGUCGGCUAUACAGUCAAGGGAAUAGAAAUCUAGACAAAAGUUGGCUCGUAAAACUCCCCAUUCACCUUGUUGUUGACUUACCUUCUGACUGUACCAUUGUCUAGCUUCUCCCCUUAAAGAAAAAGGAAAAAGCUUCCAACGUAAAGUUUUAUCAGAAAUGCCUUCAAUGCGAAGACAAUCACAUGUUUGCUCAAAAUCUCUAAUAUGAAGGUAAGGGUUUUCGUCUUCCUUUCCCGAAAAAGAUAGGUUUUGAAUCAUGGCAAUCAACCUAGAACUUAACUUAUACUGGGAUGUUUGGAUAGGCUGUGAUGAUUCCCAUGGUAAAAGGUCAGUUACUCAAGGGAUUGCAGACUCAUGGAUCGAUUUAGAAUUUUGGUUUCCCAUAGGGUAAGAGUAAAGAAAAUAAAUAAAGAAUAUAAAAGAUAAGAAAAGAUAAAAGUAUAGAUACAAGCUAGUAGUAAGACUCAGGUUAUCUCAGCAACCGUCUUUCUCCCCGGCAACGGCGCCAGAAAUGCUUGUUGAUAUUUGGGAACGCAAUAAGGAAUUGAUCCGCAAGCGCACGGAUAUCGGUGAGCACUUCACCCGGGAAAUUAUCCAGAGUAUCGUAUUUAUUUUUUUACCACUAGGAGAAAGAGUGCAUCUGACUAACCGGUCUAUUACUACUAACCUUUUAGGCACAAAGAAUGUCUUUCGAUGUGAGUGAUAAAUAGAGAAGACUGCAACCGUAGUCUCCUUCUAACCUUGGUAAGAAUGAUCUACUGUUCUAAUGGGGAGGCUAACGGAAUCUAGACACCACAAAGGAUGUUCAAGCCACACCUAUAAACCCUAUCCUUCCUGCUAACGAGAUGUGAUCUGCAAAGGUAACUCGGAAUUGUCACGUUCCUCACUACUACCACGGUCCAGCUAGUCAGGGAAUAUCUAUGAGUACCCCAGCCUAAACACCAUGUUUACGCCAGCAAUGAUUACUCUAAACUCUACGCGAAGAGAUUAAAGUAAACUCAUAAACCAUAAGAACAAUAAAACAAGAACUUACUAGAAUUUAGAAGUCGAAAUACUGAAGAAUCCUAGGAGCAAGCUUCGGGUUAGGAGAACUUGAUCCCGCUGGUACAAGCUUGGAGUAGACACCGACAGGCCGGGCUUCCUCCAAUCUACACCUCCACUCUAUCUCUCUCAAUCUAGUAGAAACUAGAAGAUAUAUUUCUACCUUACAUUUUUUGCUAAGCCUAAAAAGAAAUAUUAAUUAGAGAAGAGGUUUUCCUUCGAGGGCACCCCUCAGUCUCUAUGAUAAUUUCUUCAUGUCUUCUCCAGGGGCUAGGGGGGUCUCCUUAUAUAGUACUUCCCUUCUAUGCGUUUUUGGGUCGGUAGGCGAGGUGGUACUAUGUUUUCCUUGAUCCAAUAGGUCGGUGGAAUAUCCCGUGCGAAGAGAGUCCCGAACUGCAUCCAGCAGGGGGCUGGCGCCCAGGUCACCAGGGCGGGCGCCCUGGGCUUGGCCCCUUUUGGCCUCAGUCUUCUUCCCGUGGCUUCUGGAGUCUUCUAGAUGGUAGAAAAUCGUGCGGUGCGUUGAUAUCUCUAUGUAAUCCCGACAUGUGGGCCUUUCUUCCUUAUUUCCUGAUAACCCCCUGCAGAAAUAGAUAAACAACAAAACUCGUGGAAUUCUGUCAGAUCAAACCCUAAUUCUAGGUGUUGGUUGUAUAUUGGUCCUUUCCCUUGUUUAUUUGAUAAUUAAAAUUGAUACUUAAGAACCGUCAACAGCCACGAGAACGAAGCAAGGCCGAAAGGGGCCAGGCCCAGGGUGCAUGCCCUGGUGACCUGGGCGCCCGCCCCCUGCUGGAUCCCGUUCGGGACUCUCUUCGCACACGAUGUUCCACCGACCUAACGGAUCAAAGAUAAUGUAGUACCACCUCACCUACCGACCCAAAAACGCAUAGAGGAGAAGGACUAUAUAAGGAGACCCCCCUAGCCCCUGGAGAAGACAAGAAAUUAUCAUAGAGAUUGAGGGGUGCCCUCGAAGGAAAACCUCUUCUCUAAAUAAUAUUUCCUUUUAGGCUUAGCAACCAAUGUAAAUUAGAAAUAGAUCUUCUAGUUUCUGCUAGAUUGAGAGAGAUAGAGUGGAGGUGUAGAUUGGAAGAAGCUCGGUUUGUCGGUGUCUACUCCAAGCUUGUACCUGCGGGAUCAAGUUCUCCUAACCCGAAGCUUGCUCCUAGGAUUCUUCAGUAUUUCGACUUCUAAAUUCUAGUAAUUUCUUGUUUUAUUGUUCUUCUGGUUUAUGAGUUUACUUUAAUCUCUUCGCGUAGAGUUUAGAGUAAUCAUUGCUAGCAUAAAUGUGCGCUUGUGGAUCAAUUCCUUAUUGCAUUCCCAAAUAUCAACAAACAUCUGCCUGGGGUCGUAGUGAGGGAAGACCGUGUCGGAGUCAGUCAGCUCUCUCUGCAGGUGAGCUGGAAGGGGUACUGGCCUAGCACGAAGAAUAAGUAGGGUGAUCCAAUGUGCAUAUGGCAACUGACGCCGUCCCCUGAAGCUCUCUGAGAUAGUGUCCUCGAUCUCUGAGACUAUCAGAUCCCACAAGUCAAACAGAGUCUGAGAGAUGAGGUGAGCUACAAGCCACUGCUGAAUCCGAGUGAAGCCAUCUCUGUAGCCUGUCCUAGGGAGGAGUGUCUUCCUCAACACAAGUCGAGGAUCCUGGCUGGGCGAGUCAAGUCUCCCACUGUCUGGCUGGAGCCCUCUCCAAAAGGUGGACGGAAACAAGGAGCCACAAAGUCAACCGGUGGUAUCUCACCACCAUGAGGACGUCGAGGGGGCUCGAAGUUCCCGUAGCACAGCUGGUGAAUCCUGGUGGAGUAAGCUCUCAAGCCAAGUACCUCUCUGGCCCUCUGUGCUGUGACCCUGUAGUCUAAGCCUGCCAGUGCGUAGUGGAUAUAGCUGUGAUCUGGAGACACCCACACUGACGCGUAGAACUCUCGAACCCACUGCUCACAGUAAGUACCAGGGAGAGCUAGCAACUCUGGGAGGCCGUGGAGGUAAGUAAAGUACUGUCGGAUAUCUGCCCCAACCACGUUCCCUAGUAUCUCAAGGUCUAUCACUCUGUGCUCCCUGAACUGAGACUGUGAGCGAGCCAGUGCCUCGUAGAUGUCCUCUUGGACUACUGUGUAGAACCUGGCACCGGCUCGUGGAUCCAUAGCAGCUGGAAACCAAGUGGGAAAAGGAACGAACCGCAACUACUGGAUCUCCCUAGUUGACACAAGGGUGAGAUCCCUGUGUAUCCUGACCGGUCCCUGAUGAGGAGCUGGUGUGCCUCGAGCUGGAGUAGCACGAGCAGCGGAGGUAGACUGGCUUUGCGUACCAGUCCGAGAAGUAGCCUGGGUACGAGUGCGAGUUGACCUCCUGAGGGGCUGCUCCUACUGCUGUCCCUCUGGAGAACCCUCUGCCUGGGUCUCAGCCUCUGUCUCUGUGUCUGGGUCCUCCUGAGCUGUAUCUCUAACAUUGAUCCUGACACGCUGUCCUCCUAUCAUGAUAGUGCCUGGAGGUAAUCCAUGACGAGCCUUGGCCUCAAGAACUGCAUGCCUGUGACGUGGCGUGAGAUCGGCCCCUAUCCGCAGAGCACCUUGUAACACCCAAGGUGUUAAGCAUGCACUUAGUCUCAUCAAAACAUUCAUAAGCAUUCUCAUCAAGCAUAGCAUCACAUGAGCAUGUCAUCCAUUAAAAGUGUGAUUUUUUGUGCUUUAUUUUAUGUGAAUUAAAUGUGCUAAAAAUAUUAUGCUUGCUUCUAAAAUUGUGAAAUAUUCAAAUUAGGUUGAAUUGUGUGCUAAAAGGCUUAAGAGUAUUUUUGUGAAAUUGUUGGAGCCAUAGGAGUUGAGAAAUGGAAUUUAUACAAAAAUCCCUAAAAUGAAUUUAUUUAAAAACCUAGAACUAGUUUUAAUCUGUGAUUCAAAUUCUAUUUGGAAUUUGGCCUUGCUUAUUAAAACAAAGUUGUAGGGUUUUUGUUUUGGAACAACUUUUAUUUUGGGACGAAAAGGUAAAAGUGAUUUUUAAAUAGUCCAAAUGAAUUUAGAAAGAAUUUGAGAAAAGAAAUUAAAAAAAAGGGAAAGGGGACAGGCGCUGCUGGGCCGACCCGCCUCCCUUUCGGCCCAGCCGGACAACGUGGCCCGCUUCCCCUCCCCUCUCUCUCCCGCGCACGGCGCCCGCCUCGCUCCGGCGUUCGACGCGCCGCGGCCGACCGCCUUCACCUGGUCGGGACGCCGCCCCGCGCCCCCAGGCCACUCCACUCUCUCUAUCGCCCGCUCCUCCCUCUCUUCUUCCUCCACCCGCGAGCGCAGCAGCAGCCGUAGCAGCUCCGCCACCGCGCCAUCACCGGAGAAGCUCCGCUGCUCGCUGCCGGCCACACCAGAGCCCCAACCUCGAUGCCAAGAGCACCAUCGCACUCGCCUUUGCCGCGGUAAGAUGUUGCGUAUGCUCUACCGAGGUGAGAAGCCGUCAUACGAGAAUCGCUCGCCGGAGUUGCUCCGACCUCGCUGGAGAGCUCCGCCGCGUCAGAUCUCGCUAGAUCCUACCUCUUUUCGCUCGCUCUUUGGCGCGUUAGGUCCGAGGUGAGGAAGCUCAGAGGAGCUCUUUGGCUCCGAGGUGAGGAAGCUCGGAGGAGCACUUGUGCACGCUCUACCGCACCGGAGCAGCCUGGCCACGGCGAACAGCGCCGCCGUGCCGCCAUGCAUGCUCGUCGGGGGUGCUCCGGUCGUCCUCCGGCCGAUCCAAGGGCACCCUUGGGUGCGCCUCGCUGCGGGGAGCACGCUGGUGCUCACCCCAUGGCCGGAGACCUCGCCGUCGGCGAGAGCCGGCCGGCCGAAGAUCGGCCGGGGUGCUGCAUGGCUGACCCGUGGGGCCACGACCCCUAGAUCCCACCUGUCAGUGCCUCUGCGGGUGUGGAUCUGGGUGAAUCCAGCGUUUUUCGUUGAUUUUCUUAAAUAAAGAUUUUUCAGAAAUUGAUUUAAACCUUGUAAAAUCCAUAUCUUGAGUUAUAUGGCUCCAAAAUUGGUGAAACAAAUUUUGGUGUGCUCUCUGUUCUCAGAUCUGCAGUUUGGUGUAAUUGCAUGUCAAGUUUUAACAACUUUUCUGUAUAAAUAUAUUUUAUCCAUGUUUUUGCUAGAAUUGGAAAAUGCAUAGUAAUCAAAAUAUAACUCAGAAAAAUGCGAAACUUGUUUUACUGGCUCUGCAUGGAUGAUUAGUCACUGGGAAAAUUUUUGCUACACAUUAUUUGCUGAAUAAAUGAAUUUAUGGUGAUUUAAAUGCUUGCAUGGCAGUGGUUUAUGAUUUUUAAUAAAUAAUUGGAUCAUGCAAUUAAUCUGGAAAUUUUUGUGGGUGUUUCUUAUGAUAAUAAGCAAAUUAUAAAAAUAUGAAAUCUGCUGUUUGACACUUAUACCACAGUAGAGUAUUUAUACUUGCUUUGUGAAUUAAUCUUGUGAUUUUUGUAGCUCAAAGUAAGUGUCCAAAAAUUAUGAAAAAUUUAUGGUAGACUUUAUGUUUGACUGGUAGUCUACUGUAGUUUUUGUGGAAGUUAUAGAUAAACAGAAAUGUAUGCUAGUUUGGUAGGCCUAACAUUAGAUAAAGAAAUUAUGAAUUGUUAUAUAUAGAUUAAGUAGAAUAAAAGGGGUUUGGUGUAUCUUUGAAGCACCUUGUGAGUUUGCUGGUUACAUUUGAGGAUAAUUUUUAGAAAAGAAGGGAAUAGAUGAUUAGUGUAAUUGCAUGUCCUUGGAUGAUGUUGACUACCUUGUAAAAAGCAUGACCAAUUAAAUCAUCUAUGCAUCAUGUCAUGGUCAUUGGGUACCCUCUCAUACCAGCAUUCACCCGGGCAUCUCGCACUCCACUCAUGAGCACACAUGCAUCAUACAGUCUCCCAGGAGAACGAGGUGGGACCCGAGGAGCAGGAGGAGACCCAGGAGAAGGAACCUCUGGGAGGACCAGAGCCCGGAGAAGAACUGCAGGAGUGCCCGGAUCACAGACCAAGCACAUUUGAGAAAGGCAAGCCCCGGAGCAUUCUAAGUCUCCCUAUUCUCACUAACUUAAAUAAUAUAUUAUGCUUGUUCUACUAUGUUGCAUUUAAGUGAUAGGAAUUGCUUGAUACCGUUGAUGCAUAAGUACUCCUUGAUAUCACCACUUGUUUAUCUACCUUGUCCUAUAUAGAUAGGUGCAGAGUCUAUGCUUAGCUUGCCUAGUCCGAUAGAAGUCGGGUGAUUUCCUGUCACCUGCGAGAUAUAGGUGGAUACCUACUUGAUUAAGCGGUAAUUGCUUUGGUAGAGAAUAACCAAGUGUGGAAUGAAAUUUGAGACCGGGCAGGGUCUUAUGGUGGGUUGACUGUAGUGCCCCUGCUUGUGUCGAUUAAGGACCGAUCGUUGACGGCCCUCUUGUCAUGUUGAACGCAUGCCCCACACUUAGCUGGAAGGAUAAGUUGUCCCGACCGCGGUGCCUGAACACUAUUAGGGCCUUGAGUCGAGCCGCCAUGCGCUGUAUUGGUGAUGGUUGAGGAGAACGACGAGGGCGUGGCGCGCAACCUUGGUAUACCUUGGACCUGGAUAGUGUAACACGGUGACCUGCCGAACCUGCGAAUUGGUCCUGGAUAGUGUAACACGGUGAUCUGUAGCUCACUUGAUCAGUGAGUGUGGUUUGUGUGGGGAAUACCUCGCCAGCUGGUUAGAAAUCGAUUCAAAUCGCCAUCGCUCCUGGAUAGUGAGCACUUGACAUGAGCCCUGUCCUCGCAGUAAGGAUUAUGGAACACUUGGGUUAUAAUGAUAAAUGGUUUCAUGAAUGCUAUGAUGAGAUUCCAUCAUAUUACCACACUUGUUUGUAAUAGUACAGGUGCAAACCUAGAUAGUAGGUAAUGAUAAUAUUGAACUUCAGCUAAUUAAAAGAAGAAAGGUUUUUAGACUAUGUUUAGUGGAACAAUGCUUUUAUGCAAAAGUCUCAGCUACCCCACUAUCUAGCCUUCAUGAUCCUUGAAGAGUGUUUAUUUUUGGUUUAUGAUGGGUAAGUCUAGCUGAGUACAUUCUCGUACUCGGGGUUCUACUCCCAUGUUGUUUUGCAGAUGGUCAAAUGUACUAUGAUUAUUGCAUCCUCUGCUUGUACCCAGCUAUGGGCGAUGACUAGACCAAGGGCGAUGGUCACUCUGUCUUCUCUUUUGCUUUUGUGGGAAUGACCAAAACUAUGGCACUAUACCAGACUAAGUAUGUGUGUGUUAUUUUCGAACUAUGAAGCUUCCGCUACUUGUGAACUUGGUUUGUAAUAACUUUAAGCACUCCGAUGUAUUUGGUGGAUGUUUUUGAUCUGGAUGUAAUUGUGGAUGGUGUCCGCUAAACUUGUUAUGAUCUUGGCUGUAUGUACGAUAUGUGGUUUGAAAUCCUUCGAGAUUUCAUGGACUACCGGGAUUACAUGGGCUUAAGCUCGAUGGUUUGGCUAUGCAAAUGGUCGCUAUUAGGCUUAUUCUCUUAUAAUUUGGGCAGUUCUGUUACAGCUGGUAUCGGAGCAAGGUUUAGCGAGUUACUGUUCAUAAGUACGUUCUAAACUAAAUUUAAACCGGUUUAAUGAAAGGUUUUUAUUAAUUAAUGAUACUCAAGGUGUCAAAUUAAGUUUUUGGAAAACUAUCUAGUGUGCCAUGGUCAUAUCAUUUAUGCCCAGUUAAGGACUCUAAGGUGGCUAGUUAAGUACUGACUUGGGGGUUAAUGCAUCAUAUUUCUAUUUCGUCGCUCAUACGGCGUGCAAUAGUAUGAGUACCAUUCAUUUGAAUGGUAAUGUAUGGAUCCAUUUUUCCUCUACGCCUCGGUAAGUGGGAGCUGUGAGAGCAUGAUCGGAUACACUGCCGGUCUAGGGGAGUGUUGUUAGGUGUUGUGUCAUGCACACAUGUUUGGUGUGCUUGGGAAUAGUACCGCAUGUUGGGAGAUUCCGUCUUGAGAGGCGAUGCCGUCAUUAGGGCGAUGAUGUGGGUAGUAACACGUCAUAUGCAUGGACGGGGUGUCUGUGUAUGUGGGGUGUAUAGCUUUAAUUUCUUGUUCUGCAUGUUCAUAUUGUGGUUGGGCUGAAAUGAGUUUUCUGUAGGUACACUAACCACGUUCCCGCUUAGAAUGCUAGUUAUGUUAUGAGAGAACGAUGUGUGCCACUGCAUAUACCGAUUCGUGUUAACUUUUAUUUCUAAGUUUGUGAGAUCAUAAGUCCGUGCAUGCAUCAUGUUCAUUUCAUAUCAUUGCUUACUUUCCCCCUUAAUUUAAUCUGUCCCAAUUCCAAUUAUAAUAAUAAAAGAUAAUCCUCAAUCUUACCCAAGGUAUUCCAUUUGCAGCAGAUGGCACGCACUAGGCUCACCGCUCGCAAGUCCACUGGUGGGCGGGCCCCUCGCCAUCAGUUGGCAGCCAGGAGCUCGCUUCAUAAGAGCAAGUUCCUGGAGGAGUUUGGGAUGCCCACUUUGCUUUGGAGGGUGCUCAGUUCGAUGGGGUAUCCCGAAGGAAGGGAACCUCGCUACUAUUGGGACAAGGAGCAGCUUGGUGAUGGGACCCUGGUGGGGAUCAAGGCAGUGAUCCCUACCAGUGGAGGUGACCCCGCCUGGGGUGGCUGGGUGUACGAGUCCCGAGGUGCCACGCCUUUCCACGGUGCCAGCAGGGCAGCUUUCGCAGUUCUGAGGGACCUCAUGGAGAGGUUUCCACGGGAGCUGGCCCACGCCUUCGCUGGGGUGUUUCCCCGGGGUGACCCCUACACUUCGGUGUGGGAUCAGUCCGAGGUGAACGCUCUAGAGAGGAGUGCGGAUGAGGACCAGCAUAGUGACAAUGCAGCUAUGAGUGCUAUGUACGCCUUGAUGAAGACCUAUGGAGGCCUGGAGCGUUGUUUGGGUCACUUGUUCGGGUCUCUUCUCACAGUCUAGGAUGAGAAGCACCAGCUGCAGCAUGAGUUCGACACUGAGGUUGAGAGGUUGCAGGCAGAGUUGGCUCACGUGAUUCGAGAGAGGGAUCAGGCGGUCCAGAAGAACAGUGAGCUGAGUCAGGACCUACUUGCAGUUAGGGAGCAGAGGGACAGAGUGACUACUGCUCACAGAAACUGCGAGCGCAUGCUAGUUCAUGUUCUUGGUCAGAGGAAUGAAGCCUGGCACGAGGAGGAAAUCCUGAGGGCCCGACACCUAGAGCUUGAGCAGCAGCUAGCUAAUGCUGAGGAGUACAAUGAGAACUUGCAUGAGGAGAUCCACCAGCUGCAUAAUCAGCUCCACCCUCACCACCUGCCUGGAGCAGCUGAGUUAGACUCUGAGGACGAGAUGGAUGAGGAUCCAGAGAUAGAGGCAGCUGCUAGUGGAGAUGAGGACGAGGAGGGCUCCGGCAUGGACAGUGACCAUAGCGAGUAGAUGCUAGGGCUUUAGAGCUAGUCCUUCUUCUUUUGUUGUUAAUGUUGCAUGGCAUGUCUUGUACUUUUGGAUCUGGGCUAUGUAAAACUUUAUGAGAUGACGCUGAAGGUCCAUUGUAUGUAUGCUGGCAAUUUUGGAUGUAUGCGAACCUUGUUGCUUGAAUGUUGCAUAAUCUAUUAGUGAUGUUGUAUGCGGAUGACGAAUUGUUUUUCCUCUGUUUAUUGUGCGAAUUUAUUUCCUCAGUAAAUUCAGUAUGGCAUAAUUCUACACAUGUCUACCGUUGAUGGCAACUCGUAAUGAUUGCUUAUCAUUGACGCAUGCAGAUGGUGCAAACACGUGGCGGGGGUAACAUCAACCUCGGUCUUGGAGUAGGUACCUCCGGAGGUGGGGCUCGACGGAAUGAGGAUAGGGCACCAUCACCGCCACCACCACCGCCUCCUCCGUACACUGCGGACGUGUUUUUCGCUCAGUUUCUAGGGAGCCAACACAACAUGGAGUAGAUGCAGCGCAAUAUGGAAGAAGCUCUACGCAUCAUCGCUGACAAUACCCGCCGUGGGGAUAACCAGGGCGGCCGUGAAGCCAAUCAGUACAGCUCUUUCAAGGACUUCGUGGAUACCAAGCCACCGGUCUUCAAGGAGGCUUUGGAACCGCUCGAGGCAGAUGAGUGGAUUAACACCAUGGAGCAAAAGUUCUGUCUUCUUCGGAUGACUGAAGAACUUAAGGCUGAAUACGCAGCGCUUCAGUUACAAGGACCUACUGGGAUUUGGUGGUCCCAUCACCGUACCACCUACCCAGAGGGGACCCCGAUCACCUGGAACCGCUUCACCACCGCUUUCCGGGGAAAUUACAUUCCUCCGGGCGUGGUCGAAAUGAAGGUUGGGGAGUUCAUGAGCCUGUCUCAGGGAACGAAGUCCGUGAAGGAGUAUCUACACGCUUUUAACAAUCUCGCUCGCUAUGCCCCCGAGUUUGUGAACACGGAGGCCAAGAAGAUCGCUAGUUUCUAGAGAGGUUUGAGCCCAAAGAUGCUAAAAACCAUGGGUACAGGAACCCGGGGUACCUUCAAUGCUUUCAUCAGUGACUGUAUGACCCAGGAGAACAAUAACAACAACUAUAGUGCAUCCAAGUCCCGAAAGAGGGCUUUUGAAGCCGGGUCAUCUCAGUCUAGGGCACCGGUGGAAGGGCGACAACAGUAUCGUCCUCCUGCCCCAGGUGCUAGGUUUCGACCACUGCAGAGAAGGAACACCGGGAAUCCAACGCAGCAGAAGCCGUACAAGGUGGAGAUAGCUCCUGCCAAGCCAAAGGAAAUUCAAGCCAACAAUGCGACCAAGGGUCCGUCCUACAACUGCCACAAGAUGGGGCACUUUGCUAAAGAAUGUCCCUACCCCAAGAGGCAACAGACGACCUACCCAGCUCGAGUGCACCAUACCUCGAUAGAGGAGAUCCCAGAAGGAGAAUCGGUAACGGCUGGUAUGUUUCCUGUCAACAAACAUCUUCCAGUUGUUUUGUUUGAUUCUGGAUCAACGCAUUCAUUCAUGAGCCAAGCAUUUGCACAAAAGCAUGAUGAACCAGUUAUAGAUCUGGGUUAUGGCUAUCGUAUCAGCUCAGCAGGGGCAGAUGUGUUGACAAGUAGAGUGGUUCGAGGGGCAACCCUGGAUAUAAGUGACCGGGUGUUUCGAGUGAAUCUAGUAGUCAUGCCUGGAUUAGUUUUGGAUGUUGUCAUGGGCAUGAACUGGAUGAAGGAAUGGGAUGCGGUCAUAGAUACUGGGAAGAGCUUGUUAUCUCUCAGAGAACCCUAGGGUAGCGGAUCUUUUCAAGUACCUCUGCCCCGUCGCCUUGACUUUGCUAGCAUCUCUUGUGCAAUGCACGUGGUUCCACUACCACAGAUCCCAAUAGUCUAUGAGUUCCCUGAUGUUUUCCUCAGGAAUUACCAGGACUUCCUCCAGAUAGGGAAGUAUAGUUCGCAAUAGAGUUGAUACCAGGUACAACGCCGAUAUCUAGAAGGCCGUACUGAAUGCCGCCAAACGAACUCGCUGAGUUGCAGAAUCAACUGAAGGAAUUGUUAGAUAAAGGGUUCAUCCGGCCAAGCUCGUCAGAAUGGGGUUGUCCGGCGUUGUUUGUGAAAAAGAAGGAUCAAUCGUUGCGCAUGUGCGUGGACUAUCGUCCACUCAAUGCUGUAACAAUCAAGAAUAAGUAUCCAUUACCAAGGAUUGAUAUUUUGUUUGAUCAGUUGUCCAAGGCAAAAGUAUUUUCCAAGAUAGAUUUGAGGUCCGGGUAUCACCAAAUCAAGAUCCGACCGCAAGAUAUCCCGAAGACUGCUUUUUCCACCAGAUAUGGGUUGUAUGAGUAUCUUGUCAUGUCCUUUAGGUUGACAAAUGCUCCUGCAUACUUCAUGUAUCUGAUGAACUCGGUCUUUAUGCCAGAAUUAAAUAAGUUUGUUGUAGUGUUUAUCGACGAUAUUCUGGUUUAUUCAGAAAAUGAGCAAGAUCACGCCGAGCAUCUAAGAGUCGUGCUAACACGACUGCGAGAGCAUCAAUUAUAUGCAAAGUUCAGCAAGUGUGAGUUUUGGUUGAAGAAAGUUCCUUUCCUAGGGCACAUUCUGUCUGAAGAAGGGAUUGCUAUGGAUCCACCGAAAGUACAGGAAGUCAUGGACUAGAAGGCACCAACUUCUGUCUCGCAAGUUCGAAGUUUUCUUGGUCUGGCCGGGUGUUAUCGUCGUUUCAUACCCGACUUCUCCAAGAUUGCUAAGCCAAUGACCAGUUUGUUACAAAAGGAUCAUAAGUUUGUCUAGACGGAUGGGUGUGAACUAGCCUUCCGCACCUUGCGAAAGUUGCUAACCACCGCUCCCGUUCUGGCACAACCCAAUAUCGAGAAGCCUUUUGAUGUGUUUUGCGACACAUCGAAAAGUGGCUUGGGAUGUGUGUUGAUGCAAGAUGGUAGAGUUAUAGCUUACGCUUCACGGAAAUUGAGAAAGCAUGAAGUCAACUACCCAACUCAUGACCUCGAGUUAGCAGCAGUAGUGCACGCUUUGAAGAUAUGGAGGCACUAUUUGCUGGGAAAUAAGUGUCACAUCUACACCGAUCAUAAAAGUCUGAAAUACAUCUUCACUCAGUCCGGGCUGAAUAUGAGGCAACAAAGAUGAUUGGAGCUGAUCAAGGAUUACGAUUUGGAAGUCCACUAUCAUCCAGGCAAGGCUAAUGUGGUAGCAGAUGCAUUGAGUCGCAAACCGCACUAUCAAGUGGUUCAACCGUUGUUCGAGGAUGGUUUCAAUCUCAUGCAUCCUGAAGUCCUAUGUCACAUACAGCUUAGUUGUUCACUUGAAAGUCAAGUCAUUGAAGGUCAGAAAACAGACAAGGGUAUCUUCCACAUCAAGGAAAAGAUCAAAAACGACCCAAGGACUCAAUUCAGAGUUGAUGAAAGAGGGGUAUUGUGGUUUCAGCACCGGCUAGUAGUUCCGAAGAAUCGAGAAUUGAAGAAUCGCAUCAUAGAUGAAGCGCAUCUCUCCAAGCUUUCCAUUCAUCCUGGCAGUAGUAAGAUGUAUCAAGACCUAAGAUCUCACUUUUGGUGGACUAAGAUGAAGGAGAUAGCAACAUAUGUGGCCCGUUGUGACACGUGUUGCAGAGUCAAGGCUAUACAUAUGAAACCUGCAGGUCUGUUGCAGCCAUUGUCAGUCCCAGAGUGGAAAUGGGAAGAGGUUAGCAUGGACUUUAUUACAGGUUUACCGACGACAGGGAAGGGGAAUGACUCGAUUUGGGUUAUCAUAGAUCGAUUGACCAAGUUAGCUCAUUUCAUUCCUGUGAAAACUCGUUACCGACCACCCGAGUAUGCGGACAUAUAUAUAGCUGAGAUCGUCAAGUUACAUGGCAUUCCCAAGACCAUCAUAUCAGAUAGAGGGCCGCAGUUCACCGCUCAUUUUUGGGAGCGAAUGCAUAAGAGUUUGCGGACUAGUCUAAUAAGAAGCACAGCGUAUCAUCCCCAAACCUCGGGACAAACGGAAAGACUCAACCAAGUGCUAGAAGAUAUGCUGAGGGCCCGUGUACUAUCGUCUAACGGAUCAUGGGAAUCGUGGUUACCUUUGGCUGAAUUCUCGUACAACAAUAGCUAUCAUGAGAGUAUCAAGAUGGCUCCGUUCGAAGCAUUGUAUGGUCGCAAGUGUAGGACUCCGUUAAACUGGGUCGAACCUGGCGAAAGGAGAUACUAUGGCAUCAACUUCGUGAAUGAGGCUGAAGAAAAAGUACAAAUCAUACAACAGCAUAUGAAGGCGGCACAAUCGCGACAAAAGAGUUAUGCCGAUAAGCGAAGGAGGCCACUUGAAUUCAAUGUAGGUGACUAUGUUUACCUCAAGGUUACGCCAAUGAAGAAAGUUCAGCGUUUCCGAGUUCGAAGCAAGCUUGCCCCCAGAUAUGUGGGACCAUAUCAGAUACUAUAGAGGAAAGGCCCCGUGGCCUACAAGAUUCAGUUACCUGAAGAGUUGAGUUCAAUCUUUCCAGUUUUCCAUGUGUCCCAGCUACGAAAAUAUUUGAAAGUACCCGAGCAAAGGAUUAAACCCCGAGGAAUCAAAUUAAAAGCAGAUUUAGAAUAUCGGGAGCAACUAGUGGGUAUCGUAGAUACCAAGGAGCGGGUAACCCGGAACAGAGUUGUCAAAACAUACAAGGUGGUGUGGAGUCAUCAUGAUGAUAGGGAUGCCACCUGGGAAACCGAGGAUUAUCUAAAAACAGUUUAUGCAAAAUUUCAUAAGAAAUGGUUAGUAACCCAAAUCUCGGGACGAGAUUUCCCUAAGGGGGGAGGGCUGUAACACCCUAGGUGUUAAGCAUGCACUUAAUCUCAUCAAAACAUUCAUAAGCAUUCUCAUCAAGCAUAGCAUCACAUGAGCAUGUCAUCCAUUCAAAGUGUGAUUUUAUGUGCUUUAUUUUAUGUGAAUUAAAUGUGCUAAAAGUAUUAUGCUUGCUUCUAAAAUUGUGAAAUAUUCAAAUUAGGUUGAAUUGUGUGCUAAAAGGCUUAAGAGUAUUUUUGUGAAAUUUUUGAGCCAUAGGUGUUGAGAAAUGGAAUUUAUACAAAAAUCCCUAAAAUGAAUUUAUUUAAAAACCUAGAACUAGUUUUAAUCUGUGAUUCAAAUUCUAUUUGGAAUUUGGCCUUGCUUAUUAAAACAAAGUUGUAGGGUUUUUGUUUUGGAACAACUUUUAUUUUGGGAGCAAAAGGUAAAAGUGAUUUUUAAAUAGUACAAAUGAAUUUAGAAAGAAUUUGAGAAAAGAAAUUCAAAAAAAAGGGAAAGGGGACAGGCGCUGCUGGGCCGACCUGUCUCCCUUUCGGCCCAGCCGGACAGCGUGGCCCGCUUCCCCUCCCCUCUCUCUCCCGCGCGCAGCGCCCGCCUCACUCCACCCGGUGCCGGCCACGUGGCGGCCGUACGCUGGCGUUGGACGCGCCGCGGCCGACCGCCUUCACCUGGUCGGGACGCCGCCCCGCGCCCCCCAGGCCACUCCACUCUCUCUGUCGCCCGCUCCUCCCUCUCUUCUUCCUCUGCCCGCGAGCACAGCAGCAGCCAUAGCAGCUCAACCACCGCGCCAUCACCGGAGAUGCUCCGCUGCUCGCCGCCGGCCACACCAGAGCCCCAACCUCGACGCCAAGACCACCAUCGCACUCGCCUUCGCCGCAGUAAGCUGUUGCGUACGCUCUACCAAGGUGAGAAGCCAUCAUACGCCGAGAAUCGCUCGCCGGAGUUGCUCCAACCUCGCCGGAGAGCUCCGCCGCGUCGGAUCUCGCUAGAUCCUACCUCUUUUCGCUCGCUCUUUGGCGCGUUAGGUCCGUAGUGCGAUGAGGAAGCUCGGAGGAGCACUUGCGCGCGCUCUACCGCACCGGAGCAUCCUGGCCACGGCGAGCAGCGCCGCCGUGCUGCCAUGCAUGCUCGUCGGGGGUGCUCCGGUCAUCCUCCGGCCGAUCCAAGGGCACCCUUGGGUGCGCCUCGCUGUGGGGAGCACGCUGGUGCUCACCCCGUGGCUGGAGACCUCGCCGUCGGCGAGAGCCGUCCGGCCGAAGAUCGGCCGGGGUGCUGCAUGGCUGACCCGUGGGGCCACGACCCCUGGAUCCCACCUGUCAGUGCCUCUGCGGAUGUGGAUCUGGGUGAAUCCAGCGUUUUUCGUUGUAAAAUCUAUAUCUUGAGUUAUAUGGCUCCAAAAUUGGUGAAACAAAUUUUGGUGUGCUCUCAGAUCUGCAGUUUGGUGUAAUUGCAUGUCAAGUUUGAACAACUUUUCUGUAUAAAUAUAUUUUAUUCAUGUUUUUGCUGGAAAUGGAAAAUGCAUAGUAAUCAAAAUAUAACUCAGAAAAAUGUGAAACUUGUUUUACUGGCUCUGCAUGGAUGAUUAGUCACUGGGAAAAUUUUGCUACACGUUAUUUGCUGAACAAAUGAAUUUAUGGUGAUUUAAAUGCUUGCAUGGCAGUGGUUUAUGAUUUUUAAUAAAUAAUUGGAUCAUGCAAUUAAUGUGGAAAUUUUUGUGGGUGUUUCUUAUGAUAAUAAGCAAAUUAUAAAAAUAUGAAAUCUGCUGUUUGACACUUAUACCACAGUAGAGUAUUUAUACUUGCUUUGUGAAUUAAUCUUGUGAUUUUUGUAGCUCAAAAUAAGUCUCCAAAAAUUAUGAAAAUUUUAUGGUAGACUUUAUGUUUGACUGGUAGUCUACUGUAGUUUUUGUGGAAUUUAUAGAUAAACAUAAAUGUAUGCUAGUUUGGUAGGCCUAACAUUGGAUAAAGAAAUUAUGAAUUGUUAUAUAUAGAUUAAGUAGAAUAAAAGGGGUUUGGUGUAUCUUUGAAGCACCUUGUGAGUUUGCUGGUUACAUUUGAGGAUAAUUUGUAGAAAAGAAGGGAAUAGAUGAUUAGUGUAAUUGCAUGUCCUUGGAUGAUGUUGACUACUUUGUAAAAAGCAUGACCAAUUAAAUCAUCUAUGCAUCAUGUCAAGGUCAUUUGGUACCCUCUCAUACCAGCAUUCACCAGGGCAUCUCGCACUCCACUCAUGAGCACACAUGCAUCAUACAGGCUCUCAGGAGAACGAGGUGGGACCCGAGGAGCAGGAGGAGACCCAGGAGCAGGAACCUCUGGGAGGACCGGAGCCCGGAGAAGAACUGCAGGAGUGCCCGGAUCACAGACCAAGCACGUUUGAGGAAGGCAAGCCCCGGAGCAUUCUAAGUCUCCCUAUUCUCGCUAACUUAAAUAAUAUAUUAUGUUUGUUCUACUAUGUUGCAUUUAAGUGAUAGGAAUUGCUUGAUACCGUUGAUGCAUAAGUACUGAUUGAUAUCUCUACUUGUUUAUCUACCUUGACCUAUAUAGAUAGGUGCGGAGUCUAUGCUUAGCUUGCCUAGUCCGGUAGAAGUCGGGUGAUUUCCUGUCACCUGCGAGAUAUAGGUGGAUACCUGAUUGAUUAAGCGGUAAUUGCUUUGGUAGAGAAUAACCAAGUGUGGAAUGAAAUUUGAGACCGGGCAGGGUCUUAUGGUGGGUUGACUGUAGUGCCCCUGCCUGUGUCGAUUAAGGACCGAUCGUUGACGGAGCUCUUGUCAUGUUGAACGCAUGCCCCACACUUAGCUGGAAGGAUAAGUCGUUCCGACCGCGAAGCCUGAACACUAUCCGGGCCGGGAGUCGAGCCACCAAGCGUUGUAUUGGUGAUGGUUGAGGAGAACGACGAUGGCGCGGCGCGCAACCUUGGUAUACCUUGGAUACCUCGGUCGCCGGAACGGUCCUCGAGUACUGGCGGUGCUUGCCAAACCCGUGAAUUGGUCCUGGAUAGUGUAACACGGUGGUCUGUAGCUUACUUGAUCAGUGAGUGUGGUUUGUGUGGGGAAUACCUCGCCAGCUGGUUAGAAAUCGAUUCGAAUCGUCAUUGCUCCUGGAUAUUGAUCACUUGACAUGAGCCCUGUCCUCGUAGUAAGGACUAUGGAACACUUGGGUUAAAAUGAUAAAUGGUUUCAUGAAUGCUAUGAUGAGGUACCAUCAUAUUACCACACUUGUUUGUAAUAGUACAGGUGCAAACCUAGAUAAUAGGUAAUGAUAAUAUUGAACUUGAGCUAAUUAAAAGAAGAAAGGUUUUUAGACUAUGUUUAGUGGAACAAUGCUUUUAUGCAAAAGUCUUAGCUACCCCACUAUAUAGCCUUCAUGAUCCUUGAAGAGUCUUUAUUUUUGGUUUAUGACGGGUAAGUCUAGCUGAGUACAUUCUCAUACUCAGGGUUCUGCUCCCUUGUUGUUUUGCAGAUGGUCAAAUGUACUAUGGUUAUUGCAUCCUCUGCUUGUACCCAGCUAUGGGCGAUGACUAGACCAAGGGCGAUGGUCACUCUGUCUUCUCUUUUGCUUUUGUUGGAAUGACCAAAACUAUGGCACUGUAUGAGACUAAGUAUGUGUGUGUUAUUUUCGAACUAUGAAGCUUCCGCUACUUGUGAACUUGGUUUGUAAUAACUUUAAGCACUCCGAUGUAUUUGGUGGAUGUUUUCGAUCUGGAUGUAAUUGUGGAUGGUGACCGCUAAAGUUAUUACGAUCUUGGCUGUAUGUACGAUAUGUGGUUUGAAAUCCUUCGAGAUUUCACGGACUACCGGGAUUAUAUGGGCUUAAGCUCGAUGGUUUGACUAUGCAAAUGGUCGCUAUUAGGCUUAAACUCUUAUAAUUUGGGCGGUUCUAUUACACACCUGACCGUCCACCCCUCUUAGCUGCCUCUGCUGCUGCUGCAACUGCCUCGGCCACCUCUGCCUCUCUGUCGCUGGCCUUGCGCUUCUUGGUCGCUAACUUCUUGCCCUUGCCCUUCUCUGCCGCUGAUAGGCGACGGGGAGGAUCACCUCCACCAUCACCUCCUGGGGAACCUCUAGCGCUGGCUGCCGGUCCACUAACGUUCUUGCAACGAGCCAUCUCAAGAACAACUUACUGAACUAACUGUCGGCAAAUGACCAACUGACACAGGAGAUCAACGCGGAUCGGGUGACGAGAUGUGUUCCGGACGAAAGAUCACAAUCAGAUAUCACCGGACAACACAAAUCGACUCCUCAAGGUUCCAAAAUCUUGAAUCCUCGUGAGAUUGGAUCUGCACGCGAAGCGAAGGGAGAGGGAAGAGUCUAAGGCAGAUCUGGUGCGAGGGAGAAGAAGAUCGCCGGAGAAAUGGUCGAGGACGAUGGCGGCGAAUCCUUCUCUGAGACCUAGGGCACAUGGGCGGUGGACUGGCACGCGCGAUUUAAGAAAAACUGCCCGAGCCGAGACCCCAGGGCGCGGGUUAUAUCCGCGGUCUGCGGGGUCACCGGACGCACUUAAAGUGGCACCGGACGCGUCCGGUGACCACCGGACUCAUGGACAGAGAGGUUUGAAAUUUGGCAUAUCACCGGACAAUGGCCACCGGACGCUGGUCUUAGCGUCCGGUGCUCUAGGGAACGCCAGGUGAGCACCGGACGCACCUCACCAGACGCUGCAGGAACACUGUUCCUACGUCCGGUGAGUGCAAUCUGGCACACUCACCGCACCGGACGCACAGAGACAGCGUCUGGUGCAUCGUCUGGUGCCUCUUUGAGUCCUUUUUCGACUUAACACUACGUCCGACUUUGACCCAACCAAGUUCCAUCUUUAAAGACACACAAAUAAACACCAAAUGGAACUGGUAUGAGUGACCUCUCUCAAACCCUCAAAUUUUAACAAAUAUUUAGCCAUAGGCUUAGUAGUUUUUAUGAAAAUAAUUCGAGAAAUCACCAAGGAGCAUCAUAUGGCCAUAAAACUAGGGGUUUUGAAUCACAAUGAGCUUUGAAUGCUCCCCCUAAAUAUGGACAAACACAGCGGAUGCUCAAAGAAUAACCGAAAAGAAACGGUCAAAUGACAAGCAUGCAUAUGAUAUGAGGUGUAAUGCAAUACUUGAAAGUAAAGUAAAGCUUGUCAAGUUUGAUCCAAGGUUAAGCUUUUUCACACACACAAGGGGGUUAUCUUAACCAUGUUAGACAAGCCCUACACACAAAACUUGUUCAUUUUUAGUUUUAGUAUGCAUGAUAUGCAAAGCAAAAGCUAUUUACAAGUUUCAACACACAACUUUAUCUUUUAGUGAAGUUAGAGAGAUCAAUCACAUUAAGUUCAUUUCUCAACAUACAAAACCUAGCUUCAUCUAUGGGUUUUGUGAAGAUAUCCGCUAAUUGAUUUUCCGUUCCCACAUUCUCUAGAGAUAUGUCACCUUUAGCAACAUGAUCCCUAAGGAAGUGGUGGUGGAUGUCAAUAUGUUUUGUGCGGGUGUGUUGAACCGGGUUGUUUGCAAGUUUUACGGCACUUUCGUUGUCACACAACAAAGUUACUUUGUUGUCGGUGUUUUUCCCCUGGGGGGUCAUACCAACCAGUAAAUUUGUAUGCGUGCUCCCGUUUCUAGAUGGUGAUGCAAGAAAAGACACAAAGAUUUAUCCUGGUUCGGGCAAGAGAAGGCCCUACGUCCAGCGGGGGGGGGAGAGAUGUUUGUAUUAUCUUGCACCUAAGUGCUUGUACAGGGGUGAAUACAGGGAGAUGGAGUAUGGAAGCUAUACUAAGCGUGAAUGUGUUGGGUGAUGUUGUAUCGCGUCUCUUGUAUCCGCUCCCGGGCCUCCCCUUUUAUAGUUCCAAGGAGAGACCUAGGGUACAUGUAUAGGCGUCACAGUAGGGGUCGAUAGAGGUAUGGCGCGCUGACCUACUCGAGGCCUUCGUACCGGCGUGGUUUCGAGCCAUCUUGUCCUAAUAGCUUGAUGAUGCUUACGCGUGCCCCGGUAUCCCGCUCUACGCGCCGUCCUCGGCUGGUUUAUCCGUUGUACGCUUGUACGUCGUGGAAGCAUCUGCGCCGGGGUGGUCGAGGUGCUGUCACUCGUCGCCCGACUCUUCUCCAGGAAGGAAAUGUGCCUAUUCGAGGGUCUGGUGUCGUAUAAUGCCUUGCCAGCAAGAGCGCUGACCUUAGGCGUCUCGAGGGGGGUCUUGAUUAGGCGUUCCGACCCACUCCAUGCGUCCUGCCACGUUCUGGCUUGUUCGGUGGGGAAGGCUGCAAAAAGAAUGACGGGACGGGUGCCUGUUCCCUAUCACACUUCCCAUGACUGGCGGGUUAGGUGAGAACGCGACGGCCGCAUUAAAUGCCCUGGUUCCCGUGCCCACGUCAGGCGGUGGAUGGCAUCCUUGCGCUCGACGCCUUCCGAUUCGCUCGAGCCUGUUUCUAUGUUCGACGGUAGCCAGCGCUCGAGCCCUGAUCGAUUCGCAGGACGCUCUUUCCGCGUUCGAGACUAUGGCCAUCGAGGACCGUACGUGUGACUGGGUAGAGUGUCGAGUCGGAGGCCUUGACUAGCGUACGGGCAUUCUCGUCAUGCACAUCAGUUAGGGUACCCCUUACUGAUAUCUGUUGAUAUUUGGUAACGCAAUAAGGAAAUGAUCCGCAAGCGCACGGAUAUCGCUGAGCAUUUCACCCGGGAGGUUUUCCAGAGUAUCGUAUUUAUAUUUUUACCACUGGGAGAAAGGGUGCAUUUGACUAACCAAAUCUAUUGCUACUAUCCCUUUAGGCUACAAAGAAUGUCUCUCGAUGUGAGUGAUGUAUAGAGAAGACUGCAACCGUAGUCUCGUUCUAACCUUGGUAAGGAUGAUAUACUGUUCUAUUGGGGAGGCUCACGGAAUCUAGACAACACAAAGGAUGUUCGACCUGCACCUUUAACCCUACCCGUCCUGCUAACGAGAUGUGAUCUACAAAGGUAACUCGGAAAUGUCACGUUCCUCGCUACUACCACGGUCCAGCUAGUCAGGGGAUAUCUAUGAGUACCCUAGCCUAAACACCACGUUUACGCUAACAAGUGAUUACUCUAAUACUCAACCGGAAGAGGAUUAAAGUAAACUCAUAAACCAAAGAACAAUAAAACAAGAACUUACUAGUAUUAGAAGUCGAAUUAUUGAAGAAUCUUAGAAGCAAGCCUCGGGUUAGGAGACUUGAUCCCGUAGGUACAACUCGGAGUAGACACCGACAGGCCGGCCUUCCUCCGAUCCACACCUCCACUCCAUCUCUCUCAAUCUAGUAGAAACUAGAAGAUCUAUUUCUACCUUACAUUGGUUGCUACGCCUAAAAAGAAAUAUUAUUUAGAGAAGAGGUUUUCCUUCGAGGGCACCCCUCAAUCUCUAUGAUAAUUUCUUGUCUUCUCCAGGGCCAGGGGGGCCUUGCUUAUAUAGUCCUCCCCUUCUAUGCGUUUUUGGGUCGAUAGGUGAGGUGGUACUAUGUUUUCCUUGAUCCAAUAGGUCGGUGGAACAUCCCGAGCGAAAGAGUCCUGAUUUGGCUCCAACAGAGGGGUGGGCGCCCAGGCUACCAGGGCGGGCGCCCUGGGCCUGGCCCAAUUUCGCCUCCGCUUCGGUCUCGUGGCUUCUGGAGUCUUCUAGAUGAUGUAAAAUCGUGCGGUGCGUUUAUAUCUCUAUGUAAUCCCGACAUGUGGGCCUUUCUUCCUUAUUUCCUGAUAACCCCCUGUGGAAACAGAUAAACAACAAAACUCGUGGAAUUCUGUCAGAUCAAACCCUAAUUCUAGGUGUUGGUUGCAUUUGGAUCCUUUUCUUUGUUUAUUUGAUAAUUAAAUUUGAUACUUAAGGACCGUCAACAAACUCCCCCAAGCUUACCUCUUGCUCGUCCCUGAGCAAGGAUAGACUUAGCUAUGGAUCAUAAAUUGUUGCAAUAUUUUUAAAAAUUGAUGUUACACAUGCUUUUUAAAUAAAAUCUCAUCUCUGAGUUAGAGUAAACUAUCAAGACUUAAAACUUACUUUACCUUCACCAUGGGACUUGUAACUGUCACUUCUGUCUUGAGUGGUUAAAAGAUAGAAUAGUCUAGCCAAGUGCCAUGUCUCUUAUUCUUGAUCAGCUAUAGCUCUAGAGUUUUUGCAGAUUUUAAAACUCAGAGAUUCCUUGUAUGAUUCUCUCAGAUCUCUCUUUUGUGGUAUUUUUGGAUCCUUACCAAGGCAGUGAUGGUAUAUGCCUUCUCUCAAGAUAUGUAGUAUUUGUGGUAUGAAGCAUAGUGACAUUGUCUUCUCUCUCACCCUACUCUAAUAAGGCUUUAAUAUCUGGAGCUCAUAGGUGGGAGAUAAAAUAUACAUACUCACAAGACAUUUAUUGCAUAGUCAAACCAUGGAUCCAAAGAAACAAAUCAAUAAGCCAAAUCAAGAUGUGCAUGUGUGGCGAAUGAAUGGUGUAUGGUGAUGAUGGUGAUAACAAUGGUGAAAGUCUAAUUUUACUUUUGCUCUUUGAGGGGAUACAUACCUUCCUUGCUUUUGAAACUUUAUGAGGAGAAUGAGAUGCUCUAUAUUUUCCCCUUUUUUUUCUCAGGUGGGUAGCCUUGUACCCCUAAUUCUACUGUCGGACACUUGUCCAUUUUUACCUCUCGUCUCACUUUUUCUUUUCUUCGAGGUUCCGAGCACUUGCCCCUUUUUAUUUCCUCGUAUAUUAUUUAUUUUUUUUUCUUCUUUUUUUUUCUUUUUUUUUUCUUUCUAGAGCACUCAUCUCCUGAAAUAAUGUAGCAAGUGGUAGUAACCAAAAUAACUGGAGCAUUUAUUUCACAGGGAAUAACAGGGAUAGGAAAAUGUUUUUUGGCUUAUUCUCUCUCGGAUUAGGAGUAGAAUAAUUUUGGGUAAAACUGGAGAUGGAAAUGAGUGGAUAUAUGUGGAUGGUACUUCCGGAGUAGAAGUAGCAUAUAUGAGUGAACGUGCAAGUGAAUCUUGAUUUAACCACAUGACAAGCUCCUAAGGGUCUACACAACUUGACUACACUCAAUGCUCAUAAGCAGUAAAUAGUAAAUGUGUGGCUCAAGGUCUAGCAAGCAUGUAUAUAUGGCUGUGGUAGGAAUUUAAACUCUCAUCAUACAGGAACUCAUCAUGCAAUAUUUUAAAGAUUUUCAAAGAUAAAAUUCUCUAGAAUUCUACAUCUCUAGGAACAGAUAAACAGCAGCUCAACCUUCCCAUAUCGUAUCCGUUAACAACUUAGACUUCAGAUCAAGUUUUCAUCCCACAAGUUUAGAUCUAGAGCAAGCUUUAAAUUAUAACAGUUAUGUCUAAACUUGAGAGAGAACUUUAAAUUUGCAAAUUAGGCAGAGCAACUAUUCAUCAUAUCCAUGCUUAAGUUUUAUUAGAUACAGAUUAGCAAAGCCACUUUAUUUAAUUAUUAAACAUACUAAGCAAAAUAUAUAAGCAUAAAAUCUUUAUUCGGUUUUUUUUAUAGUUAUGUGUAUUUAUAUUCUAAUAUAGUAUAAGUAUAAAGAUAGAUAGAAAUACUUAUCGAGAUACAUGGGGGUGCUCUCCCCCAAGCUGAAUUUUGACGUAAUUUCUCUUGAUGUAGCUAGCAGGUGGCAGAGGUGUGUUUGAAAGUCAGCAGUAUUUUGACAGCGAUUAGAAUGUCCUCCGUCUGCUAGUCUUCUUAAUUCUUAAAUUCUAUGGAGCUCAAAUAGACAACAAAGCUUGUGGAACUGAUUAAGUGUUAGCAUAAAUAUCUAGCCUUUAUCAUGUUGAGACUUCUUAAUAAAUAUUACUCCCUGUUUUUAUAUUUUUGUUUUUAUAAAGCAGAAAAAUAUUUAUUUUAUUUUUAUGCCACCACAGUGAAUGUACUUAUGGGUUUUAUGCCACUCGUCUACUCACAUGGGGCUUACAGUUUUUUAACAUUUAUUUUCUUUUCAAGAUGAACCUGAUUAACUAAGCAAACUAUUGAAUGGAAAAGGAUAACUACCAAGUUUACCUCUUGGCAAGGCGUUCGGUAUUUUUAAGUCCUCCGAAUGGGACUCCUUGUGUUUUCUUAGUCGUCCUGGGAUUCGCUAGGUGGCAUAGUCGGUGAUUCCGGCGGCGCCUCUUCGUCGUGUAUAACUAUCUUCUUUCUCCACACCUGACUCGGUGCUACGGUCUCCUCAGGACAGUUCUGUUCAAGCCAUAUGUGUUCAGAUCUUAUCAUAUCUCCUUCGUAGUCUACCCAUCCGUCUUUGAUGAUCUGCCUCCUCUGGUUGCGGUUGCGUUGUCUUCUUCUUAUCCUGACCUGCUUAGAAUCUUCAACUAUAUAGUUAGAAUCAUUAAAGUAGUGGCGUACCUUCUUAGAGGGGAAGUACACGUGGACUUCUCCGGUUCCAAUGUAGAUGAUAACUUUGAUAGUGUUGAGGAAUGGUCUUCCAAGGACGAUGGGUAGAUCGUACUCGUCUUCUCCCAUGUCAAUGAUCUGAAAAUUAUCUGGAGCUGAAUGUAUGUUGGUUGUAGGGGCAUGGUUCCAUGUAGGAGCUGAUAAGUGACUGCAGCCAUUAUGUAGUCGUCAGAUCCGGUGUCGUAGAGUGUCUUCUUGAAAAGAGUAUUUGUUGAUUGUGCACUUAAUGCUUGGAACACCGGGGUCGUCCUUCUUGAUUAGGAAAGGUGACUUGAGUCGACGAUCUUGACCUCCUUGAGCUGCAGUGACCAUCUUAGCUGACUCGGUCCAUAUUUGCUUGUUCCUGUUCCUCCUGUUGGUCCUCUUCCUUGGUUCAUGUCGGGAUUGCUCUGAAGUUUGUGUAGUCUUGUUCUCGAAGGAAAAUCUCCUUUUCCCCCUUGAUGUAGAAACUGAUCUUGGCAGCAUUAACGUAGAUGAAAGCUCUGGUGUUUAGGAAUGGCCUCCCUAAGAUAAUGGGUGCCCUCUCCUCAGUACCAGUCUCUAUCACCACGAAGUCUACUAGAGUGUACAAGGUACCAACUCGGACGCAGAGGUUCUUCAAUAUUUCCUUUGGGAAACUGAGUGUCCGAUCUCCAACCCUGGGCAUAAUGUUGACGCUGGAGCCAAAGUCGCAGAGUGCUUCUGGGAAGUCCACCAUGCCGAUGGAGAUCGGGAUGACGGGGCGUCCUAGAUCACCUCUCUGAGUAAUUAGGCCUCUGUUGAUUCCAACCUUGAUGUUGUUGAGGACGGUUGUAGUAAUAGUUGUUAUUGUUGUUGAUGUAGUUCACGUCCUCAAGCAUCUCAGGGCAGUGAUUGCCUGAGCGUCCAGUAUCUCCAGUGUGUUUGUGCUCGUAGAUCCUAGUUCUUCACUUGGUGGAAUCUGGGAGUUGUAAAACUCCUUCAUAUUAUGCUCGAAGUGUUCCUGCUCAUAGAGACAAUGUAGAGAUCAAGUGCAUGGGCCCUGUUGGUGGAAAACACCAACAGAACCAAAAGUGUAUUUGUUCUUCUCUAACCUUAAGCAUAGUGAGCAAGACAAAAUUGAUGGAUCAUGAGUGUAGCAUUUGUCAGAUCAGAUGGCUCAACCUAAUGGAAAGAUAAUCUAUUUAUAUUUAUGUUUUGUUUAUAUCUUCCAAAGAUUGCAUGUGCUAUACUUUAGCUUAUAUGAUUAGGAGUGUGGGAUCACGAAGGUAGUACUAAGAACAAAGAUUAAAGGACUAAACAUGUUGAAUUAAUUGGUUUGAUUAAUUUGGAGCUACAAAUCAUACAUGUUUGUCUCUUUAUUUUAUGUGAAUGCUAGAACCAAGGAGAAGCUUAUAAAAGUGAUAGUCAAGUACCUUAAAAUGUUACCUUACUUGAAGAGUGACGGUACAGUAUCACCUUGUGGAAGCUUUCCUUUCUUAGCGGUUGUGCAUCGUGUUUGUGGCACCCUCCAUGGAUCAUCUCUUUAUGAUGAAUGAGCUAUGUCCUUCUUGUGCAAAUUGUUAAACUUCAUGUGUCUCCUUUACCUCCAAUGAGUUUGUAUCUCAGGACUUCCCAGGUUGAUAUUGAAAGUUUUCCUACAGGGGUUAGUCCAAUAAAAUAUCCCAUAUCUACUAUAGCAUACUAUCGGCUCAAAAAUCAACCUAGACACCAUGUCUAAUUUGAUUUAGGAGGGCAUUUUAACCUAAGCACCAUGCUUAAUUUAAAAAUCCUUUGGAAGUAAGAUCAUCAUUCCUAAACUAAGCACCAUGCUUGAUUUAAGAGAUAAAUGAAACUACUCCAAACCUAAACAUAUACUAAAGCAAAUAAAGGUAGCAUGAGAGCAUUUAUAGCGAUCUACUCAAGUGGAGGUGAAGUAGUGUAAUUAGUACUUAACAAAUUGAGCAUCUCUCAAAGGUAGGGACAACCAACGUAGCAACAUGGCAAAUGAUGUUUUUAUGUAAAGUACUCCCCCAAGCUUGAAUUUUACAAAAUUCAAGUUUGGAUGAAUUUAAUUCAAUGUUGUGUGAUGGUUGGUUGGACAUACCUUGUGCUUGUCAUUCAUCCGAUCUUCUUGCUCCAAUCCUGGAAAGGUUAGUGACAAGAAUACCCGAAGGAAUAUUUCUACAAUUAUCUUUAUAUGCUCAAUACACAAGGCAAUGUUGCAAAUAAUUAGAAGUGCUUGUUUUUGGACACUAAGCUCGUCCUUGGGAAACCAUCAAUUAACUCAACGAGAUCUGCAAUAUUUAUUAUAGACAUAUGCAUCGACAACCGCUCUUUUAAAGUUUUUAUAAAUAGAAAAGAAGAGAGGGUUGGAGAUCUCAAAUGUGAUAAGGAUGGAGAGACUAAUUGAUUGGAGAGAUGUUUUAUAUGAGCAAGGACUGGGUAAGGUAUUUAUGAAAUAACUUCCAUGCUCACUGUUGUUUCUCUCAUUCUCAAACUCCAAGGAUGAUUCUUCAUGAAUGCUAAAAAUUCCUCUAGGAUUGUCUCUCAAGUUUGUUUUAUCUAUCCAUUUAAUGGUGAUAGCACAUGGAUUUUUAAUGCCCUCUAGCCAUUGAUGUUGCUCUUCUCGAUCCUCCUUCUUAUGCAUGGGAUGUCUAGAGAGAUUUAUAGGAUCAUCGGGAGGUUCAAGAGAAAGAGAAUAGUAGAAAUUGUUAAGCUCAAGGAUGGGUUGGAUAGCCGAAUCAUGGGAUUGAAAUGUUUGGAAAUUGGCUAUUAAAACUUCCUUUCCUCGUCUGGGAGAUGAUUCCUUCUCUAUCUCUAAGAUUUUUCUAUGAAGACUAGUACAGGAAGGAUGUCCACAAAUGAAGACAUACCUUCCUUUACUAAUAGAUAAAGAAAGAAGGACUCUACCAAAGGUUAUAUGAUUAAGACCAAUGUGAAAAUAUCGAGAAAAAACAUGGUCUUGUAGGGCUAGGUCUAAACCAGAAUUUAUAAAAAGAUUAACAGAUUCCCUAGCUGUAGCUAAAAGUGCAUUAUCUUUUUGAUUAAAAGAUAGGACCUCGGCUAUAGAAAAGGGUUGGUUUUGACCUAUUGCAAUCAACUCCGGACACAGAUCAUAAUUAGGGGCAGGACGUGUUGACUCCCAUGGUCUAUGGCUGGUCUCCGAAGGUGCAAAGAAUUCAGUAAUAGGUAUGGAAUAUAAGUUAUCCAUAAAGAUAAAAAUAAAAAGAUAAAAGAAUAAAAGUAUAAAAGUAUAAUACAAGAUAAUAGCAAGACUCAAAGUUAUCUCAGCAAACCGUCUUUCUCCCCGGCAACGGCGCCAGAAAUGCUUGUUGAUAUUUGGUAACGCAAUAAGGAAAUGAUCCGCAAGCGCACGGAUAUCGGUGAGCAUUUCACCCGGGAGGUUUUCCAGAGUAUCGUAUUUAUAUUUUUACCACUGGGAGAAAGGGUGCAUCUAACUAACCAAAUCUAUUGCUACUAUCCCUUUAGGCUACAAAGAAUGUCUCUCGAUGUGAGUGAUGUAUAGAGAAGACUGCAACCGUAGUCUCGUUCUAACCUUGGUAAGGAUGAUCUACUGUUCUAUUGGGGAGGCUCACGGAAUCUAGACAACACAAAGGAUGUUCGACCCGCACCUUUAACCCUACCCGUCCUGCUAACGAGAUGUGAUCUACAAAGGUAACUCGGAAAUGUCACGUUCCUCGCUACUACCACGGUCCAGCUAGUCAGGGGAUAUCUAUGAGUACCCUAGCCUAAACACCACGUUUACGCUAACAAGUGAUUACUCUAAUACUCAACCGGAAGAGGAUUAAAGUAAACUCAUAAACCAAAGAACAAUAAAACAAGAACUUACUAGUAUUAGAAGUCGAAUUACUGAAGAAUCUUAGAAGCAAGCCUCGGGUUAGGAGACUUGAUCCCGUAGGUACAACUCGGAGUAGACACCGAUAGGCCGGCCUUCCUCCGAUCCACACCUCCACUCCAUCUCUCUCAAUCUAGUAGAAACUAGAAGAUCUAUUUCUACCUUACAUUGGUUGCUACGCCUAAAAAGAAAUAUUAUUUAGAGAAGAGGUUUUCCUUCGAGGGCACCCCUCAAUCUCUAUGAUAAUUUCUUGUCUUCUCCAGGGCCAGGGGGGCCUUGCUUAUAUAGUCCUCCCCUUCUAUGCGUUUUUGGGUCGAUAGGUGAGGUGGUACUAUGUUUUCCUUGAUCCAAUAGGUCGGUGGAACAUCCCGAGCGAAAGAGUCCUGAUUUGGCUCCAACAGGGGGGGCGGGCGCCCAGGCUACCAGGGCGGGCGCCCUGGGCCUGGCCCAGUUUCGCCUCCGCUUCGGUCUCGUGGCUUCUGGAGUCUUCUAGAUGAUGUAAAAUCGUGCGGUGCGUUUAUAUCUCUAUGUAAUCCCGACAUGUGGGCCUUUCUUCCUUAUUUCCUGAUAACCCCCUGCGGAAACAGAUAAACAACAAAACUCGUGGAAUUCUGUCAGAUCAAACCCUAAUUCUAGGUGUUGGUUGCAUUUGGAUCCUUUUCUUUGUUUAUUUGAUAAUUAAAUUUGAUACUUAAGGACCGUCAACAAUAUCCUCGACAUUUGUCUAGUACUACUUCAUAGUCUAGCAAAGUUUAUUUCAUGUAGAGUAUUUGUGCACAACAAGCACCGGCGGCAAUGUAUAUUGCCUUGGCCGUUGACAAGGCAACACUCUUUUGUUUCUUUGACAUCCAAGAGACAAGUGAUCUACCUAGGAAAUGGCACCCUUCGGAUGUGCUUUUUCUAUCAAUUCGGCACUCGGCAUAAUCCGAAUCGGAAUAGCCUACAAGUUGGAAUCUUGCACCUUUGGGAUACCACAAACCUAGGCAAGGUGUGUAUUUUAGAUACCUAAGAAUUCUCUUGACGACAAUCAAGUGAGAUUCCAUAGGCAUUGCUUGAUAUCUAGCACACAUACACACACUAAACAUGAUAUCGGGCCUAGAUGCGGUGAGGUAGAGUAGAGUUCCUAUCAUGGAGCGAUAGAGAGUCUUGUCAAUUGGGUUACCUCCCUCAUCCAAGUCGAGAUGCCCAUUUGAUGCCAUGGGAGUCUUGAUUGGCUUGCAAUCCAUCAUCUUGAAUCUCUUGAGAAGAUCUUGAGUGUACUUCUCUUGAGAGAUGAAGACUCCUUCCUUCAUUUGCUUGACUUGAAACCCUAGGAAGAAGGAUAGCUCGCCAAUCAUGGACAUCUCAAACUCCUUGGACAUCAAAUCACCAAAUUCCUUGCAAAAAUCUUCAUUAGUAGAGCCAAAAAUAAUAUCAUCAACAUAAACUUGGCAAAUGAAGAUUUCCCCAUUCAUUUUCUUGGUGAAGAGUGUUGUGUCAACUUUCCCAAUCUUGACGCCCUUCUCGAUGAGGAAGUCCCUAAGCCUCUCAUACCAAGCUCUAGGAGCUUGCUUGAGACCAUAGAGUGCCUUGGACAACCGGUAGACAUGCUUGGGGUACCUAGGGUCUUCAAAACCGGGGGGUUGCUCAACAUAGACAAGCUCAUUAAUAUAGCCAUUCAAAAAAGAACUUUUCACAUCCAUUUGAAAUAACUUGAUAUCAUGACUAGAUGCAUAUGCAAGUAGGAUAUGGAUUGCUUCAUGUCUUGCCACCGGUGCAAAGGUUUCACUGAAGUCAAGACCUUCCACUUGUGAAAAGCGUUUUGCCACAAGUCUUGCCUUGUUGCGCACCACUUUGCCUUGAUCAUCCUUCUUGUUCCGGAAGACCCACUUUGUUCCAAUCACUCUUGCAUCUUUGGGUCGCUCUUCAAGUGUCCAUACUUGGUUGCGCGAGAAGUUGUUCAACUCCUCUUGCAUGGCCAUGAUCUAAUCUGCAUCAUGAAGAGCUUCCUCUAUAGUCUUUGGUUCAUCUUCAGGAGACACAAAAGCGUGAUGUUCAAUAAAUAAAGCAUGUCUAGAACGAGUAGUUACACCACGUGAUGGACUCCCGAUGAUGAGAUCCUGAGAGUGAUCUUGGAGGAGAUGUGAUGCUCUUCUUGGCACCACUUGAGGGGUUGUUGGGGAGCAUCAACAUCUUGUGCUUGUGCCACCGCUUGCUCAUGAGUGACUUGAUUGUCGUCAUGAGGAUCUCUCACAUCCUUGUCUUCAUCUUGUGGUACAUGUGAGGUGGAAGGUGGCUCAAUAACUUGCACAUCAUCAUCAUCUUCUUUUGGCUUGAUGUCUCCCACCGGCAUGUUCUUCAUGGCAUCCCUCAAUGGUUCACCACCUACAUCAUCAAGAUUAUCACUUGCUCCUUGGGAGCCAUUAGUUUCAUCAAGUUCAACAUCAAAUGUUUCUUGAACCAUGUUUGUGGCAUGGUUAAAGACCCUAUAUGCCUUGGAAUUUGAUGAAUAGCCAACCAAGUAGCCAAUGUCACAUCUUCUUUGGAACUUUCCCAAGUGUUGGCGCUUCUUGUAGAUGUAGCAUUUGCAUCUAAACACUCUAAAGAAUGAGACAUCGGGCUUCUUCCCAUUGAGCAAUUCAUAUGGUGUCUUCUCUAGCAACUUGUGAGGAAAGAGCCGGUUUGAAGCAUAGCAUGCGGUGUUGAUUGCCUCGGCCCACAUCUUCUCCGAAGUGUUGUACUCAUCUAGCAUUGUUCUUGCCAAGGUGAUCAAUGUCUGGUUCUUUCUUUCUACAACCCCAUUUUGUUGUGGUGUGUAUGUUGAGGAGAACUCAUGCUUGAUUCCGACUUCAUCACAAUACUCUUCAAUGUUGGUGUUGUCAAACUCCUUGCCAUUGUCACUUUUAAUUUUCUUGAUCUUGACUUCAAAUUGAUUUUGGGCAUUCUUUGCAAACUUCUUGAAUAUGGAUGCAACUUCGGCCUUGUCUUGCAAGAAAAAUGUCCAAGUGUACCGGGAGAAAUCAUCAACUAUGACCAAGCAAUAUUUGUUGCCUCCAAGACUAGCAUAUGUGGUUGGUCCAAAUAGAUCCAUGUGAAGUAGCUCAAGCACUCUUGAAGCAGAGAGAUAGGCCUUGGUUGGAUGAGUGUUUGCAACUUGCUUGCCCGCUUGACAUGCACUACAAAGCUUGUCUUUUUCAAAUGUAACAUCCUUCAAGCCUCUAAUCAAUUCUUUCUUCAUCAACUUCUUGAGUGUACCCAUUCCAACAUGUGCUAACAUUCUAUUCCACAACCACCCAAGUGAAGUCUUGGUGAAUAAGCAAGUCUUGACAUCAACUUCAUCGGAUGAGAAAUCAACUACAUAUAAGUUGUUGUGUCGGAAGCCUUUGAAUAUCACUUCAUUGUCAUCUUCCUUGGUCACAAUUACUUCCUUCUUCUUGAAUAGGCAUUCAAAUCUAAGAUCACAAAGUUGUCCAACCGAGAGCAAGUUCAAACUCAAUAAUUGCACAUAGAGCACAUUGGUGAUGGAGUUGUCAUUUGAUAUAGCAACCUUUCCUAGUCCCUUGACCUUGCCUUUUGAAUUGUCACCAAAUGUGAUCUUCUCUUGGUUGUCAACAUCUUCAUCAAGAGAGGUGAACAUCCGGGGAUCUCCGGUCAUAUGUUGAGUGCAACCACCAUCAAUUACCCAAUGUGAUCCACCGGUCUUGUAGUUCACCUACACACAAGAUAUCAAGCUUGAGAUUUAGGGACCCACAUUUGCUUAGGACCCUUGACCUUCUCUACUAGUUGCUUUGGCACCCAAAUCUUCUUUGGCCUUUGCUUGUUUGGUGGCCCCAUGAAGCUAACCUUGACCUUGCCACUCUUGUCUUUCCUUACAAUGUAGUGAGCAUUGAAGGCAAAUGGUCUUGCAUGCUUGGGCAAGGGUGGUGGUAGUGGUGCCUUACACUCAUGAGCAAAGUGUCCUUCUUGACCACACUCAAAGCAUCUCUUUGGCUUUGGCUUGCUUGGAUGAUCAUGAGUGGCUAGUGACUUGAUGAGCUUUGUUUGAUGAGCCUUGUAGCCAAUCCCACUCUUGUCCAUCUUCAUCACGGUGUUCAUGAAAAGCUCACUUUGAAGGUCCUUCCCCUUUGUGAACUUUGCUAAUCCCAUGCUUAGGUGUUCCUUCUCUUUCUUGAGCUUGCUAUUCUCUUGAGUUAGCUUCUUGAUGAUUGGGUCAUUGUUGCUAGCUAACUCAUCCAAGAUGAAUGUCUCAUCUUCUUCUUGCUUGUCAUACAUCAAACCAAGUUUGAGAUAUUGAUUAUCUUCCUAGAGUAACUUGUUCUCAUAUGCAAGCUUCUUGUCUUGAUCAAGUGACUCAAUCACAAUGAUCUUGUGCUUAGCUUUGUCUUGCAACUCUUUCUUGAGCAUGACAAUUUCAUCUUUGAGCUUGAUAGUGUCCUCAUAGCUCUCGGCCACUACCACUUUCUUGCCCUUGCAAUCAACACAUUUGCUUGUGCUCUCCACAAGUAAGUCAUCACAAGAUGUGGCUACAUCAAGCUUAGCAACAUUGUUAGUAGCAACAUGUGUUUCAUCAAUUGCAAGUUCAUAAGCAAUCUCAAGGUUGUCAUAGUUUGCUUUUAGAGUUGUUAGAUCUUCUUUCAUUGCUCUAUAUCCAGUGAUAAGCUCAUCAUGAACACUCUCAAGUUUAUCAUGUUUUUCUUUGAGUUCUUUUGAAGAGAGUUUGAGCUCCUUGAGCUUAGUGGUCAUGAUUUCAUUUUGGUCUCUAAGCUCAUCACUAGACUUAAGCUUUGCUAGAAGUCUUUCAUUUUCAAGUUCAAGCUUUUCAUUUUCACUUCUAGAUUUUCUUAUGACUUUUGUGUACUUGUUAAGCAAUUUUACAAGUUCAUCAUAAGAAGGUGAUUCGUAUUCACUAUCACUUUCACUACUCUCAUCCUCACUUUGUACCUUCCGGUCACCCUUAGCCAUGAGGCAUAGGUGUGUAGAGGAUGUAGAUGGUGGUGAAGAUGAUGGUGAUGAAGCAUUGAUGGCAAUGGCGGCAACCUUCUCAUCAUCACUCUCAUUGCCAGAGGAGUCACCACUUGAGCUCUCAAUGUCGGUGAGCCAAUCACCAACAAUGUAAGCCUUGCCAUUCUUCUUCUUGUAGUGCUCCUUCUUCUUGCCAACUUUCUUCUUGUAUUGCUUCUUGUCAUUCUUGUCAUCAUCACUUGAAUCAUCUUGCUCUUUGUUCUUCUUCUUGUAUUUGUCCUUCUUGGGCUUUGGACAUUGAUGAGCAAGAUGGCCAAGCUCACCACAAUUGUAGCAAUCCAUCUCGGAGAUGGGCUUUCUCUUGCUACUUGUGAAGAAUUUCUUCUUCUUGGAGUCAAAGUUGACUCCAUUCUUGUUGAGCUUCUUCAACAUCAUUGUGGUUCUUCUCACCAUGAGGGCAAUAGAUGCAUCAUCAUCACCUGAAGUUGAUGACUCAACUUCAAUCUUCUUGGCCUUGCCCUUGUGAGAAGCUUUGAGGGACAAGUCCUUCUUCUCCUUCUUGGCCGAUGAGGAGCCAUCUUGGGGGUUCAUGUUCAUGUACAUCUCAUGAGCAUUGAUCUUCCCCAAUAUGGCGGUUGGUGUAGUGGUGGAGAGAUCGCCUUGGUGAAGCACCGUUACUAUGUGCCCAUAUUUCUCAAUGGGAAGCACACGUAGUAUCUUCCUUGCGACAUCCGCCGCACUCAUUUGAGUGAGCCCAAGUCCAUUAAGCUCCUCUACAAUGACAUUCAAGCGAGAAUACAUUUCAUUAGCAUUUUCUUUGGGAAGCAUCUCAAAUGUAUUAAGCUUGUUCAUCACUAAGUGAUAGCGUUCCUCGCGUUCACUCUUUGAUCCCUCAUGGAGCGCACAAAGUUCCUUCCAAAGAGCAUUGGCGGUUUUGUGGCUCCGAACGCGGUUGAACACCUCUUUGCAAAGGCCUCUAAAGAUUUGGUUUGUGGCCUUCGCAUUCCACUUCUCGUUUUCUUGCUCUUGUGGAGUAAAAGCGGUGUCUUUUGCCGGAGGGGUAAACCCUUCGGUCGCAGCUUUUAGGCACUUUACAUCGCAUGCCUCAAGGUAUGACUCCAUUCGUAUUUUCCAAUACGGGAAGUCAUCCCCAUCGAACAUGGGUGGCGGUCCAUCCCCGUUAGACAUCUUUCUCUAGGCGAUGAAGCCUAAAUAAUGAGCACUAGGCUCCGAUACCAAUUGAAAGGAUCAAGAUGCCCAAGAGGGGGGUGAAUUGGGCUUCUCUAAAAAUUUAAGCAACCUAUAAGCUCCAAUUCAACCCCUUGUACCUAGUGUGACCUAGAGAGCUACCGGACAAAAGUUUUGCAACCUAAUUCCAAUCCUAUUCUAGCAAGGCAAUUCUAAGAAUGUGAGUAGUGGAAGAAAGUGCUCGGCGAUGUUUUGCCGAGGUAUCAGAGAGUUGCCACUCUCCACUAGUCCUCGUUGGAGCACCCGCUCAAGGGUCUUGCUCCCCCUUGGUCCGCGCAAGGACCAAGUGCUCUCUACAGGCUGAUUCUUCGACACUCCGUCGUGGUGAAUCGCCCAAAACCGCUCACAAGCUUGACACGAGCCACCCACAAGAACUCCGGGCAGUCUUCGUACCUCCAAUCACCACCGAGCCAUCUAGGUGAUGGCGAUCACCAAGAGUAACAAGCAAAGAACUCUCACUUGACCCAAACAAGGCUCUAAGAGUGGUGGAUGCACACUUGACUCUUGGAAUUCACUAGAGAAGGAUUCUCUCAAGAAAUCACUCAAAUCUCAAUCCUCUCUAGGCUCUUGCUACUCUCUUGUUCCAAAACAAGUUUCUCAGAUGUUCAAAUGGGCAAGAGACCUCUCAUGGACAAGGUGGAGGAGUAUAAAUACACCCCACGAAGUCCAAAGGUCAGCCAACCGUUUUCCAAUGAAAACGGGGUCACCGGACGCUCUUUAUGUUGCACCGGACGCUCUGCACCGAGCGUCCGGUGCUCCAUUAUUGCCAACUGUACCUGCGUCUGACAGGUCACCGGACGCUAACUCUCAGCAUCUGGUGGCACCGCCUGGUGCUCCUGGGAGUUUUACAUACUCCCUGAGUAUGGGACCGGACGCUACCCGGUGCGUCCGGUGCUAGCGUCCGGUGCUCAGGGGAAGUUUACAACCACCCUGGGUGUGGGACCGGACGCUGCCCGGUGAGUCCGGUGCUAGUGUCCGGUGCUUAACCCUAAGCACCACACUGUUCCAACGGCUAAGGACCUCACCGGACACACUCACAGAGCGUCCGGUGCAGCGUCCGGUGCCCCCUUGGGCACCCUAACUUUGUCGAAACGCGAUCGCUCCAAAACAAAGUUGGUUCCUCUCGAUCUAAGGACUAUCUCUGAGCUGCCUAGUGCUAGGUUUACCAAGUGUGCACAACACCUAAACCUAAAGCCUUGCCUAAGUCAAGCUACUAGAUCAAAGCCCCUCUUAAUUGUACGGUCAAAGGAAAACAAAGUCCUAAACUACUCUAAGUGCCCUUCUUCACCAUAUGGCACUUAGACCUAGUCUAGUCUUGAUGAUGUCCAUCCAUCCUUUGAAAACCAAAACGAUUUCCACUAUUAAGUAGGCAUGUACGUCCCUGUCCAUCGAGUACCUAUUACCAUGACCUUACCUAUGACUUUGCCUCUGCAAAACACACGUUAGUCAUAGUAAUCAACAUUGUCAUUAAUCACCGAAAUCACUAGGGGCCUAGAUGCUCUUUCAGGCGGGUCGCGCUUCGCUUCUUCGUAUUGCUUCCAAACUCUAUCCUAUACCCUAUUUCUAUCCUAUUCAACUAUGAAAUGUCUCAAGGACAUAGGAGGAUCAAAUUAAUAAAAAGGAAUAAACUAGACUACAUCCAACUUAGCAGUAUUUUUAUCAUGUUCUAGAAAAAUCUUAAGGCACUGACCAUUUACCUUGAAAAGCAUACCUUCGUCAUUUUGAAGAGUUAUCGCUCCAUGCGAUGAAGAGCUAACCACCAUAAAUGGUACUUCCCACUUGCUCUGUAGCUUUCCAUGUUCGAAUAGUUUUACCCUAGAAUUAAAAAGUAAUACCUUAUCUCCUGGGGCAAAGUUCUUUGUAUUGAUCCUCUUGUCAUGCCACCUCUUAGUUCUCUCCUUAUACAUCUUGGCGUUGUGAUAUGCUCUUUCACACCACCCAUCAAGCUCUGAGAGUUGCAUCUUCCGUUUGACUCCAGCUGCUUCUAGAUCCAUAUUCCAUCUUUUGAUCGCCCAGUGAGCUUUGAAUUCAAGCUCAAUGGGCAAGUGACAUGCCUUCCCAUAGACGAGUUGAUAUGGAGACAUUCCUAAUGGUGUCUUCUAGGCUAUACGAUAGGCCUACAAUGCCUCUGGUAGCUUGUCCUUCCAUUGGGUUCCCAUCUCAUUGACUAUUUUCUAUAGAAUAUUCUUGAUUUGCUUGUUUGACAUCUUUGCUUGGCUACUUGUCUGAGGAUGAUAAGGAGUAGCGAUGUUGUGACGGAUCCCAUGUCUUAUCAAAUACUUCUGGAAGCUUUUGUCAAUAAAGUGGGGGCCUCCAUCACUAAUCACUAUCUUUGGAACUCCAAACCUUAGAAAUAUUAUCUCUUUGAACAUCUUCUUAGAGUUUCGGGAGUCUGCAUUUCUGCAUGGCAUAGCUUUGACCCACUUGGAGACGUAGUCAACUACCACGAGAAUAUACUCAUAAUUCCCAAAUUUGGAAAAGGUCCCAUGUAGUCAAUUCCCCGACAGUCAAAGAGUUCAAUCUGAAGAUUGCUAGUUAGUGACAUGGCAUCCCUUGAAUUGAUAUUGCCAUGUUUCUGACAAGCCUUGCAUAUUCGAAUGAAUUCCUUUGUCUUCAUACAUGGUUGGUCAUAAAAAUCCACUAUGCUAGAUCUUUGAAUGUGUCUGGAACACUCUAUAGUGUCCUCCAUAGGGUGAUGAAUGACAUCUUUCGAUAAUCUUGGGUCCUUCUUCAGUUGGUACACAUCUUCUGAGUAGUCUGUCUGAACAAAUCCUGAAGGUGUACCGAUCAUCCCAUAGGCGAACACGCUUCUCAUACAUGAGCUUCUUCUUAUCUCCAUUUGGUGGUACAUAUCCUGUAACUAUAAAAUUAACAAUAUCUACAUACCAAGGGUUAGAUCUAGAGAUUUGAUAAAGCAUAUCAUCACUAAGGGAAUUAUUUAUGGGUAACUCCUAUGGAUUCUCAACCUGCAUUCUUGACAAGUGGUUAGCAACAUAAUUUUCUACUCCCUUUUUAUCCUUGAUUUCAAAAUCAAACUCUUGGAGUAACAAAAUCCAUCUUAUCAAAUGAGGUUUAGCAUCUUUCUUAGUGAGGAGGUAUUUAAGAGCAGCAUGAUCAGUGUAAACAAUUACCUUAGCUCCUAUUAAAUAAGAUCUAAACUUAUCAAUAGUAAAAACUACAGCCAUGAGCUCUUUUUUAGUUGUGGCAUAAUUAAGUUGAGGUCCUAUCAGAGUUUUACUAGCAUAAGCAAUUGCAUGAUGUUUCUUAUCUUUACAUUGUCCUAGUAUAGCACCUACUGCAUAAUCACUUGCAUCACAUAUGAUCUCAAAAGAUAAAGAUCAAUCAGGAGGUUGAAUGAUACGAGCAGAAAUAAGCGCUUUCUUUGGCGUAUCAAAAGCUUUAAGACUAGACUCAUCAAAAUCAAAGGGAGCAUCCUUAGCCAACAAACUGGUAAGUGGUCUAGCAAUAUGAGAAAAAUCUUAUAAACCGACGAUAAAAACCAGCAUGGCCAAGAAAACUUUAGAUCCCUUUAACAUUAAUAGGGGGAGGUAGUUGCUCGAUUACUUCAAUUUUGGCUCUGUCCACCUCAAUUCCCUUUUUAAAAAUUAGGUGCGCUAACACUAUUCCUUCCCUAACCAUGAAAUAACAUUUUUGCCAGUUAAGGACUAAGUGUUUUUCUUCACAUCUUUGUAAAACUUUGCCUAAAUUUUCAAGACAAUCAUCAAAAAUUUUUCCAUAGAUAGAAAAAUCAUCCAUAAAAAUUUCCAUGAUUUCCUCAAUCAUAUUAGAAAAGAUAAACAUUAUACAUUGUUGAAAAGAAGUGGGUGCAUAACAUAAUCCAAAAGACAUUCAGCGAUAAGCAUAAGAUCCAUAAGGACAUGUAAAAGUGGUUUUGUUUUGAUCAUUCAGAUGGAUCGGAAUCUGAGGAUAUCCAGAAUACCCAUUAAGAAAACAAAAGGAGUGAUUCGCCAAACGCUCUAGCAUUUCAUCAAUGAAGCACAGUGGGAAGUGGUCUUUCUUUGUUGCCUUGUUAAGUUUUUCUGUAAUCAAUACAUAUUCGUCAUCCUGUGAGUGUUCGUUGAGGAAUCAACUCAUUCUUUUCAUUCCUAACAACAGUCAUACCUCCCUUCUUAGGCACAACUUGCAUAGGGCUGUAACACCCUAAAAAUUGUUUUCUGGGAAAUAGAGCUAAAAUGAUUUAAUUAUGAAUUUUUGGUGCUCAUGAAAAUAUAGGAAAAAUAAUAUUUUUCACUAAAUUAAAAUUAUCAUAGGAUGUAGAAACAUUUGUGUAUAUUCAUGCUGGUGCAUAUGAUUUUGAUAUGAGUGGUUUUACUAAGGUUCAAAAAUAAUUCAAAGUGAUUUUUAAAAUAGUUUUGAAUAUGGCUUUGGAAUAGAAGAAAGGAAAAUACAAAAAAAAAAAAACAAAAAAACCCCUCCCCCUUUCCUGGCCCGAGGGCCCAAACUUCCCCUCCCCUCUCUAUCUCGGGCUGCAAGCAGGCCGAGCUCAGCUCCCCUUUCCCCCUUCUUCUCCUCUGGGCCGAGCCCGUUUCCCCUCUCUCGCGGCCUGCCCAACCCCGCGCGGCUUUCUCCUCCCAGCAACUCGGCCGCCAGCGCACUGUUGACGGUCCUUAAGUAUCAAAUUUAAUUAUCAAAUAAACAAAGAAAAGGAUCCAAAUGAAAUCAACAUCUAGACAUAUGGUUUUAUCUGACAGAAUUCCAUGAGUUUUGGUGUUUGUCUAUUUCUACAGGGGGUUAUCAGGAAAUACGGAAGAAAGGCCCACACGUCAGGAUUACAUAUAGAUAUUAACGUGCCGCGCAAUUAUCUUACAUCAAGAAGACUCCAGAAGCCACGGGAAGGAAGCGGAGGCCGAACGGGGCCAGGGACUGGGCGCCCGCCCUGUUGCCCUGGGCGCCCGCCCUCCUGCCGAGCCCAAUCAGGACUCUGUUUUGGGGAAGAUCUCCACCGACCUAAAGGAUCAAGGAUAACCGUUAAAUCAAUGUCGGUUUGAUCCAACGGCCCAUAUUCAUUUGAAGGGACUAUAAAACCAAACCCCCUGGCCCCUGGAGGAGAGAGCCUCUCAACCCUAAUUCAUUAUUCCUCAAGGGAGAAGAAGCCUAUGAUCAAGAUUAGAGCCACCACAUCAAUUAGACAUCUAGAUUAGCUUAGCUACAUAGGAUUAGAACUAGAAGGAGUCAAUCUUCGAUUAGUUUCCGGAUCUGUCAAGAGGAUUCUUGGUAAUUCUCUAAUUGUUCUUCUAACUGUUCUUCUAAUUAUCUUUGUUCUUCAAUGUUAUGAAUAUGACUUUGUUCUACUUCAAUAUAUUGCUUAUGACUUUGCUCUACUUGCUUAUAUUCAAGAUUAUAUUGUUCUUAGUUUAUCAUAGUUAUAUACUUGGCUUAGUUAGAUUGGAUCUAUAUACAUGUUUAAGAUCGUAUAGCGUUUAUCCAUCGGAUCCAUGGGUAAAUGAUAGAUAUUGUGUUGGCGUGGUGCUUAUACCGUAUUUAUCUACGAUUGUACACAAUAUGCCAGAUUGUGGGGUAGUUCGUGACAAUGACAGCUUCAUUGAUUCUUAUAUAGUCCCCCUCUCGUGUAUUGGGUUGGCAGAGCAAUAUUAUUAUAGGGGAGUGAUUGCUAUGUUUCUCAUUUACCUUGCUAAUAUCACUAUGCAUGGGCGUAAUCUUGUCUCACAAUGAUUGCUAAGUAUGCUUGCACUAAUUAUGAUAAUGCUAGACUAUAUAGUUGAGAAUAACUUAGGAAAUAUUCUUGUAGUUCGUUCUAAUACCAUGCUAAUGACUUUCUAGAGUAUUUAAUUGAGGUGCUUAUCAUAUUUAUAUGUGGCUAAGUUAUGCUGAUCAGAUUAAUUAUCUUUGUCACUAUUCAUUACAUCAUAUAUCUUUUAUGUGACACUUAUCCCUGUAUGAAAGAGUUAGAUAAAUGUUCUCAAUUAUACAUGCAAUGAUAGAUACUCAAUCUCAUAUUCUAUUCUAUAAUCAAUAUUGAUGAUUGUUAAUCCCUUCCCAGUGGUAAAAACAUAAAUAACGAUACCUGGAAUAUUUCUAGGUUAAAAUGCUACAUCGGUAUUAAUCUGUGCGCUUGCAGAUCCCAUUCAUUAUUUAUUUAGAAGAGCAAUUGCAUAUUUCAAUACCGCAUCUCUCAUGUCAUGCUAGGGAUGACAACUUGGCUUAAGUGGUGUGAGGGAUAGGUUUGGCAUUUUUGGCACCGUUACUAGAAUUAGAAAACUAAGUCUACUUUUGGUAAUGAUGUUAAGAAUACCCAACAAGCAUUUUUGGCGCCGUUGCCGGGGAAGGUUGAUUACUAAUCAGGAAUGAAUAUAGGAUUUUGAGUUAUCAUUCCCAUCACUAAUAUGAUUGAGCUUGUCUAUUCUCUCAUACAGUUUUACCCUGAUAUUUUCUAUUUUAUCUUAUGCAGGGGAAUGUAUGAAUAGAAGACAUCUUCCAGGAAAUUUUAUUGACAAUCCCGAAGCAUUAUUCAGAAAAACAAGAGCUAAGCUCAAGAAGAGAUCAUCAACACUUCAGCAAGAAGCUUCAAUCAAGAAGAUCACCGGAACUUGUCUUUAGAGUUCGAAGCCAUGGCGAACAAAUCAAUCCGCGAGUUCUCAGCUCCCACUACGGACAACAUCCGCACUGGACCUGCUGCAGAGAUCGAUGGCAACUUUGAGCUCAAGCCUGGACUUAUCAACAUGGUGCAAUCCAACCAGUUCUGUGGGAAGGCACACGAAGAUGCUAGUGCUCAUCUCCAACACUUCCUGGAGAUUUGCAACACAUUUACCAUAUCAGGAGUCCCCAGAGAUGCUAUACUACUUCGCCUCUUCCCAUUCUCACUGUUAGGGAGAGCAAAGUAGUGGUUCUACGCUACAAAGGAGAAGAAUACUACGUGGGCACUCUGCUCAACAAACUUCCUGGCUAAGUUCUUUCCCAUGGGCAAGACCAAUGCUCUCCGUGGGAAAAUUACAAGUUUUCAGCAACAACAUGAUGAAUCUGUUCUAGAAGCAUGGGAGCACUUCCAAGACUACAUCCUAGAAUGUCCCCAUCAUGGAAUGGAGAGUUGGCUAGUGACGCAGACGUUUUAUCAUGGGUUCGGCAACAGUGCUCGAGAAACCAUGGAUGCUACAGCUAGAGGAGCAUUCCUAUCACUUACCAUAUCACAAGCCACAGCUCUUGUGGAGAAGAUGGCAUUCAAUCAAAGCUGGAAUGAAGAGAGGACCCAGACACGCAAGAGAGGUGGAGGUAUGCAUCAGCUCAAGGAGGUAGACAUGCUGUUUGCAAAGCUAGACCUGCUCAUGAAGAAGCUCGAUGAUAGAGCUGGAGAUAAGAAAGAAGUUAUGCACAUCUACGACUCUCACAUGACUUGUGAGGAGUGUGGAGACACUGGACACUCAGACAAUCACUGCCCUGAGAUGCUUGAGGAUGUGAACUACAUCAACAAUAACAACAAUAACUACUACAACCGUCCUCAACAAAAUCAAGGUUGGAAUCAACAGAGGCCUUGCUACUCAGGUAAUUAUCAAGGUAACAAUUCUUACAACAAUAAUAAUAAUCUUCCACCGUUGAGAGAGUUAGUGUCUAAUCAAGGAAAGCUAAUGGAUAACCUAUCUAAGAAAUUGGCAUCUAAUGAUAAAAUGCUAGAAAAUAUAAAUAAUAGAAUGGAUAAUUUCUCUACUGCCAUCAAGAAUCAAAUUAGCUUUAAUAAAAUGAUUGAAUCUCAGUUAAAUCAAAUAGCUGUUGUUGUUCCUACUACUAACCCCGGUAUACCAUCACAACCGGAGGGAUUAGAAUCUGCAAAUCUUGUAGACAUGUUUGAUGCAGGUAAUAAUUGGAGUAACCCCGUCACUGAAUUCACUACUGACCUUCUGCCAAUCAAGAGAGGCGAUCCAGGACGCCCCGUCAUCCCAAUCUCCAUCGGCAUGGUGGACGUCCCAGAAGCACUCUGCGACUUUAGCUCCAGCGUCAACAUUAUACCUAGGGUACUCUAUGAGAAAUUCUUUACAUAUCCUUUAUUAGAACAACCAUGUGUUUGUAGUUUGCAGAUCAGGCAUUAAGUUUUCGAAAAGGAAUAUUGAACAACCUUUGUGUCCGAGUUGGUACCUUGUACACCCUAGCAGACUUCGUGGUGAUAGAGACCGGUAAUGAUGAGAGAGCACCCAUUAUCUUAGGGAGGCCAUUCUUAAAUACCUCGGGAGCUGUCAUCUAUGCUAGUGCUGCCAAGAUCAGUUUCUACAUCAAAGGGAGGAAGGAGACAUUUUCCUUGAAGAACAAGACUACACAAAUUUCAGAUCAAUCCAGACGUGAAUCAAGGAAGAGGACCAACAAGAGGAACAGGAACAAGCAAGUGUGGACCGAGUCAGCUAAGAUGGUCACUGCAGUUCAUGGAGGCCAAGAUCAUCAACUUAAGCCACCUUCUAACCAAGAAGGACGACCUAGGAACGCCAAGCAUCUAUUGCUCCAUAAAUGAAUACAACUUCUACAAGAUGACUUGCGACACCGGAUCGGGCGUCAACAUAAUGGCCGUAGUCACCUAUCGUCUCUUGUUCGGAACCAUGCCCCUGAAACCAACAUACAUUCAGCUCGGGAUGGCAGAUCAGACAUUUCGAGAAGUUAAAGGAACAGUAACUGAUGUCCUAAUCAAAAUAGGCGAUCAUUUUGUCUACACAGACUUUUAGGUUAUUGACAUGGGAGAAGACGAAUACGAUCCACCCAUCAUCCUUGGAAGACCGUUCCUCAGCACCGUUAAAGCAAUCAUCUACAUUAGAACCGGAGAAGUCCAUAUGCACUUCCCCUCAGAGAAGGUACGCCGUUAUUUUACUGACCCUAACUAUAUCGUUGAAGAAUCUAAGCAGGUAAGAAAACGACGCAACCGCAACCAGAGGAGGGAAAUCAUCAAGGACGUCUGGGCAGACUAUGAAGGAGAAGUUGUAAGGUCAGAAGACGUAGAGUUUAAACAGAAUUAUCCAGAGGAGACCGUAGCACCGAGUCAGGUAUGGAAAGAGAAGAUAACUAUACAUGAAGAGGAGGCGCCGCCGGAAGUACCGACUACGCCACCUAACGAAUCCUAGGACAAUUGAAGAAAAUGGAGAGUCCCGUUCGGAGGACUUAAAAACACCGAACACCUUGCCAAGAGGUAAACUUGGUAGUUAUCCUUUUCCCUUUCAAUUAUUUAAAUAGUUUGCUUAGUUAAUCAUGUUUAUACCAUCCUAAAAAGAAAAUAAAAAUGUGAAAAAUAGUAAGCCCCAUGUGAGUAUACGAGUGGCAUAAAACCCAUAAGUACAUUCACUGUGGUGGCAUAAAAAUAAAAUAAAUAUGUAACACCCUAGUGUUAUGGUUGCAUAAAUCACAUGCAUAACAUAAGCAUCAUCAUCUACUCAAGCAUAUCAUGAUCAUCAUCUACCUUGAGUCAUACCUUUCUAUGCAAAAAUGUGAUUUAAAUUGUUUAAAUAGUCCUCCUAUGCUUAUGUAUGUGUGAACCAUGCUUGUGUUUGUGUGCUAUGCCUUGUUGUUUUAUGGCCAUCUCAUGAAAAUGAUCACAUGUAGCUCAAAAGUGACCCACAAGGCAGAUUUGGGUCUAUUUCCAACACUUAGAAAAUUUUCUAAGUCCUGAAUCGCAGCAGUUUGCUCGAGGGUGUGUUGUUCAUCUUCCAGUUUGAAUUCUAGCCUGAAUUAGACUCUGAUCUUGUAAGCAAUGUUGGAGUACUCAUGUAGCUCUCCAACACAGAGCAAUUAGCCAGCAAAAUCAUCGAGUGGAUUAGGAGUUAAUCACCGUGCAAAAUCGGGUUUCAGUUGGGUUUGGGAACUGAAUGAGGUCGCCGUCAGACAGGGGAGCUCGCCGGUGACGCCGCGUGUCUCGACCCGUGGCGUUCGUACGUCGCCGUUGGUCCCGCUCGUCAGUCCCCAGCGCGUCCUAUAGCUUGCCACGGCGCUCCCAGUCGCGUGGACAGCGCCAUUCCACUCCCAGCUCUCUCUCUCUCGCGCGUGCGCCUUCUUCUCCGCGUCGCCGCCGUUGCUUCGGCGAGCUCGCGCGCGUGUCUCCAUGUCUCCGGCCGAGCGACUCCGUCCAUCGCUCCGCCAGCUUCCCCAUGACCCCGUCGUCGAGUUGGCUGCAGCUGCCGAGCCUCGGUAAGCCCGCAUUGCCUUCUCCGUCGCGAGCUUACCUCGCCGAAGCUCCGCCAUGGUCACCGGCGUCGUGGCCAGGGCUCUGUAGUCCACCAUUCUUCCUCAUUCUUGUCCCAAAAGCUCCGCUAGGUGCAUUCUCUUCCGCUCUGUCUCCGGCCAGAGACACCAGCGGUCAGCCGCACACCACCGCCGUGCCGCCAUUCACGAGGGCAAGGUACGUAUGGUCCAGUAGAGUUAGAGUUUCGGGUACCGCUCGAUGCGGAAUGGAGUGGGGAGCAUGAUGGUGCCCUAGGCCAUCGCCGAGACCUCGUCGUCGACGAGAUCUCCGGCGGUCAAGUCGCGCCUCUGCUCUCGGGUCGCUGACAUGUGGGGUUGGUUGACUCGUGGGGUCCCUCUGUCAGCCUCUCUUUCCCCUUUGUUUGAUUUAGGGUUUGAGCUGUUUUUGCAAAAAUCAGAUCUCUGGUUCUGGUGAUCCAAAAAUUGUGAAAUCAAUUUUGUGGUAUUCCUUGAGAUGGCUAGUUUUUAAUAAAAAUAUAAAAUGAACCAUGUUUUCUUGGAAAAAUAUUUAUUAGGAUUUAAUCUUGUUAUUCAUGAGUAAAUUCUUAUCUCUUGUUAUACUGAUUGUUUUGCUAUGAAAAUUUUAUGGUAGCCUCUGUGUGGUACUAGGAUACUAUGACAAAUAUUUCAUGAUUUUUGGAGUACUAUAUCUGUGUUAUGUAAAUUAUGAUUGAGAUAUGGCUUGUUUUCUUAUUAAAAUCAUAGCAAAUAAUUGGUGCUUAUGAUGGUACUCUACUUUGGUGGCAAACUUGUCUAUGGUAUUAGUAACAUGUAAAUAAUCUGAAAUCUGUUGUUACACCAAAUAGGCCAUGUUUCUGAAUUUAUGAAAUAAACACCUUGUCACAUGUUAAAUGCAUAUCUUUAAUUUGGCACGUGCAAUUGCUCUGAAAUUUUUAUGGUGAUGUCACAAUGCCAUACUUGUGCUUCUGUAAUUUUUGUAGAUUUUGCUGAGCACUUUUACUAGUGUCUUGUAAUUAUGCUCCUUUCUAGAAUUAAAUUAAUAAAUGCCUUGUUAAGUAAAUGUUUGGAGGUUUUCAUAUGAUGUUCUGGUUAUCUUGUGGUGUGCUUGUGCUCAUAGGCCAUUUGGUUGGCACUAUUUAUGUUUUGGCUAUGUCACCAAACAAUUAAUUAAAGGGUUAAAGGCUGUUCUGAACAGCAAGGGAGUAAUACAACCUUUACUUGUUGAUAACUUGGUUUUCUGGGAGGCUUGUCUAAAUCAAAGUUGUUGUAAACUUUAUGAACUAGCUAUGGUUUAAAUUUGGGAUCAAUUGGUCCAGUAGUUUGAAAGUUAUGGCUGUUCCAAUUUGGGUUCCAGAAAUAGGUGCUCUCUGUUUUUCUGGGACAGAACCUGGAACUUUGUUUAAAUGACUUGGUUAACCUAUAAAUCUUGCUGUGAUGUUCAAAGAUGAUUUGUAGAUAAUUUCCUGAGCUUUCCAGAAUGUCCUCACUUAAGUUUGUUGGAUCUUUGUAGCAAUAGUUAUGGUCUGUUUACUGAGCUGUUCUGUUUUGUGUUGCUUGCUGUUUAUAAGUUGACUUGUCUAGUUCGAUUAAUUCAUGUGGUUUUCUUGUAAGUUAACUUAGAAGUUUACUCUGUAAAUGAGUGUCCAGUGAGUUUAUUUAUGUGUCAAGCAUUCAUCCCUUAUUAUGCACAUCUUCUUAUUCGUUGAGCAUGCAAUAGGUGCAUCGGACGCGACCGCUUCCUACGAGCUCCAAGUGAACCCCGAAGGCCAGGAGGGCAACCCGGAGGUGGAGGUCCAGCAAGUCGGACUCGAGAAGCCCGAAGAGGAAGUUGAGUGCCCAAAUCACGAGCCAGCUUCGUUCGUGAAAGGCAAGCCCCGAAGCAUUCUAAGUCUCCGUUUACUUUCGAAAGUUUACUUAAUAUGUUAUAUCUAUUGAUGCAUUAAGUAUAGGAGUUGUGAUGAAACCUUUGCUGCAUUUUACUCCAUCCUUGUCCAGAUAACUUACCAUACCCUGGUUAUAGAGUUAGGAUCGAGUAGCAGCUUAGCCAUGCUUUAAUCGGUAGAAGUCGGUUGAUUUCCUGUCACCUGCGCGAUAUAGGGUUAUGUCGGAUCAUGAUGGACUAUAUGUGCUAUCGUGGGUGGAACCUGAUUAAAUUGACUUAAGCCGGACGGAGUUUUGCAAGGUCGUAGUAACUCCGUCUGUGGCAGCUAAGGACCGACCGUUGUACGUCCUCUUGUCAUGUUGAACGCAUGCCUAACACUUAUAUGGUCGGAUAACUCAUUCCGACCGCGAAGCCGAGUAAUAUGACUCAGGCCGGAAGGUCGAUAAGUAUAAAGUGUGCACUACCGGAGGAAGUGCGGUGUGCGGGGGACCAUUGGCGUAAGUCCAAAGGCAGGUGAGUUAAAAUUCCUGACCUCCCUGGCAGAGUGGUAGCCCUGGGAGUGCGGCGCUAAUCGGAACCGCGAUUCCUGAGUCGUAUCAAAGGUGACCCGUUGGCUCUCCGACGGGGGAUGUUUGGGUGAGUGAUAGGAAUACCCCCCCCCCAACUGGAUAGGAAUUCGAUUCGAAUCGCCGUCUCUCCCGGUUAGUGAGAACUUGAUAGAGCAGCGGCAAACGUAGCAUUCACUAAAGAACUUUGGUUCAUGAUAAUGAUGAUAGCAAGGAAGAGUACAUGAUGAACUUGAUAUGGUUAUUAUUGCUUGUAAUAAUCAAGUGAAGUGUUUUAGUACAGGUGCUAAUCUAGUGGUAGACUGAUGAUGAAUAAAUAUGAUGCUUUCACAAUAAUUUAGUAUAAUUUAAGCUUUUGGAAAUGUCGAGUCAACCAGCUCUACUUAAAUUUUAGCCUUGCAUGAUCCUUGGUGUCUUUUAUGUUUUACUAGACGGGUAAGUCUAGCUGAGUACAAUCUCGUACUCAGGGUUUAUUCCCACCUAUUGCAGAUGAUAUCUUUUAUGAUGGCUUCUGCAAGACCUGUCUCCAUCCCGUUGGGGAUGAGGACUAACCGUUGGGCACGGUUCUCUAACUUCUUCGCAUCUGCUGCUUUUGGAUGGAUGGCAUGAGACCCUGGCUGAACAAGAACUUAUGAAAUGAACUUUGAAAAGUGUGUGUAAUUAUUUUGCUUCCGCUACUUCGAACAUGUAUUGUAAUAACUUAAUAACUCCGAUGUGGUGCCGCUUCGACGGCAAUGAAUGACUAUGUAACAUUCCCUGUGUUGUGCUAAAUUAUUACGAUCUUGGUUUGUUGCAAGUUGGUUUGAAGCCCUUCAUGAUUUCAAUUGACUACUGGGAUUAUAUGGGCUCAAGUUUGGAAACUUGAUUGCUUGUCGAUCGUUUCUACACUUGAACUCUUAUAAUUUGGUCGGUUCUGUGACAACUGGCAUCGGAGCAAGUUCAGCAUUAUAAAUGCAGCGUUUCUGUAUUUAAAAACAAAAGAGUUUCUAAAUAAAAUGGUGUAAAUCAAUACUUAAUUUAUGCCAGUGGUCGAAUCCUCCUUGCCCAUAUAAGGACUAUAGGUGGCUAUUUAAGUACUGACUUGGGGGGUUUUAUUUAUGCAUCUCCGGCAGUACUCAGGUAUGGAUGUGUGAUGACCGCACUAUGCUACCCUGUGGUGUAAUGGUAGAGGUAGCCUUCAUAUGUGAAUUAGCCACAUAUGUCGCUAGAUUUAAAUUAUGCAACGUCGCACCUACGCUCUAGUAAGUGUGAGCUGUGAGAGCAUUAUCGUCCAAACGGCGGUCUAGGGGAGUGUUCGCGGUGGUUUUCUAGAGUGGUUACAUGUCAAAACCAUGGAACCACGAAAGAAACUUAAUUGGGAAGCAUUUAAUUUCUCGAGUAGCUGUGGUGUCAUUGUUUGUGCAUGUUGGGCAUGUCCAAGCAAUGUGCACUUAGUUUACUGCUUUCUUGAGUGAUAUAUUGGGAACUGUUGGGCUGAAAUGAAGUUUUCUGCAGAUACUCUAACGGCGCACGUGUAAAUCGCUAGUUAUCGUAUCGAGAGACGAAUGUAUGCCACCGUAUAUCAGUUAGAAUAUUAAUUUUCUAAGUUUGUGAGGACGUACGGUUCGUGCAUGCAUCAUGUCGCAUUCAUACAUACAUUCUGUCUACUCCUUCCCUUACAAUGUCGUCCCUUUUAAUUAAAUAAAUGUUCCUUAAACUAAUCCUCUUUUACCCAUGGUAUUCCUAUUCCUUUCCACAGAUGGAUGUGCCCGCUUCACCCCGUCCCAGUGACACUUUCUUGAGCGAGUUUGGCACACCUACCUUGCUUUGGAGAGUGCUACAGUCGGUGGGGUAUACUGAGCCACCUCAAUAUUCUUGGUGGGAGAUGGAAAGGACAGGAGAGUUGCAAUGGUUUGCUGUGCAGGGAGUUGUCCCUCCACAUGGGGGCAGGCCUGCAUGGAUAGGAUGGACCUGUAGCUCAGAUGGGCAGACUCCUUGGGAAGCAGCUCAGGUUGCAGCCCAGACUAUGCUACUUGAUAUCUGUCAGAGGUGUGGCGAUGAGCUGAUAGGAGGACCAGCGGCCUCCAUUCCCCGUGCUGACCCAGUAGCAGCGGAAUGGAAGCAGGCCGAUGGUUGUGCGUUGGUCCGAGGCAGGGGUGAGUGAGCCGAGAGUUCUAGUCCUGCAAUGAGUGCUAUGAUGGCUGUGCUAAGGCUGAUCAGUCAGCGAGAGGACACCUAUGCACAGGUGAUGGUGCCUAUUCGCCAGGCUCAGGAGAUACAACAGAAGGCUGAAAAGCGUGCUCGCAAGUUUCGCAAGCAAGCUAGACUCCUGGAGCAAGCUCAGAAGGACCGCAAUGACUGGAAGACAUUGCGGAGUACCGUAGGCAGCAGUGGGUGAAGGCCAUUAGAGAGAGAGAGAUCAUAAGCAAGAUCAGAUGAGUCAGUUGGCUCGAGAGAGGGAGAUAGUGCAGGAGCGCUUGGUGCAGAUCACUCGUGAGAGGGAUACUGUGCUCCGUGUGUUGGAGAACAGGCGCCAGGCUUGGGAGAUGCAUAGGAUUCAGUCGCUUGAGCGGGAGAACUAUCUGCAGGAUCAGAUUGAGGCUGGUCUUGUGGAGAUUCACCGUGUCACCAACUUGCUACACCCUAUUGCUCGCCCUGUACCCGUGUACCCGGAGGUGGGACCUCAGGUGAUUGUGGCCGAUGAUGAUGGUAUGGAGGUCGAUGGACCAGCAGCGGCUGCACCACCCUUGCACGAGGACGUGGAGGACGAGGAGCUUGAGCUGGUUAGCGACGAGGAUGGAGAGGCGAUCUUCGAUGCUGACUCGGGCGACGAGCCUGGAGUGUAGUGAGUAGUGGGUAGUUGUUCUGUGAGGACCUUUUGUAGCAUGCCAGUUAGCAGUGGUGCUUUUGUAAUCAUGAUGUAUUCCGGAACCUUGAUCUUUGUCUUAUGUCAUGUACUAUGAUGGUGUAAUAGCUUUAUGGACCCAAUGUGUAACCUUAACAUGUUCGAUCUGUUAUGACGAUGUUUUCCGUUGUGGUGCAUAUUGCGGAUAUCUUUGUCAUGUGAUUGGAUUGGUGAUGUUGUUUUGUAGAAUUGAAUUAUUGUGCCUUUUUCUGUAAAGCUAUUCUCUCGAAUACUUUCAGGCAUGAAUAUAAGUUCUUCUACAGCAAGUCUUGUCAACAUCAAUGCUCACUGACUGUAUCUUUACAGAUGUCUCGUGGCACUCGAGGUGCGGAACAGCGUGCGAACAUGAACCCACCCCCUCCUCGUCCACCACCGAAUCCAGCUGAGCUGAUGCAAAUGAUGGUGGAAAAUCAGAGGAUGCUCACUGAGACCAUCAAUCGGAUGGCGAAUCAGGGUGGUCGUAAUGCACAUGAAGGGCCAGCUCCUAAUCAGUAUAGCAGUUUCAAGGAUUUCAUGGAUACUAAGCCCCCACCUUUCAGAGAGGCUGAAAAACCCCUUCAAGCUGAGGAAUGGCUGAACACGGUGGAACAAAAGUUCCGCUUACUUCGGCUAACUGAGGGUUUGAAGGUGGAGUAUGCAGCUCACCAACUGCAUGGUCCAGCAGGCAUCUGGUGGAAUCAGUAUCAGGAGGCUCUUCCAGCCGACACUGUGCUUGACUGGAAUCUUUUCCAUGAAGCUUUCAAAGGGCAUUUCAUUCCUCCUAGUGUCAUGGAAAUGAAGCAUACCGAGUUUAUGCAGUUGACUCAGGGCAACAAAACUCUGAAGGAGUACUUGCAUGCUUUCAAUCACCUGUCAAGUUAUGCUCCUGAGUUUGUGAACACCGAGAACAAGAAGAUUGCUAGCUUCAAGCGGGGUCUUGGCCCCAAAUUGCUGAAGACUAUGGGCCGCACUAUGUGUGCAACUUUCAAUGAGUUUGUCAGUGAUGCUCUUAUCCAAGAGAACUACAACACUGUGUACACUACGACUAAGACUCGCAAGAGGGCUUUUGAGGCCGGGGCAGGGGCAUCUCAGUCCAAGGCUCCAGUGGCAGCUAGGCCACCGAUCCGUGCUCCAACGCCUAACCAGCGGUAUCGCCCGCCUGUAUAGAAGAAUCAGGCGAAGACAGGUUUCCGCAAGGGUUACUCUAUUGCUCUCCCCAGAGGCAACACGGGUCCCAACUAUGCCAAGACUCCACCUGCCAAUCGUCCGUGUUGGAACUGCAAUCAGACCGGGCACUGGCAGAGCAAUUGUCCCUACCCGCCAAAGAAGGUCAACCAAGGGAACGUCCGCCAGGGGCGUGUUCACUACACAACUGUGGAGGCAAUCCCUACUGGUGAGGUAGUUACAGCUGGUAAGUUUAUGGUUAAUCAAUGUGAUGCACUUGUGCUUUUUGAUUCAGGAGCAUCGCAUUCUUUUGUGAGUUCAGACUUUGUGUCUAAGCAUAAUCUCAAGGCAUGUACACUUGAUAAGGGUAGUUAUUGCAUUAGUGCUGCUGGGAAUGAUAUUUCUACCAAUCAAGUGGUUUAUGGGGCAACUCUGGAAAUUGGAGGCCGUCAGUUUCAUGCUGACCUGGUGCUUUUACCCGGUGUGGGUAUAGAUGUAAUUCUGGGUAUGAAUUGGAUGAGUGGUAACGGAGUUCUUAUCGACACCACCACUCAUGUAGUGAUGUUGAGAGACCCAAAUACCAGGGAAGCGUUCUUAGAGCAACUUCCUCGAGAUAUCCAUAUCCAUAACACUGUGAAUGCAGUUACAGCUAAGGCCAUCCAGGAUAUUCCGGUGGUGUGUGAGUUCCCAGAUGUAUUUCCUGAUGAUUUACCCGGGCUUCCUCCAGAUCGGGAUGUGGAGUUCAAAAUUGAAUUGAUUCCAGGUACCGCUCCUAUCUCUAGAAGACCUUAUAGAAUGCCACCAAAUGAGCUAGCUGAGCUUAAGACCCAGUUAAAUGAGUUGUUGAAGAAGGGUCUUAUCCAUCCUAGUUCUUCUCCUUGGGGUUGUCCGGCUAUCUUUGUGAAGAAGGAUCAAUCCUUGCGCAUGUGUGUGGACUAUCGUCCCUUGAAUGUGGUGACCAACAAGAAUAAAUACCCUCUUCCUCGCAUUGAUAUCUUGUUUGAUCAGUUGUCUAAAGCUAAGGUAUUCUCCAGGAUUGAUUUGCGAUCUGGGUAUCAUCAGAUCAAGAUCCGUCCUAAAGAUGUGCCUAAGACAGCUUUCUCGACGAGGUAUGGGUUGUAUGAGUAUCUCGUCAUGUCCUUUGAUCUUACGAAUGCACCUGCUCACUUCAUGUACCUCAUGAACUCGGUGUUCAUGCCCGAAUUGGACAAGUUUGUGGUGGUCUUCAUUGAUGAUAUCCUAGUAUAUUCUUGCAAUGAAGAGGAGCAUGCCGAGCAUCUGCGUGUAGUGUUGUCGCGUUUGCGUGAGCAUCAGCUUUAUGCCAAGUUCAGCAAAUUCGAGUUUUGGCUAAAGAAAGUACCUUUCUUGGGCCAUGUCUUAUCUGAAGAAGGCAUAUCGGUGGAUCCGGCUAAGGUGCAAGAAGUGCUGGAUUGGAAGGUUCCAACUUCGGUACACGAGGUUCGUAGUUUUCUCGGUCUUGCUGGGUAUUAUCGUCGAUUCAUUCCAGAAUUUUCAAAAAUAUCCAAGCCUAUGACUCGUCUACUUCAGAAAGAUGAGAAGUUUGUGUGGACGCCUGAGUGUGAAGAGGCAUUCCAUAAGUUGAGGACAUUGCUGACAUCAGCUCCUGUCCUAGCUCAGCCUGAUAUCGAAAAGCCCUUCGAUGUCUUUUGUGACGCAGCGGGUAUUGGUUUAGGCUGCGUGUUGAUGCAAGAAGGUCGCGUUAUCGUGUAUGCCUCGCGCCAACUUCGAAAGCAUGAGGUCAAUUACCCUACCCAUGACUUAGAAUUGGCGGCAGUUGUUCAUGCUUUGAAAAUCUGGAGGCACUAUUUGCUGGGUAAUCUGUGCAAUAUUUACACUAAUCAUAAGAGCCUCAAGUACAUCUUCACCCAACCUGAAUUGUACAUGCGGCAGCGAAGGUGGCUUGAGUUGAUUAAAGACUAUAAUCUACAAGUGCACUAUCAUCCGGGCAACGCAAACAUGGUUGCGGAUGCCUUGAGUCGGAAUGCGCACUAUCACUCAGUUCAGGUGGAAGAUCCGUUGUUGUCACAUCUUAUGCAUCCACUUGUGCUCAACCACAUUUCUCUGGAGAGUACUCUUCGCAAUCGAGUCAUUGAAUUGCAGCAAACAGAUGUAGGCAUCCACCAUAUAAAAAGGAAGAUGAAAGAAGAAGAAACCAAGCAUUUCCGGGUCGAUGAGAACGGAAUCCUUUGGUUCAAAGAUCGACUCGUGGUCCCAAAAGACCGUGAGCUACGAAAUCAGAUCUUAUCUAAAGCUCAUUCAUCUAAAUUGUCUAUCCAUCCUGGUAGUAGCAAGAUGUAUCAGGAUCUGAAACCUCUGUUUUGGUGGACAAAGAUGAAAAAGGAAAUUGCUGCUUUUGUCGCUCGUUGUGACAAUUGUUGUCGUGUGAAGGCCGUUCACAUGAAAGCUGGUUUGCUUCAACCCUUGUCAAUUCCUGGAUGGAAAUGGAAAGAAGUCAGCAUGGAUUUCAUCGUUGGACUUCCAACUUCUGUUAAGGGUUACGACUCUAUCUGGGUGAUUGUAGAUCGUUUGACCAAGUUGCUCGAUUUAUUCCAGUUCGAACUGACUAUCGUCCACAUCAAUAUGCGGAAUUGUACUUCGAGCACAUUGUCCGUCAGUAUGGUGUGCCUCGAACUAUCAUAUCAGAUCGUGGACCAUAGUUCACUGCUCGUUUUUGGGAGUGUCUGCAUGAGCAGAUUGGUACUCACUUAGUCCGUAGCUCAGCAUAUCAUCCCUAAACAGCAGGUCAAACUGAACGUGUUAACCAAAUCCUAGAAGACAUGCUGAGGGCAUGUGCUCUCUCUUCAAAGGGUUCUUGGGUUAAGUGGUUGCCAUUAGCUGAGUUCUCCUACAACAAUAGUUAUCAGGAGAGUAUCAAGAUGGCUCCAUUUGAAGCCUUGUAUGGUCGAAAGUGUCGAACCCCGUUGAAUUGGGUGGAAUUCGGGGAGCGAAGGUAUUAUGCCAUCGAUUUUAUGAACGAGGCGGAGCAGCAAGUCCGUACCAUCCAGCAACAUCUGGAAGCUGCUCAAGCUCGUCAGAAAAGUUAUGCUGACAAAAGAAGGAAGCCGAUUGAGUUUGCGGUCGGUGACCAUGUGUAUCUCAAGGUGUCUCCGAUGAAGGGUGUACAAAGGUUCAGAGUCAAGCGAAAGCUUGCACCUCGUUAUGUGGGACCUUAUUGGAUUCUCGAAAGGAAAGGGGAUGUGGCGUACAAAGUUCGACUACCAGUUGAGCUUCGAGCUAUUUUCCUUAUCUUCCACGUAUCACAAUUGAAGAAGUGCCUUCGUGUUCCGGAGGAAAGAGUGGAAGUUCGGGAUAUCAAGUUGAAGUCAGACUUGGUGUAUGAAGAAAACCUGUAGCGGUUCUUGACCGCAAGGAACGGGUGACUUGUAACCGUGUGGUUAAGCUCUACAAGGUGUUGUGGAGUAACCACGGGGAGGAAGAUGCCACUUGGGAGAUGGAGGAUUAUUUAAAAGAAGUUUACAAAACAUUCUUCGAAAAUCAGUAAGCUUUCAAAUCUCGGGACGAGAUUUUUGUAAGGGGGGAGGGCUGUAACACCCCAGUGUUAUGGUUGCAUAAAUCACAUGCAUAACAUAAGCAUCAUCAUCUACUCAAGCAUAUCAUGAUCAUCAUCUACCUUGAGUCAUACCUUUCUAUGCAAAAAUGUGAUUUAAAUUGUUUAAAUAGUCUUCCUAUGCUUAUGUAUGUGUGAACCAUGCUUGUGUUUGUGUGCUAUGCCUUGUUAAAUAGUUUAUCUCUGCUUAACUCAACCUAGGGAACAGUGUUCAUGUUGAUCACUUCUCCAAAAAAUCACUUAAGUCAUACUUACACAAAUAGGCCCUAGAAAGCUCUUUUGCUUAGGCUUUUAAAAAGUGUUUCAUAAAAUAUUUGCAUGUCAAAACUUUCUACAGCAAAGUUGUCACAAAUUGUAUAAGGAACAAAAGUUGUUUUAUGUCUAUCUCAGGAAAAUGAUCGCAUCUAGCUCAAAAGUGACCCACAAAGCAGAUUUGGGGCUGUUUCCAAUACUUAGAAAAUUUUCUAAGUCUUGAAUCGCAGCAGUUUGCUCGAGGGUGUGUUGUUCAUCUUCCAGUUUGAAUUCUAGCCCGAAUUAGACUCUGAUCUUGUAAGCAAUGUUGGAGUACUCAUGUAGCUCUCCAGCAUAGAGCAAUUAGCCAGCAAAAUCAUCGAAUGGAUUAGGAGUUAAUCACCGUGCAAAAUCGGGUUUCAGUCGGGUUUGGGAACUGAAUGAGGUCGCCGUCAGACAGGGGAGCUCGCCGGUGACGCCGCGUGUCUGGACCCGUGGCGUCCGUACGUCGCUGUUGGUCCCGCUCGUCAGUCCCCAGCGCGUCCUACAGCUCGCCACGGUGCUCCCGGUCGCGUGGACAGCGCCAUUCGACUCCCAGCUCUCUCUCUCUCUCUCACGUGCGCCUUCUUCUCCGCGUCGACGCCGUUGCUUCGGCGAGCUCGCGCGCGCGUGUCUCCGUGUCUCCAGCCGAGCGACUCCGUCCAUCGCUCCGCCAGCUUCCCCGCGACCCCGUCGUCGAGUUGGCUGCAGCUGCCGAGCCUCGGUAAGCCCGCAUUGCCUUCUCCGUCGCGAGCUUACCUCGCCAGAGCUCCACCAUGGUCACCGGCGUCGUGGGCAGGGCUCUGUAGUCCACCAUUCUUCCUCAUUCUUGUCCCAAAAGCUCUGCUAGGUCUAGCUGAUGCUCGUCCGCAUUCUCUUCCGCUCUGUCUCCGGCCAGAUACGCCGUCGGUCGGCCGCACACGACCGCCGUGCCGCCAUUCGUGAGGGCAAGGUACCUAGGGUCCAGUAGAGUUAGGGUUUCGAGUACCGCUCGAUGCGGAAUGGAGUGGGGAGCACGAUGGUGCUCUUGGCCAUCGCUGAGACCUCGCCGUCGACGAGAUCUCCGGCAGUCAAGUCGCGCCUCUGCUCUCGGGUCGCUGACAUGUGGGGUUGGUUGACUCGUGGGGUCCCUCUGUCAGCCUCUCUUUCCCCUUUGUUUGAUUUAGGGUUUGAGCUGUUUUUCCAAAAAUCAGAUCUCUGGUUCUGGUGAUCCAAAAAUUGUGAAAUCAAUUUUGUGGUAUUCCUUGAGAUGGCUAGUUUUUAAUAAAAAUAUAAAAUGAACCUUGUUUUCUGGGAAAAAUAUUUAUUAGGAUUUAAUCUUGUUAUUCAUGAGUAAAUUUUUAUCUCUUGUUAUACUGAUUGUUUUGCUAUGAAAAUUUUAUGGUAGCCUCUGUGUGAUACUAGGAUACUAUGUGUCGGUGUUUUCCCCACGGGGGGUCACACCAACGAGUAAAUUUGUAUGCGUGCUCCCUUUCCCAGAUGGUGAUGCAAGAAGACACUGAGAUUUAUCCUGGUUCGGGCAAGAGAAGGCCCUACGUCCAGCGGGGGGGGGGGAGAGAGUUUGUAUUAUCUUGCACCUCAGUGCUUGUACAGGGGUGAAUACAAGCGCGGUAUGAAGUGUGGAGCUCUACUACGUAUGAGCAUGUUCCUGUCUUCUAUUCCGAGUCCUCCCUUUUAUAGUUCCAAGGAGAGACCCAGGGUACAUGUAUAGGUGUCAGAAUAGGAGUCGAUAGCAGCAUGGAGCGCUGACCUACUCGAGGCUUCCGUACCGGUAUGGCCUCGAGCCGUCCCGUCUUAGUAGCCUGGUGAUGAUUACGCGUGCCCUUGCAUUCUGCUCUGCGCGCCGUCCUGGAUUGGUUCGACGGAUGUACGCUCGUACGUCCUGGCGGCAAAUCCGGUGGAGUGGUUGGGAUGUAGCCAGUCGACACCCGACUCGUCCCCUGGAAGGGUCCUUGCCUGGUCGAGGGUCGGAUGUCGUAUGACGUCCUGAUGUUGAAGCGCUGACCUUGGCUAUCUCGAGGGGGUCUUGAUUAGACGCACCAUCUCUGUUUCCGACGUCCUGACACGCUCUGGGCUGUUUGGUGGGGAAGGCUGCAAAAAGAUCGAUGGGACGGAUGCCUGUUCCCUUUCACGCCUCCCGUGACCCAUGUGUUAGGUGGGGAAGCACCAGGCGCAUUUAAUGCCCCGGCUCGCGUGCGCGCGUUAGGCGGCGGCGGCGUCCUUGCGCUCGACGCCUCCCGAUUCGCGUGAGCCUGUUCCGUAUUCGACGAUAACCAGAGCUCGACGCCUGAUAGAUUCGCUCGACGCUAUAUCCGUCUUCGAGGCUACGACCGUCGAUGGUUGCGCGUAUGUAUGGACGGAGCGUCGAAUCGAAGAUCUAGUCUUAUGUACGGAUGGUCUCGUUAUAUGUAUUGGUGAGGGUACCCCUUGUUGAUACCCUCGACAGUAGCCCCCGAGUCUCCAUUUGAGCGCUGGCGCUCGAGUGGAGACUCUUGUUUUUACAGUCGAGGUUCCGUGGGGGCGCGCGAGCGACCCCGCGGGGGUAGCCCCCGAGCCCUCGAGGGAGUAUUUAACUCCUUCGAGGGUUAUUUUGCCUAAUUUGCAUAGACACUGUCGACACCAGUGGUGGAAGGUUCUGAUCGGCUUUGCCUUGCGAGGAGGUUUCGACGUACUCUCGAUAGAGCGAGCGUCUUCCACUCCAGAUCGAGUUCCUAGCGGGUAGUCCAAGUGAGAACCUGUGCCCCUUUCGAGGGGCUCAGCUGUAGCCCGGAGGCGUUCACAUAAAGCUGGGUCGACGUGGUCGGGGAUACCGGUCUCAUUCGAUAGAGUCCAGCGGCUCGGUGCCUCCCGUCAGGGGGAUUCCUCUCGACUGUCUCGACCCUGCCUUGGACAUCGCCAGCGAGUUUUCGAGGCAGGCCUCGAUCUUCGACCGCUCGCUGGAGAUCCAUGACUCUGGUGCUCGAGAUCGGCUGUCGAACCCUUUCGGCGGGCCAGCCAUCGACCUCUCGAGAAUCUCGCGGGUACGCCCCUUGGCUUACAAGGGAAGGAAGUGGCCAUGACGGUUCGCCUUUCUGCCCGUGGGGCGCGUCUUUUUAGGCGGGUGACGUUAUGACACUGUAUCGGCGUGGAAUUCGGAACGCCCGGCCUGUGAAGGGGGAAAGACUGUUAGGUAGCGCAUUAAUGGGGGGACGUUACCUCAUUUCCCGGAUCUGUCCGUUGGUGGAUUGCGGCCUAUAAAUACGUCGUGGCGCCGCCGCCGUUCCUCUUCCUUCCGCCUUCUCGCUUCCAUUCUCUCGUUGCCUUAGCUCUCUCGCCGUCUUACGCGCACACGCUUCCUCAUGCAAUAGUCGAUCCACCACCUCUCCGGCCAAGAUGCCUGUAAGACUCAUCGCCGCCGACGACUGGCGCCCGUCGUCGAUGACGGAGCGCCUGUUGUUAGAGCUUGAGAAAGAGGGAUUGCUGCGCCACCGUACCUCACUGUCGUCGCCAGAGUGGAUCGCGCCGCCGGCGAGUCACAGGGAGCCCCAGCCGCCCGAGGGCUACGUGGUAUCGUUUGCCAAGUUCCACCGCCAUGGCCUGGGUGCUCCCCCGAGUCGCUUCAUGUGGGCCCUCUGCUUCCACUACGGGGUGGAGCUCCAGCACUUCUCCCUGAACGCCAUCACCGUCGCGGCGGUCUUCGCUGCCGUGUGUGAGGGCUACUUGGGGAUGAUGCCGCACUGGGAGCUGUGGCUCCAUCUCUACAGGGGCGAGCUCUUCAACGCCCCCACUGGGACCACCGGCGUGAGGAAACCUGUGCGGGCAGGUUGCCUCAAUCUCGUGCUGAAGACGGGGAAGUCGGAGAGGCCGCGCGAGUACAUCCUGGUGCGACUGUCGACUAACCACGCCGGCUGGGACUCCCAAUGGUUCUACCUGAGGAACGACGACGAUCUGCUGCCUGCCUAUACCGGGCGCUUGAUCACGGAGCGACCGGAGAAUUGGACGUACGGCGUCGUCCAAGCUCACCAAUCUCGGCUCGACCCCCUCCUCGACGUCAUGAAGAAGCUGCGUUCGGAGGGCUUGACCGCCGCCCUCGUUCUCUCGGCCGUUCAUCACCGGAGAGUUCUCCCUUUGAUGUCUCGGCCGUUGAGGAUGGAUGAGAUGGGCCCCGGCGUUCCAUCUCGGGACCUCGAGGCGUGCCGGAUGUCUAACGAGGCUCCGGCGGAUGACGAAGUUGCGGCCCGAGUCAGGGCUGCAAUUGCCGGUGAUUUUCAGCCGGAGCAUGUUAACGGCUUCCCCAUGAGGCCAGAUGCCGGCUCGAUCGAUCUGGUAUGUUUUCUUGCGCGCAACCUCGAUUCCGGGUUCCUUUUCUUCCCCUCUCCUUUUCUUUUCUAAGUCUGCAUUCAUUUUGACAGGGACAGAUCGACGUCCGGUCCUCGAGGCCCCCGGUAAAGGAGGACGGGGUCGAUCGUGAUAAACGGCGCCAAUCCGCCGAAAAGCUAAAGUCCGCCAAGGACUCUGCCAAGAAGGGGGAGAAGAAGAAGAACCUCGACCGUCAAGCGUUAGAGGCGCGUCGGGCCAAAUCCAGGCAGAGGGGGGAGCCUGAGGAAGAAUCCCCCAACGAUGAUGAUGAUGAUAACGACGACAGCGAUGAUUCCGAGGGGAUGGCGUCACGUCUCGACCGGAUCCUCGAGGGCCCGUCUCGAGGCGACGUCGACGCCCCCCGGACGGAGAUGUCAAGGGAGGGUCCGAGUGGAUCUCAUCGCCCCCGGGCCGACACACCUCCUGCGUCCAAAACGGGUCGAGACGCACCGCGCCCUCCCCCGGCGCCCAGAGAGUGCGGUCAGGCUAGGCCCCAGGCGAAGGGGCCACUGACUCGCGGUCGCGCCGUGGCCUCCGAGAAAGGAGAGGCCGGCCGCAGGAGCGCCAGUCCCGGUGCCUGUCAGGCGAGAACCGACGCGCCUAGGCUGGUGCCUGCCCUCGAGGGACCUGGAGCCCUGACGCGGGGUGGCUCGAGGCCCGCUAGUCGGGGCGGCGGGAGGCGAGCUGUUCUCCCUGUGGGGUAAGCCCUUUCGAUGCUGUGGCUUCUGUUUUUCUGUCCCUCUGCCGAUCUUUUCUCAUAUACCGAUCUUUUCUCAGGCUAAAGCGGACCCUCGAGCAGGCCCAGCCGUCCAUGGCAAAGAGGCUCAAAACGGGCGCCGCCUCUAAGGAACCAGGUUCGUAGUUUAUUUUUGGGCCUUGCGAUGUUUUUGUGUCGGUUAUUAUAACGUCUGACCUUUUUACCCUUUGUUUUGUAGGCUCCUCCAGUUCCCGAUCUCUAGCCGGCGUUGAGAGGGCUCCGUCUCGUCCCGCUCCUACUCCGUCGCCGCCGACUUGCGAUGAGGCGCCCCAGACGCAAGCGUCAGAGGGAGCCCCCGAGCCCCCUAGAUUGGGGGUCGAGGGGGAACCCAUUACCAUCAACGAUACGUCUGAUGGUAACGAAGCUUCUGGGGGUGCCCGCCCUAUGGAGGAGGAAACGUCGACCCCUCACGUCGCGGGGUCGACUCCCUGGCCCGCCGGCCUCCGCACCCUCGAGGAGCAGAAGAAGAAGAGGGAGGAGGAUGAACAGCGGGAGCGCGAGGCGGCGUGGCAACCGCAGGAGCAUGAGGCGCAACAAUAGCAACAGCAGCAGCGACAGCAACAGCAGCAGCAGCAGCAGGAGCAACAGCAGCAGCAGCAGGAGCAGCAGCAACAGCAGCAGGAGCAACAGCAGCAGCAGGAGCAACAGCAGCAGGAGCAAUAGCAGCAGCAGCAGCAGGGGGGGCCAAGAGGAGGGACUGCUCGAUCCCCCGCCCCAAGGUCCGGCCUAGCCGGUGCCGCCGGAGCCGCAAGAGCCUGGUGAGCAAGAAGAGGAUCUGCCAGUGUACGGCCCCCCGACCCCAGCGUGGCUCCUCCCGGGGGCACCUGCCGCGAUCCGGGCAGAGCCGGGGCGAGCGGAUGGAGUGGUGGCGCUCGCCUGCAUGAUGUGCACUCCCACCGACCCCGAGUCCGAGAUCAAGAGGACGAUCUACGGCAUGGACGGUAUCGCCCCAGGGUUCCUCCGGGAGCGUUGGGCAUGGGAGGACCACUUUCCUUCUGAGGAGGAUGAGAUCGGGAUAUCGGGGACCAAGGACGGUACCUGGAAGACGGUGGACGAUGACGGGCGGUUCCCAUGCCUCGUCGACCUGUUCCUGCGCCAUGGGGGGUCCCUCGAGACCGUCGAGGAUCUCAUCCGCGGCGUAAAGGCGCGGGCCGACCGGGAGAUGGAGCAUUGGUGCCCUGAACGAAUCCGCAUCCGGGCCUCCCACGACCCGUCCGAGCCUAACAUCUUCCUGGACGAUCGGAAGGAGGCAGAGAAGUGGGAACACGUCGAGGAGCUCCGCCUUUGGAUGAAGCAUGUGGUGGGGCUCCUCGCAGACGUUAUCAACAACGGGCUCGGCCCGGCCUAUUUCGUAAGUGCUUUUCGAUCUUCACUCCUCGUGGAAUCUUUCGGUUUUGUGUGCUCUAACCGCUCGACCCCUGGUUCGCAGGAUAUGAAAGAUACCUCCCGCAUCAAGUCUAGUUUCAUUCACGCCACGAGAGGCGGCUGGGAGCAGCUCCCCCUCCUUAAGGAUCAACUCCUCGAGUCGUAGGAGAAGCUCCUUAAAGCCUACCAAGACCUCAUAGCGCUCGAGGAGGAGAAGAAAGCAAGGGAAGCUGCCUUGGCCGAGGCUCGAGAGGCCUCAAGGAGGGCGGAGGAGGAGACGACGCUGCUGCGGGAGAGGGCUCUGACGGUCGAGGACGCCGCGUCCAGAGCCCAGGAGGAGGCCCUGUCCUGUAAGAGCGUUAUUGCGGAUCUGGACAAGGAGAAGGACCUCCUUAAAUCCGACCUGGACUCUCUCCGAGAGUCCUUCCAAAAGAUGAAGGUGGAGCACGUGAACGGCGAGGUCGCCAGGGGCGCCGCGGAGGAAGCCAAGAAGAAGGCCCUCGAAGAUCUCGAGGCGGAGCGGGCUCGAUCCCGCAGUCUUUCUAACGACGUAGAGCAUCUGAAGGGAGAAUUGCUGGAGAAGAGUGGGGCCAUUGCUCAGGCUGGCAAGGCGAUCGAGGAUCUCCACGUUGCCAAUACUGAGCUGGCGCGCUCCAACAGAGAGAUCGAGAGGGCUAACACCAGGCUGGUCGGCGAGAACACGGCCCUAGAGGAGACCGUACGCGGUACGUUUCCUCUAUCAGGUUUCUUUUUUCGCGGUGUGCUUGGUUUUUCCUAAGGUUUCUUGUAUUGGCCUUUACAGGGCUCAAGGGCGAACUCCUGGCCGCCCAAACCGAGGCUCGCAACGCCAAGGCUCAGCUCGAGGCGGAGGUUGCUUUGAACCGUCGAGUGCGGACGGCCAUAAGUGAUCUCUCGACCUCUUGGGAGGUCGAGCCUAUGGAUGAGUCGAGGGAGGGCGCUCGAGGCGACGCCCUGGUCGACCAGCUGUGCUACAUAGGCGCGACGCUGCGAGAUCGGGUGCGGGAUGCUCUCCACAUCGGGGUGAAGCGGGCGAUGGCGGUUGUCUGCUCGGGCUUCUCCUACGACAUGGAGGUGGUGUCUCAUGGCUUCGUCACCGACAUCUCCAAGACCGACGCAGAGAACGAGGAGAGGCUCCACGCCCUGAUCGACGACGCGGAGGCUCCUGGGGAAAGGUUGGCUAAGCUUUUUGAGCCUGAGGUGCUCCCUCCUGAGGCUAGCUCGGGCGGAGGUGAGGGCGGUGAGGAUCGCGCCGCGGACUGAGGCCUGCGAGCCUGCUCAGGGCGUCUAGGGCCCCUUGUAUGAUACUUUGUUAAUUCUAUUGCUAAGUGAUACAGUAUCUUUUUGUAAUCGUUAAAUGCUCAUUUGUCUUUCCGCUCGAGGUUCUUUUAUUUCUCUUUGUUCCUACGUUCAUAUCCCUUGCUCGAUUCUUUCGUAGAAAACCACCUCGACCACCUCAAUGGUAGGGAAGUGAGUAGAAUUUCCGUAGCCCGGGGGCGUAGGAGUUCUCUAACUCGUUGUCCCUCGGCCUUUGAGGGGUUUGAGGCGCCUUAGCUACUCGAACCGUGCAAGGUUUAUUAAGUAAGAAAAGAGAACUUCUUGGUUUUUUCGACGCUUGGGGGGCGGUCGUCCCCCUGGUAGCCCCCGAGGGGGUGUUGGCUAUGAUGGGUCAUAGACGGCGCCCCCUUCUAACAUCGAGAUCGUGACUUGUGAAUCUUUUGGUGCAAAAAGAAGUUGCUCUAGGGAAAGACUUUAUUUAUUCAUGCAUUCGUUUACAAAGUCUCGGUACAAAAUGUACGUAAGAACGUAAGUUUAGAACUUCUAGGGGUAGAAUCGACGUAGCUGUUCGAUGUUCCAUGCGUUGGUGAAGACCGCCCCCUUCUGGUCCGCCAACUUGUACGUUCCCGGCUUAAGGACCUCGGCCAUCACAUACGGGCCUUCCCAAGGUGGAGUCAGCUUGUGGCGUCCUUGAUUGCUUUGCCGGCGUCGUAGGACAAGGUCGCCUACGUUGAGGUCCCUCUUGCGCACGUGCUUGUCGUGGUAGCGUCGAAGUUUCUGCUGAUAUCUGGCAGAGUUGAGGAGGGCCAUGUCUCGAGCCUCCUCGAGUUGGUCGACCGCGUUUUCUUGAGUCUCUUUGUUUGAUUGCUCGUUGUAAGCCUUGAGUCGAGGUGAUCCAUACUCGAGGUCUGUGGGGAGGAUAGCCUCAGAGCUGUAGACCAUGAAGAACGGGGUGUAUUUUGUGGCCCUGCUUGGUGUUGUCCUAAGGCUCCAUAGGACUGAGGAAAGCUCCUCGACCCAUUUCUUGCCGAAUUUCUUCAACCGAUUGUAGAUCCUUGGCUCGAGUCCUUGCAAAAUCAUGCCAUUGGCACGCUCGACCUGGCCGUUAGUUCGAGGGUGGGCUACUGCAGACCAGUUCACACGGAUGUGAUGCUGAUCGCAGAAGUCCAAGAACUUUUUGCCGGUGAACUGGGUGCCGUUGUCGGUGAUGAUGACGUUGGGGAUCCCAAACCAAUGGAUGAUGUCGGUGAAGAAAAGGAUGGCCUGCUCGGAGCGGAUGUUGGUGAUGGGUCGAGCCUCGAUCCAUUUGGAGAACUUGUCAAUGGCCACCAGCAAAUGGGUGUAUCCUCCUUUCGCCUUUUGUAGAGGUCCUACUAAAUCGAGCCCCCACACCGCAAACGGCCAGGUGAUGGGGAUCAUCUGAAGAGCGUGGGCGGGCAGAUGCGUCUGCUUGGCGUAGAACUGGCACCCAUGACACGAGCGUACGAGCUCGAUGGCGUCCGCCACGGCCGUUGGCCAGUAGAAGCCUUGUCGAAAAGCGUUCCCUACAAGGGUCCGCGGAGCGGCGUGGUGGCCGCAAGCCCCCGAGUGCAGGUCCUCGAGGAGUUUUCGGCCUUCUUCCACGGUGAUGCAACGUUGUAAGACCCCCGUUGGGCUCCGUCGAUAUAGCUCAUUGUCUUCGCCAUAGAUCACAUAUGUCUUGGCCCGUCGAGCGAUACGACGGGCCUCUGACCGAUCUUCUGGCAACUCGCCGCGGAUUAGGCAGUCGAGGAAUGGCGUGCGCCAGUCGAACGGUCGACCUGGCCGUCGUUCUAUCUCCAUCACCUCUGCCACCAUCAAGAGCGUAUCGACAGCAUUGGUUGGUUGGGCGGGAGCGGCGUCGACGCCAGCCCCCGUGCCUAGGUCGACGGAUGGCUCGUGAAGAUCUCUUGAGAAUGCAUUAGGCGGCACCGUGCCUCUGGUCGAUGCAAUCUUGGCGAGUUCGUCGGCUGCCUCGUUGUAGCGUCGAGCGAUAUGGACAAGCUCGAGACCGUGGAAUCUGUCCUCGAGUCGACGGACUUCUUUGCAGUACGCUUCCAUUUUCGGGUCGUGGCAGCUCGAGGUUUUCAUUACUUGGUCGAUGACGAGUUGGGAGUCGCCUCGGACGUCGAGGCGUCGAACUCCUAACUCGAUGGCAAUCUUGAGACCAUUGACGAGGGCCUCGUAUUCUGCGACAUUGUUAGACACGGCAAAAUGAAUCCUGAUUACAUACCUCAUGUGGACUCCUAAGGGUGAGACGAACAGCAGGCCGGCUCCGGCUCCUGUUUUCAGGAGUGACCCAUCAAAAUACAUCGUCCACAGCUCCGCCUGGACCUGAGUCGGUGGAAGCUGGCAGUCCGUCCAUUCUGCGACGAAGUCUACCAGGGCCUGCGAUUUAAUGGCCUUGCGAGGCGCAUAAGUGAGAGUCUCACUCAUGAGCUCGACCGACCAUUUUGCUAUUCUUCCCGUGGCCUCUUUGCUCUGGAUUAUUUCGCCUAAAGGGAAAGACGAGACCACCGUGAUGGGGUGGCCGAGGAAGUAGUGUUGCAGCUUACGGCGGGCAAGGAUUACGGCAUAGAUCAGCUUCUGGAUUUGGGGAUAACGUGCUUUGGUCUCCGAAAGCACCUCGCUGACGAAGUAUACUGGCCUCUGAACUGGUAACGCAUGUCCCUCCUCCUGCCUUUCGACCACUACCGCCGCGCUGACGACUUGGGUCGUUGAUGCGACGUAGAGGAGCAGCGGCUCUGCAGGAUGAGGUGGGACCAGGACGGGUGCCGAGGUCAGCGUCUUCUUCAGCCUUUCGAGCGCUUCCUCGGCCUCGGGGGUCCAAGAAAAGCGCUCGACCUUCUUCAGGAGUCGAUACAAUGGUAACGCCUUUUCUCCUAGUCUCGAGAUGAAACGGCUCAGAGCCGCCAGGCACCCCGUGACUCUCUGCACACCCUUGAUGUCUCGGAUCGGCCCCAUUCUCGUGAUGGCCGAGACUUUCUCAGGGUUGGCCUCGUUGCCGCGCUGCAAAACGAUGUACCCUAGGAGCAUGCCUCGAGGCACACCGAAAACGCACUUCUCAGGAUUGAGCUUGAUCUGGUUGGCGCGUAGACAGCUAAAAGCGAUCUCGAGGUCCUGGAUUAGGUCCCCUCGACGCCUUGUCUUGACGACGAUGUCAUCGACAUAGGCUUCGACCGUCGACCCUAUAUGUUUACCAAAUACAUGGAGCAUGCAGCGUUGGUACGUAGCUCCCGCGUUUCGAAGCCCAAACGGCAUGGUCACAUAGCAAUACAUCCCAAAAGGUGUGAUGAAAGAGGUCGCGAGCUGAUCGGACUCCUUCAUUUUUAUUUGGUGGUAACCAGAAUAUGCAUCAAGGAAAGAAAGGGUUUCACAUCCCGCGGUAGAAUCGACAAUCUGAUCAAUACGUGGCAAUGGAAAAGGAACUUUUGGACAUGCUUUAUUUAGACUAGUAUAAUCGACACACAUCCUCAUUUUCCCAUUCUUUUUCUUAACUAACACAGGGUUUGCUAACCAGUCGGGAUGAUGAACCUCCUUGAUGAAUCCGGCCGUCAAAAGCUUGUGGACUUCCUCGCCAAUGAUCUUGCGCUUCUCCUCGUCGAAUCGGCGCAACCGCUGCUUCACUGGCUUGGAACCGGCUCGAAUCUCCAAGGAGUGCUCGGCGACUUCCCUCGGUAUGCCUGGCAUGUCUGAGGGACUCCAUGCAAACAUGUCGGCAUUUGCACGGAGAAAGUCGACGAGCACAGCUUCCUAUUUGGGGUCGAGGUCGGUGCUGACCGUCAGCACUUUGCCGUCAGUGUUGUUGGGGUCGAGCGGGAUCUUCUUGGUUCCUUCUGCCGCCUCGAAGCUGCCCGCGUGGCGCUUAGGCUCUGGAGCCUCAGCGGCCAGUGCCUCGAGCUUCGCGACUAGCUCGGUGGAGCUCUCGACCGCCUCCCCGUACUCGACGCACUCGACGUCGCACUCGUACGCGUGCUCGAAGGAGGAACUGACAGUGAUGACGCCUUUGGGACCGGGCAUCUUCAGCUUCAAGUAGGUGUAGUUGGGUAUAGCCAUGAACUUGGCGUAGCCCGGGCGUCCGAUGAUGGCGUGGUACGUGCCUCGGAACCCAACCACCUCAAAGGUGAGGGUCUCCUUCCUGAAGUUGGCCGCCGUGCCGAAGCAGACCGGUAAGUCAAUUCGACCUACUGGCAGUGCCUUUUUCCCUGGCACGACGCCAUGGAAACCGCCGGCGCUUGGUUGGAGUUUUCCUCUAUCUAUGCCGAGGAGGUCGAGGGUCUCGAGGUAGAUGAUGUUGAGGCUGCUGCCACCAUCCAUCAGCACUUUCGAGAGCCGGGUUUUGACGAUGAUGGGGUCGACGACGAGCGGGUAGACGCCGGGGGCGACUACCUUGUCGGGGUGGUCCUUGUUGGGUAUUCUUAACAUCAUUACCAAAAGUAGACUAAGUUCUAAAUCUAGCAACGGUGCCAAAAAUGCCAAACCUAUCCCUCACACCACUUAAGCCAAGUUGUCAUCCCCAGCAUGACAUGAGAGCCGCGGUAUUGAAAUAUACAAUUGCUCUUCUAAAUAAAUAAUGAAUGGGAUCUGCAAGCGCACAGAUUAAUACCGAUGCAGCAUUUUAACCAGGAAGUAUUCCAGGUAUCGUUAUUUAUAUUUUUACCACUGGGAAGGGAUUAGCAAUCAUCACUAUUGAUUACAGAAUAGAAUAUGAGAUUGAGCACCUAUCAUUGCAUGUAUAAUUGAGAACAUUAUAUCUAACUCUUCAUACAGGGAUAAGUGUCACAUAAUAGAUAUAUGAAAUGAUAAUAGUGACAAGGAUAACUAAUCUGAUCUAGCCACAUAAUAAAUAUGAUAAGCACCUCAAUUAGAUACUCUAGAAAGUCAUUAGCAUGGUAUUAGAACGAACUACAAGAAUAUUCCCAAAGUUAUUCUUAACUAUAUAGUCUAGCAUAUCAUAGUUAGUGCAAGCAUACUUAGCAAUCAUUGCGAGACAAGACUACGCCCAUGCAUAGUGAUAUUAGCAAGGAAUAUGAGAAACAUAGCAAUCACUCCCCUGUAAUAAUGCUGCUCUGCCAGCCCAAUACACGAGAGGGGGACUAUAUAAGAAUCAAUGAAGCUGUCACUAUCACGAACUACCCCACGAUCUGGCAUAUUGGGUACAAUCGCAGAUAAAUACGGUAUAAGCACCACGCCUACACAAUAUCUAUCAUUUACCCAUGGAUCCGAUGGAUAAACGCUAUACGAUCCUAAGCAUGUAUAUAGAUCAUAUCUAACUAAGCCAAGUACAUAACUAUGAUAAACUAAGAACAAUAUAAUCUUGAAUAUAAGCAAGUAUAGCAAAGUCAUAAGCAAUAUAUUGAAGUAGAACAAAGUCAUAUUCAUAAUAUUGAAGAACAAAGAUAAUUAGAAAGCAAUUAGAAGCACAAUUAGAGAAUUACCAAGAAUCCUCUUGACAGAUCCGGAAACCAAUCGAAGAUUGACUCCUUCUAGUUCUAAUCCUAUGUAGCUAUGCUAAUCUAGAUAUCUAAUUGAUGUGGUGGCUCUAAUCUUGAUUAGAGGCUUCUUCUCCCUUGAUGGAACAAUGAAUUAGGGUUGAGAGGCUCCCUCCUCCAGGGGCCAGGGGGUCUGGUUUUAUAGUCCCUUCAAGUGAAUAUGGGCCCUUGGAUCAAACCGACAUAGAUUGUAUGGUUUAAAUUCAUCCUUUAGGUCGCUGGAGACUUCCCGCAAAGCAGAGUCCUGAUUGGACUUGGGGGCAGGGCGGGCGCCCAGUUGGACAGGGCGGGCGCCCUGUCUCGGGGCGCCCUGUCUCUGGCCCCGAUUCGCCUCCGCUUCGGUCUCGUGGCUUCUGGAGUCUUCUAGAUGUAAGAUAAUUGCGCAGCACGUUAACAUCUUUACGUAAUCCUGACAUGUGGGCCUUUCUUCCAUAUUUCCCGAUAACUCCCUGCAGAAAUAGACAAACACCAAAACUCAUGGAAUUCUGUCAGAUAAAACCCUAAGUCUAGAUCUUUAUUUCAUUUGGAUCCUUUUCUUUAUUUAUUUGAUAAUUAAAUUUGAUACUUAAGGACCGUCAACAAACUCCCCCAAGCUUACCUCUUGCUCGUCCCUGAGCAAGGAUAGACUCAGCUAUGGAUCAUAAGUAGUUGCAAUAUCUUAAAAAAUUUGACGGUACACAUGCUUUUAAAUAAGAUCUCAUCUCUGAGUUAGAGUAAACUGUCAAGACUUAAAACUUACUUACUUUACCUUCAGCAUGGGACUUGUAACUGUCACUUCUGUCUUGAGUGGUUAAAAGAUAGAACAGUCUAGCCAAGUGCCAUGUCUCUUAUUCUUGAUCAGCUAUAGCUCUUGGAUUUUUGCAGAUUUUCAAAUAAAACUCAGAGAUUCCUUAUAUGAUUCUCUCAGGUCUCUCUUUUGUGGUAUUUUUGGAUCCUUACCAAGGCAUUGAUGGUAUAUGCCUUCUCUCAAGAUAUGUGGUAUUUGGGGUAUAAGGCAUAGUGACAUUGCCUUCUCUCUCAUCCUACUCUAAUAAGGCUUUAAUAUCUGGAGCUCAUAGGUGGGAGAUAAAGUAUACAUACUUACAAGACAUGUAUUGCAUAGUCAAACCAUGGAUCCAAAGUAACAAGUCAAUAAGUUUAAUCAAGAUGUGCAUGUGUGGCGAAUGAAUGGUAUAUGGUGAUGAUGGUGAUAAUAAUGGUGAAAACAAUGGUGAAAACAAUGGUGAAAACAAUGGUGGUGAAAGUCUAAUUCUACUUUGCUCUUUUGAGGGGAUACAUACCUUCCUUGCUUUUGAAACUUUAUGAGGAGAAUGAGAUGCUCUUCUUUUUCUUUUCUCUCAGGUGGGUAUCUUACACCCCCUAAUUCUACUGUCGGACACUUGUCCAUUUUUACCUCUCGUCUCACUUUUUCUUUUCUUUCGAGGUUCCGAGCACUUGCUCCUUUUUAUUUCCUCGCAUUAUUAUUUUUUUCUUCUCUCUUUUUUUUUAGAGCACUCAUCUCUUGAGAUAAUAUAGCAAGUGGUAGUAACAAGAUAACUUGAGCAUUUAUUUCACAAGGGGAACACAGAAAUAUUUUUGGUUAUUCUCUCCCGGAUUAGGAGUAGAAUAUUUUCAGGUGGUUCUGGUGAUGGAAUGGAUGGAUAUAUGUGGAUGGUACUUCCGGAAUAGAAGUAGCAUAUAUGAGUGAACGUGCAAGUGAAAUCUUGAUUUAACCACAUGACAAGCUCCUAAGGGUCUACACAGCUUGACCAUACUCAAUGCUCAUAAGCAGUAAAUAGUAAAUGCGUGGCUCAAAGUCUAGCAAGCAUGUAUAUAUGGCUGUGGUAGGAAUUUUAAGCUCUCAUCAUACAGAAACUCAUCAUGCAACAUUUUAAAGAUUUUCAAAGAUAAAAUUCUCCAGAAUUUUAGCAUCUCUAGGAACAGAUAAACAGCAGCUCAACCUUCCCAUAUCGUAUCCGUUAACAACUUAGACUUCGGAUCAAGUUUUCAUCCCACAAGUUUAGGUCUAGAGCAAGCUUUAAAUUAUAACAGUUAUGUCUAAACUUGAGAGAGAACUUAAAAUGUGCAAAUUAGGCAGAGCAACUAUUCAUCAUAUCCAUGCUUAAGUUUUAUUAGAUACAGAUUAGCAUAGCCACUUUAUUUAUUUAUUAAACACACUAAGUAAUAUAUAUAUAUAUAAGCAUAAAAUCUUUAUUUGGUUUUCCCAUAGUUUAUGUGUAUUAAUAUUCUAAAAUAAUAUAAGUAUAAAGAUAGAUAGAUAGAAAUACUUAUCGAUAUAAAUGGGGGUGCUCUCCCCCAAGCUGAAUUUUGACGUAAUUUCUCUUGAUGUAGCUAGCAGGUGGCAGAGGUGUAUUUGAAAGUCAGCAGCCUUCUGACAGCGAUUAGAAUGUCCUCCUUCUGCUAGUCUUCUUGAUUCUUAAAUUCUGUGGAGCUCAAAUAGACAACAAAGCUUGUGGAACUGAUUAAGUGUUAGCAUAAAUAUAUAGCCUUCAUUAUCUUGAGACUCCUUAAUAAUUGUUACUCCCUGUUUUUAUAUUUUUGUCUUUAUAAAGCAGAAAAAUAUUUAUUUUAUUUUUAUGCCACCACAGUGAAUAUACUUAUGGGUUUUAUGCCACUCGUCUACUCACAUGGGGCUUAUAGUUUCUUCACAUUUUUAUUUUCUUUUUUUAAGAUAGUAUGAACAUGAUUAACUAAGUAAACUAUUUGAAAUAAUUAAAAGGGAAAGGAUAACUACCAAGUUUACCUCUUGGCAAGGCGUUCGGUGUUUUUAAGUCCUCCGAACGGGACUCUCCAAUUUCUUAAUCGUCCUGAGGUUCGUUGGGUGGCGUAGUCGGUACUUCCGGCAGCGCCUCCUCUUCUUGUAUAGUUAUCUUCAUUUUCCAUACCUGACUCGGUGCUUCAAUCUCCUCUGGAUAAUUCUGUUUAAACUCUACGUCUUCUGACCUUACAACUUCUCCUUCAUAGUCUGCCCAUCCGUCCCUGAUGAUCUGCCUCCUCUGGUUGCGGUUGCGUCUCUUUCUGACCUGCUUAGAUUCUUCAACAAUAUAGUUAGGGUCAGUAAAGUAACGGCGUACCUUCUCUGAGGGGAAGUGCAUAUGGACUUCUCCGGUUCCAAUGUAGAUAAUGGCUUUAACGGUGCUGAGGAAUGGUCUUCCAAGGAUGAUGGGUGGAUCAUACUCAUCUUCUCCCAUGUCAACAACUUGAAAGUCUGUGCAGACAAAGUGAUCGUCUAUUUUGACUGGGAUAUCAGAUACUAUUCCUUGAACUUCUCGAAAUGUCUGAUCUGCCAUCUGGAGCUGAAUGUAUGUUGGUCUUAGUGGCAUGGUCCCGAACAAGAGCCGAUAGGUGACUACGGCCAUUAUGUUGACGCCUGAUCCGGUGUCGCAAAUCGUCUUGUAGAAGUUGUAUCCAUUUAUGGAGCAGUAAAUGCUUGGCAUUCCUGGGUCGUCCUUCUUGGUCAAAAACGGUGACUUCAGUUGGUGAUCUUGGCCUCCAUGGACUACAGUGACCAUCUUAGCUGACUCGGUCCACACUUGCUUGUUCCUGUUCCUCCUAUUGGUCCUCUUCCUUGAUUCACGUCUGGAUUGAUUUGGAAUUUGUGUAGUCUUGUUCUUGAAGAAAAAUGUCUCCUUCUUCCCUUUGACAUAGAAACUGAUCUUAGCAGCACUGGCGUAGAUGAUAGCUCCCGUGGUGUUCAAGAAUGGCCUCCCUAGGAUGAUAGGUGCUCUCUCAUCAUUUCCGGUCUCUACCACUACGAAGUCUGCUGGGGCAUACAAGGUACCAACUCGGACACAAAGAUUCCUCACUAUUCCUUUUGGAAAAGUUAUCGUCUGAUCUGCAAACUGCAAACACAUGGUUGUUUCUAAUAAAGGAUAUGUAAAGAAUUUUUCAUAGAGUACCCUGGGUAUAAUGUUGACACUAGAGCCAAAGUCACAGAGUGCUUCUGGGACAUCCACCAUGCCGAUGCAGAUCGGGAUGACGGGGCGUCCUGGAUCGCCUCUCUUGACCGGCAGACGGUCAGUAGAAAAUUCAUUGACGGGGUUACUCCAAUUACCUGCAUCAAACAUGUCUACAAGAUUUGCAGAUUCUAAUCCUUCCGGUUGUGAUGGUAUACCGGGGUUAGUAGUAGGAACAGCAGCAGCUAUUUGAUUUAACUGAGAUUCAAUCAUUUUAUUAAAGCUAAUUUGAUUCUUGAUGGCAGUACAAAAAUUAUCCAUUCUAUUAUUUAUAUUUUCUAGCAUUUUAUCAUUAGAUGCCAAUUUCUUAGACAGGUUAUCCAUUAGCUUUCCUUGAUUAGACACUAACUCUCUCAAAGGUGGAAAAUUAUUAUUAUUGUUGUAAGAAUUGUUACCUUGAUAAUUACCUGAGUAGUUAGGCCUCUGUUGAUUCCAACCUUGACUUUGUUGAGGACGGUUGUAGUAGUAGUUGUUGUUGUUGAUGUAGUUCACAUCCUCAAGUAUCUCAGGGCAGUGGUUGCCUGAGUGUCCAGUGUCUCCACACUCCUCACAAGUCAUGUGAGAGUCGUAGAUGUGCAUAACUUCUUUCUUGUCUCCAGCUUUAUCAUCGAGCUUCUUCAUGAGCAGGUCUAGCUUUGCAGACAGCAUGUCUACCUCCUUCAGCUGAUGCAUACCUCCACCUCUCUUGCGUGUCUGGGUCCUCUCUUCAUUCCAGCUUUGAUUGGACGCCAUCUUCUCCACAAGAGCUGUGGCUUGUGGUAUAGUAAGUGAUAAGAAUGCUCCUCCAGCUGCAGCAUCCAUGGUCUCUCGGGCACUGUUGCUGAGCCCAUGAUAGAAUGUCUGCAUCAAUAGCCAACUCUCCAUUCCAUGAUGGGGACAUUCUAGGAUGUAGUCUUGAAAGCGCUCCCAUGCUUCUGGAACAGAUUCAUCAUUUUGUUGGUGAAAACUUGUAAUCUUCCCACGGAGAGCAUUGGUCUUGCACAUGGGAAAGAACUUAGCCAGGAAGUUUGUUGAGCAGAGUGCCCACGUAGUAUUCUUCUCCUUUGUAGCGUAGAACCACUGCUUCGCUCUUCCUAACAGUGAGAAUGGGAAGAGGCGAAGUAGUAUAGCGUCUUUUGAAACUCCUGCUAUGGUGAAUGUGUUGCAAAUCUCCAGGAAGUGUUGUAAAUGAGCACUAGCAUCUUCGUGUGCCUUCCCACAGAACUGGUUGGAUUGCACCAUGUUGAUAAGUCCAGGCUUGAGCUCAAAGUUGCCAUCCAUCUCUGCAGCAGGUCCAGUGCGGAUGUUGUCCGUAGUGGGAGCUGAGAACUCGCGGAUUGAUUUGUUCGCCAUGACUUCGAACUCUGAAGACAAGUUCCGGUGAUCUUCUUGAUUGGAUGAAGCUUCUUCGUGAAGUGUUGAUGAUUUCUUUAGCUUGGCUCUCGUCUUCUUGAAUAAUGCUUCGGGAUCGUCAACAAAAUUCCCUGGAAGAUGUCUUCUAUUCAUACAUUCCCCUGCAUAAGAUAAAAUAGAAAAAUAUCGGGGUAAAACUGUAUGAGAGAAUAGAUAAGCUCCAUCAUAUUAGUGAUGCGAAUGAUUACUCUAAAUCUUUUAUUCCAUUCCUGAUUGGUAAUCAACCUUCCCCGGCAACGGCGCCAAAAAUGCUUGUUGGGUAUUCUUAACAUCAUUACCAAAAGUAGACUAUGUUCUAAAUCUAGCAACGGUGCCAAAAAUGCCAAACCUAUCCCUCACACCACUUAAGCCAAGCUGUCAUCCCCAGCAUGACAUGAGAGACGCGGUAUUGAAAUAUGCAAUUGCUCUUCUAAAUAAAUAAUGAAUGGGAUCUGCAAGCGCACAGAUUAAUACCGAUGCAGCAUUUUAACCGGGAAGUAUUCCAGGUAUCGUUAUUUAUAUUUUUACCACUGGGAAGGGAUUAGCAAUCAUCACUAUUGAUUACAGAAUAGAAUAUGAGAUUGAGCAUCUAUCAUUGCAUGUAUAAUUGAGAACAUUAUAUCUAACUCUUCAUACAGGGAUAAGUGUCACAUAAUAGAUAUAUGAAAUGAUAAUAGUGACAAGGAUAACUAAUCUGAUCUAGCCACAUAAUAAAUAUGAUAAGCACCUCAAUUAGAUACUCUAGAAAGUCAUUAGCAUGGUAUUAGAACGAACUACAAUAAUAUUCCCUAAGUUAUUCUUAACUAUAUAGUCUAGCAUAUCAUAGUUAGUGCAAGCAUACUUAGCAAUCAUUGCGAGACAAGACUACGCCCAUGCAUAGUGAUAUUAGCAAGGAAUAUGAGAAACAUAGCAAUCACUCCCCUCUAAUAAUGUUGCUCUGCCAGCCCAAUACACGAGAGGGGGACUAUAUAAGAAUCAAUGAAGCUGUCACUAUCACGAACUACCCCACGAUCUGGCAUAUUGGGUACAAUCGCAGAUAAAUACGGUAUAAGCACCACGCCUACACAAUAUCUUUCAUUUACCCAUGGAUCCGAUGGAUAAACGCUAUACGAUCCUAAGCAUGUAUAUAGAUCAUAUCUAACUAAGCCAAGUACAUAACUAUGAUAAACUAAGAACAAUAUAAUCUUGAAUAUAAGCAAGUAGAGCAAAGUCAUAAGCAAUAUAUUGAAGUAGAACAAAGUCAUAUUCAUAAUAUUGAAGAACAAAGAUAAUUAGAAAGCAAUUAGAAGCACAAUUAGAGAAUUACCAAGAAUCCUCUUGACAGAUCCGGAAACCAAUCGAAGAUUGACUCCUUCUAGUUCUAAUCCUAUGUAGCUAUGCUAAUCUAGAUAUCUAAUUGAUGUGGUGGCUCUAAUCUUGAUCAGAGGCUUCUUCUCCCUUGAUGGAACAAUGAAUUAGGGUUGAGAGGCUCCCUCCUCCAGGGGCCAGGGGGUCUGGUUUUAUAGUCCCUUCAAGUGAAUAUGGGCCCUUGGAUCAAACCGACAUAGAUUGUAUGGUUUAGAUUCAUCCUUUAGGUCGGUGGAGACUUCCCGCAAAGCAGAGUCCUGAUUGGACUUGGGGGCAGGGCGGGCGCCCAGUUGGACAGGGCGGGCGCCCUAUCUCUGGCCCCGAUUCGCCUCCGCUUCGGUCUCGUGGCUUCUGGAGUCUUCUAGAUGUAAGAUAAUUGCGCAGCACGUUAAUAUCUUUACGUAAUCCUGACAUGUGGGCCUUUCUUCCAUAUUUCCUGAUAACUCCCUGCAAAAAUAGACAAACACCAAAACUCGUGGAAUUCUGUCAGAUAAAACCCUAAGUCUAGAUCUUUAUUUCAUUUGGAUCCUUUUCUUUAUUUAUUUGAUAAUUAAAUUUGAUACUUAAGGACCGUCAACAGUCCUCUCGGUCGAAAGUGAUAGGAGUGCUUGACCAGCUAAGGUACUGGGGCACCGCCAUUCUUGCCGCAAAGACCUCACGACGCUCCCUUUUGCGCUGCCUCGUGGUUAAUUGAGUCGAGGGUCCGCCAUAGAUCAUGUAGCAGUCGUGGACGGUGGGGAAGCCGUCGUCAUCUUUGUUGUCCUCCUUGCUGCCACCCUUCUCUUUCUUGGAGUCGUCACGCGCAUCUUUUUUGAACCCCAGACCGUCGAAAUGCUUUCUUAGCAUACGACAGUCCUUGAGCUUGUGGUUGGCACCUCCCUUAUGGUAAGGGCACGGUUCCUCCAACAUCUUGUCGAAGAUGCCUCCGUCCGGAGGGCCUCGAGGUUUCUUUCGUUCCAUGGCGGCGACAAGGUUGUCAUCGGAAUCCUCCUGGUGGAACUGCCGUGCUUUCUACUUCUUUUUAUUUUUCUUGAGUCCUCGACUGCGGGUCCCAUCUUCAUCGAUGGGCUGCUUGCCUUUUCUUCCUUCAGAGCUGAAGAAGGCGCCGACUGCCUCCUCCCCUGCCGCGUAGUUGGCUACUACGUCCAUCAGCUCGUCGACGGUCUGAGGUCGAUUGCGACCUAAUUCCCAUACCUAGUCUCGACUGGUGGUGCCCGAGACGAACGCCAAGAUGACGUCAUGGUCAGGGAUGUGCGGCAGCUCAGUGCGCUGCUUCGAGAAGCGUCGAGCAUACUCCCGAAGAGUUUCUCCUGACUUCUGCUUGCAUUUGCUGAGGUCCCACGAGUUCCCUGGCCGUAUGUAGGUCCCUUUGAAGUUACCCUCGAAGACUCUGACCAGAUCAACCCAGUUGUGGAUCUGAUCAGCGGGGAGUUCCUCGAGCCAUCGACGGGCAGUGUCGGAGAGGAAGAGCGGGAGUUGCCUGAUGAUAGCUCGAUCGUCUCCUCGAGCUCCCCCCAACUAACAGGCUAGCCUAAAAUCGGCUAACCACAAUUCUGGUUUGGUUUCGCCGUUGUACUUUGCGAUGCUGGUCGGGGGUCGAAACGGACUGGGUAGGGGCGUGCUGCGAAUCGCCCUGCUGAAAACCCGUGGGCCCGGUGGCUCGGGGGCCACCCGAUCUUCAUCGCUGUCGUACCUGCCCACCGCGAUGUGUGCUGUAACCGCGCUCUUCCGCGUCCCCGUAUCGGCGGCGUCGGUUCUCCUCGAUGUCAUGCCGUGCGUUGUGUCGACGCUGAUUGUCAACGGGGAGAAUGAGGGUGGUCUUUCUGCCUCGAGGAGGAGGUUGUUGAUGGACUGACACCUCCUUUUCGUUUUGAGGCUGUUCGUCGCGCUUCUCAGUGGCAGCUCCUCGUCGUCGAGAUGCCGAGCUUUCGGCUUGUUGAACUGCGCCACCUGGAGCAAUGUUUGUACCUCAUCUCGAAUGCGUCGGGCCUGGGAAUUCGACGGUUCUGGCAUGUUACGCAGCAACAUCGUUGCCGCCACUACAUUCUGGCCUGCUCGAGGGAAAUGGCUGACAGGCUGCUCUGGCUCUGUGUCGCCGACGAUCUGACGAUGUACCUCUCGAGCGCGUCUGCGGACACUUCCGCCCGGCGGGUAGGGCAGGUCUUGCUCGAGGAUUUGCUCGAGCAGGACGAGGCGCUCACGGUCUUCGUCGAGCUUCAUCUUGAGCUCUCGCAGCUGCGCGAGCUGCGCGGUUCUCUCUUCCUGCGGAGGGGGGUCGACUUGUCCGUCGUUCCCAGGCGUCCUGGGGUCUUCUUUUGCCGCAGGAGCUCGACCGCCCGCAGCGGCAUCCUGUGUCUCAUCGGUAGUUUCUACCGCUCCGUCGAUGUGAUAGCAUUCCCUCGUAGGGUCGUGGCUAUCAGUCUCGGAGUCGGAGUCUGGUUUGGCGGCGUUGAAACACCCACGCCCCUCCUCCAGCAAUCGCUGCCUGAGGGAGGUGAUCGUGUAACGUCCAGGGCCUAGGCGACGGAGGCUUCGUACCCGGGAAAGGUCCGACAGCUCGGACGCUGGCCGCUGCGCUUCAGAGCCACGUGGGAGGACCGUUGGUCUUUCCACGUACGUCCGGGCGUUUGGGCAUAUCGCUUUGGCGAGCGACGCCGCGGCGUUGUCCAAUCCGAAUGGCAGUGCCGCUCUUGGAGUGAACAACCCGUGUGGAAGUAGCCUAGCAGCGGUGGGGGAGAGCGCACGAGACGCGUCCCCUCCCGUCGUUGUGCGGUGCUGAGUCGUCGCGCUUGUUGCUCCGCCACACGGUGCUGCCGACUUGUGGCCCACUUCCUGCCUCGCACGAGUUGUUGGUCGUGCCGAGGCAGAGGGGCCACUGUGGUGCUGUCCGCGCCUCUUCUUAGGCGGGGAGGCGUGGUGGUGAGGGUGUCUCGGGGCCUUCAACCGUGCUGGCGCAACGCGGGCUCCUCCUGGUCCUCUGACUGAGAGCAAGAUCAUGUCGUAGCCGGAGCCCGUAGACAUGAACUCGAGACUCCCAAACCAAAUCACCGUGGAGCGCGGAAUCGGUGAGGCAAGAGUGGCCAUCUGGAAAGGAGUGGGAAAUCGAUGAAAAACACGCAGGACCCCUACCUUGCACGCCAACUGUCGGUGUUUUCCCCACGAGGGGUCACACCAACGAGUAAAUUUGUAUGCGUGCUCCCUUUCCCAGAUGGUGAUGCAAGAAGACACUGAGAUUUAUCCUGGUUCGGGCAAGAGAAGGCCCUACGUCCAGCGGGGGGGGGAGAGAGUUUGUAUUAUCUUGCACCUAAGUGCUUGUACAGGGGUGAAUACAAGCGCGGUAUGAAGUGUGGAGCUCUACUACGUAUAAGCGUGUUCCUGUCUUCUAUUCCGAGUCCUCCCUUUUAUAGUUCCAAGGAGAGACUCAGGGUACAUGUAUAGGUGUCAGAAUAGGAGUCGAUAGCAGCAUGGAGCGCUGACCUACUCGAGGCUUCUAUACCGGUAUGGCCUCGAGCCGUCCCGUCAUAGUAGCCUGGUGAUGAUUACGCGUGCCCUUGCAUUCUGCUCUGCGCGCCGUCCUGGAUUGGUUCGACGGAUGUACGCUCGUACGUCCUGGCGGCAAAUCCGGUGGAGUGGUUGGGAUGUAGCCAGUCGACACCCGACUCGUCCCCUGGAAGGGUCCUUGCCUGGUCGAGGGUCGGAUGUCGUACGACGUCCUGAUGUUGAAUCGCUGACCUUGGCUAUCUCGAGGGGGUCUUGAUUAGACGCACCAUCUCUGUUUCCGACGUCCUGACACGCUCUGGGCUGUUUGGUGGGGAAGGCUGCAAAAAGAUCGAUGGGACGGAUGCCUGUUCCGUUUCACGCCUCCCGUGACCCAUGUGUUAGGUGGGGAAGCACCAGGCGCAUUUAAUGCCCCGGCUCGCGUGCGCGCGUUAGGCGGCGGCGGCGUCCUUGCGCUCGACGCCUCCCGAUUCGCGUGAGCCUGUUCCGUAUUCGACGAUAACCAGAGCUCGACGCCUGAUUGAUUCGCUCGACGCUAUUUCUGUCUUCGAGGCUACGGCCGUCGAUGGUUGCGCGUAUGUAUGGACGGAGCGUCGAAUCGAAGAUCUAGUCUUAUGUACGGAUGGUCUCGUUAUAUGUAUUGGUGAGGGUACCCCUUGUUGAUACCCUCGACACUAUGACAAAUAUUUCAUGAUUUUUUGGAGUACUAUAUCUGUGUUAUGUAAAUUAUGAUUGAGAUAUGGCUUGUUUUCUUAUUAAAAUCAUAGCAAAUAAUUGGUGCUUAUGAUGGAACUCUACUUUGGUGGCAAACUUGUUUAUGGUAUUAGUAACAUGUAAAUAAUCUGAAAUUAGUUGUUUGACACCAAAUAGGCCAUGUUUCUGAAUUUAUGAAAUAAACACCUUGUCACAUGUUAAAUGCAUAUCUUUAAUUUGGCAUGUGCAAUUGCUCUGAAAUUUUUAUGGUGAUGUCACAAUGCCAUACUUGUGCUUCUGUAAUUUUUGUAGAUUUUUCUGAGCACUUUUACUAGUGUCUUGUAAUUAUGCUCCUUUCUAGAAUUAAAUUAAUAAAUGCCUGGUUAAGUAAAUGUUUGGAGGUUUUCAUAUGAUGUUCUGGUUAUCUUGUGGUGUGCUUGUGCUCAUAGGCCAUUUGGUUGGCACUAUUUAUGUUUUGGCUAUGUCACCAAACAAUUAAUUAAAGGGUUAAAGGCUGUUCUGAACAGCAAGGGAGUAAUACAACCUUUACUUGUUGAUAACUUGGUUUUCUGGGAGGCUUGUCUAAAUCGAAGUUGUUGUAAACUUUAUGAACUAGCUGUGGUUUAAAUUUGGGAUCAAUUGGUCUAGUAGUUUGAAAGUUAUGGCUAUUCCAAGUUGGGUUCCAGAAAUAGGUGCUCUCUGUUUUUCUGGGACAGAACCUGGAACUUUGUUGAAAUGACUUGGUUAACCUAUAAAUCUUGCUGUGAUGUUCAAAGAUGAUUUGUAGAUAAUGUCAUGAGCUUUCCAGAAUGUCCUCACUUAAGUUUGUUGGAUCUUUGUAGCAAUAGUUAUGGUCUGUUUACUGAGCUGUUCUGUUUUGUGUUGCUUGCUGUUUAUAAGUUGACUUGUCUAGUUCGAUUAAUUCAUGUGGUUUUCUUGUAAGUUCACUUAGAAGUUUACUCCGUAAAUGAGUGUCCAGUGAGUUUAUUUAUGUGUCAAGCAUUCAUCCCUUAUUAUGCACAUCUUCUUAUUCGUUGAGCAUGCAAUAGGUGCAUCGGACGCGACCGCUUCCUACGAGCUCCAAGUGAACCCCGAAGGCCAGGAGGGCAACCCGGAGGUGGAGGUCCAGCAAGUCGGACUCGAGGAGCCCGAAGAGGAAGUUGAGUGCCCAAAUCACGAGCCAGCUUCGUUCGUGAAUGGCAAGCUCCGGAGCAUGCUAAGUCUCCAUUUACUUUCGAAAGUUUACUUAAUAUGUUAUAUCUAUUGAUGCAUUAAGUAUAGGAGUUGUGAUGAAACUUUUGCUGCAUUUUACUCCAUCCUUGUCUAGAUAACUUACCAUACCCUGGUUAUAGAGUUAGGAUUGAGUAGCAGCUUAGCCAUGCUUUAAUCGGUAGAAGUCGGGUGAUUUCCUGUCACCUGCGCGAUAUAGGGUUAUGUCGGAUCACGAUGGACUAUAUGUGCUAUCGUGGGUGGAACCUGAUUAAAUUGACUUAAGCCGGACGGAGUUUUGCAAGGUCAUAGUAACUCCGUCUGUGGCAGCUAAGGACCGACCGUUGUACGUCCUCUUGUCAUGUUGAACGCAUGCCUAACACUUAGUUGGCCGGAUAACUCGUUCCGACCGCGAAGCCGAGUAAUAUGACUCAGGCCGGAAGGUCGAUAAGUAUAAAGUGCGCACUACCGGAGGAAGUGCGGUGUGCGGGGGAUCACUGGCGUAAGUCCAAAGGAAAGUGAGUUAAAAUUCCUGACCUCCCUGGCAGAGUGGUAGCCCUGGGAGUCGGCGCUAAUCGGAACCGCGAUUCCUGAGUCGUAUCAAAGGUGACCCGUUGGCUCUCCGACGGGGGAUGCUUGUGUCAGUGAUAGGAAUACCCCUCCAGCUAGAUAGGAAUUCGAUUCGAAUCGUCGUCUCUCCCGGUUAGUGAGAACUUGACAGAGCAGCGGCAAACGUAGCAUUCACUAAAGAACUUUGGUUCAUGAUAAUGAUGAUAGCAAGGAAGAGUACAUGAUGAACUUGAUAUGGUUAUUAUUGCUUGUAAUAAUCAAGUGAAGUGUUUUAGUACAGGUGCUAAUCUAGUGGUAGACUAAUGAUGAAUAAAUAUGAUGCUCUCACAAUAAUUUAGUAUAAUUUAAGCUUUUGGCAAAUGUCGAGUCAUCCAGCUCUAUUUAAAUUUUAGCCUUGCAUCAUCCUUGGUGUCUUUUAUGUUUUACUAGACAGGUAAGUCUAGCUGAGUACAAUCUCAUACUUAGGGUUUAUUCCCACCUGUUGCAGAUGAUAUCUUUUAUGAUGGCAUCUGCAAGACCUGUCUCCAUCCCGCUAGGGAUGAGGACUAACCAUUGGCCACGGUUCUCUAACUUCUUCGCAUCUGCUGCUUUUGGAUGGAUGGCAUGAGACCCUGGCUGAACAAGAACUUAUGAAAUGAACUUUGAAAAGUGUGUGUAAUUAUUUUGCUUCCGCUACUUCAAACAUGUGUUGUAAUAACUUAAUAACUCCGAUGUGGUGCCGCUUCGACGGUAAUGAAUGACUAUGUAACAUCUGCUGUGUUGUGCUGAAUUAUUACGAUCUUGGUUUGUUGCAAGUUGGUUUGAAGCCCUUCGUGAUUUCAAUUGACUACCGGGAUUAUAUGGGCUCAAGUUUGGAAACUUGAUUGCUUGUCGAUCGUUUCUACACUUGAACUCUUAUAAUUUGGUCGGUUCUGUGACAAAAUAUUUCCUUUCUACUUUAUAAAAUAAAAAUAAAAAAAAUUGGGAGCAAUAAUUAUUAAGGAGUCUCAACAUGAUAAAGGCUAGACAUUUAUGCUAACACUUAAUCAGUUCCACAAGCUUUGUUGUCUAUUUGAGCUCCACAGAAAUUAAGAAUCAAGAAGACUAGCAGACGGAGGACAUUCUAAUCGCUGUCAGAAUGCUGCUAGCUUUCAAAUACACCUCUGCCACCUGCUAGCUACAUCAAGAGAAAAUACAUCAAAAUUCAGCUUGGGGGAGAGCACCCCCAUUUAUCCCGAUAAGUAUUUCUACCUAUCUUUAUACUUAUAUUAUAUUAGAAUUUAAAUAUACAUAACCAUAGAAAACCAAAUAAAGAUUUUAUGCUUAUAUAUAUAUAUAUAUCUUUUGCUUAGUGUGUUUAAUAAAUAAAUAAAGUGGCUAUGCUAAUCUGUAUCUAAAUAAAACUCUAUCAUGGAUAUAAUGAAUAGUUGCUCUGCUUAAUUUUAAAAUUUGAAGUUCUCUCUCAAGUUUAGAUAUAACUGUUAUAAUUUAAAGCUUGCUCUAGACCUAAACUUAUGGGAUGAAAACUUGAUCUAAAGUCUAAAUUGUUCACGGAUACGAUAUGGGAAAGUUGAGCUGCUGUUUAUCUGUUCCUAGAGAUGCUAGAAUUCUGGAGAAUUUUAUCUUUGAAAAUCUUUAAAAUAUUGCAUGAUGAGUUCCUGUAUGAUGAGAGUUUUCCUACCACAGCCAUAUAUAUGCAUGCUUGCUAGACUUUGAGCCACACAUUUACUAUUUACUGCUUAUGAGCAUUGAGUGUGGUCAAGCUGUGUAUACCCUUAGGAGCUUGUCAUGUGGUUAAAUCAAGAUUCACUUGCACGUUCACUCAUAUAUGCUACUUCUACUCCGGAAGUACCAUCCACAUAUAUCCACUCAUUUCCAUCUUUAGAAUCACCUAAAAAUAUUCUACUCCUAAUCCGGGAGAGAAUAGCCAAAAAUAUUUCUGAUUUCCCCUGUGAAAUAAAUGCUCAAGUUAUCUUGUUACUACCACUUGCUAUAUUAUCUCAAGAGAUGAGUGCUCUAAAAAAAAGAGAGAAGAAAAGAAGAUACGAGGAAAUAAAAAGGGGAAAGUGCCCAGAACCUCGAAAGUAAAGAAAAAGUGAGACGAGAGGUAAAAAUGGACAAGUGUCCGAAAGUAGAAUUAAGGGUACAAGAUACCCACCUGAAAAAAAAAGAAGAGCAUCUCAUUCUCCCCAUAAAGUUCAAAAAGCAAGGAAGGUAUGUAUCCUCUCAAAAGAGCAAAAGUAGAAUUAGACUUUCACCAUUGUUAUCACCAUCAUCACCAUACACCAUUCAUUCGCCACACAUGCACAUAUUGAUUAAACUUAUUGACUUGUUUCUCUGGAUCCAUGGUUUCACUAUACAAUAAAUGUCUUGUAAGUCUGUAUAUUUUAUCUCCCACCUAUGAGCUCCAGAUAUUAAAGCCUUAUUAGAGUAGGGUGAGAGAGAAGGCAAUGUCACUAUACCUUAUUCCACAAAUACCACAUAUUUUGAGAGAAGCCAUAUACCAUCACUGCCUUGGUAAGGAUCCAGAAAUACCACAAAGAGAGAUAUAAGAUAGUCAUACAAAGGAAUCUCUGAGUUUUAUUUGAAAAUCUGCAAAAACUUCAGAGCUAUAGCUGAUCAAGAAUAAGAGACAUGGCACUUGACUAGACUGUUCUAUCUUUUAACCACACGAGACAGAAGUGACGGUUACAAGUCCCAUGGUGAAAGGUAAAGUAAGUAAGUUUUAUGUCUUGACAGUUUACUCUAACUCAGAGAUGAGACCUCAUUUAAAAGCAUGCGUACCGUCAAUUUUUAAAGUAUUGCAGCAACUUCUAAUCUAUCCUUGCUCAGGGACGAGCAAGAGGUAAGCUUGGGGGAGUUUGUUGACGGUCCUUAAGUAUCAAAUUUAAUUAUCAAAUAAACAAAGAAAAGGAUCCAAAUGAAAUCAACAUCUAGACUUAGGGUUUUAUCUAACAGAAUUCCAUGAGUUUUGGUGUUUGUCUAUUUCUGCAGGGGGUUAUCAGGAAAUACGGAAGAAAGGCCCACACGUCGGGAUUACAUAGAGAUAUUAACGUGCCGCGCAAUUAUCUUACAUCUAGAAGACUCCAGAAGCCACGGGAAGGAAGCGGAGGCCGAACGGGGCCAGGGACUGGGUGCCCGCCCUGUUGCCCUGGGCACCCGCCCUCCUGCCGAGCCCAAUCAGGACUCUAUUUCGGGGACGAUCUCCACCGACCUAAAGGAUCAAGGAUAACCGUUCAAUCAAUGUCAGUUUGAUCCAAUGGCCCAUAUUCAUUUGAAGGGACUAUAAAACCAGACCCCCUGGCCCCUGGAGGAGAAAGCCUCUCAACCCUAAUUCAUUAUUCCUCAAGGGAGAAGAAGCCUCUGAUCAAGAUUAGAGCCACCACAUCAAUUAGACAUCUAGAUUAGCAUAGCUACAUAGGAUUAAUACUAGAAGGAGUCAAUCUUCGAUUGGUUUCCGGAUCUGUCAAGAGGAUUCUUGGUAAUUCUCUAAUUGUUCUUCUAACUGUUCUUCUAAUUAUCUUUGUUCUUCAAUAUUAUGAAUAUGACUUUGUUCUACUUCAAUAUAUUGCUUAUGACUUUGCUCUACUUGCUUAUAUUCAAGAUUAUAUUGUUCUUAGUUUAUCAUAGUUAUAUACUUGGCUUAGUUAGAUUGGAUCUAUAUACACGUUUAGGAUCGUAUAACGUUUAUCCAUUGGAUCCAUGGGUAAAUGAGAGAUAUUGUGUAGGCGUGGUGCUUUUUACAGUAUUUAUCUGCGAUUGUACCCAAUAUGCCAGAUUGUGGGGUAGUUCGUGAUAGUGAUAGCUUCAUUGAUUCUUAUAUAAUCCCCCUCUCGUGUAUUGGGCUGGCAGAGCAAUAUUAUUAUAGGGGCGUGAUUGCUAUGUUUCUCAUUUACCUUGCUAAUAUCACUAUGCAUGGGCGUAGUCUUGUCUCACAAUGAUUGCUAAGUAUGCUUGCACUAAUUAUGAUAAUGCUAGACUAUAUAGUUGAGAAUAACUUAGGAAAUAUUCUUGUAGUUCAUUCUAAUACCAUGCUAAUGACUUUCUAGAGUAUCUAAUGGAGGUGCUUAUCAUAUUUAUAUGUGGCUAAGUUAUGCUGAUCAGAUUAAUAUCUUUGUCACUAUUCAUUACUUCAUAUAUCUUUUAUGUGACACUUAUCCCUGUAUGAAAGAGUUAGAUAAAUGUUCUCAAUUAUACAUGCAAUGAUAGAUACUCAAUCUCAUAUUCUAUUCUGUAAUCAAUAUUGAUGAGUGCUAAUCCCUCCCUAGUGGUAAAAAUAUAAAUAACGAUACCUGGAAUACUUCCCGGUUAAAAUGCUACAUCGGUAUUAAUGUGUGCGCUUGCAGAUCCCAUUCAUUAUUUAUUUAGAAGAGCAAUUGCAUAUUUCAAUACCGCGUCUCUUAUGUCAUGCUGGGGAUGACAACUUGGCUUAAGUGGUGUGAGGGAUAGGUUUGGCAUUUUUGGCACCGUUACUAAAAUUAGAAAACUAAGUCUACUUUUGGUAAUGAUGUUAAGAAUACCCAACACGCACCUCCCCUCCACUUUCUGUCACCGACAGCCCGGGCCCACGCGACAGCGUCUCAUCCCUCCUUCCUUUCUUCUUCCCAGCCGUCCGGGACUCUACGCGGGCAACGAAUCCCGUUUUGGAUGGGAUUAACCGCAUAGAAGAUCUUCCUGAACCCCUAUAAAGCUUCUUCUCCACGCCGCAGGUUUCCUUUAGCGCCUAGGCCGACUCAUCCGCACCAUAGCCGUCUCGGACGCAGUGUUUCGGAUCUCGCCGGAGAUUCUUCCGCCGCCGCGCAUAGCCACACCUUCCCGCUAGCCCUCUGCCCGAGAAAGCCCCCUUGGUGAGUUCGCCGCGGACUCCUAUACCUCCCGUGACUUUGGCGUGGGUUUUGGUGCACAGAACCGUGAAAACGGACGACGCCAGCGAGCUCGGCUCGCACAGCCAUGGCGCUGCCACGCCGGACCUCUUUCCGGUGGCCGGCUGGCCGGUGUUUUCCUCUAGGUGAAGCCUAAGUCGUUGGAUCGGGAAUCGGUGGCCGAGAUUAGAAGAUACCCCUUCGGGGGGUAUUUUUCUUAAAGAGUCCCUGGCUUAUUUAAGUAUUGAACCCGCGGUCCAUGGCGCCUUGAUGAGAAUACGCGUUUCGGGUCUAAAAGCGUAUUCGCCGUCGGUUUUGUUGAAAUACGUUUUCACAUAAUUACAGAAUUGCCACUGAUUUAUAAUGCUCAUAAAAUACUCGUUUUAACUCCGUUUUUGUCCAUUCAAAUUUCGUUAGAUUCGUAUUCACGAGCUCUACAUGUUAGAAGUAUUAGUUUACUGUUUUGAAACUUUUUAAUUCUGCCGUGGCAUUUAAUUAAUUAUUUUUCUAUAGGAAAUCUUAGAAAAUUCAUAUCUUCCACGUUUUAAUUCUGAUUUUUGUCAACUUUACGUUUGUGUGAUCGUAGCGCUGCGUAGAAUAUUUUCAUAAACUUUUAUCUUUGAUUUCUCACUCUUGGUGUAAUGUUCUAAUUAUAGCUUGUUUGCUUUGUGAAUGAUUGCCUACAUUGGAUUGCGUGUUGUUGAUUGAUGUUUGGGAAUAGACGGUGAGCCGUACGUUGGUGAUCAAGAUCAAUCUUUUGAAGACCAGCAGCAGACUCAGGAGAGCUUUGAUCAAGGCAAGUAUAACUGGGGAUCAUUCUUGUUACCUAUACACCAUUAAUACAAUAUUAAUCAUUUGCAUGUGUUCACCUUGAUGACCUUAGCAAAAUCAUAGAUGAUUGUUAUCCUGAAUUCCUUGUUACCUAUUUGGAUAUGCAUUUGGGUAGUUCUUGCUAGUGCUUGAUUAUUAAUCCAUGAUCUUGUAACAUGAAUAUUUGAAUAUACAAUAAACAAUAAAAUAAGCUUUCUAGCAACUUGAAUAUAAAAGGUGGAAAGAACUCUAGCUUUUGCUAGAUUGAUCUUGACCCUCCAUAAGAACUUAUCCCUUGGCAAAAGCUGGGACAACUCGUACAACCAUGAGGGCUACAUGGCUCUGGUUUUAGCUCAGUAUGAGGAUCUCUUUCUAGCUUGUUAGCGGUUACCUUAAAUGGCGUAAGAAUGGCUAGACACGUUGCGUAUAGUGUGGCCUCUGUCCAUGUGUAUAGGCUGCGGGUUACGUGCUAUGGAAGGGGGGAUCUAUAUCUGCCAGCCAAGUGAGUCUAAUGGCCCUAAUUUGUUAGACAAAACCUUUGAAAGGCUUCAUAGUGAACCCUGCCGACCUCCCUAGGAUGGGAGUUAAGAGACUUGCAACCUCGGGCGAAAGGGUAAAUCAUGACUUAUGGGUAAAGAUGUACAACCUCUACAGAGUGUUCAAUCUAGUAUACUAGCCGUUGUUGACGGUCCUUAAGUAUAAUAUUUAAUUAUCAAAUAAACAAACAAAAGGAUCCAAAUGAAAUCAACAUCCAGACAUAGGGUUUUAUCUGACAGAAUUCCAUGAGUUUUGGUGUUUGUCUAUUUCUGUAGGGGGUUAUCAGGAAAUACGGAAGAAAGGCCCACACGUCGGGAUUACAUAGAGAUAUCAACGUGCCACGCAAUUAUCUUACAUCUAGAAGACUCCAAAAGCCACAGGAAGGAAGCGGAGGCCGAACGGGGCCAGGGACUGGGCGCCCGCCCAGUUGCCCUGGGCGCCCGCCCUCCUGCUGAGCUCAAUCGGGACUCUUUGCGCACACGACGCUCCACCGACCUUAAGGAUCAAGGAUAACCGUUCAAUCAAUGUUGGUUUGAUCCAACGGCCCGUAUUCACUUGAAGGGACUAUAAAACAAGACCCCCUGGCCCCUGGAGGAGAGAGACUCUCAACCCUAAUUCAUUAUUCUUCAAGGGAGAAGAAGCCUCUGAUCAAGAUUAGAGCCACCACAUCAAUUAGACAUCUAGAUUAGCAUAGCUACAUAGGAUUAGAACUAGAAGGAGUCAAUCUUCGAUUAGUUUCCGCAUCUGUCAAGAGGAUUCUUGGUAAUUCUCUAAUUGUGCUUCUAAUUGUUCUUCUAAUUAUCUUUGUUCUUCAGUAUUAUGAAUAUGACUUUGUUCUACUUCAAUAUAUUGCUUAUGACUUUGCUCUACUUGCUUAUAUUCACGAUUAUAUUGUUUUUAGUUUAUCAUAGUUAUGUACUUGGCUUAGUUAGAUUGGAUCUAUAUACAUGCUUAGGAUCGUAUAGCGUUUAUCCAUCGGAUCCAUGGGUAAAUGAUAGAUAUUGUGUAGGCGUGGUGCUUAUACCGUAUUUAUCUGCGAUUGUACCCAAUAUGCCAGAUCGUGGGGUAGUUCGUGAUAGUGACAGCUUCAUUGAUUCUUAUAUAGUCCCCCUCUCGUGUAUUGGGCUGGCAGAGCAACAUUAUUACAACAGAGUGAUUGUUAUGUUUCUCAUUUACCUUGCUAAUAUCACUAUGCAUGGGCGUAGUCUUGUCUCGCAAUGAUUGCUAAGUAUGCUUGCACUAAUUAUGAUAAUGCUAGACUAUAUAGUUGAGAAUAACUUAGGAAAUAUUCUUGUAGUUCGUUCUAAUACCAUGCUAAUGACUUUCUAGACUGUCUAAUUGAGGUGCUUAUCAUAUUUAUUAUGUGGCUAGUUAUGAUCAGAUCAAUUAUCCUUGUCACUAUUCAUUACUUCAUAUAUCUUUUAUGUGACACUUACCCUGUAUGAAAGAGUUAGAUAAAUGUUCUCAAUUAUACAUGCAAUGAUAGAUACUCAAUCUCAUAUUCUAUUCUGUAAUCAAUAGUUAUGAUUGCUAAUCCCUUCCUAGUGGUAAAAAUAUAAAUAACGAUACCUGGAGUACUUCCCGGUUAAAAUGCUAUAUCGGUAUUAAUCUGUGCGCUUGCAGAUCCCAUUCAUUAUUUAUUUAGAAGAGCAAUUGCAUAUUUCAAUACUGCAUCUCUAAUGUCAUCCUGGGGAUGAUAACUUGGCUUAAGUGGUAUGAGGGAUAGGUUUGGCAUUUUUGGCACCAUUACUAGAAUUAGAAAACUGUCUACUUUUGGUAAUGAUGUUAAGAAUACCCAACAGUCGUGCCCACGGAUACGGGUGGCCCGAAAAACUGAUGAAAUAGAUGGACACUGAUGAACAUGAUUAAUGAUGAUAAAUGAUGGUUUAUUAUGUUGUUUAUAUGUGUUAUUCUUAAUUCUUGUAUACAUUGAUCAUGUGGUUAUGGGAUUUAAUUAUGCUACCAUGACAAUUGCUAUCUAAAUAUAAAUAUGCUAUCUACAUAUAAAAGCUAAAUGCAGUCAAACCAGUGUCAGCUAUUUGAGUCUCAUGAACCCCUGGUUAUACUUGUUGAGUACGAUAUGUGCUCACUCUUGCAAUUUCCCCCACACUUCAGGAGAUGUUUUGGGCUUGUGAUCAUUGAGUCAGUUUGAUCCUGUGGAGAGGAGUUAAUACCCAAAGUUUGGAGUUGUCUAUCCGCUAUUUGCUAUCAAAGGUUUUCUCUUUUAUACUAAGUAUGUUAUAUAUUUAUGCAUUGUCUUUUGAUAUUACCCCUUAUUUGUAGCUAUAUGUGAGAUUUGACUUCUAAGACUCACAUAUGUUGCAUAUCUUUUUUUAUCCUUAAAAUCGGGUAUUACAGAGUGGUAUCAAAGCAAUGCUGGUUGUAGAACGCAAGCCUAGUUAGAAACUAAUCGUCUUAAGGUUUUGGAAUUGUCAUAAAAUCAUUGCUCUAUAAACCUUGGUAUUUUCAUCCAUACUAUAUCUGUAUCCUUGCUAUUUGUCUCUACCUUGUUGCUUAUUUUAAAAGUACUUGUUCUCACCUUCACUCCUUGAUUUGGUGUGCUAUUAGAACCUUUUCUUACCACCUUCUUGCGUCUUUGAAAUAUAAGUUUUAGGAUCUUCACCCUUAAUACCAAGAGAACGGUAGUAUCGUAAGUUGAGUGAAGUGUGAACCUUUAAUGCUUAAUUGGUUGUUAUUAUGUUUAUGCUUGAUUUGGAUCUUUGUAAUGAUUGCAAUGAUCUUGUGGAUUUCCUCACAAUUUCAUUAGUUCAUAGGCCUAAGGCAUAAGGAUUAGUGAAAUAAGUAGUUGGGUUUGGCUAUCUCUUGUUUCUAUCCUUUGCUGAUUUCUGGAGCAGUCUGCAAUAAUUCUGAUGUAUCUCAAGUUCUGAUUGUGCAAAGUUUAUCAAAGUUUUCUAGAAACAACUAGACUUCAAGAUCUUUCUCUGACCACAAGAGUCACCCUCAUAGCUAUUAUGGUUUGGAAGUUACAAAAAUCACAAGAUGAUACAGACGUGCUGUCAGGAAUCUGGACCAGUUUUGGUUGCCUACUGUUUUAGACAAAUAUAGCUAUAGAAUUUGGAAAAGUGUUCUAUAAAAAGGUUGUAGACAAUUUGCUAGCUUUCCAACAGUAUAAGCUGGAAUUUAUUUGGACAAGUAGAACCUGAGAUAUGACAUUUACACUUGGAUGUUUCUGUUAUGUUUCAAAAUCUGGACAGAUCUGGUAUUUCCUAUUUUCAGACAACUUAAUUUCAGAAUAUGGGAAAAAGUUGUAUACGAAAGUUGUAGAGGAUUUCAUAAGCUUUUAAAAAAUAUAAGGAUCAUCUCUAGAUGAGUUAAGGAGCUCGAGAUAUAACUUCUGGAAGUUACUUCACCUUUGCUCAGACAUUGCCAGGAUGGAUAUUAAGUUUGGUUGUUUUACCUAAGCUUAAAGACAGAAUCUAAGGAAGUCUUCUACAUGAAAGUUGCAGGGAAUUUCAUAAGUUUUCUAACGGUAUAAGAUACAACUCUAUUGGAUUAAUAGAAUAAGAGUUAUACUUGUUUUACUACGCUGGUGUUUUCAUAUCAUGAGAAGAUUUCAGGAUACCUGUUUGUUCUCUUGCACCUAAGUUCUUUGGGAUGUCAGGAGUUCUCAAUGUUAGUUAACUUGUCUGGAAAGCAUGCAAGCUACUUUCUUGUUCCCUAGUUGACUUUUCAUAAGGGGGUAGCCUAGUUAAAGAAGUUACACGGAGAAUGAUUGGUUAAUGUUGGAUCAUAUGUUAGGAUCACAAAUGUUAGGUGAAUUUGGUUUUGAUUCAAGAUAUCAUCCCAUAUAGAGAAUAUUAAUGGAGAGUUAUGUUAUGAGGAUCAGAUGACACCAAAUUCUACAAAGCUAUAUGUACAAAGUGAGAGUGAAGCAACUUAACCGUGGUAAAGGUACCGAUAAUUAGAACUUAGUGAUGAAACUAACCUUGGAUCAAGAGACUCGGUACAACAAAUGUAAAAGACUAUGAUGUGUAGCAUACAAAAAGGAUAGGAGCACCAGUCCCUGUCCCCCAAUCAAUCUUGUCUUAAGGGGGGUUAGUACCCUGAUAUCACUGGGUGAUGCAUUUUUAAAACUAUCAUGAAGUGAUAACUGUCUUCAGAGAUAUCUCAUAGUCAUGUGCACACAAAGGAGUGAUCUAUGCUACUCGGUGGAAAAUUUUCUUAACCGCACCAUCAGGGAAAAGAAUCGAGUAUCAAGGUGGUCCACUCCUACCCGAGGAGGCAUAUCCAUGCUAAGUUAUCAUGUCUUCAAGUUGUAUAUGUCAAAAAGUUGGUAGUCAAGUUGGACCUUGAACAAUUACGAAUAAUAGACAUUUUAUGGAAGUUUUAUUCACAAGUUGUUAUCCUGAGACAUGAGUGUUUGCUUUUGGAAUACAUUUGGUGAAGUUGAAAUAGUUAUCAAGAUCUUUUUCGUGUCUCUCUUUUGGAAUCCGUGCCUCUUCCGAAUCUUGAGGACGAGAUUCAUUUUAAGGGCGGUAGAUUUGUAACACCCUAAAAAUUGUUUUCUGGGAAAUAGAGCUAAAAUGAUUUAAUUAUGAAUUUUUAGUGCUUAUGAAAAUAUAGGAAAAAUAAUAUUUUUCACUAAAUUAAAACUUAUCAUAGGAUGUAGAAACAUUUGUGUAUAUUCAUGCUGGUGCAUAUGAUUUUGAUAUGAGUGGUUUUACUAAGGUUCAAAAAUAAUUCAAAGUGAUUUUUAAAAUAGUUUUGAAUAUGGCUUUGGAAUAGAAGAAAGGAAAAUAGAAAAAAAAACAAAACAAAACCCCUCCCCCUUUCCUGGCCCGAUGGCCCAAACUUCCCCUCCCCUCUCUCUCUCGGGCUGCAAGCAGGCCGAGCUCAGCUCCCCUUUCCCCCUUCUCCUCUGGGUCGAGCCCGUUUCCCCUCUCUCGCGGCCUGCCCAACCCGCGUGGCUUUCUCCUCCCAGCGACUCGGCCGCCAACGCACCUACCCUCCACUUUCUGUCACCGACAGCCCGGGCCCACGCGGCAGCGUCCCAUCCCUCCUUCCUUUCUUCUUCCCAGCCGACCGGGACUCUAGGCGGGCAACGAAUCCUGAUUUGGAUGGGAUUAACCGCAUAGAAGAUCUUCCCGAACCCCUAUAAAGCUUCUUCUCCACCCCGCAGGUUUCCUUUAGCGCCUAAGCCGACUCAUCCGCACCCUAGCUGUCUCGGACGCAGUGUUUUGGAUCUCACCGGAGAUUCUUCUGCCACCGCGCAUAGCCACACCUUCCCGCUAGCCCUCUGCCCGAGAAAGCCCCCUUGGUGAGUUCGCCACGCACUCCUCUACCUCCCCGUGACUUUGGCGUGGGUUUUGGUGCACAAAACCGUGAAAACAGACGACGCCGGCGAGCUCGGCUCGCACAGCCAUGGCGCCGCCGCGCCGGACCUCUUUCCGGUGGUCGGCUGGCCGGUGUUUUCCUCCAGGUGAAUCCUAAGCCGUUGGAUCGGGAAUCGGUGGCCGAGAUUAGAAGAUACCCCUUCGAGGGGUAUUUUUCUUAAAGAGUCCCUGGCUUAUUUAAGUAUUGAACCCGCGGUCCAUGGCGCCUGUUGACGGUACUUAAGUAUAAAAUUUAAUUAUCAAAUAAACAAAGAAAAGGAUCCAAAUGAAAUCAACAUCUAGACUUAGGGUUUUAUCUGACAUAAUUCCACGAGUUUUGGUGUUUGUCUAUUUCUGCAGGGGGUUAUCAGGAAAUAAGGAAGAAAGGCCCACAUGUCAGGAUUACAUAGAGAUAUCAACGUGCCGCGCAAUUUUCUACCAUCUAGAAGACUCCAGAAGCCACGAGACCGAAGCGGAGGCAAAACUAGGCCAGGCCCAGGGCGCCCGCCAUGGUAGCCUAGGCGCCCGCCCCCCUGUUGGAGCCAAUUCAGGACUCCUUCGCUCGGGAUAUUCCACCGACCUAUUGGAUCAAGAAAAACAUAGUACCACCUUGGCUAUCGACCCAAAAACGCAUAGAAGGGGAGGACUAUAUAAGCAAGGCCCCCUGGCCCCUAGAGAAGACAUGAAGAAAUUAUCAUAGAGACUGAGGGGUGCCCUCGAAGGAAAACCUCUUCUCUAAUUAAUAUUUCUUUUUAGGCUUAGCAAUCAAUGUAAGGUAGAAAUAGAUCUUCUAGUUUCUACUAGAUUGAGAGAGAUAGAGUGGAGGUGUAGAGUGGAGGAAGCCCGGCCUGUCGGUGUCUACUCUAAGCUUGUACCUGCGGGAUCAAGUUCUCCUAACCCGAAGCUUGCUCCUAGGAUUCUUCAGUAAUUCGACUUCUAAAUUCUAGUAAGUUCUUGUUUUAUUAUUCUUAUGGUUUAUGAGUUUACUUUAAUCUCUUCGCGUAUAGUUUAGAGUAAUCAUUGCUGGCGUAAACGUGGUGUUUAGGCUGGGGUACUCAUAGAUAUUCCCUGACUAGCUGGACCGUGGUAGUAGUGAGGAACGUGACAAUUCCGAGUUACCUUUGCAGAUCACAUCUCGUUAGCAGGAAGGAUAGGGUUUAUAGGUGCGGGUUGAACAUCCUUUGUGGUGUCUAGAUUCCGUUAGCCUCCCCAUUAGAACAGUAGAUCAUCCUUACCAAGGUUAGAAGGAGACUACGGUUGCAGUCUUCUCUAUUUAUCACUCACAUCGAAAGACAUUCUUUGUGCCUAAAGGGAUAGUAGCAAUAGAUUUGGUUAGUCAGAUGCACCCUUUCUCCCAGUGGUAAAAAUAUAAAUACGAUAACUCUGGAUAACCUCCCGGGUGAAAUGCUCACCGAUAUCCGUGCGCUUGCGGAUCGUUUCCUUAUUGCGUUACCAAAUAUCAACAAGCAUUUCUGGCGCCGUUGCCGGGGAGAAAGACGGUUUGCUGAGAUAACUUUGAGUCUUGCUAUUAUCUUGUAUUAUACUUUUAUACUUUUAUUCUUUUAUCUUUUUAUUUUUAUGGAUAACUCAAAAUCCAUACCUAUUAUUAAAUUCUUUGCACCUUCAGAGACCAGCCAUAGACCAUGGGAGUCAACACGUCCUGCCCCUAAUUAUGAUCUGUGUCCGGAGUUGAUUGCAAUAGGUCAAAACCAACCCUUUUCUAUAGCUGAGGUCCUAUCUUUUAAUCAAAAAGAUAAUGCACUUUUAGCUACACCUAGGGAAUCUUUUAAUCUUUCUAUAAAUUCUGGUUUAGACCUAGCCCUACAAGACCAUGUUUUUCCUAGAUAUUUUCACAUUGGUCUUAAUCAUAUAACCUUUGGUAGAGUCUUUCUUUCUUUAUCUAUUAGUAAAGGAAGGUAUGUCUUCAUUCGUAGACAUCCUUCUUGCACUAGUCUUCAUAGAAAAAUCUUAGAGAUAGAGACGGAAUCAUCUCCCAUACAAGGAGAGGAAGUUUCAGUAGCCGAUUUCCAAACAUUUCAAUCCCAUAAUUCGGCUAUCCAACCCAUCCUUGAGCUUAAUAAUUUCUACUAUGCUUUUUCUCUUGAACCUCCCGAUAAUCUUAUGAAUCUCUCUAGACAUCCCAUGCAUAAGAAGGAGGAUCGAGAAGAGCAACAUCAAUGGCUAGAGGGCAUUAAAAAUCCAUGUGCUAUCACCAUUGAAUGGAUAGAUAAAACAAACUUGAGAGACAAUCCUAGAGGAAUUUUAAGCAUUCAUGAAGAAUCAUCCUUAGAGUUUGAGAAUGAGAGAAACAACAGUGAGCAUGGAAGUUAUUUCAUAAAUACCUUACCAAGUCCUUGCUCAUAUAAAACAUCUCCCCAAUCAAUUUGUCUCUCCAUCCUUCCCACAUUUGAGAUCUCCAACCCCCUCUUCCUCUUCAUUUAUAAAAACUUUAAAAGGGUGGUUGUCGAUGCAUAUGUCUAUAAUAAAUAUUGCAGAUCUCGUUGAGUUGAUCUUCAUAUAGGUAGGUGUUGGAGGGGAAACCACUUCACCAACAUAACUUGAUGGUUUCCCAAGGACAAGCUUAGUGUCCUAAAACAAGCACUUAUCAGAUUAUAACAUGAACUUCUAAUUAUUUGCAACAUUGCCUUGUGUAUUGAGCAUAUAAAGAUAAUUGUAGAAAUAUUCCUUCGGGUAUUCUUGUCACUAACCUUUCCAGGAUUGGAGCAAGAAGAUCGGAUGAAUGACAAGCACAGGGUAUGUCCAACCAACCAUCACUCAACAUUGAAUUAAAUUCAUCCAAACUUGAAUUUUGUAAAAUUCAAGCUUGGGGGAGUACUUUACAUAAAAAACAUCUUUUGCCAUGUUGCUACGUUGAUUGUCCUUACCUUUGAGACAUGCUCAAUUUGUUAAAUACUAAUUACACUACUUCAUCUCCACUUAAGUAGAUCUCUACAAAUGCUCUCAUGCUACCUUUAUUUGCUUUAGUAUAUGUCUAGGUUUGGAAUAGUUUCAUUUAUCUCUUAAUUAAGCAUGGUGCUUAGUUUAGGAAUGAUGAUCUUACUUCCAAGGGAUUUUAAAUUAAGCAUGGUGCUUAGGUUAAAAUGCCCUUCUAAAUCAAAUUAGACAUGGUGUCUAGGUUGAUUUUUAAGCCGAUAGUAUGCUAUAGUAGAUAUGGGAUAUUUUGUUGGACUAACCCCUGCAGGAAAACUUUCAAUAUCAACCUGGGAAGUCCUGAGAUAAACUCGUAUCGGAGAUGAAGAAAGUGACACAUGAAGUUUAACAAUUUGCACAAUAAAGACGUGGCUCAUAAGAGAUGAUUCAAGGAGGGUGCCACAAACACGAUGCGCAACCGCUAAGAAAGGAAAGCUUCCACAAGGUGAUACUGUACCGUCACUCUUAAAGUAAGGUAACACCUUAAGGUACUUGACUAUCGCUUUUAUAAGCUUCUCCUUGGUUCUAGCAUUCACAUAAAUAAAGAGACAAACAUGUAUGAUUUAUAACUCCAGAUUAACCAACUCAAUUAAUUCAACAUGUUUAGUCAUUUAAUCUUUGUUCUUAGUACUACCUUCGUGAUCCCACGCUCCUAAACAUAUAAGCUAAUAUGUUGCACAUUCAAUAUUUGGAAGAUAUAAACAAAACAUAAAUAUAGAUUGAUCGUCUUUCCAUUAGGUUGAGUCAUCUGAUCUGACAAAUGUUUCAAAGACUACACUCAUGAUCUUAUUAUCCAUGAACUUUGUCUUGCUCACUAUGCUUAAAGUUAGAGAAGAACAAAUACACUUUUGGUUCUGUUGGUGUUUUCCACCAACAGAGCCCAUGCACUUGAUCUCUGCCUUGUCUCUAUGAACAGGUACACUUCAAGCAAAACAUGGAGGAGUUUUACAACUCCCAGACUCCACCAAGUGAAGGACCUGGAUCUAUGAGCACAAACACACUGAGCAGGAUAUUGCCAACACCAUACUUCGAACUACUGGGCAAAGAAGAACAUGGGUAACACCGUAUCAAGAGGUGCAGACGUCAAGGUCCACACCUAAUUAAAUGAUGCACCUAAAGGAUGAAGAUGGUGGAAAGUCUUGUCUAGAAGACUUAAAACAUUGGAUCCUUGUCGGAAGAGGUCAACAUCGUCGACUCAGGUCACCUUUCUUGAUCAAGAAGGACGACCCUGGUGUUCCAAGCAUCGAGUGCGCAAUCAAUGGAUACUCUUUUUAGAAGACACUCUACGACACCGGAUCUGACGACAACAUAAUGGCCGCAGUCACUUAUCAGCUCCUGCAUGGAACCAUGCCCCUACAACCAAUAUAUUCAGCUCCAGAUGAUUUUCAGGUCAUUGACAUGGGAGAAGACGAGUAUGAUCCACCCACCAUCCUUGGAAGACUGUUCCUCAACACUAUCAAAGCAAUCAUCUACAUUGGAACCGGAUAAGUCCACAUGUACUUCCCCUCUGAGAAGGUACGCAACUAUUUUACUGACCAUAACUAUAUAGUUGAAGACUCUAAGCAGGUCAGGACAAGAAGACGAUGCAACCGCAACCAGAGGAGGCAAAUCAUCGAGAACGGAUGGGUAGACUACGAAGGAGAAGUGAUAAGGACUGAAGACAUACAGCUUGAACAGAAGUAUCCUGAGGAGACUGUAGCACCGAGUCAGGUGUAGAGGGAGAAGAUAGUUAUACACAAAGAGAGGCGCCGCCGGAAUCACCGACUACGCCACCUAGUGAAUCCCAGGACGACUGAGAAAACAGAGAGUCCCGUUCGGAGGACAUAAAAAUACCGAACGCCUUGCCAAGAGGUAAACUUGGUAGUUACCCUUUCUUUUCAAUUAUUCAAUUAUAAUUUGCUUAGUUAAUCAGGUUCAUGCUAUCUUGAAAAGAAAAUAAAAAUGUUAAAAAAUAGUAAGCCCCAUGUGAGUAUGCUCCUAGCAUAAAACCCAUAAGUACAUUCACUGUGGUGGCAUAAAAAUAAAAUAAAUAAGUUUUCAUCUUACAAUAAAAAUAUAUAUAAAAAAAUAAAUAUAUAUAAUAAUAAUAAGUGUAUGAUCCUGCUAAAUAAAUAACAUUUAUUAAGGAAGCUCAACAUGAUGAAGGCUAGAUAUUUAUGCUAACACUUAAUUAGUUCCACAAGCUUUGUUGUCUAUUUGAGCUCCACAGAAUUUAUGAAUCAAGAAGACUAGCAGACGGAGGACAUUCUAAUCGCUAUCAGAAUGCUGCUGACUUUCAAAUACACCUCUGCCACCUGCUAGCUACAUCAAGAGAAAUUACGUCAAAAUUCAGCUUGGGGGAGAGCACCCCCAUUUAUCUCGCUAAGUAUUUCUACCUAUCUUUAUACUUAUAUUAUGUUAGAAUAUUAAAAUACAUAAACUAUGAAAAACCAAAUAAAGAUUUUGUGCUUAUAUAUAUAUCUUUUGCUUAGUAUGUUUAAUAAAUAAAUAAAGUGGCUAUGCUAAUCUGAAUCUUAAUAAUAAAACUCUAGCAUGAAUAUGAUGAAUAGUUGCUCUGCCUAAUUUGCAAUUUUGAAGUUCCCUCUCAAGUUUAGACAUAACUGUUAUAAUUUAAAGCUUGCUCUAGAUCUAAACUUGUGGGAUGAAAACUUGAUCUGAAAUCUAAGUUGUUAACGGAUAUGAUAUGGGAAGGUUGAGCUGCUGUUUAUCUGUUCCUAGAGAUGCUAGAAUUCUGGAAAAUUUUAUCUUGAAAAAUCUUUAAAAUAUUGCAUGAUGAGUUCCUGUAUGAUGAGAGUUUAAAUUCCUACCACAGCCAUAUAUACAUGCUUGCUAGACUUUGAGCCACACAUUUAGUAUUUACUGCUUAUGAGCAUUGAGUGUGGUCAAGCUGUGUAGACCCUUAGGAGCUUGUCAUGCGGUUAAAUCAAGAUUCACUUGCACGUUCACUCAUAUACGCUACUUCUACUCCGGAAGAACCAUCCACAUAUAUCCAUCCAUUUCCAUCUCCAGAAUCACCCAAAAAUAUUCUACUCCUAAUCCGGGAGAGAAUAGUCAAAAACAUUUUUCCUAUCACUGUUAUUCUCUGUGAAAUAAAUGCUCCAAAUAUUUUGGUUACUACCACUUGCUAUAUUAUCUCAAGAGAUGAGUGCUCUGAAAAAAAAAGAGAGAAGAAAAAAAAAUAUAUAAACGAGGAAAUAAAAAGGGGCAAGUGCCCGGAACCUCGAAAGAAAGAAAAAGUGAGAUGAGAGGUAAAAAUGGACAAGUGUCUGACAGUAGAAUUAGGGGUACAAGAUACCCACCUGAAAAAAAAAGAGAGAGAGCAUCUCAUUCUCCUCAUAAAGUUUCAAAAAGCAAGGAAGGUAUGUAUCCCCUCAAAAGAGCAAAAGUAGAAUUAGACUUUCACCAUUGUUAUUACCAUCAUCACCAUACACCAUUCAUUCGCCACACAUGCACAUCUUGAUUUGGCUUAUUGAUUUGUUUCUCUGGAUCCAUGGUUUGACUAUGCAAUAAAUGACUUGUAAGUAUGUAUUAGCUGUCUCCCACCUAUGAGCUCCAGAUAUCAAGCCUUAUUAGAGUAGGGUGAGAGAGAAGGCAAUGUCACUAUGCCUUAUACCACAAAUACCACAUAUCUUGAGAGAAGGCAUAUACCAUCAAUGCCUUGGUAAGGAUCCAGAAAUACCACAAAAGAGAGAUAUGAGAGAGUCAUACAAGGAAUCUCUGAGUUUUAUUUGAAAAUCUGCAAAAAAAAACCCAGAGCUAUAGCUGAUCAAGAAUAAGAGACAUGGCACUUGGCAAGACUGUUCUAUCUUUUAACCUCUCAAGACAGAAGUGACAGUUACAAGUCCCAUGGUGAAGGUAAAGUAAGUAAGUUUUAAGUCUUGACAGUUUACUCUAACUCAGAGAUGAGAUCUUAUUUAAAAAGCAUGUGUACCGUCAAUUUUUAAAGAUAUUGCAACAACUUCUAAUCCAUUGCUGAGUCUAUCCUUGCUCAGGGACGAGCAAGAGGUAAGCUUGGGGGAGUUUGUUGACGGUCCUUAAGUAUCAAAUUUAAUUAUCAAAUAAACAAAGAAAAGGAUCCAAAUGAAAUCAACAUCUAGACUUAGGGUUUUAUGUGACAGAAUUCCACGAGUUUUGGUGUUUGUCUAUUUCUGCAGGGGGUUAUCAGGAAAUAAGGAAGAAAGGCCCACAUGUCAGGAUUACAUAGAGAUAUCAACGUACCGCGCAAUUUUCUACCAUCUAGAAGACUCCAGAAGCCACGAGACCGAAGCGGAGGCAAAACUGGGCCAGGCCCAGGGCGCCCGCCCUGGUAGCCUGGGCGCCCGCCCACCUGUUGGAGCCAAUUCAGGACUCCUUCGCUCGGGAUAUUCCACCGACCUAUUGGAUCAAGAAAAACAUAGUACCACCUCGGCUAUCGACCCAAAAACGCAUAGAAGGGGAGGACUAUAUAAGCAAGGCCCCCUGGCCCCUGGAGAAGACAUGAAGAAAUUAUCAUAGAGACUGAGGGGUGCCCUCGAAGGAAAACCUCUUCUCUAAUUAAUAUUUCUUUUUAGGCUUAGCAAUCAAUGUAAGGUAGAAAUAGAUCUUCUAGUUUAUACUAGAUUGAGAGAGAUAGAGUGGAGGUGUAGAGUGGAGGAAGCCCGGCCUGUCGGUGUCUACUCCAAGCUUGUACCUGCGGGAUCAAGUUCUCUUAACCCGAAGCUUGCUCCUAGGAUUCUUCAGUAAUUCGACUUCUAAAUUCUAGUAAGUUCUUGUUUUAUUAUUCUUAUGGUUUAUGAGUUUACUUUAAUCUCUUCGCGUAGAGUUUAGAGUAAUCAUUGCUGGCGUAAACGUGGUGUUUAGGCUGGGGUACUCAUAGAUAUUCCCUGACUAGCUGGACCGUGGUAGUAGUGAGGAACGUGACAAUUCCGAGUUACCUUUGCAGAUCACAUCUCGUUAGCAGGAAGGAUAGGGUUUAUAGGUGCGGGUUGAACAUCCUUUGUGGUGUCUAGAUUCCGUUAGCCUCCCCAUUAGAACAGUAGAUCAUCCUUACCAAGGUUAGAAGGAGACUACGGUUGCAGUCUUCUCUAUUUAUCACUCACAUCGAAAGACAUUCUUUGUGCCUAAAGGGAUAGUAGCAAUAGAUUUGGUUAGUCAGAUGCACCCUUUCUCCCAGUGGUAAAAAUAUAAAUACGAUAACUCUGGAUAACCUCCCGGGUGAAAUGCUCACCGAUAUCCGUGCGCUUGCGGAUCGUUUCCUUAUUGCGUUACCAAAUAUCAACAGCGCCUUGAUGGGUAUACGCGUUUCGGGUGUAAAAGCGUAUUCUCCGUCGGUUUUGUUGAAAUACGCUUUCAGAUAAUUACAGAAUUGCCACUGAUUUUAUAAUGCUCAUAAAAUACUCGUUUUAACUCCGUUUUUGUCCAUUCAAAUUUCGUUAGAUUCGUAUUCAUGAGCUCUACAUGUUAGUAGAAUUAGUUUACUGUUUUCAAACUUUUUAAUUCUGCAGUAGCAUUUAAUUAAUUAUUUCUCUAUAGAAAAUCUUAGAAAAUUCUUAUCUUCCACGUUUUAAUUCUGAUUUUCGUGAACUUUAUGUUUGUGUGAUUGUAGCGCUGCGUAGAAUAUUUUCAUAAACUUUUUUCUUUGAUUUCUCACUGUUGGUGUAAUGUUCUAAUUAUAGCUUGUUUGCUUUGUGAAUGAUUGUCUACAUUGGAUUGCGUGUUGUUGAUUGAUGUUUGAGAAUAGACGGUGAGCCGUACGUUGGUGAUCAAGAUCAAUAUUUUGAAGACUAGCAGCGGGCUCAGGAGAGCUUUGAUCAGGGCAAGUAUAACUGGGGAUCAUCCUUGUUACCUAUACACCAUUAAUACAAUAUUAAUCAUUUGCAUGUGUUCACCGUGAUGACCUUAGCAAAAUAAUAGAUGAUUGUUAUCCUGAAUUCCUUGUUACCUAUUUGGAUAUGCAUUUGGGUAGUUCUUGCUAGUGCUUGAUUAUUAAUCCAUGAUCUUGUAACAUGAAUAUUUGAAUAUACAAUAAACAAUAAAAUAAGCUUUCUAGCAACUUGAAUAUAAAGGGUGGAAAGAACUCUAGCUUUUGCUAGAUUGAUCUUGACCCUCCAUAAGGACUUAUCCCUUGGCAAAAGCUGGAACAACUCGUACUACCAUGAGGGCUACAUGGCUCUGGUUUUAGCUCAGUAUGAGGAUCUUUUUCUAGCUUGUUAGUGGUUACCUUAAAUGGCGUAAGAAUGGCUAGACACGUUGGGUAUAGUGUGGCCUCUGUCCAUGUGUAUAGGCUGCGGGUUAUGUGCAUGGAAUGGGGGCUCUAUAUAUGCCUGCCGAGUGAAUCUAAUGGCCCUAACUUGUUAGACGAAACCUUUGAAAGGCUUCAUAGUGAAACCUGUCGACCUCCCUCGGAAGGGGGUUAAGAGACUUGCAACCUCGGGCGAAAGGGUAAAUCAUGACUCAUGGGUAAAGAUGUACAACCUCUGCAGAGUAUUAAAUCUGGUAUACUAGCCGUGCCCAUGGAUACGGGCGGCCCAGAAAACUGACGGAAUAGAUGGACACUGAUGAACAUGAUUAAUGAUGAUAAAUGAUGGUUUAUUAUGUUGUUUAUAUGUGUUAUUCUUAAUUCUUGUAUACAUUGAUCAUGUGGUUAUGGGAUUUAAUUAUGCUACCUUGACAAUUGCUAUCUAAAUAUAAAUAUGCUAUCUAUAUAUAAAAGCUAAAUGCAGUCAAACCAGUGUCGGCUAUUUGAGCCUCAUGAACCCCUGGUUAUACUUGUUGAGUACGAUAUGUGCUCACUCUUGCAAUUUCCCCCACACUUUAGGAGAUGUUUUGGGCUUGUGAUCAACCAGUCAGUUUGAUCUUGUGGAGAGGAGUUAAUACCCGAAGUUUGGAGUUGUCCAUCCACUGUUUGCUAUCAAAGGUUUUCUCUUUUAUACUAAGUACGUUAUAUAUUUAUGCAUUGUCUUUUGAUAUUACCCCUUAUUUGUAGCUACAUGUGAGAUUUGACUUCUAAGACUCACAUAUGGUGCAUAUCUGGUUUUAUCCUUAAAAUCGGGUAUUACAUCGGCUCACCCACUCACUGUGUGGCAUAGGAUAAAUAAUCCCAGCGUGCAACAUUUUCAAAACCUCUUUCUUAACCACCUCUCUCAUCACAUUAUUUAGCCUACGUUGGGGCUCUCUAGAUGGUAUAGCAUCAGGAUCCAUAGGGAUGCGAUGGGUACUAAGAGCGGGGUUAAUUCCCUUAAGAUCUUAGAGUGAAUAGCCAAAUGUUUACCUGUGUUUCUCUAAGACUAUGAUCAAGUGGGAUGUUUCUUCUUGAUAAAGUUUGUCGCUUAUGAUCACGGGAGUGUUUGGGUCAUUGUUAAGGUAAACAUAACAAAGAUGAGAAGGUAGAGGUUUUAACUCAAUGGGAGGUUUAGGAGGUUCUUCAAAGGAAUCUAGAGGUUGCAAAGGUUGCUCAUUGUUGACAUUCGUUAGUGCAAAAAGAAAUAUGAAAGAUUCCACAAGCGCACAAAACAUCAUCGUAGAAUUUUACCAGAACUAUUUCAGGUAUCGUUAUUUAUAUUUUACCAUAGGGAAGCUAGGGUUAAAAAUCUGAUAAUUCACUAUUAUACAUCUACUAACUUAGAGUAUCAUCUAAACUAAAGCAGGGGUAAAUGAUAUACUAUAAGAUAAUUCAAUUAAGUGCAUAUAAGAGAAUUCAAUAAAUAUAUAGAUAGUCAUAGUAGGAGGACAAUGAGAAAGAUCAAGGUUCCUUUGUACUUCUCUAUUACUUAGGUUCUAAGGCAAUAGAAGAUAAAAAGAUAUUGCAGUCACACAAUAACACUUUGUAGCAGCAGGUCCUUUUUGACUCUCGAAUAAGACUAGGAAGAAAGUAGUCGAGAAAAGGCUACCAAAAGCUCUACGGAACACCAACCCGAACGUGGUGGAAUACAAAGGCCUAACAGGGCUGUCAUCCCUGGGGCUACCACAACUGUCCAUGGGAUUGGGUGCAAACUCAGGUAAACUAUAGCCUAGACACCAUGUCUACACUAGUGUUUACUACUCUAGUCACCUUGCAUAACUAGAGCACUCAAUACGAGCGGGGAUCCUAUGCUAAGAUAUAACAAUUAUACUAAUCAUAAACAAAAAACCAUAAAGUAAAUAGAGAAGAUAAUAUAUUAAAUCAUAAGUCUGACAAAGAAUAAAUAUGAAGACAUACCAAACCACUAAAGAAGACUCCUCUAGAACUGGACUGUAGCUCCACUCUCCAUAACUCCUGACUAAAACUAAUCUACUACAUUAGAAUGUCUAGCUCUAAUUCUCUAGAGAAGAGAGGUCAUCCAUUCGAGGGACGUCUCUACGACUCAUAAUGAUGGUUCUCCCUAGGGGGGCAGGCUUGUAUUUAUAGCCCUCUAGGAAGCACCACAGCCCUCGGAUCAAACCGACCUUGAUAGACGGCCAAGAUUACUCCUCAAAGACGGUGGAGGCAGGAUCCGCGAGGUUGAAGCAGAUUGGUCCACGUGGUAGGGCAGCCACCCAAGCCUUAGGCGUGGGCGCCCCUAGCUGGUUGCCAAAUUGGCCCUACUUUGCAGAGUUGAUAGAUCUUUUCAUUAGCUUUCCAAAAAGUCUAAGAUCACUAAAAACGGAGUCCAGAUGAGGGAGAUAUGCCCAAUUUACUCCGUACUGCUCUAGAAGCCCAUUUGCAAUCUUGCAGAAGGCGUAACUUUGUUGUGUGGAUCUGAUUUGGGUGAAUCAAAACUCUAUUUCAUAUGUCUCGACGAGCUCUUCGUAAUGGUGUACUCCAAUUCAUCAUUUGAGAUACUUCUAUUUGGUGAUUCUGGUACUUUUCUAGUUUAUCCCUUGUAAAAUAUAGAUUCACCAAAACUCAUGGAACUUGUUAGUUUCAAACCUUAUAUCUACUAGUUGUUUGCAUAUAGGUCCAUUUUCAUGUUUAUUUGAUAGUUAAAAUUAAGAGUUAUCUAUCGUCAACAAACUCCCCCAAGCUUACCUUUUGCUCGUCUCUGAGUAAAGAUAGACUUAGUGAUGGAUUAGGAGUUGCUACAAUGUUUUCAUGCCUCACAAGUGCACAUGCGUUCAAACAAGGACUCUCCUUCGGAUUAGAGUGAACUAUUCUCUCUCAAAACUCACCCAUAUUACCUUUCACCAUGGGGCUUAUAGCCUUCUCUUAGGUCUUGAGCAGUUGAAAGACAGAAUGGUUAAGUCGAACAAUAUGUUUCUCGCUCUUUGAUCAACUAUUAUUCCAAAGUUUUUGUGAGUUUUUCAAAUAAAGCUUAAAGUUUCCUGGUAUGACCCUUUCAAGUCUCUUAUUUAUGGUAUUUCUGGAUCCUUACCAAGGCAUGAAUGAUGUAUGCCUUCUCUCUACUCUCAUUAUAUGUGGUAUUUAUGGAAUUAAGACAGUGGCAUUAUAACCUCUCUCUCACCCUACAUCUAAUAGGCUUAUGUCUAGCUCAUAGGUGGGGAGACAGCUCAAACAUACUUGCAGACAUAUAUUGUAUAGUUAAAACGUGGAUCCAGAGAACUAGUCAUACAAUCAAGUCAUAUGUGCAUGUGGAUGAGGGGAAUGAAAUGAGUGAUAUGAAUGGGGAUGAUGAGAGGUGAUGACUGAUGGUGAAGAUCUAAUUCUACAAUUGCUCCUUGGGGAUAUAUACCUUCGUUAUCUGGAACUCUAGAAACUUUGGGGAGUACUUGGGCUGCUCAUUCAUUUUUUUUCUUUCUUGGGACAUUUGUCCUCUUCUCUCUCUUUUUUUUAAGAACAGGCAAGCCUCUUGAUAGAACUGUAUUUGUAGGGAGUAUGAACUAAAAUAACUGGAGCUUUAUUGGAUAAGUAGAAAAAGAAAUGAUGGCAAUGAAUAUUUUUUUGGGUGUCCUCUCCUAGUGUAGGAAUAGAACAUUUUCUGAGUGGAUAAGGAAUAUGGAUAUGUGGAUGGAUGAAUCCGUACACCUAGGGUAGGAGCAGCAUAGGUGUGUGUUUCUAGGGUAGAAACAGCACAAGAUGCAUGGAGCGUGUAUAUAUGUGGGUGGUACUUCUAGGAACAGAAGUAGCACAAGGAGAAUGUGUUGUGGAUGUAAGUGGUUGCAUACUUUUGAGGACAAAAGUAGCUAAGACCAAUGGAUGGAGGGCACAUAGUAUUGACUUUAACUGCAUGACUAGUUCCUUAGGGUCAACAUAGCUUAACUACCCUCAAUGCCUACAAGCAGUAUAUGGAAGUGGAUGGCUUUCCCAAUCUAGUAAGCAUGUAUUUUUGGCUGUGUUAGGAAUUUGAACUCUCGUCCAACAUGAAUCAUGCAGCAAUUUAAAAUUUUCAAAGAUAAAUUCUCUAGAACUCUAGUAUCUCUAGAAACAAGAUGGACAGUAGCUCAAAACCUUCCCAUAUCAUAUUCAUCAACUACUAAGACUUAGAUCAAGCAUUCACUACCCACAAGUUUUAGGAUCACAGCAAAUCUCAAAUCAAAACAGUUGUGUACAAAACUCAGGAGAGUUCGAGGUUAACAACUAGGUACUUGAAAGGAAUUACAGUAGAACAACUAUUAUCAUUUUCAUAUAAGAGUUUAUUCUAUGGAUUUCAUUUUAGCAGGAAAACUCUUCACAUACUCUCCUAUAAUUUAUUUAGCAAACUUAAUAUCAAACAUAAAGAUAGAUAUAGAUAUAAAUAAAUAGGGAAAUCAUUAUUUGGGGUUUCUAUGGUUAUGCAUCUUUUUAUUUGUGUCAAGAUAACAUAGCUUACUUAAUAAAUAAAUAAAUAAGCUAGUGAUACUUAGCUAGAUAUAAGGGGGGUGCUCUCCCCCAAGCUGGAUGUUGACGUAGUCUGUUGGUGUUGCUGACUAGCAGUGAAGAUGUACUAGUCCUCCUAGAGUGUUAGGGAUGAUGGCUGUUGGGACAACACUUGAUUGGUGAAGACUACACUCCGACAAGGGAUAGGACGUCCUUCUGUCUAUUAGCUCUUCUUGAUCCUUUAAAUUCUAUGAAGCUCAAAUAGACAACAAAGCUUGUGCAACUGAUUAAGUGCUAGUGGUAAAACCCCUAAGCCUUGGUUGUAUAGAACCUUCCUAAUAUAUUUAUCUUUUAGCAGGAUCAUAUAUUUUUAUACUUUUUAUAUUUAUGGUAUGCAGAUAGGAAAAUAAAUAUGCUAAAAUUUAUUUUUUGUGCCACCACAGUAGAUGAGUGUGUCGCGUGUUGCAUCACACAUCAAAUACAUGGGGCUUAGAAUUUUCUAGAUGCAAUACAUGACAUAUUUUUAUUUUCUUUUUCUAAUGCAGAAAUGGUAAAAUAGAUGUGCAACUAAUUAUGCAUUUAAGGGAAAGUAAAUAUGCUGAAGAAAAAUUAUGAAGUGCUAAAAAGGGAAAUGUUGAUAACUACCAAGUUACCUCUUGGCACGACGUUUGGUGUUUUAGGUCCUCCAAACAGGAUCUCUUACCAUAUUAAUUCCUUAGGUGCUUUAUCUAGUCCCAAAAGUAGAGACCAUGAUAGUUGCACCCCUUGAGAUGGUGUCACCUAUGUUUUUUGCUUUUCCAGCAAGUUGGAGUCAAGUACUAGUUCUGGGAGCUAGCAAUAUCUUAGCUCAGUGUGCAUGUUCAUAGGUCUAGGAUCUUCACUUGUAGGAUUCUCGGGGAGUUAACUAAAGUGUGUUCUGCUCAUAGAGAUAAGGCAGAGAUCAAGUGCAUGGGCUCUAUUGGUGGAAAAACACUAACAAAACCAAAAAGUUUGUUCAUUAUUGUCGAGGAUAUCAGUAAGGGGUAUCCCAACUGAUGUACAUAACGAGACUGCCCGUACGCAGGUCGAGGCCCCCAACUCGAUGCUCUAAUCAGUCACACGCGCUGUCGUCGACAACCGCAGCCUCGAAGACAGAAAAAGCGUCGAGCGAAAAGAUCAGGGCUCGAGCGUCCACUACCGUCGAAUACGGAAACAGGCUCGAGCGAAUCAGAAGGCGUCGAGCGCAAGGACGCCGCCCGCCGCCUGACGCGCGCACGGGAACCAGGGCAUUUAAUGCGUCUGUCGCGUUCCCACCUAACACGCCAGUCACGGGAAGCGUGAUAGGAAGCAAGCACCCGUCCCGUCAUUCUUUUUGCAGCCUUCCCCACCAAACAACCCAAAGCGUGUCAGGGCGCAGGAAGCAGGGAUGGAACGUCUAAUCAGGACCCCCUCGAGACAUCCAAGGUCAGCGCUCUGGAUACCAGGGCGUUACAAGGCGUCGACUGACAACUCUGCGACCACUCCGACAUAUCCGCCUCUAUACCGUACAAGCGUGCAACCGGUGAACCAGUCCAAGACGGCGCACAGAGCAGGAUACCGGGGCACGCGUAAUCAUCAUCAAACUACCAGGACGGGACGGCUCGAGACCACGCCGGUACAGAGGCCUCGAGUAGGUCAGCGCGCCAUGCCUCUAUCGACCCCUACUCUGACACCUAUACUUGUACCCUGGGCUUCUCCUUGGAACUAUAAAAGGGGAGGCCCGGGAGCGAACAAUCUUCACGACGUAGGAUGAACAUCGAUAACUAGCUGAAGAACAGCCGGAUAACUUGCUGCAAGCAGCGAUAACUAGUGCAACCUGGCAAAUAAAACUCGAAGCCAACCACCGUCUUUAACCGGUAACCUGAAUCGAGGAUUCGCCCAACCACACUCUCAAGAAACCAACCAACACAGCCUACAAUCAAUCAAGGAAUAUCUUGAAGGGAGUAGGAGCACCAAUUGGGAGCGGAUGAAGCCGUCGCCUAUGUAAUCCCGCGAGGAAAUCACAAGAGCAAAGUAGUAGAGAUCACUCUCUGGAUUUGUUAGCACGCAGCUGAACAAAGGGGUUCUGUAUUUCAAUUAUCAAAAGUCUUUCAAUUACAAUGAGUCUUAGGGGGUAUUUAUACUAGCAACAGUCCUUCUAGAUAGGUAUGAAAAUGAAAUAGAGUUUCUGAGGGAAGGCAAUGUGAAAGGUCCCCUCGAAAUGGAUUGCCGAAGUGGCUUCGCGUGACUGUUGGCCUCCAGAGCAGUUUCCAUAAACUGACCAUAACUUUUUAUUGCGAAGUCCAAAUGAUGAACCGUUUUUUGGGUGUGAAACUAGACUCCAAGUGCUUUGCAGCAAUGUAUGCCAUGCACCACGAAACGCUGUAUAUUGGUACAGUUUUCCUUGGCAAGUUGUACCAAUAUUCUGUCACGACAGACUAUUGACCUUCUGAGCAGUCUGUACUAAUUCUGGUCUACAGAAAAUAUAGAGCAUCCAAACUGGUCGCCACUAGAUUCAUUAGAAAGUAGACUUGUCAAGAUUUCUAACAAGUGCUCAUGCACCUUCAUAGCGUUUGUGAGUAAAAAGUUAUGAAGAUUCUUUGCAAUGGUCCGUUUUUGAAUUCCACUGGUCCGUUUUUGACUUCUUCUGGAACUUGCACUGGUCCGAUCUUCAUGGUCCGAUUCUUCCUUCUCUUCUUCGAUAUACCUGAGUACAAUCAAGGUACAACACUUAGGUAGUAUAUAAUUCUCAUUAAUGUUAAAAUGAAUCUCACAAAGUAGCGCGUGGACCUCUUGUUGUAGCGUCUUUGCACGACUACGUGUAAUCGGUCCAUCGAUGACUUCAGCUGGUGUCGGUGUAGGUGAAACUUGAGUGGGUGUAGCUUGACUUGGAGCUUGUGACAUCUUGCUUGGUGGCGUGGUCAUAUCAUCCUCCCCCCCUUGAAAAGGAGUCGUCCUUGACUCUAAAGUGUCUUCACUUGUGAAUGGUGAGAGAUCAGCAACAUUGAAGGAGUUGCUCAGGCCAUAACUUGCAGGAACAUCAAUCUUGUAUGCAUUAUCAUUGAUCUUCUCAAGAACACGAAAUGGACCAUCUCCUCAUGGUAGCAAUUUUGAUUUGCGCUACUGAGGAAAGCGAUCCUUGCGCAAGUGUAGCCACACCAAGUCCCCGGGUUCAAAUAACACCUUCUUCCUAUGUUUGUUCAUACUUGCAGCCUUGCGUCCAGCCUUGAGUUCAAUUGCUUCCUUGGUCUUCUCGUGUACCUUCUUGAUGUAUGCACCACGCUUGGAGGCUUCCAUAUUGGUUCUUUCCUGCAAUGGAAGGGGCAACAAAUCUAUCGGAGCAAUAGGUUUGAUCCCAUAUACAAUUUCAAAAUGACACAUAUUAGUGUUAGAUUGUACUUCCCUAUUAUGUGCAAACUCCACAUGUCGCAAGCAUUCCUCCCAAACCUUCAGGUUCUUUUUCACCAUUGUUUGCAGCAACAUUGACAAUGUGCGAUUCACUUUCUUCAGAUUGCAACAUUGAUAAUGUAUGAAAAUGUUUCGAUGAACUCAACCCAUUUGGCAUGACGACGGUUCAGUUUUGCUUGUCCUUUCAAGUAUUUCAAAGCUUCAUGAUCACAAUGAAUAAUAAAUUCUUUUGGCCAUAAGUAGUGCUAUCAUGUUUCAAGCACACGUACCAAAGCAUAUAAUUCUUUAUUAUACACAGAAUAAUUCAGUUGAGCACCUCCUAAUUUUUUACUAAAAUAUGCUACAGGUUUUCCUUGUUGCAUAAAAACUCCUCCUAUGCCAAUUCUGCUAGCAUCCCAUUCAACUUCAAAAGUUUUAGUGAAAUCAGAAAGAACAAGUAAUGGUGCUUCAGUCAAACGUUUCUUUAAUUCUUGAAAUAUAUUUUGUUGUGAUUUUCCCCAUUUAAAGUCAACACCUUUCUUUGUCAAUUCAUUCAAAGGAGCAGCGAUGGUACUGAAAUCUCUCACAAACCUCCUAUAAAAACCAGCAAGGCCAUGAAAACUUCUUAUUUUACUUACAUUCGUUGGAGUUGGCCAAUCCUUGAUGGCUUUCACCUUGCUUUCAACCACUUCUAUGCCUUUUCCUGAAACAACAAAGCCGAGAAACACAACAUGGUUUGUGCAAAAACUGCACUUCUCAAGAUUAGCAAAUAAUUUCUCCUUUCUAAGCUCUUCCAAGACUUGCCAAAUAUGAUUCACAUGUUCCUCAAAAGACUUGUUGUAAAUUAAGAUAUCAUUGAAGUAUACAACAACAAAUUUUCCAAUGAAAGCUCUCAAGACAUGGUUCAUUAAUCUCAUGAAAGUAUUAGGAGCAUUAGUCAAACCAAAAGGCUUAACUAACCAUUCAUACAGCCCAAAUUUUGUUUUAAAUGCAGUUUUCCAUUCAUCUCCUAUUUUCAUUCUUAUCUAAUGGUAUCCACUUCUCAAAUCAGUUUUAGUGAAUAUGGUGGAACCACUCAAUUCAUCAAGCAUGUCAUCUAAACGUGGGAUAGGAUGGCGAUAGCGAACAGUGAUGUUAUUUAUAGCUCUACAAUCCACACACAUUCUCCAAGAACCAUCUUUCUUAGGUACUAAAAUUACAGGAACAGCACAAGGACUUAAACUUUCAUGAAUAAAACAUUUAUCAAGAAGUUCUUGCACUUGCCUUUAUAUCUCCUUUGUUUCUUCAGGAUUGGUUCGGUAUGGUGGACGGUUAGAUAGUGCAGCCCCUCGAAUGAGAUCAAUUUGAUGCUCAAUCCCACGAAUUCGAGGUAGUCCCGCUGGUGUUUCUUCUGGAAACACAUCUCCAUAGUCCUGCAAAAGAUGAGACACAACACUAGGAAGAGAGGUCAUGUCGUUAGCUGAAAUUAAAAUGCCUCUGUUCACAAGUACAAAGAGCACUUGUUCGGGGUUGUUCCUCACUUCUCUCAUUUCAGAUUUUGUGGCUAGCAUGACUAAAUUCUCUCCCUCUCCUUUCUUUUUCUCCCUCAAAUUUGGCUUGUGGCACUCACUCACCGAAUUGUGGAUGGCACUCAAUUUCUUUUGCUCUCCUUCCUCUCUACUCACUGCAACAAUUUCAGAUUUCUUUUGUAAAUGUUCAGCCAAGAUUUGUUGGGGUGUCAUAGGCUUGAGAACAAACUUCUUCCCCGUUAGAUUGAUAGUAAACUGAUUUGUUCUCCCACAAUGUUGGCUAUAUCGAUCAUAUUGUCAUGGCCUUCCAAGCAGCAAGUGACACAUCGACAUAGGUGCCACAUCACUCUCCACUGUGUCAACAUAUUCACCAAUCUUGAAUAGAACUUUCACUUUAUAUCCAAUCUUGAUAUCUUCUGAAUCAUUCAGCCACUGUACAUUAUAUGGAUGAGGGUGUGGUAGCAGCUUCAAGUCAAGUUUAUCACCCAUCUCACGACUAGAAAGAUUAUGGUAGCUCCCUCCAUCAAUAAUCACCUUCACCUCUUUAUCAUGCACCUUUGGUCUAGUUUGAAAUAAUUUGUGUUGCUGCCCAUUUUCAGCUUCAUUUGCCUGAACACUCAAUACUUGAGUCAUCUCCAGAGCAGCUCUUUGCUCAAACUCACAGCUAGUAAGGUCCUCAUCUCUAUGGGCUUCCUCCUCAAUUCCCUCUUCACUAGCUGAUUCAAAUUCUUCUUCAUCAUUCACAAUGAUCACGUGAGUAUUGGGGCACUCCUUACUUAUAUGCCCAAGGCCUCCACACUUGAAGCUCUGAAUUCUACUACUCCUAGAAGUAGAACCCACUGAAGUAGCGGUUGAUGCUGCUGGUUUUGAACUUGGGACAGCAGCGUUCUUUCCACUAAAAGUACCCUGAAAAUUAGAUCGAGAGCCUCCACUUGAGCUUUUCACCGUGGACGGUUCAGCAGCAAACUUAGUGAUUGAUUUGCUUCCUCUAGAGAAAUUCCUCAUAGAUGGUUCAGCAGCAAAUUUUGGCAUGGUAAAUUUCAGUUUGCCAAAUCUUUCUUCAUGGUUGCCUCUUCUAUGACAUCGACAACCAAAACUAAGUUGGAAGCGGUUGUCAUCAGCCUCAUCUUCAGAUUCAUCAUCAUUUAUUCCACUAUGUCUUCUUCCUUUACCCUGUGCAGCCCUCUGGUUCCUCUGACCUCAUAUUCUCCCAUCACUAUCUUCUCUAUCUCCACUAUGGUUGCUUGCACCAUCAUGAGCUGGACGAUGCCUUCUGAUUUCAGUCAUAAGAUUCUAAAGAUCCUGUGUCAACCUAUCUUGCUUUUCUUCCAUGCUUUGUCGGAGUUUGUUAAAUUGUGCAAUGGUAACACAAUCUUUGAUGUCCACUCGACCCAUCUUCCUGUAAGGUUAGCUGAAUACAAAUAAUUUGUAUUUGUGGAAUAUGAAAAUUUGGUGUCUCUCACAACUCACCUCUCUAACCACCAAGGCUCUUAUGAAUUCCUCUGCUGCAGAUUACUAGGAAAACAAAUGUGUGGUGGCAACUGAAAGUGAUGGUGAGGCGAAUACAAGAACAGAGAGUACUGAUUACGAUGGUUUUUAUGUGGAGCUUGGUGGGGAGUAAUACACAAGGAAUGCAAUCUGAAUUCUAGUUGUUGUAAAGUUAAGUAACGAUCCAAACUAGAAGUUCUCUGCCUAGUGCUGAUCAAAACAUUCGAAGUGUAUAAAUAGAUCACACACACGCAAAGAAAUUUCAGAAUUGAUGCAAACAAGGAGUAUGAUUGGGAUGCAAGUGUUGCAAUCAGACCCAACCAAAGUUUUGCACCAAACAAAGAUAGCAAACUGGUUGUAGAACUUGAUAUGAAACUUUCAGCACUUGUGCACAUAAACCAACUAAUCUUUCAGACUUUCUCUCUGAACCUUUCUCAACUUUUCUUUUUUUCACUUCACUUUUUUUUUGCACUUUCUUUUCUUUUCUUUUUGACACGCUUUUUUUCUUUUUAUAUAGAACUAAAAACAGGGACCAGAUUAUGACACUUGCACAACUAAAGACAACCAGUAGCUAGAUAGGAUCAAAGUUAACAGAAAGGAUGAUAUAGGCUAUAGAGAUUUUUUUGUGGGGAUUUUUAGAUAUAAAAGAGGCACAAAGAACACGCGACGGAUAAAUGAUCAGCAACUAAAACAAAGACUCUAAUGGACUGCGACUUAACAGAACUCACUAAAAUAACAGAUUGAAAGAAAGGUCUAAGCAAUAUAUAUUUCUGGCUUUUUAGUGUAUAGGACAAACCAAAAAUAUAUAUGUAGCUAGGGAUAGAAUUCCUACCGUGGUAACGAAAGCUUUGAUACCAGAUGAUGCGUCACGUUGUCCCGAUCUUCACGACGUAGGAUGAACAUCGAUAACUAGCUAAAGAACAGCUGGAUAACUUGCUGCAAGCAGCGAUAACUAGUGCAACCUGGCAAAUAAAACUCGACGCCAACCACCGUCUUUAACCGGUAACCUGAAUCGAGGAUUCGCCCAACCACACUCUCAAGGAACCAACCAACACAGCCUACAAUCAAUCAAGGAAUACCUUGAAGGGAGUAGGAGCACCAAUUGGGAGCGGAUGAAGCCACCGCCUAUGUAAUCCCGCGAGGAAAUCAAAAGAGCAAAGGAGCAGAGAUCACUCUCUGGAUUUGUUAGCACGCAGCUAAACAAAGGGGUUCUAUAUUUCAAUUAUCAAAAGUCUUUCGAUUACAAUGAGUCUUAGGGGGUAUUUAUACUAGCAACAGUCCUUCUAGAUAGGUAUGAAAACGAAAUAUAGUUUCUGAGGGAAGGCAAUGUGAAAGGUCCCCUCGAAAUGGAUUGCCGAAGUGUCUUCGCGUGACUGUUGGCCUCCAGAGCAGUUUCUAAUAAACUGACCAUAGCAUUUUAUUGGGAAGUCCAAAUGAUGAACUAUUUCUUGGGUGUGAAACUAGACUCCAAGUGCUUUCCAGCAAUGUAUGCCAUGCACCACGAAACGCUGUAGUUUGGUACAAUUUUACUUGGCAAGUUGUACCAAUAUUCUGUCACGACAGACUGUUGACCUUCUGAGGAGUCUGUACUAAUUCUGGUCUGCAGGCAAUAUGGAGCAUCCAAACUGGUCGCCACUAGAUUCAUUGGAAAGUAGACUCGUCAUGCUUUCCAACAAGUACUCAUGAACCUUCAUAGCGUUUGUGAGUAAAAAGUUAUGAAGAUUCUUUGCACUGGCCCGUUUUUGACUUCCACUGGUCCGUUUUUGACUUCUUCUGGAACUUGCACUGGUCCGAUCUUCAUGGUCCGAUUCUUCCUUCUCUUCUUCCAUAUACCUGAGUACAAUCAAGGUACAACACAAUCUUCAUGGUCUGAUUCUUCCUUCUCUUCUUCCAUAUACUUGAGUACAAUCAAGGUACAACACUUAGGUAGUAUAUAAUUCUCAUUAAUGUUAAAAUGAAUCUCACAAAGUAGCGCGUGGACCUCUUGUGGUAGUGUCUUUGCACGACUACGUGUAAUCGGUCUAUCGAUGACUUGAGCUGGUGUCGGUGUAGGUGAAACUUGAGUGGGUGUAGCUUGACUUGGAGCUUAUGACAUCUUGUUUGGUGGCGUGGUCAUAUCAACAGGGGGCAGGACAUCGCGCAACACUACCCUCAUACGCAGUAGAACUUUCACCUUACUCCAUACCACACUUUUAUUCACCCCUGUACAAGCACUUAGGUGCAGAAUAAUACAAACUCUCUCCCCCCGCUGGACGUAGGGCCUUCUCUUGCCCGAACCAGGAUAAAUCUUUGUGUGUCUUUUUGCAUCACCAUCUGGGAAAGGGAGCACGCAUACAAAUUCGCUCGUUGGUGUGACCCCCCGUGGGGAAAACGCCGAUAGUUGGCGCGCCAGGUAGGGGUCCUGCGUGUUUUUCAUCGAUUUCCCAUUCUUUUCAAGAUGGCCACUCUUUCUUCACCGAUUCCGCGCUCCACGGUGAUUUGGUUUGGGAUCCUCGAGUUCAUGUCUACUGGCUCCGGCUAUGACAUGAUCUUGCUCUCGAUCAAAGGACCGGGAGGAGCCCGCGUUGCGCCAACCCAUAUGGGGGCCCCGAGACGUCCUCACCACCACGCCUCCCCACCCAAGAACAGGCGUGGACAGCACCACCAUCGCCCUUCUGCCUCGCCACGACCAGCAGUCCGUGCCAGGCAGGAGACGGCACGAGAGCCGAUAGCCCCACGCACCACGGGCAUGACGGCUCAGUGCCGCGAGGACCGCACGACGACAGGAGGUGACGCGCCCCGCGCACUCUCCCCCACCACCAGGCUACUUCCACACAGGUUGUUUGCCUCAAGAGGAGCCUUGCCGUUCGGCCUGGACAAUGCCGCAGCGUCACUUGCCAGGGCGAUAUGCCCAAACGCCCAGACGUACGUGGAGAGACCGAUGGUCCUCCCACGUGACCCUGAAGCACGGCCGCGGGCAUCCGAGCAACCAGACUUCUCGCAGGUACGAGGCCUCCAUCGCCUGGGCCCUGGACGGUACAUGAUCACCUCCCUCAGGCAGAGGCUGCUGGAGGAAGGACGCGGAUGUUUCUACGCCGACGAGCCGGACUCCGGCUCGGAAUCCGACAGCCACGACCCUACUAGGGAGUGCUUCCAUGUCGACGGAGCGGUGGAAACCAUCGACGAGACACAAGACGCCAUUGCAGGCGGGCGAGCCCCUACAGCAAGGGAAGACCCCAGGACACCUGGAAAUGACAGUCAGGCCGACCCCCCACUGCAAGAAGACAGAGCCGCGCAAAUUGCGCAGCUACGAGAGCUCAAGGCAAAGCUUGACGAGGACCGCGAGCGCCUUGUCCUACUUGAGCAGAUCCUCGAGCAGGACCUGCCUUACCCGCCUGGCGGAAGUGUCCGCAGACGAGCUCGAGAGGUACACCGGCAUAUCGUCGGAGACGCAGAGCCAGAGCAGCCCGUCAGCCGUUUCCCUCGAGCAGGCCAGAACGUUGUGGCAGCAACAAUGCUACUGCAAAACAUGCCGGAACCGUCGAACUCCCAAGCUCGACACAUCCGCGACGAGGUGCAGACUUUGCUCCAGGUGGUGGCAGUUCAGCAAGCCGAAAGCUCGGCCUCUCGACGUCGAGGAGCUGCCACCAAAAAGCGCGACGAGCCAGCCCAAAACGAAAAGGAGGUGUCAGUCCAUCAGCAGCCACCCCUUCGAGGGAAAAAGACCACGCUCGUUCUCCCCAUCGACAAUCAGCGUCGACACGACGCGCGACGCGACAUUGAAGAGAAUCGACGCCGUCGGUACGGGGACGCGGAAGAGCGCGGUUACAGCGCCCAUCGCUUCGGGAGGUACGACAGCGAUGAGGACCGGAUGGCUCCAGAGCCACCAGGCCCACGGGUAUUCAGCAGGGCAAUCCGCAGCACGCCGCUGCCCAGCCCAUUCCGACCCCUGACCAGCAUCGCAAAGUACAACGGAGAGACCAAACCAGAGCUGUGGCUGGCAGACUUCAGGCUGGCCUGUCAGCUGGGUGGUGUUCGAGGAGACGAUCGAGCCAUCAUCAGACAGCUGCCGCUCUUCCUCUCCGACACCGCCCGCAGGUGGCUCGAGGAGCUUCCAGCCGAUCAGAUCCACGACUGGAUCGAUCUGGUUAGAGUUUUCGAGGGUAAUUUCAAAGGGACCUACAUACGGCCUAGGAACUCGUGGGACCUCAGCAAGUGCAAGUAGAAGUCAGGAGAAACUCUUCGAGAGUAUGCUCGACACUUCUCAAAGCAAAGCACCGAGCUGCUGCACAUCCCCGACCACGACGUCAUCCUGGCCUUUGUCUCUAGUACCACCAGUCGAGACUUGGUGCGAGAAUUAGGCCGGAAUCGCCCACAGACCGUCGAUGAAUUGAUGGAUGUGGUGGCCAACUACGCGGCAGGAGAAGAAGCAGUCGGCGCUUUCUUCACCUGUGAAGGAAGGAAAGGCAAGCAGCCCACCGACGAUGACGAGAGCCCAAGUCGAGGACCCAAGAAGAACAAGAAGAAGAAGAAGACCCGGCCGUUCCAACGGGAAGACCUCGACGACGAUCUCGUCGCCACCAUGGAACGCAAAAAGCCUCGAGGCCCCCAGAUGGGGGCAUCUUCGAUAAGAUGCUAGAAGAGCCGUGCCCUUACCAUAAGGGAGGAGCCAACCACAAGCUCAAGGACUGUCGUAUGCUGAGAAAGGAUUUCGAUGGUCUGGGGUUCAGGAAGGACGCGCACGAUGACCCAAAGAAAGAGAAGGGCGGCGAUGGCGAGGAGAUUCAAAAGCUUUUGACGGCCGGAUUCAUCAAGGAGGUUCACCAUCCCGACUGGUUAGCAAAUCCUAUAAUAGUUAAGAAAAAGAAUGGGAAAAUGAGGAUGUGUGUCGAUUACACGAGUUUAAAUAAAGCAUGUCCGAAAGUUCCUUUUCCAUUACCACGUAUUGACCAAACUGUUGAUUCUACUGCGGGAUGUGAAACCCUUUCUUUCCUUGAUGCAUAUUCUGGUUAUCAUCAAAUAAAAAUGAAAGAGUCCGACCAGCUCGCGACAUCUUUCAUUACACCUUUUGGGAUGUAUUGUUAUAUAACCAUGCCGUUCGGGCUUCGAAACGUGGGAGCCACAUACCAGCGAUGCAUGCUCCACGUGUUCGGCAAGCACAUAGGGUCGACGGUCGAGGCCUAUGUCGACGACAUCGUUGUCAAGUCAAAGCAACGGGGAGACCUAAUCCAGGACCUCAAGAUCGCUUUCAGCUGCUUGCGUGCCAACCAGAUCAAGCUCAGCCCCAAGAAGUGCAUUUUCGGCGUACCUCGAGGCAUGCUCCUAGGUUACAUCGUUUCCCAGUGCGGCAUCGAGGCCAACCCCGCGAAAGUCUCGGCCAUCACGAGAAUGGGGCCGAUCCGGGACGUCAAGGGCGUACAGAGAGUCACGGGAUGCCUAGCGGUGCUAAGUCGUUUUAUUUCGAGACUGGGAGAAAAGGCGUUGCCUCUGUAUCGACUUCGAAAGAAAGUUGAGCGUUUCUCUUGGACCCGCGAGGCCGAGGAAGCCCUCGAAAACCUAAAGAAAACGCUGACCUCAGCACCAGUCCUGGUCCCACCUCAACCUGCAGAACCGCUGCUCCUUUAUGUUGCCUCGACGACCCAGGUCGUCAGUGCAGCUGUGGUGGUCGAGAGGCAGGAGGAGGGGCAUGCAUUGCCCAUCCAGAGGCCGGUCUAUUUCACCAGUGAGGUGCUCUCAGAAACCAAGAUACGUUACCCCCAAAUCCAGAAGCAGAUCUACGCUGUAAUCCUCGCCCGACGCAAGCUGCAACAUUACUUCCUCGGCCACCCUAUCACGGUGGUCUCGUCCUUCCCCCUAGGCAAGAUCGUCCAAAAUCGGGAAGCCACGGGAAGAAUCGCCAAGUGGUCGGUCGAGCUCAUGAGCGAGACUCUCACUUAUGCGCCCCGUAAGGCUAUGAAGUCGCAAGCCCUGGUGGAUUUUGUCACGGAAUGGACAGACUCUCAGCUUCCCGCGGCCCAGGUUCAGUCAGAGCUGGACGAUGUACUUUGAUGGUUCCCUCAUGAAGAUAGGAGCUGGGGCUGGCCUGCUGUUCAUCUCGCCCCUAGGCGUUCAUAUGAGGUAUGUCAUCAGGAUUCACUUCGCCGUGUCCAACAACAUUGCAGAAUACGAGGCCCUUGUCAACGGUCUGAAGAUCGCCAUCGAGUUAGGAGCCCGACGCCUCGACGUUCGAGGCGACUCCUAGCUCGUCAUUGACCAAGUGAUGAAGGCCUCAAAUUGCCACGACCCGAAAAUGGAGGCGUAUUGCAGGGAAGUCCGUUGACUCGAGGACAAGUUCUAUGGUCUCGAGCUCAUCCACGUCGCCCGACGCUACAACGAGGCGGCCGACGAACUCGCCAAAAUCGCGUCGACUCGAGGCACGGUACCACCUGACGCGUUGUCAAGGGAUCUUCACAAGCCAUCCGUCGACUUGGGCUCGGGGCUGGCAUCGAAACCGCUCCUGCCCAGCAAACUGACGCCGUCGACGCGCUACUGAUGGCAGUUGAGGCAACAGAGGUGGAACAGCGUCCCGGUCGACCGUUCGACUGGCACACGCCAUUCCUCGACUACCUGAUCCGCUGUGAGUUACCAGAAGAUCGAUCUGAGGCCCGCCGUAUCGCUCGACGGGCCAAAUCGUAUGUGAUCUACGGCGAGGACAAAGAGCUGUAUAGGUGAAGCCCGACGGGGGUCUUGCAGCGUUGCAUCACCAUAGAAGAAGGCAGAAAACUCCUCGAGGACUUACACUCGGGGGCUUGUGGCCAUCACGCUGCUCCGCGGACCCUCGUAGGGAAUGCCUUCCGACAAGGCUUCUACUGGCCAACGGCCGUAGCUGAUGCCAUCGAGCUCGUACGCUCAUGCCACGGAUGCCAAUUCUACGCCAAGCAGACGCACCUGCCUGCCCACGCUCUCGAGAUGAUCCCGAUCACGUGGCCGUUCGCGGUAUGGGGGCUCGACUUAGUAGGGCCUCUACAAAAGGCGAAAGGGGGGUACACCCACUUGCUGGUGGCCAUCGAAAAGUUCUCCAAUUAGAUCGAGGCUCGACCCAUCACCAAUAUCCGUUCCGAGCAAGCCAUCCUUUUCUUCACCGACAUCAUCCACCGGUUUGGGAUUCCCAACAUCAUCAUCACUGACAACGGCACUCAGUUCACCGGCAAGAAGUUCUUGGACUUCUGCGAUCAGCAUCACAUCCGUGUGAACUGGUCUGUGGUAGCCCACCCUCGAACUAACGGCCAGGUCGAGCGUGCCAACGGCAUGAUUUUGCAGGGGCUCAAACCAAGGAUCUACAAUCGCUUGAAGAAAUUCGGCAAGAAAUGGGUCGAGGAGCUUUCCUCGGUCCUAUGGAGCCUAAGGACGACGCCGAGCAGGGCCACAAAUUACACCCCAUUCUUCAUGGUCUAUGGCUCUGAGGCUUUGCUCCCAACGGACCUCGAGUAUGGAUCCCCUCGACUCAAGGCAUACAACGAACAAACAAAUAAAGAGACCCAAGAGAACACGGUCGACCAACUCGAGGAAGCUAGAGACAUGGCCCUCCUCAACUCUGCCAGAUACCAGCAGAAACUUCGACGCUACCACGACAAGCACGUGCGCAAGAGGGACUUGUACGUGGGCGACCUCGUCUUACAACGACGGCAAAGCAAUCAAGGAUGCCACAAGCUGACUCCACCUUGGGAGGGUCCAUACGUGGUGGCCGAGGUCUUGAAGCCGGGGACAUAUAAGCUCGCGGACAAAAAAGGGGCGAUCUUCACCAACGCAUGGAACAUCGAACAACUACGUUGAUUCUACCCCUAGAAUUUCAAAGCUUUAUAUGCCCAUGUACUUUCUGUACCAAGGCCUUGUAAAUGAACGCAUGAAUAAAUAAGGUCUUCCCCUCGAGCAAUUCACUUUCUCACAAGUCCAAAUCUCGACGUUAGAAGGGAGUACCAACUAUGACCCAUCAUAGUCGAUACCCCCUCGGGGGCUAGUAAGGGGGAACCCCCCCCCCCCCCCCCCGCAAACGUCGAAAAAACCCAAAUAACUCUUUCAUUCCUAUCAAGUAAUCUCGUAUGGUCGAAUAGUAGAGGCACCUCGAGCCCUGUAAGGAUCGAGAGACGACGAGCCUGAGAACUCCUAUGCCCCCAGGCUACGGAAACUCUACUCGCUCCCUCACCCCUAAGGCAAUCGAGAUCGCCUUAAACAAAAAACCAAAUGAAGAAUACAAACAUAGACGCAAAGGGAAAUAGAGGAGCCUCGAGCGGAGAGACAGAUAAACAUUUGACAAACCACUUAAAGACAUUUCAUUACUUAAAGACAAGUUAAUAGAGUACUAUACAAGGGGCCCCAGGCACCCAAAGCAGGCUCGCAGGCCUUAGUUCACAUCACGGUCCUCACCACCCUCGCCUGCGCCUGAGCUAGUCUCAGGGGAAAGUACCUCGGGCUCAAAUAGCUUGGCCAGCCUCUCCCCAGGGACCUCCGCGUCAUCGAUCAAGGCGUGGAGCCUCUCCUCGUUUUCUGCGUCAGUCUUGGAGAUGUCGGUAACGAAGCCAUGAGACACCACCUCCAUAUCGUAGGAAAAGCCCGAGCAGACAACUACCAUUGCCCGCUUUACCCCGAUAUGGAGAGCGUCCCGCACCCGAUCCCUCAGCGUCGCGCCUAAGUAGCACAGCUGAUCGACCAGCGCGUCGCCUCGAGCUUCCUCCUUCGACUCAUCCAUGGGCUCGACCUCCCAAGAGAUCGAGAGAUCGCUUAUCACCGUCCGCAGUCGACAGUUCAAAGCAACCUCCCCCUCGAGCUGGGCCUUGGCGUUGCGAGCCUCGACUUGGGCGGCCAAGAGCUCGUCCUUAAGCCCUGUGAAUGCCAACGCAAAAAACUUUAGAUAAAACCAAGCACACCUUCAAAAGAAAAUCCGACAAUAGAAACAUACCACGGACACUCUCCUCCAGAGCUGUGUUCUCGCCAACUAAUUUGGUGUUGGCCCUCUCGAUCUCUUCUUUGGAGCGUGACAGCUCAGUGUUGGCAACACGCAGAUCCUCGAUCACCUUGCCAGCCUGAGCAAUGGCUCCAUUCUUCUCCAGCAGCUCCCCCUUCAGACAAUCGAUGUCGUUGGAGAGGCUGCGGGAUCGAGCCCGCUCCACCUCGAGGUCUUCGAGGGCCUUCUUCUUUGCUUCCUCCGCGGCGCCCCUGGCAAUCCCGCUGUUAACACACUCCACCUUCAUCCUUUGGAAGGAUUCUCGGAUGAAGUCUAAGUCGGUCUUAAGGAGACCCUUCUCCUUGUCUAGGUCAGCAAUGGCAUUCUUGUAGGACAGGGCCUCCUCCCGGGCUUUAGACGCGGCCUCCUCGACUGCCAGAGUCCGCUCCCUCAGCAGCACGGCCUCCUCCACAGCCUUCCUUGAGGCCUCUCGAGCCUCGGUCAUGGCAGCCUCCCUCUCCUUCUUCUCCUCCUCGAGCACCAAGAGCUCCUUAUAAGCCUUGAGGAGUUUCUCCUGUGACUCCAGAAGUUGGUCUUUGAGGAGGGGGAGCUGCUCCCAGCCGCCUCUCGUGGCGUGGAUGAAGCUUGACUUGAUACGGGAGGUCUCUUUCAGAUCCUGCGAGCCGGUAGUCAAGCAGUUGGCACACAAAACCAAAUGCUCUAUAAGGAUUAGGGGCUAAAAGACACUUACAAAGUAAGCUGGCGCGAGCCCGUUGUUAACCACAUCAGAUAGGAGCCCCACCGUGUGCUUCAUCCAUAGGCGGAGCUCCUCGACGUGCUCCCAUUUCUCCGCCUCCUUCUGGUCGUCCAAAAAGAUGUUGGGCUCGGACGGGUCGGUAGAAGCCCGGAUGCGGAUCCGGUCGGGACACCAGUUCUCCAUCUCCUGGUCGGCGCGCACCUUGACACCACGGAUGAGCUCCUCGACGAUUUCGAGAGACCCCCCGUGGCGUAGGAACAGGUCGACAAGAGAGGGGAACCGCCCAUCAUCGUCCACCGUUUUCCACGUCCCGGUCUUGCUCCCACCACCGCCUUCCGAUGUCCCGAUCUCGUCUUCCUUGGAGGGGAUGCGCUCCUCCCACGAUCGAUGCACCCGGAGGAACCCCGGCGCGAUCCCGUCCAUACCGUAGAUCGUCCUCCUCAUCUCAGAAUCAGGGUAGGCGGGAGUGCGCAUCAUGCAGGCGAGCGCCACUACGUCGUCCACCCGCCCUGAUUCUGCAGGGAUCGCUGCCGGCGCCCCUGGACGGAGCCACGCUGGGGUCGGAGGUCCAAAAGCAGGCAGGCCCUGCCUUUGGUUUCCAGGCUCCUGUGGCACUUCCAGCUCCGGUUGGGGCAAAUCAAGCGGCUCCACCAGCCGCUGGCCCCCCUGCUGCUGCUGCUGCUCUUGGAGCUCCAGCGGCUCCGGUGGACGUUCCUGCUCCUACAGUUGCCACCGUGCCUCUUGCUCCCGCUCCUCCUCCUCCUUCUUCCUCUGCUCCUCGAUGGAGCGAAGACCGGUAGGUCAGGGCGUCCGUCCCUUGACAAGAGAGGUCGGGGCCUCCUCGUCCAUAGGACGGGCAUCCCUCGAGGUCCCGUCACCACCAGACCCAUCACUUAUGGUAUUAGGAUCCCCCUCGACCCCCGAUCGGGGAGGCUCGGGGGCUCCCUCCUGCCCUUGGGGCCGAGGCGCCUCGGCUUGUUUUGGCGACGACAGGGCAGGCUCACCCGCCAGGGGACGGGGUGGGGCGCUCUCGGUGUCGGUCGGUGGUUGAGGGUCGGAGGAGCCUAUCAAACGCAAUACAAAGGUCAGCCAUUAUGGUGACCGACAUAAGAACAACACAAAUCCCAUGGAUAAGCUGCUAACCUGAGUCCUUAGAGGCCGCUCCCACCUUGAGCCUUUUCACCAUUGAAGGCUGGGCCUGCUCAAGUGUCCGCUUCAAUCUGAAGAAAGAGGAACGGGCAUAAAGAAGACCGUUAUACAAGGAAAUGCAAAGAAUCAGGAGAAUAAGAAUCACAGCGUCGAAGAACUUACCCCACAGAGAGAACGGCUCGCCUGCAGGUACCUCGACCGGUGGGCCUCGAGCCACCCCGCGUCAAGGCCCCAGGCCCCUCGAGGGCAGGCGCUGGUCUUGGCCCAACGUCUCCCGCUGGGCGAGCACCGGGACUGGCGCUCCUGCGGCCGGACUCUCCCUUCUCGGAGGCCACGGCGCGACCGUGGGUUAACGGCCCCGUCACCUGGGGCUUGGCCCGGACGCCCGCCUUUGGUACAGGGGGAGGUUGGGGGCGCGGGGUGGCCCGACUUGUCGCAGACGCAGGAGGGCUGUCAGCACGGGGGCAGAGAGAUCCGCCUAUCCCCUCCUUUGGCGCUCCCAUCCGCGGGGCAUCAACGUCGCCUCGAGGCGAACCCUCGAGAAUCCGAUCGAGGCGAGACGCCAUCCCCUCUGAACUGUCGCUGUCGUUAUCGCCGUCCCCACCAUCAUCCUCACUGGGGGAUUCUUCUUCAGGCUCCCCCCUCUGCCUGGAUUUAGCUCGGCGCGCCUCAAGCGCUUGGCAGUCGAGGUUGUUCUUCCUUUUCCCCUUCUUCUCAGAGUCCUUGGUGGACUUUUGUUUCUCGGCGGACCGACGCCGUUUGUCACGGUCGACCUCGUCCUCCUUUACUGGAGGCCUCGAGGACCGGACAUCGAUUUGUCCCUACCAGAACAGAGGCAAGUUUAAAGAGGGAUCGAAAGAAAUCAAGAAUCAGAGCCAUGUACAAGAAAGGAACAUACCAGGUCAAUCGAGCCCGCAUCGGGCCUCAUGGGGAAGCCGUUGACGUGCUCCGGCUUGAACUCGCCGGCAACGGCCACCCUAACCCGGGCCGCAGCUUCAUCGUCCGCCAGAGCCUCGUUAGACAUUCGGCACGCCUCGAGGUCCCUGGACGAAACACCGGGCCUCAUCUCAUCCAUCCUCAGCGGCCGAGACAUCAGCGGGAGAACUCGCCGAUGAUGAACGGCCGAGAGGACAAGAGCGGCACAUAGGCCCUCCAAGCGCAAUUUCUUCAGGGCUUCGAGGAGAGGGUCGAGCCACGACUGGUGGACUUGGACGACACCGUAUGUCCAGUUCUCCAGACGCUCCGUGAUUUGGCGGCCGGUGUAGGCAGGAAGAAGGCCGUCGUCGUUCCGCAGAUAGAACCACUGAGAGUCCCAUCCGGCGUGGUUCGUCGACAAUCCCACCGGGAUGUACUCGCGCGGCCUCUCCGUCUUCCCCGUCUUCAGCACGAGGUUGAGGCAUCUCGCCCGCAUAGGCUUCCUCACGCUAGUGGUGCCAGUGGGGGCGUUGAAGAGCUCGCCCCUGUAGAGGUGGAGCCACAGCUCCCAGUGGGGCAUCAUCCCCAAAUAGCCCUCACACACCGCGGCAAAGACCGUCAUGACGGUGAUGGCGUUUGGGGAGAAGUGCUAAAGCUCCACCCCGUAAUGGUGGCAGAGCGCCCGCAUGAAGCGGCUCGGAGGAGCGCCCAGGCCGUGGCGGUGGAACUUGGCGAACGAGACCACGUAGCCCUUGGGCGGCCUGGGCUCCCGGUGGUCCGCCACCGGUGCGAUCCACUCCGGCGAUGACAGCGAUGUGCGGUGGCGCAGGAGCCCCUCCCUCUCGAGCUCCAACAACCGGCGCUCCGUCAUCGACGACGGGCGCCAGUCGUCGGCGGCGAUGAGUCUCACAGGCAUCUUGGGUGAACGGAAGGCGGAUUCGCUGCUACUCGAGGGUGCGCGCGCGUGAGAUGACGAGGGACUAAGUCGAGGGAGCAAAGGCAAAGAUGGAGGCAGAAGGUGGAAGGGAGAACGCUAGCAAGGCCGCGGGACAUUUAUAGGCAACAACCGACCAACGGACAGAUCCGAUAAAUGAGGUAACCCCCCCAUAAAUGUGCCGCCAAGACCUCUUUUCCCUCCUCACAGACGGGGCGCUUCGAAUUCUGCGCCAGUAUCGUGUCGCAACGGCUCCCGCCUGAAAAGGCGCGCCCAACGGGCAAAAAGGCGAACCGCCACGGCCUAUUCCUUCCCUUGUACGCCAAGGAACGCACCCAUGAAAGCCUCGAGAGGUAGCAGGCUGACCCGCCGAAAGGGUUCGACAGCCGAUCUCGAGCACCAGAGUCAGGGAUCCUCAGCGAGUGGUCGAAAAUCGAGGCCCGCCUCGAAGACUCGCUGGAGAUGUCCAAGGUGGGGUCGAGACAGUCGAGAGAAAUCCCCCCGACGGGAGGCAUCGAGCCACUGGACUCUAUCGAACGAGACCAGCAUCCCAGACCACGUCGACCCCGCUUUAUGAGAACGCCUCCGGGCUACAGCUGACCCCCUCGAAAGGGGCACAGGUUCUCACUUGGACUACCCGUUAGGAGCUCAAUCUGGGGUGGAUGACGCUCGCUCUAUCGAGAGUACGCCAAAACCGCCACGCAAAGCGAGCCAAUCAGAACCUUCCACCACUGGUGUCGACAGCGUUUCUACAAAUUAGGCAUCGUAACCCUCGAAGAAGUCAAAACUCCUCAUAGGGCUCGGGGGCUACCCCCGCGGGGUCGCUCGCGUGCCCCCACGGAAAUUCGACCGUAAAAUAAAGCCUCCACUCGAGCGCCAGCGCUCAAAUGGAGACUCGGGGGCUACUGUCGAGGAUAUCAGCAAGGGGUAUCCCAACUGAUGUACAUAACGAGACUGCCCGUACGUAGGUCGAGGCCCCCAACUCGACGCUCUAAUUAGUCACACACGCUGUCGUCGACAACCGCAGCCUCGAAGACGGAAAAAGCGUUGAGCGAAUCAAUCAGGGCUCGAGCGUCCACUACCGUCGAAUACGGAAACAGGCUCGAGCGAACCAGAAGGCGUCGAGCGUAAGGACGCCGCCCGCCGCCUGACGCGCGCACGGGAACCAGGGCAUUUAAUGCGUCUGUCGCGUUCCCACCUAACACGCCAGUCGCGGGAAGCGUGAUAGGAAGCAAGCACCCGUCCCAUCAUUCUUUUUGCAGCCUUCCCCACCAAACAACCCAGAGCGUGUCAGGGCACGGGAAGCAGGGAUGGAACGUCUAAUCAGGACCCCCUUGAGACAUCCAAGGUUAGCGCUCUAGAUACCAGGGCAUUACAAGGCGUCCGACCCUCGACCAGACGUGUUUCCUUCUUGGGGAAGGGUUGGGCGUCGACUGACAACUCUGCGACCACUCCGACAUAUCCGCCUCUAUACCGUACAAGCGUGCAACCGGUGAACCAGUCCAAGACGGCGCACAGAGCAGGAUACCGGGGCAUGCGUAAUCAUCAUCAAGCUACCAGGACGGGACGCUCGAGACCACGCCGGUACGGAGGCCUCGAGUAGGUCAGCACGCCAUGCCUCUAUCGACCCCUACUCUGACACCUAUACUUGUACCCUGGGCUUCUCCUUGGAACUAUAAAAGGGGAGGCCCGGGAGCGAACACAGGGGGCAGGACAUCAUGCAACACUACCCUCAUACGCAGUAGAACUUUCACCUUACUCCUUACCACGCUUGUAUUCACCCCUGUACAAGCACUUAGGUGCAGAAUAAUACAAACUCUCUCCCCCCGCUGGACGUAGGGCCUUCUCUUGCCCGAACAAGGAUAAAUCUUUGUGUGUCUUUUUGCAUCACCAUCUAGGAAAGGGAGCACGCAUACAAAUUCACUCGUUGGUGUGACCCCCCGUGGGGAAAACGCCGACAAUUAUACUCUAGCCUUUGGCACAUUGAAUGAGAUAAAGUUGAUGUUUAUGAGUUUUUCUCAAUCUAAACAUGGGUGAUAGGAACAAAUGAUUAUCAAGCUUGUAGCAUUAAAACACUUGGCAGAUCAGAUUACUCAACACUAUGGAAGGAUGGUCUAUCUAUAAAUAUAACUUCAUGAUUAUGACUAUCAUCUUCUAAAGAUAAGAUGUGCAAUAUUUCAGAUCAUUCAAUUAAAAGCUACAAGAUCGAACAAGCAGAAGACCUAAACAUGUUGAGCUAAUUAGAUUGGAUCAAAUGAAGUUGUAACUCAAAGCAUGUUUGGCUCUCUACUUAUGUGCUUGCCAGAAUCAAGGAGGAUAUUUUAGAAGUAAUGAUCACUUACCAAGAGAUGUUACCUUUAGCAUUGAAACAUGUUGAAGCCUCUUAUGGAAGCUUUCCAUGCUUGGCUAUCUUGUCUCCUUUGUUGUACUCCUUUCUUACCUUAUGCCAUUAUUUGUUCUCUGUCUAAUUUGUGCUUGGACCUUUGGCUCUUCUUGUUAUUUUAUCCCUGCAAAUCAUUAGUGGACAACACAUACCCGAAGGAAUAUACUAGUAAUGACAAGGGCAUUGUUGUAACACAGCUAAGGGUCACUUUCUAUGCUAUAAAAGAAGUUGUUUUAAUAUACUUAGCAUAGAUCAUUUAUUAUUCACAAUUACUUAUUUCUAAAGGAUUGAUUUUAUUUUUCUAUCUUAUGUCUUGAUUCAUAAAUAUUAUGAAUCAACUCAAACUCAUAGAAAUAAAGCAAAAGUGAAUUUAGAGAUUGCAAACCAGCGUAUGGAGCGAUGAGGUAGAACUUGGUUGGAUCAUCUGGAGUUAGCCUUUCUUAUUUAUGUCUCAGCUUCUCGACCUCAGAGGUUAGAGUGUAGAAUGUUACUUACUUUUCUCUUGUCAAUCUUUUAUUGUUUCCUGAUAAUUAGUGGUUGAUAAUAGAAUGCAACUCCAUGGAGUGAGUGCUUUGAUCAUGGAUCAUGUUUUGUGGCACCCUUCUUUCUUCUUGGCUACAAGCGAGUUGUGUAUCUUGGGCAAAAUUAUUGUGUCUCUCUUGAUCUCCAGUGUGACUUCAUCUCAGGACUUUCCCAAUUUGUAUUUGAGAUUUUCCUGCAGGGGUUAGUCCAACAAAAUAUCCAAUAUCCACUAUAGCAUACUAUCGGCUCAAAAAUCAACCUAGACACCACGUCUAAUUUGAUUUAAGAGGGCAUUCUUAAGCUAAGCACCAUGCUUAAUUUAAAAGGCCUUUGAAUGUAAGAUCACCACUCCUAAACUAUGCACCAUGCUUCAUUUAACAGAUGUAUGAAAUUACUCCAUACCUAAACAUAUACUAUAGUAAACAAAGGUAGCAUGAGGUAUAAGAGAGAUUUAUUCAAAAAGGGAUGAAGAAUAUCAUCGUUGUGAGGAAUACUAUUAUAUAUAUUAUAUUUUUUAGAUGCAGAUGACAUGAAUGCAUGCAAGGAACUGAGCAUGAUGUGGAUUUGAUAUGAGAAAAUGUAAACUAAAUUGAGUGGAUGCAUGGAUGUUUCAAAGUAAACAUGUAGUGGUAUGCAAGAAAUCAAAAAUAUAACUACUCAUAAGGUUAAAGUUCAUGAGCAAAACUAUCUCACCUUGAUCACACUUACCAUGACACACAACUAGGAUGAGUAGCAUAGCGUAAAUAUCUGUCACAUGGGAUGGGAGUUGAAUUCUUGUGACGACAACCUUUUCUUCAAUCUACGCAUGGUUAGAAUAAAUAAUAUAUGUGUAUACACAAACCUGUGAGAUGACAGGGUUCCAAUUUUAAUGAUGGAUCCUGAAUGUUCAAGCACCCUGUGUUCUUUAAUCUUGUGGAAACUUGUCUCGAGGUUGAAAUGGCAUCUGAUGUCCUGUCUAUUCCACAAUCAACAGAACAAAGGGGUAAUCCUACUAAAGCUAGUGGUACACUAAAUUAGCAGACAUCAAGAUCAUUAUCAAAAUCUUUACGCCAAUUGCUUUCCCAGCAACGGUGCCAAAAAUGCUUGUUGACAUUCGUUAGUGCAAAAAGAAAUAUGAAAGAUUCCACAAGUGCACAGAACAUCAUCGUAGUAUUUUACUAGGAGUAUUCCAGGUAUCGUUAUUUAUAUUUUACCACAAGGAAGCUAGGGUUCAAAAUCUGAUAAUUCACUAUCAUACAUCUACUAACUUAGAGUAUCAACUAAACUAAAGGAGGGGUAAAUGAUAUACUAUAUGAUAAUUCAAUUAAGUGCAAAUAAGAUAACUCAAUAAAUGUAUAGAUUGUCAUAGCGGGAGGACAACGGGAAAGAUCAAUAUUCCUUUGUACUUCUCUAUUACUUAGGUUCUAAGGCAACAGAAGAUAAAAAGAUAUAGCAGUCACACAAUGAUACUUUGGAGCAGCAGGUCCUUUCCAACUCUUGAAUAAGACUAGGAAGAAAGUAGUCAGGGGAAGGCUGCCAAAAGCUCUAUGACACACCAACUCGAACAUGGUGGAAUACAAAGGCCUAAUAGGGUUGUCACCCCUGGGGCUACCACAACUAUUCGUGGGAUCGGGCACAAACUCAGGUAAACUAUAGCCUAGCCACCAUGUCUACACUAGCGUUUACUACUCUAAUUACCUUACAUAACUAGAGCACUCAAUACGAGCGGAGAUCCUAUGCCAAGAUAUAACAACUAUACUAAUCAUAAAUAUAAAUUCAUAAAGUAAAUAGAGAAGAUAAUAUAUUAAAGCAUAAGUCUUACAAAGAAUAAAUAUGAAGACAUAUCAAAACUCUAACAAAGACUCCUCUAGAACCGGAGCGUAGCUCCGCUAUCCCUAACUCCCGACUAAAAUUAAUCUACUACAUUGGAAUGUCUAGCCCUAAUUCUCUAGAGAAGAGAGGUCAUCCAUUCAAGGGACGCCUCUACAGCUCAUAAUGAUGAUUCUCCCUGGGGGUCAGGCUUGUAUUUAUAGCUCUCUAGGAAGCACCACAGCCCUCGGAUCAAAUUGACCUUGAUAGACAUCCAGAUUACUACUCAAAGGUGGUAGAGGCAGGAUCCACGAAGUUGAAGCUAAUUGGUCCACGUGGCCAGGCGGCUGCCCAAGCCCUAGGGGAAGGUGCCCCUUGCUAGCUGCCAAAUUGGCCCCACUUCACAGGGUUGAUAGAUCUUUUUGUUAGCUUUCAUGAAGUCUUAGAUCACUAAAAACGUAGUUCGGAAUAGGGAGAUAUGCCCAAUUUACUCUGGACUGCUCUAGAAGCCCAUUUGCAAUCUUCCAGAAGGCAUAACUUUGUCGUGUGGACUCUGAUUUGGGUGAAUCAAAACUCUAUUUCAUGUCUCGACGAGCUCUUCGUAAUGGUGUACUCCAAUUCAUCAACUGAAAUACUUCUAUUUGGUGAUUCUGGUACUUUUCUAGUUUAUCCCCUGUAAAAUAUAGAUUCACCAAAACUCAUGGAACUUGUUAGUUUCAAACCUUAUAUCUACUAGUUGUUUGCAUAUAGGUCCAUUUUUUAUGUUUAGUUGAUGGUUAAAAUUAAGAGUUAUCUACCGUCAAUAGUCAUCCUUUUCCUCUAUGAAAAACUGGGCAUCAUCUUCUAGAUUGGAAUCUAUAAAGGACUCAAAAGAUGCUACCUUAACCUCCUCCAUUGGGUCUAGCUCUAGAAAGGAUUUAUUUUCCGUAUUUAGGGAGUAAGAUAUGGAUAAAGGAAGGGUAAAGUUCUUCCCUAGACAUACGUCUAGUUUUCCUAUCUGUUUGAGCUUUAUCGUCUAUUUUAGCUUUAUAGGCUUUAAAGGAUCAAGGAGAGUUAACAAGCAGAAGGAUGUCCUGUCCCCUAUCGAAGUGCUGUCCACUUCAGUUAAGUACCCACUACACUCCAGGAGGAUCAGAACGCCUUCACUGCCCAUCAGCAACCCCAGCAGACCAUGUCAACAUCUAGCUUAGGGGAGAGCACCCCCGUAUACCAAGCUAAGUAUUCCUCACUUGCCUAUUUAUUCCUAGUGUGUUAUGAUAAGAUAAAACUAAAAAGAUGAAUAGCCUUAUAAACCCAAUAAAAACUUCCUUAUUUAUCUUUCAUAAUCAAUUUUGCUAGCUAAGGAGAGCUCUUAAUGAAUCUAUUGCUAAAAUGAACCUCUAGAACAAACUCUUAUAUGGAAAUGAUGAAUAGUUGCUCUGCCAUAAUUUCUUAUAAGUACCUAGUUUUCAACCUUGUACUCUCUCGAGUUUUGGAUACAACUGCUUAGAUUUAAAAUUUGCUCUGAACCUGAAACUUUUGGGUAGCGAAUGGUUGAUCUAAAUCUAGGUAGUUGACGGAUAUGAUAAGAGAAGGUUUUGAACUGUUAUCAAUCUUGUUCGUAGAGAUGUUAGAGUUCUAGAGAAUUUAAUUUGAAAAUCUUAAAUUGCUUCAUGAUGAGUUCCUUUAUGACUAGAGUUCAAAACUCCUACCACAGCCAAAUACUCAUGCUUACUAGAUUAGGAAAGCAUCCCACUUAUAUAUCAUCUUAUAAGCAUUGAGGGUAGUUAAGCUGUGUUGACCCUAAUGAACUAGUCAUAUAGUUAAAGUCAAUACUAUGUGCUCUUCAUCUAUUGAUCUUAGCUACUUCUGUCCUCAGACGUAUUGUUGACACUUGCUAACACCACUUGAAUACUAGGUUGUCAUCCCCAGCAUGGCACUAGAGUGUACUAUGGUAUUUAUACGCACACAGAUAAUCCGCAAGCGCACGGAUACCGUUGAAGCUUUUACCCGGUUAAAGGUUUUAUCGUAUCCACAGGGAAACAGGAGAACUGAUCUAUGCUCUAACUUAACCAAGGUAAGUAAAUAGGUGUAAAUAGGAAAGAUGGUAGAAUCGAAUAAGAACAAUAUUAAAGGUAAGAUAAUAGUGAGUGAUAAUAUGGGAAUAGAGAAUAGAGCAAUUCUAGUAUAUGGGCGAUGGUAGGAGAAUAGAGAGGAUAACUAUGGUUUCUCUACUUCAAAGGGGUAUGUCUAUGUCUGGGACGAACCACGUGAUAAGAGUACACCACAAAGGAUGCUUAUCCUUAGGCCGAUAAACCCUACCCGUCCUGCUAACGAGAGGUGGACUACAGAGGACCAACAUAACUGUCACCUACGCAGCCUACCACACGAUCCAGCUAGACAGGGGAUAUCCACAAGAAAUCUAGGUCUAAGCACCACUCUUACACCUAUACUACAACUCUAACCUAUAGCGUCCUAUAGAUUAGAAGUACUCAAAAGAGUUGUGAACCAGAACAUACAUAAUUAGUAAUUGCAUAAUGAAUUAGAAGUAGAUUACCAGAGUCAUCCCAUGAGCAAGCUUGAUUAGAGCUUGAUCAUGACGAAGUACAACCGGAGGAAGAACCGACAGGCGGGCCUCUCCUCUAAUCCUCCUUCGCUCUCCAUCUUGCUACUAUCUAGAUCUACUCUAGUUUAGAGAGGAGAGGAGAGCUCUCAUCUCUAAACCCUAGCUUUUGCUCUGUCUAUGAAUAAUGAAUAAUGAUCAAGGGGUGCCUCCUCCAGGGGCUAGGGGGUCUGGUUAUAUAGUCCCCUCAAGUGAACCUGGGCCGUCGGAUCAAAUCGACAUUGAUUGAACGGUUAUUCUUGAUCCUUUAGGUCAGUGGAGAUUAGUCCUGAAAGAGAGUCCUGAUCCAACUCUGUAGCUGGGCGGGCGCCCAAGGGGGGAGGGCGGGCGCCCUACCCCCGAGCCCGCUCGGCCUCCCGUUCGUUCCCGUGGCUUCUAGAGUCUUCUAGAUGAUAGAAAAUUACGCGGCACAUUAAUAUCUCUAUGUAAACCUGACGUGUGGGCCUUUCUUCCUUAUUUCCUGAUAACCCCCUGCAAAAAUAGACAAACACCAAAACUCGUGGAAUUCUGUCAGAUAAAACCCUAAGUUUAGAUGUUGGUUGUAUUUGGAUCCUUUUCUUUGUUUAUUUGCUUAUUGUAUUUGGUACUUAAGGACCGUCAACACGUAUGCAACCAAUUACAUCCACUGCAUAUUCAAUUUGUGCUACUUCUGUUCCUAGAAGUACCACCCACAUAUUACGUACUAUGUUGUUCCUAUCCUAGAGACAUGCACCUAUGCUACUCCUAUUCUGGGAGUACGCAUUUAUCUAUCCACACAUACACAUUCCUUAUCCACUUAGAAAAUGUUCUACUCCUACACUAGGAGAGGCCACCCAAAAAUAUUCAUUAUGUCUUUAUUCUACUUCUCCAAUAAAGCUCCAGUUAUUCCAAUUGAUACUCCCUACUACUAUUAGUGCAUUAAAAGGAUUCACUAUUAAAAAAAGAGAGAAAAGAAAAGAAAGAGGACAAAAGUCCCAAAAGAAAAGAAAGACAACCAAGUCCUUGUUUUCGAAAUUAGGGAAGUAUUUUAUCCCCAAGGAACAAUUGUAGAAUUAGAUAUUCACCAUCAAUCAUCACCCCUUAUUUUCACUAUCAUUCUUAUCAUUCACUUCAUUCAUUGCACUCACAUGCAUAUAUGACUUGAUUGUAUAACUAGUUUCUUUGGAUCCACAAUUUAACUAUGCAAUACAUGCAAGUAGGUUUAAAUUGUCUCCUCCACCUAUAAGCUCCACAUAAAGCCUAUUAGAAGUAGGGUGAGGGAAGGCAAUUAUGCCUUAGUCAUAUGAAUACCAUAUUCUUAUCUAGAUUGGUGUUGUAGGACCAUAGUCAGAGCUUCAUAGCCCUCAUCUUAUUCCUUUUUGUGGUUAGUGUUCUGAUGUCCCAAAAUAAGUAACUUUAGAGUAAAUCUUGAUUUCUAGAUCAACCUAUAGAACUCUUAAGAAAAUUCCUCUCUACCCUACAAAAUUAUAUAUAGUUAUCCUUGGGUGAUCUAAACCUCAACUAGUACACUUCACGUUCCCUGUGGAAAAUCGAUACCUUGGAAUACUCCCGGGUGAAAAGCUACGUCGGUAUCCGUGCACUUGUAGAUUUUCUAUAUACGUUUAAAAUACCCAACACCAGCCCAGCCAGCCCUUCAAGGGUUAGCGACUGGGUGCCCAUGGCUAGCAUGUCCGAGACCAAGGGCGGAAAAGACGCCGACAGCACGGUGGUGGAGGCCGAUGGAGGAAUGGUGGUGGAGGUUGGAGGACUAGACAUCUCUGAUACCAAGCUGGUAGGAAUCCUAGCCCUACCGGAUGAUGAACGGAGAUUGUAUGAGUGUGAGGGAGGUUGUCUAGGUCUGAGCAAAUGAGGGAGACGAUGCAGCGAUGUUGUCGCUGCAAGAAGGAAGGAGCUGGCGCAAGAGAGGUGGGCGGCUAGGGUCUACUCGCGGAGCUACAGUACCCGCAGGUAUUGUUUAUGCGGGUGCUGUGGUGGCGGCUAGGGUUUCUCCCAACUUUGUGAGAAAGCCAGAAACAAUAAUAUGUUUCUGCUUAAACCUAUCUCAAUAGUCUUUACAAGUAUUUAUAUCCCUCUCUCACAAAUAAUAAUUAGCACCCUCUAAAAUUAUAUAAUAAAGAUAACUAUGGGCUUAUAGCCCUUGAUCGCCCACAACACCCCUCCUUCAGCCGCUGCUGGGCUUGCGGCGGGUAUAGAGAAUUCCGGUCAUAACAUUUACAUAGAGAGAAGACCACGUCGGUAAUCAAAGAAUAAUCUAGAAGACUCAAGAGGGCAACCCUACAAAGUGGGGCCCAUCUGGCAGUUGGCUAGGGGUGCCCGCCCAUAGGGUAGGGGUGCCCACUCGGGAACCUCAGCCAAUGAGGUGCAACCUCGAUGAUCCUGCGUCCACCGCCUUUGAGGAGUAAACUUGGCCAUCUAUUAAGGUUGGUUUGAUCCGAGGGUUGUGGUACUUCCUAGGGGGCUAUAUAUUCAAGGCCUGACCCCCCUAAGGGAGGAAUUCAUUAUUCUCUCCAUUGAGAAUUAGAGGUAGCCAUUAGCAGAGCUAGGGAUUAGAGAUAUCUCCAGCAAAGAAUUAGAAUAGCUACUCCAAAUCUUCAACUUCUACAUAGGUUUAGACUAGAUAGAGGAAGAGUCGGGCGCUUGUGCUCGGAUUUCCGGAUCUUCAUCGUCAAGGAUUGGUAUUAUCUUGUAUCUUGCUUGUGACUUUAUUCUAAAUAUCAUUAUGCUUCUAUUUAUUAUGUUUCUAGUUUAUUCUAGUUUUACAUUUGAUAUGGUUAUGAUUGAUAAUGAGUUUAUGUAUAUGUUUCCAAAGCGCUUAGCUCUCUUCACGGGAGGGUUAGGUGAUAGAUGUCAUGUAAACAUGGUGCUUAGAUGUCGUUUAUCUGCAAAUACACCCUAUUGGUCGUGUCAUGUGCUAGACCAUGGAAGUGACAGUUCUGUUGAGACCUUCGUCUUCCAUCCCCCAUUGGUAGGACAGGUAGAACUAGAGUUGCAUAGGAAGUCCAACUAUGUCUUGACUUUUUUAGCAAUGUUCCUUAUACAUAGAUGAAGAGUCUUUUGUGCUAUAUAUGGUAGUGUAGUAUUAUAGUAGAUAAAUGACUUAGUAAAUUAUAACUACUGAGGAUUUUCUAUCUCUUGAACUAAUCAGGCGUUGACCUACUAUUAAGCUGAGUAGUCUAUGUCUAAUCUCUAUGUGAUUUAUUCCCUGAGCUUUUAUACUUCAUAUUAUUUAUCUAUCAUGGUUUACCCCUCUGCCAAGUAUGUGGCUAUGUAACCCAUCACUCAUAAGUAAUCAUGUUUUGCAAGUUUAUCUCAUUGUUUAAGUCCUUAGUUCUUUCCCUUAAGCUAAAUAUAAAUAAAGAUACCUGGAAUACUUCCUCGUGAAGUGCUGCAAUGGUACUUAAAUCUAUACGCUUGCGGAUCCUAUAUUUAUUUUAUUAGUGGAACAAUUUUUAUACCAACACUUCUGGCGUCAUGCUAGGAAUGAUAACUUAGCUUAAGUGAUGUUAGAAGUGUUAACUUGCUCCACUAGGGGUUGAGACCUAGAGGCUACUUUUCAUGGAGUUGAGGGGCCUACUUGUGUUCGAGGUGACUUAGAACCAAGGAUGCAGGGUGCUACUAGAUCAACUAUUUUUGGACUAUUAUUUGGAAUAGGUAGAAGCCACCAUUGAUGUUGGCAAUUUUGUGUAUAUAUAUAUGUAUAACCUCUAUGCAGUGAAAACAUUUUACGUAAAGUUGUGUCCAUAGUCAAGGACGAUUCGGUGUUACUGUUACACCAACACAAAGAGUUGUUUGCUUUUCUUCUUUGGGGUUAUUAAUCGUCUGGUCUAUUAUAUGCCACCUAAAAAAGUAGGGAGGUUCCUCAUCACCUAGAGUGAUGAGAGUUUUGAGUUGAGAAUUGGAAGAGAUUAGAGGAUGUGAUCUCACUAGGUUGAAACAAGGAUGCUACCGAGAGAUUGUUGAUGAAUAUUUGGGAUAUAUAUACAUAUACAUAUAUUUGUUCUAAUGCAUUUGGCAAAUGGGACUGAAUAAAGAGUGCAUGUUGCUAGAGAUGGGUGCAUGACUCAGAUCCUAGCCGUUAUUGCUUCUUGCGUGCGACGGAUAGGUAGAUGACGACAGUAAAAAAGAUGAGAAUGUGCCUUUAUAUCUGAUAACAAAAGUUGGUUACUUUUAACCCAACUAUAAGAAAGUAUGAAAUAGAAGGCUAUUGUUGGUACUCCUUAUCUUAUAAUUAUAAACAUCAUUUUAAUAAAUAAAAUAAAUAGAGGGUCGGGCUUUGAACUAACCUUUCCACAAGUUUUGUUGUAAAUAUCAAUUUCAGGCAUGUCACGUGGAAAGGCGCAAAAGACACGAGAAAGCGCACGUCAAGAAAGCGUAGUCACAAAAGGCGCAAAUCAAAGAUAAAUGGAAAAGCCCACCAAAACACCGAACUGGAUCCACUGGAUCCAUCCGUAAUCACGGGAAGGAUCAGAGCCCAGAGACGAACCGACCACGCGAAGGCGGUGGCCAGGGGGACCACCAGUGGUGCGGGCGCACCCCCCGUGGCUGCUACUCGGUCCCACCUUUUUCACCUCCUACCAAAUUUAGAUCACCAUGAACCGUCCUUGUUGGGCUAUAAAUAGAUGGCUCCACACCAUUCAACACACACCAUCAUUUGGAGCAAUACACCUCACAUUUCUACACAUGUUCUUUAGUUUAGAUUCAGUAGUAGAGCAAGGCAAAGCUAGCAAGGAGAGCUUGUCUCCUUGGAGGAUCUUAGAGCUUCUUGGUAUGAAUACAAUUCAGUUCUCCUCCAUAAGCAAGUUCCUAUCUUAUUUAUAUGAUUAUGCAAUUGAAUUAGAGUAUAGUUGUCUUCAUACCUUCAUUGACCUCUGUGAGGCGUUUGUUGGUAUUGAGCCAUAUUUUGAUAUUUUCUGUUAUCUGUUCUGUUUGAGGAAGAAAGGAGUGGUCGGAGGCUCAAAGAUUGCAGGUGGAGUAUACCUCAAUCUUCGUGAUGGCAUGAAGAACCGGUACCUCAGCUGUCCAUGGAACACCUCCCUCACCGAGUGGUACAAGAAAUGGUUCUACAUUAGGGAGGAGCCGGGUAGCGCGACGUUCUGCGACAUCGACUACAUCCCUGAGAUGAGGGGCAGCUGGAUAGAUCGGCCAGAGUAUACUAGUCAGGUGUCGGAGUUAAUGACCCUGAUCGACUGGUCGCGACUGGACGGGCCAGGAGUGGUCGGGAACUUCCUCAGCCGCCAAGUCAUGCCUUGCUAGAGGAGGGUGCACUCGGCGUGUGAGUACCAAGGUAGUCAAGACUCGACAAGGAUGCACCGGGACAACCUGGAGAAGCUUGAGAUCCAGCAGAGGAUCAAUGAAUUGUUCAACCUGGCUAACAACAGCUUCGUUCGAAGCGACAACCGGAUGCACGCCUACAAGCUAGGUCGACGAGCCCCCAAGGUAGUUGAAGUUUUUCUGCAGUGUUCUGAAAGUAUCACACUCUUGUGCUAAUAGCUUGUCGUACUUUUGUUGUAGAUCGGAGACGUUGACCGGGCGACAGUAUGUGUCGCUGGCGCCCGGUGUGGAGCAUCCGGCCGGAAUGGAUCCCUCAGCGGACGACGCUGCUCGGUGUGACUGAUACACUAGCAGCGAUGAAGGGGAGAACCGGCCGGCGCCGACCAUCGAUGACAGGGUGGCCGAUAAGAGGUCGAUGGCAGUGGAGCCAUCUCUAGCGGAAGCGGCACCUACAGGAGCAGUUGCAGGUCCUAUGAUGGGCCAGUGGUCGACCUCAGAGAGCAAAGUGCCCAAGCGCCGCCGGCUUGUUAGAAUUGUCGAUGACGAUGAUGAAGAGGAAGAGGUGGCCCCGACCUUGGUCCGCAGACCCCGCAGCCGCCCCGACGUCGCCCCAGGAGACAGUGGUCGGGUUGCUGAGGAUCCGCCUGCCACGCACAUCGAGUAGGCACGACUAGGAGGAACAGAGGCGGCGGCGGCGUCUGGGCGAGCCAGGAGAAGGGUCUUCACUGCGGCGCACGGAAGUUCCAAUCUGUAAGUUUAUCAAGAAAAGUUUCCUUUUUCGUGGAGUUUGAAUUUGGUGUAGUAAUUUUGGAUUGGAUUUUCUUUGUAGUACUGCCUCGGAUGUUGAUCCUGCAGUGUUUUGGGCUCGAGGACAACCGAGCCAGUGGCUGCCGAUCAGAACGUCGUAGGGCAAACUGCCACAGAACGGCCCAUGGCACAGCCCGCUGCUGUCCCUGCGACAGGGAUGGCCGAUGAGGACCCGACCCAAGAUAGGGCCGAAGCAAGUACCCCAACAAGGGUGAUGAGACCGCGGGGACUCCUCCCCCGAGCGGUGUGGCGGAGGAUGAGAACAAGGCUCCAUCCCCUACUCCAGUUGAAGAGGGCAGGGCUCUGUCUCCGUCUCCAGCUCUAGUGGAGGCUCCCAUGUAGGAGGGCACUCCUGACCGAGGUAAGGGUCCCAUGAUACCUGUUACCAUGGUUGGGGGUAGUGAAGGAGGCGAGGAAGCUCAGGCGGCCUCCGAUGACGAAGUGGAGGAGAUCCAGGGGCGUCCCCGCGAUGGUCACCAACACGUCUACGUAUAGCACCAGCGUGGGGACCACUGGCCGGCCACGAGGAGAUCGCUGAGGUCGAGGAGGCGGAGAGGGUAGAGCGUGCUGCCAAGUGCCUCGUCAGUGAAGUUAAGGUAGGUGGUCUUGCAUUUUAUUGAAGUAUAUAUAAACCUUGGAGUGUUCACUGUGUAGCGUGCCUGAAAUUCGCAGGACUCUAUGAAAACGGCGAAGUACCGAAAAAGGUGCUUUGACCAAAUUGAGGGCGUGGUCGCUGAGAAUAAGGCCCUGACCGUGGAGGUGGACCGCCUUCGAUCAGAGGUCGAGAAGGAGGUGAAGGAGAGGGUAGCUCAGGAAGAGCGUGUGCCCGAUCUGACUCGGCGACUAGCCGAUAAGGACAGCGAGAAAAGGAGUAAGUCAAAUUUCUGAGUAGUUGUUGCUAACUACGUGAUCUAUUUUUAUGGAAAACAAUUGUCGCUUCAGGUCUCGAGGAGGAAAUUGAGCGCCUCCAAAAGGAGAGAGACCAGCUCGACUAGGAGCGUGCGCGUGCGCUAGAAAGCGAGCACAAGGCUGGCGAGGAGCUAAAGACCAGGAACCGAGAGCUGGCUGGUAAGAUCCAUUUCAACUUUGCUAACCACGGAUUGUGUAUUGGCGUAGUGUGCUAUUCACUGUCUUCCUCCGUUUGUCCUUUGAAACUUGUCAUAGUGCUCAAGGCUAAUGCUAAAAAGCAUGUCGAGGACCUGGUCAAAGACCGGGACUCCCGGAAGACGAAUUCCAUAAUGAUCUGGAAGGGAGUCCUGCUGGUGGAGGAUCUGAUCAGCCUCGAGCUCCCCGAGGACCAGCCCCGCGCACCGAGGCUGACCCCGGUCGAAAAGGCGCAACAAGCAUGCGGAUGGCUUCAGCAGUUCGUGAAGGACGCUGGGGAGUUCACCGAAGCCCAUGUCCUCAGCAUGGUGCGUGCUCACUACCCCCUGGUCGACCUGUCCCGGCUGGAGAGGGGAUACCCAAAGGAGGUUGGUCCGAAGGAGGCGGAUGACCUUCACGUCGGGAUGUCUACUCCCCUCGAUCAGCCAAGGAAUUGAGUCUCCCAAUCGGGGAGCAACGACGAUUCGAAUCGCUUAGCAAUCCAGCUGGAGUUCCUAACCACCCGACAUAUGUUGAACCAAAUCUUGCAUAUGUCAACCCAAAGCAAGCUCUCCCCAAAUUUGACCAGGUUCGCGGCACUCGAGAGCAUAGUACUCCACCAUCCUACAGCCGAUCUAGAUAUUUCCCAGUCAUCUCAGAUCCGUAAAGUGGGUACACACUACUCUCGCCAUCGCUCCACGCCCAGUGCGCGAGUAGCUGUUCGCGUCGAGGGAUUACAAGAUCGGGCUUAUCGAGGGCAAGUGGCUAGUACUAUAAAUUCUCAACCCAGUAGGCCAUCAACGGACUGGUCCUUAACCGACACAGUUGGAGACACUACUUUAAGACUCCAUUCUUAAAGCAAGUCCACCGACCGGUCUCAAGUUGAAACAUCAUUGAUCAUAAGUGUAUUCCACAGCAACCCUUCAAACUUUCUUGUUUGAAAACCUAUCUAGUAGUAGGGCUAAGCAUCACUACGCAGUUUUUAAAAUAAAACAGGUGCCAAGGACAAGAUAACAAAUAUCAAGGUAGUAAAUGCAGCAAGUAGGUUAACCCAAUUCUCGACUACCAAAUGCAGCAUUUUCAAUUCAUAAGUGAUAAAAGAUUUAAAACAUUCAAGGAGGGGUUAAUGCAUCCAGGGCUUGCCUUGGUUGCAGGGCAGAGAGGGACCCUCGGAGACUUCCCAAGUCUCGGAUCCUACUUCCUCGAACGGAGCACCGACCUCGGGGUUCGGUUCAACGGUCGCUCCUUCGGUCACGGGCACUAUACGCAAAAUAAUGUAUGCUCAUGAUAUGCGUACGAUAAAUAUGCAAGAAGGACCAAGUCGAGUACAACUUGCCUUCUCGGUGCAACAUAGACUAAACAAUAAUUAAAGUUGUUUACCAUCUUAGAGUCUUUACCCAAGAGGUUGCAUCUGCAAAUUAGGACUUCUCCUAAUUCAUAAUUAUCCUAAAUUAACUAAUUAUUAAUCCUUUUAUCUUAAGUAAUUCUUAAUUAAAUAUUAAUGACAGCAAUUAAGCAUUAAUGCCAAACAACAAUUAAAUGCCAAAGGUCAUUAAGGUUAAUGACCUCAGGUCAUCACACAAUCCCAAAAUCACUCAAAACCUAAUUUUGAGAAUUUAAUUAAUUAUCAUCUAAUUAUUCUAGAAUGAUUAUUUAAUUAUUAAUUAAGGGUUCAAUAAUAUUUUGUUCCAACAUUAUCCAAAUGCCACCAAAUUUUGUGUGGAGCCAGGGAAUAAUAUUCAGAGGCAUCCCACAAAUUUUGGUGAUUUUUGGACAUAUAAAUAAAUUAUUAAAAUUCCUAGAAGUUGUAUUUACUAAUUAAAAGAGGAAAUUUUUAUACACAUGCAAACUACCCGAAAAUAAAACUUAACAUUUUUCCUGUGUUCUACUUGUUCUAUGGAACCUAUACAAAAAGUUUCGUAAUUUUUGGAUCAGCACAUGAUUUAUUACACAAAAUCAAACAUAACUCAAAAACUGCACAAAAAGAAAAAGAAAAACAGUACUAUGCAGCGAGUGGCCGGGAAAUCGGCCCGCAGGCCGGCCCAUUCCCGUUCGGCCCACGCGCGCGCCGCGCGCGCUGCCCCCCUCCUCUCUCUGCGGGUCACUGACGGGUGGGUCCCGCUCGUUAGACCCCCCUCUCCCCUCUCUCUGCGGGACGCUGACGGGGACGCCCCACCCAUCAGCUUCGUCUCUACCGCGCACGGCGGCUCGGCCACGGCUCCGGCCGCCGUUAGCGAGGUCCACGGCCCCCGCACGCAUGCGCAUCGGCCUCGCCUCGCCUUCGCGACCCUGUUGACACCCUCCACUCACGCUCUACUCUCUCCCUUCCACCUCGGCCACGCGAAAGGCGGGCGGCCGCCAUAGCCGACCGCGGACCGGCCAUUAGGGCUUGGUAGAGUGUAAAUUAAUGCGCUAGGGAGCUUCCAUGGAGGGUAAGGGACAUGGUGCUCACAUCACCACGGCGGGAGAAGCAGGAGAAGAGCUUGGCGACGGUGGCCGUGCGGUCGGGCGGGUGCUCCGGCUCCGGCAAAGUUGUUCCGGCGAUCCUGUUCGCGUCUAGGGAAGAAGAGGAAGCGCAUGAGCUUCUGGGGAUAAAGAGGAACCGGAAACAUCCACUAGUUCGGUAUUUUGCUCACUGGAAUAGCGCGGCCACGGAGAGAGCUCACGGCGGCGGUCUCGGCCGAUGUUGGGGAAGAACAGAGAAGUUCUGGCAACUGGGUGGAUUAGAGAAAGAGCUAGGGGGUGCGCUGAGCUCGCAAGGAGGUGGCGAAUGCUCUGGGUUGCUCAAUUUGGCUCAAGAGUGAUCGGGUGCGGUGAGUUUGAGAGAAAGAGCCGGGUCAUCGGCGUCGGGCAGAAAAGGACAAGCGAGGCCGCCGUGCAGUGGAAGCAACAGGGGAGUGGAUGAGCAUGCUGGGGCUCGUCCACAUCACGGCGGGCGCGUGCAGCCAAGCAGCUGCGUGGCCAGGCGUGUGGCGGUGCUAGGCGCGGCGGCUCGGCCCCGGCGGCAGAGCAACCCCCCCUGCUCGGCACUGUAGCGAGCCCUAUCCACCCAGUUUGUAGUUUUGAAAAAUUCACCAAAAUUUUGAACUGAAGACAAAAUUUCACCAAAAUGAAAGUUGUACAGAAUUUUGUGAGCUACAAAACAUGUUUUGGUGACCAAAGCAAAUUCUGGAUGGAAAUUGGUGAAUUUGUCAAAACAGUUUGCAAUUCAAAUCUCAAUUCAGAGAAAUUCAAAUUUUUUGAAUUAGGGCAGAUUAGAAUUUCCAAAAUUACUUUUGAUUUUCCUAAACAACUUGAAACACUCCCAACAUGAAAGUUGUUAAACUUUUUGAGCUCUACAACUUUCAUGUUGGUCACUUUUCAAAAUUCCAAAUAGAUUUUGAAUUGGAGGUUCAAAUUGGAAAAGGGGACACUUUCUGGAAAUCUGUAUUUUCAAAAUUACUUUGAAUUUUGUAUUAAAACUUCAAAAACUCAAAACACCAAAGUUGUACAUCUUAACAAGAUCUACAACUUUGCUUUUGAACUCAACCUCAAAUUUUGCUUGGUUUUUAAAUUGUGAAAAAAAGGGCAAAUCUAGGGUUCAAAAAUCAGGGUUCCCCCCUAAUCUUUCGGAAAUCUUUCACCCUAGGGUUUUAGCAACCAACUCAAGCAUCCAAACACAAUAUAAACACACUUUAGUUUCCUAAGCACAUUCAACCAAAUUAAACUUAUUUUAAGUUAAUGCAUCAGGGUGUGCUCAACAAAUAUGCUGUGCAAUGCUGAUGAUGUCAUGCUUCAAUUUUUUUUGUAACCGUAACAUCGGGGAUGUUACAGGAGUUGGGCAGGCUUGUUCCGUCUGGGUAAGCCAGCCUAUAAGAGGUAGGACGUGUGACUUCGGCGACCACAAAAGGUCCAUCCCAUGGCCUAGAUACCUUAUGCAUUCCUUCCUAGUUUGUUUUCCAUUUGAGUACCAGAUCACCAACCACGAAGGAGCGAUCCUUGACGUUCUUGUUGUAGUAUCGUCUCAUGGCCUCGAGGUAGUUUGUUGUUCGAAGGCAGGAGGCCAACCAUUUAUCUUCUGUGCAAUUGAUUUCAAGUUCUCUGGCGUGGUCUGCUGAAGACUGGUCAAAGUGCUCGACUCUUGGUGAUCCGAAAGCUACGUCAGAAGGAAGCACUGCCUCAGUCCCAUAAACCAUGAAAUAUGGGGAUACACCCGUGUUCCGACUAGGCUGUGUUCGGAGACCCCAGACCACCGCUGGCAAUUCUUUCAUCCACCACCCUGGUGCCCUAUCAUUUUCCGUUUACAACCUCUUCUUUAGAGCAUCUAUAAUCAUCCCGUUGGCUCGCUCCACUUGACCGUUGCCUCGGGGAUGGGCUACCGACACGUAUUUUACGACUAUGCUUCUGUCAUCACAGAAAUCCCAGAAUGUGGUGCCAGUCAACUGAGUGCCCAGGUCAGUGAUUAUACUGUUAGGAACUCCGAAUCUAUGUAUGAUUUGAUUGAGGAACUCUACAGCCUUCUCUAAAGUUGCUUUGACCAGUGGCAUGUACUCGAUCCACUUGGAGAACUUGUCGAUCAGCACGAAUAUGAAUUUGAAAUUGCCGGGAGCGGGUUUGAAUGGCCCAAUCAUGUCUAGGGCCCAGCAAGCGAAUGGCCAAGAUGAUGGUAUCGUCUGGAUCUCAUGAGCAGGUACAUGAGUCCUUUUGGCGAAGAACUGACACCCCUCGCAACGCCGGACCAGCUUCUCAGCGUCAGCUACUACAGUGGGCCAGUAAAAACCGGUUCGGAAAGCUUUUCCGACCAGUGUUCUAGAAGCGGCGUGGUUACCACAAGAUCAAGCGUGUAUGUCAUCUAGCAGCUUGAUGCCAUCGUCUUGAGUUAUGCAUUUCAACAAGACUUCUGAGUUUGCGUUUUUCGCAUGAGUCGGCCGUCAACCAUUAUAUAGUUUUUGGAUCGUCGAAUGAGACGUUCGUUUUCCGUCUUGUCUUGAAAUCCUGAACCGUCUGAGAGGUACUUAACGAAAGGUGUGCGCCAGUCGUUGCCGCUGGUUGUCGGGGUUGUGUCCUAGACGAGUAGUGUCUCGUUGUGUGGCUUGCCGACCAGGUCUAUUCUGACACUCGGUGUGUCAAUGUCUUGGACAAAAACACCUUGCGGAACCUGAGCCCGGGAUGAUCCUAUCUUUGAUAGCGCAUCUGCUGCUCGAUUCUUGUCCCGGACCACAUGUAUGUAUUCUAUUCCAUAAAAAUUUGAUUCCCACCUCCGGAUUUCUUUGUAGUACAGAUCCAUUUUCUCAUGAGUCGUGUCCCACUCCUUAUUUAACUGGUUAAUGACCAGGGCGGAGUCGUCGUAGACGUAAAGGCGCUUGACUCCCAAUUCGACGGCCAAUCGGAUAUCAUGCAAGCAUGCUUCGUACUCGGUGACAUUGUUGGAUGCUGGGAAGAGGAUCCUAAGGACGUAGCGUAGUUUGUCCUUGUUUGGUGAAAUGAAAAGGAUUCUGGCACCAGCACCGUUGAUGUUUAGAGACCUAUCGAAGAACAUUGACCAGUGAUCGGAGAUAUCUGGAGAGGGCGGUGCGUUGAGAUCUAUCCAUUCUGCGAUGAAGUCGACCAGGGCUUGAGACUUGACGGUUGUAGGACUAUGGAAAUCCAACGAAAAUGGGCAUAAUUCCAUGGCCCACUUUAUAAUCUUGCCAUUGGUGUCCUUGUUGCGCAAGAUGUCCCCCAACGGAAAACUUGUAGUAACUAGAACGCGAUGACCAUCGAAGUAGUGUUUCAACUUCCUUGAAGUGAUUUGGAUGGCGUAGAUUAGUUUUUGUAUCUAGGGGUACCUGGUCUUGGAUUCAUUUAGGACUUUGCUUAUGAAGUAUACUGGUCUCUGGACUUUGUAGACGUGGCCUAGUUCAUCCUGCUCUACCACGAGCACCGUAGAGACGACCCGAUCAGUUGCUGCUGUAUAGAGGAGCAUUUCCUCGUUAGGUUGAGGCGCGGUGAGAACGGGUGGCGAUGUGAGGAAAGUUUUGAGCUGCGCGAAUGCGAUGUCGGCUUCUUCUAUCCAGGGGAAUUUUUUCGAUGCUUUCAGUAGCCUAAAGAAAGGAAGCCCUUUUUCCCCUAGCCUAGAAAUAAACCGGCUAAAAGCAGCCAUGCAUCCCGUGAGCUUUUGAACGUCUUUUACGUUUCUAGGUGGUCGCAUAUCGAGCACCGCCUUGACCUUUGAAGGGUUUGGCCGUAUGUCGUCGUGACUGAUGACGUUGCCGAGCAGUAUACCAGAGGGAACCCCAAAGAUACAUUUUUUGGGUUUAAGCUUAGACUUGUAUUUGUUUAGCGCUUUAAAUGUGCAGUCUAAGUUGUCGAUCAGAGUGCUAGCGUCCCUGGUUUUGAUGACAACGUCGUCGACGUAAGCCUCGACAAGGUCGUCACAUAUCUCGUCAUGGAGGCACUGCUAAAUAGUGCGCUGAUAGGUGGCUCCGGCAUUUUUUAGUCCGAAGGACUUGGUGGUGUAGCAAUAUGCACCGAAGGGAGUGAUGAAGGAGGUAACCAGAGUAACAAUCAAGAAAAGAGAGUAGUUCGCAUCCGGCCAUUGAAUCGACCACCUCGUCUAUGCAGGAAGACCAAAAGGAUCUUUAGGACAGUGUUUAUUGAGAUCGGUGUAAUCAACGCACAUUCUCCAUUCAUUAUUCUUUUUUCUUACAAGGACUGGAUUGGCGAGCCAAUCGGGGUGAUACACUUCUUUAAUAAACCUGGCUGCUAAAAGCCAUGUAAUCUCUGUCCUAAUAGCCUCCUUUUUGUCACGAGCGAACCGUCGUAGCUUCUGCUUGAUAGAUCUUGUAGUCUUUGAGACGUUUAAGGAGUGCUCGAUCAGGUUUCGUGGGAUGCCGGGCAUGUCCGCGGGUUUCCAUGCGAAAACGCCCACGUUGUCCCUUAAAAACCUGACGAGCGCGUCUUCCUAUUUGGCAUCCAGAUUGGCUCCGAUGAGAGCCGUUUUCUCUGGGCUAUCAUCGACCAGUUGGACUUCCUUGUGCUCCUUGGACUUGGUGUUUUUUCUUGGAGUCUCCUGUUCGGGUAGUUUGAGCUGGUUGGGAGAGACUUUUGUUGCUUGUUUCACCAUUUCGGCCUUGCGAAUCGAGAGGUCGAUUGCCUCGGUGAUCUUGAAGCUUUCCUCCCCGUAGGUGUAUGCCGUGUAGACGUUUCCUUUGAUGGUCAGGACGCCCUUCUCGGUUGGCAUCUUGAGGACCAAGUAUGAAUAGUGUGGGACUGCCAUGAACUUGGUGAGAGAAGGAUGACCCAGAAUGGCGUGGUAGGUCCCAUCAAAGUCGACGACCACGAAGUUGACGAAUUUUGUGCGAAAGUGGUCUGGUGUUCCGAACUGGACAGGCAGCGUUAUCUGGCCAAGGGGUACUAAGAUUUGUCCUGGUAGGACGCCCCAGAACUGAGCUUCAUACGGUUUCAACUACGCCGGUGUGAGCUUGUGAGCAGGCAAGCUGUUACAAAACAAGAUGUUGAUAGAGCUACCACCGUCCACGAGGACAAGCUCGAACCUGACGCUGUUGAUGCAUGGGUCCAGGAUCAACGGGAAGCGUCCUGGUUCUAGGAUGGCAGCCCAUUGGUCGUGCCUGUUGAAAGAGAUCUCUCGGUGCGACCAGGGAGGGAAUUUAGGGUCGGUGAUCGAACCGUCGGAGCUAUCCCCAUUAAGGCAAGCCCUUUUUAGGAGUUUUCUUUCUCAUUUUGAUUCGAUCGAGACCUUCUCUCCAAAGAUGGAGUGCACUACGUCGGUUGGGUUGACGUAUUGAUGCUGUGGGUACCUAUCCUGGUCGUCGUCUUCGUCUUCAUGACUACGUCUGUCAUGUUUCCUAGUUUUCUUGGCGGCAUCUCCCUGAGCGGCCCGCUGUGUGUAGAUGCUUUUGAGGACACAGCAUUCUUCCAUAGUAUGGUUGGACUUGGGAUGGAGUUAGCACAGUCCUUUCAGUGUCUUGUUGUAGUCUUCCUGGUAGUCCCGCCGUCCAAUGGGACGCUUGACUGUGUUUACCUCGUGAUCGCUGUCAUGAGGUUGCUUGCCUUUGAAGUCGUCACGAUUGUCACGGCGCCUAUCCCACCCUUCUCGGUGGUCGCGGUUGUCGACACUGCGAGGAUUCUAGAUGUCGAAGCGUCCACGGCUAUCGUUUCAUCAGGGAGGCUGCUCGGCUCCUCGUAUGUCUUCUCAGAUGAGCUUCUCUGCGUCGUCAGCAUCGGCAUAAUUCUUGGCCGUGGCGAGAACUUCGGCGACCGUGGUCGGCCUCUUGCAUAGUAGCUUGCUUCUUAACGCUUCGUGGAAAUGUAGGCCUUUGAUGAAAGCCGAUAUGGCCUCGUCAUGGGAAAUUUUUGGAAUCGUCGGCAUAGAGCGUAUUUGUUUCCAGGUGCAUAUCCGAGAAGCGUCGGAUGUAGUCGCAUAGGGGCUCAUUCUUCCUGUCCCUUAUCCUCUCAAGGUCGUAUUUGUUUCCAGGCUGCUCGUAGAUAGCAAUGAAGUUAUUGAUGAAUGCCUGGUGCAAUUCCUCCUAACAAUCAAAAGAGUCCUCGGGUAAACCGAGAAGCCAUUGGUGGCCAGCUUGGUCAAGUACAACUGGGAAAUAGUUUGCCAUGACAUGUUCGUCUCCUGCUGUUGAUCGGACUACGAUCUCAUACAGGGUGAUCCAGUUUUCGGGGUUCUCCUUAUCGUCAUACUUUUUAAGCUUCUUGAGCUUGAAAUUGCGGGGCCAUACGACUUGUCGAAGGUGUGAGGAGAACUGUUUUAGGCUGGGGGGUCGUGGCUGCAUCGUACUCGAUGCGUCGCAUGUUUUCGUGUACUGCUCUAUCGGUAAUGCGCCUGUUGAUGCGCUCGCGGGCAUCCCUAUAGGGGAGGUUUUGUCAUAGGUCCUGGUCUGGGUUCACCGCCUAACCACGUCCAUGUCUCUGUUCGUGGUAAUUGCCAGCGUCCCGACCACAGUUGUCGCGAUGGGUGUCCUUCCUACGAUCGUUGAUGGGCGAACGGCUAUGACGAAGUCCGCCAGGUCGCGGUGAGGUUCGGCUGCGAUGAGUCUGGUCGGAGGUGGCCUCCAUAUAGGAGAUGACUUGGACCCUUAUGAGCAGAGUAGCGGUCUGUCCCGUCGUGGUGAUCAGGUGUGCCCGUAUGUUGGACCGGACGUCCUGAUAUUCUGGAGUAUCUGGAAGUCGAUCGAGGUUUGCCAUGGCGAUGGCUACAUUAGCGCUUGGUUUCUUGAACACUUGCUGGUUACCGACUAUGUCGAAAGCAUCAUCAAGGUUGUUUGGGAUAAGAUGCUGCUCCUCGUCUGCUCGUCGCUGAGCACCAUCAGUGUUGCACUGUUCACGCUUCUGUCUUUGUUCGUCGGUUUCACCGUCAACAAUUGGUUCAACAUUGCUGACGUUGAAAACCAGAUCUCCUCAUCGAGGUGGAAAGACCAGAAAGCGGGAAAAACUCGGGGGGUAAGGCAGGAGAUCCAAGUAGUAGUCUUCGUCCUCGGGGUGUAAAACCUCGGUAGGGACAGAGCGUGUGCUAGAAUUUGUAUUGUUGGUCUUGUCUUCUGGCAGAGUGCGGAUGGAGAACAUAUUGACGAAGUGACGGGCUGUUCGCCUGGUUUGCCGCGGUGACAAGCCCAUCUUCCUGAAUAGGGAUUAAGUAUGUCGUGAGACCUCAUCAGCUGCGUUGCUCAGUCCAUGAGGAAAAUUCUUGUCUGGCGAGGCUAUCUUGAGCUUGACAGUUUGUCCCUUUGGGGUCGAUGUUACCGUUAAGGACGUCCCUAGUCGUUCGUGCGUGGUGGCACGAGUUGGUCGAUGGGAGUCGAAAAAAUUCGAUACCGGUGUUUGAUCAGGCUGGCAUGAAACGGAAUCCAUCAGGUUGGAGGCUUCAAGAAGCUUGUGGUCAGCAUGAUCGAUGGCUUCAAUAAGAUCCGAAUUGUCGACUCGUUUCCCCUUGUAGCGAGGGAGUGGAGGUCGAGCCCUCGAAGUCAUAGUGGUCGUGGUCGAUGUGAUCGGGAGCAUCACCUCUGCUGUUCCAGAUUGGAUCUGAGUUUCCUCUAGAGUUGUGCUUGUAAGGCCGCCAACCUGAGUCGUCCAAGUGAUCUGGCCGACGGAGAACGUGAGACCUUCGGCCACGGCAACGGAAGCUAGGAUGAUGACCAUCUUGUUCGUCUGGGAAGCUGUACGCACACCCCCUACCUGGCACGCCGCUGUCGACGAAAGCUAGUCGGCAGUCUACUAUGGGGUAUACCCACGGUAGUACUUUAUCGGCAGACAGGUGCGCAAGCUACGAACUUGAUGGUGACGCAAGACACAGAUAAGGAUUUUAUCUAGGUUCGGCCGCUGUGUGGGCGUAAUACCAACGUCCUGCGUCUGAUUGUAUUGUUGUGGAUCGAAUUGUGUUGAGUUGAGUUGUCCUCAGGGAGGUCCCUUGCCUCUCUUUAUAUAGUCUAGAGGGCAGGGUUACAGAUCUGGAAACUAAUCUUAGUCGGUUACAAUUGCCAUAGAUAACAUGAUAUCAAUUCCUAUUCUAACCGACUAGAAUCCUACUUGAUCUCGACGUCUUGAUUCCUUGUGCGAAACUCCAAGCAGUUGGAUCAAGCCUCGAACUGUAUCAUGAUGGGCCAAAUCUCCCGGCCCAUGUCCAGCCGUAAGGUUAUAGGGGUUUAUACCCCCACAAUGAAGUAGUUCUUAGUUCUUGUGCUAUGUUCUUGAUGUGUUCAUCCUUGUUCUUCAUCGUUCAUCGAAUUAGUAUGAAUAGACAAAGGAUUAAGAUUAGGGUAACGGUUCGUUGGGCUGUGAUGGCCACUCUUAGCCGAGCCUGUCAAUCCGAAGGGUUGGGGUCCCGGGAGGCAAGGAGGCGUUUCCAAUUACACAGGAGAGGUGCUCAGGUAUGCGAAGAUUAGCGGAUGCGUGGGUAUCUUUCGGGUAGAGGGGUAGGUGGCAGGGUAGUGACAACCCUGUCAUCCCUGGUAUUCCCCCGCAAUCAGGUAUUCCGGUAGGAGUUCUGUAAAGUCCCUAUCGGCUGGAUGUCCAACUGCGGGGAUCUCCCGAUAGCCUCAGACUUAGUUCUAACUCUAGUUAUAUUGAUUAGAUAUUCUACUAACAAUUCUUUGCAUAGUUAUAUAAGAUCAAUGCUGGCUCAAGUAGUUGUUCUUUAUUUCUUUUAUUUCCUUAUUUUCUCUUUAUUCCUUGAGGUUGCCCCGAUGAGUGUGUCCACUAUCCAUAUUUUAAGAGCCUGCCAUGACCCCUGAUUAGACUAUGUCUACCUAUGCAUCUCAAUAAGUGAUCAUGCUACAAACCAAGCUAGAUGCAUUUGUUAUGCCCUCCUAUGGGAUUAAAUACGAUAACCCUUGAAUACUCACGGGUUGAAAUGCUAGAAUGAUAGUUCUGUUCGCUUGCAAUUUUAUUGUUUAUAUUCAUAAACUAUUGAUUAGCGUACCUAAGUACCGUUACUUAAGAUUGUAAACUCUGUGCAUUUAUCUAGCGCCAUGCUACAGCUUUGCAUAUCGUAAGUAAGGAUGGUUAGGAUGGCCAAACCGGCUUCCUAAUUAUUGUUACCAGACUGCACUGCUAAGGCCGGCGUCGUUAAAGGCCUUGGGUUAUCUCUCUGACGUAACGAUAGUUAUGGUAUACCAACACCCGACAUUUUUGGUGCCACUGCUAAUGAUGGAUUUAUAGUCUAUCUUUAGUAGUGAUGCUAAGAAAUGCCAACAAGCAUUUCUGGCGCCAUUGCCGGGGAGGGCAAACAACAAUGUAAACAUCUAGCUUUGGCAUUUAGCAUUGAUUACAAAAUAAGCAUUGGUAACCAUAGUUUAAGCAGGCUAAUCUUUGUUGUUUUCUUUCUCUUUUUAUUUGAAUGAGAACAGGAUAGUGUAUGAGCGGUUUCAACUUAUCGUCAAACUUCAAACAGCAAUCUAGAGGCACUCCUAAGGAAGAAAAGGACUCGUGCCGUUUCUUCCUCUACCACGCCACCGACAGUCGAACCAAUCCCCCCGCACCAUCCAUUUCAACCACCAUGGCCAGGUCACUCCACGACUAUUCCACCGCCGCAGUUGCCAACGUGCCCGUUGAGCCCGCAGUCAACACUGGGAAUGGAAACUUCGAGCUUCGCACUGGCCUACUCACGAUGGUACAGGCAAACCAAUUCUAUGGUUUGCCAAGUGAGGAUGCAAACGCGCAUCUACAGAACUUCCUUGAGCUAUGAGAAACCAUCAUCAUCAAGGAUGUCGCACCUGAAAGCGUCAAGCUCCGCUUGUUUCCCUUCUCCCUCUCGGGGAAGGCAAAGCAAUUGUUCUACCAGAGCAAGGAAGCUGUCAACACGUGGGACAAAUGUUCUGUGGCGUUCCUCGUGAAAUUUUUCCCCAUGAGCAAAAUAAAUGCUCUGAGGGGAAAGAUAUCAAACUUCCCGCAGACUUCACUCAUAUCCAUUCCUGAGGCUUGGGAAAGGCUCUAGGAGUACAUCCGGGCCUGCCCCCACCACGGGAUGGAAGAUUGGCUCGUGCUUCUGAAUUUCUACAAAGUGCUCACGCCCAUGUCUAAGGGGCAUGUCGAUGCCGCUGCUGGAGGCGCGUUCCUCUCCCUGACCAUCAAGAAUGUGUUGACACCGUUUUGGACACAUAUCUUUGGACACGUAUCUAGGAGUUAAUGAGGCGUGGAUCGGCAGGCAAAUAAAGUGGUGACUGGUUGACAGAAGAGUUGCCGAUGAGGGUAGAUAUCGAUGAUGAAACAAUAGAAUAUGGCCAAGUCUAGUAGUGGUGAUGGAUCUAUGCCGAUGAUUGAUGCUGAUAGUUGCCGAUAGGAAAUUCACCGAUGGUCACAAAGAGAGACGCAGGAAUUGUCGAUCGAGUAGUGAUGGUGUACCGAUUGGUUGUGGAAGAUAAAUUAAUGUUUUCCAUAGUAAUUAGAGUUUGUUUUGUAUACGGAUUCCGUUCAAUUUGGAAUUUGAGUCCUAGUCGUGUCUGAUUGUAACCCUUUUGGGUAGGGUAUAAAUAUAAGACCCCGUAGCGAUGUAAGAAGAAUACACAAUCAAUCAAACACAAGUUUUUACACAUAUUCUAGCAUCUACUUUUUCGACGACUUUGUCACCCUGCAUAUUUUCCUUUUACUACGAGUUCUUAGGAAUUCCUCGAGUCAACCUCGGUGAGUUCUCGAGUUCCACGUGAAUACCUCUUGGUCGUGACAUCCGGGCGCAUCGCUGUUGCCGAGACCAAAGUAUUCGAGUUAUCACCUUUGUCGAUUGUAAGUUCAAAUCGGCUGGCAUGCCUUAACAUUGAAUCGGGUAUUAGCCCUUUGUGUUUGCAGAUCUACUUUUGCACCAACACAUCUUUUGGCACGCCCGGUGGGACCGAGAUUCAAUAUCAAGAUCAACAUGUCGAACACCGAUUUCGACUUGGAGAACGUCAUCCCCGUGACGGAAGCCAAUCUCAGAGAUGAACAGAAGCAAGCUAUGGCAAAAGCUAUGGAGGACUACAAGCAGUUAUGCUUGAAACCUUCAGUAUCAACAGGAGUGGCGAGGUGAUCCAAAAGGAAGCAUUGCCGAUGCCUCGGCAAAUCACUUUUGAAGCCAAUCCUGGUAAACUACAAGAGAUGGUUGACAAUGCUAUUAAUCGUGCUCUAAUCAAUCCAUCUAGUGUGUUGUCCAAUACAGUUUUCAAAGUUGUGGCUAGAACUUUCAAAGAAGGACAAGUACCACCAUCUUAUGUGGGCCUAGCUUAUCAUCAGCCAGGAGCAUCCUCGGUUACGGCUCCAUCGGCUACUACGGCCGUUGCGGGUACGGAAGUCACUUCUCCUCCCAGCACAUUAGGGAUGACUAAUGCGCAAUCUACACCGAUGACAACUAAUCCAUCAACAUCAGAGGGACAAGUUAAACUCGCUACAGAUUUAUUGGCAUCGGCAAUGUCAGGAUCUGUGUUUAAAGGCUCUCAAGUUCCUCCUAAUUGGUGGGGAUAUGGUAUGCCCCCAAAGUUUAUAACAAAUAGCUCUGGGACGUCUCAAGUGGCUCACAUGACAGGCAAGGCUCCUAUGGCAUUGGCACCCUCAAUAUCGCCGAUGACUCAGAAUACCCAAUAUUCUACAACUACUACUGCAAGACCUUUUACUGGGAAUUCUUAGAUACCAACAUUCUAGAUGCCUAACGCAUCGGCAGAUCCAAUGCCGACGCAACAAAGGUUUAUGACACAACCAGGGUAUGUCAAUUCAAUGAUGAUGCCCAAUUAUCAGCCAUCGGCAGAGCCUACGCCGAUGAAUGUUAAUAAUGGAUGGAUAGGGUAGUUCCUCUUUCAGCAGAUGCCUUAGCAGAGUCAUCACGCUAUGGGAUUUAAUGCAACCUGGAUUUCAGAAUUAAGGGUUGAUCAACCAGCCGAUGAAUCUUGGUCAGCAAGUUGGUGGUCAACAGGCAGUAGCUAAUCCUAUGUUCCCUGGAGAUUGUGCACGGCAGAGACACGUGGAAGCUUAUCAGCAAGUGCUAGAUCCACAGCCAGUUCAUCGGCAAGAUGCCGAUGCUUAUUGGGCCGGUAAGAUAGCUGAGGUGAUGAGAGAUCAAUUUGGGAUAAAACCAGUCAUCGGUUUGGCAGAGUGGGUAAAGAAUAAGAAGCCAAUGUCUUGCCCUUUUGGGCAUAAAGAACCAGAAAUGUUUGCAUUUGAUACCACUAAAGCCGAUAGGAUAUUUGACUUUCUGCUUUAGGAGGGGCAAAUUAAGUUGUCACCCAACCAUGUGAGUCCAUCGGCAGAAGAGUUAAAGAAGAUCAAGUAUUGCAAGUGGCUUAAUGCAACAUCUCAUAGCACAAAUGAAUGCAAAGUAUUUAGGCAUCAACUGCAAUCGGCCAUAGAGUCUGGGAGAAUUAAGUUUGAUAGCUCCAAAGCUUAGAAGCCGAUGAAGAUUGACCAGCAUCCUUUCCCCACAAAUGUGUUGGAUGCUUGCGGAAAGACUAAAGUAUUGACAUCAGAGGCGGCUAAAAGAAGAGCAUUGGUAGAUCCUCAACAUCAGAUUACUGCCGAUGACGCCAAGGGUAAGGGCUUGAUCCAGGAGGGAACCAGCUCGGGAAGGCCUCCUCGAUCUGGCAUUGUAAUCACUCAUAGAAGGCAUCAGGAAACCUGGCAGCAGCGUGAAGAUCGGUAUCGGCGCCAACAGGAAGAUCGUCGUCGGGAAGAAGAAAGACACCGACAAGAGUGGAAUCGGCAUAAAGAUCAUUGGAAUUGCCCAUUCUUCAUCCACUGUUGGGAGCAAAACAUCAAGCUACCAACUGUUAGAGACUACCCUAAGUGCAGUGGCUAUAAUCGGUAUGAUAGACCAAAUCGGUAGUACCAGAACGAUGAUCGGCGUUUUAAUGGGCCAAUUAGAGGAAGGGCCUCAGUUCAUGAUCAGCUGGGGGGCAGACUCAGUGUGCAUGACAGGCUUGGUGAGCGUGUCGGGUAUUUUCCAAGAAACCAAGAGGAGCUCGAGGAGAUGGCGGAUGCGCGAGUUCCCGAUGAGUUCAUAUUUUGUAGAGAUGCUAAUACUUAUCGUGUGGAAUCAAGGGAAAAUCGUCGCCAGUCAGUGAGACAGCCACAACUUCCCCCAUGGUGUCCAGAGGGGUUGACAAGGACACAGAAAAGAAGGCUGCAGCGGGAGCAAUGAGAAGAACUGAGUAGAGGAGAGAAUUCUGCUAAGUCUGGAGAUCGGCAGCAGUCAGAUCCUAAAGGAAAAGGUCCAUCGGCAGACGUUAAUAUGGUGUUUAUGUUGCCGAUGGAAUUCCUUGCGCCCUUUAGUGAUGAUCAGGGGGUAGAUUUUCCCGAUCAGAUAGCUCAGUUGUCUCUAGAUCCGAUGAUGGCUAUUUUUGAAAAGCCCGCCGAUAAUAAGAGACAACAUCUUAAAGCUCUGUUCGUCAAAGGCAGGGUUGAUGGACAGCCGAUGACCAAGAUACUUGUUGAUGGUGGGGCUACUAUUAAUAUCAUGCCAUAUGCAGUCUAUUGGAAGCUUGGCAAAGGAUAUCAAGAUUUGACCAAGACCGAUAUGAUAUAAAAGGAUUUUGAAGGAAAUGUGUCUCUAGUCAAGGGAGCUAUAUGUGUUGAGUUGACCAUCGGCAGUAAAACCUUGCCGAUAACUUUCUUCGUCAUCAGUGGAAAGGGUGCUUAUAAUUUGCUGUUGGGCAGAGAUUGGAUUCAUUUCAAUUGUUGCAUCCCAUCUACAACGCACCAAUGCUUGGUUCAGUGGGUAGGUGACAACAUUGAAAUUAUCCUAGGGGAUUCUUCAUAUGUCAUUGCAUCGGUAGAAGCAGAUACUUAUGAAAAGACCAGAUGCAUUUCAGGAGAGGUUUGGGAGAAGGAUUUUCUCAAAGUUGCUGAUUAUGAAAUUCCACCGAUCCAAGCAGUCAGUUCUGAUGAAGAGUUUUAAUAGAUAGGUUCGCCGAUGAUGGAAAAUUAGGCCAGGGGUUUACAUCGGCCGAUGAUCUAGUAGAAGUAGAUAUAGGUAAUGGUGAUAGGUCAAGGCCUACUUUUAUUAGUGCUAAGUAAGAUUCUGAGUGUAAGCAAUAUUUAACCGAUUUGUUAAAGGAAUAUAAAGAUUGCUUUGCUUGGGAUUAUACUGAGAUGCCCGGUUUAGACCGAUCGAUUGUUGAACAUCGGUUACCUAUCAAAUCUGGAUUCCGGCCACAUCAGCAGCCAGCUCGCCGAUGCAAUCCUAAUAUUCUUCCUGAUAUUAAGGCCGAGAUAACUAAAUUCAUUGAAGCUAAAUUUAUUCGGCAAUGUCGGUAUGCCGAGUGGAUUUCUAAUGCCGUUCCAGUUUACAAGAAGAAUGGGAAGCUUCGUGUCUGUAUUGAUUUUAGAAAUCUUAACAAGGCUACACCGAUGGAUGGUUAUCCAAUGUCAGUUGCCGAUUUGCUAGUUGAUGCUGCAGCUAGACAUCAGAUCAUUAUCUUUAUGGAUGGCAAUGCAGGAUAUAAUUAAAUAUUCAUGGCUGAAGAAGAUAUUCCAAAGACUGCAUUUAGAUGUCCUGGUCAUGUUGGGUUGUUCGAGUGGAUAGUCAUGACCUUUGGCUUGAAAAAUGCUAGUGCUACUUAUUAGAGGGCUAUGAUUUUAUCUUUCAUGAGUUCAUUGGCAAGUUGGUUGAAAUCUAUAUUGAUGAUGUGGUGGUUAAGUCUGGAGAUUUCACAAAGCAUCUUGCCGAUCUACGAAAGGUGUUGGAGUGCACAAGGAAACAUGGUUUCAAGAUGAAUCCUAAUAAGUGUGCAUUUGGUGUAUGUUGACGGUUCUUAAGUAUCAAUUUUAAUUAUCAAAUAAACAAGAGAAAGGACCAAUAUGCAACCAUCACCUAGAAUUAGGGUUUGAUCUGACAGAAUUCCACGAGUUUUGUUGUUUAUCUAUUUCUGCAGGGGGUUAUCAGGAAAUAAGGAAGAAAGGCCCACAUGUCGGGAUUACAUAGAGAUAUCAACGCACCGCGUAAUUUUACAUCAUCUAGAAGACUCCAGAAGCCACGAGACCGAAGCGGAGGCAAAACUGGGCCAGGCCCAGGGCGCCCGCCCUGGUAGCCUGGGCGCCCGCCCCCCUGCUGGAGCCAAAUCAGGACUCCUUCGCUCGGGAUAUUCCACCGACCUAUUGGAUCAAGAAAAACAUAGUACCACCUCGGCUAUCGACCCAAAAACGCAUAGAAGGGGAGGACUAUAUAAGCGAGGCCCCCCUGGCCCCUGGAGAAGACAUGAAGAAAUUAUCAUAGAGACUGAGGGGUGCCCUCGAAGGAAAACCUCUUCUCUAAUUAAUAUUUCUUUUUAGGCUUAGCAAUCAAUGUAAGGUAGAAAUAGAUCUUCUAGUUUCUACUAGAUUGAGAGAGAUAGAGUGGAGGUGUAGAGUGGAGGAAGCCCGGCCUGUCGGUGUCUACUCCAAGCUUGUACCUACGGGAUCAAGUUCUCCUAACCCAAAGCUUGCUCCUAGGAUUCUUCAGUAAUUCGACUUCUAAAUUCUAGUAAGUUCUUGUUUUAUUGUUCUUAUGGUUUAUGAGUUUACUUUAAUCUCUUCGCAUAGAGUUUAGAGUAAUCAUUGCUGGCAUAAACGUGGUGUUUAGGCUGGGGUACUCAUAGAUAUUCCCUGACUAGGUGGACCGUGGUAGUAGUGAGGAACGUGACAAUUCCGAGCUACCUUUGUAGAUCACAUCUCGUUAGCAGGAAGGAUAGGGUUUAUAGGUGCGGGUCGAACAUCCUUUGUGGUGUCUAGAUUCCGUUAGCCUCCCCAUUAGAACAGUAGAUCAUCCUUACCAAGGUUAGAAGGAGACUACGGUUGCAGUCUUCUCUAUUUAUCACUCACAUCGAAAGACAUUCUUUGUGCCUAAAGGGAUAGUAGCAAUAGACCGGUUAGUCAGAUGCACUCUUUCUCCUAGUGGUAAAAAUAUAAAUACGAUACUCUAGAAAACCUCCCGGGUGAAAUGCUCACCGAUAUCCGUGCGCUUGCGGAUCAUUUCCUUAUUGCGUUACCAAAUAUCAACAAGCAUUUCUGGCGCCGUUGCGGGGGAGAAAGACGGUUUGCUGAGAUAACUUUGAGUCUUGCUAUUAUCUUGUAUUAUACUUUUAUACUUUUAUUCUUUUAUCUCUUUAUUUUUAUCUUUAUGGAUAACUCAAAUUCCAUACCUAUUAUUAAGUUCUUUGCACCUUCGGAGACCAGCCAUAGACCAUGGGAGUCAACACGUCCUGCCCCUAAUUAUGAUCUGUGUCCGGAGUUGAUUACAAUAGGUCAAAACCAACCCUUUUCUAUAGCUGAGGUCCUAUCUUUUAAUCAAAAAGAUAAUGCACUUUUAGCUACACCUAGGGAAUCUUUUAAUUUUUCUAUAAAUUCUGGUUUAGACCUAGCACUACAAGACCAUGUUUUUCCUAGAUAUUUUCACAUUGGUCUUAAUCAUAUAACCUUUGGUAGAGUCUUUCUUUCUUUAUCUAUUAGUAAAGGAAGGUAUGUCUUCAUUAGUAGACAUCCUUCUUGCACUAGUCUUCAUAGAAAAAUCUUAGAGAUAGAGAAGGAAUCAUCUCCCAGACGAGGAAAGGAAGUUUCAAUAGCCGAUUUCCAAACAUUUCAAUCCCAUAAUUUGGCUAUCCAACCCAUCCUUGAGCAUAAUAAUUUCUACUAUGUUUUUUCUCUUGAACCUCCCGACAAUCCUAUGAAUCUCUCUAGACAUCCCAUGCAUAAGAAGGAGGAUCGAGAAGAGCAACAUCAAUGGCUAGAGGGCAUUAAAAAUCCAUGUGCUAUCACCAUUGAAUGGAUAGAUAAAACAAACUUGAGAGACAAUCCGAGAGGAAUUCUAAGCAUUCAUGAAAAAUCAUCCUUGGAGUUUGAGAAUGAGAGAAACAAUAGUGAGCAUGGAAGUUAUUUCAUAAAUACCUCACCAAGUCCUUGCUCAUAUAAAACAUCUCCCCAAUCAAUUGGUCUCUCCAACCUUACCACAUUUGAGAUUUGCAACCCCCUCUUUCUUUAUAUUUACAAAAUGUUUAAAAGAACGGUUGUCGAUGCAUAUGUCUAUAAUAAAUAUUGCAGAUCUCGUCGAGUUAAUUGAUAGUUUCCCAAGGACAAGCUUAGUGUCCUAAAACAAGCACUUAUCAGAUCGUAACAUGAACUUCUAAUUACUUGCAACAUUACCUUGUGUAUUGAGCAUAUAAGAUAAUUGUAGAAAUAUUCUUUCGGGAAUUCUUGUCACUAACCUUUCUAGGAUUGGAGCAAGAAGACCGGAUAAAUGACAAGCGCAAGGUAUGCCCAACCAAUCAACAUGCAACAUUGAAUUAAAUUCAUCCAAUCUUGAAUUUUGCAAAAUUCAAGCUUAGGGGAGUACUUCACAUAAAAACAUCCUUUGCCAUGUUGCUAUGUUGGUUGUCCUUACCUUUGAGACAUGCUCAAUUUGUUAAUACUAAUCACACUACUUCAUCUCCACUUAAGUAGAUCUCUAUAAAUGCCAUCACGCUACCUUUGUUUAUCCUAGUAAGUGUUAGUUUGGAAGUACUGCACAUACUUCUAUUGGCUUUUAAAUUAAGCAUGGUGCUUAGGUUAAACAGCCUUCCUUAAUCUGAUUAGACAUGGAGUCUAGUUCGGUUAUCGAACUAAAAAUUGCUUGUGUAGACAUUGGUAUAUUUUGUGGGACUAACCCCUGCAGGAAAACUUUCAAUAUCAACCUGGGAAGUCCUGAGAUAAACUCACAUUGGAGAUGAAGAAAGUGACACAUGAAAGUUUAACAAUUUGCACAAGAAAGACGUAGCUCAUAAGAGAUGAUCCAUGGAGGGAGCCACAAACACGAUGCACAACCGCUAGAAAGGAAAGCUUCUACAAGGUGAUACUGUACCAUCACUCUUCAAAGGUAACAUCUUAAUGUACUUGACUAUCCUUUUAUAAGUUUCUCCUUGGUUCUAGCAUUCACAUAAAUAAAGAGACAAACAUGUAUGAUUUAUAACUCUAAAUUAACCAACCUAACUGAUUCAACAUGUUUAGUCCCUUAAUCUUUGUUCUUAGUACUACCUUCGUAAUCCCACGCUCCUAAACAUAUAAGCUAAUAUGUUGCACAUUCAAUCUUUGGAAGAUAAAAACAAAACAUAAAUAUAGAUAGAUUAUCUUUCCAUUAGGUUGAACCAUCUGAUCUAACAAAUGUUUUAAAUGCUACACUCAUGAUCCAUCAACUUUGUCUUGCUCACUAUGCUUAAGGUUAGAAAAGAACAAAUACACUUUUGGUUCUGUUGGUGUUUUCCACCAACAGAGCCCAUGCACUUGGUCUCUGCCUUGUCUCUAUGAGCAGGACACAUUUUGAGAAACGUGAAGGCGUUUUACAACUCCCAGAUUUCAUUAAGUGAAGAACCGGGAUCUACGAGCACACACACAAUGGAGAUCAAACACUUAGUUUCCCAAAGGAAAUAUUAAAGAACCUCUGUAUCCAAGUUGGUACCUUGUACGCUCCAGCAAACUUCGUGGUGGUAGAGACUGGUACUGAGGAGAGGGCACCCAUCAUCUUAGGGAGGCCAUUCCUAAACACCAGAGCUGUCAUCUACACUAAUGCUGCCAAGAUCAGUCUCUACAUCAAGGGGAAGAAGGAGACUUUCCUUUAAGAACAAGACUACACAAACUUCAGAGCAACCCCGACAUCAACCAAGGAAGAGGACCAACAGGAAGAACAGGAACAAGCAAAGGUGGACCGAGUCAGCUAAGAUGGUCACUGCAGUUCAAGGAGGUCAAGAUCGUCGACUCAAGUCACCUUUCUUGAUCAAGAAGGACGACCCUAGUGUUCUAAGCAUUGAGUGCACAAUCAACAGAUACUCUUUUCAGAAGACACUCUACGACACCGGAUCUGACGUCAACAUAAUGGCCGUAGUCACUUAUCAGCUCCUGCAUGAAAUCAUGCCCCUACAACCAAUAUACAUUCAGCUAUAGAUGACUUUCAAGUUAUUGACAUGGAAGAAGAUGAAUAUGAUCCACCCACCAUCCUUGGAAGACAGUUCCUCAGCACUAUCAAAGCCAUCAUCUAUAUUGGAACCGGAGCACUUCUCCUCUGAGAAGGUAUGCCGCUGUUUUACUGACCCUAACUAUAUAAUUGAAGACUCUAAGCAGGUCAGGACAAGAAGAAGACAUCGCAACCGCAACCAGAGGAGGCAAAUCAUCAAGGACGGAUGGGUAGACUACGAAGGAGAAGUGAUAAGGACUGAAGACAUACCACUUGAACAUAACUGUCCUGAGGAGACCAUAGCACCGAGUCAGGUGUGGAGAGAGAAUAUAGUUACACACGAAGAGGAGGCGCCACCAGAAUCACCGACUACGUCAUCCAGCGAAUCCCAGGACGAUUAAGAAAAUGGAGAGUCCCGCUCGGAGGACUUAAAAACACCGAACGCCUUGCCAAGAGGUAAACUUGGUAGUUAUCCUUUCCCUUUUAAUUAUUUCAAAUAAUUUACUUAGUUAAUCAUGUUCGUAUUAUCCUAAAAAGAAAAUAAAAAUGUGAAAAAAAACUGUAAGCCCCAUGUGAGUAGACGAGUGGCAUAAAACCCAUCAGUACAUUCACUGUGGUGGCAUAAAAAUAAAAUAAAAAUAUUUUUCUGCUUUAUAAAAUAAAAAUAUAAAACAGGGAGUAAUAAUUAUUAAGGAGUCUCAACAUGAUAAAGGCUAGAUAUUUAUGCUAACACUUAAUUAGUUCCACAAGCUUUGUUGUCUAUUUGAGCUCCACAGAAUCUAAGAAUCAAGAAGACUAGCAGACGGAGGACAUUCUAAUCGCUGUCAAAAUACUGGUGACUUUCAAACACACCUCUGCCACCUGCUACCUACAUCAAGAGAAAUUACGUCAAAAUUCAGCUUGGAGGAGAGCACCCCCAUUUAUCUCGAUAAGUAUUUCUAUCUAUCUUUAUACUUAUAUUAUUUUAGAAUAUAAAUAUACAUAACUAUGAAAAACCAAAUAAAGAUUUUAUGCUUAUAUAUAUAUAUGUCUUUUGCUUAGUGUGUUUAAUAAAUAAAUAAAGUGGCUAUGCUAAUCUGUAUCUAAAUAAAACUCAAGCAUGGAAAUGAUGAAUAGUUGCUCUGCCUAAAUUGCACAUUUUAAGUUCUCUCUCAAGUUUAGACAUAACUGUUAUAAUUUAAAGCUUUCUCUAGACCUAAACUUGUGGGAUGAAAACUUAUCUAAGUUGUUAACGGAUACGAUAUGGGAAGGUUGAGCUGCUGUUUAUCUGUUUCUAGAGAUGCUAGAAUUCUGGAGAAUUUUAUCUUUGAAAAUCUUUAAAAUGUUGCAUGAUGAGUUCCUGUAUGAUGAGAGUUUAAAUUCCUACCACAGCCAUAUAUACAUGCUUGCUAGACUUCGAGCCACACAUUUACUUUUUACUGCUUAUGAGCAUUGAGUGUGGUCAAGCUGUGUAGACCCUUAGGAGCUUGUCAUGUGGUUAAAUCAAGAUUCACUUGCACGUUCACUCACACAUGCUACUUCUACUCUGGAAGUGCCAUCCACAUAUAUCCAUACAUUUCCAUCUUCAGAAUCACCCAAAAAUAUUCUACUCCUAAUCCGGGAGAGAAUAGCCAAAAAUAAUUUUGUUAUUCCUUGUGUAAUAAAUGCCUCAAGAUCAAUAAAGAGUAUUAUUAUUAUGUCUUGUGUGUCUCUACUUUAUUUUUGUGCAAGAAAGCAGAAAACAAGUAUGGGGGAGAUCCCUCGACAUGCUAAACACACUCCGACUACACCACUCCACGAUUCAGGUACACACUCCGCACACUUUACUUUACACAUAUAUAUAUUUUAGAUUAUGCAGAAUAUUGUUCCCGACAUGAUAAAAUAAAAAGAUUAAAAUAGUUCUAAUCAUGAUUAAUCUCAAUCUGUGAUAUUUCCUGAAAACUUGCAAAUUAUUAUAAAAUCAUUUUAAAACCCUGUGUUACUUAAGUCAAUAUGGAAUAUGUGAUGGUAGAGUAUGAGUUUCUUAUUCUUGAUAUCAUUGUUGCUUGGAGAAUUUAUUUCAAAAUAUCCAAAUUAUAGCUACCAUCCUCAGUGUUUUAUAUGCCUGAUAAGACUGAAAAUAUUAAUUAUGAUUAUAAAAGCUAUCUGCUCUGUAUUGAGUUUGUUCAAAAUGAGUUAGACCCUUGUUGAUAGAUUUAUCAUGCUCCCAAGAUCAAGACACUAUUUCAGUAAGAUUCACUCUUCCGAAGUAUUAUUGCAUUAGAGGCAUGGGCUAUGCAAAAAUAGAAGAUAUUUCGAGGAAAUAAAAAGGAGCAAGUGCUCGACAACCUCGCAGAAAAAAUGGACAAGUGUCCGGCAGUAGAAUUAGGGGUACCUCGGUAUCCACUUAAAAAAAAGAGAGAGAGGAAAAAGAGAAAAAAAAAUGAUAGCCCAUGGUCCCUCUAAUAAGCAAUAUGCCAGCAAGAGAUGACAAGUUUUUAAUUUCCAAAGUCUUUGAUCUAAGAGUAUGACAUUCCCCUCCUUGGAUCCCGUUUUGAUCAGGCAAUAAAUGCAAAGUAAGUAUGCUUGAGAAUUUUUGCAAAAUAAAACAGCCUCAGUGAGAUAUAUAUAAAAGAUAAUGAGUGAUCUGAGAGAACCUAUGAGGAUCAAAAAGGUAUGCUAACUUUCUUUCAAAAAUAUACAAAAACUCCAAGUGACAGGAUUGAGAAGAAAGGAUCUUUACUCUUAACCAUAUACUUCCAUGACUAUGGUACACAGUGGAAUUUUUGACACCCUGCAAUUAUAAAGAGAAUGUUUUAAAUGUUUACCCCAGAUAUUAUUCUCAACCAUCCUUUUCUCGAGGACGAGUAAAAGCCUAAGUAUGGGGGUAUUUGUUGACGGUUCUUAAGUAUCAAUUUUAAUUAUCAAAUAAACAAGAGAAAGGACCAAUAUGCAACCAUCACCUAGAAUUAGGGUUUGAUCUGACAGAAUUCCACGAGUUUUGUUGUUUAUCUAUUUCUGCAGGGGGUUAUCAGGAAAUAAGGAAGAAAGGCCCACAUGUCGGGAUUACAUAGAGAUAUCAACGCACCGCGUAAUUUUACAUCAUCUAGAAGACUCCAGAAGCCACGAGACCGAAGCGGAGGCAAAACUGGGCCAGGCCCAGGGCGCCCACCCUGGUAGCCUGGGCGCCCGCCCCCCUGCUGGAGCCAAAUCAGGACUCCUUCGCUCGGGAUAUUCCACCGACCUAUUGGAUCAAGAAAAACAUAGUACCACCUCGGCUAUCGACCCAAAAACGCAUAGAAGGGGAGGACUAUAUAAGCGAGGCCCCCCUGGCCCCUGGAGAAGACAUGAAGAAAUUAUCAUAGAGACUGAGGGGUGCCCUCGAAGGAAAACCUCUUCUCUAAUUAAUAUUUCUUUUUAGGCUUAGCAAUCAAUGUAAGGUAGAAAUAGAUCUUCUAGUUUCUACUAGAUUGAGAGAGAUAGAGUGGAGGUGUAGAGUGGAGGAAGCCCGGCCUGUCGGUGUCUACUCCAAGCUUGUACCUGCGGGAUCAAGUUCUCCUAACCCGAAGCUUGCUCCUAGGAUUCUUCAGUAAUUCGACUUCUAAAUUCUAGUAAGUUCUUGUUUUAUUGUUCUUAUGGUUUAUGAGUUUACUUUAAUCUCUUCGCGUAGAGUUUAGACUAAUCAUUGCUGGCAUAAACGUGAUGUUUAGGCUGGGGUACUCAUAGAUAUUCCCUGACUAGCUGGACCGUGGUAGUAGUGAGGAACGUGACAAUUCCGAGCUACCUUUGUAGAUCACAUCUCGUUAGCAGGAAGGAUAGGGUUUAUAGGUGCGGGUCGAACAUCCUUUGUGGUGUCUAAAUUCCGUUAGCCUCCCCAUUAGAACAGUAGAUCAUCCUUACCAAGGUUAGAAGGAGACUACGGUUGCAGUCUUCUCUAUUUAUCACUCACAUCGAAAGACAUUCUUUGUGCCUAAAGGGAUAGUAGCAAUAGACCGGUUAGUCAGAUGCACUCUUUCUCCUAGUGGUAAAAAUAUAAAUACGAUACUCUGGAAAACCUCCCGGGUGAAAUGCUCACCGAUAUCCGUGCGCUUGCGGAUCAUUUCCUUAUUGCGUUACCAAAUAUCAACAGUAUAUCGGCAGGACAAUUUCUUGGUUUCAUGGUGCAUCAAAGAGGAAUUGAAAUUAGUAGGAGAUCAAUUGAUGCUAUCAACAAAGUAGUUGCUCCCACUAACAAGACUGAACUCCAAUCUCUGAUCGACAAGAUAAAUUUUAUCAGGCGAUUUAUAUAUAACUUGUCUGGUAAGAUUCGUGAUUUUAGCCCUUUACUUAAGUUGAAAGCCGAUCAAGAGUUUGUAUGGGGAAGAGAGAAAUAGUCAGCAUUGGACGAAAUCAAAAAUUAUUUGACAAAUCCGCCAGUUCUGAUUCCACCUCAGCAAGGAAAACCUUUCAAAUUGUAUUUGUCAACCGAUGGAAUGGUCAUCGGUUCGGCUCUAAUUCAAGAAUUUGAAGGGAAGGAACGUCUGAUUUAUUAUUUUAGUAGAAGAUUGGUUGAUGCUGAGACAAGGUAUUCAGCAAUUAAAAAAUUAUGUUUAUGCUUAUACUUUUCAUGUAUCAAGUGGAGACACUAUUUGCUAUCGGCCGAAUGCACUGUUUUGUGCAAAGAUGAUGUAGUCCGGUACAUGCUAUCUAUGUCGAUUAUGAGUGGUAGAAUUAGCAAAUGGAUAUUGGUGCUGUCGAAAUUUGAUUUGCGCUAUGAAUCGGCUAAGACAGUUAAAGGGCAGAUUAUGGCCGAUUUUGUGACUCAGCAUUGCGGUGUAGUAGGAACUUUGGAGAUCGUUCCUUGGACGCUCUUCUUUGAUGGAUCCACAUGUGACCGGGGGGUAGGAAUCGGUAUAAUACUAAUUUCUCCUCAGGGAAAGAAGUAUUAGUUCUCUUUGCCGAUUGUUGCCACGUCAACGAAUAAUCAAGCUGAAUACCAAGCUCUGAUCAAAGGGAUGGAAUUGUUAAAAGAGGUUCAUGCUGAUGUUGUUGAGAUCUUCGGCGAUUAUAUGCUUGUUAUAAAUCAAUUGGAUGAAACUUAUGAAUGCCGCAGUGAAGUUUUGGUAACUUAUUAUGAAAAGAGCAUACAACUGUUUAGAGAAUUCAAGGAUGUCCGAUUGGAGCAUGUUCCUCGAUUACAUAAUGAAGAGGCUAAUCGGUUGGCUCAGCAUGCCUCAGGAUAUCAACCUAUCUUAAAUAUGUUAUCGGCAAUUAGUGCUUAUGAUUGGAGAAAGGAAAUCAUUGAUUACUUAAAGGAUCCAUCUAAAAAGGUUGAGAGGCGUGUCAGGUUUCAAGCUACUAAGUAUGUACUCCUUGGAGAAGAGCUAUAUUAUCGAACGAUAGAUGGAGUUCUACUCAAGUGCUUGGGUGAUGAUGAGGCUAAAAGCUUGAUGGGUGAGAUCCAUGAAGGAGUGUGUGGAGCACAUUAGUCGACUUUUAAGAUGAAGUGGAUGAUUAGGAGAAAUGGGUAUUAUUGGCUGACUAUACUUGAGGAUUGCUUUAAAUAUUUUAAAGGAUGUCAAGGAUGUCAAAGAUUUGACAAUAUUCAAAGGGCACCCACAUCGGCCAUGAAUCCUAUUAUUAAACCUUGGCCGUUCUGGGGAUGGGCUAUUGAUCUAAUCGGCCAGAUUUAUCCGCCAUCAAGCAAGGGGCAUAAGUUCAUCCUAGUUGCCACUAACUAUUUUACUAAGUGGGUUGGAGCUAUUCCUUUGAAGAAAGUAACAUCGGCUAACAUGAUUGAUUUUGUGAAAUUGCACAUUGUUUACCGAUUUGGUAUUCCUCAAACAGUCACUACCGAUCAGGGUACUAUGUUCACAUCGGGAGAGUUUGAUGAAUUUGCAAUCGGUAUGGGGAUUAAAGUGUUGAAUUCUUCUCCUUAUUAUGCUCAAGCCAAUGGACAAGCCGAAGCAUCUAACAAAGGGAUUAUUAAGCUCAUCAAGCGAAAGAUUGAAGAAAAUCCUAGAAGGUGGCAUACAUUGUUGAAUAAAGCUUUGUGGUCAUAUCGGAUGGCAUGUCAUGGAUCGACCAAAGUUUCACCUUAUCAGUUGGAGUACGGACAUGAUGCGGUGCUACCAUGGGAAAUUAAGACUGGAUCUAGGCGGGUCUCUUUUCAAGAUCAAUUGGCUGCCGAUGACUAUGCUACUUUGAUGAAAGAUGAGUUGGAUGAUUUCGCAGAGCAUCGGUUGAGAGCUUUGAUAAGUGUAGAAGAAAAUAAAAAGAGAGUUGGUAGAUGAUAUGAUAAAAAGGUAAAAGCUAAGGAGUUUGCCGAUGGAGAUUUGGUAUGGAAAUUAAUUUUACCGAUUGGGACUAAAAGUUUGAAGUUUGGAAAAUGGUCUCCUAAUUGGGAAGGUCCUUAUCGGAUAAAUCGGUCUGCUCCUGGUAAUGCUUAAAUUUUGGAAACUCUCGAAGGAGUUGAAUUUCCUAGAGCUUUGAAUGGAAAAUAUCUAAAGAAGUAUUACCCAAGCAUCUGGGUUGAUGCAUAAAAGUUUAAGUGCCGAUAACACUCCUAUUGGCUGGAUGAAAUGUAUCUGGGGUCGUGAGUAACGUUUGUAAAAGUGCCGAUAACAAUCCUAUCGGCUAGACCAGAAUUAUCAAGUGUUUCUAAGGGCAAAAUGAAACAAGUUGUCGAUGAAGAGCUCACAAGUUCAGCAGAGCCUGGAUAGUGGAUAUAGCCCGCAGACGGAUCUGGUUGGCUUCUUCUAUCUCCCGGAUGUCCUCAUCGGCAGAACCCUCUAUUGGCUUCAACUUCUUUUUCAUCUGCAGUGCUUUACGGGCCUGAAUGUUUCAUUCUUACUGAAGAUUCUUGAGUGUCUCAGGCAGCUAGCUCUCUUCUUGCUGAGCUUGGGUCAGGGCUUCUUCUACUUGUUUGAGCUCAGCUAGCAGGGCUUCCCUUCUUGCUGAUAGGUCAGAAAUCUUUUGUUUCAGUAUAUCUCUUGAGGAUUGUAGAAUGUCGAUGCUUUUGUGCUUCUCAUCGGCAAUACGUUUUACUUGCAUUACUUCCUCUGAGAGUUGGGCGUAAGCGGCUCUAUCGGCAAGACGCUAGGUAGCCUUCUGGUACUGGAGCUGGUGCCUUUCCAAGUGUGCAGCUUGAAACAAGACUUCUUCUGCAUCGGCUGGGAUUUGGCUCCGAAGGGUCUUAAACAAAGCUUUGGUCGGGUCAGAAUCAUCGACCAGUUGAGCGGUAUCUUGAUGCAGCAGAACCAACAGGUCUUCCAGUUUAGCUUUGAUUUCUGCCGAUGAGAUCCCCACUGCUUGAGAGGAGCUUGCUUCUUCAGCCUCGUCAUCGGAGAUGUCGAUAGCAAAGGAGAAUAAGCUAUCUGGAGAGUCUUGUUCCUAAAAAAGGGAUAGAGAUGAGUUAUCUGAUGAUCAAAUGUUGAUAAUAAAGAGUGAAGAUCAGAAACUUACUUGCUUCAGAACGACUUUAUUUAUUUAUUAAGAGUGAAGAUCAGACACUUUAUUUAUUUAUUUAUUAAAUACACUAAGCAAAGGAUAUAUAUAUAAGCAUAAAGUCUUUAUUUAGUUUUCCAUAGUAAUGUAUAUCUAUAUAUUAUAAUAUAAGUAUAAAGAUAGAUAGAUAGAAAUACUUAUCGGGAUAAAUGAGGGUGCUCUCCCCCAAGCUGAAUUUUGACGUAAUUUCUCUUGAUGUAGCUAGCAGGUGGCAGAGGUGUAUUUGAAAGUCAGCAGCAUUCUGACAGCGAUUAGAAUGUCCUCCGUCUGCAAGUCUUCUUGAUUCUUAAAUUCUGUGGAGCUCAAAUAGACAACAAAGCUUGUGGAACUGAUUAAAUGUUAGCAUAAAUAUCUAGCCUUUAUCAUGUUGAGACUCCUUAAUAAUUAUUGUUCCCUAUUUUUAUAUUUUCAUUUUAUAAAGUAGAAAGGAAAUAUUUAUUUUAUUUUUAUGCCACCACAGUGAAUGAACUUAUGGGUUUUAUGCCACUCGUAUACUCACAUGGGGCUUACUGUUUUUCAUAUUUUUAUUUUCUUUUUAAGAUAUUACGAACAUGAUUAACUAAGCAAACUAUUUAAAAUAAUUGAAAGGAAAAGGAUAACUACCAAGUUUACCUCUUGGUAAGGCGUUCGGUGUUUUUAAGUCCUCCGAACGGGACUCUCCAUUUUCUUCAAUUGUCCUGGGAUUUGUUGGGUGGCAUAGUCGGUACUUCCGGCGGCGUCUCCUCUUCAUGUAUAGUUAUCUUCUCUUUUCAUACCUGACUCGGUGCUACGGUCUCCUCUGGAUAAUUCUGUUUAAACUCUACGUCUUCUGACCUUACCACUUCUCCUUCGUAGUCUGCCCAUCCGUCCUUGAUGAUCUGCCUCCUCUGGUUGCGGUUGCGUCUCUUUCUGACCUGCUUAGAUUCUUCAAAGAUAUAGUUAGGGUCAGUAAAAUAACGGCGUACCUUCUCUGAGGGAAGUGCAUAUGGACUUCUCCAGUUCCAAUGUAGAUAAUUGCUUUAACGGUGCUGAGGAACAGUCUUCCAAGAAUGAUGGGUGGAUCAUACUCGUCUUCUCCCAUGUCAAUAACCUGAAAGUCUGUGUAGACAAAAUGAUCAUCUAUUUUGACUAGGACAUCAGUUUCUGUUCCUUUAACUUCUCGAAACGUCUGAUCUGCCAUCUGGAGCUGAAUGUAUGUUGGUCUCAGGGGAAUGUUUCCGAACAAGAGCCGAUAGGUGACUGUGGCCAUUAUGUUGACGCCCGAUCCGGUGUCGCAAGUCAUCUUGUAGAAGUUAUAUCCAUUUAUGGAGCAAUAGAUGCUUGGCAUUCCUGGGUCGUCCUUCUUGGUCAAAAAUGGUGACUUAAGUUGAUGUUCUUGGUCUCCAUGAACUGCAGUGACCAUCUUAGCUGACUCGGUCCACACUUGCUUGUUCCUGUUCCUCCUGUUGGUCCUCUUCCUUGAUUCACGUCUGGAAUGAUCUGGUAUUUGUGUAGUCUUGUUCUUGAAGAAAAAUGUCUUCUUUCUCCCUUUGAUGUAGAAACUGAUCUUGGAAGCACUAGCAUAGAUGACAGCUCCCGAGGUGUUCAAGAAUGGCCUCCCUAAGAUGAUGGGUGCCCUCUCAUCAUUACCGGUCUCUAUCACUACGAAGUCUGCUAGGGCAUAUAAGGUACCAACUCGGACACAGAGGUUCUUCAAUAUUCCUUUUGGAAAACUUAAUGCCUGAUCUGCAAACUGCAAACACAUGGUUGUUUCUAAUAAAGGAUAUGUAAAGAAUUUUUCAUAGAGUACCCUGGGCAUAAUGUUGACGCUAGAGCCAAAGUCGCAGAGUGCUUCUAGGACGUCCACCAUGCCGAUGGAGAUCGGGAUGACGGGGCAUCCUGGAUCGCCUCUCUUGACCGGCAGAAGGUCAGUAGUGAAUUCAGUGACGGGGUUACUGAAAGGUCCUAAUAUGGCUAGAGGGGGGGGUGAAUAGCCUAUUUAAAAAUUCUACGAACUCACUAGAGUAAGAGGUUAGUAAAUAACAAAGCAAAGCUUUUUGCUCUAGCUCUAAUGGGGUGUUUGCAAGCCACCUAUCCAACAAUUCUAGUUGAUAUAAACACUAGGCACACAAGAGCUAUGACACUACUUACACUAGAAAGCUACCUAAAGUUUCUAUACAAGUAAGUAAGCUACUCUAGUUUGCGGGAAUGUAAAAGAGAUGGUUUGAACUUUAUACCGCCGCGUAGAGGGGAUGAACCAAUCAAUAAUAUGAAGUCCAAUCACCGGGAGAAAUCCAAUGAACAAUCACAAUGGAGACACACAAUUUUUCUCCUGAGGUUCACGUGCUUGCCGGCACGCUACGUCCCCGUUGUGUCGACCAACACUUGGUGGUUCGGUGGCUAAGAGGUGUAGCACGAACCUCGUCCUCACUAGGACACCACAAGAACCUACCCACAAGUGAGGUAGCUCAAUGACACGAGCAAUCCACUAAUGUUGCCUUUGGCACUCCGCUGAGGUAGGCACAAACCUCUCACAAUCACCAGGAGAUGGCCACAAACAAUCACCAACUCGUGCCAAAGCUCCUCCGCUGCUCCAAGCCGUCUAGGUGGCGGCAACCACCAAGAGUAACAAGAAAACCACAGCUAGAACGAUCCCCAAGUGCCACUAGAUGCAAUCACUCAAGCAAAUGCACUUGGAAUCACUCCCAAUCUCACAAAGAUGUAUAAUCUAUGAAGACGAUGAGUGGGAGGUGUUUGCUUAGGCUCACAGGGAUGUCAAGUAUGUUAGAAUGCCAAGAGAGUAAGCCCUAAGCCGGCCAAACACGUAUAUAUAGCCCCUCAAACAAAUAGAGCCGUUGGCUCUUUCACUAGGCAAACUGCGGGGUCACCGGACGCUCUUAAAGGGGCACCGGACGCUCAACACCAGCGUCCGGUGCUCCAACGUCAGCCGCGUGUCGCCUUUUGAACUUCUCGUGUUAGAGUCUAACGGUCACCUACAGUGCACCGGACGCUGAGCAAGUUAGCACCGGACGCGUCCGGUGCACACCGGACUCAUGCGCAGAGAGUUCCGCAAACCUGCGGGUCACCGGAUGCUAAGCACCGGUAGCGUCCGGUGCUCACCGGACCCAUGCGCAGAGAGGGUCGCAAAACGCCCGCACACCUGACGUUAACCACCGGACGCUCCAAGCUGCGUCCAGUGCCUAUCGUCCGGUGCCUAACCCUAACAGAGUCAGGCUGCCUACUCACCGGACGCACAGGAACAGCGUCCGGUGCUUCUGAGUCAGCGUCCGGUGAGUGUUCCUCAGCGAGAAACACUCCCGCGACUUCUCCAAAUUUUCCCACCGGCGCAAUAGAGAAUAUGCACUUCAUUUUCUCGAAAAGCAUCAAAUCCCGCCUCGCAAGCUCGGCGGGAGGGAGAGAGGAACCCAUCCUCUCUUUACUCUUCAAACUCCACCUCCUUCUCAAAGUGUGCCAACACCACAACGUGUGUACCAACAAGUGCACAUGUCUUAGCAUUUUCACAAUCAUUUUCUUCGAAGGAGUUAAGUUAGCUCACUAGGUUGUAAAUGCAUGCACAAGAACAAUGACACCUAGUGGCACUUGAUAACCGCUUAGCCAAAGAAUUCCCCUCUUUAUUGUACGGCUAUCUAUCCUAAAUGUGAUCACACCCUCUAUGGUGUCUUGAUCACCAAAACCAAAACCCUAAGCAAUACCUUUGCCUUGAUCUCCAUAGGGUUUUGUUUUUCUCUUUCUUCUUUUCCAAGUUGAGCACUUGAUCAUCUUGUGGUCAUCACCUUCAUCACCAUGAUCAUCACUUGCUCCAUCACUUGGCAUGUACCAACCUCAUUAAGUCUACACACACUUAGUAUAGGGGUUAGUACUAGGGUUUCAUCAAUUAUCCAAAACCAAACUAGGGCUUUCAGUUACUCCAAUUAUUACCUGCAUCAAACAUGUCUACAAGAUUUGCAGAUUCUAAUCCUUCCGAUUGUGAUGGUAUACCGGGGUUAGUAGCAGGAACAGCAGCAGCUAUUUGAUUUAACUGAGAUUCAAUCAUUUUAUUAAAGCUAAUUUGAUUCUUGACGGCAGUAGAGAAAUUAUCCAUUCUAUUAUUUAUAUUUUCUAGCAUUUUAACAUUAGAUGCCAAUUUCUUAGAUAGGUUAUCCAUUAGCUUUCCUUGAUUAGACACUAACUCUCUCAGAGGUAGAAAAUUAUUAUUAUUGUUGUAAGAAUUGUUACCUUGAUAAUUACCUGAGUAGUUAGGCCUCUGUUGAUUCCAACCUUGAUUUUGUUGAGGACGGUUGUAGUAGUAGUUGUUGUUAUUGUUGACGUAUUUCACAUCCUCAAGCAUCUCAGGGAAGUGAUUGCCUGAGUGUCCAGUAUCUCCACACUCCUCACAAGUAAUGUGAGAGUCGUAGAUGUGCAUAACUUCCUUCUUAUCUCCAACUCUAUCAUCGAGCUUCUUCAUGAGCAGGUCUAGCUUUGCAGACAACAUGUCUACCUCAUUGAGCUGAUGCAUACCUCCACCUCUCUUGUGUGUCUGGGUCCUCCCUUCAUUCCAGCCUUGAUUGGACGCCACCUUCUCCACAAGAGCUGUGGCUUGUGGUAUGGUAAGUGAUAGGAAUGCUCCUCCAGCUGCAGCAUCCAUGGUCUCUCGGGCACUAUUGCCGAGCCCAUGAUAAAACGUCUGCAUUAGUAGCCAGCUCUCCAUUCCAUGAUGGGGACAUUCUAGGAUGUAGUCUUGGAAGCGCUCCCAUGCUUCUGGAACGGAUUCAUCAUUUUGUUGCUGAAAACUUGUAAUCUUUCCACGAAGAGCAUUGGUCUUGCCCAUGGGAAAGAACUUAGCCAGGAAGUUUGUUGAGCAGAGUGCCCACAUAGUAUUCUUCUUCUUUGUAGUAUAGAACCACUGCUUCGCUCUUCCUAACAGUAAGAAUGGGAAGAGGCAAAGUAGUAUAGCAUCUCUGGAAACUCCUGAUAUGGUAAAUGUGCUGCAUAUCUCCAGAAAGUGUUGGAGAUGAGCACUAGCAUCUUCGUGUGCCUUCCCACAGAACUGGUUGGAUUGCACCAUGUUGAUAAGUCCAGGCUUGAGCUCAAAGUUGCCAUCGAUCUCUGCAGCAGGUCUAGUGCGGAUGUUGUCUGUAGUGGGAGCUGAGAACUCGCGGAUUGAUUUGUUCGCCAUGGCUUCGAACUCUGAAGACAAGUUCCGGUGAUCUUCUUGAUUGGAUGAAGCUUCUUGCUCAAGUGUUGAUGAUCUCUUCUUGAGUUUGGCUCUAGUUCUUCUGAAUAACGCUUCGGGAUUGUCAACAAAAUUUCCUGGAAGAUGUCUUCUAUUCAUAAAUUCCCCUGCAUAAGAUAAAAUAGAAAAAUAUCGGGGUAAAACUGUAUGAGAGAAUAGAUAAGCUCAAUCAUAUUAGUGAUGUGAAUGAUAACUCAAAAUCCUUUAUUCAUUCCUGAUUAGUAAUCAACCUUCCCCGGCAACAGCGCCAAAAAUGUUUGUUGGGUAUUCUUAACAUCAUUACCAAAAGUAAACUUAGUUUUCUAAAUCUAGUAACGGUGCCAAAAAUGCCAAACCUAUCCCUCACACCACUUAAGCCAAGUUGUCAUCCACAGCAUGAUAUAAGAGACGCGGUAUUGAAAUAUGCAAUUGCUCUUCUAAAUAAAUAAUGAAUGGGAUCUGCAAGCGCACAGAUUAAUACCGAUGUAGCAUUUUAACCGAGAAGUAUUCCAGGUAUCGUUAUUUAUAUUUUUACCACUAGGAAGGGAUUAACAAUCAUCAAUAUUGAUUACAGAAUAGAAUAUGAGAUUGAGCAUCUAUCAUUGCAUGUAUAAUUGAGAACAUUAUAUCUAACUCUUCAUACAGGGAUAAGUGUCACAUAAAAGAUAUAUGAAAUAAUGAAUAGUGACAAGGAUAACUAAUCUGAUCUAGCCACAUAAUAAAUAUGAUAAGCACCUCAAUUAGAUACUCUAGAAAGUCAUUAGCAUGGUAUUAGAACGAACUACAAGAAUAUUCCCUAAGUUAUUCUCAACUAUAUAGUCUAGCAUAUCAUAGUUAGUGCAAGCAUACUUAGCAAUCAUUGCGAGACAAGACUACGCCCAUGCAUAGUGAUAUUAGCAAGGAAUAUGAGAAACAUAGCAAUCACACCCUGUAAUAAUGUUGCUCUGCCAGCCCAAUACACGAGAGGGGGACUAUAUAAGAAUCAAUGAAGCUGUCACUAUCACGAACUACCCCACGAUCUGGCAUAUUGGGUACAAUCGCAGAUAAAUACGGUAUAAGUACCACGCCUACACAAUAUCUAUCAUUUACCCAUGGAUCCGAUGGAUAAACGCUAUACGAUCCUAAGCAUGUAUAUAGAUCCAAUCUAACUAAGCCAAGUACAUAACUAUGAUAAACUAAGAACAAUAUAAUGUUGAAUAUAAACAAGUAGAGCAAAGUCAUAAGCAAUAUAUUGAAGGAGAACAAAGUAAUAUUCAUAAUAUUGAAGAACAAAGAUAAUUAGAAGAACAAUUAGAAGCACAAUUAGAGAAUUACCAAGAAUCCUCUUGACAGAUCCGGAAACCAAUCGAAGAUUGACUCCUUCUAGUUCUAAUCCUAUGUAGCUAUGCUAAUCUAGAUGUCUAAUUGAUGUGGUGGCUCUAAUCUUGAUCAGAGGCUUCUUCUCCCUUGAAGAAUAAUGAAUUAGGGUUGAGAGGCUCUCUCCUCCUGGGGCCAGGGGGUCUGGUUUUAUAGUCCCUUCAAGUGAAUAUGGGCCGUUGGAUCAAACCGACAUAGAUUGAACGGUUAUCCUUGAUCCUUUAGGUCGGUGGAGAUCUUUCCCGAGAGAGUCCUGAUUGGGCUCGGCAGGAGGGCGGGCGCCCAGGGCAACUGGGCGGGCGCCCAGUCCCUGGCCCCGUUCAGCCUACGCUUCCUUCCCGUGGCUUCUGGAGUCUUCUAGAUGUAAGAUAAUUGCACGGCACGUUAAUAUCUCUAUGUAAUCCCGACGUGUGGGCCUUUCUUCCGUAUUUCCUGAUAACCCCCUGCAGAAAUAGACUAACACCAAAACUCAUGGAAUUCUGUCAGAUAAAACCCUAAGUCUAGAUGUUGAUUUCAUUUAGAUCCUUUUCUUUGUUUAUUUGAUAAUUAAAUUUGAUACUUAAGGACCGUCAACAUCGAGCACAUUGGCUGGUGCUUCUUGUGGUUGAGAUGCUGGUUGAGGAGGAGACGGUACUUGCUGUGUCUGGAUUUCUGGUGAAGAGGGGGAUGAUUCCACAUGUAUCGGUGACACUGGACGAGGAGGAGAAGAUGGUUCUGUCCUCUGGCGCUUUGGUUGCGACUUGGUGCUUUUAGGACCUUUUCUCUUGACCUGGCUAGGCUGGGGGGCAUCAGCACUUGUUUGGGCGCUUCUAGUCUUUGCUGAUUUGCUAGUUUGCUGUUACAACAACCAAGAUGUCAUCAGAAGGGAUAUGAAAGAAUGUUGAUGAAAUUUUGUUAAAAAAUAAAAGUUACCAAUGAAGUUCCCAUAGCAGCCGAUGUAUCCUAAAAAGAUUAUAUGAGUAUGGAACAGAAUCGAUAUAAGCAAAGGAAAUCUAAAGUCUACCUUGAAAGCCUGUGCCAAGGUAGCAGCGGCAACCGUUGGGGAUGUCUUUGACCGCUUGGUGGUUAUCUUCUUAAAAUGCACAUUCUGAUGCAUUAAAGCUGCCAGACUUCGUGCGUUGUUACCGAUCAGAGAGAUUGGACCUGACGGGAGGAGUUCAAUCGGUCUUCCACUUCUGCUGACUGUCGGUGGCGGGUUGUCGACCUGUUUAAAAAGGAGAGGGUGAGUUACCAAUGACGAUAAAAGCAACAAAAGAACUGAGGUAUCGGUUGAAGACUUACAAUGUUAUUGGGGAUCUUAUGUUGUGGUCGAUCAUGCCGCAGUAUGUCAGAGCCGAUGUGCAGAACAGGUGUUCUUUCCACUCUUCCCAAUACUGCUUGUACAUCUGAGUGAUGAAAAGGGCUGGAAUCCAUGCCGAUAAAUCAAUAUCUGACGUAAUGGCAUUUGGCUGAAGGUGAGCUAUUCUUAUCCACUCAAGUCCACUGGUUAUAGUCUCCCUUGGCUUCACCACAUCGGCAUAGCAGAGUCCAAUCGGCAGCCGCCCAAAAGCCAGUUGACGAGCCAGUGCCGAUGGGUUAUAAAAUUCAUAAGUGCGGUUGGAGUUCUUCCCACUGCCAAAAAUAUUCACUGGUAUGGCCCUUGGAGUGAUAAUUGCCAUCAUCAGGUCAUGGUCCUUGUUGAGAGCGUCAUAAAAAGGGUGAAAAGUGAGCGGGAAUCUAGUUUUUGGAUCUUCAUAAGGCAUCCAUGCCCGCUGAUCUUUGGAAAGACCCUCAUAAAGGGUUUGGAAGAAUCGGCUGACCUGGUCUUCAUUGCCACCAGUACCAGGUAGGACUAUAGCAGCCUCACCAUAGUUCAGGGGUGGGCGAGUUGCCGAUUCUUCAUCAGCCAGUUCAUGUUCUUCGGUGAUAUCUGUGGGAAAGCGCUGUGCAAACAGGUCGAAUCCAAGGUGUUUGUGCAUGUGAACACUGAGCCACAUAUUGAUGAACCACCAAGGGCCUCCUAAGUUGCCGAUGGGUUGGCCUAACAAAAGCUUCUCGGCUACUUGAUGAAGGAGAUGAUAAACAGAGCCUAACAAGUAUCGACCAAGGGGGAAGCGACCACCGCCGGCUAGUUUCUCUGCUGCCAAUAGAUACACAGAAGUUGGUCCUACCGAUCGGCCGCAAAAUACAAAUUUAUCUAGCCACUUGUUCAGAAAGAUGGCAUGUUCCCUUUGCCCAACUAGUCCUGUUUUCCGGUACUUCUGAAUGUACCCUGACGAGCCACCGAUGUUGCGAGUUUCCACUUUACGUUCAGGCUUACUGUCGAACAGGUGGCUAUCAUCGGUAGUUGCUAUUUCUAGACCAGUGAGCAUAAGUACAUCGGCAAGGGUAGGAGAAGCAGGGCCAUGGCCGAACAUGAAAGCAUUGAGGGUGUCUGACUAGAAAUACGAAGCUACUAUCAAUAGUGAUUCGUUCCUCUCCAUAUCGGCAAUAGAUAGCCUAAUGCACUGGUCGCUCACCCCAUUGGACUUCAUUUGAGUUACCGAUUCUCAGGAACCAAUCUCUCCACCCCUUGGUAGAACUGGGCCAGGAUCGAAAGGUGUCUGUCCACAGAUCUAAUGAGAAGUUCUCAGCUCUAAAGGGGGUCCUAUUUGUUUCUGCAUUUAUCAAAUCGGUAGGAUCUGGGUUUCCCAAUGGACCAAGGCAUUGAAAGUGGGGUUGAUCGGUGGGAAUAACAAUUUUCUUGGCCAAUUCCUAAAGGUUUGAAGGUUGAAAAAAUAGGGAAAAGAAAGAGAGAAAAUACCAAGUAAAUAAUUGUGCGAAAGAUCAAAAAUACGGUGAAAAGAAGAAAGGGGAUGCUGAAUUGACCUUAGGGACGACGAAGUUGAUGGUCAUUUCUUGCCAAGAGGAGGAAGAGAUCGAAGACUCGGAAGAUCGUUGGAGGAGAUCCUUGCCGGAGUUCUUGAGUUUCUCGAACAGUGCCGCCGCCAGGAAGGUGGGUUUGAUGAUGCCGGAUGACAACAUGGAGGAAGAGUACCGGAGAAAGAAGUAUUUAUAGGACAAAGAAGGCAGGGGCAAUUCUGACUUAUCUCUUCACCGUAUGCGUAAAAUCCAAGGGUGUUCAGGUGGAUAUGGUAACUGUUCACACGGUAAUCAAGGGAUUGUGCAAGUGAUUUGACAGCAAGCGGUCAUGAUUUUGGAGAUAUUUUACUGUGCAAGAUCUCCUGGUCGGCUCAUCGGCAGUCUUCUCUAACAGAAAUGUUGCCGAUGAACGUAUAUUUGGGAGAUUCGGUUCGAGAAGUUGAGAGAUUCGAGCAGCAUGUUGGAGAACCGAGACAAGGUUGUUUGGAUUUGGUAAUGAAUAACUGACAUGAAGGAGUAAUUGCGGAAAGGCAUCAUUACUGAAGAGAAUUUUGGAGCAUUAAUGAUUUUAUACUCCGAAAUUAGGGGGCAUGUGUUGACACCAUUUUUGGACACGUACCUUUGGACACAUAUCUGGGAGUUAAUGAGGCGUGGAUCGGCAAGCAAAUGAAGUGGUGACUGGUUGACAGAAGAGUUGCCGAUGAGGGUUGAUACCGAUGAUGAAACAACAGAAUAUGGCCAAGUCCAGGAGUGGUGAUGGAUCUAUGCCGAUGAUUGAUGCUGAUAGUUGCCGAUAGGUAAUUCACCGAUGGUCACAAAGAGAGACGUAGGAAUUGUCGAUCGAGUAGUGAUGGUGUUCCGAUCGGUUGUGGAAGAUAAAUUAAUGUUUUCCAUAGUAAUUAGAGUUUGUUUUGUAUACAGAUUCCAUUCAAUUUGGAAUUCGAGUCCUAGUUGUGUCUGAUUGUAACCCUUUUGGGCAGGGUAUAAAUAUAAGACCUCGUAGCGAUGUAAGAAGAAUACACAAUCAAUCAAACACAAGUUUUUACACAUAUUCUAGCAUCUACUUUUUUGACGACUUCGUCACCCUGCUUAUUUUCCUUUUACUAUGAGUUCUUAGGAAUUCCUCGAGUCAACCACGGUGAGUUCUCGAGUUCCACGUGAAUACCUCUUGGUCGUGACAUCUAGGUGCAUCGCUGUUGUCGGGACCAAAGUAUUCGAGUUAUCACCUUUGUCGAUUGUAAGGUCAAAUCGGCUGGCACGCCUUAACAUUGAAUCGGGUAUUAGCCCUUUGUUUUUGCAGAUCUACUUUUGCAACAACAGAAUGCUACGACAUUAAUUGAGAAGAUGGUAGCCAACCAGAGUUGUGGAGAGGGACGCAAAACACAAAAAGGCAUGCAUACCGUGAAGGAGACGGAUCUGCUUGCCACAAAAAUAGACCUACUAAUGAAGAGAUUGGACGAAUAGGUCAUUGAUCCUACCACCAGCACUGUCCAAGCCAUCGACUCACGCAUGACAUGUGAGGAAUGUAUGAAUGUUGGCCACAUGGAGAUCAAUUGCCCUGGAACCCAGGAGGAUGCAUCAUUCAUCAACAACAGGUUCCGCGAACAACAGCAAGGUAAUGAGUGGAACAACCAGAACUGUCCCUAAGGUAAUUUCUCCAAUUUUAAUUCCUCCCAGCCUUCGCUGAAAGAUCUUGUGCUAAGUCAGGCCAAAAUCAAUGAAAUCUUGUUAAAAAGCUUUCUGAAAAUGAUCAAAUGUUUGUCAACAUAAAUACAAAGCUUGAUGGCCUGACCCUUUCUGUUAGAGAUCAGCUAGCUUUUAAUAAGAAGAUCGAGUUAAAAGUAGCUCAGCUUGCUUCUACCGCUAAAACUAUUGUUUCUCCGGAUUCUGUGGAAAAUGUAAAUGCGGUGACCACGAGAGGGGGUAAGACCACUCGUGAUCCCCCUUAUCCUAACCAUAAGACAGGAAGGGCGCCACGGCAACAGGAGGAAACACAGGCAGAAGGACCGGCUCAACCAUUAGAAGAAUCCAGGGAAGACGAGCCGACCCCAAACAACUAUGGGCACACCACGAUGCUACCCUUUCCCACAAGAGAAAGGAGGAAGAGGAAGGACGAAAAUGAACAAUUCCUCUACUUCGUGGAAAUGGUUGAAAAGAUGCACGUCAGUGUACCGUUGAUGGAUGUCUUGCAUAUUUCGUCCUACUCCAAGUUCAUCAAGGACAUCAUCAACAAGAAGCGACCAUUGCCGUCCACUGAAGUUGUCAAGCUGACAGAGGAAUGUAGCGCAGCUAUACUCAAUGAGCUGCCCUAGAAGAAGCAGGAUCCUAGGUGCCCCACAAUCUCUUUCUCAAUUGGGGCCCAGCAAUUCGACCACGCCCUAUGUGAUUUAUGUAACACCCUAGGUGUUAAGCAUGCACUUAGUCUUACCAAAGCAUUCAUAAGCCUUCUCAUCAAGCAUAGCAUCACAUAAGCAUGUCAUCCAUCUAAAAUAUGAUUUUAUGUACUUUAUUCCAUAUGAUUUAAAUGUGUUAAAAAUAUGUUGCUUGCUUCUAAAAUUGUAAAAUGUUCAAACUAGGUUGAAUGGUGUGUAAGAAGAUUUAAGAAUAUUUUUGUGCAAUUUUUGGAGCCAUAGAAUUUGAGAAAUGGAGUUUAUACAAAAAUCCCCAAAAUAAAUUUAUUAGAAAACCUAGAACAAGUUCUAAUCUGUAAGUCAAAUUCUAUUUGGAAUCUGGUCUUGCUUAUUAAAACAAAGUUGUAGGGUUUUUGUUUUGGAACAACUUUGCUGUUGGGGGAAAAGGGUGAAAAGGAUUUUUAAAUAGUCCAAAUGAAUUUAGAAAGAAUUUGAGAAAAGAAUUUCAAAAAAAAGGGGACAGGCGCUGCUGGGCCAACCUCGCCUCCCUUUCGGCCCAGCCAGCAGCCCGGCCUGCCUCCCCCUCACCUCUCUCUCCCGCGCACGGCGCCUGCCUCACCCCAUCCAGAGACGGCCACGUGGCGGCCGUACGCCGGCGUUGGGCGCGCCGCGGCCGGCCACCUCCACCCCCUGGUCGGGACCCCGACCCGCGCCCCCAGAGCCCUCCCUCCAUUCUGUCGCCCGCGCCUCUUCCUCCUCCAUCCGCUCGCGCAGCAGUAGUAGCAGUAGCAGUUCCGCCGCACGCGAUUGCCGGAGCAAGCCCCGCCGCUCGCCGCCGGCCGCACCAGAGCUUCAAGCUCGACGCCAAGAGCACCAGCGCACUCGUCGUCGUCGCGGUAAGCCCCUGCGUGCGCUCUACCGAGGUGAGAAGCAGCCGUGCGCCGUGAAUCGCUCGCCGGAGUUGCUCCAACCUCGCCGGAGUGCUCCGCCGCGACGGAUCUUGCUGUAUCCUGCUUCUUUUCGCUCGUUCUUUGGUGCGCUAGGUCGGUAGUGAGGUGAGGAAGCUCGGAGAGUCGUUUGCGCGCGCUCUACCGCACCGGAGCGGCCUGGCCACGGCGAGCAGCGCCGCCGUGCCGCCAUGCACGCUCGUCGGAGGUGUUCCGGUCAUCCUCCCGCCAAUCCGAGGGUACCCCUGGAUGCGCCUCGCUGCGGGGAGCACGCUGGUGCUCACUCCGUGGCCGGAGACCUUGCCGUCGGCGAAAGCCGGCCGGCCGAAGCUCGGCCAGUGCGUUGCACGGCUGACCCGUGGGGUCACGGCCCCGGAUCCCACCUGUCAGUGCCUCUGCGGGUGUGGAUCUGGGUGAGUUUAGCUUUUUGCGUCGGUUUUCUUAAAUAAAUGAUUUCCAGAAAUUGAUUUAAAACUUGUAAAAUCCAUAUCUUGAGUUCUACAGCUCCAAAUCUGGUGAAAUAAAUUUUGGUGUGCUCUCCAUUCCCAGAUCUACAGUUUGAUGUAAUUGCAUGUCAUGUUUGAAUAACUUUUCUGUAUAAAUAUAUUUAAUCCAUGUUUUUGCUGGAUUUGGAAAAUGCAUAGUAAUUAAAAUAUGACUCAGAAAAAUGUGAAACUUGUUUUGUUGGCUCUGCAUGUAUGUUUAAUCACAGGAAAAAUGUUGCUACACAUUAUUUGGUGUAUAAAUGAAUUUGUAGUGAUUUAAAUGCUUGCAUGGCAGUGGUUUAUAAUUUUUAAUAAAUGAUUGGAUCAUGCAAUUAAUCUGGUAAUUUUUGUGGGUGUUUCUGAUGAUAUUAGGCAAACUACAAAAAUAUGAAAUCUGCUGUUUGACACUUAUACCACAGUAGGGUAAUUUUAUUUGCCGUUAGGAAUUAAUCUUGUGAUUUUUGUAGCUCGAAUAAGUGUCCAAAAAUUAUGAAAAAUUUAUGAUGGACUUUAUGUUUGACUGGUAGUCUCCUGUAAUUUUUGUGGAAUUUAUUGAUAAACAGAAAUGCAUGCUAAUUUUGAUGGGCCUAAGAAUGAAUAAAGAAAUUAUGAAUUGUUAUAUAUGGGUCAAAUAGAAUAAAAGGGGUUUGGUGUAUCUUUGAAGCAUCUUGUGAGUUGCUGGUUACACUUGAAGACAAUUUGUAGAAGAGAAUGCAAUAGAUGUUUAAUUCAAUUGCAUGUUCUUGGAUGAUGUUGACUACCUUGUAAAUGAUCACAUAAAUCAUCCAUACAUCAUGUCAUAGUCAUCUGGUAUUCUCUCGCAUGAGCAUUUCACCCCGGGCAUCUCGCACUCCACUCAUGAGCACACAUGCAUCAUACAGGCUCGCAGGAGAACGAGGUGGGACCCGAGGAGCCAGAGGAGACCCAGGAGCAGGAUCCUCUGGGAGCACCGGAACCCGGAGAAGAGCUGCAGGAGUGUCCGGAGCAUUCUAAGUCUCCCUAUUCUCGCUAGACCCAGCACGUUUGAGAAAGGCAAGCCCCGGAGCAUUUUAAGUCUCCCUAUUCUCGCUAACUUACAGGAUAUAUUAUGCUUGUUCUACUAUAUUGCAUUUAAGUGAUAGGAAUUGGUUGAUACCGUUGAUGCAUAUGUACUCCUUGAUAUCAACAUCCGUUUAUCUACCUUGUCCUAUGUAGAUAGGUACGGAGUCUAUGCUUAGCCUGCUUAGCCGGUAGAAGUCGGGUGAUUUCCUGUCACCUACGAGAUAUAGGUGGAUACCUGCUUGAUUAAGCGGUGAUUGCUUUGGGAAAAGAAUAACCAAGUAUGGAAUGGAAAUUUGAGACCGGGUAGGGUCUUAUGGUGGGUUGACUGUAGUGCCCCUGCCUGUGUCGAUUAAGGACCGAUCGUUGACGGCCCUCUUGUCAUGUUGAACACAUGCCCCACAUUUAGCUGGAAGGAUAAGUCGUUCCGACCGCGAAGCCUGAGCACUAUCCGGGCCGGGAAUCGGCCUGAUGUACGCGCUGUAUUGGUGAUGGUUGAGGAGAACGAAGAGGGCGCGGCGCGCAACCUUGGUAUACCUUGGAUACCUCGGUCGCCGGAACGGUCCUCGGGUACGGGCGGUGCCUGUCGAACCCGCGAAUUGGUCCCGGAUAGUGCAAUACGGUGAUCUGUAGCUCACUUGAUCAGUGAGUGUGGUUUGUGUGGGGAAAUAAACUCGCCAGCUGGUUAGAAAUCGAUUCGAAUCACCAUCACUCCUGGAUAGUGAGCACUUGACAUGAGCCCUGUCCUCGUAGUAAGGACUAUAGAACAUUUGGGUUAUAAUGAUGAAUGGUUGCAUGAAUGCUAUGAUGAGGUACCAUCAUAUUACUAUACUUGCUUGUAAUAGUGCAGGUGCAAACCUAGACAAUAGGUAAUAAUACCUUCAACUUGAGCAAAUUAAAAGAACAAAGAUUUAUGUAGGUUAUGUUAAUCGAAUCUUGCGGUUAUGCAAAAAGGUUGUCAGCUACCCCACUAUAUAGCCUUCAUGAUCCUUGAAGAGUCUUUAUUUUAAGUUUAUGUCGGGUAAGUCUAGCUGAGUACAUUCUCGUACUCAGGGUUCUAUUCCCAUGUUGUUUUGCAGAUGGUUAAAUGUACUAUGGUUAUUGCAUCCUCUGCCUGUACCCAGCUAUGGGUGAUGACUAGACCAAGGGCGAUGGUCACUCCGUCUCUUCUUUUGCUUUUGUGGGAAUGACCAAAACUAUGGCACUGUAUCAGACUAAGUAUGUGUGUGUUAUUUUCGAACUAAGAAGCUUCCGCUAUCUGUGAACUUGGCUUGUAAUAACUUUAAGCACUCCAUGUAUCGUAUGAAUGGUUUCGAACUGGAUGUAACUGUGAAUGGUGACCGCUGAACUUAUUACGAUCUUGGCUGUGUGUACAAUAUGUGGUUUGAAAUCCUUCGAGAUUUCACGGACUACCGGGAUUAUAUGGGCUUAAGCUCGAUGGUUUGACUAUGCAAAUGGUCGCUAUUAGGCUUAAUCUCUUAUAAUUUGGGCAGUUCUGUUACAGCUGGUAUCGGAGCAAGGUUUAGCGAGUUACUGUUCAUAAGUACGUUCUGAACUAAAUCUAAAACUGGUUUAAUAAGAGAUUUUUAUUAAUGAUAAUCAAGGUGUCAACUAAGUUUUUGGAAAAACUAUCUGGUGUGCCAUGGUCAUAUCCUUUAUGCCUACUUAAGGACUCUAAGGUGGCUAGUUAAGUACUGACUUGGGGGUUAAUGCAUCAUAUUUCUAUUCGUCGCUCAUAUGGCGUGCAAUAGUAUGAGUACCAUUCAUUUGAGUGGUAAUGUAUGGAUCAAUUUUUCCUCUACGCCCCGGUAAGUGGGAGUUGUGAGAGCAUGAUCGGAUACACUGCCGGUCUAGAGGAGUGUUGUUAGGUGUUGUGUCAUGCACCCAUGGUUGGUGUGCUUGGGAACAGUACCGCAUGUUGGGAAUUCCGUCCUGAGAGGCGAUGCCGUCAUUAGGGCGAUGAUGUGGGUAGUAACACGUCAUAUGCAUGGACGGGUGUCUGUGUAUGUGGGGUGUAUAGUUUUAAAUUCUUGUUCUGCAUAAGCAUACUGUGGUUAGGCUGAAAUGAGUUUUCUGCAGGUACACUAAUCACGUUCUCGCUUAGAACGCUAGUUACGUUAUGAGAGAACGUUGUGUGCCACCGCAUAUACGGCUUAGUGUUAACUUUUGUCUCUAAGUUUGUGAGAUCGUAAGCCCGUGCAUGCAUCAUGUUCAUUUCAUAUCAUUGCUAACUUUCCCCCUUAAUUUAAUCUGUCCCAAUUCUAAAUAAAAUAAUUAAAGAUAAUCCUCCAUCUUACCCAAGGUAUUCCCUUUGCAGCAGAUGGCACGCACUAGGCUCACCGCUCGUAAGUCCACUGGUGGGCGGGCCCCUCGCUAUCCGUUGGCCGCCAGGAGCUCGCGUCAUAAGAGCAAGUUCCUGGGGGAGUUUGGGAUGCCCACCUUGUUAUGGAGGGUGCUCAGUUCGAUGGGGUGUCCCGAAGGAAGGGAACCUCGCUACUAUUGGGACAAGGAGCAGCUUGGUGAUGGGACCCUGGUAGGAAUUGAGGCAGUGGUCCCUACCAGUGGAGGUGACCCCGCCUGGGGCGGUUGGGUGUACGAGUCCCGAGGUACCACACCUUUUCACGGUGCCAGCAGGGCAGCUUUUGCAGUUCUGAGGGACCUCAUGGAGAGGUUUCCACAGGAGCUGGCCCACACCUUCGCUGGGGUGUUUCCCCGGGGUGACCCUACACUUCGGUGUGGGAUCAGUCCGAGGUGAAUGCUCUAGAGAGGAGUGCGGAUGAGGACCAGCACAGUGACAGCACAGCUAUGAGUGCUAUGUACGCUUUGAUGAAGACCUAUGGAGGCCUGGAGCGUUGUUUGGGGCGCUUGUCCGGGUCUCUUCUCACUGUCCAGGAUGAGAAGCGUCAGCUGCAGCGUGAGUUCGACAAUGAGGUUGAGAGGCUGCAGGCAGAGUUGGCCCACGUGACCCAAGAGAGGGACCAGGCGGUCUAGAAAAACAGUGAGCUGAGCCAGGACUUUCCUGCAGUGCGAGAGCAGAGAGACAGGGUUACUACUGCUCACAGGAACUGCGAGCGCAUGCUAGUCCAUGUGCUUGGUCAGAGGAAUGAAGCCUGGCACGAGAAGGACACUUUGAGGGCCCGACAGCUAGAGCUCGAGCAGCAGCUAGCUAAUGCCGAGGAGUACAAUGAGAACUUGCAUGAGGAGAUCCACCAGCUGCAUAAUCAGCUCCACCCUCACUCUCUGCCUGGGGCAGCUGAGCUAGACUCUGAGGACGAGAUGGACGCGGAUCCCGAGAUAGGAGCAGCUGCUAGUGGAGAUGAGGACAAGGAGGGCUCCGGCAUGGACAGUGACCAUAGCGAGUAGAUGCUAGGGCCCUAGAGCUACUCCUUCUUUUGUUGUUGUUGUUGCAUGGCAUGUCUUGUACUUUUGGAUCUGGGCUAUGUAAAACUUUAUGAGAUGACGCUGAAAGUCCAGUGUAUGUAUGCUGGCAAGUUUGGAUGUUUGCGAACAUUGUUGCUGGAAUGUUAAGUAAUCUGUUAGUGAUGUUGUAUGUGGAUGAUGAAUUGUUGUGGCUCUGUUUAUUGUGCGAAUUUAUUUCCUCAGUAAAUUUAGUGUGGCAUAAUUCUACAUAUGUCUACCGUUAACGGCAACUCCUAACGAAUGCUUAUCGUUGACGCAUGCAGAUGGUGCAAACACGUGGCAGGGGUAACAGUAACCCCGGUCUUGGAGCAGGUGCCUCCGGAGGUGGGGCUCAACGGAACGAGGAAAGAGCACCAUCACCGCCACCACCACUGCCUCCUCCGUAUACUGCGGAUGUGUUUUUCGCACAGUUUCUGGGGAGCCAAUGCAACAUAGAACAAAUGCAGCGCAAUAUGGAAGAAGCCCUGCGUAACAUAGCUGACAACACCCGCCGUGGGGAUAACCAGGGCGGUCGUGAAGUCAAUCAGUACAGCUCUUUCAAGGACUUCAUGGAUACCAAGCCACCAGUCUUCAAGGAGGCGUUGGAACCACUCGAGGCAGAUGAGUGGAUCAACACUAUGGAGCAGAAGUUUCGUCUUCUUCGGAUGACAGAAGAACUCAAGGCUGAGUAUGCAGCGCAUCAGUUGCAAGGACCUGCUGGGAUUUGGUGGUCCCAUCACCAUACUACCUACCCAGAGGGGACCCCAAUCACUUGGAACCACUUCACCACCGCUUUCCGAGGAAAUUACAUUCCUCCGAGUGUGGUUGAAAUGAAGGUUGGGGAAUUCAUGCGGUUGUCUCAGGGGACGAAGUCUAUAAAGGAGUAUCUACACGCUUUUAACAAUCUUGCUCGCUACGCCCCUGAGUUUGUGAACACGGAGGCCAAGAAGAUUGCUAGUUUCCAGAGAGGCUUGAAACCAAAGAUGCUGAAGACCAUGGGUACAGGAGCCAGGGCUACCUUCAAUGCUUAUAUCAGCGACUGUCUGACCCAGGAGAACAAUAACAACAACUAUAGUGCAUCCAAGUCUCGUAAGAGAGCUUUUGAGGUUGGGUCAUCCCAGUUCAGGGCACCAGUGGCAGGGCGACAGCAGUAUCGUCCUCCUACCCCGGGUGCUAGGUUCCGGCCGCCGCAGAGAAGGAACACCGGACAUCCAACGCAGCACAAGCCAUACAAGGUGGCGAUAGCUCCUGCCAAGCCAAAGGCAAUUCAAGUUGCGGCACCUGCCGCCAACAAUGCGCCCAAGGGUCCGUGCUACAACUACCACAAGAUGGGGCACUUUGCCAAGGAGUGUCCCUACCCCAAGAGACAACAGCCAACCUAUCCAGCUCGUGUGCACCAUACCUCGAUCGAGGAGAUCUCGAAAGGAGAACCGUUAACAGCUGGUAUGUUUCCUGUCAACCAACAUCUUGCAGUUGUUUUGUUUGAUUCUGGAUCAUCGCAUUCAUUCAUGAGCCAAGCAUUUGCGCAAAAGCAUGACCAGCCAGUUACUGAGUUGGGUUAUGGCUAUCGCAUCAGCUCAGCCGGGGCUGAUGUGUUGACUAACAAAACAGUAACAGGAGUUACCUUGGAUAUUAGUGGCCGAAGGUUUCGUGUAAACCUUGUGGUCAUGCCAGGGCUGGUUUUGGAUGUCAUCAUUGGAAUGAAUAAGAUGACUGACUAGGGUGCUGUUAUAGAUGCCGGGAAUAGAACUCUUUCCCUCAAAGACCCGCGGGGGGGAGGUGUGCUUCAGAUCAAGCUACCCCAACGGUUAGACUUCGCUAGUCUUUCAUGUGCAGUACAGGUGGUUCCACUAGAACACAUACCCGUGGUAUGUGAGUUCCCUGAUGUUUUUCCCGAGGAAUUGCCGGGACUUCCUCUAGAUAGGGAAGUAGAGUUUGCAAUCGAGUUGAUACCAGGUACAGCACCAAUAUCUAGAAGGCCGUACCAGAUGCCACCAAACAAACUCGCUAAGUUGAAGAAUCAACUAAAGGAAUUACUGGAUAAAGGGUUCAUCCAGCCAAGUUCGUCAGAAUGGGGUUGUCCGGCGUUGUUUGUGAAAAAGAAGGAUCAAUCAUUGCGCAUGUGCGUGGACUACCGUCCACUCAAUGCAGUGACAAUCAAGAAUAAGUAUCCUUUGCCAAGGAUUGAUAUCUUAUUUGAUCAGUUGUCCAAGGCAAAAGUGUUUUCCAAGAUAGAUUUGAGAUCUGGGUGUCACCAAAUCAAGAUUCGCCCGCAAGAUAUCCCGAAGACUGCUUUUUCCACCAGAUAUGGGUUGUAUGAGUAUCUGGUCAUGUCCUUUGGGUUAACGAAUGCUCCUGCAUACUUCAUGUAUCUGAUGAAUUCAGUCUUUAUGCCAGAGUUAGAUAAGUUUGUUGUAGUGUUUAUCGAUGAUAUCCUGAUUUAUUCAGAAAAUGAGCAAGAUCUCGCCGAGCAUCUGAGAAUCGUGCUAACACGAUUACGAGAGCAUCAGUUGUAUGCAAAAUUCAGCAAGUGUGAGUUCUGGUUGAAGAAGGUUCCUUUUCUAGGGCACAUUUUAUCUGAAGAAGGGAUCGCCGUGGAUCCGUCGAAAGUGCAGGAAGUCAUGGACUGGAAGGCACCAACUUCUGUCUCGGAAGUUAGAAGUUUUCCUGGUCUGGCCGGGUAUUAUCGUCGUUUCAUACCCGACUUUUCCAAAAUUGCUAAGCCGAUGACUAGUUUGCUACAAAAAGAUCAUAAGUUUGUCUGGACGGAGGGGUGUGAGCUAGCCUUCCGCACCUUGCGAAAGUUGCUAACCACUGCUCCAAUUCUGGCGCAGCCCAAUAUCGAGAAGCCUUUUGAUGUGUUUUGCGACGCGUCGAAAAGUGGCUUGGGUUGUGUGUUGAUGCAAGAUGGCAGAGUGAUAGCUUACGCUUCACGACAGUUGAGAAAGCAUGAAGGCAACUACCCAACUCACGAUCUCGAGUUAGCAGCAGUAGUGCAUGCUUUGAAGAUUUGGAGACACUAUCUGCUGGGAAAUAAGUGUCAUAUCUAUACCGAUCAUAAGAGUUUGAAGUAUAUCUUCACUCAGUCCGAGCUGAAUAUGAGGCAACGACGGUGGUUAGAGUUAAUCAAGGACUAUGAUCUGGAAGUUCACUAUCAUCCAGGCAAAGCUAAUGUAGUAGCAGACGCUUUGAGUCAUAAACCGCACUAUCAAGUGGUUCAACCGUUGUUUGAAGAUGGUUUCAAUCUCAUGCAUCCUGAAGUCUUGUGUCACAUACAACUCAGUUGUUCCCUCGAGAGUCAAGUCAUUGAAGGUCAGAAGACAGACAAGGGUAUUUUCCACAUCAAAGAGAAGAUCAAGGAUGCCCCAAAAACUCAAUUUCGAGUUGAUGAGAAAGGGGUAUUGUGGUUUCAACAUCGGUUAGUAGUCCCGAAAGAUCGUGAAUUGAAGAAUCGCAUCAUCGAUGAAGCCCAUCUCUCUAAGCUUUCUAUUCAUCCUGGCAGUAGUAAAAUGUAUCAAGACCUAAGACCCCACUUUUGGUGGACCAAAAUGAAGAAAGAAAUAGCCGCAUAUGUGGCCCGUUGUGACACGUGUUGCAGAGUUAAGGCCAUCCAUAUGAAACCUGCAGGUCUAUUGCAACCGUUAUCAGUUCCAGAGUGGAAAUGGGAAGAGGUCAGUAUGGACUUCAUCACAGGUUUACCAGUGAUGAGGAAGGGGAAUGACUCGAUUUGGGUAAUCAUAGAUCGAUUGACUAAGUCGGCUCAUUUCAUUCCUGUGAAAAAUCGUUACCGACCUCCUGAGUAUGCUGAUAUUUAUAUCGCAGAGAUCGUCAAGUUACAUGGCAUUCCCAAAACCAUCAUAUCGGAUAGAGGACCACAGUUCACCGCUCACUUUUGGGAGCGAAUGCAUAAGAGUUUGGGGACCAGUCUAAUAAGAAGCACUGUAACACCCUAGGUGUUAAGCAUGCACUUAGUCUCACCAAAGCCCUGCAUAAGCAUUCCAUCAAGCAUAAGCAUCAUGAGCAUGACACUCUUGAGCAAAUUAUGAUUUUAUGUGCUUUAUUUCAUGUGUUUUAAACAUGUUAAAAAUAUGAUACUUGCUCCUAAAAUUGUGAAAAAUUCAAAUUAGGUUGAUUUAUGUGUGAGAAGCAUUUAGAAUAUUUUUGUGCAAUUUUUGGAGCUAUGGAAUCUGAGAAAUGGAAUUUAUACAAAAAUAACCAAAAAGGAUUUAAUUAAAACCUAGAACUGAGUUUUAACUUGUAAAUUCAAAUUCUGUUUGGAAUUUGGUCUUGCUUGUUAAAGCAAAGUUGUAGAGUUUUUAUUUUGGAACAAUUUUGUUUUUGGGAGCAAGAGGUGAAAAUGCUUUUUGGCUGGUCCAAAUAAUUUUAGAAAGGAAUUUGGAAAAAGAAUUUCAAAAAAAAAAGAAAGGGGGAGCUGUUCACUGGCGGGCCGGCGCCAACCAACCGGCCCAGCCAGCGAAGCCAGCCCAGGCCGGCCGCGCCGCGUCCACCCCCCCUCCCCGCGCGCGCUCGGACACGGCCGCGCCGCGCGCGCCCGACCGCGUCAGGCCGACGGCGCCGCGUGGACGGCAUGCGCUGCUCGCCGGCGCCACGACCCCCCCCCUCCGCUGCGGACAACGCCACCUCCCUCGCCAUUCUCUCCUCCACCCGGUGCGCACCCCCUCGCUCCCUCUCGCGCUCUCCUGCCUCCUCUCCGCGCGCACCGUGCCGCCGCUCGCCAUUGGAGCUCCCCGAGCUCCGCUCACCGUGUUCUCGGCACUCCGUCGCCUCUCAGCGCCUCCUUCCACCUCUCCGAGCUCCGCAUUCGUCUCCGCGUGCUCGGACGUAGUUUCUUCGCGCAGGUAAGCGGUUCUAGCGAGCCGAAUCGCUCGCCGGAGAGUCCGCGGCCUCGCCGGAGCUCUCCGCGGCGUCGGCAUCGCUGGUUUUCCCCCUUCCGAACCUCUCUUGCCUCGCUAGCGCGCGCAUUAUGGUCGUCGUGGCUCCCUGAGUCGCGAGAAGCCGCACUCGAGCGCUCUACCGGAGCGUGGUGGCCGGCACCGCUGCGGCAGCGCCGCCGGUCCGCCAUUGCCGGUGGCCAACUCGCUGUGCGGGGUUUCAGGGCGAGUAAAGGGGUGGGAUCGAGUCGCAAGAAGGAGGCGAACGUGUUGGUGCCGUUGGUUCCGGCCGAGAGGCAUCACCGGCGGCGAGCCGUCGUCGGGGAUCCUCUCCCCUCUCGGUGUCCUGGCCAGCGGGCCCGGCUGGCAGGCGGGUCCGCUCGUCAGCGGCCGCGGGUGCACUGCACCGGGUGCACCUAGCGGGGUCACGGGGUGGAUGACAGGUGGGGUCCUCUGACUCGCGUGUCCCGCCUGUCAGUGACUCCGAGGGAAUGGAUCCGGGUGCGUUUAGUGUUUUAGGUGGUUUUCCGUUUUAAAAGUUUUUCCAGAAAAUGAUUUAAGUGUUCAAAAAUCCAUAUCUUGAUGAAUAUAGCUCCAAAAAUGGUGAAAUAAAUUUUGGUGUGUUCCUUAUUUCCAGAUCUAUAUCCUGGUAUGAUUGCAUGUCAUGUUUGAAUAACUUUUCUGUGUAAGUAUAAUUAAUCCAUGUUUUUGUUAAACUUGGAAAAUGCAUAGUAAAUAGAAUAUGGCUCAGAAAAAUGUGAAACUUGUUUUGCUGGCUCUGCAUGUGUGUUUACUCACUGAGAAAAUAUUGUUACAUAUUAUUUGGUGUAUAAAUGAAAUUAUGGUAAUUUAAAUGCUUGCAUGGCAGUGGUUUAUGAUUUUUAAUAAUUAAUUGGAUCAUGCAAUAAAUCUGGAAAAUUUUGUGGGUGUUUCUUAUGAUAUUAGAAAAAUUGUAAAAAUAUGAAAUCUGUUGUUUGACACUUAUAUCACAGUAGGGUGAUUAUACUUGCUUUAUUACUUAAUCUUGUGAUUUUUGUGGCUCAAAAUAAGUAACCAAAAAUUAUGAAAAAAUUUUCAGUAAACUUUAUGCUUAGCUGGAAGUCUCCUGUAAUUUUUGUGGAAUUUAUUGAUGAAUAGAAUUGCAUGUCAUUUUUAAUGGGCUUAGAAAUGAAUAAAAAAAAACUAUGAAUGGUUGUAUAUAUAGGUUGAAUGGAAUAAGUUGGGUUUGGUGUAUCUUUGAAGCAUCAUGUAGGUUGCUGAUGUCAUUUGAAAAAUAAUUAUAGAAGAGAAUGUAAUAGAUGUUUGAUUCAAUUGUUUAUUCUUGGAUGAUGUUGACUACCUUGUAAUAAGCAUGACCAAGUGCAUUACCUAUGCAUCAUAACAUGACUCCUUUGGUACUCUCUCAUAUAAGCAUCCACUCGGACAUCUCGCACUCCACUCAUGAGCAUAUAUGCAUCAUACAGGCUCGCAGGAGAACGGAGUGGGACCCGAGGAACCCGAGGAGCUUCAGGAGCAGGAACCUCCGGAAGCACAAGAGCCCGGAGAGGAACUGCAAGAGUGCCCGGAUCACCGACCCAGCACGUUUGAGAAAGGCAAGCCCCGGAGCAUUCUAAGUCUCCCUAUUCUCGCUAACUUAUAUGAAGUGCUAUACUUAUUCUACUAUAUUGCAUAUUACGUGAUAGGAGUUGCCUGAUACCGUUGCUGCAUAUGUACUCCUUGUUAUCCCUACUCGUUAUCUACCUUGUCCUAUGUAGAUAGGCGCGGAGUCUAUGCUUAGCUUGCUUAGUCCGGUAAAAGUCGGGUGAUGUCCUGUCACCUGCGAGAUAUAGGUGGAUACCUGCUUGAUUAAGCAGCGGUUGCUUGGGGAAAGAAAUAACCAAGUGGGGAAUGUAAUUGGAGACCGGGCAGGGUCUUAUGGUGGGUUGCCCAUAGUGCCCCUGCCUAUGUCGAUUAAGGACCGAUCGUUGACGGCCCUCUUGUCAUGUUGAACGCAUGCCCCACACUUAGCUGGAAGGAUAAGUCGUUCCGACCGCGAAGCCUGAACACUAUCCGGGCCGGGAAUCGAGCCGCCAUGCGCUGUAUUGGUGGUGGUUGAGGAGAACGACGAGGGCGCGGCGCGCAACCUUGGUAUACCUUGGAUACCUCGGUCGCCGGAACGGUCCUCGGGUACUGGCGGUGCCUGCCGAACCCGCGAAUUGGUCCUGGAUAGUGUCAUACGGUGAUCUGUAGCUCACUUGAUCAGUGAGUGUGGUUUGUGUGGGGAAUACCUCGCCAGCUGGUUAGAAAUCGAUUCGAAUCGCCAUCGCUCCUGGAUAGUGAGCACUUGACAUGAGCCCUGUCCUCGUAGUAAGGACUAUGGAACACUUGGGUUAAAAUGAAGUGGGUUUAUGACUGCUGUGAUGAGGUACUAUCAUAGUCUCAUACUUGCUUGUAAUAGCACAGGAGCAAAUCUAGAUAAUAGAUAAUGAUACUUUCAACUUGAGCAGAUUAAAAGAAGAAAAGAUUUAUGUAGGUUCGGGUAAUAAAAUCUUGCGGUCUUUGCAAAAUGGUUGUCAGCUACCCCACUAAAUAGCCUUCAUGAUCCUUGAUGAGUCUUUAUUUUAAGUUUAUGACGGGUAAGUCUAGCUGAGUACCUUCUCAUACUCAGGGUUCUAUUCCCAUGUUGUUUUGCAGAUGGUCAAAUGUACUAUGGUUAUUGCAUCCUCUGUCUGUACCCAGCUAUGGGUGAUGACUAGACCAAGGGCGAUGGUCACUCCGUCUCUUCUUUUGCUUUUGUGGGAAUGACCGAACUAUGGCACUGUAUCAGACUUAUCGUGUGUGUUGUAUUUUUGAACUAUGAAGCUUCCGCUACUUGAAGGACUUGGUUUGUAAUAACUUUAAGCACUCCGAUGUAUUUAUGAAUGUUGUAAUCUGGAUGUGAUUGUGGAUGGCGACCGCUAAACUUAUUACGAUCUUGGCUGUAUAUGCGAUGUGUGGUUUGAAAUCCUUCGAGAUUUCACGGACUACCGGGGUUAUAUGGGCUUAAGCGUGAUAGUUCGACUAUGCAAAUGGUCACUAUUAGGCUUAAUCUCUUAUAAUUUGGUCGGUUCUGUUACAAGCACCGCGUACCAUCCCCAGACCUCAGGUCAAACUGAGAGGCUGAAUCAAGUGUUAGAAGAUAUGCUGAGGGCCUGUGUACUAUCGUCCAAGGGAUCAUGGGAGUCAUGGUUACCUCUGGCUGAAUUCUCAUACAAUAACAGCUAUCAAGAGAGUAUCAAGAUGGCUCCAUUCGAAGCGUUGUAUGGUCGGAGAUGUAGAACUCCGUUAAAUUGGGUUGAACCUGGUGGAAGAAGAUACUAUGGUAUUGACUUCGUGAACGAAGCGGAGAAAAAGGUGCAAAUCAUACAACAGCAUAUGCAAGCGGCACAAUCACGACAAAAGAGUUAUGCUGAUAAAAGAAGAAGGCCACUUGAAUUCGUUAUAGGUGACUAUGUGUACCUCAAGGUUACGCCAAUGAAGAAAGUCCAACGUUUCCGAGUUCGAAGUAAACUUGCACCUAGAUAUGUGGGACCAUAUCAGAUACUAGAGAGAAAAGGCCCUGUGGCCUAUAAGAUUCAGUUACCUGAAGAGUUGAGUUCGAUCUUUCCAGUUUUCCAUGUGUCCCAGCUUCGGAAAUGUUUGAAAGUACCUGAGCAGAGGAUUGAACCUCGAGGGAUCAAAAUAAAAGCAGACUUAGAGUAUAAAGAGCAACCAGUGGGUAUCGUAGAUACUAAGGAACGAGUAACCCGAAACAAAGUUGUCAAAACAUACAAGGUGGUAUGGAGUCAUUAUGACGAUAGGGAUGCCACCUGGAAAACCGAGGAUUAUCUAAAAACAGUUUAUCCAAAGUUUCAUAAGAAAUGGUUAGUAACCCAAAUCUCGGGAUGAGAUUUCCCUAAGGGGGGAAGGGCUGUAACACCCUAGGUGUUAAGCAUGCACUUAGUCUUACCAAAGCAUUCAUAAGCCUUCUCAUCAAGCAUAGCAUCACAUAAGCAUGUCAUCCAUCUAAAAUAUGAUUUUAUGUACUUUAUUCCAUGUGAUUUAAAUGUGUUAAAAAUAUGUUGCUUGCUUCUAAAAUUGUGAAAUAUUCAAACUAGGUUGAAUGGUGUGUAAAAAGAUUUAAGAAUAUUUUUGUGCAAUUUUUGGAGCCAUAGAAUUUGAGAAAUGGAAUUUAUACAAAAAUCCCCAAAAUGAAUUUAUUUGAAAACCUAGAACUAGUUUUAAUCUGUAAGUCAAAUUCUAUUUGGAAUUUGGUCUUGCUUAUUAAAACAAAGUUGUAGGGUUUUUGUUUUGGAACAACUUUACUGUUUGGGGAAAAGGGUGAAAAGGAUUUUUAAAUAGUCCAAAUGAAUUUAGAAAGAAUUUGAGAAAAGAAUUUCAAAAAAAAAAGGACAGGCGCUGCUGGGCCAACCCCGCCUCCCUUUCGGCCCAGCCAGCAGCCCGGCCUGCCUCCCCCUCCUCUCUCUCUCCCGCGCGCGGCGCCCGCCUCGCCCCAUCCAGCGACGGCCACGUGGCGGCCGUACGCCGGCGUUGGGCGCGCCGCGGCCGGCCACCUCCACCCCCUGGUCGGGACGCUGACCCGCGCCCCCAGAGCCGUCCCUCCAUUCUGUCGCCCGCGCCUCUUCCUCCUCCCUCCGCUCGCGUAGCAGUAGCAGCAGCAGCAGUUCCGCCGCAUGCCAUUGCUAGAGCAAGCCUCGCUGCUCGCCGCCGGCCGCACCAGAGCUUCAAGCUCGACGCCAAGAGCACCAGCGCACUCGCCGUCGUCGCGGUAAGCCCCUGCGUGCGCUCUACCGAGGUGAGAAGCAGCCGUGCGCCAUGAAUCGCUCGCCGAAGUUGCUCCGACCUCGCCGGAGUGCUCCGCCGCGACGGAUCUUGCUGUAUCCUGCUUCUUUUCGCUCGUUCUUUGGUGCGCUAGGUUGGUAGUGAGGUGAGGAAGCUCGGAGAGUCGUUUGCGCGCGCUCUACCGCACCGGAGCGGCCUGGCCACGGCGAGCAGCGCCGCCGUGCAGCCAUGCACGCUCGUCGGAGGUGUUCCGGUCAUCCUCCGGCCAAUCCAAGGGUACCCCUGGAUGCGCCUCGCUGCGGGGAGCACGCUGGUGCUCACCCCGUGGCCGGAGACCUCGCCGUCGGCGAAAGCCGGCCGGCCGAAGCUCGGCCAGUGCGUUGCACGGCUGACCCGUGGGGUCACGGCCCCGGAUCCCACCUGUCAGUGCCUCUGCGGGUGUGGAUCUGGCUGAGUUUAGCUUUUUGCGUCGGUUUUCUUAAAUAAAUAAUUUCUAGAAAUUGAUUUAAAACUUGUAAAAUCCAUAUCUUGAGUUCUACAGCUCCAAAUCUGGUGAAAUAAAUUUUGGUGUGCUCUCCAUUCCCAGAUCUACAGUUUGAUGUAAUUGCAUGUCAUGUUUGAAUAACUUUUCUGUAUAAAUAUAUUUAAUCCAUGUUUUUGCUGGAUUUGGAAAAUGCAUAGUAAUUAAAAUAUGACUCAGAAAAAUGUGAAACUUGUUUUGUUGGCUCUGCAUGUAUGUUUAAUCACUGGGAAAAUGUUGCUACACAUUAUUUGGUGUAUAAAUGAAUUUUUAGUGAUUUAAAUGCUUGCGUGGUAGUGGUUUAUGAUUUUUAAUAAAUGAUUGGAUCAUGCAAUUAAUCUGGUAAUUUUUGUGAGUGUUUCUGAUGAUAUUAGGCAAACUACAAAAAUAUGAAAUCUGCUGUUUGACACUUAUACCACAGUAGGGUAAUUUUAUUUGCCUUUAGGAAUUAAUCUUGUGAUUUUUGUAGCUCAAACUAAGUGUCUAAAAAUUAUAAAAAAUUUAUGGUGGACUUUAUGUUUGACUGGUAGUCUCCUGUAAUUUUUGUGGAAUUUAUUGAUAAACAGAAAUGCAUGCUAAUUUUGAUGGGCCUAAGAAUGAAUAAAGAAAUUAUAAAUUGUUAUAUAUGGGUCAAAUAGAAUAAAAGGGGUUUGGUGUAUCUUUGAAGCAUCUGGUGAGUUGCUGGUUACACUUGAAGACAAUUUGUAGAAGAGAAUGCAAUAGAUGUUUAAUUCAAUUGCAUGUUCUUGGAUGAUGUUGACUACCUUGUAAAUGAUCACAUAAAUCAUCCAUACAUCAUGUCAUAGUCAUAUGGUAUUCUCUUGCAUGAGCAUUUCACCCCGGGCAUCUCGCACUCCACUCAUGAGCACACAUGCAUCAUACAGGCUCGCAGGAGAACGAGGUGGGACCCGAGAAGCCAGAGGAGACCCAGGAGCAGGAACCUCUGGGAGCACCGGAACCCAAAGAAGAGCUGCUGGAGUGUCCGGAUCACAGACCCAGCACGUUUGAGAAAGGCAAGCCCAGGAGCAUUCUAAGUCUCCCUAUUCUCGCUAACUUACAGGAUAUAUUAUGCUUGUUCUACUAUAUUGCAUUUAAGUGAUAGGAAUUGGUUGAUACCAUUGAUGCAUAUGUACUCCUUGAUAUCACCAUCCGUUUAUCUAUCUUGUCCUAUGUAGAUAGGUACGGAGUCUAUGCUUAGCCUGCUUAGCCGGUAGAAGUAGGGUGAUUUCCUGUCACCUGCGAGAUAUAGGUGGAUACCUGCUUGAUUAAGCGGUGAUUACUUUGGGAAAAGAAUAACCAAGUAUAGAAUGGAAAUUUGAGACCGGGCAGGGUCUUAUGGUGGGUUGACUGUAGUGCCCCUGCCUGUGUCGAUUAAGGACCGAUCGUUGAUGGCCCUCUUGUCAUGUUGAACGCAUGCCCCACAUUUAGCUGGAAGGAUAAGUCGUUUCGACCGCGAAGCCUGAGCACUAUCCGGGCCGGGAAUCGGCCCGAUGUACGCGCUGUAUUGGUGAUGGUUGAGGAGAACGAUGAGGGCGCGGCGUGCAACCUUGGUAUACCUUAGAUACCUCGGUCGCCGGAACGGUCCUCGGGUACGGGCGGUGCCUGUCGAACCCGCGAAUUGGUCCUGGAUAGUGCAAUACAGUGAUCUGUAGCUCACUUGAUCAGUGAGUGUGGUUUGUGUAGGGAAAUAAACUCGCCAGCUGGUUAGGAAUCGAUUCGAAUCGCCAUCGCACCUAGAUAGUGUGCACUUGACAUGAGCCCUGUUCUCGUAGUAAGAACUAUGGAACAUUUGGGUUAUAAUGAUGAAUCGUUGCAUGAAUGCUAUGAUGAGGUACCAUCAUAUUACUAUACUUGCUUGUAAUAGUGCAGGUGCAAACCUAGACAAUAGGUAAUGAUACCUUCAACUUGAGCAAAUUAAAAGAAGAAAGAUUUAUGUAGGUGAUGUUAAUCGAAUCUUGCGGUUAUGCAAAAAUGUUGUCAGCUACCCCACUAUAUAGCCUUCAUGAUCCUUGAAGAGUCUUUAUUUUUGAGUUUAUGACGGGUAAGUCUAGCUGAGUACAUUCUCAUACUCAGUGUUCUAUUCCCAUGUUGUUUUGCAGAUGGUCAAAUGUACUAUGGUUAUUGCAUCCUCUGCCUGUACCCAGCUAUGGGUGAUGACUAGACCAAGGGCGAUGGUCACUCCGUCUCUUCUUUUGCUUUUUUGGGAAUGACCAAAACUAUGGCACUGUAUCGACUAAGUAUGUGUGUGUUAUUUUCGAACUAAGAAGCUUCCGCUAUCUGUGAACUUGGCUUGUAAUAACUUUAAGCACUCCAUGUAUCGUAUGAAUGGUUUCGAACUGGAUGUAACUGUGAAUGGUGACCGCUGAACUUAUUACUAUCUUGGCUGUAUGUACGAUAUGUGGUUUGAAAUCCUUCGAGAUUUCACGGACUACCGGGAUUAUAUGGGCUUAAGCUCGAUGGUUUGACUAUGCAAAUGGUCGCUAUUAGGCUUAAUCUCUUAUAAUUUGGGCGGUUCUGUUACAAUUUAGGGGCGUGUGUGAGCGUCAUGCCGAAAUCAGUCUUUGAUAGGCUGAACUUCACCAACUUGGAGCCAACCACCAUGACACUCCAGUUGGCAGACUCGUCAGUCCGGUACCCAGCAGGGAUUGCUCAAGACAUCCCUGUCAAGAUCAGAGGAUACUAUGUCCUAGUGGAUUUUGUGGUGCUCAACAUGGAGCUCACUAAAGAAACACCACUAAUCCUGGGAAGACCAUUCUUGAGUACGGCUAGAGCACAGAUUGUUGUUGGGGCUGGAGAAAUCCGCUUCAACAUUAAUGGCCAAGAAGAGAAGUUCAAGUUCAGGCCACGCCGUCAACAAGAGUGCAACAUGAUACGCAUCCUCUAUGAGCCAAACCCCCAAGGCAUCAGGCAGGCUGAGAUCCAGCCUCAACUUAUUAAAAAUACAAAAAUAUCUAAGAAAAAGCUGGAGCCAAACGAAAAGGCGACUCCUAAGAAAAAUAAUAAGGAGCAAAAAAAGAAAAUAGCUCCUAAAAAGAAUGAAAAGAGGGACGAAGUCCCCAAGCCUUCACAACCGAAGCAGGUGUGGAAACCAAAGCAGAAGGUUGAACAAACUUCCACACCUCCAAAGGUGAUACUGCUAAAGUGGAGGCCCAAGCAGGUGCAACCGUCUACUCCUCCCAAGACAGAUGUGCCAUCAUCAAGCAAGAAGUAAUGGGAGAAGAGUCCCGCUCAACCGACUAUAAAGAUGAGCCCUUGCCGAAGGUAAAUCGGUAAGUUAUCCCUAGGUAAGUUUUUACUUAUAAAAAAUAUAAAUAUAUAUUUUCUUUUGACUUAUUUAUUUAUUUUGAAUAAAUUAUUUCUAUUUAUGUUUUGAAUAAAUGGUGCAUUUCUUGUAUUUAUGAGUAGUCCAUAUUGCCUCAAUGAUCUUUUCUUCACUUUCGAAUCUUUGUGAUCAUGGGUAUCAAUCACUCAUAAAUGCAUGAUAGUGUGAUAGCUUUUAGAAAGUUUUCAAAAUUCAAAACUCUAUCGCACACACUAUCACUCUGAUUCCACUGCGCAUCACGAUUAAUCGUAACUAGGAUCACGAAAUACUCAGAGAGGGAAAGAAAUACCCGAAAAACUGAGGCCGACUGGUGGACCCAGUGGUGCGGCCGCACCUUGGUGCGGCCGCACCCCCAGGUCCGCCAAUCAGCCCCAAUCUUUUUCCCUUCCUCUUUUGCACUUAUUAGCAUCACAUCCAUGGUUACGAUCAAGUUGUUUCCAGUUCAAAGACUAUGUUAGCACCUAUAAAAUCCUCCAUAGGCAUCUUCUCUUCUCACACCAACCAUUUCUCAUCUCCCUCUUGUGAAGAUUGCUACGCUCUCCCAUUCUUCGGUAGUGACCAUGUCUUGCUAUACCCUCUCGCUGAUCAAUGCUCCCAAGACCAUAGCCAAUCUAGACAUAGCACCUUACCAAGAGAGUUCUAGCAAGGAGGUCCAUGUUGAGAAGAGAAGCCGUUAGCGUUGUUACCAGCAAACCACAAAGCGCCCACCAAUAGCGCCGCCAACAUACCCGCUACUGCCCGUUCGUCCACUAGCAACAUAGGACUUAAGAGAAAAGCCCCUAGUGGUGAUAGGCAAGGCAAUCAUGCUGGUAGCAAGAUGGGUGGCAAGACCAAGAAGAUGGAAUCAUCCAGUACUCUCCAUAGGAUCAGGAGGCACUUGCCACAGCCGUCAAUCAAGCGUCGUGCAGGACAGUAUGAGAGCAGCGAUGAAGAAGAUGAUCCCAAUAUCAUAGCCGAGCUUUUAGCUAAGCAGGCUAGCCUACGUGUUGAGUUACGGGUUUUAGAAGACGACCUAGAGGAAAAGAACACUGAGAUUAGGAACCUCAGUGAUGAUGUUAAUAGGUUUCGCUUCAAGUUUAAUACUAAACUUAGAAAGGUCGCUGAAGCCUUAGGUGUUGGUCGCUUUGUUGAAGAUCUUUAGACCACACCUCCUGCACAAAUCUUUGUUUAGGCACAUUUUUUCUUUUUACAAUAUUUAUGUUUCAAAUAUUUUUUCCCUUCCAAUGUAAUGUGCCUGUUCAAAGUUAUCAAAAAAAUAAAAAAAGGGUUUGUUUAUCUUUUGCACUUGUUUUCUAUAUAUAUUGUGACUAACCAUGAUAGCAAAGAAAACAAGUGUGGGGGAAGGACUAUUCAAUCAAAAAUCUCAGUUUGUGCAAACUCUUUUCCCCCAUAAAGAUUUUCAAAUGAAAUGUUUAAAAUGAUGUUACCUUUGUACUCCAUCAAACAUGUCUCCUAUGUUCAAAUAUGUUUUUGCAUACUUUUUAUUCUUAGCUAAUAUCCCUAGAGAUUUAUGAACACUUGUUAUAGGGACCCCAUUUUAUCUAAGUAAUUGACGUAUGUGAUAUAGUAGGAUGACAUGAUGCUUGCUGGUUCUUGCAAAUUACUUGGGUUUUCUUUUAUAAAAAGCAAAAUUCAAUGGCAAGUUUUUUGAAUGAUCAAGCAUUAUUCCAACCAUGGCCAAAUAUUUGUUCAUGAUUAAACCUUCUACAUAUGCUGCUUGCUCUGUGUUGAGUUUGGUCAAAUUUUUGGACCGCUGUCGAGAGAGGUUUCAUGCCUCUAAGAUCAGAAUUCACUUGCACCCACCAUAUAAAAGCUGACUCUCACACUGAGAAGUCGCGCACAACAUGCUUUCUCCAUCCACCUAAAAUUUCGCCAACUCUUACACUGAGGGUUGCGCACAUAUAUCCACCAAAUAAAAAUGCCAAUAUCUCACCCUAAGAAUUGUGCAUUCCUUGCAUUUGUUAUCAUAAAGCUCUCUUUCGUUUUCAUCAGAAUCAUAGGAAUGGGCUAUAUAUAUAUAUAAUAUAAUUAUUAUGAGAAAAAGCCAAAGGGGCAAAACGGGGAAAGAUUCAUACCCGUCCAAAAAAAUUGUGUUAUAGCACAUAUCCUCUCAAGUUUUUUAUCUCAUUUCAAAAAAGAGUCUUGAUGCAAGGAAUGUUGCAAUAAAAGUAGUGAUAGGAUUCCACCAAAAAUUCCACACACUUGCACAUUCUGAUCUAAGGGUAUGGCGCACUCCCUCCGGUAUGGUCCUGGGUUUGACUCGACAACAUAUGCAGGGUAAGUAAGUUCCACCAUCAUGCCUACCACUCCAGAUAAGCCUUUUAGAAGUAGGAUGAUCAAAAAGAUGGCAUCAACUCUUUAUGCCUUGGUGAGGAACCACUCACAUAUUAGGAGGGACUUGAGAGCAUCAUUCAAGAAACAUAUGCUAUCUUUAUUUUUCAAAAUCUUGCAAAACCCCAAGUUUCUGCGCAUAGACUAUGUAAGAGGAUUUGAAUCCAGGUUGUUCCAUGUUUCAAUUACCCAAGAUAGCUUGGUAGACACUUUGAAGUUCAUAAAUCUAGGUGAAGCUGGGAAUAACCUGUAUGCAGAUUCUUUUGACAAGAAAGAUGAACCCAUUUGGUCUUUAGUGCCUUCACUCGAGGACGAGCAAAGGACCAAGUGUGGGGGAGUUGUUGGUACCCCUUAUCUUAUAAUUAUAAACAUCAUUUUAAUAAAUAAAAUAAAUAGAGGGUAGGGCUUUGAACUAACCUUUCCACAAGUUUUGUUGCAAAUAUCAAUUUUAGGUAUGACACGUGAAAAGGCGCAAAAGACACGAGAAAGCGCACUUCAAGAAAGCGUAGUCAGAAAAGGUGCAAAUCAAAAAUAAAUGGAAAAGCCCACCAAAACACCGAACUGGAUCCAUCCGUAACCACAGGAAGGAUCAGGGCCCAGAGACGAACCAACCACGCGAAGGCGGUGGCCAGGGGGGCCCACCAGUGGUGCGGGCGCACCCUAGUGCGGGCCCCCCGUGGCGGCUACUCGGUCCCACCUUUUUCACGCGGUUGCAUGGCGGCAUGCAUAGGAUGGUUUCACCUCCUACCAAAUUUAGAUCGCCAUGAACCGUCCUUGUUGGGCUAUAAAUAGAUGGCUCCACACCAUUCAACACACACACCAUCAUUUGGAGCAAUACACCUCACAUUUCUACACUUGUUCUUUAGUUUAGAUUCAGUAGUAGAGCAAGGCAAAGCUAGCAAGGAGAGCCUGUCUCCUUGGAGGAUCUUAGAGCUUCUUGGUAUGAAUACAAUUCAGUUCUCCUACAUGAGCAAGUUCUUAUCUUAUUUAUAUGAUUAUGCAAUUGAAUUAGAGUAUAGUUGUGUUCAUAUCUUGUUCAUAGUAUAUGAACUAGUUCAUAGUUCUUGUGUUAUGUUCUUGAUGUGUACAUCCUUGUUCUUCAUCAUUCAUCGAAUUAGUAUGAAUAGACAAAUGAUUAAGAUUGAGGUAACGGUUCGUUGGGCUGUGAUGGCCACUCUUAGCCGAACCUGUCAAUCCAAAGGGUUGGGGUCCCGGGAGGCUAGGAGGCGUUUCCAAUUACACGGGCAGGUGCUCGGGUAUGCGGAGAUCAGUGGAUGCGCGGGUAUCUUUCGGGUAGAGGGGUAGGUGGCAGGGUAGUGACAGCCCUGUCAUCCCUGGUAUUCCCCCACGAUCAGGUAUUCUAGUAGGAGUUCUGUAAAGUCCCUAUCGGCUGGAUGUCCAGCUGCGGGGAUCUCCCCAGAGCCUCAGACUUAGUUCUAACUCUAGUUAUAUUGAUUAGAUGUUCUACUAACAAUUCUUUGCAUAGUUAUAUAAGAUCAAUGUCGGCUCAAGUAGUUGUUCUUUAUUUCUUUUAUUUCCUUAUUUUCUCUUUAUUCCUUGAGGUUGCCCCGAUGAGUGUGUCCACUAUCUAUAUUUUAAGAGAAUGUCGUGACCCUUGAUUAGACUAUGUCUACCUAUGCAUCUCAAUAAGUGAUCAUGCUCCAAACCAGCUAAAUGCAUUUGUUACACCCUCCUAUGGGAUUAAAUACGAUAACCCUUGAAUACUCACGGGUUGAAAUGCUAUAAUGAUAGUUCUGUUCGCUUGCAGUUUUAUUUUUUAUAUUCAUGAACUAUUGAUUGGCGUACCUAAGUACCGUUACUUAAGAUUGUAAACUCUGUGUAUUUAUCUGGCGCCGUGCUACAGCUUUGCAUAUCGUAAGUAAGGAUGGUUAGGAUGGCCAAACCAGCAUUCCUAAUUAUUGUUACCAGACUACACUGCUAAGGCCGGCGCCGUUAAAGGCCUUGGGUUAUCUCUCUGACGUAACGAUAGUUAUGGUAUGUAACACCCUAGGUGUUAAGCAUGCACUUAGCCUUCCCAAAGCAAUGCAUAAGCAUUCUCAUCAAGCAUAAGCAUCAUGAGCAUGUCAUUCAUCCCAAACCAUGAUUUUAUGUGCUUUAUUUCAUGUGUUCUAAAUAUGCUAAAAAUAUGAUGCUUGCUUCUAAAAAUGUGAGAUAUUCAAACUAGGUUGAUUUAUGUGUAAGAAGAAUUAAGAAUAUUUUUGUGCAAUUUUUGGAGCCAUGGAAUUUGAGAAAUGGAAUUUAUACAAGAUUUCCAAAAUGAAUUUAUUUUAAAACCUAGGACUAGUUUUAAUUUGUAAUUCAAAUUCUGUUGGGAAUUUGGUCUUGCUUAUUAAAACAAAGUUGUAGGGUUUUUGUUUUGGAGCAACUUUGUUUUUGGGAGCAAGAGGUGAAAAUGAUUUUAAAUUGGUCCAAAAGAAUUUGAGAAAAGAAAUUCAAAAAAAAAUAGAAAAGGGGAAGGCGCUGCUGGGCCAACCCCGCCUCCCUUUCGGCCCAGCAAGCGGCCCGGCCUGCCUCCCCCUCCCCCUCUCUCCCGCGCGCGGACGCCCGCCUCGUCCCAGCCAGCGUCGGCCACGUGGCGGCCGUACGCCGGCGAUGGGCGCGCCGCGGCCGACCGGCUUCACCUGGUCGGGACGCCGGCCCGGGCUCCCAGGCCGUCCCAUUCGCUUUGUCGCCCGCGCCCUUCUCCUUCCUCCCUCCACUCGCGAGCGCAACCGAGCCGUAGAACUCCGCCGCAGCGCCAUCGCCGGAGCAGCUCCGCUGCUCACCGCCGGCCACUUCAGCGACCAAACCUCGACACCGAAGCCACCAGCGCCUUCACCAUCAUUAGGGUAAGCUGAUGCGAGCGUUCUACCGAGGUGAGAAUCCGUCGAGCGCCGUGAAUCGCUCGCCGGAGUACUCCGCCGCAACGGAUCUUGCCUUUUCCUGCAUCUUUUCGCUGGUUCUUGGUUACGCUAGGUCGGUAGGGUGGUGAGGAAGCUCGGAGAGCCGUUUGCGCGUGCUCUACCGCGCCGGAGCGGCCUGGCCACGGCGAGCAGCGCCGCUGUGCCGCCAUGCAUGCUCGUCGGAGGUGCUCCGGCCAUCCUCCGGUCAAUCCAAGGGUACCGCUGGGUGCGCCUCGCUGCGGGGAGCACGAUGGUGCUCACCCCGUGGCCGGGGACCUCACCGCCGGCGAGAUCUGCUCGUCGGAGGUGUGCUCCCUCUCGGUCUCGCUGACCAGUGGGGUCAGAGGCCCACUGUCAGUCGCAUGGGGAACCCCGGUGGGUGUAGAUCCGGGUGUGUUUAGCCUUUUGCGUCGGUUUUCUUAAAUAAAUGUUUUCCAGAAAUUGAUUCAAAACUUGUAAAAUUCAUAUCUUGAGUUCUACAGCUCCAAAUUUGAUGAAAUAAAUUUUGGUGUACUCUAUAUUUUCAGAUCUGCAGUUUGAUGUAUUUGCAUGUCAUGUUUGAGUAACUUUUCUGUAUGAAUAUAUUUAAUCUAUAUUUUUGCUAAACUUGGAAAAUGCAUAGUAAUUAAAAUAUGGUUUAGAAAAAUGUGAAACUUGAUUUGUUGGCUCUGCAUGUAUGUUAACUCACUGGGAAAAUAUUGCUACACAAUAUUUGGUGUAUAAAUGAAUUUAUGGUGAUUUAAAUGCUUGCAUGGCAGUGGUUUAUGAUUUUUAAUAAUUAAUUGGAUCAUGCAAUCAGUCUGUAAAUUUUUGUGGAUGUUUCUUAGGAUAUUAGACAAAUUGUAAAAAUAUGAAAUCUGCUGUUUGACACUUCUACCACAGUAGAGUAAUUGUACUUGUCCUUAUUAAUUAAUCUUAUGAUUUUUUUAUAGCUCAAAAUAAGUAUUUAAAAAUUAUGAAAAAUUUACAGUAGACGUUAUGCUUGACUGGUAGCCUCUUGUAAUUUUUGUAGGAUUUAUUGAUAAACGGAACUGCAUGCAAAUUUUGAUAGGCCUAGAAAUGAAUAAAUAAUUUAUGAUUGUUGUAUAUAGGUUGAAUAAAAUAAGAAUGGGGUUGGUGUAUCUUGGAGCAACUUGUGGGUUGCUAGUUACACUUGAAAAAUAAUUGUAGAAGAGAAUGCAAUAGAUGUUAAUUCAAUUGCCUACUCUGGGAUGUUGUUGACUGCCUUGUAAAGAGCAUGACCUGUUAAAUCGCCUAUGCAUCAUGUCAUGAUCCUUUGGUACCUUCUCAUACAAGCAUCCACUCGGGCAUCUCGCACUCCACUCAUGAGCACACAUGCAUCAUACAGGCUCGCAGGAGAACGAGGUGGGACCCGAGGAGCCAGAGGAGAUUCAGGAGCAGGAACCUCCGGAAGCAGGAGUCGGGAGAGGAACUACAGGAGUGUCCGGAUCACCGACCCAACACGUUUGAGAAAGGCAAGCCCCGGAGCAUUCUAAGUCUCCCUAUUCUCGCUAACUUACAGGAUAUACUAUGCUUGAUCUACUAUAUUGCAUUUAAGUGAUAGGAGUUGGUUGAUACCGUUGAUGCAUUGGUACUCCUUGAUAUCACCCCUCAUUUAUCUACCUUGUCCUAUGUAGAUAGGUGCGAAGUCUAUGCUUAGUUGCUUAGCCCCGGUAGAAGUCGGGUGAUUUCCUGUCACCUGCGAGAUAUAGGAGGAUACCUACUUAUUUAAGCAGCGAUUGUUUUGGGAAAAGAGUAACCAAGUUUGGAAUGGAAUUGGAGACCGGGCAGGGUCUUAUGGUGGGUUGACUAUAGUGCCCCUGCCUGUGUCGAUUAAGGACCGAUCGUUGACGGCCCUCUUGUCAUGUUGAACGCAUGCCCCACACUUAGCUGGAAGGAUAAGUCGUUCUGACCGCGAAGCCUGAACACUAUCCGGGCCGAGAAUCGAGCCGCCAUGCGCUGUAUUGGUGAUGGUUGAGGAGAACGACGAGGGCGCGGCGCGCAACCUUGGUAUACCUUGGAUACCUCGGUCGCCGGAACGGUCCUCGGGUACUGGCGGUGCCUGCCGAACCCGCGAAUUGGUCCUGGAUAGUGUAAUACGGUGAUCUGUAGCUCACUUGAUCAGUGAGUGUGGUUUGUGUGGGGAAUAAACUCGCCAGCUGGUUAGAAAUCGAUUCGAAUCGCCAUCGCUCCUGGAUAGUGAGCACUUGACAUGAGCCCUGUCCUCGUAGUAAGGACUAUGGAACACUUGGGUUAUAAUGAUGAAUGGUUUUAAGAAAUGCUAUGUUGAGGUACUAUCAUAACACUAUACUUGCUUGUGAUAGUGCAGGUGCAAACCUAGAUAUUAGGUAAUGAUACUUUCAACUUGAGCAAGUUAAAAAAAAGAAAGACUUAUGUAGGUUAUGAUAAUAGAAUUCUGCGGUUUUGCAAAAUGGUCGUCAGCUACCCCACUAUAUAGCCUUCAUGAUCCUUGAAGAGUCUUUAUUUUAAUUUUAUGUCGGGUAAGUCUAGCUGAGUACAUUCUCGUACUCAGGGUUCUACUCCCAUGUUGUUUUGCAGAUGGUCAAAUGUACUAUGGUUAUUGCAUCCUCUGUCUGUACCCAGCCAUGGGUGAUGACUAGACCAAGGGCGAUGGUCACUCCGUCUUCUAUUUUGCUUUUGUGGGAAUGACUGAACUAUGGCACUGUAUCAGACUAAGUGUGUGUGUUGUAUUUCGAACUAUGAAGCUUCCGCUACCUGUGAACUUGGUUUGUAAUAACUUUAAGUACUCCGAUGUAUUUUAUGAAUAUUGUAAUCUGGAUGUAUUUGUGGAUGGCGACCGCUAAACUUAUUACGAUCUUGGCUGUUGUACGAUGUGUUGUUUGAAAUCCUUCGAGAUUUCACGGACUACCGGGAUUAUAUGGGCUUAAGCCUGACGAUUUGACUAUGCAAAUGGUCUCUGUUAGGCUUAAUCUCUUAUAAUUUGGUCGGUUCUGUUACAGCUGGUAUCGGAGCAAGGUUUAGCGAGUUACUGUUCAUAAGUACGUUCUAAACAAAAAUCUAAACCGGUUUAAGGAAAGAUUUUAUUAAUUAAUCAAUAAUGAUCAAGGUGUUAAACCAAGUUUUGGGAAAAACUAUCCAGUGUGCCAUGGUCAUAUCUUUUAUGCCCAGUUAAGGACUUUAAGGUGGCUAGUUAAGUACUGACUUGGGGGUUAAUGCAUCAUAUUUUUAUUUUCGUCGCUCAUACGGCGUGCAAUAGUAUGAGUGCCAUUCAAUUGAGUGGUAAUGUAUGGAUCCAUUUUUCCUCUACGCCACGGUAAGUGGGAGCUGUGAGAGCAUGAUCGGAUACACUGCCGGUCUAGGGGAGUGUUGUUAGGUACUGUGUCAUGCACACAUGUUUUGGUGUGUCUUGGGAACAGUACCGCAUGUUGGGUAUUCCGUCCUGAGAGGCGAUGCCGUCAUUAGGGCGAUGAUGUGGGUAGCAACACGUCAUAUGCAUGGACGGGUGUCUGUGUACGUGGAGUGCAUAGUUUUAAAUUCUUGUUCUGCAUGAGCAUACUGUGGGUGGGCUGAAAUGAGUUUUCUGCAGGUACACUAACCACGUUCUCGCUUAGAACGUUAGUUACGUUAUGAGAGAACGUUGUGUGCCACCGCAUAUACCGCUUAGUGUUAACCUUUGUUUCUAAGUUUGUGAGAUCGUAAGUCCGUGCAUGCAUCAUGUUCAUCUCAUAUCAUUGCUUACUUUCCCCCUUAAUUUAAUCUAUCCCAAUUCUAAAUAAAGUAAUUAAAGGUAAUCCUCGCUCUUACCCAAGGUAUUCCCUUUGCAGCAGAUGGCACGCACUAGGCUCACCGCUCGCAAGUCCACUGGUGGGCGGGCCCCUCGCCAUCCGUUGGCAGCCAGGAGCUCGCGACAUAGGAGCAAGUUCCAAGAGGAGUUUGGGAUGCCCACUUUGCUUUGGAGAGUGCUCAGCUCGAUGGGGUAUCCUGAAGGAAGGGAGCCUCGUUACUAUUGGGAUAAGGAGCUGCUUGGUGACGGGACCCUGGUGGGGAUUGAGGCAGUUGUUCCUACCAGUGGAGGAGACCCUGCUUGGGGCGGCUGGGUGUAUGAGUCCCGAGGUAUCAUGCCUUUCCACGGUGCCAGCAGGGCAGCUUUUGCAGUUUUGAGGGACCUCAUGGAGAGGUUUCCACAGGAGCUGGCCCACGCCUUCGCUGGGGUGUUUCCCCGGGGUGACCCCUACUCUUCAGUGUGGGAUCAGUCCGAGGUGAGCGCUCUAGAGAGGAGUGCGGAUGAGGACCAGCACAGUGACAGUGCAGCUAUGAGUGCUAUGUACGCCUUGAUGAAGACCUAUGGAGGCCUGGAGUGUUGUUUGGGUCGCUUGUCCGGGUCUCUUCUCACCGUCCAGGAUGAGAAGCGCCAGUUGCAGCGUGAGUUCGACUCUGAGGUUGAGAGGUUACAGGCAGAGUUAGCCCGUGUGACCAGGGAGAGAGAUCAGGCAGUCCAAAAGAACAGUGAGCUGAGUCAGGACCUGCUUGCAGUGCGAGAGCAGAGGGAUAGGGUGACUACUGCUCAUAGGAACUGCGAGCGCAUGCUAGUCCAUGUGCUUGGACAGAGGAAUGAAGCCUGGCACGAGGAGGACACUUUGAGGCCCCGACAGCUAGAGCUAGAGCAGCAGCUAGCCAAUGCCGAGGAGUACAAUGAGAACUUACAUGAGGAGAUCCACCAGCUGCAUAACCAGCUCCACCCUCACCACCUGCCUGGAGCAGCUGAGCUAGACUCUGAGGACGAGAUGGACGCGGAUCCCGCGAUAGGAGCAGCUGCUAGUGGAGAUGAGGAUGAGGAGGGCUCCGGCAUGGACAGUGAUCAUAGCGAAUAGAUGCUAGGGCUUUAGAGCUAGUCCUCCUUCUUCUGUGUUGUAUGUUGCAUGGCAUGUCGUGUACUUUUGGAUCUGGGCUAUGUAAGACUUAUGAGUUAAUGCUGAAAGUCCAGUGUAUGUAUGCUGGCAAGUUGGAUGUACGCGAACCUUGUUGCGUGAAUGUUAAGUAAUCUGUUAGUGAUGUUGUGCGUAGAUGAUGAAUUGUUGUACCUCUAUUUAUUGUGCGAAUUUAUUCCCUCAGUAAAUUCAGUACGGCAUGAUUCUAUACACUUCUACCCUUGAUGGCAACUCCUAACGAUUGCUUAUCAUUGACGUAUGCAGAUGGUGCAAACACGUGGCGGGGGUAACAGCAACCCGGGCCUUGGAGCAGGUAUGUCUGGAGGUGGGGCUCAACGGAAUGAGGACAGACCACCGACACCGCCACCACCGCCGCCUCCUCCGUACACUGCGGACGUGUUUUUCGCGCAGUUUCUGGGGAGCCAACGCAACAUGGAACAGAUGCAAUGCAACAUGGAAGAGACUCUGCGCAACAUAGCUGACAACACCCGUCGUGGGGAUAACCAGGGCGGCCGUGAAGUCAAUCAGUAUAGUUUGUUCAAGGACUUCAUGGAUACCAAGCCACCAAUCUUCAAAGAGGCUUUGGAACCGCUCGAGGCAGACGAGUGGAUCAAUACCAUGGAGCAGAAGUUUCGUCUUCUCCGGAUGACAGAAGAACUUAAGGCUGAGUAUGCGGCACACCAGUUGCAAGGACCCGCUAGAAUUUGGUGGUCCCAUCACCGUACCACCUACCCAGAGGGGACCCCAAUUACCUGGAACCGCUUCACCACCGCUUUCUAGGGAAAUUACAUUCCUCCGGGUGUGGUUGUAAUGAAGGUUGGGGAGUUCAUGAGGCUGUCCCAGGGGACGAAAUCUGUGAAGGAGUAUCUACACGCUUUCAAUAAUCUCGCUCGCUAUGCCCCCGAGUUUGUGAACACGGAGGCCAAGAAGAUUGCUAGUUUCCAGAGAGGCUUAAAUCCAAAGAUGCUAAAGACCAUGGGCACAGGAGCCAGGGCUACCUUCAAUGCUUACAUCAGUGACUGUCUCACCCAGGAGAACAACAACAACUACUACAGUGCAUCCAAGUCACGUAAGAGGGCUUUUAAAGCCGGAUCCUCGCAGUCCAGGGCACCCGUGAUAGGGUGACAGCAGUAUCGUCCCCCUGCCCCAGGUGCUAGGUUCCGACCGCCGCAGAGAAGGAACACCGGACAUCCAACGCAGCAGAAGCCGUACAAGGUGGCGAUAGCCCCUGCCAAGCCAAAGGCAAUUCAAGCUGCAGCACCUGCCGCCAACAAUGCGCCCAAGGGUCCGUGCUACAACUGCCACAAGAUGGGGCACUUUGCUAAGGAAUGUCCCUACCCCAAGAGGCAGCAGCCAACUUAUCCAGCUCGUGUGCAUCAUACCUCGAUUGAGGAAAUCCUGGAAGGAGAACCGGUAACAGCUGGUAUGUUUCCUGUCAACCAACAUCUUGCAGUUGUUUUGUUUGAUUCUGGAUCAUCGCAUUCAUUCAUGAGUCAAGCAUUUGCACAAAAGCAUAGUCAACCAGUUACAGAUCUGGGUUAUGGCUACCGCAUCAGCUCAACAGGGGCAGAUGUGUUGACCAAUAGAGUGGUUCAAGGGGCAACCCUGGAUAUAAGUGGCCGAGUUUUUCGAGUAAAUCUAGUGGUCAUGCCUGGGUUAGUUUUGGAUGUUAUCAUGGGCAUGAACUGGAUGAGAGAAUGGGAUGUCGUCAUAGAUACCGGGAAGAGGAUGUUAUCUCUCAGAGAACCGCAGGGCAAUAGCUCUUUUCAAGUACCUCUGCCCCGUCGUCUUGACUUUGCUAGCAUCUCUUGUGCUACGCACGUGGUUCCAUUACCACAGAUCCCAGUAGUCUGCGAGUUUCCUGAUGUUUUUCCUGAGGAAUUACCAGGACUUCCCCCAGACAGGGAGGUAGAGUUCGCAAUAGAGUUAAUACCAGGUACAGCACCAAUAUCUCGAAGGCCGUACCGGAUGCCACCAAACGAACUCACUGAGUUAAAAAAUCAACUAAAGGAGUUGCUGGAUAAAGGAUUCAUCCGGCCAAGUUCGUCGGAAUGGGGUUGUCCGGCGUUGUUUGUGAAAAAGAAGGAUCAGUCGUUGCGCAUGUGCGUGGACUAUCGUUCACUCAAUGCCGUGACAAUCAAGAAUAAGUAUCCCUUGCCGAGGAUCGAUAUCUUAUUUGAUCAGUUGUCCAAGGCAAAGGUGUUUUCCAAGAUAGAUUUGAGGUCCGGGUAUCACCAAAUCAAGAUUCGUCCGCAAGAUAUCCCGAAGACUGCUUUUUCCACCAGAUAUGGGUUGUAUGAGUACCUUGUCAUGUCCUUUGGGUUGACAAAUGCUCCUGCAUACUUCAUGUAUCUGAUGAAUUCAGUCUUUAUGCCAGAAUUGGGUAAGUUUGUUGUGGUGUUUAUCGAUGAUAUUCUGGUUUAUUCAGAAAAUGAGCAAGACCACGCCGAGCAUCUGAGAAUCGUGUUAACACGAUUACGAGAGCAUCAGUUAUAUGCCAAGUUCAGCAAGUGUGAGUUCUGGUUGAAGAAAGUUCCUUUCCUAGGGCACAUUCUGUCUGAAGAAGGGAUUGUUGUGGAUCCGUCAAAAGUGCAAGAGGUCAUGGACUGGAAGGCACCGACUUCUGUCUCGGAAGUUAGAAGUUUUCUUGGUCUGGCCGGGUAUUAUCGUCGGUUCAUACCUGACUUCUCCAAAAUUGCUAAGCCAAUGACAAGUUUGCUACAAAAGGAUCAUAAGUUCGUCUGGACGGAGGGGUGUGAGUUAGCCUUCCGCACCUUGCGAAAGUUGCUAACCAUUGCUCCCGUUCUGGCGCAACCUAAUAUCGAAAAGCCUUUUGAUGUGUUUUGCGAUGCGUCAAAAAGUGGCUUGGGGUGUGUGUUGAUGCAAGAUGGCAGAGUGAUAGCAUUUGCUUCACGAUAGUUGAGAAAGCACGAAGUCAACUACCCAACUCACGACCUCGAGUUAGCAACAGUAGUGCACGCUUUGAAGAUUUGGAGACAUUAUCUGCUAGGAAAUAAGUGUCACAUCUAUACCGAUCAUAAGAGUUUGAAGUACAUCUUCACUCAAUCUGAGCUGAAUAUGAGGCAACGACGGUGGUUAGAGCUAAUUAAGGACUAUGAUCUGGAAGUUCACUAUCAUCCAGGCAAAGCUAAUGUAGUAGCAGAUGCGUUGAGUCGUAAACCGCACUAUCAAGUGGUUCAACCGUUGUUUGAAGAUGGGUUCAAUCUUAUGCAUCCUGAGGUCUUAUGUCACAUACAACUCAGUUGUUCACUCGAGAGUCAAGUCAUCGAAGGUCAGAAAACAGACAAGGGUAUUUUCCACAUCAAGGAGAAGAUCAAAGAUGACCCAAAGACUCGAUUUCGAGUUGAUGAAAAAGGGGUACUGUGGUUUCAAGAUCGGUUAGUAGUUCCAAAAGAUCGUGAUUUGAAGAAUCGUAUCAUGGAUGAAGCUCAUCUCUCUAAGCUUUCUAUUCAUCCUGGCAGUAGUAAAAUGUACCAAGACUUGAGACCCCACUUUUGGUGGACAAGAUGAAGAAAGAAAUAGCCGCAUAUGUAGCCCGUUGUGACACGUGAUGCAGAGUUAAGGCCAUCCACCUGAAGCCUGCAGGUCUGUUGCAACCGUUAUCAGUUCCAGAAUGGAAAUGGGAAGAGGUCAGUAUGGACUUUAUCACGUGUUUACCAACGACAAGGAAGGGGAAUGACUCGAUUUUGGUAAUCAUUGAUCGAUUGACCAAAUCGGCCCAUUUCAUUCAUAUGAAGACUCGCUACCGACCUCCUAAGUAUGCCGAUAUAUAUAUGGCUGAGAUUGUCAAGUUGCAUGGUAUUCCCAAAACCAUCGUAUCAGAUAGAGGACCACAGUUCACCGCUCACUUUUGGGAGCGAAUGCAUAAGAGUUUGGGGACCAGUCUGAUAAGAAGCACGGCGUAUCAUCCCCAGACUUCAGGCCAAACUGAGAGGCUAAAUCAAGUGUUAGAAGAUAUGCUGAGGGCCUGUGUGCUAUCAUCCAAGGGAUCAUGGGAAUCAUGGUUGCCUUUGGCUGAAUUCUCAUACAAUAAUAGUUAUCAAGAAAGUAUCAAGAUGGCCCCGUUCGAAGCUUUGUAUGGUCGAAGAUGUAGAACUCCGUUAAACUGGGUUGAACCUGGUGAAAGAAGAUACUAUGGUAUCGACUUCGUGAAUGAAGCUGAGAAAAAGGUGCAGAUCAUACAGCAGCAUAUGCAAGCGGCACAAUCACGACAAAAGAGUUAUGCUGAUAAGAGAAGAAGGCCACUUGAAUUCAAUGUAGGUGACUAUGUGUACCUCAAGGUUACGCCAAUGAAGAAAGUUCAACGUUUCCAAGUUCAAAGCAAGCUUGCACCCAGAUAUGUGGGACCGUAUCAAGUACUAGAGAGGAAAGGCCCAGUGGCCUACAAGAUUCAGUUACCUGAGGAGUUGAGCUCGAUCUUUCCGGUCUUCCAUGUGUCGUAGCUACGGAAAUGUUUGAAAGUGCCUGAACAAAGGAUUGAACCUCGAGGGAUCAAAAUAAAAGCAGACUUAGAGUAUAAGGAGCAGCCGAUGGGAAUUGUGGAUACCAAGGAACGAGUAACUCGAAACAGAGUUGUCCGAACAUACAAGGUGGUGUGGAGUCAUCAUGACGAUAGGGAUGCCACCUGGGAAAUAGAGGAUUACUUAAAAAUAGUUUAUCCAAAAUUUCAUAAGAAAUGGUUAGUAACCCAAAAUCUCGGGACGAGAUUUCCCUAAGGGGGGGAAGGGCUGUAACACCCUAGGUGUUAAGCAUGCACUUAGCCUUCCCAAAGCAAUGCAUAAGCAUUCUCAUCAAGCAUAAGCAUCAUGAGCAUGUCAUUCAUCCCAAACCAUGAUUUUAUGUGCUUUAUUUCAUGUGUUCUAAAUAUGCUAAAAAUAUGAUGCUUGCUUCUAAAAAUGUGAGAUAUUCAAACUAGGUUGAUUUAUGUGUAAGAAGAAUUAAGAAUAUUUUUGUGCAAUUUUUGGAGCCAUGGAAUUUGAGAAAUGGAAUUUAUACAAGAUUUCCAAAAUGAAUUUAUUUAAAAAACUAGGACUAGUUUUAAUUUGUAAUUCAAAUUCUGUUGGGAAUUUGGUCUUGCUUAUUAAAACAGAGUUGUAGGGUUUUUGUUUUGGAGCAACUUUGUUUUUGGGAGCAAGAGGUGAAAAUGAAUUUAAAUUGGUCCAAAAGAAUUUAGAAAAGAAUUUGAGAAAAGAAAUUCAAAAAAAAAUAGAAAAGGGGCAGGCGUUGCUGGGCCAACCCCGCCUCCCUUUCGGCCCCGCAAGCGGCCCGACCUGCCUCCCCCUCCCCCUCUCUCCCGCGCGCGGACGCCCACCUCGUCCCAGCCAGCGUCGGCCACGUGGCGGCCGUACGCCGGCGAUGGGCGCGCCGCGGCCGACCGGCUUCACCUGGUCGGGACGCCGGCCCGGGCUCCCAGGCCGUCCCAUUCGCUUUGUCGCCCGCGCCCUUCUCCUUCCUGCCUCCGCUCGCGAGCGCAACCGAGCCGUAGAACUCCGCCGCAGCGCCAUCGCCGGAGCAGCUCCGCUGCUCACCGCCGGCCACUUCAGUGACCAAACCUCGACACCGAAGCCACCAGCGCCUUCACCAUCUUUAGGGUAAGCUGAUGUGAGCGUUCUACCGAGGUGAGAGUCCGUCGAGCACCGUGAAUCGCUCGCCGGAGUUACCCCGAGCUCGCCGGAGUACUCCGCCGCGACGGAUCUUGCCUUUCCCUACCUCUUUUCGCUGGUUCUUGGUUGCGCUAGGUCGGUAGGGUGGUGAGGAAGCUCAGAGAGCCGUUUGCGCGCGCUCUACCGCGCCGGAGCGGCCUGGCCACGGCGAGCAGCGCCGCCGUGCCGCCAUGCAUGCUCGUCGGAGGUGCUCCGGCCAUCCUCCGGUCAAUCCGAGGGUACCGCUGGGUGCGCCUCGCUGCGGGGAGCAAGAUGGUGCUCACCCCGUGGCCGGGGACCUCACCGCCGGCGAGAUCUGCUCGUCGGAGGUGUGCUCCCUCUCGGUCUCGCUGAGCAGUGGGGUCAGAGGCCCACUGUCAGUCGCAGGGGAACCCCGGUGGGUGUAGAUGCAGGUGUGUUUAGCCUUUUGCGUCGGUUUUCUUAAAUAAAUGUUUUCCAGAAAUUGAUUCAAAACUUGUAAAAUUCAUAUCUUGAGUUCUACAGCUCCAAAUUUGAUGAAAUAAAUUUUGGUGUACUCUAUAUUUUCAGAUCUGCAUUUUGAUGUAUUUGCAUGUCAUGUUUGAGUAACUUUUCUGUAUGAAUAUAUUUAAUCUAUAUUUUUGCUAAACUUGGAAAAUGCAUAGUAAUUAAAAUAUGGUUCAGAAAAAUGUGAAACUUUAUUUGUUGGCUCUGCAUGUAUGUUAACUCACUGGGGAAAUAUUGCUACACAAUAUUUGGUGUAUAAAUGAAUUUAUGGUGAUUUAAAUGCUUGUAUGGCAUUGGUUUAUGAUUUUUAAUAAUUAAUUGGAUCAUGCAAUCAGUCUGUAAAUUUUUGUGGAUGUUUCUUAGGAUAUUAGACAAAUUGUAAAAAUAUGAAAUCUGCUGUUUGACACUUCUACCACAGUAGAGUAAUUGUACUUGUCCUUAUUAAUUAAUCUUGUGAUUUUUUUAGCUCAAAAUAAGUAUUUAAAAAUUAUGAAAAAUUUACAGUAGACCUUAUGCUUGACUGGUAGCCUCCUGUAAUUUUUGUAGGAUUUAUUGAUAAACGGAACUGCAUGCAAAUUUUGAUGGGCCUAGAAAUGAAUAAAUAAUUUAUGAUUGUUGUAUAUAGGUUGAAUAAAAUAAGAAUGGGAUUGGUGUAUCUUGGAGCAACUUGUGGGUUGCUAUUUACACUUGAAAAAUAAUUGUAGAAGAGAAUGCAAUAGAUGUUAAUUCAAUUGCCUACUCUGGGAUGUUGUUGACUGCCUUGUAAAGAGCAUGACCUGUUAAAUCGCCUAUUCAUCAUGUCAUGAUCCUUUGGUACCUUCUCAUACAUGCAUCCACUCGGGCAUCUCGCACUCCACUCAUGAGCACACAUGCAUCAUACAGGCUCGCAGAAGAACGAGGUGGGACCCGAGGAGCCAGAGGAGAUUCAGGAGCAGGAACCUCCGGAAGCACAGGAGUCCGGAGAGGAACUACAGGAGUGUCCGGAUCACCGACCCAGCACGUUUGAGAAAGGCAAGCCCCGGAGCAUUCUAAGUCUUCCUAUUCUAGCUAACUUACAGGAUAUACUAUGCUUGAUCUACUAUAUUGCAUUUAAGUGAUAGGAGUUGGUUGAUACCGUUGAUGCAUUGGUACUCCUUGAUAUCACCCCUCAUUUAUCUACCUUGUCCUAUGUAGAUAGGUGCGAAGUCUAUGCUUAGUUGCUUAGCCCCGGUAGAAGUCGGGUGAUUUCCUGUCACCUGCGAGAUAUAGGUGGAUACCUACUUAUUUAAGCAGUGAUUGUUUUGGGAAAAGAGUAACCAAGUGUGGAAUGGAAUUGGAGACCGGGCAGGGUCUUAUGGUGGGUUGACUAUAGUGCCCCUGCCUGUGUCGAUUAAGGACCGAUCAUUGACGGCCCUCUUGUCAUGUUGAACGCAUGCCCCACACUUAGCUGGAAGGAUAAGUCGUUCCGACCGCGAAGCCUGAACACUAUCCGGGCCGGGAAUCGAGCCGCCAUGCGCUGUAUUGGUGAUGGUUGAGGAGAACGACGAGGGCGCGGCGCGCAACCUUGGUAUACCUUGGAUACCUCGGUCGCCAGAACGGUCCUCGGGUACUGGCGGUGCCUGCCGAACCCCCGAAUUGGUCCUGGAUAGUGUAAUACGGUGAUCUGUAGCUCACUUGAUCAGUGAGUGUGGUUUGUGUGGGGAAUAAACUCGCGAGCUGGUUAGAAAUCGAUUCGAAUCGCCAUCGCUCCUGGAUAGUGAGCACUUGACAUGAGCCCUGUCCUCGUAGUAAGGACUAUGGAAUACUUGGGUUAUAAUGAUGAAUGGUUUUAAGAAAUGCUAUGUUGAGGUACUUUCAUAACACUAUACUUGCUUGUGAUAGUGCAGGUGCAAACCUAGAUAUUAGGUAAUGAUACUUUCAACUUGAGCAAGUUAAAAAAAGAAAGACUUAUGUAGGUUAUGAUAAUAAAAUUCUGCGGUUUUGCAAAAUGGUCGUCAGCUACCCCACUAUAUAGCCUUCAUGAUCCUUGAAGAGUCUUUAUUUUAAGUUUAUGUCGGGUAAGUCUAGCUGAGUACAUUCUCGUACUCAGGGUUCUACUCCCAUGUUGUUUUGCAGAUGGUCAAAUGUACUAUGGUUAUUGCAUCCUCUGUCUGUACCCAGCCAUGGGUGAUGACUAGACCAAGGGCGAUUGUCACUCCGUCUUCUCUUUUGCUUUUGUGGGAAUGACUGAACUAUGGCACUGUAUCAGACUAAGUGUGUGUGUUGUAUUUUCGAACUAUGAAGCUUCCGCUACCUGUGAACUUGGUUUGUAAUAACUUUAAGUACUCCGAUGUAUUUUAUGAAUAUUGUAAUCUGGAUGUAUUUGUGGAUGGCGACCGCUAAACUUAUUACGAUCUUGGCUGUUGUACGAUGUGUGGUUUGAAAUCCUUCAAGAUUUCACGGACUACCGGGAUUAUAUGGGCUUAAGCCUGACGAUUUGACUAUGCAAAUGGUCUCUGUUAGGCUUAAUCUCUUAUAAUUUGGUCGGUUCUGUUACAUGGUAUACCAACACCCGACAUUUCUGGUGCCAUUGCUAAUGAUGGAUUUAUAGUCUAACUUUAGUAGUGAUGCUAAGAAAUGCCAACAACUAUCCACUACCUCAUCGUCUGCAUCACCACCGCCACCUACUACCCCACAACUCCACCGCCAUGGUCCUCCAGACAAAUGGUACGUUUUUCUCUAAAUCCUAAACUUUAAAAGCUUGCCAGAGCUAGAGAAAGAAGGGAAAGGUGGAAAGUAGGAGAUUUUGGUCAUUGAGAGGAAAAUUUUGCUUAGUAUCUGUGAUAUAGAAUUUUGUGCAUUCUGUUGAUGCAAAACUGAUCUGCAAACACAAAGGGCUAAUACCCAAUUCAAACGUUAAGACGUGCCAGCCGAUUUGACCUUACCAUCGGCAAUGGUGAUAACUCGAAUACUUUGGUCCCGACAACAGCGAUGCGCCUGGAUGUCACGGCCAAGAGGUAUUCACGCGGAACUCGAGAAUACGCCGAGCUUAAGUCGACGAAUUCCUAAGAACUCGUAGUAAAAAGGAAAAUAUGACGAAGUCAUCGGAAAAGUAGGUACUGGAAUAUGAUAUGAGUAAAAACUUAUGUUUGAUUGAUUGAUUAGAUCUUCAUUACAAGGCCCUAGGGUCUACAUUUAUAACCUGCUCAAAGAGCUACAAUCAGACACGACUAAGACUCAAAUUCCAAAUUAAACAGAAUCCGUAUACAAAACAAAUUUAAAUAACUACGGAAAACAUAAAACUACCCCCUUGUAACCGACCGGGACACCGCCACAGAUCAAUCGGCAACCUCCACGCUUUCCUUCAGAGUCACCGGCAGACUUCCUGUUAUGGCCAUCGGCAAACACUGAUAUUGAUCAUCGGUAAGAACACGUUACCACCUCUUGACUUAGCCACAUCCAAUCGUCUCUUCAUCGGCAACUACCCUCAUUGACAACUUUUUUGCAGACUAGUUACCGUUGCUCCACCUGUCGAUCUAUACUUUACUGGUCCCUAGGUAUGUGUCCAAAAACGGUGUCAACACAUGCCCCCCAAUUUCGGAGUAUAAAAUCAUUAAUGCUCCGAAAUUCUCUGCAGUAAUGAUGCCUUUCGCAAUUAAUUCUCCCAAUUUGGUUACCGACCGUUAAAUCUGAACAACCUUGGCCCGAUUCUCCUGCAGAUUCCUCGAAUUUCUCAACCUCCGAAACCGGAUCUUUCCACGUUAUGCGCCCAUCGGCAAUAUUACCGUUAGAGAGAACUGCCGAUGGACCGACCAAGAGAUCCUGCACAGUGAAAUAUCUCCAAAAUCGUGACCGCUUGCUGUCAAAUCACCAGCACAAUCCCUUGAUUACUGCGCAAACAGUUACCAUAUCUACCUGAACACCCUCGGAUUUCACGGAUACGGCAAAGAGAUAAGUCAAAUUUGCCCCUGCCCGUUUUGUCUUAUAAAUACUUCCUUCUCGGGUACUCCUUCUCCAUCUUGUCAUUCUACAGCCCAAAAUCCACUUUCGCAGCGGCUGCACCACCCGAGGACUCCAAGAACUUCAACGAAGGCCUUCUUCACCAAUCUCCCAAGUCUUCGAUCUUCUUCUCGCAAGAAAAUGGCCAUCAACUUCACCGUGCCUGAGGUCAGUUCACUACCCUUCUUUUUCGCGCCUCUACUGUAUUUCUGUUCAUCCGCAAUUCCUUUUACUGAAUACUUCUCUUUCUUUCUGUUCUUUCUUUUACCCUCGAAAAUUUCUAGGAUUUGGCCGAUAAAAUUGUUAUUCCUACCGAUCAACCCCACCUCCAAUGUCUUGGUCCACUAGGAAACCCGGAUCUCACCGAUCUGAUAAAUGCAGAGACAAACAGAGUUCCCUUUAGAGCCGAAAACUUCUCCCUAGAUCUAUGGAAAGAUGCCUUCCGUUCCUAGCCCAGUCCUACCAAGGGAUGGAAGGAUUGGUUUUUGAGAGUCAGUCAUUCAAACGAGGUUCAAUGGGGCGAGCGGAAGUUAGAUCAGUGCAUUAGAUUGUCUCUUGCCGAUAUGGAGAGAAAUGAGUCACUGCUGAUCGCUACUUCAUACUUUUGGUCAGAAACACUCAAUGCUUUUGUGUUUGGCCAUGGCCCUGCUUCUACACUUGUCGAUGUACUUAUGCUCACCGGCUUAGAUAUAUCUACUGCCGAUAACAGCCACCUGUUCGACACCAGACCCAGUGCUAAGGUAGAAACUCGUGCUAUCGGCGGUUGGUCCGGGUACAUUCAGAAGUACCGAAGAACAGGUCCUGUCAAUGCAAAGGAACAGACCACUUUUCUGAAUAUGUGGCUGGAUAAAUUUGUAUUUUGUGGCCGAUCGGCAGGACCAACUUCUGUUUACUUAUCGGCAGCAGAGAGACUAGCCGAUGGCGGCCGAUUUCCUCUUGGCCGAUACUUGCUCGGCUCGGCUUAUCACCUCCUCCACCAAGUAGCCAAGAAAGUUCUGCUCGGCCAACCCAUCGGUAACUUAGGGGGUCCUUGGUGGUUCAUCAACAUGUGGCUUAAUCUCCACAUGCACAAGCGCCUUGAAUUCGACCUCUUUGCACAGUGCUUCCCCAGGGACAUAGCCGAAGAUUAUAAAUUGGAUGAAGAAGAAUCAGCAACUCGCUCUCCCUUGAACUUUGGCGAAGCGGCCAUAGUCUUACCUGGCACUGGUGGCAACGAAGACUAGGUUAGCCGAUUCUUUCAAACACUGUACGAGGGCCUGACCAGAGAACAGCGGGCAUGGAUGCCCUAUGAAGAUCCAGACACCAGAUUCCCCUUGACUUUCCACCCUUUCAAUGAUACUCUCAACAAGGACCGUGAUGUGAUGAUGGCAAUUAUCACCCCAAGAGCCAUACCAGUGAACUUCUUUAGUAGUGGGAAAGCCUCCAAUCUGACCUACGAGUUUUAUAACCCAUCGGCACUAGCUCGCCAACUGGCUUUCGGCCAACUGCCAAUUGCACUCUGCUACGCCGAUGUGAUAAAGCCGAGGGAGACCAUCACCAGCAAUCUAGAAUGGAUCAAGGUAGCUCAACUUCCACCAAACGCCGAUAUAGAUGUCGAUCUAUCGGCUUGGAUCCCAGCUCUCUUCAUCACUCAGACAUACAAACAGUGGUGGGAAGAGUGGAAAGAGCACUUAUUCUACAGAUUAGCUCUCGCAUACCGUGGCAUGAUCGACCCCAAAUACAAAGUCCCUGAUAAUAUUGUAAGUACUUUAAACUGAUGUUUCGAUCCUUUCACUUUCAUUCUCCAUCGGUAACUUACUUUCUUUGUUGUAUACAGGCCGAUGAUAUGCCACCAUUAGUCAGCAGGAGUGGUAGGCCGAUUGAACUCCUUCCAUCGGGCCCGAUCUCUCUAAUCGGCAACAAGGCCCCAACCUUGGCUGCUAUAAUGCAUCGGGGUGUCCGUCUUAAGAAAGUCACCACCAAGCGGACGAAGACAUCCCCAUCAGUAGCCGCCACUGCUUUAGCACAAGCCUUCAAGGUAAAUUUUUUUGAAUUCUUCAACUUAUACCGAUUCCAUCCUUAUACCUGUUGCACUUGUACUCAUAAACUUUUCAUUGUUGUAUCAGUAUACCGGUACAUCGGCAAAGACCAGAAGUAUGACUGCCGAUGCCCCCCAGUCCAGUCAAUCGAAGAGAAAAGGUUCCAAGAGUACCAGAUCACAAGUGAAGCGCCAGAGAACAGUAAUGCCUCCUCCUCCCCCAAGGUCUCCGAUCCUAGUAGAAUCAUCUCCUUCGUCUCCAGAAGCCCAGACACAAGAAGUACCAUCUCCUCCUCAGCCACAAGAAGAACCCCAAACGGAAGAAUUCCAGCCAGAAGAACCUCAGCUAGAAGAAACAUUGGCUAAUGUACACGAGCAGACCACCGAUCCAGCAAGUCUAAUCAUAGCAUCGGUAGUCUCCUCGAUUCAGACAAGUACUGCACCCCCUCAAGGUAACAUACUUUCCAUUUAUUGCCGAUGAACCUAUCUUUUCACUUUAUUAAUCACUUCUAUCAAUCUUUCAACUGACAUAGCUUUGUCGGCAACUCCAGCCGAUCAGCCUGUGGUUCCAUCGGCCUCGUCUAGUCAGAGGUGAGAAAUAGCUCUGAAACAAGUAAGUUACCCGAUCUCUAUUUUUAUUGUUAUCAGUACUUGAUCAUAGAAUAACUUAUUUUGUCUUCCUUUUUCAGGAACAGGACUCUCCUGACAGCUUUUUCUCCUUUGCCAUCGACAUCUCUGAGGAUGAAGGCGAGGAAGCAAGUUCUUCUCGAGCGGUUGGAAUCUCAUCGGAAGAGAUUAGAGCAAAGUUGGAAGAUUUGUCGGCUCUCCUUCAUCAAGAUAUGGCCCAAUUGAUUGAUGACUUCGAUCCAGCUAAGGCCUUGUUCAAUGCUCUUAGAGGCCAAAUUCCUGCCGAUGCUGAGGAGAUCCUCUUCAAGGCUGCUCACUUGGAGAGUCGGCAGCUUCAGUAUCAGAAAGCCGCUCAGCGCCUUGCCGAUAGAGCUACUUACGCCCAGCUCUCAGAAGAGAUGAUGAAAGUAAAGCUCCUUGCCGAUGAAAAGCACAAGAGCAUCGGCAUUUUGAAGUCCUCAGGAAACGUAUUGAAGCAAAAGAUCUCUGAUAUAUCGGCACAGAGAGAAGCCCUGUUGGCAGAACUCAAACAAGUAGAAGAAGCUAUGUCCCAAGCUCAACAGGAAGAAAACCAGCUGCCUGAAGCAAUCAAGACUCUUGAAGAGGAGCGAAACAUCCAGGCUCGCAAGGCACUGCAGAUGAAGAAGAAACUGAAGCCAGUGGAGGGUUCUACCGAUGAUGACAUGAAAGAGAUAGAAGAAGCCGAUCAGAUUCAUCUGCGCGCCAUAUCAACGAUCCAAGCUUUGUUAAACAUGUAAACUCUUCAUCGGCGGCAUAUUUUGCUCUUCUCUUUUAAACACUCCUGAUAUUUUGAUCUAGCCGAUAGGACUGUUAUCGGCAUCUCUUAAAACAUCGUACUUAGUCCUAGGCAUAUUUCAAUCCAGCCGAUAGGAGUGUUAUCGACACUAAAACUUUUAUGCAUCGACCCAUACACUUGGGUAAUAUUUCUUUAGAUAUUUGUCAUUCAAUGCUCUAGGGAAUUCAACUCCUUCGAGAGUUUCUAAGAUAUAGGCAUUGCCAGGAGGAGAUCGAUUUAUCCGAUAGGGACCUUCCCAGUUAGGAGACCACUUCCCAAAUUUUGAACUUUUAGUCUCGAUCGGUAAAAUUAGUUUCCAUACUAAGUCUCCAUCGGCAAACUCCUUAGCCUUUACCUUCUUAUCAUACCAUCUGGCAACUCUCUUCUUAUUCUCUUCUAUACUUACUAAAGCCCUUAGUCGAUGCCCUGCUAAAUCAUCCAACUUGUCUGUCAUCAAAGUAGCAUAAUCAUCGGUAGCCAAUUGAUCUUGAAAAGAUAGUCGCCUAGACCCAGUCUUAAUUUCCCAAGGUGACACUGCAUCACGUCCAUACACCAACUGAUAAGGUGAAACUUUGGUCGACCCAUGACAAGCCAUCCGAUAUGACCAUAAAGCUUCAUUCAACAAUGUAUGCCACCUUCUAGGAUUUUCCUCAAUCUUCCGUUUAAUAAGUUUGAUAAUUCCUUUGUUAGAUGCCUCGGCCUGCCCAUUAGCUUGAGCAUAAUAAGGAGAAGAAUUCAACACCUUAAUUCUCAUACCGAUUGCAAACUCAUCAAACUCCUCCGAUGUAAACAUAGUACCCUGAUCGGUAGUAAUUGUUUGAGGAAUACCAAAUCGGUAAAUAAUAUGCUCUUUCACAAAAUCAAUCAUGUUGGCCGAUGUGACAUUCUUCAAAGGAAUAGCUUCAACCCACUUGGUGAAAUAAUCGGUGGCAACCAAGAUAAACUUAUGCCCUUUGCUAGAUGGUGGAUAAAUCUGGCUGAUUAAGUCAAUAGCCCAUCCCCGGAAUGGCCAGGGUUUGAUAAUAGGAUUCAUGGCCGAUGCGGGUGCUCUUUGAACAUUGCCAAAUUUCUGACAUCCUUGACACCCUUUGAAAUACUUAAAACAAUCCUCAAGUAUAGCCGGCCAAUAAUACCCAUUUCUCCUGAUCAUCCACUUCAUCUUAAAUGCCGACUGAUGUGCCCCACAUACUCCUUCAUGGAUUUCUCCCAUUAAACUUUUAGCUUCAUCAUCACCUAAGCAUUUGAGAAGAACUCCAUCAAUUGUUCGAUAAUAUAAUUCAUCUUCGAGGAGCACAUACUUGGUGGCUUGAAACCGAACACGUCUCUCAACUUUCUUGGAUGGAUCCUUCAAAUAAUCAACGAUUUCUUUUCUCCAAUCAUCGGCACUGAUUGCCGAUAACAUGUUAACCAUAGGUUGAUAUCCUGAAGCAUGCUGAGCCAACCGAUUAGCUUCUUCAUUAUGCAACCGAGAAACAUGCUCUAAUCAGAAAUCUUUGAAUUCCUUUAACAGUCGCAUACUCUUUUCAUAAUAAGCUAUCAAGACUUCGCUUCGGCACUCAUAGCUUCCAGCCAAUUGAUUUAUAACCAGCAUAGAAUCCCCGAAGACUUCAACAGCAUCAGCACAGACUUCUCUUAACAAUUCCAACCCCUUGAUUAAAGCUUGAUACUCGGCUUGAUUAUUCGUUGACGUGGCAACAAUCGGCAAGGAGAACUCGUACUUCCUUCCUCGAGGGGAAAUUAACACUAUGCCGAUUCGUGCCCCCCGGUCACACGUGGAUCCAUCAAAGAAGAGCGUCCAAGGUACAAUCUCCAAAGCUUCCACUGCACCACGAUGUUAAGUCACAAAAUCGGCCAUAAUCUGUCCUUUAACCGCUUUAGCCGAUUCGUAAUGCAGAUCGAACUCUGACAGUGCCAAAAUCCACUUACCGAUCCUGCCACUCAUGAUCGGCAUAGAUAGCAUAUACCGGACCACAUCAUCUUUGCAUAUAACAGUGCAUUCGGCCAAUAGUAAAUAGUGCCUCAACUUAAUGCAGGAGAAAUAUAGACACAAACAUAAUUUUUCAAUAGCCGAAUACCUGGUCUCAGCAUCAACCAAUCUUCUACUUAAAUAAUAAAUUACACGAUCCUUCCCUUCAAAUUCUUGCAUUAAAGCUGAACCGAUGACCAUCUCAUCGGUAUAUAAAUAUAAUCUGAAGGGCUUUCCUUGCUGAGGUGGAACCAGAACCGGAGGAUUUAUCAAAUAAUUCUUGAUUUCAUCUAAAGCCAACUGUUGCUCUUUCCCCCAUAUGAAUUCUUGAUCGGCUUUCAACUUAAGUAAAGGACUAAAAGCACGAAUUUUACCAGAUAAAUUGGUGAUAAACCGCCUGAUAAAAUUUACUUUGCCGAUCAGAGAUUGGAGCUCAGUUUUGUUGGUAGGAGCAACUAUUUUGUUGAUAGCAUCAAUGGAUCACCUACUAAUUUCAAUCCCCCUUUGAUGCACCAUGAAACCAAGGAAUUGUCCUGCCGAUACACCAAAUGCACACUUGCUAGGGUUCAUCUUUAAACCAUGCUUCCUUGUGCAUUCCAAAACCUUUCGCAAAUUGGCAAGAUGCUUUGUGAAAUCUCCAGACUUAACAACCACAUCAUCAAUAUAAAUUUUCACCAGUUUGCCGAUGAACUCAUGAAAGAUAAAAUUCAUGGCCCUCUGAUAAGUAGCACCAGCAUUUUUUAAGCCAAAGGUCAUGACUAUCCAUUCAAACAACCCAACAUGACCAGGACAUCUAAAUACAGUCUUUGGAAUAUCCUCUUCAGCCAUGAAUAUUUGAUUAUACCCUGCAUUGCCAUCCAUAAAGCUUAUGAUCCGAUGCCCAGCCGCAGCAUCAACCAGUAGAUCGGCAACUGGCAUUGGGUAACCAUCCAUCAACGUAGCUUUAUUAAGAUUCCUGAAAUCAAUGCAAACCCGAAGCUUCCCAUUUUUCUUGUAAACUGGAACAACAUUAGAAAUCCAUUCGGCAUACCGACACUGCCGAAUAAAUUUAGCUUCGAUAAGUUUGGUUAUUUCGGCCUUACUAUCAGGAAGAAUAUUAGGAUUACAUCGGCGAGCUGGCUGUUGAUGUGGCCGAAAUCCAGACUUGAUGGGUAACCGAUGUUCAACAAUCGAUCGGUCUAAACCAGGCAUCUCAGUAUAAUCCCAAGCAAAGCAAUCUUUAUAUUCCUUUAACAAAUCGGUUAAAUGCUACUUACACUCAGAAUCUAACACUAAUAAAAGUGGUCUAGGCUUAUCACCACUACCUAUAUCUACCUCUACAAAAUCAUCAGCCGAUGUGAAUCCUUGACCUAAUUUUCCAUCAUCGGCGAAUCUAUCCAUUAAAACUCCUCAUCAGUACCGACUACUUGGAUCGGUGGAAUUUCAUAAUCGGCAACUUUGAGGAAAUCCUUCUCCUAAAUUUCUCCCGAGAUACACCUAGUCCUCUCAUAGGUAUCCUCCUCUACCGAUGCGAUGACAUAGGAAGAAUCUCCCGGGACAAUCUCAAUCUUGUCACCUACCCACUGAACCAAGCACUGGUGCAUUGUAGAUGGGAUGCAACAAUUGACAUGAAUCCAGUCUCUCCCUAGUAGCAAAUUAUAAGCACCUUUUCCACUGAUCAUAAAGAAGGUGGUCGGCAAGAUUUUGCUGCCGAUGGUCAACUCGACACAGAUUGCCCCCUUAACCGGAGACACAUUUCCUUCAAAGUCUUUUAGCAUCAUAUCGGUCUUGGUCAGAUCUUGAUCUCCUUUUCCAAGCUUCCGAUAGACUGCAUACGGCAUGAUGUUCAUAGCAGCCCCACCAUCAAUUAAUAUCUUGGUCAUUGGCUGACCAUCAACUUUUCCUUUGACAAACAGAACUUUAAGAUGGUGCCUUUCAUUGUCGCCAGGCUUUUCAAAGAUAGCUGUCAUCGGAUCCAGAGCCAACUAAGCUAUCUGGUCGGAAAACUCCAACUCCUUAUCAUCACUGGAUGGUGCAAGGAACUCCAUCGGCAACAUAAAUACCAUGUUAACAUCUGCCGAUGGCCCUUCCCCCUUAGAUCCGGUUGUUGCUGAUCCCCAAACUGGCCAGAGUUCUCGCCCUUGCUUAGCUCUUCUCGUCUUUCGUGCUGUAGCCUCCUCUUCUGUGUCCUAGUCAACCCCUCUGGACACCAUGGGGGAAGUUGUGACUGCCUUGCCGAUGGGCGACAACUUUCCCUUGACUCCAUCCGAUAAAUAUUAGCGUCUCUACAAAAUAUGAACUCAUCGGGAACUCGUGCAUUGGCCAUUUCUUCAAGUUCAUCCUGGUUCCUGGGAAAAUAUUCAACACGAUCACCAAGCCUAUCGUGUACACUGAGUCUGCCCCCAGCCGAUCAUGAACUGACGCUCUCUCCCUAAUCGGCCCAUUAAAUCACCGAUCAUCAUUGUGAUAGCACCGAUCGGAUCUGUCACAUCGAUCAUAACCAUUGCAUUCACGGCAAUCUCUAACAAUGGGUAAUUUAAUGUUCUGCUCCCAGCAAUAGAUAAAGAACGGGCAGUUCCAGUGAUCCUUGUGCCGAUUCCACUCCUGUCGGCGCCUUUCUCCUUCCCGACGAUAAUCUUCUUGCUGGCGCCGAUACCGAUCUUCAUGUUGCUGCCAAGUCUCCCGAGGCCUUCUAUGAGUUAUCACAAUACCGGAUCGAGGAGGCCUCCCUGAGCUAUUUCCUUCCUGGAUCAAACCCUUUCCUUUAGCAUCGGCAGCAGUAAUUUGAUGCUGAGGAUCUACCGAUGCACUCCUUUCAACUGCUUCCGACGUCAAAACCUUGGUCUUUCCCUUAGCAUCCAACAUAUUUGUUGGGAAAGGAGGUUGAUCAAUCUUCAUCGGCUUCUGCGCUUUAGAACCAUCAAACUUGAUUCUCCCAGAUUCUAUAGCCGAUUGCAGCUGUUGUCUGAAAACCUUGCACUCAUUGGUGCUGUGAGAAGUUGCGUUGUGCCACUUGCAAUAUUUCAUCUUCUUUAAUUCCUCAGCCGAUGGAAUCACAUGAUUGAGUGACAAUUUGAUUUGCCCUUCCUGAAAUAGAAAGUCAAAUAUCCUAUCGGCCUUAGUAAUGUCGAAUGCAAACUUCUCUGGCUCCUUAUGCACAAAAGGGCAAGACAUCGGCUUUUUAUUUUUCACCCACUCUGCUAAUCCGAUGACUGGCUCCUCAUCAGAAUCCGAGCUUGCUGCUUCAUCGACAAAGGACACCUUUUUGUUCCAUGCUCUCUUGGGUUCAAAGGGUUUGAUAUCCUGGUCGGAAAUCCUCUGCACCAAGUGACUUAAGCUCUCGAACUCUUGAGAAGCAUACUUGUCUCUGAUAUGUGGCAACAAACCCUGGAAAGCCAAAUCGGCCAGCUGCCGAUCAUCCAGAACCAGGCUAUAACAUUUAUUCUUGACUUCCCGCAACCUCUGCACAAAGCUUUCAACCGAUUCAUCAUUGCGCUGUUUCAACCUGACUAAAUCGGUAAUCUUCUUCUCAUGGACUCCAGAAAAGAAGUAUUUGUGGAAUUGCUUCUCCAGAUCGGCCCAAGUUAUCACUGAGUUAGGAGGUAACCAUAUAAACCAAGUGAAUGCCGAUCCAGACAACGAUGACGAGAACAAUCGAACCCUUAAUUUGUCUCUGUUAGCAGCUUCCCCACAUUGAAUGAUGAACCUGUUGACAUGCUCCAUGGUCGAUGUAUCAUCCUGUCCAGAAAACUUAGUGAAAUCCGGUACCUUGUACCGAUUUGGAAGCGGGAUUAAAUCAUAUGCAGGAGGAUACAGUGUCCGAUAAGAGUAAGUGUUGACUGUGGGUUUUAUCCCAAAUUGUUCCCUCAUUACUUCAGCAAUCUUAUCGGCCCAAUAAGCAUCGGUAUCUUGCUGAUGAGGUGGUUGCGGAUCUGGCACUUGUUGAUAUGCUUCCACGUGUCUCUGAUGUGCAUGAUUCGCAUGGAACAUGGGGUUGAUCAUCUGACCACCAGCCUGUUGACCAAGAUUCAUCGGCUGGUUAACCAAUCCUUGAUUUUGAAAACCAGGUUGAACUUGUCCUUGUUGGAACCCUACAGCCUGAUGAUUCUACUGAGGCAUUUGUGGAAAGACUAAUUGCCCCGUCCAUCCACUGUUAGCAUUCAUCGGCAUGAACCCUGCCGAUGGCUGAAGAUUGGGCAUCAUCAUUGGAUUGACAUACCCUGGCUGUGUCAUAAACCUCUGCUGCGUCGGCAUUGAGUCUGCCGAUGCGUUAGGCAUCUGGAAUGUUGGAGCUUGAGAAUUCCCAGUGUAAGGUCUUGCAGUAGUAGUUGUAGUAUACUGGGGACUCUGAUUCAUCGACAAAUUUGGAGGUGCCGAUGCCAUAGGAGCCUUGCCUCUCGUGUCAGCCGUCUGAGAUGUUCCAGGAGUCUUCAACAUCAUCUCUAGGGGCAUACCAUAACCCCACCAGUUGGGAGGAAUGGACCCCGACAUUGCCGAUGCCAAUAGAUUUAUGGCAAGCUUGAUUUGCUCAUCUGAAGUUGAUGGAUUGGUCGUCAUCGGCGUAGAUUGCACAUUAGUGAGUCCUAGUGUGCUUGGAGGAGCAGUAGCUUCUGUGCCCGCAGCGGCCGUAGUAGCCGAUGGAGCUGUGACAACUGGUGAUCCUAGCAGAUGAUAGACAGGGCCCAUAUAGUUUGGUGGCAAUUGUCCCUCUUUGAAAGUUCUAGCCACGGUAUUGAAAACCGUAUUGGACAGCACACCAGCUUGAUUGAUCAAGGCACGAUUAAUAGUACUAUCAACCAUGUCUUGAAGUUUACCGGGAUUGGCUUCAAAAGUAACCUGCCGAGGCGCCGGUAGUGCCUCCUUCUGGAUCACCUCGCCACUCUUGUUGAUACUAAAGGAUUUCAAACAUUGUUGCUUGUAAUCCUCCAUGGCUUUUACAAUAGCUUGCUUCUGCUCAUCUCUAAGAUUGGCUUCCGUCACGGGGAUGACGUUCUCCAAGUCGAAAUCGGUGUUCGACAUGUUGAUCUUGAUCUUGAAUCUUGUCCCACUGGCGUUCCAAAAGAUGUGUUGAUGCAAACUGAUCUGCAAACACAAAUGGCUAAUACCCAAUUCAAACGUUAAGGCAUGCCAGCCGAUUUGACCUUACUAUCGGCAAAGAUGAUAACUCGAAUACUUUGGUCCCGACAACAGCGAUGCGUCCGGAUGUCACGGCCAAGAGGUAUUCACGUGAAACUCGAGAAUACGCCGAGCUUAAGUCGACGAAUUUCUAAGAACUCGUAGUAAAAAGGAAAAUAUGACGAAGUCGUCGGAAAAGUAGGUACUGAAAUAUGAUAUGAGUAAAAACUUGUGUUUGAUUGAUUGAUUAGAUCUUCAUUACAAGGCCCUAGGGUCUACAUUUAUACCCUGCUCAAAGAGCUACAAUCAGACACGACUAAGACUCAAAUUCCAAAUUAAACAGAAUCCGUAUACAAAACGAAUUUAAAUAACUAAAGAAAACAUAAAACUAUCCCCUUUAACCGACCGAGACACCGCCACAGAUCAAUCGGCAACCUCCACGCUUUCCUUUCGAGUCACUGGCAGACUUCCUGUUAUGGCCAUCGGCAAACACUGAUAUUGAUCAUCGGUAAGAACACGUUACCACCUCUGGACUUAGCCACAUCCAAUCGUCACUUCAUCGGCAACUACCCUCAUCGACAACUUUUCUGCAGACUAGUUACCGUUGCUCCACCUGCCGAUCUAUACUUUACUGAUCCCUGGGUAUGUGUCUAAAAACGGUGUCAACACAUUCUCUCAUCUAAGAUUGCACUUUCACUCUAUUUAUAUAGUCACUCAAUUUAUAUGAGUUUAUUUAUAGUAUGAGCUUAUAAAGAAUGCAAAAUCUAUCCCGCGAACCGUCGCAUCAUAGUGCAAUGACGCGCUCUUGCUCCCAUGCUCUCCCUCUCUUCUUCUCCAACUCCGAUAGGCUUAGAAGGGGCUCAGGGGAGACAGGCUGGCCCGAUGAUAGUGACGAGAGAGAUGUUGACGAGGCAAAGGCGGUUGGGAAGAGUAAGGGUGGGGCAACCUUAGCCAUAGCGGCAACACAAGAAGGGGGAAAGAAAGAGAGCAGCGGGUGCGAUAGGGUCGCACUAGAGCUCCAUAGAUGCAACUAUGCCUCUGGAGCUCCGACGAAAUUCUACCGUGCUGCGGCGGGGCAGCAGGUGGAGACGGUGAUGGGGUGGCACGCCUACUCUUUGUGUGACCCAUGGCGCCUUGUGUGCCCCCAUAGAGAAGCUAGAGGACGAGGGAGAGCACUGGGGAGGAAAGGAACAGGAAUUCCUUUGAGGAAAUCACACGCGGCUAGCCGGUCCGAAAUAGCUGAAUCCCUGUGUUGAUCAGGGGUAGAGAAGGAAAGAAGAAAAACAAGCGCCGGAGUCUGCACACAACCAGACAUCCUCUCCUCACUCCGGCCAGGAAGAGCAGGAAACCUCGCAGAUCCGCGCCCCGUCCGCUCACAGGUUCACCGCAUCCCCGCCACUACCGUUUCCACUGCCGGCUCCAUUCGCUCCACCAAUCCCUGCUCAAGCCGCUCCAGCUGAGAGACGGAGAGCCCUGCGGGAAGGCGAGACGAGGGGGAGGUCCAAACCCUAGCCGUAGAUUGCGGGCUCCUCCUCCUCCUCGCCGCCGCCGGCGGGGAUGGAGAUGGUGGUGGCGGCGCCGGAGCUCCCCGCCGAGGUGGAGAGGGCUCUCAUCCGGGACAUAACCGUCGCGGCUGAUGCCCACGCUAAGGAGGGCGACACCUUCUUCCUCAUCACCACCAGGUCCACUAUCAUGCCUCUCCGUUCGCCGUUUCCCUGCUUCCCAUCCCUGUCGAUCUACUCCCUGAUUCAAUCACCGUUCGCGCUGCCACGCUUGGAAUGGUCCUGCGUGGCGCAAGGUCUUUUUUUCCCCUUCUUGCUGGUGUUGUUCGUCGGUGGAGGAACAUGCUUCGGCGCCGCCGGCGAGGUGUCGCGGCGAGGUUGCGCCUCGGCGUUGGCAUCGGAGGUGGGUUUAAUGCGUGCCGGUUUAUGUGUUCCUCUCUGCUUAAGGAUUUGCCGGCCUUUCCUCUUCUGAAGCGCUGUAGUCUUACCUGUUGAGUGCGCUCCUCUUGACGCCGAUGGCAUGUGCUCCUCUGCUUUGCAAACAGGAUUGGACAGCCAUGGUGUGUGGCACAAGAGAUUUUUUUUUUCAGCUGUGUAAGUUCUAGAGACUGUUAUGUCAGGCAUUUUGGACCAGUUGUGAUUUAGGACCUUUGAGGUUUGAGCAUUCUACUGCUCCUAUAUUCGGUCUUUGAGAUGCUUUGAACAUUUUAGGACAUUUAAGGGCCCCUUUGGUAGCCCUCUUCCUCCGCUCCUGCCGCUCCGCUCCACGCUUCCCUCUGCUCCAGCUCUGCCCGCUCCCACUUGAAAAAGGUACCGUUUGGCAGCACUUUGUUGUUGUCUCCGGCUUCAGCUCCGGCGCAGACGGAGAGGCAUGGCGCGAAGGAGCGGUGGUUUUUUUUUUUUUCUUUUUUUUGGGGGGGGGGGGGGGGGGGCAUAAAAGGACCCCAACGGGCCCCGCGGUGACUUGGCCUCCUUCACCAAUGGCGGAGAGCAGUGGUGAAGCAUGGCCCAUGAAUUAGAGGGGGCUAAAUUGCUUCCUUCAGCAUCAAAUCAUGGUGAGAUGUUAAAUAGACAUGUAGUUUAGACUUCGAGGGAUUUAUGAGUCAUUGAAUUUCUGUCAAGCACGGGGGGGGGGGCAGUUUAGCCUCCACUACCCUCCGCCCCUGGCGGAGAGGGUGCGACGGGGAGAAGGGCAGCGCAGAGGAGAGGGCCGGCUGGAGAAGGUCUGCGGAUGGUGCGUCGGCAGCGCGGGCGAAGAUGAAGACACGGUCACACAAGUGGAGGAGUGUGUGGACGGCUAGAUUGGCGCAGUUGCGUGGACUCCCCACCUGCAGUGCAAAAGGGAGGGAGCCGGAGGAGCGCUUCCUUGAGGAAGCAGUGCGGUGCGGUGGCCUUUGGCAGCGCUCCCCGGAUUCUCGCGUGGAGCGGAGCGGGAGAAGCGCUGCCAAAGGGGCCCUAAAAGUAUUCCCUGUUUCCCUCUGGUAAUUUAAAGAAGACGUUUAAGGCUGCCUAAUUAGCCCACAUGCAAUUCAAUUUGGUUGUCCUUAAAGUUAUUCUUUGAUGAGAAGGAUGACAGAAGGGAGUAAUUUCACAAGAUCUGUAUUAAAUUAAGUUUUUUGGUAUGAUCGUGCAUACUCAUGGAUCGUUGCAGUAUGUAGGCUGUGGAUUCAACUUGAAAGUAUCACCAUUUUUGUCGUGUUAUGAUCAUAAUAAUAUUCGAAUGACGUUGUAAGAUAAGGUAUCACACCUAGUAGGAUAUGCCUAAUAUGAGAUAUAAGAUGUAUUAAAGCUUCUGGUAUUUUUAAUUUGGACCUGGAAUGUUUUUCUCUUUUCUAUUGAAUUGCAUGUUUUACAGGUCCGCAUAUGGUGCUGAUGAGCAUCAUGGAAAUGUCUGUUUUAGAAGGUUUCUUCAGAAAUACAUAUUCGUACUAUGUUAUUUUAUUCUUCUCUGUCAGUUUCUUCAGUUGUUUACUCUCAGUUCGGAUUAUAAAUGCAAAUCUUCUUUUUUUGGCUCAAUAGGUGGUGGCAAAGUUGGAUUGAUUACCUCAUUCAAGAUUUGACUGGUGCAACAAGUAAUGGUUAUCAUCAUCAUGACUUUGGUUCAAAGACUCCUAGAAGGCCAGGAGCUAUUGACAAUACCGAUUUAAUUGAUGAUGCGUCAUUUGAAGUCUCCAAUACGGAGAUUGAGAUACAUGAUAACUUGGUUGAGGGUCGGGAUUACAUACUGGUUCCUCAGCAAGUUUGGGAAAAGUUGCAUGGUUGGUAAGUCAUCUCUAUACUGUGCAAUAUGAUCAUCAAAAGAAUAAUCCUCUCUGGAUCUAUCACUUUUCAAAUGCCUCUAUGCACCUAAGUGCAGUGGCUUCUUGUCUUUGAUAGUUUCUACAUAGCUUAAUCAUUCUACUUAUGCUGACCUGUCUACCUUAUGAUUCCUUGCCGUUUCUGUGGAAUAUGGAUAACUGUCUUUCAAGGCGGUUCUAGUUCACAUACUCUAUUACUGUAAAUUGAUAUAUUCACUUUCCUGAACAUACUGAAUAAAACAUCAAUCCUAGCCAAUUUUAUUAAAUAUUCUUUACAGUUUGCGUUGGUAUUUGCCAAAUACAUCACUUCUUCAAAUGAUUAUAUAUGAAGAAAGUAGCACAAAAAAUCAGUAGCCUUUGGUCUUAAAAUGAACUAAGGCACAAACUGUGGUGUUGUUUAAUCCCCAGAUGCUUUGCCUUGACUUUCAAGUAAAACCCCAAAAUUAAUACAUGGAAGAAAGUUGAUGCUACUAUGUUAUGAAUUCAAGUUAAGAAGCUGAGAGACUUUUCACAAACAUGGUUCACUUAUUUGUGUUCCGUAUGUGAGAAGCUGUGACAUCGUCCAUCAACAAGAAACAACCACACAGCUUUUGAUUUGGUGUUUGGAAUCUUAUUCUCAUUAUUACACAAAAUGCGUUAACAGGUAUGGUGGAGGACCAACAUUACCAAGAAAGGCAAUCAAUACUGGCUUUUCUCAAACUGAUUUGGCCAUAGAAGUUUAUCCUCUACGACUGCAGUUAAUUCUAAUGUCAAGAGAAGAGCGAACCUUUAUAAGGAUAAGCAAGAAGGUAUGCUCUCAUCUCUUUAGCCAUUGUUGAGCACAUUGUCCUUUCUUUUAGUUUGUAUUUCAAUAAAUUGAAUAGAUUGGACAGAAUUAUGUAAACCUAUGAUGCCACUUUGUGAGUAUAACCUUCUGUUGAAGUCUUUUAAUGUCUCUAAUAGCUUCAAUAAAGUUGGAAUAACUGAAAAGUUAAAAAUCAUCAUGAACCUUUUUCAGGAUACAGUUGGCCAACUCCAUAAAAGGGCUUGUAAGGUUUUUGACUUGGUACCAGCUGAGGUAGUUGUUUAUUUUGAUGUUACAUUGUUACUUGCAAGGAUUUUUUUCAUAGUUAUUGUGGCCAUCAUUGGCAGGUAUGCAUUUGGGACUAUUAUGGUCGAACAAAGCAUUCAUUGAUGGAUAGCCUGGACAAAACCCUUGAUGAUUCCAACAUUCAGAUGGAUCAAGACGUGAGUCAAAUCUUCUAUAAUAAUUGAGAAGCAUUCCCCCACUGCCACCCCCACCCCAGUAUCAAACUAUAUUUGUAGAACAGAUGCACUACUAGUUAAUGGCUGUUGUCAAGUAAAUGAUAUGACUGUAUACUUUUAUAUUGUUUUCACAGAUUCUAGUUGAGGUUACCACUGAUGCCAAUGGUAGUCUGGAUGGUUUGGUUAAAAGAAACAAUUUUUUUGAGAGAGAGUCGACUUCUCUGAUUACUGAUGCUCUGAAAUCAGGAUUGCCAAAUGAGAAUUUUGCAGCCAACAGCUAUGCUUCUAGAAGCUAUAACUCUAGUCUGACACCAAGCCUCUACCUGCGAUCAACCAAUGGUGAUCUGGAUAAUGUGCAUGGUUCUAGUGGCAUGAGCACGAGGGGAUCACCCUUAGGUCUUACAGGGCUACUUAAUCUUGGAAAUACAUGCUAUAUGAACAGUGCCAUACAGUGUCUUGUGCACACGCCACAGUUUACUAGAUAUUUUUGUGAAGAUUAUCAUCGUGAAAUAAAUCGGCAAAAUCCGCUGGGUAAUGUGGUAAGUACUCUUUUGACUCACAUGUCCUGGAGGCCUUGAUGCUUCAAGAUAAAGUCAUUUUGGUAGAGAAUAUGAUGUUAUUCCAUUAUAUUCGUUUGGAUAACUUUUUUUUCAUCAUGAUAUUAUUCAUAGCAGCCAACCAAAUUUCAGUUUAGUUGUCUCCCAUUAUUCCUGACAUGCAACAAGUACUAAGAGAUGCCAGACCCUUCAUUUCCAAAAUCUGUAGCUUUUGGUUUUGGUAACAUUUUCCACAUGUACAAUAUCUUCUCUUAAGUGUAGUAUAUGUAUUCAAUUCUUGAUUAAGUUUCUAGUUCAGAUUUAUGAUCUUGCCAUUCUAAAGUCUUGUCAGUUUUUCUUUAGUUUGGUAAGAUAAGUAAAAAAUCUUAUGUUUGUUGACCUUGACAUACAAAGAAAUUUAUGUUGUUACUAUCACGUACUGGCAUGUGAUUAUUCCGAGCAUUUGUGUGGACAUUUUCUACAGCUAUAAUGUAUUUUAAUUUUAAUCAUGCAAAAACAAUUGAAAAAAACUGGUUGCCAUACUGCCCUUUUCUGGUUUCAUUUUCUCGAGCAUCCUGCAUGUUAAUUGUACUAAGUUCUGAUGGUAGUCAUGUAGGGUGAACUUGCACUAGCUUUUGGUGAGCUACUGAGAAAACUCUGGGCUCCUGGAGGACGUGCCCCAGUUUCGCCUAGACCAUUCAAAACGAAGCUUUCUCGGUUUGCAUCUCAGUUCAGUGGAUACAACCAGCAUGAUUCACAGGUUUGAUUGUCUCUUUAGAAUGAUGUUCUAUCAUAUGUUAUAUUUAUGCACAGUGGGUCCCUAAACUUUUUCCGCAUUCUCAUCUGGGUACAUGAACUCCCAAAGUGAUCAUGUGGGUCCUUCAACUUUUCGUGUGGUUGAUUCUAAGUUCAGUAAUCAUGGACCUAAAUUCACACAUCGAAUGGACCACUUGAAAAAGGAUGGAUGAUCACUUUGAGAGUUCUGCCUUCAUGGACCUAGAUGAGAAUGUGAGAAAAUUUGAAGGAUCCAUGGUGCAUUUCACUUUAUUGAGUUUUUUUUUUUAAUUUUUUUUCCUGAAUCUGUAUUUUGGUAAAAUACUGCAGGAGCUGUUGGCAUUCCUCUUGGAUGGACUCCAUGAGGAUUUGAAUCGCGUGAAGCAUAGACCUUACAUAAACUCGGGAGAUGCUGAUGGAAGAUCAGAUGAAGAAGUUGCAGAUGAAUAUUGGGCAAAUCAUAUUGCUAGAAACAAUUCAAUCAUUGUUGAUGUAUGCCAGGUUAGUUCUACACCUGUGAAUCAAUUCACUUACUGUUGUGAUGCUUUGGCUCUACAUAAAUGCUAAUAACCAUUGCGAUUUGGGACCAUCAUGUUCCUCUUGCUGGGUAUUGGAAUAAAAUGAUCCUUUGACAUCAUAGUUCUGAGUGUGCAUGUAAGCAAUGAUUUCAGGUCGACUGGUCGAAGCUGGUCGCUCUAGGACCGACCAGGCGAUUAAUCGAGAUUAAUCGUCGACCAGGGCGAUUAAUCGCCCUGGUCGACCCUGGUCGUCCACCUGGUCGUCCAGCUAUUUCAGGGCAUAUAUGCCUAUAUAUAUACCUCUAUAUAUACUAUAUAAUAUACACAAUCAAGCUAGCAUCAAGACUACAUUAGUGUUUAGAUAGUGAAUUACUUGUGGGAGUUGGUUUCUUCUCUUUUCUGCACUGUCCAGAGGUCCAUAUUGUUGUCCCAAACUCCCCCUGCAGCCCCUCUAUUCUAUCUAAACCCUAACAGGCCAAAAACUUAAAGCCCAUUAGCCCAGUCCCAGUUAGAAAAGGCCCAAAAAAACAGAAGCCUGGUCGUCCAUCUUACCUGGUCGUCCGAUUAAUCGCGAUUAAUCGACGAUUAAUCGGACGACCAGCUUUCUGGUCGAACUAAUCGAGUCGGACCUCCUAAUCGAAUCCUAGGAGCGACCUGGACGAUUAAUCGCGAUUAAUCGGAUGACCUGAAAUCAUUGCAUGUAAGCACCUCUAGCAGUUUCAGGUAUUUACUGUAUGUAAUGUAAAGACCUUUCUGUGACCUUCCUGUUGUGAUUAGAUGUGCAGAUGUGCUACCUCAUUACAUGUGGAGCUGGAUACAUGUUAUUUUUUUAUGCUGAAGGAUUAGCUUUGUUAGACUUACUCUCUCCUUCCCAAAUAGAUGACCUUAUAGCAUUCAAAUUUUGUCCCAAAAUACUUGACCUUCUCACUUUCCGUAGCACCUUUCUCUUUUCCCUAUACACAUUUCUCUUUUCCCAAUACAUCUCUAUCUCUGCUCCUUGAGGGGCAUUUUGGUCUUUUGGCUUCAGCGUUGGUUUCUGUGGGAGAUUCUAAAAUGUCUUCUAAUAUGGGGUGGAAGGAGUAUAUUCUAUCUGUAUAUGUACUCUCCAGUGUAGGGUGUUUCUUACGGUGUGUAUAAAGUCUUGCACAUCUUCCCUACAGAUACUGCGGUACAUUGGAGGCACAUACUUGUCACAAUACACAUAAUAAUGCUUGUUGCAUGCAUGACAUAUUUUUGGCUCAUGAUUUAAUUCUCUUCCUAAUUAUUCUAAGAAAGAUGUUGUACUAACAUUUCCUUUUAUUAUGUUUUUCCAGGGGCAGUACAAGUCCACUUUGGUUUGCCCAGUCUGUGGGAAGGUUUCAGUGACUUUCGACCCGUUCAUGUAUCUUUCCUUACCCUUACAAUUUGCCUCAACCCGGAGCGUGACCGCCGUGGUAUUUUCUUGUGAUGGUAGUGUUCCACCAACACCAUUCACUGUAAAUGUACCGAAGCAAGGUAGGUGCAGAGAUCUAUUACAAGCCCUUGGCACUGCAUGCUCACUUAAAAAUGGGGAGAAACUUCUAAUUGCUGAGGUUCGUCAUUAGUGCUCACUUGAAUUAAUGUACAGGUUGGCAGGUUUGAUGAUUGUGUCCCUAAAACAUUUUUGUUGAAUUUAUCUACAGAUACGGAAUCAUAAGAUCUACCGAUUUAUUGAUGAUCCAGUGCUUCAGCUGUCUACAAUAAGUGAUGAUGAUCAUCUGGCAGUUUAUAAGCUCCCAAAGUUGGAAAAGAGGGUGAAUUACAUUCAGUUUGUGCAUCGUCAUGAAGACUUGUAAGGAAAAAAAAAGCAACAGACACUGAUAUAUGGUUAUCUUCUUGCUAGAAUUACAGCUGUAGUGGUCAUCUUGGUUUGUAAUUGAAGUAAACCCAACAUGUGUCAUGUCAAUAUGCUAUUUACAUGAUUAACACAAAUACUUCUUGCACCAUCUUCUGAUAAUAUUAUCAUUUGCUAUUGGUAGGGACCAUGGAAACACUAACACCUUGACAUCUUGGAAACCCUAUGGUGUUCCUCUUCUUGCACAAAUAUCUCGCAAUGAAAUUGUCACGGGUUUGGAUAUCCAUGAGUUGGUCCAUAAAAUGCUUGUGCCCAUGCUAAGGAAUCAGGACUUUAUGCGUUUGGUUGUUCAAAGUUCUGUUUCCACGAGAACUCACAGUUAUCAUACUGACAGCAGCAAAUUUCAGCUUCAGUUGAUUGAUGAUAGCAACACAGUCAUUGAAAAAUCAAAUGAUGCUAUCAGGGUCCCACAAUCUUCACUCGCAACUGUAUUUUUUAUCAAUUGGCUCAAGGAAGAUCUGAAAAAGAUUGACACUCAUCAUUUAGAGUACCUCCCAGAGGUGUUUAUGUAUGGUCCUCCUGCUAAGAGAACCCGUGGUGAAGCUCUCUCACUCUAUGCAUGCUUGGAUGCUUUUUUGAGAGAAGAACCUCUUGUACCUGAAGACAUGUGGUUAGUUUUCAUUUCCGCAUUCUAAGAUACAUUUGCACUUGCAAAAAAUGAUAAUUACUUAAUUGGUGCAUACUUUCCAUUUUGGUCGGUACACUGGUACUUGACGCUUGCUUAGACACUUUGAGUGGUUAUAAGGAUGAAACUGGAUUGGAUAUUAUGGAUACCAAAUAUGGGUAGCUGUAUCUUUUUUGGGAUUCGGAGUCGGAUUCAGAUAGUGUCAGAUGCAUCAAAUAUUAAUGUCUAUUCCAUAUAUAUAUAUUGGAAAUCCAACUUUGACUAUUCAGUUUCGGAUAUGGUACGGAUAUUAAAUGUCUGGAUUCUUAUAUGGAUUGCCCAUGUGGUCUUUAAAUCCUUUCGGGACAGAUGGAAAUCUGGAAUAUCCAUCCUGUUUUCAUCCCUAGUGGUUACUCUGUUGGUUGCACUGGCACUUUAGUUAUAACUACAUAAACAUACCUUAUGAGUUUGUUUUGUUAUAUUUUCAAAAUUUGUGGAUCCUUUUAGUAGCUGUAACAAUUGAGGCCCAUAAAAAUAUAUUUGUUGAUGGGGUUCUCUCUCUCUCUCUCUCUCUCUCUCAAAUUUUAUUGGACAGUCCCCUGUGGAUCAUCUGGUCCAUUUUUGUGGGCAUAUCAACUUUUCAAUUUUUGAUCUGAAACAUGUACAAUGUGUAAUGCGCCCAUGAUUAUUUUGUUCGCUCAAAACAGUUGCAUGUGAUCACCCACAUUAACCAUCAUUUCUUAAUUUGCAACCAAAUAGAGCCUCUUUUGAAUCAUAUGGUUUCCCUUCCUUGGAUUUUGGUAAAAAUCAGUUUAAAAUUUGUAGGCACUUUAAUAAUGUUUCUUCCUUAUAUCUAUAGCCUUCAUUUCUAUGGUGUUUAGUGAUGAAGUUAUUAUGCUGUUCUUUUAGGUACUGUCCAAGGUGCAAAGAGCAAAGACAAGCUAGCAAAAAGUUGGAUUUGUGGAGACUUCCAGAAGUGCUAGUCAUACAUCUAAAGAGAUUUUCAUUUAGUAGGUCAACAAAACAAAAACUAGAAACUUUUGUUAAUUUUCCAAUACAUGACUUGGAUUUGACAAAUUACAUUGCCAACAAGAAGAGUUCAGAGCGCCAGAUCUAUGAGUUGUAUGCUGUGAGCAAUCAUUAUGGCAACAUGGCAAGUGGACAUUAUACUGCACACAUUAAGGUACAUUUCUUACCAAACUUAUUAUUACAGCUUCUCUGCUAAAAAAAAGAGUGAUUCUGAAGUCCUAUGGCUUUCUGUAGCCUUUUGGUUCUCUAUUCAGUUUUGCUGUUUUUGCAUGUUCUUAUGGCUUUUGUAAUUUUAUAUUGUAUCUUCUGCCCCACAAUUUCAUUGCAAUUCAGUCUGCAAUCUACCCUGCUUUGAGUACAAGGCUUGCCAAACAGUUAGGUUGCGAUUGGUGCUUGCAUUAGACUUUAUGCAGCACUCCCCAAGCCAGCGUAAUUGUAUGGUCUUCCUGUUUGGUUGUCCUGCACAGGCAAGCUGCAUUUGGUCAAAUUGUGUUUCAUUGUCUUGCAUGUAGUUACCUCCAUGUUCUAGUAGAGGUCUCAUGUUUCUAGUAGAGGUAGGGGAGGUCUUUUUUUUUUGGCUCCAUCGACCUAUGCACAUUGCCUAAUACAAUCCAAUUUGUUGUACUAGCUACUGCUGCAUUAGGUUUGCUUUGAACAAUGCGCAAUUCUGCAUAAGAGCCUCACAAGCCUGGAUACAGGCUAAUGUACCCAACCAAACAGCUGCAAUAGUUAUGUUUUCUUUGUGAAGUGUGUUGAUAAUUCCUUGAUUUGUGCAGUACCACUGUGCUUUUGAAUCCUCAUUGAUGCUUCCCUGUGUAGUAUAGAAUGCUGAUGGGAAUUUCUCUUUAUGCAGCUUGUCGAUGAAAAUCGGUGGUACAAUUUCGAUGAUAGCCAUGUUGCUUCCAUUGAUGAAGACGAGGUGAAGACUGCUGCAGCUUAUGUACUAUUCUAUAGAAGAGUCAGAGAACAAGAUAGAGCAAGGGGAACUAGUAAUGGAUCUCACUUAUAUGCAAAGAGAAGCCAUGGAUAUAGCCAUAGGUAGACUAAUUCAUUGCUGUGGUUUGGUGCAAGGGGAUUCCAGAAAUGACACCUGCAGGCCUUUAGUUACUGCCAGGAGUAUAUGGCUCGACUCUACUGCAGCUGGGAAAAUGCACCAUUCUCCAGUUGAGACAGAAGAUUAUUGCAUAGUUCAUCUGCAGUGCUGGUGCAAGAUGGGAAUUUUGUAUAAGGUGGAUUGAAGGAGUAAUUGACUCUUUUCUUAUGAUAAUUGGGUAGCUUCAACAGGAACACCAGGGAUUGGUGGCAUUUUGGUGAUCUGUUUUCUUCUAGAAGAGAGACAAGGGGAAGCAAGCAAACAUUUAGGAACACCUUUUCUUUAAUUUAAUUAUUUCCAUUUCAGGUUUUUAAAAAAAUCCAUUAACGUUUUUAGAUUAGCUAGCCUGUACACAACUGUUGUUGGAAAUGGGUCAGCUGGUGUUGGUCGAUGCUUGUGGUGGCCAACAAUACCAUACCCAACUAUACCAGAGACUGCAGUGGCGAAUGCACCUUUGACAAUGUCGGUGCACAUUAUAAUGCUGUGUUGUUGCGGGAAGAAUUGUAGCUCAUGUUGUACUUAUAUUAGUGGCAAAAGGCCUCACAAAUGUAAAAAUGUAUCGUUGUGCUGACAUGUUAAACCUUAUUUUGGAUUCUUGCUUUUUUCCUAUUGACGAAGGCGUGCGCCAUUUAAUAGUCAACCGCAACCCACUUGAGAGUGGGGGUAGAAUUGUUUCUGUUUGUAUAAAUGUGGUGUUAAAUAUUUUUUUCUUGUGUUAGUAAGCUUACCGGAUCCUAGAUAUGAAAUUGCAAAUGGAUUUAUCAGACCUGCCCGCAAAGGGCACACCAUCUGUGCAUACUUCUCGGCCUUGUAAUCCUGUCUUGAUUUUGGGAGAAACCCAAGGUUGUGUUAGGCCUUGUUUAGUUUCAAAAAAAUUUGCAAAAAAUUUUAGAUUCUUCAUCACAUCGAAUCUUGUGGUGCAUGUAUAGAGCAUUAAAUAUAGAUAAAAAUAAUAACUAAUUGCACAGUUUACCUGUAAUUCGCGAGGCGAAUCUUUUAAGCUUAGUCCAUGAUUGUAUAAUAUUUGUCAAAUACAAAUAAAAGUGUUAUAGUAUCCAUUUUGUAAAAUUUCUUGGAACUAAACAAGGCCAUACUAUUUCUGUUCCAAUUAUAAGUCGCUUUGACUUUUUUGGUAUAUUUAUUUUACUAUGCAUCUAGAUAUAAUAAUAUGUCUAUACACAUAGCAAAUUGGAUGACAAAAAAGUUAGCAACUUAUAAUCUAGAAUGGAGGGAGUAUUUAACAGUGUAGGCACUAGGAACCAGUGCCUAUCACCACUCAAAAACCAUGGUUAUUGAGGUGCUUUUGCCACACUUAUCCAGUGAUGCUUGUUUUACAUUGAUUUUCCUAGUUGAUGCUAGAUGUCUGUUCUUCAAAUUCAAAUUACCCUAAUGGGUUGUUUGCAUUCCUUGAAUUUGGGAUGAAUUGAUAUUUCUUUCUUGGAUCGGCCUGUUUGGACGAGCCUUGAAUUGGAAAUCAACAUUCCACCCUAGAUUCCUGGCUGAAAGAGGAGAAAUUGAUUGACUUCCGACUCUCGAGCAACGCCAUUCCCUCGCCGCUUGCGUCUCACAGUUCGCCCGGGCGCCGAUGUUUCCUAGCUGCUCUUAUCUCGCACCACGGCUCAAGGGUUAGAGGAAGUCUACUGGCGUGCUGGGUUUCCCAAACGUAUAGAUGGUCAUGCAGCACGUAGUAUGUUGGGCGCUGUACUAGGCACGAUAGCAACAUAAGACUGCCCACAACUUUGGUUUUGAGCAAUGCUGAAAUCAGAGAGAGAGCAUCUAGGCAUGAGAUAGCAAUGUUGCAUGGAGCGAUACCGACUGAAAAAGGUCUACUCUUGUCAUGUAGGUUUCUCGAUACAUAAAAAUAAAAAAUUCCAUCCCAACCGGCCUCCGUACAUGCUCAGUAGGCAUCAGGCUCCAUGUUGUGCAAACAGAUGAAAUCUUGGCACCAGUACAGUCUAACUAGCUAAAAUAUCUACAUAGCUAACACUUGCUUUAGGCUUCCGAGCUCAUUGGGCUAGGCUAGUAGAAAAAAGGCACGAUGUGUUAUGCCUGGACCCAAGACUAGGCUUGUGGCCCUAAUUAGCCUAGCCUGGUGGCAUGUUGUGUGUGGCCUAGUAUCUAUGGGUCGUACUUUCAUUGGGCCCGUGCCAUGGCGGGCCGAGCGGCCAAUUUGACCAUGUAUACCGAAGUACUAGGGUCUUUGCAUUUGCGCAUGCGUAGAUUUCCAGGGAGAAGCGUGUUUGGUCCCAUGUGCUGUGCGAGACUUGCUCCGCCGAUGCAAAUUGCAAAGUAUCACCACGUCCUAUAUCCGCUCGUGUGACCAAAUCAGCCACGGCGCUACCCAAAGAAAAAUCUUGAAGUAGCCUGAUGUCUUAAAAGCGAACCCUACUAGUUGUUUUAGAGAUCCAAGGCUUAACGUUUAAAUUUUGUCUUAAAUUAAAUUUUCUAAAACUUUAUAUAGAAACACUAAUAUUUAUACUGCCGAAUAAUUAUAGUUAUAUUUAUUUUAUACUCUCCUUUUCAAAUUAUAAUAUGUUUUGGCUUUUCUAGAUUCAUAACUUUUGCUACGGCUCAUCUAAAUAUAUAUUAUGUUUAGAUACAUAGUAGAAGCUAUGAAACUAGAAAUGACAAAACAUCUUAAGAAUGAAUGAAGUAGUAUAUAACUUAUUGAUAUCGUAAACAUUGAUUUUUUUAUAAUUUAAUUAAAUUUAAGAUAGUUUGACUUCCAACGAAACUAAAACAAGUUAUCUUUUUGGACGGAGGUGUACCUACUAGGACCAGGACCUUGCAACAGACAGCUGUGCCCCAAGUGUCACGUGUUUGAGAUUCUAAACCUUUGAUGGGAAGACAAAAAACAAAUAGAGGAUAACUGAAACAACAAACAAGACUAGGCUUUAUAGUAGGAGGUAAAUACAAUAUGAACUUAUCUUUUUCAGUCACAAUUAUGGCCUUACACUACAAAAAAAUUGUUAAUCCGUGACAGAUUUUCGAUGACGGAUUUACAAAUCGUUACUGAUAGAUGCAAAACCGUGUUACUGAUAGAUGCAAAACCGUGAUGAUUGUAACAGAACCGUCCAAUUUAUAAGAAUUCAAGUGAAUUAGCGGCCACGAGAGCAGUCAAGCCAAUGGACUUGAACCCAUAUAAACCCGGUAGUCCGACGAAACCUCAAAAGAUCUCGAUUCAACCAACAUACAACCAAGAUCGUACAUGAUCAAGCAUCGUCAUCACAGAUUACAACCAUUCAUCUCAGAACAUAGUUUUACAACACAUCGGAGUUCAAAUAAAGUUAUUACAAACCAGUUCAGUAGCGGAAACAAAGUAGUUUUAAAACCACACACACUCACAACUGAAGGUACGAGAGGUGAUCUUGGCCGAGAUCUACUCAUCAUCCGCAGCCGGAUGGUGACAGUUAGCACAAUAGCCGUGAUAAACGACAUCAUCUGCAACAGGGGUAAAUAAAACCCUGAGUACGAGAAUGUACUCAGCUAGACUUACCCGUCGUAAACCAGAAAUAAAGUGACACCAAGUAGUAUGCAAGGCUAAUAUUUGUGGACUGGUUUGACUCACAUUUUGCAUAAAAGGCUUUAGUUGUAAGUAACACAUUUAUACAUUUUCAGCAGCAAGUUAAUUACUUAGAUCAGCUAUCCACUACUGUUCUAAGCACACACUUGAGUAUUAAGCAUCACAAUAAUAACCAUAUCCGGAUUAUCACAUAGCCAUCAUUACUCUCAUCAUAACCAUCAAGUUUAUUUAGUCAGGUCUACGUUGCCGCUGCUCGAGUCAAGUUCUCACUAUCCGGGAGAGACAGCGAUUCGAAUCGAUUCCUAUCCAGCUGGAGGGGUAUUCCUAGCACUCGCCCAAGCAUAGCUCAUGAGGGUAGCUCGGAUCACCUUUAGCACAACUCCGGACCAAUUCUCGGGUCCGUACAGCGCCACACCCCUAGGGACCGCCAAUCUGCCAGGGUCAGGACUCUAACGUGACACCUCGGUCUUACGCCAUUGACUCCCCGCACAUCCUUGCUACCGACCGGGGUGCGCACUUAAACCGAACGGGGUAUCCGGCCGGAGAUGCACUCGUAGGCUUUGCGGUCGGAACGACUUAUCCGGCCAACUAAGUGUUAGGCAUGCGUUCAACAUGACACGAGGACGUACAGCGAAUCGGUCCUUAAACGACACAGACGGGGAUAGAUUCACAUCCAAGACCUCCAUGCCUUGUUGCUGCACUAUCGUCAUCCCGCCCGGUCUCAAAUUCAUUAUUAGCACAUGGUUAUCUCCACGAUAGCAAUAUAGCCAACCGUGAUUCAGCAUCCACCUAUCUCUCGCAGGUGAUAGGAAAUGACCCGGCUUCUACCGAGCUAAGCAUGGCUAAGCAUCAUUUCGAUCCUAGACCUACUUAGGUAAGGUAUAAGGUGGACAAGGUAGUUUAUUAUGCAGCAAGGGUGUCAUAUCAACGCCUAACACUUAAUGCAACAAUACAUAACCAUAGUUAAUUGACAGCUGGACAUGAUAACAAAAUAGUAGGAGUCUUAUAAUGCUCCGGGGCUUGCCUUCAACGUAGGUGGACGGGCGGUGGUCGGGACACUCCGGUAGAUCCUCCUCCUCCUCCUCAGCUCCUUGAGGUGGCUCCCUCUGCUGCUCCUCCGGCUCGGGUAGAUCGAACUACAAGACCGUCACUCCUUUGGGUACACCUAUGUAUGCAUAGCAAGGUGAUAAACAUAGGGAAUGCAUAUAAGAUGCAAUAUGUCACGAUACUGAGCCAAGAAACACAUAGUAAGGUACAAACAUGAGAACAAGCUCCUAAAAUUAAGUGAGUCAUAGAUUGACAAGUAAGUGCAUACUUCUUCUCUGGUAGAGAGACCAACUAGAUAAGCAAUCAACCUUAGUUAUUCAUGCACAACAACUGGGGUCAUGCACAGAUUAACUAGUCAAAAGUUCUGGCUAUAACUUAAACAUCAGUUGGCCAAAUUAAGCAAGUAAGCACUUUCUGGAAAGAUUAACAAAUUGUCUACACUUCACGUUUAGACAUCCCAGAAGGAUUCCCAACCGAAAUAUGCUGAAACAGACAAAGUUGGCUGGCUGUCCUGGAAAAACCAGAGAACAAGCAUUUCGUAGCAGCUACUUGCAACAGUCAUAACUUUUAAGCUACUCAGCCAAAUGUUAUGAAAUUUGGACACAAGGUAGAUAAGUAAGUUAGCUACAAGUUUGUUAUAGACAAGUUUUCCAUAAAACUUCAUCUUCAAGCAGUUCUUAAACAAUUGCUAUCAGCUACACACAAUAUGCUCUAGACAAGGCAAAAUUAGCAAAAUAAUAUUUUAACACAUAUUGAGAAUGUAACAUUGGUUCAAACCAAAUGCACCAGUAGUUAGAACAUGUCUAAGAAACAUCAUAAAACAUCAUGGCAAGGUUUAAACUCAUUUCUAUCAUCACCUUUUCUAUUUAUUUAAUUAUUAAGAUGAUUUAAUGGGCAUGCAACACAAGUGCUCCAAAAAUUACCACAAAAUUACAGAAAGCUAUCUAGGCUACCACAAGGUUACUGUAAAAUUUUCAUGGCUCUUGCACAUGCAGAUUGUGAGAUACAAAAAAGACAAGCUAACAAUGGCAUUAAAGGCAUAAAUGUGAAACCUUAUCAAAAAGUGUCAAACAACAGAUUUCAGAUUUUUCUUCGCUUUGUUUACACAUGAUUUCAUCCAUCAGCAAGUUUCAUCAUAAAAGGAGCUAUAAUCUAUUUACUAAAAAUACCACAAGAAAACUCCUAUUUAAACAAGAAAUAAUUAUAACUUCACCAACAGUCAUCCAAAAACGAUGAUAAAAUUAUUAGCCUAUUCAUGUCAUAAGUAACAAUAUCCUAAAUUUGCAUGGCCAUAAGACUCAGAGAUCUCAAGAUAUAAUUACCUCCUAUUUAACCAAGAUUAAAUCAUAUCUAUUUAUUUCUGCAAAAACAUGGCAUGUUUUAUAUUUUUAAUAAAACUAGACUAACACAAGAACCUAGCAAAAUUGGAAUCACUUCAUUUGGAUCUGCCUAGCCAAAGUUAUGAAUUUUUCAAAAACAACACAGGAUCUGCUAAACAGUGAACUAGAGGGGAGAGAGAGAUAGUGGCUGACAGGUGGGGUCCGUUGACAGACGGGACCCAUGCGACAGAGAGACAGAGAGCAGAGACAAGCUCGUCGCCGGCGAAUCUCGACGACGGCGGGGUCUUCGGGGAAACCGGGGGCAUCUACGUGUUCCUCACUUCAAGACGAACCUACCGACCUACUUUGCUCACGCUCUACUAGACUCUAGGGUGCUCGCCGUCGCGAAUGGCGGAGCGGCGGCGGUACGCCGGGAACUGAGGCAAUGGCGACUCAGUAGAGGUUGCGGACGAGCAAGAGUGAAGCAAGGCGAAGCUAUAGGAAGAAGAAUCACGGCCAGUGGUGAACCAGAGAGGUCUGGCCAUGUUGCCGGUGAUCUCUGCAAACUCCGGCGAGGUGGAGCUCGCGACAGAGUUGACAAUGCGGCCUCACCAGUGCUUGGCUAAGGGAAAGAGAUGGACGUCGAGGUAGAGGACGUCGAGGCGGAGCUCUAGGCGGGCUGGCUUGGCUGGAGACGCGGUGGAGCGGCCGGAAAAGCUCGCCGAAGCACGGCGGAGCUCGCCGAGAAUGAAGGCGGGCGAAAUGUGGAGCGCUGGACGGGUGAAUGGCGCGUCUGAGGCGUCCACCCGGUGCGUGGCGACUUGUGGACGUCGUUGGGGCUGACAAGCGGGGUCGUCGACGGCGUACGGCCGACAGGUGGCCGGACACGCGGCGGCGGGUGAGCUCUGCCCAAACUGAAUCGGUUUCUGAAUCGCCCGAUCACGGUCACUGAAACUCCAACUUCGUCGACGUUUUACUCGAGAUCCACUCGGUGGUUUUGGCUCAGAUUUGUUCCAUCGGGUAGAGCUACACGAGAUCUACAAGUUUUCUUACAGGAUCAAAGUCUAACUCGGCCUGGAAUUCAAACUACAAAGCUUCCAAGUGCCCUAUGUCGAAACUGCAGAAUCCAGACUUAGCCAAAUUCGGCUGUGUGGAAACAGCCCUGAUUUUUGCCUUGUGAGCUAAUUUUGAGUGUGUUCCAAGCAUUUUCAUAAAAAGUCAUCAACACAACUUUUGUAGCAUAUGAAAUUUACUACAACUUUUCUUUAGAUGUCAUUUACAUGCAAGGUCUCUAACAUUGGUUUCAUAAAAGGUCUUUGAAAGGAGGUUUAGGGGGUCAACUAGGUCAACCUAGGGCUAACCAUGACUUAGGGGCAUUUUUGGGUGAAACUUCCAACACAAACUUUGUUAAAAAUGAUAUUCUAAGCAUGAUUAAAGUAUUUGGGAAGACAAUGUGCACUCAUAUGCAUUGGUCACACAUUACUAUCACACAUAGCAAGUCACACAAGCAAUUCAAUCACAUAAUGUAUACCCAAAUGACAUGUGAUCAUGGUAUGAUGCUCAUGAGUGAUCAUGAUGAUGCUUAUGUUGAUGCAAUGCUCAUGGUUAACAUGCAAGAUAACACUAGGAGUGUUACAGACCUCCCCCCUUACAAAAAAUCUCGUCCCGAGAUUUGAAAGACAUACCAUUUUUCGUAGAAUGAGGGGUAAGUUACUUGUAAAUAGUCUUCUCUUUCCCAAGUGGCAUCUCUUUCACUUUGGCGGUUCCACAAAACCCUAAAAAGUUUAAUCACUCUCCCUCGAGUAACCCUUUCCUUGACAUCAAGAACUUGCACAGGCUUCUCUUCAUAAGAUAAAUCUGAUUGUAAUUUAAGACCUCCUGUUUCAACUCUCUCUUCGGGCACGCGAAGGCACUUCUUGAGUUGAGACACAUGGAAUACAGGGAAGAUAGCUCUCAUUUCCGGAGGUAGUUGUACCUUGUAAGCUACUUUGCCACUCUUCUCAAUGAUUUGGUAGGGACCCACAUACCUAGGGGCAAGCUUUCUCUUUACGCCGAAGCGAUUCACUCCCUUCAUGGGUGAUACCUUUAGGUACACAAAGUCACCUACUUCGAACUCGAGUGGUCUUCUUCUUCGGUCAGCAUAGCUUUUCUGCCUAGCUUGGGCGGCUUCCAUGUGUUCCUGGAUAACAAGAACUUGUUGUUCAGCUUCCUUGACGAAGUCAAUUCCGUAGUACCUCCUUUCACCAGGUUCGACCCAGUUUAGGGGAGUUCUACAUUUGCGGCCAUACAAAGCUUCAAAAGGAGCCAUUUGAAUACUCUCUUGAUAGCUAUUAUUGUAGGAGAAUUCAGCUAAGGGUAGCCACUUCUCCCAUGCGCCCUUGGAAGAGAUGACACAUGCCCUCAACAUAUCCUCCAGGAUUUGAUUCACGCGCUCAGUGUGACCGGAGGUUUGAGGAUGGUAGGCUGAACUGCAAACCAACUUUGUACCAAGGAGUCAAUGCAAAUGUUCCCAAAAGCGGGCAGUGAACUGAGGACCUCUAUCAGAAAUAAUAGUGCGUGGCACUCCGUGCAAUCUCACGAUCUGAGAGAAGUACAAUUCAGCAUAGUCGGAGGGUCGGUAUGUAAAAUGUACGGGAAUGAAAUGAGCUGACUUGGUCAAGCGAUCAACAAUAACCCAAAUAGAGCUGUGUCCCUUUAGAGUAGGGGGAAGUCCAACAAUGAAAUCCAUGCUGAAUGUUGGGUAUUCUUAACGUCACUACCAAAAGUAGACUUAGUUUUCUAAUUCUGAUAACGGCGCCAAAAAUGCCAAACCUAUCCCUCAUGCCACUUAAGCCAAGUUGUCAUCCCCAGCAUGACAUGAGAGACGCGGUAUUGAAAUAUGCAAUUGCUCUUCAUAAUAAGUAAUAAAUAAGAUCUGCAAGCGCACAGAUUAAUACCGAUGUAGCAUUUUAACCGGGAAGUAUUCCAGGUAUCGUUAUUUAUAUUUUUACCACUAGAAAGGGAUUGCUAAACACCAAUGUUGAUUAUAGAAUGGAAUAUAGGAUUGAGUAUCUAUCAUUGCAUGUAUAAUUGAGAACAUUUAUCUAUCUCUUUCAUACAGGGAUAAGUGUCACAUAAAAGUUAUAUAAAGUAAGAAUGGUGACAAAGAUAAUUAAUCUGAUCAGCAUAACUUAGCCACAUAUAAAUAUGAUAAGCACCUCAAUAGAUAUUCUAGCAAGUCAUUAGCAUGGAAUUAGGACAAACUACAAGAAUAUUUCCUAAGUUAUUCUUAACUAUAAAGUCUAACAUAUCAUAGUCAGUGCAAUUAUACUUGGCAAUCAUUGCGAGACAGGACUACGUCCAUGCAUAGUGAUAUUAUCAAGGAAUAUGAGAAACAUAGCAAUCACUCCCCUAUAAUAAUGUUGCUCUGCCAGCCCUAUACACGAGAGGGGGACUAUAUAAGAAUCAAUGGAGCUGUCACUACCACAAACUACCCCGCGAUCUGGCAUAUAGGAUACAAUCGCAGAUAAAUACGGUAUAGGCACCACACCUACACAAUACUUAUCAUUUACCCACUGUACACAUGGAUAAACGCAAUACAAUCCUAAACAUGUAUAUAAUUCCAAUCUAACUAAGCCAAGCAUAUAACUAUGAUAAACUAAGAACAAUAUAAUUGCAAAUAGAAACAAGUAGAGCAAAGUCAUAAUCAAUAUAUUGAAGUAGAACAAAGUCAUAUUCAUAAUAUUGAAGAACAAAGAUGAACAAUUGAAGAACAAUAGAGAAUUACCAAGAAUCCUCUUGACAGAUUCGGAAACCAAUCGAAGAUUGACUCCUUCUAGUUCUAAUCCUAUGUAGCUAUGCUAAACUAGAGAUCUAAUUGAUGUGGUGGCUCUAGGGCUUGAUCAGAGGCUUCUUCUCCCAAGAUGAAUAAUGAAUUAGGGUUCUGAGGUCCUCUCCUCUAGGGGCUAGGGGUCUACUUAUAUAGUCCUUCCAAGUGAAUGUGGGCCGUUGGAUCAAACCGACAUUGAUCGCACAGUUUUCCUUGAUCCUUUAGGUCGGUGGAGCAUGAUCCGCGAGAUUGGUUGUGAUUGGCCCCGAGGCCAGGGCGGGCGCCCAAGGGGGGAGGGCGGGCGCCCUGCCCCCGGGCAUGUCCGGUCUCCCGUUCGUUCCCAUGGCUUCUGGACUCUUCUAGAUGUAAGAUAAUUGCACGACACAUUAAUAUCUCUAUGUAAAUCCGACGUGUGGGCCUUUCUUCCAUAAUUCCUGAUAACCCCCUGCAGAAAUAGACAAACACCAAAACUCGUGGAAUUCUGUCAGAUAAAACCCUAAGUCUGGAUGUCGGUUGCAUUUGGAUCCUUUUCUUUGUUUAUUUGUUGAUUAUAUUUGAUACUUAAGGACCGUCAACAAACUCCCCCAAGCUUACCUCUUGCUCAUCCCUGAGCAAGGAUAACCUCAGUGAUGAAUCAGAAGUUGCUGUAAUGCCUUAAAAAGUUGACGGUACACAUGCUUUUAAAUAAGGUCUCAUCUCUGAGUUAGAGUAAACUAUCAAGACUUAAAACUUACUUAUUUACCUUUCACUAUGGAACUUGUAACCGUCACUUCUGUCUUGAGUAGUUAAAAGAUAGAACGGUCUAGUCAAGCACCAUGUCUCUUAUUCUUGAUCAGCUAUAGCUCUGGAGUUUUUGCAGAUUUUGAAAUAAAACUUAGAGAUUCCUUGUAUGACUCUCUCAGAUCUCUCUUUUGUGGUAUUUCUGGAUCCUUACCAAGGCAGUGAUGGUACAUGCCUUUUCUCAAAGUAUGUGGUAUUUGUGGUAUAAGGCAUAGUGACAUUGCCUUGUCUCUCAUCCUACUCUAAUAAGGCUUUUGAUAUCUGGAGCUCAUAUGUGGGAGAUAGCGUAUACAUACUUACAAGACAUUUAUUGCAUAGUCAAACCAUGGAUUCAGAGAAACAAGUCAAUAAGUCAAAUCAAGAUGUGCAUGUGUGGCGAAUGAAUGGUGUAUGGUGAUGAUGAUGAUAACAAUGGUGAAAGUCUAAUUCUACUUGUGCUCUUUUGAGGGGAUGCAUACCUUUCUUGCUCUUUGAAACUUUUUGAGGAGAAUGAGAUGCUCUAUAUUUUCUUUUUCUUUUCUCUCAGGUGGGUAUUUUUACCUCUCGUCUCACUUUUUUCUUUUCUUUCGAGGUUGCGGGCACUUGCCCCUUUUUAUUUCCUCGUAUCUUUCUCUCUUUUUCUCUUUUUUUAAGCACUCAUCUCCUAAAAUAAUGUAGCAAGUGGUAGUAACCAAGAUAACUGGAGCAUUUAUUUCACAUGAAAAAACAGAAAUAUUUUUGGCUAUUCUCUCCCGGAUUAGGAGUAGAAUAUUUUUGGGUGGCUUUGGAGAUGAAAAUGGGUGGAUAUAUGUGGAUGCGUACUUCCGGAAUAGAAGCAGCAUGUGUGAGUGAACGUGCAAGUGAAUAUUGAUUUUACCACAUGACAAGCUCCUAAGGGUCUACACAGCUUGACCCCACUCAAUGCUCAUAAACAGUAAAAAGUAAAUGUGUGGCUCAAAAUCUAGCAAGCAUGUAUAUAUGGCUGUGGUAGGAAAUUAAACUCUCAUCAUAGAGAAACUCAUCAAGUGAUAUUUUAAAGAUUUUCAAAGAUAAAAUUCUCUAGAAUUCUAGCAUCUCUAGGAACAGAUAAACAGCAGCUCAACCUUACCAUAUCAUAUCCGUUAACAACUUAGACUUCAGAUCAACUUUCCACAAGUUCAGGUUUAGAGCAAGCUUUAAAUUAUAACAGUUAUGUCUAAACUUGAGAGAGAACUCAAAUUUGAAAAUUAGACAGAGCAACUAUUCAUCAUAUCCGUGCUAGAGUUUUAUUAUUAAGAUUUAGUUUAGCAUAGCCACUUUAUUUAUUUAUUUAUUAAACACACUAAGCAAAAGAUAUUUAUAUAAGCACAAAAUCUUUAUUUGGUUUUUCAUGGUUAUGUAUAUUUAUAUUUUAAUAUAGUAUAAGUAUGAAUGUAGAUAGAAAUACUUAGCGAGAUAAAUGGGGGUGCUCUCCCCCAAGCUGAAUUUUGACGUAAUUUCUUCUCAUGUAGCUAGCAGGUGGCUGAGGUGUAUUUGAAAGUCGGCAGCACCCUGACAGCGAUUAGAAUGUCCUCUAUCUGCUAGUCUUCUUGAUCCUUGAAUUCUGUGGAGCUCAGAUAGACAACAAUGCUUUGUGGAACUGAUUAGGUGUUAGCAUAAAUAUCUAGCCUUUAUCAUGUUGAGCCUCCUUAAUAAAUGUUUCAUUUUAUAGAGCAGAAAAUUUUUUAUUUAAUUUUAUUUUUAUGCCACCACAGUGAAUGCACUUAUGGUUUUAUGCCACUCGUAUACUCACAUGGGGCUUACUGUUUUAACAUUUUUAUUUUCUUUUUCGGAUAGUAUGAACAUGAUUAACUAAACAAACUAUUUUAAAUAAUUGAAAGGAGAAAGAUAACUACCAAGUUUACCUCUUGGCAAGGCGUUCGGUGUUUUUAAGUCCUCCGAACGGGACUCUCCGUUUUCUCAGUUGUCCUGGGAUUCGCUGGAUGGCGUAGUCGGUGGUUCCGGCAGCGCCUCCUCUUCGUGUAUAACUAUCUUCUCUUUCCACACCUGACUUGGUGCUACGAUCUCCUCAUGAUAGUUCUGUUCAAGCUGUAUGUCUUCAGACCUUACAACUUCUCCUUCAUAGUUUGCCCAUCCGUCCUAGAUGAUUUGCCUCCUUUGGUUGUGGUUGCGUUGUCUUCUUCUUGUCCUGACCUGCUUAGAGUCUUCAACUAUAUAAUUAGGGUCAGUAAAAUAACGACGUACCUUCUCUGAUGGGAAGUGCAUAUAGACUUCUCCGGUUCCAAUGUAGAUGAUUGCUUUAACGGUGCUGAGGAACGGUCUCCCAAGGAUGAUGGAUGGAUCGUACUCGUCUUCUCCCAUGUCAAUAACCUGAAAGUCUGUAUGGACAAAAUGAUCGUCUAUUUUGAUAGGGACAUCAGUUGCUAUACCUUCAACCUUUCAGAAUGUCUGAUCUGCCAUCUGGAGCUGAAUGUAUGUUGGUUUUAGGGGCAUGGUCCUGAACAAGAGCCGAUAGGUGACUGCGGCCAUUAUGUUGACGCCCGAUCCGGUGUCGCACAGUGUCUUGUAGAUGUUGUACCCAUUAAUGGAGCAAUAGAUGCUUGGCAUACCUAGGUCGUCCUUCUUGGUCAGAAACGGUGACUUGAGUCGACGAUCUUAACCUCCAUGAACUGCAGUGACCAUCUUAGCUGACUCGGUCCACACUUGCUUGUUCCUAUUCCUCCUGUUGGUCCUCUUCCUUGGUUCUUGUCGGGAUUGCACUGGAAUUUGUGUAGUUUUGUUCUUGAAGAAAAACGUCUCCUUCCUCCCCUUGAUGUAGAAACUGAUCUUGGCAGCACUAGCGUAGAUGACAGCUCCCGAGGUGUUCAGGAAUGGCCUCCCUAAGAUGACAGGUGCCUGUUGACGGUCCUUAAGUAUUAAAUUUUACCAUCAACUAAACAUGGAAAAGGAUCAAUAUGCACCAAACAUCUAGAAUUAGGGUUUUAUCUGACAGAAUUCCACGAGCUUUGGUGUUUAUCUAUUUCUGCAGGGGGUUAUCAGAAAAUAUGGAGAGAAGGCCCACAUGUCAUGUUUACAACGAGAUAAUUAUGUGACGCACAAUUUUCCUUAAUCUAGAAGAGUCCAGAAGCCACGGGAACAAAUGGGAGACCGGACGGGCUCGGGGGCAGGGCGCCCGCCCUAGCCUCGGGGCCAAUCAGAACCAAACUCUUGGAUUAUGCUCCACCGACCUAAAGGAUCAAGGAAAACCAUGCGAUCAAUGUUGGUUUGAUCCGACGGCCCAAAUUCACUUGAAAGGACUAUAUAAUCAAGGCCUCUCCACCCUAGGGCGAGAGAGGAGAAAUCAUUAUCAGAGGUAGCCAUCAAAGUUAGGGUUUAGAACAUCUCUCCCACAGAGAAUUAGAAUUAGCAACUCCCUAACAUCUUCGGUAAUAAAGAUUGGUAUUAUUUCAUAUCUUUCUCUAAUACUUUAUUCUAAUUGCAUUAUGUCUCUAUUCAUUAUGCUCUUAGUUUGCUCUAGUUCUAUAUUUGAUAUAGUUAUGAUUGAUAAUGAGUUUAUGUAUAACUUUGCAAAGCGCUUAGCUCUUGACACGUGGGAGUUAAGUGGUAGAUCACAUGUGGGCGUGGUGCUUAGAUGUUAUUUACCUGCAAAUGUAUCCUAUUGGCCGGGUUGUGUGGUAGUUCAUGAUAGUGACAGCUUCGUUGAUUCUUAUAUAGUCCACCCUCCGUUGAUAGGACAGGCAGAAUUUGUAUUGCGGAGUAAGUCUUGCGAUGCUGUGAUUUACUUUAGCAAUGUCCCUUAUACAUGAAUGAAGAGUCUUUUAUGCUAUAUUUGAUCUUGUAGAUAACUAGAGUAGAUUGUGACUUAGUAGAUAGUAGAUAACUUAGAAUCCAUUCUCUAACUAAUCCGACGUCACCUUACAUAUAUGAGGAGUAGUCUAUUUUCUAAUCGCUGUGUUAUUUACCCAUGAGCUUAUAUUUCAUUAUCAUUAUUAUUAUGGCUUACCCCCUUGCCAAAGUAAGUGACUGUGUGACGAGUUCCUCAUUAGUAAUCAUGUUCUUGCAAGUUUAUCUCUAGUCUAUGCCUCGAUAGAUUUUAUCCUUAUCUUCAUAUAAUCAUUUUCUCCUGAGCAAAAUUAUAAAUAACGAUACCUGGAAUACUUACCUGGUGAAAUGCUACAAUGAGGUGUUUUAUCUGUGCGCUUGCGGAUAGAAUAAAUUAUUUUCUAGAGAGCCUCCAUAUUUAUAAAUACCUUUGUACACUCUGGCACCAUGCUGGGGAUGACGACCUAGUAUCUAAGUGGUGUUAGUCAGUGUCAACAAGCAUUUCUGGCGCCGUUGUCGGGGAAACAAAAGGAAAACACAUAGGAUCGGUAAGGAAAGUCAGGAAGUCAGUCAAGGUUAUUCAUAUAAAAUAUUAGACUAGACUAUAGAGAAAUAAUUGCAUAAAACAGCUACUAAGUGAGAAAUCAUAACAAGGCACCUCUGCUUUGGCAGGUUCACCCUGUUGUUUUUCUAUGUUUAUAUUUUUAUAUAGGGUGUAUCAGGAUUGACUUUGGUACAUUCAACUCUUCAUCAUCAGAGCCAAAGCAAUCAAGAAAGAAAGAAGAAGCUAGCUACCAAUUGCUGAAGCUAUGACACAGAAGACCCUACGAGAAUUCUCUGCUCCAAGCCUUGAGAACAUUCCAACUGGUCCAAGAUUUGCAGUAGAAGAAGGAGCACCUGAGUUCGAGCUCAAGUCAAGCCUCAUCAAUUUGGUACAAGCUACACAAUUCAGUGGAAAGGCACAUGAGGAUGCUAGUGCACACUUGCAGAAUUUCUUAGAGAUUGCAAGCACAAUCCACAUCAACGGAGUUGACAAAGACAUCAUACUGCUUCGCCUUUUUCCAUUCUCACUAGAAGGGAAAGCGAGGAAGUGGUUCUACAUUCAUCAAGAUAACAUCAACAACUGGAUGAACUUGUUAGAUGCCUUUCUAUCAAAGUUUUUCCCAAUGGGCAAGACAGCUGCCUUAAGAGGAAAUAUUGUCAGUUUCCAACAGCAGAAGACAGAAACCAUUUCAGAAGCAUGGGAGCAUUUUCAAGGAUACAUAUCAGAUUGCCCUCACCAUGGAAUGGCCACAUGGUUACUUAUGCAGACCUUCUACCAUUGAUUAACCCAGAAGGCUCGUGAGUGUCUAGAUGCAUCUACUAAAGGAUCAUUCUUGGAGCUUACAAUUGGUAAAGCAGAGACACUUUUGGAUAAGAUAGCAGAAAACCAAAGCUGGUUCCAAGAUAAAGCUCAACAAUGUCAUCAAACUGAAGAAGUACCAGAAGAAGUAAAUGCAUUAUCAACCAAGAUGGAAAAUUUGCUCCAUUGGAUUGACCAGAGGGCUAAGUUCAAAGAAGAUCAAAGGGCCAUUGAGACAGCAUACAAAUAUCAACCCACUUCGAGUCAACCCAAUAGCAAAGGUAUGAAUUCAGGUAAUACUUUCAAGCAACUUUCAUUAAAAUAGAUAAUUGCUCAACAAACAAAAACUAAUGAUGAAGUUAAAAAAGGCUAGAUACAAAUGAAUCAUCUCUAAAAGAUAUACACAAUAAAAUGGAUUUUCUAUUAACUGCCUUUGAUGAGCAAAACAUUCUUAAUAAAAGGGUAGAGCUUAAAUUAAUAAAGCUAGCUGCUGCACUGCCUCUUGUCACUAACAUUGAGCAGGUAAAGAAUAUAACUACAAGAGGAGGCAAAGCUACCAGGGAUCCCCCAUACCCAAAAGAAAAACAAAGAACAUCAGCACUAGUGCAACCAGCAGUGAUAGAAGAAGAAAGCCCAGUUGAAGCAGAAGAUCUACUACAACCACCAAGAACUGGAGAAAUGAGGAAAGAUUUUUACGACACCAACUAUUUGCCAUUUCCCAGAAGAAACAGAGGACUGCAGUCGGAUGAGCGGUUUGGUAAGUUUAUAGAGGUCAUUCAGAAAUUAUAUGUCAACAUACCUCUACUUGAUGCCAUACAGGUACCCACAUAUGCAAAGUACAUCAGAGAUAUUCUUAACAAGAAGAGACCACUCCCAACCACUGAGGUUAUCAAGCUGACAGAGGAGUGUAGUGCGGCCAUCCUCAACGAACCACCAAGGAAAAAGAAUGAUCCUGGAUGUCCCACUAUUGAUUGCUCGAUCGGAAACCAACACUUCAACAAUGCACUUUGUGAUCUCAGAGCAAGUGUCAGUGUGAUGCCAGCAUCAGUCUACGAGAAGCUUGAGCAUGCGACCCUAGAACCAACAUCAAUGUGCCUGAAACUAGCAGAUCAAUCAGUUCGACCCCCGUUGGGCAUCGCUGAAAACAUUCCAGUCAAGAUUAGAGAUUUCCUUGUGCCAGUAGACUUCAUGGUAUUGGACAUGAGUCCUGACUCAAAAGUGUCCAUUAUCCUUGGAAGGCCAUUUCUGAGCACUGCCAAUGCCCACAUUGAUGUUGGGAAGGGAGAAAUCAAGUUCAACAUAAACGGAAAAGAAGAACACUUCACAUUUUAGCCUAGACCAGAGAGAGACUCUACAGGAAGGUAAUUCAGAAGAUUAAAAGAUUUGGAGGUGCAGCUUGGAGGACCUAAAAAUCCCAAACCCUCACCGGGAGGUAAAUCGGUAUUUAUCCGCAUCAUUAAUUCUCGCAUAUUUAAUUCUUGCAUUAGUCAUAUUUAUUCAUAGCAUUAUUAUAACAAUCAAAAGCCCCAUAUAAAUAAUAUUUAUGGUGUGUAACAACCCAUAUUUAUUAAUUAUUGUGGAGGCACAAAAAUAUUUUCCAUUAUCAUUUCACUAAGUUUCAAUUCUCAUAGAUUUUCUUGCAUUAUAUUUAAUUAUAGCAACCUCCUAGAAGCAUGACCCACACUCCUUGGGUCCCACAUGUCAUACACCACACCUCACACACAUCCCAUCACAUUAUUUGAUCCACCAACAUAUCUUCACUCACCAGCACUUUUCCACUGACCAACAACCACCAUUGAACUAUUAUUCUGCGUAAGAGCCAAGCAAAGGAGGGAGUGAAGAAAAGGCAGCCAGGAUGGCCACUAAAGGUGGGCGCCCGCCCACCUAUAGAGGGUGCACACCCUGUCCCCCUUUCCUCCUAUAAAUUGCCACUUCCUGCCUCCAACUUCUUCACACAAGCAUUCCAGAAAACCACGCAAGUUUCAGUUUCCAAAGGAGCUUUUGUAGUGAAGUAAGAAGAGAGUAGAGAGGAAGAGAAGAGUGGAAGAGAGGUUGGUAGUCUCUGAGUGAGAGAGUGAGGUUCAUCUAGUUAGUAGUGAUCCCGCUGUCCAAAGCGGAAGUAAAAGUUGUUUAGGGGGAGGUGCUGCCAAACUAAAAACUUGUCUUGAACGACUAACCCCUGGACUACUGACAUUUCGAACAGCUGACCACUAACAUUUUUCCCUCACAUUUUCCACUAGUUGUGUGUGUGUGUCAACUUUUGUCUACAGGAUGUUCAAGAAGGUAAAGAACGCAGGGAAGGCCCUCAAGAACAUAGGUACAAGGAGUUCAUCCCGACACUCCUCGCACCCAUCAGAGAUGAGCGUCGACCCGACACCCACACAAGCUCCGUCAUCUUCAUCUGAGCAACAAGUCAAGGUCCUCCUCAAGAUAGGAGACCUUGGACUGAAGACCUGCAGGGAAAAGGAAGUUUACCAGCAGCUAAAGAAUAAGGCUUUCAUUCACACCCCCACUCUUGAUCCUAUCUUGCUACAAGAAACAGGUAUGGAUACUGAAUUCGAUUUGAUUUUCCAGAUGGUGGGAUGGACAAAUUUUUGGAACAUAACUGAGCUGGGUUCCCGUCUUCUCACCCUUGAAUUUCUUUGCACUUUACAAUAUUAUGAGGGGGGAAUUGCUUUUCGGAUGUUUAAACAGGACAUUAUGUUGUCUUGGAGAGAACUGAGCGACCAUCUCGGUUUCUCUUCAAGAUGCAUCUUGAACAUUGACUCCGACUUACCCAAUUUUGAGAGACACCAGUUUUGGAAAGAGAUAUCUAGAGAUGAGUUUUAUAGUCAAGCCCGAACCAGUGACAUGGAACACCCCACUCUUAGGAUGUUCCACAAAUGGCUCGGGUACAAUCUUUUCUAUCGUGAUGAUAUUAGAAAAGUAAGAGUAGGAGAUCUACAAUUGCUAUAUGCUGCUAUAAAUAAAGUACCCACUUCACCUGUUACACUUUUGGUUUCUCAUUGGCUUAGUAUACCUAGCCUUGAGGGACCUGUAGGAUGUACUUCACUCAUCACUCGUCUAGCCUCUAAUCUUCAUUUGCUAGAAAACUCGUCAUUGGAAUUUAUUGACGAGUUACGAAUUUAUCAUGGCUAUGACACAUUUAGACAUGCUCGGAUGUUGAAAAAAGAGGGGAACAUAAUGUAUAUGUUGUACGAUAAUAAAGGCAAGAUUCGGUUACCUAACCCGAACCUUGGCCUCUAUGUUGUUCAAAGUUACUUGAUUGAGAUUGCAGUGACACCGUUAAACCAGAGAGCUCCACAACGAGUGGCAUCUGAAAGGAUGACCACCCAUCGAGAACGCACCUGGUAUGGAGCUGAUCCCGGGCCGGAAGAAGCAGCGCACCUGCAUUAUUGUGACUACAACCCCCGAGUCCUUCGAGACCCAUGGGUUCGACAUGCUCAACCACAAGAGCCAACACAGGAGACAUGGCCGGAGAGCCAAGAUCACCAGUGGACAAACCCGCCUUUCCAUACGGGCAGGUACUCCACUGAUCCAUAUGGAGCUUUAGGAUCCAGGCCUCCGCCCCAAUUCGAUGCAGGAUGGUACUCCGACGCCUCUUAUGCUUUCACGAACGACUACUACCAAGAGGCCGGCACUUUCUUCACCCGUACCGACAACACCCUCCUCGACAUCCAGAAUACGCAAGCGGAACAUGGAAGACUCCUGGAACAGCAACAAAAAUGGAACCAGGACCACGCCACUGCAGUGCAAGAACUGAGACAAGACACCACGACAAUGAACGACAACAUCACCACCAUGAUGCGAUUCUGGAACAAUGGGUAAGACCGACAACAACAUCCAGCUUGGGGAGUUCCUCCCCGUUUUAUCAAGUAAGUUUUUAUUUGCUUUUCUUAUUUAUUCUUUUCUAUUUUAGUAUUUUAUUUUAAAGAGAAAACUUAGAAAACCCAAUAAAUAUUUUCUUGCUUUAAUUUGCUGCAUUCUAUAAACAUGAAAACAAAAUACAAAGAGUGUGUAGAUAAGUGUGCUUUAUUUUUCUGCCAAGUGUUAAUCUCUAAAAAAAAGACCAAAAAUAUGCAUGAUGGAAAUGAUGAAUAGUUGCUCUGUUUGCUUACUUUCAAGUACCUAGCUUUUAUAUUAGAGUUCUUCCACGAAUUACUAAAACUGAAAUUGCUAUUUAUGGGAAGCAUAAAACUAAAGUCUAGGUAAGAGAAGGACAUGAUAUAAAGUUUGAGCUACUGUUUAUCUUGUUCCUACUACACUAAGUUCUGGAGAUUUAUUUUGAAAACUUACAAAUCACAUGAUGAGUUCCUAGCAUAACAAAAUUCCUACCACAACGAUACUUGCUAUAACAUCUUGCUACUUAUACUCACAUUGAGUUUGAUCGAGCUGUGUAGACCCUUAGGAGCUUUUCAUUUUAUUAAAUUAAGAUAUUCACUUGCACACAUCCACUACACCAUUCACCACCAUUCAUUAAAAUUGCUAAAAAUAUUAUCACUCACUGUCCCAAGUAUUGUUAUUUUCUCUCUCUAAAAAUAUUCAAUGCAGAAGAGGCAUGGGUUAUGCAAAAAUAUGCGAGGAAAUAAAAAGGGGCAAGUCCCUGAAUUCUCGGAAAAGAAAGAAAAAGAGUGAGACGAGAGGUAAAAAUGGACAAGUGCUCGGAGUAGAAUUAGGGGUACAAAGAUGCCCACUUGAGCGGAAAAAAUGGACAAGUGUCCGACAGUAGAAUUAGGGGUAUCUACUACCCACCUGAAAAAAAAGAGAGAAAAGAUAGCCCUUGUUCUCCCAAAGCAAAGAUCAAAGAAGAGGAGAGAUAGCAAUAUGAGGAGCAAUGAGAAAUAAGUUUUAUUAUCACUUAUAUAUUUUCAUCAUCACUAUCAUUUACUCCACCAAACAUGCACAUCAUGAUUUAAUUAUAUGCUGAGUUCCUUUGGAUCCAUGGCUCGAUUAGACAACAUAUGUAUGAGCUGUUUUUCACUCCUAUGAGCUCCACUUAAAUAUUCCAUUAGCUAUAGGUAAGUGAAAUUUUGGUAAGGAUCCACAAAUACCACAUAUAGAGAGACUUGAGAGAAUCAUUGCUGGGAACUCUAAGCUUUAUUUUUGAAAACUUAUGAAAAACUCUAUCUUCCUGUGCUGGAGGGUCGACCUGCCCGUCGUUCCCAGGUGUCCUGGGAUCUUCUCUGGCUAUCGGGGCUCGGCCACCGGCAACAGCAUCUUGUAUGUCAUCGGUGGUUGCUACUUCCCCAUCGAUGUUGAAGCACUCCCUCGUAGGGUCGUAGCUGUCGGACUCGGAGUCGGGGUCUGGUUCCACGGCGUAAAAACACCCACGCCCCUCCUCCACCAUUCGAUGUCUGAGCGAGGUGAUGGUGUAUCGCCCGGGUCCUAAACUUUGGAGGCUCCGUACACGGGAAAAAUCCAGCGGCCCAGUUCCUUGUUGUUGUGCCCUGGCAUCGCUCGGGAGGACCAUUGGUUGUUCCACGUUCGUCUGGGCUUCUGGGCAUAUGGUCCUGGCGAGCGAUGCUGCGGCAUUGUCCAGGCCGAACGGGUGUGUUCUUCGAGAGGCGAACAACCCGUGCGGUAGCAGCGUCGUCGAGGGCGAGAGCACGCGAGUCACGGUAUCUCCCAAUGUCAUUGUGGAGUCGUCUUGACGCCGAGCCAUCGCAUCCGUAGCCUCGGUGGGCGGGGCUGCCGGCUCCUGCGCCGCCGCUUGCCUGGCGCGGGUUGAUGACUGCGAUGCAGCAUAAGGGCGGUGCCGGUGCUGUCCACGCCUCUUCUUGGGCGGGGAGGCAUGGUGGCGAGGCCAUCAUGGGGCCUUCGAUCGUGCUGGUGCAAUGCGAGUUCCUCCCGGUCCUUUGACCGAGAGCAGGAUCAUGUCGUAGCUGAAACCAGUGGAUAUGAACUCGAGGCUCCCGAACCAAAUUACCGUGGAGCACGGGAUCGGCGAAACGAGAGUGUCCAUCUAGGAGGAGACGGGUGGCUGAUGAAAAACACGCAGGACCCCUACCUGGAGCGCCAACUGUCGGUGUUUUGCCCUCGGGAGGUCACACCAACGAGUAAUCUUGUAUUCGUGUUCCCUCUCCCAGAUGGUGAUGCAAGGAAUUUAUCCUGGUUCGGGCAAGAGAAGGACCUACGUCCAGCGGGGGGGGGUGUUUUCUAUUGUCUUGCACCUAAGUGCUUGUACAGGGGUGAAUACAAGCCUGUGUCACUUGAAGAUUCUAAGUCCUAAACGGAUGCGGUGUAUGGUUGUUGUUCUACGUAUAUCUCCUGCGUGUUCCUUCCUCAGCCUCCCCUUUUAUAGUUCCAAGGGGAGGCCUAUGUUACAUGGCGUAGGUAAUAAAAUAGUGAUCGAUAGGGGCGUAGUGCGCUGACCUACUCGAGGCCUCCGUACUGGCGUGGCCUCGAGCUGUCUUGUUACUCGGUACUUUGGUGAUGAUUGCGCAUGCUUUCGAAUUCGGCUCCUGUGCGUCGCCUUGGAUUGGCUUAACCGUGGGCACGCCUGUACGUCAUGGCAGUAGUCACGUCCAGAGCGGUUGAGGUGCUGUCUUUCACCGUCUGACUCUUCUCUGGGAAGGAACGUAUUCGCUCGAGGGUCCGGUACCGCGCAUGGCCUUGCUUGAUCGAUGCGCUGACUUUGGAUGCCUCGAGGGGGGUCAUGAUGCGACGUCUCGACUGUCUCACUGUGCUUGGCCAUACUCUGGCUCAUCUGAAGGGAUAAAGCUGCAAAAAGGGGGAUUGGAUGAGUGCUCGCUCCCUAUCACGUCUCCUGUGACUGUCGGGUUAGGUGAGAACACGACAGGAGCAUCAAAUGCCCUGGUUCCCGUACCCGCGACAGGCGGUGAACGACGUCCUUGCACUCGAGUCCUGUCGAUUCGUAUGAGCCACUUCCGUAUUUGACGGUCACUGUCCAGUCGAGCCUCUAUCGAUUCGCACGACCCCUUUUCUGUGUUCGAGGCUAGGGUUGGCACCAUGCUUUGGUAGUCACGCGUGCGAGUGGGGGCGUCGAGUCAGGGGUCUCGAUUUGUUUACGGGUCCUCUCGUUACGAGCAUGGCUGGGGUACCCCUUAAUGACACCCUCGACAAUUAUUAUUUUAAAACAAUAAACAGAACCGAAAAAAUGAAACAAAAAAAGAACCCCUUUUAACACCGGUUGGUAAUACCAACCGGUGUUAAAGGGUCCUGCAACGUGGUUAAAGUGGGGGGCUUUAGCCCCGGUUCCCCGGACCGGGACUAAAGGGUGGGCCUAUAGUCCCGGAAGGGCAGCACCGGCUCGGGACCAGUGGUUGAUGCGGAUUGUGCUUCCAAUCUCUAAGAAAUUCUGCAAGUGUGUACUAGCAUCUUCAUGUGCCUUUCCACUAAAUUGUGUAGCUUGCACCAAGUUGAUAAGGCUUGACUUGAGCUCGAACUUGGGUGCUCCUUCCUCUACUUCAAAUCUUGGACCAGUUGGAAUGUUCUCAAGACAUGGAGUAGAGAAUUCUUGCAAGGUCUUCUGUGCCAUAGCUUCAGCAAUUGGUAGGUAGCUUCUUGUUUCUUUCUUGAUUGCUUUGGUUCUGAUGAUGAAGAGUUGAAUGUACCAAAGUCAAUCCUGAUAUACCGUGUAUAAAAAUAUAAACAUAGAAAAACAUCAGGGUGAACCUGCCAAAGCAGAGGUGCCUUGUUAUGAUUUCUCAUUUGCUAGUUAUUUAUGCAAUUAUUUCUCCAUAGUCUAGUCUAAUAGUUUACGUGAAUAACCUUGACUGACUUCCUAGCUUUCCUUACCGUUCUCUGGCAACGGUGCCAGAAAUGCUUGUUGACACUUGCUAACACCACUUGAAUACUAGGUUGUCAUCCCCAGCAUGGCACUAGAGUGUACUAAGGUAUUUAUGAAUAUGAAGGCUCUCUAGAAAAUAAUCUAUUCUAUCCGCAAGCACACAGAUAAAAUACCUCAUUGUAGCAUUUCACCAGGAAAAGUAUUCCGGGUAUCGUUAUUUAUAUUUUUGCUUAAUAGAAUGGCGAAAGUGAAAAUAGCGGUAAAAUCUAUCAGGGCAUAGACUAGAGAUAAACGUGCAAGAACAUGAUUACUAAUGAGAAACUCGUCACACAGUCACUUGCUUUAGCAGGGGGUAAGCCAUAAUAAUAAAGAUAAUAAAACGUAAGCUCAUGGGUAAAUAACACAGUGAUUAGAAAUAGACUACUCCACAUAAAUGUAAGGUGACGUCGGAUUAGCUAGAGAAUGGAUUUUGAGUAUCUACUAUCUACUAAGUCACAAUCUACUCUAGUUAUCUACAAAUCAUAUAUAGCACAAAAGACUCUUUAUUCAUGUAUAAGGAACAUUGCUAAAGUAAAUCAGAACAUAGCAAGACUUACUCCGCAAUACAAAUUCUGCCUGUCCUAUCAACGGAGGGUGGACUAUAUAAGAAUCAACAAAGCUGUCACCAUCGCGAACUACCACACGACCCAGCCAAUAGGAUACAUUUGCAGGUAAAUAAUAUCUAAGCACCAUGCCCACAUAUGAUCUACCACUUAGCUCCCUCGAGUCAAGAGCUAAGCGCUUUGCAAAUUUAUACAUGAACUCAUUGUCAAUCAUAACUAUAUCAAAUAUAGAACUAGAGCAAACUAAGAACAUAAUAAAUAGAGACAUAAUGCAAUAAAGUAGUAGAGAAAGAUAUGAAAUAAUACCAAUCUUUAUUGAUGAAGAUCCGAAAUCCAGAGCGCUAGGCUCUACUUCACUAAUUCUAUCUAAUCAAUCCUAUAGAACUUGAAGGAAUUGGAAGUAGCUAGUUCUAAUUCUCUGUGGGUGAGAAAUUCCUAAACCCUAACUUUGAUGGCUUCCUCUGAUAAUGAUUUCUCCUCUCCCCUUGGGGUGGAGAGGCCUUGCUUAUAUAGCCCCCUCAAAUGAAUGUGAGCCGUCGGAUCAAACCGACCUUAAUCGCACAGUUAUUCUUGAAGAUUAGAGGCGGUGGAGCACGAUCCAAGAGACCUACCCUGAUUGGUCACCAGGGCAGGGCAGGCGCCCAAGGGGGGAGAGCGGGCACCCUGCCCCCGGGCCGUCUCGGCCUCCCUUUCAUUCCCGUGGCUUCUGGACUCUUCUUGAUUGAGGAAAAUUGUGCGGCACGUAAUUAUCUCGUUGUAAACCUGACAUGUGGGCCUUCUCUCCAUAUUUUCUAAUAACCCCUGGAGAAAUAGACAAACACCAAAACUCGUGGAAUUCUAUCAGAUAAAACCCUAAUUCUAGAUGUUUGGUGCAUAUUGAUCCUUUUCCAUGUUUAGUUGACGGUUAAAUACUUAAGGACCGUCAACAAACUCCACCAAGCUUACCCUUUGCUCGUCCCUGAGCAAACAGCUAAAACUCAGAUGGAUCAGGAGUUGCUUCAAUGUUUUCUUUCCUUACAGGCACACAUGCUUUCAUAUAAAAUUCUCCUAGAUUAGAGUGAAGUGUCAUGGAGCUUAGUACCUGCACUUAAGUCUCGAGUAAUUGAAAGACAAAAUAAUUAAGUCAAGCACUAUUCCUCCUGUCUAUACUUCACCUUUGUUCUGGAGUUUUGCAUACGUUUUCAAAAAUAAAGCUCAGAGUUCCCAGCUAUGAUUCUCUCAAAUCUCUCUAUAUGUGGUAUUUGUGGAUCCUUACCAAAAAUGUCACUUACCUAUAACUAAGGGAAUGUUUACAUGGAGCUCAUAGGUUUGAAAAACAGCUCAUACAUAUGUUGUCUAAUCGAGCCAUGGAUGCGAAAAUACCACAUAUUUUCUGAUUACCCCUGCAGAAAUAGACAAACACCAAAACUCGUAGAAUUCUAUCAGAUAAAACACUAAUUCUAGAUGUUUGGUGCAUAUUGAUCCUUUUCCAUGUUUAGUUGACAGUUAAAUUUAGUACUUAUGGACCGUCAACACGCAACUUCUCAGUGUGAGAGUUGGCUUUAUUUGGUGGGUGCAAGUGAAUUCUGAUCUUGGAGGCAUGAAACAUCUCUCGACAGUGGUCUAAAAAUUUGACCAAACUUAACACAGAGUAAGCAGCAUAUGUAGAAGGUUCAUCGUAAAGAGAUAUAUUUGGCCAUUGGUAGAUAAAAGCUUAAUCAUUCAAGGAAUUUGCUAUAUGAAUUUUUUAACUUUGUAAAAUAAAAACCCAAGUACUUUGCAAAGACUAGCAAGCAUCAUGUCAUCCUACUAUAUCACAUCCGUCAAUUACUUAGAUAAAUGGGGUCCCUAACAAAGUGUUCAUAAAUUCACAGGAAUUUUAGUGAGAAAUAAAAGGGAUGCAAAACAUUUUGAACAAAGGAGACAAGUUGAUGGAGAAUGAAUGUACAAUAUUUUAAACUUUUAUUUAUAAAACUUUUUUUAAAUUUAAAAGAGGGGAGCGUUUAUACAAACCGAGUUUUUGUUGACGGUCCUUAAGUAUCAAAUUUAAUUAUCAAAUAAACAAAGAAAAGGAUCCAAAUGAAAUCAACAUCUAGACUUAGGGUUUUAUCUUACAGAAUUCCACGAGUUUUGGUGUUUGUCUAUUUCUGCAGGGGGUUAUCAGGAAAUAUGGAAGAAAGGGCCACACGUCGGGAUUACAUAGAGAUAUUAACAUGCCGCGCAAUUAUCUUACAUCUAGAAGACUCCAGAAGCCACGGGAAGGAAGCGGAGGCCGAACGGGGCCAGGGACUGGGCGCCCGCCCUCCUGCCGAGCCCAAUCAGGACUCUGUUUCGGGGAAGAUCUCCACCGACCUAAAGGAUCAAGGAUAACCGUUCAAUCUAUGUCGGUUUGAUCCAACGGCCCAUAUUCACUUGAAGGGACUAUAAAACCAUACCCCCUAGCCCCUAGAGGAGAGCCCCUCUCAACCCUAAUUCAUUAUUCCUUGAGGGAGAAGAAGCCUCUGAUCAAGAUUAGAGCCACCACAUCAAUUAGAUAUCUAGAUUAGCAUAGCUACAUAGGAUUAGAACUAGAAGGAGUCAAUCUUCGAUUGGUUUCCGGAUCUGUUAAGAGGAUUCUUGGUAAUUCUCUAAUUGUGCUUCUAAUUGUUCUUCUAAUUAUCUUUGUUCUUCAAUAUUAUGAAUAUGACUUUGUUCUACUUCAAUAUAUUGCUUAUGACUUUGCUCUACUUGCUUAUAUUCAAGAUUAUAUUGUUCUUAGUUUAUCGUAGUUAUGUACUGGCCUUAGUUAGAUUGGAUCUAUAUACAUGCUUAGGAUCGUAUAGCGUUUAUCCAUCGGAUCCAUGGGUAAAUGAUAGAUAUUGUGUAGGCAUGGUGCUUAUACCGUAUUUAUCUGCGAUUGUACCCAAUAUGCCAGAUCGUGGGGUAGUUCGUGAUAGUGACAGCUUCAUUGAUUCUUAUAUAGUCCCCCUCUCGUGUAUUGGGCUGGCAGAGCAAUAUUAUUACAGGGGAGUGAUUGCUAUGUUUCUCAUUUACCUUGCUAAUAUCACUAUGCAUGGGCGUAGUCUUGUCUCGCAAUGAUUGCUAAGUAUGGUUGCACUAAUUAUGAUAAUGCUAGACUAUAUAGUUGAGAAUAACUUAGGAAAUAUUCUUGUAGUUCGUUCUAAUACCAUUCUAUUGACUUUCUAGAGUAUCUAAUUGAGGUGCUUAUCAUAUUUAUUAUGUGGCUAAGUUAUGAUCAGAUUAAUUAUCUUUGUCACUAUUCAUUACUUCAUAUAUCUUUUAUGUGAUACUUACCCCUGUAUGAGAGAGUUAGAUAAAUGUUCUCAAUUAUACAUGCAAUGAUAGAUACUCAAUCUCAUAUUCUAUUCUGUAAUCAAUAUUGAUGAUUGCUAAUCCCUUCCCAGUGGUAAAAAUAUAAAUAACGAUAUCUGGAAUACUUCCGGGUUAAAUGCUACAUAGGUAUUAAUCUGUGCGCUUGCAGAUCCCAUUAAUUAUUUAUUUAGAAGAGCAAUUGCAUAUUUCAAUACCGUGUCUCUCAUGUCAUGCUGGGGAUGACAACUUGGCUUAAGUGGUAUGAGGGAUAGGUUUGGCAUUUUUGGCACUAUUACUAGAAUUAGAAAACUAAGUCUACUUUUGGUAGUGAUGUUAAGAAUACCCAACAAGCAUUUUUGGCGCCGUUGCUGGGGAAGGUUGAUUACUAAUCAAGAAUGAAUAAAGGAUUUUGAGUUAUCAUUCGCAUCACUAAUAUGAUUGAGCUUAUCUAUUCUCUCAUACAGUUUUACCCCGAUAUUUUCUAUUUUAUCUUAUGCAGGGGAAUGUAUGAAUAGAAGACAUCUUCCAGGAAAUUUUGUUGACAAUCAAAAGCAAGAGCCAAGCUCAAGAAUAGAUCAUCAACACUUCAGCAAGAAGCUUCAUCUAAUCAAGAAGAUCACUGGAACUUGUCUUCAGAGUUCGAAGCCAUGACGAACAAAUCAAUCCGCGAGUUCUCAGCUCCCACUACGGACAACAUCCGCACUGGACCUGCUGUAGAGAUUGACGGUAACUUUGAGCUCAAGCCUGGACUUAUCAACAUGGUGCAAUCCAACCAGUUAUGUGGGAAGGCACACGAAGAUGCUAGUGCUCAUCUCCAACACUUCCUGGAGAUUUGCAACACAUUUACCAUAUCAGGAGUCCCCAGAGAUGCUAUACUACUUCGCCGCUUCCCAUUCUCACUGUUAGGAAGAGCGAAGCAGUGGUUCUACGCUACAAAGGAGAAGAAUACUAUGUGGGCACUCUGCUCAACAAACUUUCUGGCUAAGUUCUUUCCCAUGGGCAAGACCAAUGCUCUUCGUGGGAAGAUUACAAGUUUUGAGCAACAAAAUGAUGAAUCUGUUCCAGAAGCAUGGGAGCGCUUUCAAGACUACAUCCUAGAAUGUCCCCAUCAUGGAAUGGAGAGUUGGCUACUAAUGCAGACGUUAUAUCAUGGGCUCGGCAACAGUGCCCGAGAGACCAUGGAUGCUGCAGCUGGAGGAGCAUUCUUAUCACUUACUAUUGACGGUGGAUAUAUUAUAGAAAUCCACAUACAAAACACCGUCAACAUGCCUCGGUUGCAAGGGGAAACGACAUGACAUGAACAUAUUUUAUCCAUAACUAGUUCCACUUGUACUCUUAGCUUGUUUAUGCAGGAACAACAAAUUCAAGACAUUAUUUGACAAAGCCAACAUCAGAAUCAUCAAGAGGAGAUCGAGGGGACAACAGGUGACACCCUGGGCCCACAGGGAGGGGGUCGCCCGACCCCUCUUUGGUGGGACCCAGGUGUGCCACCUAGUCCACCGACAUAAGGGACCCCUGUGGACACUGCUGGUGGGCCUAGAGGCCCAGAAGUGGGGUCGCCCGACCCCACAUCAAAGGCGGUUCCAGGGUCGGUGGCCUCCCACCGACCUUCCCCACAUGUCCCACAUGUUGAUUUGCCCCUGCCGUUGAUCAAAUGGCGGUUGUGAGGUCGGUUUGAUCCAAGGGUGGAGAGAAGAUGUCACGCGGAUCGAUGACGUGGCGAUGGAGUAACCCCUACUCCAUCUCCCUCUAUAAAAGGCAGCCUCCAUCCCUCAUUUCAAGUGUGCAAUUCCAAGGCCAAGUGCAUUACAAGUUCCAAGCAUACAAGUAGAGUAGUAGUUAGUCUAGAGUGGGAGUUAGAGUCGAGUCGAGCGAAGCUCGGGGUCUCCGGAGUCGUCUUCUGGAGAGUCUGGUAUAGCUCUUGUACCUUUCUACUUUUGUAAGACUUUCCUUUUAUUAAUAUAUUAUUCUUACUUUACUUUACUGAGUUCUUACUUAGUGCAAGUCUUUUAGUCUUGUUGUGCAUUUACUUUAGUAAUAUAGUUGUCUUAGUGAAGUUAGUGACCUGUAACCACUCCUGUGUGUGCAUCAUCGUCCUAUCUUGUAUAGGAGCUCUAGCAAGCUGCAACUAGUUAGCGUUGUAGGAUUAAGUGUGAGCGUGGUGCUCAUACUUAAGAUUACCUUUGAUUACCGCUGGCUUGAACGGAAAGUAGGAGCGCACUCCCUAGUAGGUGACAGAUCGUGGGCGGCAUUAGGUUCUCCUCACGUACAGGCUAGUUCUUAAAAGGUAAGGCGUCCAUAAGCCCAAUAGUCGCUUUCGGUAAGGGGUUAGGUGAAAAACCUUCUAAGCGUCUUACCAGCUCGGCUAUCCCUCGCACACAGUUAGUAAGGCUCUAGCGUAGUUAAGGCAAUUAUCUAUUAAAGUAAGUCACAGAAGUCAAGUUAGAUACAUAGGAGUCCUUUACUCACUCGUUGUCCUCCCACCUAGCUAACUCUACCAUUUACCUUUAGCAUAGGACCUUGGAUUCACCACUACCCUUCCUAUUCGUUAUUUACCACCCUUAUUCACUAGUUGAUACUAGAUAACUCAAGGAAUCUCAUUCCCCUUUUUGUUAAACACACUUAGCCGCUUUCCCUUGGGAAAAUAUAAAUUACGAUACCUUGGAAUACUCCUUGGUGAAGUGCUACAGCGGUACAUUCUGUGCGCUUGCGGAAUUAUCCAAUAGUAAAUAGAGUUACCCUACCAGGGCACUUCUGGCGCCGUCGCCGAUAUCCGGUGGUUGCGUUAAGAAGUGUCAACAAGCAUUUCUGGCGCCGUUGCCGGGGAGAGCGUCUGUCUAAGAGUUUUAACAAAAAGAGAAUCCAGAGUUUGCUAGUUAUCAAGUAGUGAUAGGGAUAACCCAUCACUUGUCUUGUCUUCCUUUAUUGUGAAGCCUGACAGUGUAUGAGCGGUUUCCAAUUGCCGUAAAACUUCGUUGAAGAUCCUGAGCAACUGUUGAGGAGAACUAGACGUCGUCAAGUUCCACCUCAAAGGUUCAUCUCGAACCUGAAUCCGUUAGAGGAAGGAGUAUCUGCACCGGUUAUCAAAGAAGCUAUGGCCCAGAAGACCAUCUCUGAGUACUCUGCGCCGUCGGCUGACAAUGUCGCCACGGGUCCGCAGCUUAACUUGGGGGAUGCGACUUUUGAGUUGAAGCCUGCGCUUAUCAAUAUGGUGCAAGCUAAUCCCUUCUGUGGAAAGCCACACGAGGAUGCCAAUGCCCAUCUCCAACACUUCUUGGAGGUGUGCGGCACCUUCACCAUCAAGAAUGUCGCCGCAGACGCCAUCCGUCUUCGCCUCUUCCCAUUCUCGUUAUUGGGGAAGGCGAAGCAAUGGUUCUACGCCAACAAGGGUGAAGUGACCACAUGGGAGAGGUGCGCCAAUGCAUUUCUCAAGAAGUUCUUUCCGAUGGGCAAGACCAGCGCCCUUCGUGGAAAGAUUUCCAGCUUCCAACAGCAAGCAGAUGAGACGAUUCCCGAAGCAUGGGAACGUCUGCAGGAGUACAUUCGCGCUUGUCCUCAUCAUGGGAUAGAGGAGUGGCUCCUAAUCCAAGGUUUCUACCAUGGCCUGACCGGUUUGGCCCGUAGUCACCUUGAUGCUGCCGCUGGAGGAGCAUUCUUGCAACACAAUGUCAAGGAUGCCAAGGACCUCAUUGAAAAGAUGGUUAUAAACCAAGGAUGGAAUGAGGAACGCCUCCAACCCAAGAGAAGAGGUGUCCAUGCCUUGAAUGAGGUGGACAUGCUCUCUGCUAAGAUGGACCUCUUAAUGAAGAAGAUGGAAGAAAGUUCCAAGCAAGAGACCAUUCAACCUUACGCCACUGCACGGGCCAUUGAAUCUGAUUCAUGGUGCGAAGUGUGCGGAGGAGAUGAUCAUUCGGGAAACAAUUGUCCCGAAGCAAAGGAGGAAGUGAGCUUCAUCAACAACAACAACAAUGGGUACCGGCCCCAACAGCAGCAAUGGAACUCGCGCCCCUUCUACCAAGGUAAUCAAGGUAAUGGUUACAAUCAAAAUUUCAAUAAUUCUUUUGGUAACCAACCUUCUCUUAGAGAUCUUGUCUUAGGCCAAUCUAAAAUCAAUGAUAGCAUUAACAAGAAAAUGAUGGCUAAUGAUAAGAUCCUUGAAAACUUAAGUGAAAAGUUGGAUAGCUUUAACUCUGCUAUGAAAAAUCAGUUGAGCUUUAACAAAAUGCUAGAAACACAAUUAGUUCAAUUAGCAGCAGCUGUCCCAUCCUUCGAGCAAGGUAAGAUCCUAGGGAAACCUGAGGACCCAAUUGAAGGAGUUAAACUAGUUACUACGAGGUUCGGUAAGCCUCCGGUACAAUCCAACUGGAGCUAUCUUCUGGAUUCGCCCUUCAUCACCAAGAAGGACGACCCAGGCCUGCCGACCAUCACCUGUGAGAUCGGACCGCAAAUCUUCCACAACGCCUUCUGCGACCUUGGAUCGGGUGUCAACAUCAUGGCCAAGGUAACUUAUGAUAAUUUGCUAGGGGGGCCUUUGCACCCCACAUUUGUUCGUUUGCAGAUGGCAGAUCAGACGAUCAGGUUCCCUGAGGGGUUGGCAAGGGACAUACUGGUAAAGGUCCAAGACGACUACGUCCCUGCCGACUUCAUCAUUUUGGAUAUGGGAUCCAAUAAUGAUGUCUCGAUCAUCUUGGGAAGGCCAUUCCUCAACACGGUCAAUGCAGUCAUCUAUGUGGGGUCCGGCCAGAUUCACCUCCAAUUCCCAGGAUGGAAGGUAAAAUGUCCAUUCAAUGGUUAUAAAGCUAACAUGCAGGUGAAGGACAAAGAACCUCCAACUAAGCCUCGCCACAUCCGACGCCGAAGGGACAAGAGAGGUAAGUCGGCCAAAAGGGCCGAAAAGAAAGAAGAGGAACCCGCUGAACCAAAAAUCAAUACCAAGCAAGUAUGGCGGGAGAAAGAGGUGCAAUCAAGGUCCACGUCUCCGGGACCAUCUGAUGCACCCGAAGGAUGAACAAGAUGGAGAGGUCCUGCUCUACGGACCUAAAACAUGGAGCCCUUGCUGAUAAGGUAAAUCAGUAGUUAUCCCAUAUUUAUUUUCUGCAUUUCAAUUUCUACUAUUCACUUUUCAAUUGCAUUCUUACUUUGAAUUUUGCAUAUCUUAUUUCGACAAAAUGUUUAGCCAUAAUAAAUAAAAUCUUGAGAAUAACUUGUCAUAAAAAUUUGAGCUGCUGGAGCUCCCAAAGGGGGGUUGCCCGACCCCACCUUGGGGCCCACUUCACCACAUUUCAACCUUGCUAGUCAUAGAGGUUCCAACCCAGCACUUGGAUGCUCUGGGAGCUCCAAUGUGGGGGUCGGCCGACCCCCAUAUUGGCCCCACUUGCCUCCUGCUGGCCGCCAUUUGAAUCACAAUGGAGUCCUAUGCUUGUAACACUAGCUUAAGUUUGAAAAAGAGUGGUCCCUUGAUCCUUUACUUUAGUCAUAAGAUGCUCCUUUCAUCUUUGAUUCUUUUGGGACCACUCCACUAGCUUAAAUUCUGCAAAGUGGUCACCUAGGCAUGCUUGAGUGCUCCCAUGGUCCAUAGGAAUCACUUUAGACAUGUCUCCACUUUUGCCAUUCAUCUUUUACCUUUCACAAAGCACUAAAACAGGGAAUCUCAGAAACAAUUUGAAAACUUUUGGUCCACACCUAGCCUUUACUUUUCUGGACAAUCAAUGACACAAUGUUUAAAGUGGAGGAGGGGCUAGGAUGGGGGUCAGCCGACCCCCAUUUUGGACCAUCUCUGCAAAAUCUUGAAAGCAUGCAGAAUGGUUCCCUAUAUAAAGCUAAACUCAAAUUCAAAGUGCUUCUAGGGGGGGUCGGCCGACCCCUAUAUUGUGGGUCAACUACUUGCCCUUCUCCCCCUAUAAAUACCACAGCAUUGUGAGCUCAACUCCACACCCAAAACCACCAGAACCAUUUCGAGCUCACAAUCCUUUCUCUUCUCUCUUUUUUACAAGCCAUUUCUCAAGUUUAGUUUAGAAUUAGUCAUCAAAACAAAAACCCAAAAAGAUUCCCCUUGCAUAGUAGUAGUAGUAGGAGCUUGGUUUGCCUCACUUGUGUAGGAGGAUGAAGAAGCAUAUCUUCGGCAAGUUCAAGAAAGCAAAGGGUGAGAGCUCUUCUCAAGGCUCUCACCAUGCUCAUGGAAGGGAGGAAGAAGAAGGUUACCAUGGGAUGGUACCCUACGAGCCUCCAUCAAGGAUGAGAGAGCCCGAGAGCGGCCUCAUGUUAAGCCAAGAAGAGUUGCAAAGGUACUACAUCAUCCGAGAGGGUCUCUUCCUACACACUAGCAUCAUCGAUCCGGACCUUUUGGCCCGCACAGGUAUGGAUGUUGAAUUCGAUAAGGUGUUUAGAGCAAUUGGUUGGAGUAGUUUUUGGCAAGUGCCUGAAUUUGGAAAAGAAUUGCUUGCUAAGGAAUUUCUAUGCACCCUAAAACUCACAAAUAAUGGAAUAUCUUUUCGCAUGUGUGAGCAAGAACAUCAAUUAAAUUGGAGUUUGCUAAACACUGCUUUAGGGUGUGAACAUGAAUGUGAACUUGAUCUAGAUCAUGCCACUAGAAUGUUCGAUAAAUUUAGAUUCUGGAAAGCAAUUUCUGGCUCUAAUGAUUGUUCAAAUCCUACUCCCAUUGAAAUCCAUAAUCCAACCUUGCGCUUUCUUCACUUCUGGAUCAUGUGCACUCUAUAUCCUGGCAUGGGAACUGAUACUUUAAUUGAUGAUGAACUUAAAUUCUCUAUGCCAUGGUUAGUAAAAUCAAGGUCUCCCCUGUGAAACUGCUAGUGAACUAUUGGCUUAACUCUAUUGAGUAUGGGAAGCCCAUCUAUUUCACAUCCUUUAUUACUCGAAUAGCCGAUACUUUUGGAUUACUUGAAUCACAUUAUUUUGAAGACAUUGGCUAUGUUAGAGGAGUGGUAGAUGAGAACUUCUUCAUCAAUGCUAACAUGCUCAUAAGAGAUCCAAAUGGUGAACUUAAAAUGAUUUAUCCGGGCUAUACAACCGAAAUUCCUCUCCCAUGUGCGAGGCGCCGGUUGUAUGGGGUCCGCACACUUACCAUUAGACUAGCCCGAGUGGCAAGUCCAGAUGUUGCAGGGACACGCAGGGUGACAAGAAGGAUGAUGCAAGCCGCCCAGAUGGAGCAAGGAGGAUCCUCGCACCAUGACGUUGAAGAGGGCGAUGAAGCGAUGUCAGUGGAUGCUUCAGACUCCAUGGGUCUACCUCCACAACGCACUCCACGCCCAAGGGACAGGGCUAGGCGUCACCAGCCCACAGGUAUGGACAGUCUCAUUAAUGACAUGGGCGAAUUGCAGAUUGGGCAAGAAGCAACAUUGCAACUGGCGUUACAAAACGGCCAACAUAUCCGACGUGUGCGAGAGGAAGACGCACAACGCUGGGCUGGAUGGUACCAGAAUUUCCCGCCACCACAGUGAGCGAAGAUCUAGCUUGGGGGAGAUCCUCUCCCCCACUAAGGUAAGUAUUCUAUCCUAUUUAUUUUCAUGCAUUUUAUCAUUCUUACUAAAAAAUAAAUAAAUAAAUAUUUAUUAGCAUUUCCCUUUAGCAUAUAUGCUUCAUGUAUGUUUAUAUCCCUCAUGGAAAUUAUGACUAGUUGCUUGUUAAUGUUUCUCUAGUGCCUAGUAUACAACUUAGUAUUUCUCUAAGUAUGGAUCACUUAGCUCACUUAAACUGCCAUGAACCUAAAAAAUUUGUGGGUUGCAAGUGCUAGAACUAAGUCUAAGUUGUUGUGGGACAUGAGAUAGUAAGACAAGAGCUACUAUAAUAUUUUUCUAAUCAUGCAUGAUUAUCAGAGAUUUAUUCUUAAAAUGAUCAAAACCUUAAUUGUUCCUCAAUGGUGAUGAAUUCCUACCACAGCCAUAUCUACUUUACAUAAUUGCAACCUUUCCACAUAAGCUAUUUGCUUUGUGUUGAGUGUCGUCAAGUCUUGUUGACCCUUGUUAAGAGACUUUUCAUGCUCCUAAGAUCAAGAUCACGUACACACCACAUAUAUAUAUGCUGCUUCUACACUGGAAGUACGCAACCACAUGUAUUUCGCAUCCACUAAAUAGGUUGCUCCAUACUCUAAAUGUUAGAACAUCUCUCUAAGCAUUAUUUGGUAAAUGAGACAUCAAAAGGCUAGGCAAAAUGAAAUAAAAAGAUGGAUAUGUGCAAGUCCACAGAAAAAGAAAAUUGAGCACAUGAAAGCUCAUAUAUAAAAAAAAAGAAGAAAAAAAAAUGCUAGCCAUGUCUCAAUACAUAGAGAAUCUAUCAAAUAAAGGAGCAACCUAGUCCACCAUAUAUCACACUUGCACAUCUUGAUCUGGGAGUAUGACACUUCUCUUCAAGGAUCCGAGCUUUGACUUCGCAAUACAUGCAAAGUAAGUAUGCUAUCUCCUUUCAUCCCUACCUUGAACUCCACAUAAGCCUUCUAGAAAUAGGAUGAAAUAGAGAAGGCAACUCUUACCAUAUGCCUUGGUGAGGAAUCAUACACCAUUUGAGUGACAUGAGAGAACCAUAAGAGGAACAUUUAAGCUUUCUUUUGAAAAUAUCACAAAACCUCUGAUAUGAAACUUGCUAAGAAUGAGAAAGUUAGUGCUCAAGUCAAACUGUUCUGUCUCUCAACCACCUAAGACAAAGGAAAAGCCAUAAGCCCCAUAAGGGACUAAGGUAAUAGGGGUAAGUAUACAUAGCUAAAUUUUUCAUGCAAAGAGAAGAACUUUGUUGUACACAUGGUACUCUUGAAAUGUGAACAUAGUAACAAUACCUGAUCCACCGAGGCUAAGUUUGAUUGUUUGCUCGGGACGAGCAAAGGUUAAGCUUGGGGGAUCUUGUUGACGGUGGAUAUACCAUAGAAAUCCACAUACAAAACACCGUCAACAUGCCUCAGUUGCAAGGGGAAACGACAUGACAUGAACAUAUUUUAUCCAUAACUAGUUCCACUUGUACUCUUAGCUUGUUUAUGCAGGAACAACAAAUUCAAGACAUUAUUUGACAAAGCCAACAUCAGAAUCAUCAAGAGGAGAUCGAGGGGACAACAGGUGACACCCUGGGCCCACAGGGAGGGGGUCGCCCGACCCCUCUUUGGUGGGACCCAGGUGUGCCACCUAGUCCACCGACAUAAGGGACCCCUGUGGACACUGCUGGUGGGCCCAGAGGCCCAGAAGUGGGGUCGCCCGACCCCACAUCAAAGGCGGUUCCAGGGUCGGUGGCCUCCCACCGACCUUCCCCACAUGUCCCACAUGUUGAUUUGCCCCUACCGUUGAUCAAAUGGCGGUUGUGAGGUCGGUUUGAUCCAAGGGUGGAGAGAAGAUGUCACGCGGAUCGAUGACGUGGCGAUGGAGUAACCCCUACUCCAUCUCCCUCUAUAAAAGGCAGCCUCCAUCCCUCAUUUCAAGUGUGCAAUUCCAAGGCCAAGUGCAUUACAAGUUCCAAGCAUACAAGUAGAGUAGUAGUUAGUCUAGAGUGGGAGUUAGAGUCGAGUCGAGCGAAGCUCGGGGUCUCCGGAGUCGUCUUCUGGAGAGUCUGGUAUAGCUCUUGUACCUUUCUACUUUUGUAAGACUUUCCUUUUAUUAAUAUAUUAUUCUUACUUUACUUUACUGAGUUCUUACUUAGUGCAAGUCUUUUAGUCUUGUUGUGCAUUUACUUUAGUAAUAUAGUUGUCUUAGUGAAGUUAGUGACCUGUAACCACUCCUGUGUGUGCAUCAUCGUCCUAUCUUGUAUAGGAGCUCUAGCUAGCUGCAACUAGUUAGCGUUGUAGGAUUAAGUGUGAGCGUGGUGCUCAUACUUAAGAUUACCUUUGAUUACCGCUGGCUUGAACGGAAAGUAGGAGCGCACUCCCUAGUAGGUGACAGAUCGUGGGCGGCAUUAGGUUCUCCUCACGUACAGGCUAGUUCUUAAAAGGUAAGGCGUCCAUAAGCCCAAUAGUCGCUUUCGGUAAGGGGUUAGGUGAAAAACGUUCUAAGCGUCUUACCAGCUCGGCUAUCCCUCGCACACAGUUAGUAAGGCUCUAGCAUAGUUAAGGCAAUUAUCUAUUAAAGUAAGUCACAGAAGUCAAGUUAGAUACAUAGGAGUCCUUUACUCACUCGUUGUCCUCCCACCUAGCUAACUCUACCAUUUACCUUUAGCAUAGGACCUUGGAUUCACCACUACCCUUCCUAUUCGUUAUUUACCACCCUUAUUCACUAGUUGAUACUAGAUAACUCAAGGAAUCUCAUUCCCCUUUUUGUUAAACACACUUAGCCGCUUUCCCUUGGGAAAAUAUAAAUUACGAUACCUUGGAAUACUCCUUGGUGAAGUGCUACAGCCGUACAUUCUGUGCGCUUGCGGAAUUAUCCAAUAGUAAAUAGAGUUACCCUACCAGGGCACUUCUGGCGCCGUCGCCGAUAUCCGGUGGUUGCGUUAAGAAGUGUCAACACUUGCCAUACCACAAGCCACAGCUCUUGUGGAGAAGAUGGCGUCCAAUCAAAGCUGGAAUGAAGAAAGGACCUAGACACGGAGGUAUGCAUCAGCUCAAGGAGGUAGACAUGUUGUCUGCAAAGCUAGACCUGCUCAUGAAGAAGCUCGACGAUAGAGCUGGAUAUAAGAAGGAAGUUAUGCACGUCUAUGACUCUCACAUGACUUGUGAGGAGUGUGGUGAUACUGGACACUCAGGCAAUCACUGCCCUGAGAUGCUUGAGGAUGUGAACUACAUCAACAACAACUACUACUACUACAACCGUCCUCAACAAAAUCAAGAUUGGAAUCAACAGAGGCCUAACUACUCAGGUAAUUAUCAAGGUAACAAUUCUUACAACAAUAAUAAUAAUUUUCCACCUCUGAGAGAGUUAGUGUCUAAUCAAGGAAAGCUAAUGGAUAAUCUAUCUAAGAAAUUGGCAUCUAAUGAUAAAAUGCUAGAAAAUAUAAAUAAUAGAAUGGAUAAUUUCUCUACUGCCAUCAAGAAUCAAAUUAGCUUUAAUAAAAUGAUUGAAUCUCAAUUAAAUCAAAUAGCUCCUGCUGUUCAUGCUACUAACCCUGGUAUACCAUCACAACCGGAAGGAUUAGAAUCUGCAAAUCUUGUAGACAUGUUUGAUGCAGGUAAUUGGAGUAACCCCAUCACUGAAUUCACUACUGACCUUCUGCCGGUCAAGAGAGGUGAUCCAGGACGCCCCGUCAUCCCGAUCUCCAUCGGCAUGGUGGACGUCCCAGAAGCACUCUACGACUUUGGCUCUAGCGUCAACAUUAUACCCAGGGUACUCUAUGAAAUUUUUUUUACAUAUCCUUUAUUAGAGACAACCAUGUGUUUGCAGUUUGCAGAUCAGACGAUAAGUUUUCCAAAAGGAAUAUUGAAGAACCUUUGUGUCCGAGUUGGUACCUUAUAUGCCCUAGCAGACUUCGUAAUGGUAGAGACCGGUAAUGAUGAGAGGGCACCCAUCAUCCUAGGGAGGCCAUUCUUAAACACCUCAGGAGCCGUCAUCUACGCUAGUGCUGCCAAGAUCAGUUUCUACAUCAAAGGUAGAAAGGGGACGUUUUCCUUCAAGAACAAGACUACACAAAUCCCAGAUCAAUCCAGAUAUGAAUCAAGGAAGAGGACCGACAGGAGGAACAGGAACAAGCAAGUGUGGACCGAGUCAGCUAAGAUGGUCAUUGCAGUUCAUGGAGGCCAAGAUCAUCAACUUAAGUCACCAUUUUUGACCAAGAAGGGCGACCCAGGAAUGUCAAGCAUCUAUUGCUCCAUAAAUAGAUACAACUUCUACAAGACGACUUGCGACACCGGAUCAGGCGUCAACAUAAUGGCCGCAGUCACCUAUCGGCUCUUGUUCGGAACCAUGCCCCUGAAACCAACAUACAUUCAGCUCCAGAUGGCAGAUCAAACGUUUCGAGAGGUUAAAGGAACAGUAACUGAUGUCCCAGUCAUAAUAGACGAUCAUUUUGUCUACACAGACUUUCAGGUUAUUGACAUGGGAGAAGACGAGUACGAUCCACCCAUCAUCCUUGGAAGACCGUUCCUCAGCACCAUUAAAGCAAUCAUCUACAUUGGAACCAGAGAAGUCCAUAUGCACUUCCCCUCAGAGAAGGUACGCCGUUAUUUUACUGACCCUAACUACAUCUUUGACGAAUCUAAGCAGGUCAGGAAAAGACGCAACCGCAACCAGAGGAGGCAGAUCAUCAAGGACGGAUGGACAGACUAUGAAGGAGAAGUGGUAAGGUCAGAAGACGUAGAGUUUAAACAGAAUUAUCCAGAGGAGACCGAAAUACCGAGUCAGGUAUGGAAAGAGAAGAUAACUAUACAUGAAGAGGAGGCGCCGCCGGAAGUACCGACUACGCCACCCAACGAAUCCCAGGACAAUUGAGAAAACGGAGAGUCCCGUUCGGAGGACUUCAAAAUACCGAACGCCUUGCCAAGAGGUAAACUUGGUAGUUAUCCUUUCCCUUUCAAUUAUUUAAAAUAGUUUACUUAAUUAGUUAUGUUCACACUAUCCUAAAAAGAAAUUAAAAAUGUUAAAAACAGUAAGCCCCAUGUGAGUAUACGAGUGGCAUGAAGCCCAUAAGUACAUUCACUGUGGUGGCAUAAAAAUGAAAUAAAUAUUUCUUUUCUGCUUUAUAAAAUAAAAAUAUAAAAAAUAAGGAGUAAUAUUUACUAAGGAGUCUCAACAUGAUAAAGGCUAGAUAUUUAUGCUAACACUUAAUCAGUUCCACAAGCUUUGUUGUCUAUUUGAGCUCCACAGAAUUUAAGAAUCAAGAAGACUAGCAGACGGAGGACAUUCUAAUCGCUGUCAGAAUGCUGCUGACUUUCAAAUAGACCUCUACCACCUGCUAGCUACAUCAAGAGAAAUUACGUCAAAAUUCAGCUUGGGGGAGAGCACCCCCAUUUAUCCAGCUAAGUGUUUCUACUCACGUUUAUACUUUACUCAAAUAAUAAAAAUAAGUAUUUCUAUCUAUCUAUCUUUAUACUUAUAUUAUAAUAUAUAGAUAUACAUUACUAUGGAAAACCAAAUAAAUAUUUUAUGCUUAUAUAUAUCUUUUGCUCAGUGUGUUUAAUAAAUAAAUAAAGUGGCUAUGCUAAUCUGUAUCUAAAUAAAACUCUAGCAUGGAUAUGAUGAAUAGUUGCUCUGCCUAAUUUGCACAUUUGAAGUUCUCUCACUAGUUCAGACAUAACUUUUAUAAUUUAAAGCUUGCUCUAGACCUAAACUUGUGGGAUGAAAACUUGAUCUAAAGUCUAAGUUGUUAACAGAUACGAUAUGGGAAGGUUGAGCUGCUAUUUAUCUGUUCCUAGAGAUGCUAGAAUUCUAGAUAAUUUUAUCUUUGAAAAUCUUUUAAAUAUUGCAUGAUGAGUUCCUGUAUGAUGAGAGUUUAAAUUCCUACCACAGCCAUAUAUACAUGUUUGCUAGACUUUGAGCCACACAUUUACUAUUUACUACUUAUGAGCAUUGAGUGUGGUCAAGUUGUGUAGACCCUUAGGAACUUGUCAUGUGGUUAAAUCAAGAUUUCACUUGCACGUUGACUCACACAUGCUACUUCUACUCUAGAAGUACCAUCCACAUAUAUCCAUCCAUUUCCAUCUCUACAAUCACCUAAAAAUAUUCUACAACUAAUCUAGGAGAGAAUAGCCAAAAAUAUUUCUGUUUUUCCCCUGUAAAUGCUCAAGUUAUCUUGUUACUACCACUUGCUAUAUUAUCUCAAGAGAUGAGUGCUCUAAAAAAAGAGAUACGAGGAAAUAAAAAGGGGCAAGUGCCCGGAACCACGAAAGAAAAGAAAAAGUGAGACGAGAGGUAAAAAUGGACAAGUGUCCGACAGUAGAAUUAGGGGUACAAGAUACCCACCGGAGAGAAAAGAAAAAUAUAGAGCAUCUCAUUCUCCUCAUAAAGUUUCAAAAAGCAAGGAAGGUAUGUAUCCCCUCAAAAGAGCAAAAGUAGAAUUAGACUUCCACCAUUGUCAUCACCAUACACCACUCAUUCGCCACACAUGCACAUCUUGAUUUGACUUAAUGAUUUGUUUCUUUGGAUCCAUAAUUUGACUAUGCAAUAAAUGUCUUGUGAGUAUGUAUAUUUUAUCUCCCACCUAUGAGCUCCAGAUAUUAAAGCCUUAUUAGAGUAGGGUGAGAGAGAAGGCAAUGUCAAUAUGCUUUAUACCACAAAUACCACAUAUAUUGAGAGAAGGCAUAUACCAUCACUGCCUUGGUAACGAUCCAGAAAUACCACAAAAGAGAGAUCUGAGAGAGUCAUACAAGGAAUCUCUGAGUUUUAUUUGAAAAUCUGCAAAAAACUCCAGAGCUAUAGCUGAUCAAGAAUAAGAGACAUGGCACUUGACUAGACUGUUCUAUCUUUUAACUACUCAAGACAGAAGUGACGGUUACAAGUCCCAUGGUAAAAGGUAAAGUAAGUAUGUUUUAAGUCUUGACAGUUUACUCUAACUCAGAGAUGAGAUCUUAUUUAAAAGCAUGUGUACCGUCAAUUUUUAAAGUAUUGCAACAACUUCUAAUCUAUCCUUGCUCAGGGACGAGCAAGAGGUAAGCUUGGGGGAGUUUGUUGACGGUCCUUAAGUAUCAAAUUUAAUUAUCAAAUAAACAAAAAAAAGGAUCCAAAUGAAAUCAACAUCUAGACUUAGGGUUUUAUCCGACAGAAUUCCAUAAGUUUUGGUGUUUGUCUAUUUCUGUAGGGGGUUAUCAGGAAAUACGGAAGAAAGGCCCAGACGUCGGGAUUACAUAGAGAUAUUAACGUGCCGCGCAAUUAUCUUACAUCUUGAAGACUCCAGAAGCCACGGGAAGGAAGCGAAGGCCGAACGGGGCUAGGGACUGGGCACCCGCCCAGUUGCCCUGGGCGCCCGCCCUCCUGCCGAGCCUAAUCAGGACUCUGUUUCGGGGAAGAUCUCCACCGACCAAAAGGAUCAAGGAUAACCGUUCAAUCUAUGUCGGUUUGAUCCAACGACCAAUAUUCACUUGAAGGGACUAUAAAACCAGACCCCCUGGCCCCUGGAGGAGAGAGCCUCUCAACCCUAAUUCAUUAUUCCUCAAGGGAGAAGAAGCCUCUGAUCAAGAUUAGAGCCACCACAUCAAUUAGAUAUCUAGAUUAGCAUAGCUACAUAGGAUUAGAACUAGAAGGAGUCAAUCUUCGAUUGGUUUCGGAUCUGUCAAGAGGAUUCUUGGUAAUUCUCUAAUUGUCCUUCUAAUUGUUCUUCUAAUUAUCUUUGUUCUUCAAUAUUAUGAAUAUGACUUUGUUCUACUUCAAUAUAUUGCUUAUGACUUUGCUCUACUUGCUUAUAUUCAAGAUUAUAUUGUUCUUAGUUUAUCAUAGUUAUGUACUUGGCUUAGUUAGAUUGGAUCUAUAUACAUGCUUAGGAUCGUAUAGCGUUUAUCCGUCGGAUCCAUGGGUAAAUGAUAGAUAUUGUGUAGGCGUGGUGCUUAUACCGUAUUUAUCUGUGAUUGUACCCAAUAUGUCAGAUCGUGGGGUAGUUCGUGAUAGUGACAGCUUCAUUGAUUCUUAUAUAGUCCCCCUGUCGUGUAUUGGGCUGGCAGAGCAAUAUUAUUACAAGGGAGGGAUUGCUAUGUUUCUCAUUUACCUUGCUAAUAUCACUAUGCAUGGGCGUAGUCUUGUCUCGCAAUGAUUGCUAAGUAUGCUUGCACUAAUUAUGAUAAUGCUAGACUAUAUAGUUGAGAAUAAAUUAGGAAAUAUUCUUGUAGUUCGUUCUAAUACCAUGCUAAUGACUUUCUAGAGUAUCUAAUUGAGGUGCUUAUCAUAUUUAUUAUGUGGCUAAGUUAUGAUCAGAUUAAUUAUCUUUGUCACUAUUCAUUACUUCAUAUAUCUUUUAUGUGACGCUUACCCCUGUAUGAAAGAGUUAGAUAAAUGUUCUCAAUUAUACAUGCAAUGAUAGAUACUCAAUCUCAUAUUCUAUUCUGUAAUCAAUAUUGAUGAUUGCUAAUCCCUUCCCAGUGGUAAAAAUUUAAAUAACGAUAACUGGAAUACUUCCCGGUUCAAAUGCUACAUCGGUAUUAAUCUGUGCGCUUGCAGAUCCCAUUCAUAAUUUAUUUAGAAGAGCAAUUGCAUAUUUCAAUACCGCGUCUCUCAUGUCAUGCUGGGGAUGACAACUUGGCUUAAGUGGUAUGAGGGAUAGGUUUGGCAUUUUUGGCACCGUUACUAGAAUUAGAAAACUAAGUCUACUUUUGGUAGUGAUGUUAAGAAUACCCAACAAUUUUCAUGAUGAUGUGCUUCUCCCCCACACUUGUUUUUUUUUCCUAUCUUUGAUUAGUCACAGAAAAACAUAUACUUUCCAGAAAACAAGUGCUCAAAAGAAAAGAUAUUUUCAUUCAUAACUUAAAUAGGCACAAUUACAUCAAAAGGGAAAAUGGUUGAAAAAGGGAAAGCGUGCCUAUUUUAUUUGUAUGAGGUUCUUAGAAACUUUUAAGAACAUGCUCCACCCCUGCUGCCUUAGCGAUCCUGUGCAGCUGAUUGCUAUAGCUGUGGCGCAUCUCAUCUAAUUCGUCCUUAAGUCCUUUGCCGCUAAGAUGAGCCUUGGCUAUGCGAUCAUGAACUCUCUCUACACUAGCGUGGGUGCUCCUAUUGCUUGCAUGGAGUGAGGUGAUGGUUGGCCCUUUGGGCAGCUGCUCAUCCUCACUAUCUCUAAAGAAACCUUUAGGCUGUCCCCUGAUGACAGUACUAACGAACUUGUGUUUAGCGCCUAAGGUUUCUGCUGAGGGCGCGGCUUUGCUAGCCGAAGCUUCAUCCUUACGGAAAAGUCCCUUCGCAUACCCUCCGUCGGGUUUGCGUAUCCCUCUAAAUAUAUAUGUGUGAUUAUCAUAAACAGGAGAUGACAGAGACAGCUCUUCGGAAGACGAAGGCAUGACAGUAGCUCCCUUGCUAAGUCCACCACCACCAAGAGUCUUCUUCUUCGGUCCUAGUGCGCCGGCGGUUGGACGAACAAUAGUGGGCUUCUUCUUCUGGGCGCCAUUCUUGAUGAUGCGGGAGCGGGCAGUCGACUUCAGGCUUGGGCUAAAGUCUUGGCUUGGUGGGAGAAAGGCUAGUGGUGCCUUGACUGCUGCUCGUGCUUCUUCCUCCACAAAGGAACUGUCUCUAAAGGGGACGAUGUCUAGGUUUGCGAAGGAGCCAGGGGCUUGGAUUAGGGAGAGGGCGUAGCUAGACAUUCUUGCCUUGGAUCUUGGGAGAGCUUAGCACACUUGGUGAGAGGAAGAAGAGAAAGGUUUGGUGUGAAGAAUUGAGAGGCCAAGGGGCUGCUUAUGUAGGUUCUUCUGCGCACCUAAAUAAGGAAUCAAACUUGAUCGUAGGCGGUAACAUGAUACUGGAGGGAUCAGAGGGAGGUACGAAAAAGAUUGGGGCCAAUUGGCUGGGACAGGAGUGUGGCCUCACCCAGGUGCGUCCGAACCCCCGGGGCCACCAGUCGGCCUCCGUUUUUUUGGCAACUCGCGUUAUUUGUUUCCCUAAUCGUGAUCCCACUUACGAUCAAUGUUGAUUCGCAGUGUAUUGGCGGGAUGGUAAAGAGAAUAAUUUUUGAAUUUUGAAUAAAACUUUCUAAAACUCAAGAGAUUGCACUAUCAUGCAUUUAUAUUGAGAAGAUGCUAUGAUCAAAACAGAUUUUAAACAAGAUAUACAAGAUCACAGGGGCAUUUUGGGUAAAACUUAAAUGCAUAAAUCAAGAGGCUUUAUUUAAAGUAAAAUAAAUACAACAACAAAAUAUAUAUUAUAUUAUUGUCUUUUUAACACAUUCCUUUGGUGUAUUCUUUAAAAGAAACUAAAUUUAUUUCAUCAAAUGAAUGGGGUUCGGGUUCGAGAAAUACCUUGAGACGUUGGCCGUUAACCUUAUGGAUGUUGCCACCGUCAUCCUUUAUUGUGACAGCUCCGUGCGGUGCCACCUCGAUCACUGUGUAAGGUCCGUCCCAUUUGCUCCUGAGCUUUCCUUUCCCGAACAAUUUGACUCUCGAGUUGAAGAGCAGGACUUUGUCGCCGAUCUUGAAUUCUUUAUGUAAGAUCUUUUUAUGGUGCCAUUUUUUUGUUCUUUCUUUCUAGAGGUUGGCACUGUAAUAGGCUUUUUCUCGCCAUUCUUCUAAUUCUGCGACUUGUCUUUGCCUGUUUCUUCCAGCGGCCUUGAUGUCCAUAUUCCAAGUCUUGAUUGCCCAGUGAGCUCUAUGUUCAAGCUCAAGAGGCAAAUGAUAGAUUUUGCCAUAGACCAAUUGAUAAGGUGACAUCCAAUGGGAGUUUUGUAAGCUAUCCUGUAUGCCCAGAGUGGAUCAGGGAGCUUAUCUUUCCAGCCUGUUCCCAUUUCGUUCACCGUUUUCUGGAGUAUGUUCUUGAUCUGCUUAUUGGAAGUUUAGGCCUGCCCGCUGGUUUGGGGAUGAUAAGGAGUAGCAACAUUGUGAUGGGUGCCCAAAUCUCACAAAAAUGUUCUGAAGGCUUUAUCAAUGAAGUGCGACCCUCCGUCACUUAUUACCAUUCUUGGUGUCCCAAAAUGAGGAAAGAUGAUCUCGUGAAACAUCUUUCUUGCAUGCCUGGCAUCUACUCCUCGACACGGUAAUGCUUCUACCCAUUUUGAUAUGUAGUCAACUGCUACAAGGAUGUGCUCGUAGUCGCCUAAUUUCUUGAAUGGCCCCAUAAAGUCAAUUCCCCAGACAUCAAAAAUUUUGACUUGGAGAUUGAAGUGAAGUGGCAUGGCGUUGCGUGCACUGAUGUUGCCUUGUAGCUGACACUGACGGCAUCUAUGGACGAACUUCUUCGUGUCUUGAUACAUUGUAGGCUAGUAGAAGCCGCACGUCCAGAUUUUGGACUGUGUGUGAAAUACUCCAUAGUGACCUCCGUAUGGUGAAGCGUGACACUUCUCAAUGAUGUGUGCACCCUCUGAGGUGGGCAGACAUCUUUGUAGCAGUCCGUCAGCAUAGACCCAGUAUAGGUAGGGGUCGUCCCAUAGGUGGCAGCGACUUUCAUAUUCAAGCUUCUUAUUUGAUUCGCCUAGGGGUACGUACCCUGAAACCAUAAAGUUAACAAUAUUUGCAUAUCAUGGGUUCGUGUCGUUGAUCAUCAGGAGCAUGUCGUCGCGUAGGAAGUCGUUAAUCUGCUGUUCCUGCAUGUUAGUGACUUGCAUACGCGAAAGAUGAUCUGCAACAGUAUUUUCUACUCCUUUCUUAUCUUUUAUCUCAAUUCAAACUCUUGUAACAACAACAUCCAUCGGAGCAGACGAGUUUUAGCAUCCAUUUUGGUGAGCAAAUAUUUGAGAGCAGCAUGAUCUGUAUAAACAAUUAUCUUUGCUCCCUCCAAAUAGGAUCUAAACUUAUCGAUAGCAAAGACUAUAGCGAGGAACUCUUUUUCAGUAGUGGCGUAGUUAAGCUAAGGUCCUGUCAAAGUCUUGCUAGCGUAAGCGAUCGCGUGAUGCUUUUUGUCCUUGGUUUGGCUGAGGACCGCCCCAACAGCAUAAUCGCUGGCAUCACACAUGAUCUCAAAGGGUAGCGACCAAUCCGGAGGUUGGAUAAUGGGAACUGAGAUGAGUGCCUCCUUAUGGUUUGAAAGCUCUUAAGCACUCAUCUGUGAACUCAAAGGGAACAUCUUUUGCUAAAAGGGCUGUCAGCGGCCGGGUGAAUUGUGAAAUUUUUUUGAUAAAUCGUCUAUAAAACCCGGCGUGGCCUAGAAAGCUGUGAAUUCCCUUGAUGUUCAUAGGGGGAGGUAGUUGUUCUAUGACUUAUAUUUUUGCUUUAUCUACCUCGAUUCCCUAUUCAGACACUAAGUGUCCCAAAACAAUGCCUUCUCGGACCAUAAAGUGGAAUUUUUCCCAAUUAAGUACUAGGUCCUUAUCUUGGCAUCUUUGCAAAACUUGGUCCAAAUUUUCAAGGCAACGAUCGAAAGUUUUUCCAUAGACCGAAAAGUUGUCCAUGAAAACUUCCAUGAUCUCCUCAAUCAUUUCCAAGAAAAUGGACAUCAUGCAUCUUUGGAAUGAGGCGGGUGCAUUGAACAACCCAAACGACAUUCUUCUCUAUGCAUACGUUCCAUAUGGGCAUGUGAACGUAGUUUUGCUUUGAUCAUCGGGAUGGAUGGGAAUUUGGUGAUAACCAGAAUACCCAUUGAGGAAACAGAAAUAGGAGUGUUUCGCCAAUCGUUUCAACAUCUCAUCGAUGAAGGGCAAUGGGAAAUGAUCCUUUUUCGUUGCCGCGUUAAGUUUUCUAUAAUCAAUACACAUUCUCCAUCCCAUGACAGUAUGCUGAGGGAUAAGCUCAUUCUGAGUGUUCUUAACUGCCGUCAUUCCUCCUUCUUUCGGAACCACUUGGACGGGACUAGCCCAGUCGCUAUGUGGUAUGGAUAAAUAAUCCCGACGUGAAAAAGUUUGAGGACUUCCUUUUCACGACUUCCCUCAUCGCAUUAUUGAGCCUGCGCUGUGGUUCAUGUGUGGGCGUGCUUGCAGGGUCAAUAGGUAUACGAUUGGUACAGAGUGUUGGGAUAACCCCCUUGAGGUCUUGCAGGAAUACCCAAAGAUCGACCUACGCUUUUCUUAAACAGCGAUGAGUCGAGAGGUUUCGUCAUCAGAAAGCUUAUCACUCAUGAUGACGGGCAUGUUUUUGUCACCGUGAAGAAAAGGAUAUCUUAAUCCUUUCGGUAGGGUUUUUCGCUCAACUGGAGGUGGAGUCGGCACUUCCUCCUUAGGAAGUUUGAGGAUUUCUCCUGUGUCGUCCUCUUCUUCUAUAAAGAAGUUAGAGUCAUUUUCUAAGGACGUCUCAGGAGUUUCGAAUGGCACUACCGACAUAUCCUCCUCGGGCAUAGAAGAACAGGGAGGUUCUGCUAUCGAGUUUCUAGCUCAAGAGAAUGAGAUUGAAAAUUUAUUCCUCCCUAUCUUUACAUCUAAUUCCCCUGUGUUGGAGGCAUCGUAAAAGAAUGUCUCCAGGGGGUGCCCGAUCAGCACAUCGAAGCCUAUGUCGUCAAAGAUAUGAAAAAUCUAGAGUCAAGACGACAUCUUCGUGCUGAAUGUUCACGUUGUAAACCACUCCUUGUCCCUUUUAAUGGACUAUGGUCCAUCUCUAAAAGACAAGUUGGUAGGAGCUAAAAUCUUAUCACCAAGAUGGGUGAGUGCAAAGCCUGAGGAGAAUAUGUUUGCUCCUACCGUGGGAUUAUACAACGUCUCUACCCAAUCAUCCUGGAUCUUGCAGUGAAUGGUUCAUGAAGGUGAGCAAAUCUGAAUUACUUCAUACGAAGACUCUCUUUCAUUCGUCCAUUCAUUGCUCAUGAUCGCUGUCAACUCCUUAAUGGAUUCUUUAAGGGAAUCACGAUCAGGUUCUAGAGUGAUACGAACAUGAUUGAUCUUCUUUUUAUUAUACUUCGAAUAAUUACCAAAAUCGUCAAUGAAAUUGUCAUUGAAGCAUGGAAGGGCAUAGGGUAGAAGGUUCUCUCUUAGCUCAUCUAGUUCGGGUGAGGAUGUCUCAGGUUGUGCAUUUGUUUCGGCCUCAGCCAAAGAGACUUUCUCAAAACACGGCUCUAGUUCUACGCGGAGGGGUUCUAAGGGGGGAGUAUUCUCUAGAAUGCGAUCUAGCAGAGCUUCUCCCUCCUCUGUAGUUUUGUGUGUGAAUGAUCCUCCCGCGGACGUGUCAAGCAUUAGGGCAGAUUCCUUGUUAAGCCCUAACCAAAAGUGCUGUAAUAGCACAUGGUUGGGGAUAGACAAGUCUAGGCCAGAUUUGGUCAAAGUUGUGAAUCUGUCCCAAGCUGCUCCUAGGGAUUCCUUCUCUUCUCGACGGAAGUUGAGAAUCUCUUGACAUAGGGCAGCAAUUCAGGAUAAGGGGUAGAAUGCUAGGCAGAUUUUUUUCGCAAUUCUUCCCAAUCGCCAACUACCUUCCCUACGUUCUGGGUGUACCAUUGCCUCGCCCUCUCAUUAAGAGAGAAGGGAAUUAAUUUCCACCGCAUUGUCUCGAGUGACAUGCCAGCAAUGGUGAGGCAUGCACAGAGCUGCUCAAAUCCCCUCGAGUGGUGAUAUGGGUUUUCGUAAUCUAAGCCUGAGAAGGAUUGUUCCCGAACCAUGGCUAUAAAAGCCGACCAGAGUUUGUAAAUCAAAGCUGUGAUGGGCUUCGCGGAUUGUGGAGGUGUGGCGAUCUCGGCCUUGGGAGGAGACAAAUCGAAGAUGAUAGGUUGCUCCAUCAGAACAAAGUAAGAAAAGAGUCGUAAAAACAAAAGAUACACAGGCAACUAGGUUCAGAGACUAAGACGACAACCGUUCCCCAGCAAUGGCGCCUGAAAUGCUUGUUGGCGCUUCUUAGCUACAUCAGAGAAAUCCGUAAGCACACGGAGUACCGUUGUAGCACUUCACCCGGAAGUAUUCAGGGUAUCGUAUUUAUCCACAGGGAACGGCAAAACGUCACUUAGACUCUAAACUAAUCACCCUAGAAGAUAGAAGGGAGCAGAACACGGCUGAGAGGAUACACUAAAGUGAUGAACCACUAAGUGGAAAGACCUUCCCACUACUUGCUUGCUUCAAGCCCACUAAGAGUCCUAGGUAACUAGGCGAUCCCAGUAUCAGACUACGCUACGACUGAUCGUGGGGGAUUACUACGGAUGCCAGAUGCUGUCACUACACUAACACCUACCCCUCUGCCCGAAAGCCGUACCACAUACGAAGGUAGCCCAUAACUUAGACACCAUGUCUACGAAGCUGACUACUGCUCUAGCAAUGCGUAGGAUUAUCCGUCUCUAUGAGGAGUCCUCUUACUAGAGCAUCGAUUCUAAGAACGAGCGACGAUCCCACAAUCAAAUAGCUUUAUGAAAGUAAUUCACUUAAUGAAUCAAAACUGAAAUGUGACACAAACCUCUUACUUCAAGUAGUAAGAACGAAUGUAGAGGUUCAAGAAGGAGCGAGAGCCGACAGGUCCGGCACUUCGUCCACCCUAGAGUAGAACUUGCUUCAACCCCGCUUCUAUACUUUAGCUAUUGCCUCUCUCUCAUAAGUCUAGAAUAACUGGAGCUAAACUAAUAAAGCACAACUCCUUCUUCUAUUUUCUUGUAUCUUGAUAUAUUUAAAUGGAGGAGUGGGGGUCUCAAUUUAUAGCUCCAUAAGACGGUUCGAGGCGAUUUAAAUUUGGUAGUAGGUGAAACCGUGCUAUGGAUGUCGCUAUGCAACUGCCUGAAAAAGGUGGGACCGAGUUGCCGCCAUGGGGGUGCGCCCAUGACAAGGAGCGGCCGCACCAUUGGUGGGCACCCCUGGACACUGCGUUCGCCUGGUCGGUUCGUCUCUGGGCCCUGAUCCUUCCCGUGGUUACGGAUUGAUCCCGUUCGGUGUUUUGGUGGGCUUUUCCAUUUAAUUUUGAUUUGCGCCUUUUCUGAAAAUGCUUUCUUGAAGUGUGCUUUUCUCGUGUCUUUUGCGCCUUUCCACGUGUCAUACCUGAAAUUAAUAUUUACAACAAAGCUUGUGGAAAGGUUAGAUAAAAGCCCUAUCAUCUAUUUAUUUUAUUUAUAAAAAUUAUGUUUAUUAUUAUAAGAUAAGAAGUGCCAACAAUAAGAUGCUCUAAGCUUCUCAAGUUCUUGUUCAAGGGUUUUCUUGUCUUAAGCAAGGCCUUGCAUUCCUUUCUAGUUUUACUAUAAUGUUGUGUGCAAUCUUAUAGCAUAGUGAAUAGAUCAUCUUUAGUGGGUUCAUCGCUAUCACUAUCACAAGCAAAUCGUCAAGCUCCGUUCGAGCUCCAAACGAUCCUCCGAGCUGGCUAGCGAGCUGCUGGGCCUACGUGCUACCGUCGCAUCCCAAUGAUGAUCGCCGCAAAGAACGACGCAAUGACAACGAUGACCAUCGUCAUGAUGACAUGUCAAAAAUCUUGAGGGCCAGAUAAUUUUAUCACCAACGACUAGACUUUCGUCUAAAGAUAAGUGCACUUCUAAUAUUUUAUUUAUUUUUGGCAUGAUAUUUUUAACAUUAUUAUUCUUCAAAGCAACUUUUUGGUUAGCUAACUAGUUUUUUCUCCUAUAUGAGUUUUCUAGAGUCGGCACUAUCUCCGACUCCUCCCCACACGUGCACGAGAUCUGCUCUCUACAUUCCGGGUGAUCGGCAGUAGUUCUCUAGCGAGGCUGGCAAUCCUACACGUGCCAAGGUUCUGCACCUCAUGCUCCAGAUUGUUGGCUAGACCACAGCUGAUACAAGCUCUAGGAUGAAUUAACUACUCGUGUUAACUUUAACUAUAACAUAAAAGCUAAAAUCUUAUACUAAUGCUGAUUUUUUAUCUAGAGUUUAUUUAUACAUCUUGUACUACCUAUUCUCCAUAUUUAUUUUUUAGGAUCUUGGCCUAGUCAACAAGCUAUGCUCGGGGACUCGUCGACCAUCCCCUAUGCUGUGCUCGGAGAAUGCUCCAACCACCAAGCACGUUCACGUUCCCAACCACGCUGGGGGACUUGUCGACUAGUCUCUAUACUGUGCUCGAAGACUGUGCCGACCACCGAGCACGUUUACGUUCCCAACCACACUCGGGGACUUGUCUACCAGUCCCUAUGCCAUGCUCGGGGACUGUACCGACCACCGAGUACGUUUAUAUUCCCAACUACGUUCGCGGACUCAUCAAUCACUCCCUACGCUGUGCUCGGGGUUUGCUUCGAUCACUCUCUGACCACAGCUUGGGGACCGCUCUUCUCAGGUACAUAUGAAUUGUACUCUUAUACAACUGAGGGGUGAUUUUAAUUUUUUAGACCUUGCUACAAGGCUCAUACUUCACCUUCCAGCAAGCUCGGGAACUACAUCAAUACAAUGCACCUGGCGAUGCAUCUCAGCAUCAAAAUUUCUAUGUGGAUUUUUCUUUUUAGACCAUGGCACCACGUGCCUACAUGACCUACUACGAGGCUCAGGUACUAAGUGGGCACACUUCACCUUACGUUGAAUAUGCUUAUUUUUUGAAAGACUAUACUUUGAGAAAAGUAAAGUGGGCAGACUUCAUCAAGAAAGAAAUAUUUUUUCUCAAGAGCACCAUGUAUUAUUCGGACAACUUGCUUCUUUAGUGUCAAUGGUGGUUGACUGUCUUCCAAAGUACUGUCACAACUAUUCGAGCGACUUUUCUUGCUGGUCGGAGACGUCAAGCCUCAUUGGUCGAAGAAGCUCAAGAUGUUAUGUCGCAUCACAAUACAUGGAGCUUGGUAUCUAGCUGUGGGGGUAUAAACUCCUAUACCCUCAUGGGUCGACAUGGGCCACACCAUUAGAGGUGGUCCGGCCCACAAGAAGACGUGCGGCGCAUGACGCUGGUCGGUGUGCACCGCAAGGCUACAAGAAGAUAUUAUACCAAAUAAGACACAUUACUUGUAACUCUGUCCCUUCAUGAUAUAUAAGGAGGGGCAGAGGUCUCUUAGACGGCAGAAGUCAGAGAUCAUAUUACAUCUCAUAUGAAUAUAAUUAGACACAAGACAUAGGUAUUACGCCCUCACGACGGCCGAACAUGGAUAAAAACCUUGUCUGUGUCUUGCAUCACCAUCUAGUUCAUAGCUUGUGCACCUGUCUACAAUAAUGUACUACUGAGGGUAUACCCCAAGGUAGACUGCUGACCAACUUUCAUCGACACUUACACUUGCCUUGGAGAGGAUCCAAAAAUACCACAUAUGUGACACUUGAAAGGGUCAUACACGGAAUCUCUGAGUUUUAUUUGAAAAUCCAAAACUCUGGAAUAGUAGUUGAUCAAAGAGUGAGUAACAUAGCGCUUGAUUUAACUGUUCUAUCUUUCAACUACUCAAGACAUAAGUGAUAGCUAUAAGUCCCAUGGUGAAAGGUAAUAUGGGUAAGUCUUGAGUUAGAAUAGUUCACUCUAAUCCGAAGGAGAGUCCUUGUUCAAAUGCAUGUGUACUUGUGAGGCAUGAAAUUAUUGUAGCAACUUUUGAUCCAUCAAUGAGAUUAUCUUUUCUCAGGGACGAGACAAAGGUAAGCUUGGGACAGUUUGUUGACGGUAGCAUGAGAAAGGACUAAAACCAGAAUACCAUCAAGCUAUAGGGGUUAUCACUAACAGAAUUCCACAAGUUUUUGAUGAUUAUCUGUUUCUACAAGGGGUUAUCGGAAUAAAAGAAAAAUGAGGUCCACAUGUUAGAUUUACAUAGAGAGAAUACCACGAACAUCAACUUAGGACACUCUAGAAGAAUCAGGAAGCCACACCCUGCAAGCUAGGGCCCACCUGCCAUAGGGCAGGGGCAGGCACCCAAGGGGGCAGGGGCGGCCACUCGACCACCUCCACCAAUGGGGUGUAACCUCAGAGAUCCUACCUCCACCACCUUUGAGGAGUAAUCUUGACCGUAUGUUUAAGUAGGUUUCAUUCGAGGGUUGUGGUGCUUCCUAGGGGGCUAUAAAUACAAGCCUAACCACCAUGAGGCAUCUUCUUCAUUUUAUUCAUUCGCUACAUCUAGAGUAGAAAUUAGGGUUUCAUCAAGUAGAAAAGAAGAGGUCCCUCUAGUUCAUCUAGUUCUAGUUCUAGUUCAUCUAGUUCUAGUUCUAGUUGUCUAGUUGUAUCUAGAUAAUAGAGAGAGAAGAGGAGAGCGUCGAGGAGGAGCCGAAUCUAUCAGAUUUGCAGUGUAUAUCUACAGCAGUCAAUUUGUCUUUGGUUAAUCUCUAGGUACUUUAAUUCUCUAAUUCCUGAGUUCUUAUUUAAUCUUCAUAUUUAUCUUCAAAUGCUCUAGUUCUUUGAUACGCUAGAGUAGUAAUUAAUAGGUUAAGCAUGGUCCUUAGUCUUGCAAUUACUUGGAAUUGCACCCAAUCAAGCGUAUUAUUGUGGUAGCCCGAGGAUCAUGACAGUCCGGACAGCCGACGUAUUCCGCCACGUUCGGAUUGGUGUUGCAGGAGUGUAGCCAGAGGUUUCUAGCCCCUAUCUCAUCCCUUUCUAUGGUUUGUGUUCUGAUGUCCCAAAAUAAGUAACUCUAGAGUAAAUCCUCAUUCCUAGAUCAACCUAUACUCAUGAAAAUUCCUCUCUACCCUACAUAUAUAUAUAGUUAUUCUAGGGUGAUCUAAACCUCAACUAGUACACAUCACGUUCCCCAUGGAAAAUCGAUACCUUGGAAUACUCCCAGGUGAAAGCUACAUUGGUAUCCAUGCGCUUGGGGAUUUUUUUGGUUGCAUUUAAAAUACCCAAUAUGGACACAUGAUCACAAAGAGAUGAAGCAUAAAGUGGAGAUCAUGGUGAUAGACAAGGAGUAAAGUGAUUAAGGCAAAGGUAUGAACAUAGGGUUUUGUUUUUGCCGGUCUAAGUUGAGUAGAGAAGUGAUUGACUAGAUUUAGGAUAGAUAGCUGACUAUCAAGAGGGGAAAUCACGGUCAUCUCUCGAAUCAAGUGCUACUUGGUCCAUAUCUUGAGCAUAUGCAUUAGGAUCUAGUAAAGUGCUAAUCUAACUCCUUUGAGAAAAUGUUUGUGAAAUGCUAACACACGUGCACAAUGGUGAUGGACACUUGGUGGUGUUUAGCACAUUUGGAAAGGAGGUGGAGUAAGCACAUUUGCAUAUCGCUUUUAGGAAAAUGGAACUCAUAUUGUCUAUUGUGCUGGUGGAAAGUUUGGAGAAGUCAUGGGAGUGUUUUUCACUGGAAAAACACUCACUGUACACUAGCCACGGAGGCACUAGACGCUGGCCCAACAUCUAGUGUACAGUGGCUGAGCAGUGCAGUGUUGAACUGUGUGUCGAAGCAUCAAAUGGUGAGCGUCGGAUGCGACUCUGACACUGUUCCCGUGACUGGAGAAGUAGUGAUGUUAGCGAUUGAGUAGCUUCUUCAAAGCACAUCGAAACCUAGGGAGCAUCGGGUGACUUGGAUGCAUCCGAUGCUCGUGCAUUUUGCAGAGCCCUCUGAGUAGCGUCCGAUGUUGAGACUCCACGUCUGGUGUGGAUCAUUGGAGCAUCUGGUGCUACUAUGUUUGGCACUCUUGUGAGUUAGCCAUUGGUGGCAAUGGAUGAGUUCAAAUAGCUAGUGACACAUCGCAGCAUGGAGGGGGUCAGAUGCUGGGGUAGCGCGUCCAACGCCUAGCGUUGGAGCAUCCGACGGCCCCGCGGAAAGCCCUAAUGGCUAGCUGUUGGGCUGACCUCUUUAAAUAGAAGGUGGCCAGCCUUAGCGGCUUUUCUCUUCCACCUUUGAACACUUGAGACAUACUUUGAGCUGGUGAACCCUCUCACCACUCAUCUCCUUGCUUGAUUGCUAAUCCUGGUGAGAUUGAGUGAGUUUCAAGUGCAUUGCUUAGUGAAUUGCAUCUAGUGGCACUUGAUCUUUGAGUUAGCUGUGGAUUUCUUAUUACUCUUGGGUAUUUCCCUACACCCUAGAUGGCGUGGAGCAGCGGAGGUGUAGAGCUCAUGAUUGGAGAUUGUUUCAAGCCUCACCAAGUGGAGAUUGUGAGGGGUUCUUGAGCCUUCCCCAUACGAGAUCGCAAUUGGCUACUCUAGUGGAUUGCUCAUGGCUUGAAGGAUCCCCAUCUUGUGAGUGGAUGUGCGGCACCCGCUAAGGGUUUGGCUUUGGUUUGCCAAUUACCUCGUGAUCCAUCAAGUGGGUGUAUCUCCACAAUGAGGACUAGCUUGACGAGAAGCAAGUGAACCUCGAUAAAAAAUCUUAUGUCAUCUCUUGCCGAGGAUUCUCUCUUGUAAUUGCGAUUGUGAGUGAUUGUUUGGAUAUAUCUCUACUCUAUAAUAUUAGUAUAAGAAUCACACUCCAAUCAUUUAAUUACUUGCAUAUGUUACUAGUUGUUUAGCUUGUGUAGCUUAGUCUUCUUGUUUAGGAGUGUUGCUAGCCCUUAGUUGUAGUUUGUGGUUGUGACUUAGUGUUUAGCCUUCUUGCUAGACUUAUGUAGGUGGCUUACAUAGCUUAGUUGUGCUAGUGCUAGAAUAGCUUCGCCAUUUAUUUUACUAACCAACUUGUCUAGUUGAGAUUGUAGAAAAUUUUAAAUAGGUUAUUCACUCCCCCUCUAGCCAUUUGGACCUUACAAUUGCUAUCAGAGUCGAGGCAUUAUUUAUUUGAGGCUUAACAACCUACGGUGAAUAAAUGGCUUUUAGUCUUCACAUAAACAACAUACCACAAACAAAUUUGUUUUUUCAUUUUAUGAUUUUUUUUUGUAAUUUAUUAUGAUUUUUCAAAUAUUUAGCGAAAAAAAAUAAAAAAGAAAAAGACAAAACCACUCUUCAAAACCGCUCGAGGGGGUAUUUGACUGGUUUUGAAAAUUCCAGGGAAUAGACUAUCCGAUUGUAUAGUUUGGAAGUAGGCUACACUGGAUAGUUGAGAGGUUAUGUAGACUUUUUUCUUCCUAUUUAUUUGUUUUUUUAUUUAUCCGGCAAAUAGAGAACGUUCAUGUGAAGCUACCUUGGAAAAAAUGCCUUUCAUAUUCCAAAACUUUUCUAACAAACAAUAGCCUACACAUAUAUUGUUGUGCAGGAGUUACAAAAACAAUUGAAACUCGAUUGACAUUUUAUAUCAUUUUUAAUGAAUUCCUGCAGACUUAUCAAAAGUUGAACUCAUAUGGAUACCUCCAAUAGGAGUAAAUACAAAGAACAAUCUAUCGCAUAUCACAGAGUUAUUCGAGAAAACAUUUGUCUGCUAAGGAUAAUUGAUCCUUCUGUUUCUAAUAAAUUAUUAUAAAAUAAUUGUAAUUGUAAUAAUUCUAAAUUUCAUUGGAUAAUUCUAUAUUUUUGCAUAGUAAUAUGUUUUUGUUCCAUAAUCUUUAUAUUAAAACUCAAAUGAUUUUAGCAAUUUGGAUUAAAUUUAAAUGUAACAUGCUAAUUUAAACUGAUUGUUGUGACACCCACUGUGAAAAAUAAAUCUUAAAAAUUCAAUCGGAUUAAAUUUAAACAUAUCUUUGCAGAUUAAAUAUUCUAAAAUUUUCUUCAAUUUUAUAAAAACAGAUACGUCAGUUUUGGAAAUUAGUGAGGAAAGUUCGAAUUGACGCCAUCGAAGAUCGCCAUCUAGCUAGAAAUUCGGUCUCGAUCCCAUCAAAUUCCAAAUUCUUGCGCGCUGGUCUGGCCAGACGGGCCCGCACAGUCGCCACUAGUCCAAAUCUAAAAUAUAAAUAAAAAAGGUUCAAAACCUUCUACUGGCUUUUAAAUUAAGCAUGGUGCUUAGGUUAAACAGCCUUUCUUAAUCUGAUUAGACAUGGAGUCUAGAUCGGUUAUUGAACUAAAAACUGCUUGUGUAGACAUUGGUAUAUUUUGUCGGACUAACCCCUGCAGAAAAACUUUCAAUAUCGAUCUGGGAAGUCCUGAGAUAAACUCACAUUGGAGAUGAAGAGAGAGACACAUGAAGUUUAACAAUUUGCGCAAGAGGGACAUAGCUCAUUCAUCAUAGAGAGAUGAUCCAUGGAAAGAGACAAAGUACAUAAACAAGAUACACAGCCACUACGAAUGGGAAGCUUCCACAAGGUGAGAUGGUACCAUCACUCUUCAAUUAAGGUAACAUCUUAAGAUAUGUGACUAUUACUUUUAUGAGCUCCUCCUUGGUUCUGACGUUCACAUAAAUAAAGAGACAAACAUGUAUGAUUUAUAACUCUAGAUUAACCAACCCAAUCGAUUCAACAUGUUUAGUCCUUCCACCUUUGUGAUCCCACAAUCCUAAUCAUAUGAGCUAAAAUGUUGCACACUCAAUCUUUGGAAGAUAUAUAAAAACAUAAAUAUAGAUAGAUUAUCUUUCCAUUAGGUAGAGCGAUCUGAUUUGACAAAUGUUUUAAAUGCUACACUCAUGAUCUUAUUAUCCAUCAACUUUGUCUUGCUCACUAUACUUAAGGUUAGCGAAGAACAAAUACACUUUUGGUUCUGUUGGUGUUUUCCACCAACAGGGCCCAUGCACUUGAUCUCUGCCCUGUCUCUAUGAGCAGUUACACUUCGAGCAAAACAUGAAGGAGUUUGACAACUUCCAGACUCUACCAAGUGAAGGACCUGGAUCUACGAGCAUAAACACACUAAGCAAGAUACUGCCGACGGCGCAUUUCGUGUCACAGAACCGACCAAAUUAUAAGAGUUCAAGUGUAGAAACGAUCGACAAGCAAUCAAGUUUCCAAAGUUGAGCCCAUAUAAUCCCGGUAGUCAACUGAAAUCACGAAGGAUUUCAAACCAACUCGCAACAAACCAAGAUCGUAAUAGUUCAACAUAAAUACAACGAAUGUUACAUAGUCAUUCAUUGCCGUCGAAGCGGCACCACAUCGGAGUCAUUAAGUUAUUACAACACAUGUUCGAAGUAGCGGAAGCAAAAUAAUUACACACACUUGUUCAAAGUUCAGUUCACAAGUUUUUGUUAUUGCCAGAGUCUACACCAUCCUUCCCAAAGCCACAGGUACGAGUUUGUUAGAGAAACAUGCCCAACGGUUAGUCCUCAUCCCCAGCGGGAUGGAGAUAGGUCUUGCAGAAGCCGUCAUAAAAGAUGUCAUCUGCAACAGGUGGGAAUAAACCCUGAGUACGAGAAUGUACUCAGCUAGACUUACCCGUCUAGUAAAACAUAAAAGACACCAAGGAUCAUGCAAGGCCAAUAUCAAUUAGGGCUAGUUGACUCAACAUUUGCCAAAAGCUUGCAUUAAAACUAACUUAUUGUGAAAGCAUCAUUUUUAUUCAUUAUCAGCCUUCCACUAGAUUUGCACCUGUACUAAACCACUUCACUUGAUUAUUACAAGCAAUAAUAACCAUAUCAAGUUCAUCAUAUGUUCUUCGUUGCUAUCAUCAUUAUCAUGAACCAAGUUCAUUAGUGAAUGCUACGUUUGCCGCUGCUUUGUCAAGUUCUCACUGACCGGGAGAGACGGUGAUUCGAAUCGAAUUCCUAUCCAGCUAGAGGGGUAUUCCUAGCACUCACCAAGCAUCCCCCAACGGGUCACCUUUGGUACGACUCAGGAAUCGCGGCUCCGAUCAGCGCCGCACUCCCAGGGCUACCACUCUGCCAGGGAGGUCAGGAAUUUUAACUCACCUGCCUCUGGGCUUACGCUAAUGGUCCCCCGCACACCGCACUUCCUCCGGUAGUGCGCACUUUAUACUUGCCGGUCUUCCGGCCUUAGUCAUACUACUCGGCUUCGCGGUCAGAACGAGUUAUCCGGCCAACUAAGUGUCAGGCAUGCGUUCAACAUGACAAGAGGACGUACAACGGUCGGUCCUUAGCUGCCACAGACGGAGUUACUACAACCUUGCAAAACUCCGCCCGGCUUAAGUCAAUUUAAUCAGGUUCCAUCCACGAUAGCACAUAUAGACCAUCGUGAUCCGACACAACCCUAUAUCGCGCAGGUGACAGGAAAUCACCCGACUUCUACCGAUUAAGCAUGGCUAAGCUGCUACUCGAUCCUAACUCUACAACUAGGGUAGGGUAAGUUAUCUGGACAAGGAUGGAGUAAAGUGCAGCAAAGGUUUCAUCACCACUCCUAUACUUAAUGCAUCAAUAGAUAUAGCAUAUUAAAUAAACUUUCAAAAGUAAAGGGAGGCUUAGAAUGCUCCGGGGCUUGCUUUUCAUGAACGAGGCUGGCUCGUGGUUCCGGUACUCAACUUCUUCUUCGGGCUCCUCGAGUCCGACUUGCUGGACCUCCACCUCCUGGCUGCCCUCCUGGCCUUCGGGGUUCGCUUGGAGCUCGAAGGAAGCGGUCACGUCCGAUGCACCUAUUGUAUGCUCAACUAAUAAGAAGACGUGCAUAAAAGAGGAUGAAUGCUGGAUACAUAAAUAAACUCACUAGACACUCAUUUACGGAGUAACUUCUAUGUGAACUUACAAGAAAUCCACAUGAAUUGAUCAAACUGGACAAGUCAACUUAUAAACAGCAAGCACCCAAAACAGGACAGCUCAGUAAUCAGACCAAAACUAGUACUAGACAGAUCCAACAAACAUGAGUGAGGACAUUAUGGAAAGCUUAUAAAAUUGCCUACAAUUCAUCUUUAAACUUCACAGCAAGAUUCAUAAGUUAAACCAGCCUUAAAAACAAAGUUCCAGGUUCUGUCCCAGAAAACAGAGAGCACCUAUUUCUGGAACCCAACUUGGAACAGCCAUAACUUUUAAACUGCUUGGCCAAUUGAUCCCAAAUUUAAACCACAGCUAAUUCAUAAAGUUUACUACAACUUUGAUUUAUACAAGUUUCCAGAAAACUCAGUUAUCAUUAAGCAAAAGGUAAAUUACUUCCUUGCUGUCCAGAACAGCUUUUAGCCCACCAAUUAAUUAUUUAAUGACAGAACCAAAACAUAAACAAUGCCAACCACAUGGCUUAUGAGCACAAGCACACCACAAGAUAACCAGAACAUCAUAUGAUGACCUCCAAAUAUUUAUUAACAAGGCAUUUAUUAAUUUAAUUCUAGAAAAGAGCAUAAUUACAAGAUACUGGUAAAAUUGCUCACAAAAAUCUACAAAAAUUACAGCAGUACAAGUAUAGCACCAAAGCAUUACCAUAAAAUUUUCAGAGCAAAUGCACAGACCAAAUUAAAGAUAUGCAUUUAACAUGUGACAAGGUGUUUAUUUCAUAAAUUCAGAAACAUGGCUUACAAAGUGUCAAACAGCAGAUUUCAGAUUCUUUACAGGUUAUCAAUACCAUAAACAAGUUUGUCCCAAAAGUAGAGCACCAAUUAUUUUAUAUGAUUUAAUUAAGGAAACAAGCCAAAUUUCAAACAUAAAUUACAUAUCAAAGCUGCAUUAAUCCAAAAAUCAUGACAUAUUUAUCAUAGCCUUCUAACACGACACAGACACUACCAUAAAAAGUUCAAAGCAAGAUAAGCAGUAUAACAAGAGAUAUGAAUUUAUUCAUGAAUAACAAGAUUAAAUCCUAAUAAUUAUUUUUCCCAGAAAACAUGUUUCAUUUUAUAUUUUUAUUAAAAACUAGCCAUCUCAAGGAAUACCACAAAAUUGGUUUCACAAUUUUUGGAUCUCAGAAACAGGAGAUAUGAUUUUUGUAAGAAAGCCAAAAAUCAGGAUUUGAAUAAAAGAAAAGGAGGGAAGUGAGGUGACACUCACAGUGGACCCCGCAUGUCAGGGUCAUCUUCCUCACCGCCGAGGCGACUCUCGCCGGCGAUUUCUCCGCGACGGCGAGGUCUCCGGCCAAACCAAGGGCACCAUUGUGAUCCCCAGACUCUAGCGACUCGAUUGAUCCUCUUUUUCCCACGGCGGAGCCACCGGAAAUGGCUCGCCGUCGAUCAUGGCGGCUCGGCGGAGGUGCUCGGCGUUACGCCGGAGCCCUCAAGCCGAUAGAGCGUGACCUAGGGUUUCCUACAGCACCAGUGGACUACGGCGAAGCUUCCUAGGUACGCGGCUUGGCUUGAAACAUCGUGGAACGCACUGGCCACGAGAGACCCAAUCUCCGGUGGAAACACGGCGGCGCUGCGCAUCGUGUCCGGCGACGGUGGGUUCGGUAGAGCGUCCACCAAGAGGUGCAACCGCUAGCUAAGAACCUAAGCUAUCUCUAGAACCUAACCAAAGGAGAUGGGAGGCUCCGAGGAGCUCAGCAUUGAGCUCGCCGGAAAAGAUGGUCACGGCGACCCGAUUUGGGGGAAGAAGGAAAUGGCGGCUCACCGGUGGGUUUCGCGGCGAGCUAGAGGGUGGAGAGUGGAGAGCGGCUCACGGCGGAGCUAUGGGCGGAGUUUGGUGUACUGCGACGCAGCGAGGAGCGCACACGAGCUCGCCGGAGUGAGCUCGCGACGGUGAGCUCGCUGCGGGCGCUCUUCUGGCGAGAGAGGCGAGGCAGAGAGGAAAUGGACGCGUCCACUCCGCUCGGGGCGUCUCUGUGGAUGACAUGCGCGCGCUGGGAGCUGAUGAGCGGGGCUAGGAGCGGCGUAUGGGCGCCAAAUGUUGACGGAGUUCUGUCGCCGGUCGGCCACGUCGCCGAGCUCGGCUCCGAUUCAGAGCAAACGCUGAUGGUCUGACAGAGCGACUUCGACGGUGAUUAUCUCCCAAACCAGAGCGAAUUAGGAGAUGAUGCAGUUGACAAAGUUGGAGUCUCCAAUCGAGUUCUACAACAUUGUCAACUAGAGCAAAAGCCAGAUCGGCCUGGAUUGAGAUAUAUAGAGUUUUCAAAACCGAUCGAGCAAACUGUUUUCAUUCCAGGACUUAGAAAAUUUCCUAAGUGUUGGAAACAGCCCCAAAUUUGCCUUGUGGGUCAAAUUUGAGCUAGAUGUGCUCAUUUUCAUGAGAUGGCCAUAAAACAACUUUUGUUCCUUAUAAAAUUUUCUACAACUUUGCUGUAGAAAGUUUUGACAUGCAAAUAUUUUAUGAAACACUUUUUAAAAGCCUAAGCAAAAGAGGUUUCUAGGGCCUAUUUGUAUAAGUAUGACUUAAGUGAUUAUUUUGGAGAAGUGAUCAACAUGAACAUUGUUCCCAAGGUUAAGUUAAGCAUAGAUAAACUAAUUACCAAGGCAUAAAGCACAAACACAAGCAUGGUUCACUCAAGCAUAGGCAAGGGAAGACUACUUAAACAAUUUAAAUCACAUAUUUGCAUGGAAUUACAUGGCUCAAGAUAGAUGAUGAUCAUGAUAUGCUUUGAGUAGAUGAUGAUGCUCAUGCUAUGCACAUGAUUAACGCAACCAUAACACUGGGGUGUUAGAACCCUCCCCCCUUACAAAAAUCUCGUCCCGACAUUUGAAAGCUUACUGAUUUUCGAAGAAUGUUUUGUAAACUUCUUUUAAAUAAUCCUCCGUCUCCCAAGUGGCAUCUUCUUCCCUGUGGUUACUCCACAACACUUUGUAGAACUUAACCACACGAUUACGAGUCACCCGUUCCUUGCGGUCAAGAACUGCUACAGGUUUUUCUUCAUAUACCAAGUCUGACUUCAACUUGAUAUCCCGAACUUCCACUCUUUUCUCCGGAACCCGAAGGCACUUCUUUAAUUGUGAUACGUGGAAGACAGGGAAAAUAGCUCGAAGCGCAACUGGAAGUUGAACUUUGUAUGCUACGUUUCCUUUCCUUUCGACAAUCCGAUAAGGUCCCACAUAACGAGGUGCAAGCUUUCGCUUGACUCCGAACCUUUGUACACCCUUCAUCGGAGACACCUUGAUAUACACAUGGUCACCAACUGAAAACUCAAUCGGCUUCCUCCUUUUGUCGGCAUAACUUUUCUGUCGAGCUUGAGCAGCUUCCAGAUGUUGCUGGAUGGUACGGACUUGCUGCUCUGCUUCGUUCACGAAAUUGAUGACAUAAUACCUUCGCUCUCUGGCUUCUACCCAAUUUAAUGGGGUUCGACACCUUCGACCAUACAGGGCUUCAAAUGGAGCCAUCUUGAUACUCUCCUGAUAACUGUUGUUAUAAGAGAACUCAGCUAAUGGCAACCACUUAACCCAAGAACCUUUUGAAGAGAGAGCACACGCCCUUAACAUAUCUUCUAGGAUCUGGUUAACACGUUCAGUUUGACCUGCUGUUUGGGGAUGAUAAGCAGAGCUACGGACUAAAUGAGUACCAAUCUACUCAUGCAGACAUUCCCAAAAACGAGCAGUGAACUGUGGUCCACGAUCUGAUACAAUAGUUCGAGGCACGCCAUACUGACGAACAAUGUGCUCGAAAUACAACUCUGCAUAUUGAUGUGGACGAUAGUCAGUUUGAACUGGAAUAAAUCGAGCAACCUUGGUCAAACGAUCUAUAAUCACCCAGAUGGAGUCGUAACCCUUAACAGAAGUUGGGAGUCCAAUGAUGAAAUCCAUGCUGACUUUUUCCCAUUUCCAAUCAGGAAUUGACAAGGGUUGAAGCAAACCAGCUUUCAUGUGAACAGCCUUCACACGACAACAAUUGUCACAACGAGCGACAAAAGCAGUGAUCUCCUUUUUCAUCUUUGUCCACCAAAACAAAGGUUUCAGAUACUGAUACAUCUUGCUACUACCAGGAUGGAUAGACAAUUUGGAUGAAUGAGCUUCAGAUAAGAUCUGAUUUCGUAGCCCACGGUCUUUUGGGACCACUAGUUGAUCCUUGAACCAAAGAAUUCCGUUCUCAUCGACCCUGAAAUGCUUUGUCUCUUCUUCCUUCAUUUUUCUCUUUAUAUGGUGGAUGCCUACAUUUGUUUGCUACAAUUCGAUGACUCGAUUGCGAAGGGUACUCUCUAGAGAAAUCUGGUUGAGCACAAGUGGAUGCAUAAGAUGUGACAACAACAGAUCUUCCACUUGGAUAGAGUGGCAGUGCGCUUUCCGACUCAAAGCAUCCGCAACCACGUUUGCCUUGCCCGGAUGAUAGUGCACUUGUAGAUUAUAAUCUUUAAUCAACUCAAGCCACCUUCGCUGCCGCAUGUUCAGUUCAGGUUGAGUGAAGAUAUACUUGAGGCUCUUAUGAUCGGUGUAGAUAUUACACAGAUUACCCAGCAAAUAAUGCCUCAAGAUUUUCAAAGCAUGAACAACUGCCACCAAUUCUAAGUCAUGAGUAGGGUAAUUGACCUCAUGCUUUCGGAGUUGGCACGAGGCAUACGCGAUAACGCGACCUUCCUGCAUUAACACACAGCCUAAACCAAUACCUGACGCGUCGCAGAAGACAUCGAAGGGUUUCUCGAUAUCAGGCUGAGCUAGAACAGGAGCUGACGUCAGCAAUGUCCUCAACUUGUGGAAUGCCUCUUCACACUCAGGCGUCCACACAAACUUCUCCUUUCUGAAGUAGACGGGUCAUAGGCUUGGAUAUUUUUGAAAAUUCUGGAAUGAAUCGACGGUAAUACCCAGCCAAACCGAGAAAACUCUGAACCUCGUGUACCGAAGUUGGAACUUUCCAAUCCAGCACUUCUUGCACCUUAGCCGGAUCCACCGAUAUGCCUUCUUCAGAUAAGACAUGGCCCAAGAAAGGUACUUUCUUUAGCCAAAACUCGCAUUUGCUGAAUUUCGCAUAAAGCUGAUGCUCACGCAGACGCGACAACACCACACGCAGAUGCUCUGCAUGCUCCUCUUCAUUGCAAGAAAAUACUAGGAUAUCGUCAACGAAGACCACCACAAACUUGUCCAAUUCGGGCAUGAAUACCGAAUUCAUGAGAUACAUGAAGUGAGCAGGUGCAUGUCACACCCUGGCUUUUAAAAUAAGACCAGAGUCGUCAUAUGUGUGCCCAGGAAGUCCACACAUACAACAAAGAAUAGAAAUAUCAAAAACAAUGUUAUAUAUAGCGGAAAACAUAUUUAUAUUAACACUUACAAACAUCAGAGUACGCGGAAACAGUAGCUAAACUUCUUAUGCUCCAAUCUUCUCAGGGACGGUUGACUGGGGGCUCCGUACGCCCAGCACUUCUCAUAAGCAUCUAGAAAACUCCAUAGCAUCUUUAUCCUUCUUCUGAGCAGCACUUUACUACACACUGGAGUGUGGGGGGAAAUAGCAAGGGUGAGUUCAUGUCGAACUCAACAAGUACAGGCGGAAAGUAUAAUGACAUGCAAGGCUUAAUCAAAGGAAAAACUGACACUGUUUGACUGCAGGUGAGCUUUUAAGUUGGUACACUUUUAUUACAAUUCUUUUAUUAAAACAACCUAUUCUAAAUAUGAGUGAAGCAUCCCAACCCUUAUUCAGAUGAAGGUUAAUUAACAAUAUUAUUAGUCAUCUUUAUAAUAAUUAUUAUUAUUAAGAUCACCGAGGUAGCAACCUCAGAUAAUAACUCAGGGUAGCAACCCCAUUAAGGUCAUGGGAUAGCUAUCCCAGUAAAGAACACAUGAUAGCAAUCCUGCCAACACGGAAUAGCCAUUCCGCCAAAGCAUGAGGUAGCAACCUCAACCAAGUUUCGCCUCCAAGUAUCCAGUGAAUCCAAUUUGCUCAUCAAGUGAGGGUCUGGGCCGCUCGUGACCGUGAGCACGGCUGAUAUAUCAGUUUUACACUCUGCAGAGGUGUGCACUUUCACUCCAGGUCGUGAUUCCCAUUCGCCCGGGGUCGUGACUCCCCAAAACACUACCGAGGUGAGCAGGCAGGGUUUCACUACGAGACCUUUCACAGGGUCCAACUAAUAGGAUGCCACUCGCAAGUUUUUGCCGGGGCGCUCGACAGUCGAUACCCAUAGCCAUGGCGUACCGAGCAGCCGCUAACUUAAUAUUCAUUACCCAAGCUACUUCCUCACGCCUACCCGGAAAGUAACACCCUACCAGCGGAGGUCCUGAUAAUUAGUCAAGCCAGAGCUAUAUAGCUUGGAGCUGCACUGUAUGUCCCAGGGGGCCGCUCCCUGACUAAGUCCUUACGGAGAGCAGAGACGGGUACGCCCGGCAAACCGGACCACCAACAGUACCCGCUCCCCUUUUCUCAACCAAACCAUGAUGCUCGCAAGCACCGCAACAUCUCCAUCACCGAAGUGACCAUUGUUCAUCAUUUAAACAUUAUUCAUCAUUGAAGAAUUCAUUGAUCAAGAUUAUUACUUUUAUUAUUAUAUAGAUUAGAUGAGUAGAGCAGCUAAGCAUAACUACUGUUCACUACUCUACCCAUGUAUAAACCCAGGAGUAUAAGGAAUAUAGUAGAGGGCUAGUCAUGUCCUUAGGGUUUGCAGUAUUAAGACACAUGCAGUGGAAAGUAAAUGUAUUUAAAGUUCAUAGGUACAAUAUGAUCAAAGGGUGUCUGCACUUGCCUUUAUUCCUAGUGUAUAUUGUUGACACUAGCUAACACCACUUAGAUACUAGGUUGUCAUCCCUAGCAUGGCGCCAGAGUGUACAAAGGUAUUUAUAAAUGUAAAGGCUCUUUAGAAAAUAAUCCAUUCUAUCCGCAAGCGCACAGAUAAAACACCUCAUUGUAGCAUUUCAUCAGGAUAAGUAUUCCAGGUAUCGUUAUUUAUAAUUUUGCUCUAGGGAUCUAAGGAGAUGGAAUUAAAUCAAGGGACAAAAUCUAUCAAGGCAUAGACUAGAGAUAAACUUGCAAGAACAUGAUUACUAUUAAGAAACUCGUCACACAGUCACAUACUUUAGCAGGGGGUAAACCAUAAAGAUAAUGAUAAUAAAGUAUAAGUUCAUGGGAUAAAGAGCACAGCGAUUAGAAAAUAGACUACUCCUCAUAUAUGUAGGUGAUGUCGGAUUAGCUAGAGAAUGGAUUCUAAGUUAUCUACUAACUACUAAGUCAUAAUCUACUCUAGUUAUCUACAAGAUCAUAUAUAGCAUAAAAGACUCUUCAUUCAUGUAUAAGGAACAUUGAUAAAGUAAAUCAGAACAUCGCAUGACUUACUCCACAAUACCGGUUCUGCCUGUCCUAUCAACGGAGGGUGGACUAUAUAAGAAUCAACGAAGCUGUCACUAUCGCGAACUACCACACGACUCGGCCAAUAGGAUACAUUUGCAGAUAAAUAACAUCUAAGCACCACGCUCACAUGUGAUCUAUCACCUAACUCCCUCGCGACAAGAGCUAAGCGCUUUGCAAACUUAUACAUAAACUCAUUAUCAAUUAGAACUAUAUCAAAUAUAGAACUAGAGCAAACUAAGAGCAUGAUAAUUAGAGAUAUAAUGCAAUUAAAACAAUAGAAUUAGAGAAAGAUAUGAACAAUACCAAUCUUUAUUACCGAAGAUCUGAAUCCAGAGCGUAGUGCUCUACUUCUCUAAUUGCUAUCUAAUCAAACCUCUAAACUUGAAGGAUUAGGGAGUAGCUAAUUCUAAUUCUCUGUGGGAGAGAAGCUCUAAACCCUAACUUUGAUGGCUACCUCUGAAUAAUGAUUUCUCCUCCUCUCCUCCAGGGGCCAGGGGGUCUGGUUUUAUAGUCCCCUCAAGUGAACGUGAGCCAGUGGAUCAAACCGACAUAGAUUGUAUGGUUUAGAUUGAUCCUUUAGGUCGGUGGAGGAUUGUCCCGAAGCAGAGUCCUGAUUGGACUCUCCACCUGGGCGGGCGCCCAAGGGGGGUGGGCGGCCGCCCAGCCCCCGAGCCCGAAUCCCCUCUCGUUCGUUCCCGUGGCUUCUGGAUCCUUCUAGAUUAAGGAAAAUUGCGCGGCACGUAAUUAUCUCGUUGUAAACAUGACAUGUGGGCCUUCUCUCCCUAUUUUCUGAUAAACCUCUGUAGAAAUAGAUAAACACCAAAGCUCGUGGAAUUCUGUCAGAUAAAACCUUAAUUCUAGAUGUUUGUUUCAUAUUGAUCCUUUUUCAUGUUUAUUUGAUUAUUAAUUUUAGUACUUAAGGACCGUCAACAAACUCCCCCAAGCUUACCCUUUGCUCGUCCCUGAGCAAAUAGCUAAAGUCAGACGGAUCAGGAGUUGCUUCGAUGUUUUCUUUCCUGACAGGCACACAUGCUUUUACAUAAAAAUUCUUCCAGAUUAAAGUGAAGUGUUAUGAAGUUUAGUACCUGCACUUAAAUCUUAAGUAAUCGAAAGACAAAAUAGUUAAGUCAAGCACUAUCCCUCCUGUUUAUACUUCACCUUUGUUCCAGAGUUUUUCAUAAGUUUUCAAAAUAAAAUUCAGAGUUCCCAGCAAUGAUUCUCUCAAGUCUCUCUAUAUGUGGUAUUUGUGGAUCCUUACCAUAAUGUCACUUACCUAUAGCUAAUGGAAAAAUUAAGUGGAGCUCAUAGGAGUGCAAACAGCUCAUACAUAUGUUGUCUAAUCGAGCCAUGGAUCCAAAGGAACUCAGCAUAUAAUUAAAUCAAGAUGUGCAUGUGUGAUGGAGUAAAUGAUAGUGAUGGUGAAAAUGCAUAAGUGAUAAUAAAAUUUACUUCUCAUUGCUCCUCAUAUUGCUAUCUCUCCUCCUCUUUGAUCUUUGCUUUGGGAGAACAUGGGCUAUUUUUCUCCUCUCUUGUUUUUUUUUCAGGUGGGUAGUGGAUACCCCUAAUUCUACUGUCGGACACUUGUCCAUUUUUUCCGCUCAAAUGGGCAUCUUUGUACCCCUAAUUCUACUUCGGACACUUGUCCAUUUUUACCUCUCGUCUCACUCUUUUUCUUUUAUCGAGGUUCCGGGCACUUGCCCCUUUUUAUUUCCUCGUAUAUAUUUUUUUGCAUAACCCAUGCCUCUUCUGCAUUGAAUCUUUUUAGAGAGAGAGAAUAACAAUAUUCGGGACAGUGAGUGAUAAUAUUUUUAGCAAUUUUAAUGAUUGAUAAUGAAUGCUGUGGUAGAUGCGUGCAAGUGAAUAUCUUAAUUUAACCACAUGAAAAGCUCCUAAGGGUCAACACAGCUCGAUCAAACUCAAUGUGAAUAUAGUAAAAGAUGUUAUAGCAAGUAUGGCUGUGGUAGGUAGUUUGUUAUGCUAGGAACUCAUCAUGUGAUUUGUAAGUUUUCAAAAAUAAAUCUCCAGAACUUAGUGUAGUAGGAACGAGAUAAACAGUAGCUCAACUUUAUAUCAUGCCUUUCUCUUACCUAGACUUUAGUUUAUGCUUUCCCAAAGAUAGUAAUUUUAGUUUUAGUAAUUCCUGGAAGAAUUCUAAUAUAAAAGCUAGGUACUUGUAAGUAAGCAAACAGAGCAACUGUUCAUCAUUUCCAUCAUGCAUAUUUUUGGUCUUUUUAUUUUUCUAGAGAUUAAACUUAGCAGGAAGAUAAAACACACUUAUCUACACACUCUUUUUAUUUUGUUUUUAUGUUUAUAAAGUGCAGUGAAUUAAAGCAAGAAAAUAUUUAUUUGGUUUUCUAAGUUUUUCUUUUUUAAGAUGAAUUAAAAUACUAAAAUAGAAAAGAAUAAAUAAGAAGAGCAAAUAAAAACUUACUUGAUAAAUUGAGGAGGAACUCCCCCAAGCUGGAUGUUGAUGUCAGUCUUACCCGAUGUUCCAGAACCGCAUCAUGGUUGUAAUGUUGUCGUUCAUUGUUGUUGUACCUUGUCUUAGCUCUUCUACUGCAGCGGCAUGGUCCUGGUUCCAUUUUUGUUGCUCUUCCAGGAGUCUUCCAUGUUCUGCUUGCGUGUUCUGGAUGUUGAGGAGGGUGUUGUCGGUACGAGUGAAGAAAGCACCGGCGUCUUGAUAGUAGUCGUUUGUGAAAGCGUAGGAGGCAUCGGAGUAUCGUCCUACAUCAAAUUGGGGUGGAGGUCUGGAUCCUGAAGCUCCAUAUGGAUCAGUGGAGUACCUGCCCGUAUGAAAAGGCGGGUUUGUCCACUGGUGAUCUUGGCUCUCCGGCCAUGUCUCCUCUGUUGGCUCUUGUGGUUGCGCAUGACGAGCCCAUGGGUCUCGAAGGACUCGUGGAUUGUAAUCGCAAUAAUGCAGGUGCGUUGCUUCUUCUGGUCCAGGGUCAGCUCCAUACCAAGUGCGUUCUCGGUGAGUGGUUAUUCUUUCAGAUGCCACUCGCUGUGGAGUUCUCUGGUUCACUGGUGUUGCUGCAAUCUCAAUCAAAAAGUUUUGCACAGAGUAGAGGCCAAGGUUCGGGUUAGGUAACCGAAUCUUGCCUUUAUCAUCAUAUAGCAUAUACAUUAUAUUCCCCUCUUUCUUUAACAUCCGAGCUUGUCUAAAUGUGUCAUAGCCAUGGUAAAUUCUUAAUUCUUCUAUGAAGUCCAAUGAUGAGUUUUCUAGUAAGUGAAGAUUAGUGGCUAGACGAGUGAUAAGUGAAGUACAUCCUACUGGUCCCUGAAGACUAGGUAUACUAAGCCAAUGUGAAACUAAUAAUGUAACAGGUGAAGUGGGUACUUUACUAAUAGCAGCAUAUAAAAGUUGUAAAUUUCCUACUCUUACUUUCCUAAUAUCAUCACGAUAGAAAAGAUUGUACCCAAGCCAUUUGUGAAACAUCCUAAGAGUGGGGUGUUCCAUGUCACUGGUUCGGGCUUGACUGUAAAAAUUAUCUCUAGAUAUUUCUCUCCAAAACUGGUGUCUCUCAAAGUUGGGUAAAUCGGAGUCAAUGUUCAGGAUGCAUCUUGAAGAGAAACCAAGAUGGUCGCUUAGCUCUCUCCAGGAUAACAUAAUUUCCUGUUUGAACAUCCGAAAAACAAUUCCCCCCUCAUAGUAUUGUAAAGUACAAAGAAAUUCGAGGGUGAGAAGACGAGAACCCAGCUCAGUUAUAUUCCAAAAAUUUGUCCAACCCAUCAUUUGAAAAAUUAAGUCAAAUUCAGUGUCCAUACCUGUUUCUCGUAGUAGGAUUGGAUCGAUAGUAGGGGUGUGAAUGAAAUCUUUGUUCUUCAGUUGCUGAUAGACUUCCUUCUCUCUUCGGGUCUUCAGUCCUAGGUCUCCUAUCUUGAGAAGGACCUUAACUUGAUGACCUGAUGAAGAUGACGGAGCUUGUGUGGGUGUCGGAUCGACACUCAUCUCUGAUGGCUGUGAGGAGUGUCGGGCGGAACACCUUGUACCAAUGUUGUUGAGAGCCUUCCCUGCAUUCUUCACCUUCUUAAACAUCCUGCAAACAAAAGUUGGCAAAAACACAACUAGUGGAAAAUGUGAGAUAAAAUGUUAGUGGUCAGCUGUCCGGAGUGUCAGUAGUCCAGGGAUUAAUUGUUCAAGAUAAGUUUCUAUUUUGGUAGAGCCUCCCCCUAAACAACUUUUACUUCCGCUUAGACAAUGGGAUCACUACUUGCUAGGUGAUAAACACUCUCUCAAAAGAACUCCAACUUUCUCGUCCACUCUCCUCUUUCUCUCUACUCUCUUCUCUUCACUACAAAAGCUCCUUCUCGGGAAACUGAGUUUUGUGUGGUUUUCUGAAGUGUUUGUGUGAAGAGAAGGAAAGCUGGAGGUGGCCUUUUAUAGGCUGAGCAGGGGAUAGGGCGGGCGCCCAAGGUAGGUGGGCGGGCGCCCACCCCUGGUGUCCAUCCUGGGUGUGCUUCCUCCACUUGCUUCCUUGCUUUGAUCUCACGCAGAAUAAUAUUGUGUUGGUAGUGGUUGGACGGUGGAAAGAUGUCAAGUGAGUGGAAAUAUAUUGGUGGAUGAAAUUAUGUGAUGGGAUGUAUGUGAGGUGAAGUGUAUGACAUGUGGGACCCAAAGAGUGUGGGUCAUGCUUCUAGAAGAUCAAUAUAAUGCAGGAAAAUCUAUGAGAAUUGAAACUUAAUGAAAAUGAUAAUGGAAAAUAUUUUUGUGCCUCCAUAAUAAUAAAUAUGGGUUGUUACACACCACAAAUAUUAUUUAUAUGGGGCUUUUUGAUUAUUAUAAUAAUGCUAUGACUAAUGCAAGAAUUAAUUAUGCAAGAAUGAGAAAAUUGAUAAUGCGGAUAAAUACCGAUUUACCUCCCGGUGAGGGUUUGGGAUUUUUAGGUCCCCCAAGCUGGACCUCCAAAUCUUUUAAUUUUCUGAGUUUCCUUCCUCCGGAGAUGGUGUCUCCAGUGAUUCUUCAUGAACUUCCUUCACUGUAGAGUCUCUCUCUGGUCUGGGUUUGAAUGUGAAGUGUUCUUCUUGACCGUUUAUGUUGAACUUGAUUUCUCCCUUCCCGACAUCAAUGUGGGCAUUGGCAGUGCUCAGAAAUGGCCUUCCAAGGAUGAUGGACACUUUCGAGUCAGGACUCAUGUCCAGUACUACGAAGUCUACUGGCACCAGGAAAUCUCUGAUCUUGACUGGAAUGUUCUCGGCGAUGCCCAACGGGUGUCGAACCGAUUGAUCCGCUAGUUGUAGGCAUAUUGAUGUUGGUUCUAAGGUUGCAUGAUCAAGCUUUUUGUAGACUGAUGCUGGCAUCACACUGACACUUGCUCCGAGAUCACAAAGUGCAUUGUUGAAGUGUUGGUUUCCGAUCGAGCAAUCAAUAGUGGGACAUCCGGGGUCUUCCUUCUUCUUUGGUGGUUUAUUGAGGAUGGCCGCACUACAUUCUUCUGUCAGCUUGAUAACCUCAGUGGUGGGCAGUGGUCUCUUCUUGUUAAGAAUAUCUCUGAUGUACUUUGCAUAUGUAGGUACCUGUAUGGCAUCGAGCAGAGGUAUGUUGACCUAUAAUUUCUGAAUGACCUCUACAAACUUACCAAACUGCUCAUCCGACUGCAGUGCUCUGUUUCUUCUGGGAAAUGGCAAAUAGUUGGUGUGGUAAAAAUCUUUCCUCAUUUCUCCAGUUUUUGGUGGUUGGAGCAGAUCUUCUGCUCCAACUGGGCUUUCUUCUUCUAUCACUGCUGGUUGCACUGGUGCUGAUGAUCUUUGUUUCUCUUUUGGGUAUGGUGGAUCUCUGGUAGCUUUGCCUCCUCUAGUAGUUAUAUUCUUUACCUGCUCAAUGUUAGUAGCAACAGGCAGUGCAGCAGCUAACUUUAUUAAUUUAAGCUCUACCCUUUUAUUAAGAGUGUUUUGCUCAUCAAAGGCGGUUAGUAGAAAAUCCAUUUUAUUGUAUAUAUCUUUUAGAGAUGAUUCAUUUGUAUCUAGCCUUUGUUUAACUUCAUCAUUAAUUUUGGUUUGUUGAGCAAUUAUCUCUUUUAAUGAAAGUUGCUUGAAAGUAUUACCUGAAUUCAUACCUUUGCUAUUGGGUUGACUCGAAGUUGGUUGAUAUUUGUAUGCUGUCUCAAUGGCCCUUUGAUCUUCUUUGAACUUGGCCCUCUGGUCAAUCCAAUGGAGCAAAUUUUCCAUCUUAGCUGAUAAUGCAUUUACUUCUUCUGUUAUUUCUUCAGUUCGAUGACAAUGUUGAGCUUUAUCUUGGAACCAAGUUUGGUUUUCUGCUAUCUUAUCCAAAAGUAUCUCUGCUUUUCCAGUUGUAAGCUCCAAGAAUGAUCCUUUAGCAGAUGCAUCUAGGCACUCACGAGCCUUCUGGGUUAAUCCAUGGUAGAAGGUCUGCAUAAGUAACCAUGUGGCCAUUCCAUGGUGAGGACAAUCUGAUAUGUAUCCUUGAAAACGCUCCCAUGCUUCUGAAAUGGCUUCUGUCUUCUGCUGUUGGAAACUGACAAUAUUUCCUCUUAAGGCAGUUGUUUUGCCUAUAGGGAAAAACUUUGAUAGAAAGGCAUCUGACAAGUUCGUCCAGUUGUUGAUGUUAUCUUGAUGAGUGUAGAACCACUUCCUCGCUUUUCCUUCUAAUGAGAAUGGAAAAAGGCGAAGUAGUAUGACGUCUUUGUCAACUCCGUUGAUGUGGAUUGUGCUUCCAAUCUCUAAGAAAUUCUGCAAGUGUGCACUAGCAUCCUCAUGUGCCUUUCCACUGAAUUGUGUAGCUUGUACCAAAUUGAUGAGGCUUGACUUGAGCUCGAACUCAGGUGCUCCUUCUUCUACUGCAAAUCUUGGACCAGUUGGAAUGUUCUCAAGGCUUGGAGCAGAGAAUUCUCGUAGGGUCUUCUGUGUCAUAGCUUCAGCAAUUGGUAGCUAGCUUCUUCUUUCUUUCUUGAUUGCUUUGGCUCUGAUGAUGAAGAGUUGAAUGUACCAAAGUCAAUCCUGAUAUACCCUAUAUAAAAAUAUAAACAUAGAAAAACAACAGGGUGAACCUGCCAAAGCAGAGGUGCCUUGUUAUGAUUUCUCACUUAGUAGCUGUUUUAUGCAAUUAUUUCUCUAUAGUCUAGUCUAAAAUUUUAUAUGAAUAACCUUGAUUGAUUUUCUGGCUUCCCUUAAUAUUACCCUUUUGUUCCCUUUUAUGACUUACUCCUGAGACUUAUAUAAUUCCUAUAAUUCCUAAUAUGUCCUAUAGAUCCUAUAAGUAUCCCCGGCAACGGCGCCAGAAAUGCUUGUUGACACUAGCUAACACCACUUAGAUACUAGGUUGUCAUCCCUAGCAUGGCGCCAGAGUGUACAAAGGUAUUUAUAAAUGUAAAGGCUCUCUAGAAAAUAAUCUAUUCUAUCCGCAAGCGCACAGAUAAAACACCUCAUUGUAGCAUUUCACCAGGAUAAGUAUUCCAGGUAUCGUUAUUUAUAAUUUUGCUUAGGGAUCUAAGGAAGAUGGAAUUUAAAAUAAAAGGGCAAAAUCUAUCAAGGCAUAGACUAGAGAUAAACUUGCAAGAACAUGAUUACUAAUAAGAAACUCGUCACACAGUCACUUACUUUAGCAGGGGGUAAACCAUAAAGAUAAUGAUAAUAAAGUAUAAGUUCAUGGGAUAAAGAGCACAGCGAUUAGAAAAUAGACUACUCCUCAUAUAUGUAGGUGAUGUCGGAUUAGCUAGAGAAUGGAUUCUAAGUCAUCUACUAACUACUAAGUCAUAAUCUACUCUAGUUAUCUACAAGAUCAUGUAUAGCAUAAAAGACUCUUCUUUCAUGUAUAAGGAACAUUGAUAAAGUAAAUCAGAACAUCGCAUGACUUACUCCACAAUACCGGUUCUGCCUGUCCUAUCAACGGAGGGUGGACUAUAUAAGAAUCAACGAAGCUGUCACUAUCGCGAACUACCACACGACUCGGCCAAUAGGAUACAUUUGCAGAUAAAUAACAUCUAAGCACCACGCUCACAUGUGAUCUAUCACCUAACUCCCUCGCGACAAGAGCUAAGCGCUUUGCAAACUUAUACAUAAACUCAUUAUCAAUUAGAACUAUAUCAAAUAUAGAACUAGAGCAAACUAAGAGCAAAAUAAUUAGAGACAUAAUGCAAUUAGAACAAUAGAAUUAGAGAAAGAUAUGAAUAAUACCAAUCUUUAUUACCAAAGAUCCAAAUCCAGAGCGUAGUGCUCUACUUCUCUAAUUGCUAUCUAAUCAAACCUCUAAACUUGAAGGAUUAGGGAGUAGCUAAUUCUAAUUCUCUGUGGGAGAGAAGCUCUAAACCCUAACUUUGAUGGCUACCUCUGAAUAAUGAUUUCUCCUCCUCUCCUCCAGGGGCCAGGGGGUCUGGUUUUAUAGUCCCCUCAAGUGAACGUGAGCCAUUGGAUCAAACCGACAUAGAUUGUAUGGUUUAGAUUGAUCCUUUAGGUCGGUGGAGGAUUGUCCCGAAGCAGAGUCCUGAUUGGACUCUCCACCUGGGCGGGCGCCCAAGGGGGGUGGGCGGCCGCCUAGCCCCCGAGCCCGAAUCCCCUCUCGUUCGUUCCCGUGGCUUCUGGAUCCUUCUAGAUCAAGGAAAAUUGCGCGGCACGUAAUUAUCUCGUUGUAAACAUGACAUGUGGGCCUUCUCUCCCUAUUUUCUGAUAAACCCCUGCAGAAAUAGAUAAACACCAAAGCUCGUGGAAUUCUGUCAGAUAAAACGUUAAUUCUAGAUGUUUGUUUCAUAUUGAUCCUUUUUCAUGUUUAUUUGAUUAUUAAAUUUGGUACUUAAGGACCGUCAACAUUCAUGUCGAACUCAACAAGUACAGGCGAAAAGUAUAAUGACAUGCAAGGCUUAAUCCAAGAAAAAACUGACACUGUUUGACUGCAGGUGAGCUUUUAAGUUGGUACACUUUUAUUACAAUUCUUUUAUUAAAACAAUCUAUUCUAAAUAUGAGUGAAGCAUCCCAACCCUUAUUUAGAUGAAGGUUAAUUAACAAUAUUAUUAGUCAUCUUUAUAAUAAUUAUUAUUAUUAAGAUCACCGAGGUAGCAACCUCGGAUAACUCAGGGUAGCAACCCCAUUAAGGUCAUGGGAUAGCUAUCCCAUUAAAGAAAACAGGAUAGCAAUCCUGCCAACACGGAAUAGCCAUUCCGCCAAAGCAUGAGGUAGCAACCUCAACCAAGUUUCGCCUCCAAGUAUCCAGUGAAUCCAAUUUGCUCAUCAUGUGAGGGUCUGGACCGCUCGUGACCGUGAGCACGGCUGAUAUAUCAGUUUUACACUCUGCAGAGGUGUGCACUUUCACUCCAAGUCGUGAUUCCCAUUCGCCCGGGGUCGCGACUCCCCAAAACACUACCGAGGUGAGCAGGCAGGCUUUCACUACGAGACCUUUCACAGGGUCCAACUAAUAGGAUGCCACUCGCAAGUUUUUGCCGGGGCGCUCGACAGUCGAUACCCAUAGCCAUGGCGUACCGAGCAGCCGCUAACUUAAUAUUCAUUACCCAAGCUACUUCCUCACGCCUACCCGGAAAGUAACACCCUACCAGUGGAGGUCCUGAUAAUUAGUCAAGCCAGAGCUAUAUAGCUUGGAGCUGCACUGUAUGUCCCAGGGGGCCGCUCCCUGACUAAGUCCUUACGGAGAGCAGAGACGGGUACGCCCGGCAAACCGGACCACCAACAGUACCCGCUCCCCCUUUUCUCAACCAAACCACGAUGCUCGCAAGCACCGCAACAUCUCCAUCACCGAAGUGACCAUUGUUCAUCAUUUAAACAUUAUUCAUCAUUGAAGAAUUCAUUGAUCAAGAUUAUUACUUUUAUUAUUAUAUAGAUUAGAUGAGUAGAGCAGCUAAGCAUAACUACUGUUCACUACUCUACCCAUGUAUAAACCCAGGAGUAUAAGGAAUAUAGUAGAGGGCUAGUCGUGUCCUUAGGGUUUGCAGUAUUAAGACACAUGCAGUGGAAAGUAAAUGUAUUUAAAGUUCAUAGGUACAAUAUGAUCAAAGGGUGUCUGCACUUGCCUUUAUUCCUAGUGUAUAUUGUUGACACUAGCUAACACCACUUAGAUACUAGGUUGUCAUCCCUAGCAUGGCGCCAGAGUCUACAAAGGUAUUUAUAAAUGUAAAGGCUCUCUAGAAAAUAAUCUAUUCUAUCCGCAAGCGCACAGAUAAAACACCUCAUUGUAGCAUUUCACCAGGAUAAGUAUUCCAGGUAUCGUUAUUUAUAAUUUUGCUUAGGGAUCUAAGGAAGAUGGAAUUUAAAAUAAAAGGGCAAAAUCUCUUAAGGCAUAGACUAGAGAUAAACUUGCAAGAACAUGAUUACUAAUAAGAAACUCGUCACACAGUCACUUACUUUAGCAGGGGGUAAACCAUAAAGAUAAUGAUAAUAAAGUAUAAGUUCAUGGGAUAAAGAGCACAACGAUUAGAAAAUAGACUACUCCUCAUAUAUGUAGGUGAUGUCGGAUUAGCUAGAGAAUGGAUUCUAAGUCAUCUACUAACUACUAAGUCAUAAUCUACUCUAGUUAUCUACAAGAUCAUAUAUAGCAUAAAAGACUCUUCAUUCAUGUAUAAGGAACAUUGAUAAAGUAAAUCAGAACAUCGCAUGACUUACUCCACAAUACCGGUUCUGCCUGUCCUAUCAACGGAGGGUGGACUAUAUAAGAAUCAACGAAGCUGUCACUAUCGCGAACUACCACACGACUCGGCCAAUAGGAUACAUUUGCAGAUAAAUAACAUCUAAGCACCACGCUCACAUGUGAUCUAUCACCUAACUCCCUCGCGUCAAGAGCUAAGCGCUUUGCAAACUUAUACAUAAACUCAUUAUCAAUUAGAACUAUAUCAAAUAUAGAACUAGAGCAAACUAAGAGCAUAAUAAUUAGAGACAUAAUGCAAUUAAAACAAUAGAAUUAGAGAAAGAUAUGAAUAAUACCAAUCUUUAUUACCGAAGAUCCGAAUCCAGAGCGUAGUGCUCUACUUCUCUAAUUACUAUCUAAUCAAACCUCUAAACUUGAAGGAUUAGGGAGUAGCUAAUUCUAAUUCUCUGCGGGAGAGAGAUCUAAACCCUAACUUUGAUGGCUACCUCUGAAUAAUGAUUUCUCCUCCUAUCCUCCAGGGGCCAGGGGGUCUGGUUUUAUAGUCCCCUCAAGUGAACGUGAGCCAUUUGAUCAAACCGACAUAGAUUGUAUGGUUUAGAUUGAUCCUUUAGGUCGGUGGAGUCUUGUCCCGAAGCAGAGUCCUGAUUGGCCUCUUGGCCAGGGCGGGCGCCCAAGGGGGGUGGGCGGCCGCCCAGCUCCCGAGCCCGAUUCGCUUCCCGUUCGUUCCCGUGGCUUCUCGAUCCUUCUAGAUUGAGGAAAAUUGCGCGGCACGUAAUUAUCUUGUUGUAAACAUGACAUGUGGCCUUCUCUCCAUAUUUUCUGAUAACUCCCUGCAGAAAUAGAUAAACACCAAAGCUCGUGGAAUUCUGUCAGAUAAAACCCUAAUUCUAGAUGUUUAUUUCAUAUUGAUCCUUUUUCAUGUUUAUUUGAUUAUUAAUUUUAGUACUUAAGGACCGUCAACAUAUAUCUGCUCAGAAUUUCUUGGCUUCUAUCUUCUGAUCUUUAGCUUCUACUGCAACUGUCGGCCCUCAGCUCCUGAUCUUCACUGUUGAUGAACCACGUUUCUUCUACUCAUAGCAAUCAAGCAACACAAACAGACAAACAAACAAUCACGACUAAGAACAAACGACAAUCAAAAGAAAAGCUUAGAAAGAGCGCACUAAACGAUACGGCUACGAUCGUGACAACGCAAGAACGAUUGAGAACGAAGCUAUCAUUAAGCGGACACGACUUUCGAGGUUGGAAGUGUAAUGGAGAAGACAAUUAUACGCUGGUCGUAAUUUAUUUAUAAAUAACUAUAUACCAUUGUAGCCAAUUAAGCAUUUAUAGUUUUUUUUUGAAAUAUAGCAUAUAUGAAAGCAACUAAUCAAGUGAUUAUAUAUCAUGUUUAAACUAAUCAAGUUAUAAUUAAUAAAGAAACAUUAAGGUUGAUAUUAAUAACAUGGGCAUUUAUUUAUUUACAAAAUAUUAAAUUAUAAACCUAAGUUGCUUUCAAUCAAAAAGUCAUUAAAUAAAUAUUAAACAACUUAAUUAUAUAAUUUAUGUUUAACUAAAAGAAUCAUAGUUAAUAAAUACUUAGGUUAAAAUUAACAAAGUUGAUAUUAGAUUAUAAAAGAAAAUACCAAAGUGUAAACCUAAAUUGUUCUUUGUAGAUUAAAAGAGCACUUAGUUAGACAUUAAUUAUUUUGUAUUUAUGGUGAAAAUCUAAAUGGUCAAACGAGGUAACUAUUACUCCUAAAGCGUAGUUUACGACUAUACGAAACUAACGUGACGAGAACGGGCUCAAUCGGAAUUAAAACGCGCAUUCUACGGCCAAAACUAGAUCGGUGGCAAAACUAUGAAUAAACUAAACUAAUUUUCGUAUUUUAAAUAAUUAAAACUAAUUUUUGAAAGCCUUUUGGACUUAAUCUACAAAAACCAAUGGAUCCCGGGGCUAAACUGCUAAAAACAGGACUUAAAUCUAAUUAUCUAUGAACUACUCAGGAUAGUGGGUUAAUUUCUAAAAAACACAAGGGCGUUUUUGCAAAAACGCCAGGGCAGCGCUGGUGUGGCCAGUUUGGUCGGCCACGUGUCGCGACGGGACUGGCCGGUCCACGGGGGCUGCGUGGACCGAGUCGCAGGGCGCUUGGUCCACCGGUCCACGGUGGACCGGGGAGGGGGCGCUGGAGGCGGCGCCAUGGCCGCUCUGGCCGAGCUCGCCACAGCGGCUCUAGAGGGCUCGGCGAGCCGCGCAAAGCGCACGGGCGGGCGGUGCGUGAGCAGGCGGACUCGGGGCGCUCGGUGGUCGUAGCGGGGCACGGCCGAGAUGCGCGGGCCACGCGGUGGCACGGCUCCGUGCCGACGGCGAUGCUCCGGUGAGCACGCGCGACGUGAUGGGAGGGAGAGGGCGCGUGAAAAGGAUACCGACGUGACCCAAGAGAACGUGCGGAGCUCGAGUAAACACUCACCGGCGGUGGACGACUGCGGAAGGACGAGCGAGAUGGCGGUCGGAGCUUCGAAUCGGCGGCAAUGGAGGCGGCGCGACUUCGGCUAGGGUUUCGGCGAGUCAGGAUGGCAGCUAGGGCUUCGUAGGGUUCGGCGGGUGUGCGGCGCACAGGGCUAAGGGCUUUUAUAGGCUCGGGUGAACCUCGGGAGGCGCGCGGGCCCACACCCGAGGCGGCGGCGGCGUUUCCAUCCGCCCGAAGCGGACGGAGGUUGGGGAAGACGGCUGACGCGUGGGGUCGGGGCGUCAGCGGCACGGUGCGAGCUGGCAGGCGGGUCCCAUGUGGCAGCGGCUCCGGCGAGGCGGGCUGGCGCUGCUGCGCUUGGCUGGGCUGGGCCGCGCGACCUGGGUCAGGCCCAAGGGCGAGCAGGGGUGCGGGCUUGGAGAGCAGGCCGGCUGUGGGCUACACGGCCAGCUGAAGCAGGCCGAAAAGAGAGAGGAAAAGAAAACCUUUUCUUUUUAUAAAACAUAAUUUCUAAGCUAUUUUGCUAAACAAAUUUUCAAACCAUUUUUGAAUAAAAAAAUCUGAUAUCAUUUUGGAACUUGUUUUUAGACUACUUUUGGAAAUAUAUUUUCUUAAACAUUUUUUUAAAGGUGUUUUCCCAUUUCAAAUCUAAAUUAGUUUUCAAGAAUGACUUUUUGGAGUUUUAUUUUUCCGAAAACCAACAGGACCUAAACGUGGCUUGCUGGAAAUUUUGAAAUUCAUUUUUCUAACACAAGCCAAACAAAACUAGGGCACAAAGCGCACAACAACAAAACAAAACACCCUUCACUUAAUUUUAUAAAAGUUUUAAAAUUUCAUAUUUUUCUCAUUUUGUAAUAACAGUAAUUAAUAAAAAUCUUGUAAUAUUUUAGAAAGAAAUUUAAAUCCUUAUUUAAUUUAGUGUUUUCUAAUAACAAUCCAAAAUUAAAAAUUUUGGAGUGUUAUAGAUCUACCCCACUUAACAUAAAUCUCGUCUCGAGAUUUGAAGAAACUAAAGAGAAAGAUAAAGUAGAUCAUCAAAGUUGUUUCGAGACUUUCAAGACAUGAUCAAAGGAUUAAAUAUAGAUAUAAAGGGCAAAAUGUAUGAUAAAAAUCGAUGACAUGGAAACAUAAGCAUAUGAGAUAGGAAUUGAUCUUCAGAUCUUGUAGUAUGAUAAGGUGCAAGGGCAAGAAGCUAGUAUUAACAAGAGAUGACUCAUAGGAGAUAAAGAUUAUAGUGCUCACAAUUUCCUUGAUUCUAGAUUUGUAUGAGAUAGUAGACGAAAGGAUAAAGAAAUGAUAAAAGUUGACAAAGAUUUAGAUAGUCUCACGCUUAAUUAUUUGUAGUCCUAUGAGAUGUAAGAUCCAAGAUCGCACGUUGACAAAAAUGAUAAGGGCUCAUCGCAAGAACGAUAAGGAUCAAUCUGUAGUUCUUCAUAUCUUUCUGAUUAGGGAUUUUUGAGAGUGAUGAUCGUAGCGGACGCUACCCCACUUAAACCAAGUGUUAGCUUAUCUUCCAAAAUCCUAUAUAAGAACACUCAUCUUGUCGGUAGAUAAUCUUCAAAGUUUUCCUUUGGAGGUUACUAGUUCGACAACACGCUGCACAGAUGGAGAUUCCGAGGAACAGGGAGAGAAUACAUCAUAGGAUGGGAAAGGAUAGAUUAAAAUGAUUUUAAUUUUUAUUAGUGCUGGUGUGAGACGUAAGUAGGAAGACGAGAAGUUUAUCCAGGUGAAAGUUCUUGAACACUUCCCAGGAAAACAACCCAAGGGGUCGGUGAAAUUGACCAUAUAUCGGUAUGGUUUUACAUCUGACUUUCAGGUUCUGCAUUUUGUCACAUGGUAAACCAUCAAAGAUUUCUAGGGUGGAAAUAUAUCUUAUCUUGGGACUUUCGUUUCAUAUGCCUUGCUUUAAUAGGUCAACAGGCAUCACACUUCCUAUGAUACUUGGUGCUUCCUUGUGGUCUCCAUAAAUGAAUCCUAGCAGAUUUAUCCUACUACUUGCAGUGUUGGGAGAAUAUUGUGCGGGUGGACUACACAAAGGGUGUCGACUCAUUCUGUAUGGAGUAUUUAAGAUCGCUUCACAGGUAAGCACUGCCACUCGAUGUUGGGACAGCACCAGGUGCUUUGCCUGAGAUUCCAUGGUUACCACAAAUAGACUAAACAUCUUGUCAAACAACUCGUAACUCAUAUCAGGAGAUUAAGAAUGAUAAGGUCCAAUGAACAAGACAUCUCAUUUUACAAAGAAGAUUACAAGUGACUUGAAUGCAAAAUCUUACAAGCUAAUAGGCAUAACUGACUUCAGAUUUCAUAGACCAUUAUUGACUAGCUCAAAUCCAUCUAGGUCCCUUAAUAUAACUUGCUUCACAUCAGAUGUUGAGAAUGCAUUGCCUCUGUAUAAGGUCCACAUUUUUUUUGAACUGCCUCGUUGUCGGUACAAUCCUUCCAUUAGUCCUUUAAUCCUUCGGGUGAGGUUGAGUGCCUUCAUACACGAACCUGUCUCCUGAUGGGGUGGUUAGGGAUACUGAGUGUUGGGUACAGUCAAUCUUUCCAUGAUAAGCAGUUAACCAUCCUCUUCCAAGAACGACAUCAAUAUCCAGCGAUUCCAAAGCUACAAGAUUCACCUCAAAAUCUGCACCUUUUAUGUCAAGCCUAACUUUUGGGCACAUGUGUGUUGCUUUCAUCUUCCCUCAUGGUGAUUUUACUAGUAUGGGUUUCUUCAUUUCCAACAUAAGCAUCUUAUGAUCGGCAACACAUUUACUCGAGAUAAAGGAAUGUGAAGAACUUGAGUCAAACAAAACAGUGGCCGGAGUUGAGUUUACUAGAAUUGAUCCAAACACCACAUUUUGUGCUUUACGAGCAGUACACAGAUCCACAUGGUUCAAUCUACCAUUAACGUAGUCAUGAACUGGGUACUUCUUUGGACAAUGCUUCUUGUGAUGUCCCUCUUCGUGACACUGGUAACAAGCAUUGCUAACAGUUUUAACAUUGGUGCUAUCCUGACAUUGAGCUCCUCGAAUUGAUGUGUCGGGAGUAACUAAAGUGCUACUAACUUGUUGGUUCUGAGGGUCCACCUUCAAUGAAGUCUCUUCAUUAUUUCACUUCUUAGCUUGAUUACUUUUUCGAGGAUGAAGUUCUGUGUAGGUGAUGGUCCAUCCAUCUAGGCAUAUCUCUGGCAUAGCAAGUGUAGCCGAAGGGGCAUCUAACUCUUCAAGAUAUGAAUGUGUCUGAUGCGAGUUUGGGACUAAAGGUAGCUGUGAUGUAAAACUCAAAUUUGGCUCACUUAAUAGUGGCUCUAGGGAGAUUGCCUUCCUUUUCUUGUUCCAUUCAGUUUGUUGAUCCUGGGGUACCUCAAUCUUGCCUUCACUUGACUUGUUCUGAAGACAUGGUAAACCAUAAUAUCUGCAGCAAUUACACGGCUCUUGAAUCCCAAGUGCCUCGUUAAUACCAUCUUUCUUAGCUUUCAUGUUCUUCCAGGCUUCUACGACUUGUCUCUUCAUUGCUCCUUCCUGAGUUUUGGUCAUGGUCUUCUUUAAAGGUAGCUAAGAAUCUUUUUGUGGUCCCACUCCACUUUGUACUUGAUCCUGUGUAGACAAGGGCUUCUCCUCGUUCAUUAGGGACAAGGGUAGCAUAGUUGGGUCUUCCUGACAUUUGAUGUAAGCUUCUUCAAUUUCACCUUGGAGAAGUAUAGCUUGUACCAUCAAAAGCUUCUGGAGUCUGGCCAUCUGAUCAGCUGCCAUCUCUAGGAUUUGAGCUUGCCAGGCUAUCACCUGUGCACUACUUAGUUGUGUUGUAGAAGGUAUUUGUUGACUCUGAUCACUGGUAUUAAUUCCUUUGACAUCAUCACUGGCGUCGACCAUCUGACAUUAGGCAAUAGAAGAAUGAGCUAGAGUAGUAUUGACAAAGAGCAGGAUAUGGAGUGAGAGAAAAUAGGUGGAGAGGAUCAUGAUUGACAAUAGAUGGAUAGGAUAAGAGAGAUCACUACCCCACUUAGCAAAGAUCGAGCUAACCCUCAAACAACUUCUUCUAGGCCUCCUUCAAAACACUAGAACAAAGACAACACACAAACAACAAACCAAGCAAAACAAGCACGCAUCACAUCAAUGAUACUACACAUGCUUCUUCAACAGUGGUGGUCAUCCUAAAAGGCAAGUCCGAGAUGAUAAAGGGCCAUCGAAUUUUGGAAUAAAAUAAGUUUUAAAAACUUGAGUAAAACAACUAAACAAAAGCCAAGGAGAUGAAUAGAAAUAGCUCAAAGGAAGCUAUUCAAGGAGGGGAUACAAAAUGACAAGGGGGAGGAAAUAGUCAGAAUCAAAAAGUCAAGGUAUAAGAAAAUAGUUUUAUAUCAAAAUAAGCUUUAGAAAUCGACCAGUGCUAUCUAGGCAUACGUCCUACAGUCAACAUUGCUCUGAUACCAUUCCUGUCAUACCCUGGCUUUUAAAAUAAGACCAGAGUCGUCAUAUGUGUGCCCAGGAAGUCCACACAUACAACAAAGAAUAGAAAUAUCAAAAACAAUGUUAUAUAUAGUGGAAAACAUAUUUAUAUUAACACUUACAAACAUCAGAGUACGCGGAAAUAGUAGCUAAACUUCUUAUGCUCCAAUCUUCUCAGGGACGGUUGACUGGGGGCUCCGUACGCCCAGCACUUCUCAUAAGCUUCUAGAAAACUCCAUAGCAUCUUUAUCCUUCUUCUGAGCAGCACUUUACUACACACUGGAGUGUGGGGGGAAAUAGCAAGGGUGAGUUCAUGUCGAACUCAACAAGUACAGGCGAAAAGUAUAAUGACAUGCAAGGCUUAAUCAAAGAAAAAACUGACACUGUUUGACUGCAGGUGAGCUUUUAAGUUGGUACACUUUUAUUACAAUUCUUUUAUUAAAACAACCUAUUCUAAAUAUGAGUGAAGCAUCCCAACCCUUAUUUAGAUGAAGGUUAAUUAACAAUAUUAUUAGUCAUCUUUAUAAUAAUUAUUAUUAUUAAGAUCACCGAGGUAGCAACCUCGGAUAAUAACUCAGGGUAGCAACCCCAUUAAGGUCAUGGGAUAGCUAUCCCAGUAAAGAAAACAGGAUAGCAAUCCUGCCAACACAGAAUAGCCAUUCCGCCAAAGCAUGAGGUAGCAACCUCAACCAAGUUUCGCCUCCAAGUAUCCAGUGAAUCCAAUUUGCUCAUCAAGUGAGGGUCUGGGCCGCUCGUGACCGUGAGCACGGCUGAUAUAUCAGUUUUACACUCUGCAGAGGUGUGCACUUUCACUCCAAGUCGUGAUUCCCAUUUGCCCGGGGUCGCGACUCCCCAAAACACUACCGAGGUGAGCAGGCAGGGUUUCACUACGAGACCUUUCACAGGGUCCAACUAAUAGGAUGCCACUCGCAAGUUUUCGUCGGGGCGCUCGACAGUCGAUACCGAUAGCCAUGGCGUACCGAGCAGCCGCUAACUUAAUAUUCAUUACCCAAGCUACUUCCUGACGCCUACCCGGAAAGUAACACCCUACCAGCAGAGGUCCUGAUAAUUAGUCAAGCCAGAGCUAUAUAGCUUGGAGCUGCACUGUAUGUCCUAGGGGGCCGCUCCCUGACUAAGUCCUUACGGAGAGCAGAGACGGGUACGCCCGGCAAACCGGACCACCAACAGUACCCGCUCCCCCUUUUCUCAACCAAACCACGAUGCUCGCAAGCACCGCAACAUCUCCAUCACCGAAGUGACCAUUGUUCAUCAUUUAAACAUUAUUCAUCAUUGAAGAAUUCAUUGAUCAAGAUUAUUACUUUUAUUACUAUAUAGAUUAGAUGAGUAGAGCAGCUAAGCAUAACUACUGUUCACUACUCUACCCAUGUAUAAACCCAGGAGUAUAAGGAAUAUAGUAGAGGGCUAGUCAUGUCCUUAGGGUUUGCAGUAUUAAGACACAUGCAGUGGAAAGUAAAUGUAUUUAAAGUUCAUAGUUACAAUAUGAUCAAAGGGUGUCUGCACUUGCCUUUAUUCCUAGUGUAUAUCUGCUCAGAAUUUCUUGGCUUCUAUCUUCUGAUCUUUAGCUUCUACUGCAGCUGUCGGCCCUCAGCUCCUGAUCUUCACUGUUGAUGAACCACGUUUCUUCUACUCAUAGCAAUCAAGCAACAUAAACAGACAAAGCUUAGAAAGAGCGCACUAAAUGAUAUGGCUACGAUCGUGACAACGCAAGAACGAUUCAGAACGAAGCUAUCGUUAAGCGAACACGACUUUCAAGGUUGGAAGUGUAAUGGAGAAGACAACUAUACGCUGGUCGUAAUUUAUUUAUAAAUAACUAUAUACCAUUGAAGCCAAUUAAGCAUUUAUAGUUUUUUUUUGAAAUAUAGCAUAUAUGAAAGCAACUAAUCAAGUGAUUAUAUAUCAUGUUUAAACUAAUCAAGUUAUAAUUAAUAAAGAAACAUUAAGGUUGAUAUUAAUAACAUGGGCAUUUAUUUAUUUACAAAAGAUCAAAUUAUAAACCUAAGUUGCUUUUAAUCAAAAAGUCAUUAAAUAAAUAUUAAACAAAUUAAUUAUAUAAUUUGUGUUUAACUAAAAGAAUCAUAGUUAAUAAAUACUUAGGUUAAAAUUAACAAAGUUGAUAUUAGAUUAUAAAAGAAAAUACCAAAGUGUAAACCUAAAUUGUUCUUUGUAGAUUAAAAGGGCAAUUAGUUAGACAUUAAUUAUUUUGUAUUUAUGGUGAAAAUCUAAAUGGUCAAACGAGGUAACUAUUUACUCCUAAAGCGUAGUUUACGACGAUACGAAACUAACGUGACGAGAACGGGCUCAAUCGGAAUUAAAACGCGCAUUCUAUGGCCAAAACUAGAUCGGUGGCAAAACUGUGAAUAAACUAAACUAAUUUUCGUAUUUUAAAUAAUUAAAACUGAUUUUUGAAAGCCUUUUGGACUUAAUCUACAAAAAGCAAUGCAUCCAGGGGCUAAACUGCUAAAAACAGGACUUAAAUCUAAUUAUCUAUGAACUACUCAGGACUGUGGGUUAAUUUCUAAAAAACGCAAGGGCGUUUUUGCAAAAACGCCAGGGCGGCGCUGGUGUGGCCAGUUUGGUCGGCCACGUGUCGCGACGGGACUGGCCGGUCCACGGGGGCUGCUUGGACCGAGGCGCAGGGCGCUUGGUCCACCGGUCCACGGUGGACCGGGGAGGGGGCGCUGGCGGCGGCGCAAUGGCCGCUCCGGCCGAGCUCGCCACGGCGGCUCCAGAGGGCUCGGCGAGCCGCGCAAAGCGCACGGGCGGGCGGUGCGCGAGCAGGCGGACUCGGGGCGCUCGGUGGUCACGGCGGGGCACCGCCGAGAUGCGCGGGCCACGCGGUGGCACGGCUCCGUGCCUGCGGCGAUGCUCCGGUGAGCACGCGCGACGUGAUGGGAGGGAGAGGGCGCGUGAAAAGGAUACCGACGUGACCCUAGAGAACAUGCGGAGCUCGGGUAAACACUUACCGGCGGUGGACGACUGCAGAAGGACGAGCGAGAUGGCGGUCGGAGCUUCGAAUCGGCGGCAAUGGAGGCGGCUCGACUUCGGCUAGGGAUUCGGUGAGUCGGGAUGGCGGCUAGGGCUUCGUAGAGUUCGGCGGGCGUGCGGCGCACAGGGCUAAGGGCUUUUAUAGGCUCGGGUGAACCUCGGGAGGCGCGCGGGCCCACACCCGAGGCGGCGGCGGCGUUUCCAUCCGCCCGAAGCGGACGGAGGUUGGGGAAGACGGCUGACGCGUGGGGUCGGGGCGUCAGCGGCACGGUGCGAGCUGGCAGGCGGGUCCCACGUGGCAGCGGCUCCGGCGAAGCGGGCUGGCGCUGCUGCGCUUGGCUGGGCGGGGCCACGCGACCUGGGUCAUGGCCCAAGGGCGAGCAGGGGUGCGUGCUUAGAGAGCAGGCCGGCUGUGGGCUACACGGCCAGCUGAAGCAGGCCGAAAAGAGAGAGGAAAAGAAAACCUUUUCUUUUUAUAAAACAUAAUUUCUAAGCUAUUUUGCUAAACAAAUUUUCAAACCAUUUUUGAAUUCAAAAGUCUGAUAUCAUUUUGGAACUUGUUUUUAGACUACUUUUGGAAAUAUAUUUUCUUAAAAACAUUUUUUUCAAGGUGUUUUCCCAUUUCAAAUCUAAAUUAGUUUUCAAUGACUUUUGGAGUUUUAUUUUUCCGAAAACCAAAAGGACCUAAACGUGGCUUGCUGGAAAUUUUGAAAUUCAUUUUUCUAACACAAGCCAAACAAAACUAGGGCACAAAGCACACAACAACAAAACAAAACACCCUUCACUUAAUUUUAUAAAAGUUUUAAAAUUUCAUAUUCUUCUCAUUUUGUAAUAACAGUAAUUAAUAAAAAUCUUGUAAUAUUUUAGAAAAAAAUUUAAAUCCUUAUUUAAUUUUGUGUUUUCUAAUAACAAUCCAAAAUUAAAAAUUUUAGAGUGUUAUAGUGCAUUUGUAAGACCGAAGGACAUGACGAGAUACUCAUACAACCCAUACCUCGUCGAGAAAGCUGUCUUAGGUACAUCUUCAGGACGGAUCUUGAUCUGAUGGUACCCAGAUCGCAAAUCAAUCUUGGAGAAUACCUUGGCUUUAGACAACUUAUCAAACAAAAUAUCAAUGCGAGGAAGAGGGUAUUUAUUCUUGAUGGUCACCGCAUUUAGGGGACGAUAGUCCACACACAUGUGCAAAGAUUGAUCCUUCUUCUUCACAAAGAUGGCCGGACAAACCCAUGGAGACGAACUAGGACAGAUAAGACCCUUCUUCAACAACUCAUUCAACUGGGUCUUAAGCUCAGCUAGCUCAUUGGGUGGCAUUCUAUAAGGUCUUGUAGAGAUAGGAGCGGUACCGGGAAUCAAUUCAAUUUUGAACUCCACAUGCCGAUCCGGAGGAAGCCCGGGCAAAUCAUCAGGAAAUACAUCCGGGAACUCACACACCACCGGAAUGUCCUGAAUAGCCUUAGAUGUAACUGCAUUCACAGUGCUACGGAUUUGAAUAUCACGAGGGAGUUGCACUAGAAAUGCCUCCUUGGUAUUCGGGUCUUUCAACAUCACUACACGAGUGGUGGUGUCGAUAAGAACUCCAUUGCCACUCAUCCACUUCAUCCCCAAAAUUACAUCUAUGCCCACACCGGGUAGAACAACCAAAUCAGCAAGAAACUGACGGCCUCCUAUUUCCGGAGUUGCCCCCAAAACCACUUGAUUGGUGGAAAUAACAUUUCCCGCAGCACUAAUACAAUAACUGCCCUUAUCAGGUGUAAAUGCCUUGAGAUUAUGCUUAGACACAAAUUCGGAACUCACAAAAGAAUGCGAUGCUCCUGAAUCAAAAAGCACAAGUGCGUCACAUUGGUUAACCAGAAACAUACCAGCCGUAACUACCUCACCAGCAGGGAUUGCUUCCACAGUGGUGUGGUGAACACGCCCCUGGCGGACGUUCCCCUGGUUGACCUUCUUUGGUGGGUAAGGACAGUUGCUCUACCAAUGCCCGGUCUGAUUGCAGUUCCAGCAUGGACGGUUGGCAGGUGGAGUCUUGGCAUAGUUGGGACCCGUGUUGCCCCUAGGAAGAGCAAUAGAGUACCCCUUGCGGAAACCCGUCUUUGCCUGAUUCUUCUUCAUAGGCGGGCGAUAACGCUGGUUAGGGGUUGGAGCACAGAUCGGUGGUCUAGCUGCCCCUGGAGCCUUGGACUGAGAUGCCCCUGCCCCGGCUUCAAAAGCCCUCUUGCGAGUCUUGGUCGCAAUGUACACAGUGUUAUAGUUCUCUUGAGUGAGAGCAUCACUGACAAACUCAUUGAAAGUUGCACACUUAGUGCGGCCCAUAGUCUUCAGCAACUUGGGGGCAAGACCCUGCUUGAAGUUAGCAAUCUUUUUCGCCUCAGUGUUCACAAACUCAGGAGCAUACCUAGACAAAUGAUUGAAAGCAUGCAAAUACUCCUUCAUAGUUUUGUUACCCUGAGUUAACUGCAUGAACUCAGUAUGCUUCAUCUCUAUGACACCAGGAGGAAUGAAAUGCCCCUUAAAAGCCUCACGGAAAAGAUUCCAGUCAAGCACAGUGUCGGCUGGAAGAGCUUCCCGAUACUGAUUCCACCAGAUGCCUGCUAGACCUUGCAGUUGAUGAGCUGCAUACUCUGCCUUCAAACCUUCAGUCAACCGAAGCAAGCGGAACUUUUGUUCCACCGUGUUCAGCCAUUCUUCAGCUUGAAGGGGUUCUUCAGCUUCUCUGAAAGGUGGGGGCUUCGUAUCCAUGAAGUCCUUGAAGCUACUGUACUGGUUAGGAGCUGGCCCUUCAUGUGCAUGACGACCACCCUGAUUCGCCAUCCGAUUGAUGGUCUCAGUGAGCAUCCUCUGAUUUUCCACCAUCAUUUGCAUCAGCUCAGCUGGAUUUGGUGGUGGAGGAGGAGGGGGUGGAUUCAUGUUUGCACGCUGUUCCGCACCUCGGGUGCCACGAGACAUCUGCAAAUACAUAGUCAGUGAGCAUUGAUGAUGACAAGAUUUGCCGCAGAAGAACUUAUAUUUAUGCCUGAAAGUAUUCGAGAGAAUAGCUUUACAGAAAGGCACAAUAAUUCAAUUCCACAAAACAACAUCACCAAUCCAACAUAUGACAGAGAUAUCCGCAAUAUGCACCACAACGGAAAACAUCGUCAUAACAAAACGAACAUGUUAAGAUUGCACAUUGGGUCCACAAAGUUAUUACACCAUCCCAGUACAUGCCAUGAGUCAAGGUCAAAGUUCCAGAUUACAACAUGGGUACAAAAGCAUCACCGCUAGCUGCCAGACUACAAAAGAUCCUCACAUGACACUAUCCACUACUCCCUACACUCGAGGCUCGUCGUCCGAGUCAGCGUCGAAGAUCGCCUCUCCAUCCUCGUCGCUAACUGGCUCAAGCUCCUCGUCCUCCACGUCCUCGUGCAAGGGUGGUGCAGCGGGUGCUGGUCCAUCGACCUCCAUACCAUCAUCAUCGGCCACAAUCACCUGAGGUCCCACCACCGGGUACACGGGAAUAGGGCGAGGAAUAGGGUGUAGCAAGUUGUUGAGACGGUGAAUCUCCACAAGACCAGCCUCAAUCUGAUCCUGUAGAUAGUUCUCCCACUAAAGCGACUGAAUCCGGUGCAUCUCCCAAGCCUGGCGCCUGUUCUCCGACACACUGAGUGCAGUGUCCCUCUCACGAGUAACCUGCACCAAGCGCUCCUGUAUUGUCUCCCUUUCUCGAGACAACUGGCUCAUCUGAUCCUGCUUAUGAUCUCUCUCUCUAAUGGCCUUCACCCACUGCUACCUACGGUACUCCGCAAUGCCUUCCCAGUCAUUGCGGUCCUUCUGAGCUUGCUCCAGAAGCCUAGCUUGCUUGCGAAACUUGCGAGCACACUUUUCAGCCUUCCGUUGCAUCUCCUGAGCCUGGCGAACAGCCACCAUCACCUGUGCAUAGGUGCCCUCUCGCUGACUGAUCAGCUUGAGCACAGCCAUCAUAGCACUCAUAGCAGGACUAGAACUCUCAGCUCUCUCUCCCCUGCCUCGAACCAAAGCACAACCAUUAGCCUGUUUCCAUUCCGCUGCUGCUGGGUCAGCACGGGGAAUGGAGGCCGCUGGUCCUCCUAUCAGCUCAUCACCAAACCUCUGACAAAUAUUGAGCAGCAUAGCCUGGGCUGCAACCUGAGCUGCUUCCUAAGGAGUCUGCCCAUCCGAGUUACAGGUCCACCCUGUCCAUGCAGGCCUGCCCCCGUGUGGAGGGACAACUCCCUGCAUAGCAAACCACUACAACUCCCCUGUCAUAUCCACCUCCCACCCAGAAUACUGAGGUGGCUCAGCGUACCCCACAGACUGUAGCACUCUCCAAAGCAAGGUAGGAGUGCCAAACUCGCUCAAGAAAGUGUCACUGGGGCGAGGUGAAGUGGGCACGUCCAUCUGUGGAAAGAAAUAGGAAAACCAUGGGUAAAACAUGAUUAGUUUAAGCAACAUUUAUUUAUUUAAUUAAAAGGGACGACAUUGUAAAGGAAGGAGUAGACAGAAUGUAUGUAUGAAUGCAACAUGAUGCAUGCACGAACUGUACGUCCUCCCAAACUUAGAAAAAUUAGUAUUCUAAUGGAUAUACGGUGGCAUACAUUCGUCUCUCGAUACGAUAACUAGCGAUUUACACGUGCGCUGUUAGAGUACCUGCAGAAAACUUCAUUUCAGCCCAACAGUUUCCAAUAUAUCACUCAAGAAAGCAGUAAACUAAGUGCACAUUGCUUGGACAUGCCCAACAUGCACAAACAAUGACACCACAGCUACCCAAGAAAUUAAAUGCUCCCCAAUUAAAUUUCUUUCGUGGUUCCACAGUUUUGACAUGUGACCACUCCAGAAAACCACCACGAACACUUCCCUAGACCGCCGUUUGGACGAUCAUGCUCUCACAGCUCACACUUACCAGAGCGUAGGUGCGACGUUGCAUAAUUUAAAUCUAGCAACAUAUGUGGCUAAUUCACAUAUGAAGGCUACCUCCACCAUUAGACCACAGGGUAGCAUAGUGCGGUCAUCACACAUCCAUACCUGAGUACUGCCUGAGAUGCAUAAAUAAAACCCCCCAAGUCAGUACUUAAAUAGCCACCUAUUGUCCUUAUAUGGUCAAGGAGGAUUCGACCUCUGGCAUAACUUAAGUGUUGAUUUACCAUUUUAUAUAAAAACUCUUUUGUUUUUAAAUACACAAACGCUGCAUUUAUAAUGCUGAACUUGCUCCGAUGCCAGCUGUCACAGAACCGACCAAAUUAUAAGAGUUCAAGUGUUGAAACGAUCGACAAGCAAUCAAGUUUCCAAACUUGAGCCCAUAUAAUCCCGGUAGUCAACUGAAAUCACGAAGGAUUUGUUGGGUAUUCUUAACAUCAUUACCAAAAGUAGACUUAGUUUUCUAAAUCUAGUAACGGUGCCAAAAAUGCCAAACCUAUCCCUCACACCACUUAAGCCAAGUUGUCAUCCCCAGCAUGAUAUACGAGACGCGGUAUUGAAAUAUGCAAUUGCUCUUCUAAAUAAAUAAUAAAUGGGAUCUGCAAGCGCACAGAUUAAUACCGAUGUAGCAUUUUAACCGGGAAGUAUUCCAGGUAUCGUUAUUUAUAUUUUUACCACUAGGAAGGGAUUAACAAUCAUCAAUAUUGAUUACAGAAUAGAAUAUGAGAUUGAGCAUCUAUCAUUGCAUGUAUAAUUGAGAACAUUAUAUCUAACUCUUCAUACAAGGAUAAGCGUCACAUAAAAGAUAUAUGAAAUAAUGAAUAGUGACAAGGAUAACUAAUCUGAUCUAGCCACAUAAUAAAUAUGAUAAGCACCUCAAUUAGAUACUCUAGAAAGUCAUUAGCAUGGUAUUAGAACGAACUACAAGAAUAUUCCCUAAGUUAUUCUCAACUAUAUAGUCUAGCAUAUCAUAGUUAGUGCAAGCAUACUUAGCAAUCAUUGCGAGACAAGACUACGCCCAUGCAUAGUGAUAUUAGCAAGGAAUAUGAGAAACAUAGCAAUCACUCCCCUGUAAUAAUGUUGCUCUGCCAGCCCAAUACACGAGAGGGGGACUAUAUAAGAAUCCAUGAAGCUGUCACUAUCAUGAACUACCCCACGAUCUGGCAUAUUGGGUACAAUCGCAGAUAAAUACGGUAUAAGCACCACGCCUACACAAUAUCUAUCAUUUACCCAUGGAUCCGAUGGAUAAAUGCUAUACGAUCCUAAGCAUGUAUAUAGAUCCAAUCUAACUAAGCCAAGUACAUAACUAUGAUAAACUAAGAAUAAUAUAAUCUUGAAUAUAAGCAAGUAGAGCAAAGUCAUAAGCAAUAUAUUGAAAUAGAACAAAGUCAUAUUCAUAAUAUUGAAGAACAAAGAUAAUUAGAAAGUAAUUAGAAGCACAAUUAGAGAAUUACCAAGAAUCCUCUUGACAGAUCUGGAAACCAAUCGAAGAUUGACUCCUUCUAGUUCUAAUCCUAUGUAGCUAUGCUAAUCUAGAUGUCUAAUUGAUGUGGUGGCUCUAAUCUUGAUCAGAGGCUUCUUCUCCCUUGAAGAAUAAUGAAUUAGGGUUGAGAGGCUCUCCCCUCCAGGGGCCAGGGGGUCUGGUUUUAUAGUCCCUUCAAGUGAAUAUGGGCCGUUGGAUCAAACCGACAUAGAUUGUAUGGUUUAGAUUCAUCCUUUAGGUCGGUGGAGAUCUCCCACGAAGCAGAGUUCUGAUUGGCCUCGGCAGGUGGCGGGCGCCCAGGGUCAGGCCCCGUUUCGCCUCCGCUUCAGUCUCGUGGAUUCUGGAGUUUUCUAGAUGUAAGAUAAUUGCGCGGCACGUUAAUAUCUCUAUGUAAUCCCGACGUGUGGGCCUUUCUUUCGUAUUUCCUGAUAACCCCCUGCAGAAAUAGACAAACACCAAAACUCGUGGAAUUCUAUCAGAUAAAACCCUAAGUCUAGAUGUUGAUUUCAUUUGGAUCCUUUUCUUUAUUUAUAUGAUAAUUAAAUUUGAUACUUAAGGACCGUCAACAAACUCCCCCAAGCUUACCUCUUGCUCGUCCCUGAGCAAGGAUAGACUCAGCUAUGGAUCAUAAGUUGUUGCAAUAUCUUUAAAAAUUGACGGUACACAUGCUUUUUAAAUAAGAUCUUAUCUCUGAGUUAGAGUAAACUGUCAAGACUUAAAACUUACUUACUUUACCUUUCACCAUGGGACUUGUAACCGUCACUUCUGUCUUGAGUGGUUAAAAGAUAGAACGGUCUAGCCAAGUGCCAUGUCUCUUAUUCUUGAUCAGCUAUAGUUCUGAUGUUUUUGCAGAUUUUCAAAUAAAACUCAGAGAUUCCUUGUAUGAUUCUCUCAAAUCUCUCUUUUGUGGUAUUUCUGGAUCCUUACCAAGGCAGUGAUGGUAUAUGCCUUCUCUCAAGAUAUGUAGUAUUUGUGGUAUAAAGCAUAGUGACAUUGUUUUCUCUCUCACCCUACUCUAAUAAGGCUUUAAUAUCUGGAGCUCAUAGGUGGGAGAUAAAGUAUACAUACUUACAAGACAUUUAUUGCAUAGUCAAACCAUGGAUCCAAAGAAACAAAUCAAUAAGUUUAAUCAAGAUGUGCAUGUGUGGCGAAUGAAUGGUGUAUGGUGAUGAUGGUGAUAACAAUGGUGAAAACAACGGUGAUGGAAGUCUAAUUCUACUUUUGCUCUUUGAGGGGAUACAUACCUUCCUUGCUUUUUGAAACUUUGUGAGGAGAAUGAGAUGCUCUAUAUUUUUUUCUUUUCUCUCAGGUGGGUAUCUUGUACCCCUAAUUCUACUGUCGGACACUUGUCCAUUUUUACCUCUCGUCUCACUUUUUCUUUUCUUUCGAGGUUCCGAGCACUUGCUCCUUUUUAUUUCCUCGUUUUUUCAGAGCACUCAUCUCUUGAGAUAAUAUAGCAAGUGGUAGUAACAAGAUAACUUGAGCAUUUAUUUCACAGGGAAAAUACAGAAAUAUAUUUUUGGCUAUUCUCUCCCGGAUUAGGAGUAGAAUAUUUUUUUUGGGUGAUUCUGGAGAUGGAAAUGGAUGGAUAUAUGUGGAUGGUACUUCCGAAGUAGAAGUAGCAUAUAUGAGUGAACGUGCAAGUGAAAUCUUGAUUUAACCACAUGACAAGCUCCUAAGGGUCUACACAGCUUGACCACACUAAAUGCUCAUAAGUAGUAAAUAGUAAAUGUGUGGCUCAAAGUCUAGCAAGCAUGUAUAUAUAUGGCUGUGGUAGGAAUUUAAACUCUCAUCAUACAGAAACUCAUCAUGCAACAUUUUAAAGAUUUUCAAAGAUAAAAUUCUCCAAAAUUCUAGCAUCUCUAGGAACAGAUAAACAGCAGCUCAACCUUCCCAUAUCAUAUCCGUUAACAACUUAGACUUCAGAUCAAGUUUUCAUCCCACAAGUUUAGGUCUAGAGCAAGCUUUAAAUUAUAACAGUUAUAUCUAAACUUGAGAGAGAACUUAAAAUUUGCAAAUUAGGUAGAGCAACUAUUCAUUAUAUCCAUGUUUGAAUUUUAUUUAGAUACAGAUUAGCAUAGCCACUUUAUUUAUUUAUUAAACACACUAAGCAAAAGAUAUGUAAGCAUAAAAUCUUUAUUUGGUUUUUCAUAGUUUAUGUAUUUUAAUAUUCUAAUAUAAUAUAAGUAUAAAGAUAGAAAUACUUAUCGAGAUAAAUGGGGGUGCUCUCCCCCAAGCUGAAUUUUGACAUAAUUUCUCUUGAUGUAGCUAGCAGGCGGCAGAGGUGUAUUUGAAAGUCAGCAGCAUUCUGACAGCGAUUAGAAUGUCCUCCGUCUGCUAGUCUUCUCGAUUCUUAAAUUCUGUGGAGCUCAAAUAGACAACAAAACUUGUGGAACUGAUUAAGUGUUAGCAUAAAUAUCUAGCCUUUAUCAUGUUGAGACUCCUUAAUAAUUAUUACUCCCUGUUUUUAUAUUUUCAUUUUAUAAAGCAGACAAGAAAUAUUUAUUUUAUUUUUAUGCCACCACGGUGAAUGUACUUAUGGGUUUUAUGCCACUCGUCUACUCACAUGGGGCUUACUGUUUUUCACAUUUUUAUUUUCUUUUUAGGAUAGUAUGAACAUAAUUAACUAAGUAAACUAGUUGAAAUAAUUGAAAGGGAAAGGAUAACUACCAAGUUUACCUUUUUGGCAAGGCGUUCGGUGUUUUUAAGUCCUCCGAACGUGACUCUCCGUUUUCUUCAAUUGUCCUGGGAUUCGUUGGGUGGCGGAGUCGGUACUUCCGGCAGCGCCUCCUCUUCAUGUAUAGUUAUCUUCUCUUUCCACACCUGACUCGGUGCUACGAUCUCCUCUGGAUAAUUCUGUUUAAACUCUACGUCUUCUGACUUUACAACUUCUCCUUCAUAGUCUACCCAUCCAUCCUUGAUGAUCUGCCUCCACUGGUUGCGGUUGCGUUGUUUUCUUACCUGCUUAGAUUCUUCAACGAUGUAGUUAGGGUCAGUAAAAUAAUGGCGUACCUUCUCUGAGGGGAAGUGCAUAUGGACUUCUCCGGUUCUAAUGUAGAUAAUUGCUUUAACGGUGCUGAGGAACGGUCUUCCAAGGAUGAUGGGUGGAUCAUACUCGUCUUCUCCCAUGUCAAUAACUUGAAAGUCUGUGUAGACAAAGUGAUCGUCUAUUUUGACUGGGACAUCAGUUACUAUUCCUUUAACUUCUCGAAAUGUCUAAUCUGCCAUCCGAAGUUGAAUGUAUGUUGGUCUUAGUGGCAUGGUUCCGAACAAGAGCCGAUAGGUGACUGCGGCCAUUAUGUUGACGCCCGAUCCGGUGUCACAAGUUGCCUUGUAGAAGUUGUAUCCAUUUAUGGAGCAGUAGAAGCUUGGCAUUCCUGGGUCGUCCUUCUUGGUAAAAAACGGUGACUUAAGUUGAUGAUCUUGGCCUCCAUGAAUUACAGUGACCAUCUUAGCUGACUCGGUCCACACUUGCUUGUUCCUAUUCCUCCUGUUGGUCCUCUUCCUUGAUUCACGUCUGGAUUGAUCUGGGAUUUGUGUAGUCUUGUUCUUGAAGAAAAAUGUCUCCUUCCUCCCUUUGAUGUAGAAACUGAUCUUGGCAGCACUAGCGUAGAUGAUAGCUCCCGCGGUGUUCAAGAAUGGCCUCCAUAAGAUGAUGGGUGCCCUCUCAUCAUUUCCGUUCUCUACCACUACGAAGUCUCCUUGGGCGUACAAGGUACCAACUCGGACACAAAGGUUCUUCAAUAUUCCUUUUGGAAAACUUAUCGUCUGAUCUGCAAACUGCAAACACAUGGUUGUUUCUAAUAAAGGAUACGUAAAGAAUUUUUUAUAGAGUACCCUGGGUAUAAUGUUGACACUAGAGCCAAAGUCGCAGAGUGCUUCUGGGACGUCCACCAUGCCGAUGGAGAUUGGGAUGACGGGGCGUCCUGGAUCGCCUUUCUUGACCGGCAGAAGGUCAGUAGUGAAUUCAGUGACGGGGUUACUCCAAUUAUUACCUGCAUCAAACAUGUCUACAAGAUUUGCAAAUUCUAAUCCUUCCGGUUGUGAUGGUAUACCGGGGCUAGUAACGGGAACAGCAGCAGCUAUUUGAUUUAACUGAGAUUCAAUCAUUUUAUUAAAGCUAAUUUGAUUCUUGAUGGCAGUAGAGAAAUUAUCCAUUCUAUUAUUUAUAUUUUCUAGCAUUUUAUCAUUAGAUGCCAAUUUCUUAGAUAGGUUAUCCAUUAGCUUUCCUUGAUUAGACACUAACUCUCUCAGAGGUGGAAAAUUGUUAUUAUUGUUGUAAGAAUUGUUACCUUGAUAAUUACCUGAGUAGUUAGGCCUCUGUUGAUUCCAACCUUGAUUUUGUUGAGGACAGUUGUAGUAGUUGUUGUUGUUGUUGAUGUAGUUCACAUCCUCAAGUAUCUCAGGGCAGUGAUUGCCUGAGUGUCCAGUAUCUCCACACUCCUCACAAGUCAUGUGAGAGUCGUAGAUGUGCAUAACUUCUUUCUUGUCUCCAGCUCUAUCGUCGAGCUUCUUCAUGAGCAGGUCUAGCUUUGCAGACAGCAUGUCUACCUCCUUCAGCUAAUGCAUACCUCCACCUCUCUUGUGUGUCUGGGUCCUCUCUUCAUUCCAGCUUUGGUUGGACACCAUCUUCUCCACAAGAGCUGUAGCUUGUGGUAUAGUAAGUGAUAAGAAUGCUCCUCCAGCUGCAGCAUCCAUUGUUUCUCAGGCACUGUUGCCAAGCCCAUGAUAAAACGUCUGCAUCAGUAGCCAACUCUCCAUUCCAUGAUGAGGACAUUCUAGGAUGUAGUCUUGAAAGCGCUCCCAUACUUCUGGAACAUAUUCAUCAUUUUGUUGCUGAAAACUUGUAAUCUUCCCACGGAGAGCAUUGGUCUUGCCCAUGGGAAAGAAUUAGCCAGGAAGUAUGUUGAGCAGAGUGCCCACGUAGUAUUCUUCUCCUUUGUAGCGUAGAACCACUGCUUCGCUCUUCCUAACAGUGAGAAUGGGAAGAGGCGAAGUAGUAUAGCAUCUUUGGAAACUCCUGAUAUGGUAAAUGUGUUGCAAAUCUCCAGGAAGUGUUGUAGAUGAGCACUAGCAUCUUCGUGUGCCUUCCCACAGAACUGGUUGGAUUGCACCAUGUUGAUAAGUCCAGGCUUGAGCUAAAAGUUGCCAUCGAUCUCUGCAGUAGGUCCAGUGCGGAUGUUGUCCGUAGUGGGAGCUGAGAACUCGCAGAUUGAUUUGUUCGCCAUGGCCUCGAACUCUGAAGACAAGUUCCGGUGAUCUUCUUGAUUGGAUGAAGCUUCUUGCUGAAGUGUUGAUGAUCUCUUCUUGAGCUUGGCUCUCGUCUUCUUGAAUAAUGCUUCGGGAUUGUCAACAAAAUUUCCUGGAAGAUGUCUUCUAUUCAUACAUUCCCCUGCAUAAGAUAAAAUAGAAAAAUAUCGGGGUAAAACUGUAUGAGAGAAUAGAUAAGCUCAAUCAUAUUAGUGAUGCAAAUGAUAACUCAAAAUCUUUUAUUCCAUUCUUGAUUAGUAAUCAACCUUCCCCAGCAACGGCGCCAAAAAUGCUUGUUGGGUAUUCUUAACAUCAUUACCAAAAGUAGACUUAGUUUUCUAAAUCUAGUAACGGUGCCAAAAAUGCCAAACCUAUCCCUCACACCACUUAAGCCAAGUUGUCAUCCCCAGCAUGAUAUAAGAGACGCGGUAUUGAAAUAUGCAAUUGCUCUUCUAAAUAAAUAAUGAAUGGGAUCUGCAAGCGCACAGAUUAAUACCAAUGUAGCAUUUUAACCGGGAAGUAUUCCAGGUAUCGUUAUUUAUAUUUUUACCACUGGGAAGGGAUUAACAAUCAUCAAUAUUGAUUACAGAAUAGAAUAUGAGAUUGAGCAUCUAUCAUUGCAUGUAUAAUUGAGAACAUUAUAUCUAACUCUUCAUACAGGGAUAAGUGUCACAUAAAAGAUAUAUGAAAUAAUGAAUAGUGACAAGGAUAACUAAUCUGAUCUAGCCACAUAAUAAAUAUGAUAAGCACCUCAAUUAGAUACUCUAGAAAGUCAUUAGCAUGGUAUUAGAACGAACUACAAGAAUAUUCCCUAAGUUAUUCUCAACUAUAUAGUCUAGCAUAUCAUAGUUAGUGCAAGCAUACUUAGCAAUCAUUGCGAGACAAGACUACGCCCAUGCAUAGUGAUAUUAGCAAGGAAUAUGAGAAACAUAGAAAUCACUCCCUUGUAAUAACGUUGCUCUGCCAGCCCAAUACACGAGAGGGGGACUAUAUAAGAAUCCAUGAAGCUGUCACUAUCACGAACUACCCCACGAUCUGGCAUAUUGGGUACAAUCGCAGAUAAAUACGGUAUAAGCACCACGCCUACACAAUAUAUAUCAUUUACCCAUGGAUCUGAUGGAUAAACGCUAUACGAUCCUAAGCAUGUAUAUAGAUCCAAUCUAACUAAGCCAAGUACAUAACUAUGAUAAACUAAGAACAAUAUAAUCUUGAAUAUAAGCAAGUACAACAAAGUCAUAAGCAAUAUAUUGAAAUAGAACAAAGUCAUAUUCAUAAUAUUGAAGAACAAAGAUAAUUAGAAAGCAAUUAGAAGCACAAUUAGAGAAUUACCAAGAAUCCUCUUGACAGAUCCGGAAACCAAUCGAAGAUCGACUCCUUCUAGUUCUAAUCCUAUGUAGCUAUGCUAAUCAAGAUGUCUAAUUGAUGUGGUGGCUCUAAUCUUGAUCAGAGGCUUCUUCUCCCUUAAAGAACAAUGAAUUAGGGUUGAGAGGCUCUCCCCUGCAGGGGCCAGGGGGUCUGGUUUUAUAGUCCCUUCAAGUGAAUAUGGGCCGUUGGAUCAAACCGACAUAGAUUGUAUGGUUUAGAUUCAUCCUUUAGGUCGGUGGAGAUCUCCCACGAAGCAGAGUUCCGAUUGGCCUCAGCAGGUGGGCGGGCGCCCUGAUCACCUGGGCGGGCGCCCAGGGUCAGGCCCCGUUUCGCCUCCGCUUCGGUCUCGUGGCUUCUGGAGUCUUCUAGAUGUAAGAUAAUUGCGUGGCACGUUAAUAUCUCUAUGUAAUCCCGACGUGUGGGCCUUUCUUUCGUAUUUCCCGAUAACCCCCUGCAGAAUUAGACAAACACCAAAACUUGUGGAAUUCUUUCAGAUAAAACCCUAAGUCUAGAUGUUGAUUUCAUUUGGAUCCUUUUCUUUAUUUAUUUGAUAAUUAAAUUUGAUACUUAAGGACCGUCAACAGGAUUUCAAACCAACUCGCGACAAACUAAGAUCGUAGUAGUUCAACAUAAAUACAACGAAUGUUACAUAGUCAUUCAUUGCCAUCGAAGCGGCACCACAUCGGAGUCAUUAAGUUAUUACAACACAUGUUCAAAGUAGCGAAAGCAAAAUAAUUACACACACUUGUUCAAAGUUCAGUUCACAAGUUUUUGUUAUUGCCAGAGUCUACACCAUCCUUCCAAAAGCAACAGGUACGAGUUUGUUAGAGAACCGUGCCCAACGGUUAGUCCUCAUCCCCAGCGGGAUGGAGACAGGUCUUGCAGAAGCCGUCAUAAAAGAUGUCAUCUGCAACAGGUGGGAAUAAACCCUGAGUACGAGAAUAUACUCAGCUAGACUUACCCGUCUAGUAAAACAUAAAAGACACCAAGGAUCAUGCAAGGCCAAUUUCAAUUAGGGCUAGUUGACUCAACAUUUGCCAAAAGCUUGCAUUAAAACUAACUUAUUGUGGAAGCAUCAUUUUUAUUCAUUAUUAGCCUACCACUAGAUUUGCACCUGUACUAAAGCACUUCACUUGAUUAUUACAAGCAAUAAUAACCAUAUCAAGUUCAUCGUAUGUUCUUCCUUGCUAUCAUCAUUAUCAUGAACCAAGUUCAUUAGUGAAUGCUACGUUUGCCGCUGCUCUGUCAAGUUCUCACUGACCGGGAGAGACGGCGAUUUGAAUCGAAUUCCUAUCCAGCUGGAGGGGUAUUCCUAGCACUCACCCAAGCAUCCCCCGUCGGAGAGCCAACGGGUCACCUUUGGUACGACUCAGGAAUCGCGGCUCCGAUCAGCGCCGCACUCCCAGGGCUACCACUCUGCCAGGGAGGUCAGGAAUUUUAACUCACCUGCCUUUGGGCUUACGCCAAUGGUCCCCCGCACACCGCACUUCCUCCGGUAGUGCGCACUUUAUACUUGCCGGUCUUCCGGCCUGAGUCAUACUACUCGGCUUCGUGGUCGGAACGAGUUAUCCGGCCAACUAAGUGUCAGGCAUGCGUUCAACAUGACAAGAGGACGUACAACGGUCGGUCCUUAGCUGCCACAGACGGAGUUACUACAACCUUUCAAAACUCCGCCCGGUUUAAGUCAAUUUAAUCAGGUUCCAUCCACGAUAGCACAUAUAGACCAUCGUGAUCCGACACAACCCUAUAUCGCGCAGGUGACAGGAAAUCACCCGACUUCUACCGAUUAAGCAUGGCUAAGCUGCUACUCGAUCCUAACUCUACAACCAGGGUAGGGUAAGUUAUCUGGACAAGGAUGGAGUAAAGUGCAGCAAAGGUUUCAUCACAACUCCUAUACUUAAUGCAUCAAUAGAUAUAACAUAUUAAAUAAACUUUUAAAAGUAAAGGUAGGCUUAGAAUGCUCCGGGGCUUGCCUUUCAUGAACGAGGCUGGCUUGUGGUUCGGGCACUCAACUUCUUCUUCGGGCUCCUCGAGUCCGACUUGCUGGACCUCCACCUCCUGGCUGUCGUCCUGGCCUUCGGGGUUCGCUUGGAGCUCGAAGGAAGCGGUCACGUCCGAUGCACCUAUUGCAUGCUCAACUAAUAAGAAGACGUGCAUAAAAGAGGAUGAAUGCUGGAUACAUAAAUAAACUCACUAGACACUCAUUUACGGAGUAACUUCUAAGUGAACUUACAAGAAAUCCACAUGAAUUGAUCAAACUAGACAAGUCAACUUAUAAACAGCAAGCACCCAAAACAGGACAGCUCAGUAGUCAGACCAAAACUAGUACUAGACAGAUCCAACAAACAUGAGUGAGGACAUUCUGGAAAGCUUAUAAAAUUGCCUACAAUUCAUCUUUAAACUUCAUAGCAAGAUUCAUAAGUUAAACCAGCCUUCAAAACAAAGUUCCAGGUUCUGUCCUAGGAAACAGAGAGCACCUAUUUCUGGAACCCAAAUUGGAACAACCAUAACUUUUAAACUGCAAGGCCAAUUAAUCCCAAAUUUAAACCACAGCUAGUUCAUAAAGUUUACAACAACUUUGAUUUAGACAAGUUUCCCAGAAAACUCAGUUAUCAUUAAGCAAAAGGUAAAUUACUUCCUUGCUGUCCAGAACAACUUUUAGCCCACCAAUUAAUUAUUUAAUGACAUAACCAAAACAUAAACAAUGCCAACCACAUGUCUUAUGAGCACAAGCACACCACAAGAUAACCAGAACAUCAUAUGAUGACCUCCAAAUAUUUAUUAACAAGGCAUUUAUUAAUUUAAUUCUAGAAAAGAGCAUAAUUACAAGAUACUGAUAAAAUUGCUCAGAAAACUCUACAAAUAUUACAGCAGUACAAGUACAGCACCAAAGCAUCACCAUAAAUUUUUCAGAGCAAAUUCACACCCCAAAUUAAAGAUAUGCAUUUAACAUGUGACAAGGUGUUUAUUUCAUAAAUUCAGAAACAUGGCUUACAAAGUGUCAAACAGCAGAUUUCAGAUUAUUUACAGGUUAUCAAUACCAUAAACAAGUUUGUCCCAAAAGUAGAGCACCAGCAUAAGCACCAAUUAUUUUAUAUGAUUUAAUUAAAGAAACAAGCCAAAUUUCAAACAUAAAUUACAUAUCAAAGCAGCAGUACUCCAAAAAUCAUGAAAUAUUUAUCAUAGCCUUCUAACACCACACAGAGACUACCAUAAUAAUUUCAUAGCAAGAUAAGCAGUAUAACAAGAGAUAUGAAUUUAUUCAUGAAUAACAAGAUUAAAUCCUAAUAAUUAUUUUUCCCAGAAAACAUGGUUCAUUUUAUAUUUUUAUUAAAAACUAGCCAUCUUAUGGAAUACCACAAAAUUGGUUUCACAAUUUUUGGAUCUCAGAAACAGGAGAUAUGAUUUUUGUAAGAAAGCCAAAAAUCAGGAUUUGAAUAAAAGAAAAGGAGGGAAGUGAGGUGACACUAACAGUGGACCUCGCAUGUCAGGGUCAUCUUCCUCACCACCGAGGCGACUCUCGCCGGCGAUUUCUCCGCAACGGCGAGGUCUCCGGCCAAACCAAGGGCACCAUUGUGAUCUCCAGAUUCUAGCGACUCGAUUGAUCCCCUUUUCCCCACGGCGGAGCCACCAGAAAUGGCUCGCCGUCGAUCAUGGCGGCUCGGCGGAGGUGCUCGGCGUUACGCCGGAGCCCUCAAGCCGGUAGAGCGUGACCUAGGGUUUCCUACAGCACCAGUGGACUACGGAGAAGCUUCCUAGGUACGCGGCUUGGCUUGAAACAUCAUGGAACGCGCUGGCCACGAGAGACCCAAUCUCCGGCGGAAACACGGCGGCGCUGCGCAUCGUGUCCGGCGACGGUGGGUUCGGUAGAGCGUCCACCAAGAGGUGCAACCACUAGCUAAGAACCUAAGCUAUCUCUAGAACCUAACCAAAGGAGAUGGGAGGCUCCGAGGAGCUCAGCAUUGAGCUCGCUGGAAAAGAUGGUCACGGCGACCCGAUUUGGGGGAAGAAGGAAAUGGCGGCUCACCGGUGGGUUUCGCGGCGAGCUAGAGGGUGGAGAGUGGAGAGUGGCUCACGGCGGAGCUAUGGGCGGAGUUUGGUGGACUGCGACGCAGCGAGGAGCGCACACGAGCUCGCCGGAGUGAGCUCGCGACGGUGAGCUCGCUGCGGGCGCUCUUCUGGCGAGAGAGGCGAGGCAGAGAGAAAAUGGACGUGUCCACUCCGUUCGGGGCGUCGCCGUGGAUGACAUGCGCACGCUGGGAGCUGACGAGCGGGGCCAGGAGCGGCGUACGGGCGCCAAAUGUCGACGGAGUUCUGUCGCCGGUCGGCCACGUCGACGAGCUCGGCUCCGAUUCAGAGCAAACGCUGAUGGUCUGACAGAGCGACUUCGACGGUGAUUAUCUCCCAAACCAGAGCGAAUUAGGAGAUGAUGCAGUUGACAAAGUUGGAGUUCCAAACGAGUUCUAUAACAUUGUCAACUAGAGCAAAAGCCAGAUCGGCCUGGAUUGAGAUAUAUAGAGUUUUCAAAACUGAUCGAGCAAACUGUUUUCAUUCCAGGACUUAGAAAAUUUCCUAAGUGUUGGAAACAGCCCCAAAUUUGCCUUGUGGGUCAAAUUUGAGCUAGAUGUGGUCAUUUUCAUGAGAUGGCCAUAAAACAACUUUCGUUCCUUAUAAAAUUUUCUACAACUUUUCUGUAGAAAGUUUGGACAUGCAAACAUUUUAUGAAACACUUUUUAAAAGCCUAAGCAAAAGAGGUUUCUAGGGCCUAUUUGUAUAAGUAUGACUUAAGUGAUUAUUUUGGAGAAGUGAUCAACAUGAACAUUGUUCCCAAGGUUAAGUUAAGCAUAGAUAAACUAAUUACCAAGGCAUAAAGCACAAACACAAGCAUGGUUCACUCAAGCAAAGGCAAGGGAAGACUACUUAAACAAUUUAAAUCACAUAUUUGCAUGGAAUGACAUGGCUCAAGAUAGAUGAUGAUCAUGAUAUGCUUUGAGUAGAUGAUGAUGCUCAUGCUAUGCACAUGAUUAAUGCAACCAUAACACUAGGGUGUUACACUUCGAACUAUUGGGAAAAUGAAGAACAUGGGUGACACCGUAUCAAGAGGUGCAGACGUCAAGGUCCACACCUGAAUCAAAUGACGCACCUAAAGAAUGAACACGGUAAGAAGUCUUGUUCAGAAGACUUAAAACAUUGAACCCUCGCCGAAAGGUAAAAUCGGUAGUUAUCCAUAUUUAUCCUUUCUGCAUUCUCUUUUCUCUUAAAUUAUUGACUUUCCUUAAUAGCUUGUAAGUUAAUCAUGCUAUCUUGAAAAGAAAUUAAAAAUGUUAAAAACAGUAAGCCCCAUGUGACUAUGCUCGUGGCAUAAAACCCAUAAGUACAUUCACUGUGGUGGCGUAAUAAUAAAAAUAUUCCUGCCAUAUAAAAAUGAAAAUAUAGAAAUAAAUUUAUGAUCUUACCAAAGAGAGUAAUAUUUAUUGAGGAGGCUCAACAUGAUAAAGGAUAGAUAUUUAUGCUAACACAUAACUAGUUCCACAAAGCUUUGUUGUCUAUUUGAGCUCCACAGAAUUCAAGGAUCAAAGAAGACUAGCAGACAGAGGACAUCCUAAUCGCUGUCAGGGUGCUGCCGACAUUCAAAUAUACCUCCGCCACCUACUAGCAACAUCAGAAAAAAUUACGUCAAAAUCUAGCUUGGGGGAGAGCAUCCCCAUUUAUCUAGCUAAGUGUUUCUACUCGCGUUUAUACUUUACUCAAAUAAUAAAAAGAUGCAUAAUCAUAAAAACCCAAAUAAAGAUUUUAUGCUUAUAUAUAUCUUUGCUUAGUUUGCUAAAUAAAUAAAUAAAUAAAGUUUGCUAUGAACCCUCAUGAUAAGCUCUCACAUGGAAAUGAUGAAUAGUUUCUCUACCAUGACUAUUUCUCAAAAUUGAAUUCUCUCUCAAGUUUAGGCAUGACUGUUAUGAAUUAAGAUUUGCUCUAAACCGGAACUUGUGGGAAGAGUACUUGAUCUAAAGUCUAAGUCGUUAACGGAUAUGAUAUGGGAAUGUUGAGCUGCUAUUUAUCUGUUCCUAGAGAUGCUAGAAUUCUAGAGAAUUUUAUCUUUGAAAAUCUUUAAAAUGUUGCAUGAUGAGUUCCUGUAUGAUGAGAGUUUAAAAUCCUACCACAGCCACAUAUACAUGCUUAUUAGACUAUGAACCAUACAUUUACUUUUUACUGCUUAUGAGCAUUGAGUGUGGUCAAGCUGUGUAGACCCUUAGGAGCUUGUCAUGCGGUUAAAAUCAAGAUUCACUUGCACUUUCACUCAUACAUGCUGCUUCUACUCCAGAAGUAUGCAUCCACAUACAUCCACUAAUUUCCAUCUCCAGAUUUACCCAAAAUUAUUCUACUCCUAUCUAGGAGAGAAUAGCCAAAAACAUUAUCCUAUCCCUGUUAUUCCCCGUGAAAUAAAUGCUCGAGAUAUUUUGGUUACUACCACUUGCUACAUUAUUCCAGGAGGGUGAGUGCUCUAAAAAAAAAGAGAGAGAGAGAGAAGAAGAAAAAAGAAAAAUACAAGGAAAUAAAAAGGAGCAAGUGCCCGGAACCUCGAAGAAAAGAAAAAGUAAGAUGAGAGGUAAAAAUGACAGGUGUCCGACAGUAGAAUUAGGGGUACAAGAUACCCAUCUGAGAGAAAAGAAAAAGAAAAUAUAGAGCAUCUCAUUCUCCUCAAAAAGCUUCAAAGUGCAAGAAAGGUAUGUAUCCCUCAAAAGAGCAAGAGUAGAAUUAGACUUUCACCAUUGUUUUCACCAUCAUCACCAUACACCAUUCAUUCGCCACACAUGCACAUCUUGAUUGGACUUAUUGACUUGUUUCUCUGGAUCUAUGGUUGGACUAUGCAAUAAAUGUCUUGUAAGUAUGUAUUAGCUAUCUCCCACCUAUGAGCUCCAGAUAUCAAACCCUUAUUAGAGUAGGGUGAGAGAGAAGGCAAUGUCACUAUGCCUCAUACCAAAAAUACUACAUACUUUGAGAGAAGGCAUAUAUCAUCACUACCUUGGUGAGGAUCCAGAAAUACCACAAAAGAGAGAUUUGAGAGAGUCAUACAACGGAAUCUCUGACUUUUAUUUUGAAAAUCUACAAAAACUCUAGAGCUAUAGUUGAUCAAGAACAAGAGACAUGGCGCUUGACUUGACCAUUCUAUCUUUUAACUGCUCAAGACACAAGUGAUGGUUGCAUGCCCCAUGGUGGAAGGUAAUAUGAGUAAGUUUAAAUCUUAAUAGUUUACCCUAACCCAGAGAUAAGAUCUUGUUUGAACGCAUGUGUACCUUUAAGGCAUGAAACCACUACAGAAACUCUUGAGUCCAUCCUUGCUUAGGGAUGAGCAAGAGGUAAGCUUGGGAGAGUUGUUGACGGUCCUUCAGUAUCAAAUUUAAUCAUAAAAUAAAUAAAGAAAAGGAUCCAAAUGCAACCAACACCCAGACUUAGGGUUUUAUCUGACAGAAUUCCACAAGUUUUGGUGUUUGUCUAUUUCUACAGGGGGUUAUCAGGAAAUAUGGAGGAAAGGCCCACACGUCGGGUUUACAUAGAGAUAUUAACGUGCCACGCAAUUUUCUAUCAUCUAGAAGACUCCAGAAGCCACACGAACGAACAGCAAGCCGAGCGGGCCCAGGGACAGGGCGCCUGCCCUCCCCCCUUGGGUGCCCGCCCUGUCAUCUGGACCAAUCAGGCUCCGCCUCGUGGAUUAUGCUCCACCGCCUUUGAGGAUCAAGGAAAACCAUGCGAUUAAGGUCGGUUUGAUCCGACGGCCCACAUUCAUGUGGAAGGGCUAUAUAAGCAGGACCCUGGCCCCUAGAGCAGGCACCUCUGAAUCCUUAUUCAUUAUUCAUAGACAGAGCAAAAGCUAGGGUUUGGAGAUGAGAGCUCUCCUCUCUUCUCUAAACUAGAGUAGAUCUAGAUAG
This 445602-nucleotide long non-coding RNA is filed under the name Sorghum bicolor (sorghum). Its description in RNAcentral is "long non-coding RNA (SBIC_LNC008690)". The stretch from base 435822 to 435928 matches the Rfam family "Plant small nucleolar RNA R71". Lineage: Eukaryota; Viridiplantae; Streptophyta; Magnoliopsida; Poales; Poaceae. The record is from RNAcentral.